This 450921-nucleotide long non-coding RNA is filed under the name Citrus maxima (pomelo). RNAcentral describes it as "long non-coding RNA (CMAX_LNC001419)". The stretch from base 185572 to 185708 matches the Rfam family "Small nucleolar RNA Z247". Lineage: Eukaryota; Viridiplantae; Streptophyta; Magnoliopsida; Sapindales; Rutaceae. The record is from RNAcentral.
UCGUUUCACCAAUAUCCUCUCUUUGAAGUUACUGAAAUACCCUCCUUCGCCUCCUCACCCCCAUGUUGUCAUGCACAGCCAAAUGCUUCAAGGCCUUCGAAACCUCUUUCAACCCGGGAACCCAAAGCCGACCCGUUUGUGCAGUCAUCGACGUUAUGAUGGGCUGGACGGCUGAUGUUUUCAAGAUUUUUUGAAGUUCCCAUUGUUGGGUUCUUCACUUCUGGUGCUUGCUCGGCAGCUGUGGAGUGUGCCAUGUGGCAGGCUCGCAUCCAAGGGGUCAAACCGGGAGAGGGCCGUUUACUUCCUGGGUUACCCCAGGAUAUGGCUUUAUUUGAAUCGAAUCUUAAACACAGGCCUCAUGGGCCCCCUCCUAGUGGUCCACCACCUCUGCGAGGUGCACCCGGUUCCGAGAAAAAAAGGUCCACUAGAAGCCGGUGAUCAACCACACUGGAUGAAGGAAGUAGAGGGAUCAAUGGCGUUGAUGUUCAACACGUGUGAUGGUCUUGAGGGACCAUUUAUUAAUUAUUUAGCCAAUCAAUUGGGAAAGCCGGUGUGGGGAGUGGGCUCACUGUUACCUGAACAAUUUUACAAAUCGGCCGGUUCAAAGCUUCAUGAUCAUGAGAUGAGAACCAACCGGCGGAGUUCUAACAUGACGGAAGAUGAGAUCGGUUGAAUUUGAAAUCACGUGGAUCUGUGUUAUAUGUGUCAUUUGGUACUGAAGUGGAUCCGACCUUAGAUGAGUACUUAGUACUAGCCAAUGCUUUAGAAGCAUCAAAUCGACCGUUUAUUUUGGUAAUUCAAGGUGGUGCAGGUAGAUUGGAUCCUCUACGUCAUUUGGACAAACCAGCUGAAGGCAGUUAUUUUCGUAGUGGUUUGGAUAAUAAAGUCGGUAAAAAGGGUUUGAUAAUAGAUGGAUGGGCGCCACAAUCAUUGAUAUUGAAUCAUCAAUCAACGAGUGGAUUUUUAUCUCACUGUGGAUGGAAUUCAACAGUAGAAGCAAUUGGUUGUCGAGUCCCAAUUUUAGCAUGGCCAAUUAGAGGUGACCAACAUUACAAUGCCAAAUUUGUGAUCAAUCAUCUCAAGGUGGGUACAUGAUCUCUGAUGAUCAAUCAAAAUCGAUUCAAAAGGAUGAUAUAGUGAGUGGUAUAGAAAAGCUUAUGAGUGAUCAGGAGAUUAAAAAACGAGCUCACGUGCUUCACAGUAUAUUUAACCAUGGCUUUCCUCUGAGUUCGGUGGCUUCUUUGAAUGCUUUCAUAGGUCUUAUUAACCAUAAAUCAGUUUUAGAAAAAUAAUUAUCAGAAGUCCUACAAACCAUCUAAAAUAAAAAGAUGGCCCGUCCUCCAUCCAAACGACAAAAGCAUGGACUCGCAACGCAAGUAGUCAUAUUCACCCGAGCAACAAAAUGAACAUCAAAUUGUUGACGAGGCACCAUAUGCACAACAUAGUGAUAUUGUUUAGUGUUUAAUAUUAUAGGGAAGUUUUUAAUAAAUCUUCAUUUCCGUGCAUAUUGUGAGCUUAUUGCCAAAAAUGAGACUAUAUAGUUGUGGGACAAACAAAAAGGGAAAUUCUUUACCAUUCGGCUAAAUUUUGAUGUCAUGCAAAAUAAUAUAGGAUCUUGAAUUCACUUUAAUAUGAUAUCAACAUACGGAAGAAAUUUCUGAAGCAAAUAGAUUUUGCAUGAAAGGUAUCGACACAAAGUCAGAGGAAAAUUUGAAUAGAAUUUUUUUUAAUAUAACAAUCACUGGUGACCAUGUUUAGAUACCAUCUGAGAGUAGUAAAAUAUCAACUACCAAUUCUACUGUGGUUGAAGAAUGUACUUGUCGUUAGAUGAGUUUGUUCCCAUUGAAGCUAUCAAAGAAAGAAAAGGAAAAAGAGCGGCCGCAAAAGGGAGGAAAGUGGGAGGAGUUGAAAGGCUGUCACAGCAAAUUGAUCGCCUUGUUGAUACUGUGGAAAUGGAGGUCGAAUUUAAGAAGAAGAUCAUAGUAUUAAUGUUCCUAAAGGUCGAGAGAUGGGGAGAUUGAGAAAUAAUAGUGCUGCAAGUUUAAUGAGUGGACAAUAUUAUAGUUAUAUAUUUUUUUACACACAUGUAUAUAAUAUUUUAUUUUUAUGAACUACUUUGAUUGCAAUAGUUUUAUGUACAUAAAAGUUUAUAUAAAGAUUAAAUUUUUGCAUUUUCUUUUUGCACUUAUUUAUUAAUCAAUUUGAUAAUAUGUUAGCAUGAAUUUUUUUAGUUAAAAAAAUAUUAAAGUUAGUUUUAUUGCAAAUUAAAAUAGUUAAUAAAAAAAUGAUAUAGAUAUGUAAUAAAGAAAAUAGAAUAUACUCUUUAAAAAUCCAGUAAAUAAAAAAAUGAUGUUAAUAAUAAUAUUCCGAAUAAACUACAAAUAAGCAAACAAGUACAUUUUUAUCAUUGCACAUGAAUAUUACACUUUUAAUUUUCACUUAUCAAAUUUGUAUAGUAGAUUAUUUGAAAAUUGAUUGUCAAAUAAUCAUCAUUUACCAAACACCCUACAAGAAGUUAUUUAAAUUAAGAUAUCUAAUGAAUUCUAUUAAUAGUGAGCGUGCUUAUCAAAUAUAUAAAAAUAAAAAGAAGAAGAGUUGGGGGAAAAAAGAAUUUUUUAUUAGUUUGAAGCUGAUUAGAUGCUUUAAAAAGAAAUGUUCUCAUGAUUGAUGACUAAACAAGUGCAUAAUCCAUUCCUAAGUGCAAGUCAUGAUAAGUAAACCACCUAUAACCUAAAGAAAUAAAAGAAAUCCCAAAUGUACCCUCAAUCAAUCCCCUUUGCUUACUAGUAAUAUUUUUUUUUCGUUUGCCAAAAAUUCCAAGGAAAAUAUAAAAAGAAGAAGAGUUGGGGGAAAAAAGAAAGGGGAGGAAAAUCAGGUUCCUCUGUUUUCAUUCCCCUGUUUUGAAAUUAUCUAUCAUCGAUAUAAUUUUAUUCUCCUGUUACUAAAGGAGAAUGGUUCAGAUGAGUUGCCGUCCAUCAGGCGGAUUCAGAUUUUGAAUUAUCAUUGGUUUGAUAUUGUCGUUCCACUUGUUUCAUGAAUGGAUUCCCACCUACGCGUUUGCUUAUUAAAAGAAUUAAUCUUGCUUUUCUAGGAAUAUAAUGCAAUAUGCAUGACGGUACGUGUCCAUGUGAAAGUUGAUGAAAUCUUCACUUUCAGUGUUGGAACUCCACAAUCGAAACAAUCAAUACGACAAUUUUUCUCUAUCGGUUCAAUUUUAAUUAAAUAGAAAACAAGUAAGGUCAAAUAAAUUCUGGUCCACCAAUUUAAUUAGUAUAAACAUAUGGAUCCCAUCAUUAUUAUUAUACAUAUAUGGGUAUUUUUACUUAUUAUAUGUUAGGUUCCAGUCAGAGACAGCCAAUGAUCACGCGUAACACAAGUGAUAUUUUUCUGCUUAUGGCGAGAAAGGACCCAAUAAUUGUUGUUUAGAAUUCUCAAUGCCUUUAUUCAUAUUCUAGAGCUUAUUUAUAAUCACAAGACCUUGAUUUUCAACCUACAAUCACGGCUGAAAUCAAUAAAACAAAUAUUAAAAUAACGACCUAGCUAAUAUUUCGUAAAGAUAAUCAAAAGCAACUUGAUAAAGUUAUCCCAAAAGCAACUUGAUAAGGUCAUCCCAAAAUCACGGCUCCAGUACUCAUCUUUACAAUUUCCACACGUGAAACUGCACAUGCAUGUGUCAUGCAUGGCUUGCAUGGGAAUCAACUUAUGCUCUCACGUAAUAUACUUAUGGUUUGGCUUUGGCAUUCUUCCAGAUCUUCGUGGCUCAUGCACUUGCUUUCUAUCAUAAUCACCCACGGCUUUCUUAAGCAAAGAGACGUGAAACACCGGGUGAAUUCGAGCAUUCUCUGGUAAUUGUAGUUCGUAGGCCACGGCUCCAACUUUGCGAAGAACUAAAUACGGCCCAAAGUACCUGCAAGCUAAUUUCUGAUGUGCUCUUCUGAACACUGAAGUCUGCCGAUAGGGCUGCAACUUUAAUAACACCAUAUCUCCCUGUUUGAACUCAACGUCGCGGCGACCCUUGUCAGCUGUUUGCUUCAUCCUGUUAGCUGCUGUGACUAAGUUUUUCUUUAAUUGUAAGAGCAGUUCAUCACGUGAAUGUAAGGCUUGAUCAACCUCAUGCACCGGCGAGGAACCAAGUUGAUACAUGGGCACGGUUGGAGGUGGUCUUCCAUACAAAGCUUGGAAUGGAGUCAUUCCGGUGGAGACGUGGAAUGUGGUGUUGUACCAAAAUUCUGCCCACGGCAAAAAAGAAUGCCACUUUCGCGGCCAUUGGUGAACAAAACAUCUCAAGUACUGUUCCAAGCAUCGAUUAAUUACCUCCGUUUGGCCGUCGGUUUGCGGGUGGUACGCCGAGCUCAUUUUGAGUUUGGUGCCGGAUAAAUUGAAGAACUCUUGCCAAAAUCUGCUGAUGAAUAUAGGGUCUCGGUCGCUAAUGAUUGAUUUGGGCAUGCCGUGCAGCUUCACUACUCCCUCAAUAAAUUUUUCCGCCACUGUUUUUGCUGAGUAAGGAUGAGAAAGAGCCAUAAAAUGUGUUGAUUUACUCAGUCGAUCUACCACUACCAAAAUAGCAUUCUUCCCUUGUGACCAGGGUAAAGCUUCAAUAAAGUCUAGUGUAAUAUCAUCCCACACCUGACACGGGAUUGGCAGAGGCUGGAGAAGUCCUGCCGGCUUGAGCGUUUCUGCCUUUGUUUGUUGACAAGUUGCACAUUUACUCAAGUAUUCACGCACAGUUUGGAACAUGGAUGGCCAGUAGAACUGUUGUGAUAAACGUUUGAAUGUGCGAAGAAUUCCAGAGUGACCUCCUAUCUUUGUGUCAUGUGCUUGAAAUAGGAGUGUCCCGUAAUGCUUGUGGAACUACUACUUUAUUCUUAAAAAAUAUCAUGCCAUCCCGCAACGUGUAAGGCCCUGAAGGUUGGGCUUGCACAACUGAAUUUAUUCUCUUCAUGUACUCAUCAUUGCUGGCCGCGUUUUUUAUUUCUUCCCAUAUAGCAACCUGCGGAAUAAAGACAUGAAAUAGAGAUGGGUUGUCAAAACGUCGUGACAACGCAUCUGCGGCUGUAUUUUCUCGACCCGGCCUAUAAACAAUUUCAUAAUCCUAGCCCAUUAAUUUUACCAUCCAUUUUUGUUGCUCCGGUGUUGCGACUUUCUGUUCCAGGAAGAACUUGAUGCUGCGAUGGUCAGUUUGGAUUGUGAAACCCUGCCCUAACAAGUAUGGCCUCCAUAUUCGAAUAGCUUCCACAAUGGCGAGCAUCUCUUUGUUGUAAACUGACCAAGCUUUCUUUGUGAUGCCGAGAGCUCUACUCAUGUACGCUAUUGGUUUUCCUUGCUGCUGUAACACCGCACCAAUACCAUCGCCGGAAGCGUCAGUUUCAAUAAUGAAAGUAUCAUUGAAGUUGGGCAUGGUGAGCAUUGGAGUAAUAGUCAUAGCCUUCUUUAAAUUGUCAAAAGCUUUUUCCGCUUCGUCACUCCAGCCGAACUGUCCUUUCUUCAAAAGAUUAGUGAGUGGCCGAGCAAGCAACCCAUACCUUUGCACGAAUUUUCUGUAAUAUCCGGUGAGACCAAGGAAUCCCCUCAGCUCGGAGAUGUUUUGUGGCCGGGGCCAAGUUAGCAUCGCCGCAAUUUUCUUGUCAUCUACCUUUACGCCAUGACAAGUGACUAUGUGACCUAGAUACUCCAAUUCCUACUGCCCGAAAUUGCACUUGCUUGCCUUGAUAAAAAGUUGCUGUUCUCGAAGAAUUUCUAGUGCCUGUUUCAUAUGGUUCAAAUGGCAGCUCCACGUGGGGCUGUAAAUUAGUAUGUCAUCAAAAAAUACAAGUAUAAAUUUUCUGAGGUAAGGACGGAAAAUAGAAUUCAUCAAAGCCUGAAACGUUGAUGGUGCAUUGCACAAUCCGAACGGCAUCACUAGGUAUUCGCAAUGCCCGUUGUGAGUUCAGAAUGCAGUUUUAUGUACAUCCGCAGGAUUAACUCGCACCUGAUGAUACCCUGCCCUUAAAUCCAAUUUUGUGAAAUAUGCGGCACCAUGGAGAUCGCCUAACAUGUCAUCAACCGUUGGAAUUGGAAAACGGUCUUUGAUGGUGACUUGAUUUAGAGCUCUGUAGUCGGUACAAAAGCGCCAACUGCGGUCCUUCUUUUUUACCAACAGCACCGGUGAGGAGAAAGGGCUGGUGCUUGGCCGGAUUAACCCCGAAGUGAGCAUCUCUUGUACUUGUUUUUCAAUUUCUGCUUUUUGGAAAUAAGCGUACCGGUACGGUUUUACGUUAAUUGCCUCGGUACCUUCCUUUAAUGGAAUUCGAUGAUCAAUGUCUCGUGGAGGAGGGAGCUGCGUGGGCUCACAAAACAAUGCCUCAUAAUUUGUCAACAGCUGCUGCAUAUCUGGUGGUAAUGUGCCCAGCGACUCUUCUAGUUUUAUUUGGAAACAAAUUGCAUAUACCUCAUGACCUUGUUUAAUUUCCUUCGUUACUUCUGUCACCGAUGCUGGCUGUACCAUUUGCGGAUUUAUCCCUUGUAGGCGUUGUUUCCGGUUUCCCCACUCAAACUCCAUAGUUAAUGUCUUCCAAUUACAUACGACUGAACCCAAUAGUUCGAGCCAUUGCACACCCAGUACCAUAUCUAAUCCUGAUAUCGGUAGAGAAUAAACCGUGAGUGAAAAAGAAAUAUCUUGAAUGAAAAGUUGUACCUGUUCAAACUUCCCUUGACAUGUCAAUCUUUCACCAUUGGCAACGCGUACUGUGAAAGUCUCCAUUGGUUUGACGGGUAAUUGGAGCAAAUUAGCAAGUUUAGUGCUAAUGAAAUUGUGGGUGGACCCACUGUCUAUUAAGACUAUUAUUUGGUACGGCCCAAUCCUUGCCAUGACUCGCAUUGUUUGAGGUGCAGUCCAUCCCGUUAAUGCAUAUAAAGAGAUUUUAGGUUUUUCCAUUUCUGCUGGUCCCGUUGUUGGAUCAUCUUCCGUGACCUCUUCAUAGAUGAAUUCUUCUGUUUGUGGUUCGCCUUCUAAAAUCAGUAAUUGUGCCUUGGUGCAUUUGUGGCCAACGGUAAACUUGUCAUUACAGUUGAAGCAUAACCCUUGUGUACGUCGACGUUGCAUCUCCUCCCAAGACAGUCGUUUGAAGGGUACUGUUGGUGAUGCUCGAUUGGGGACCGGCGGUGUUCGGCUGACAAUUGUUGGUCGGAAUAAUCUUCGUUGGCGUGUUAUCUGGUCGUCUUUCAUACGAGCAAGGCCAAUGGCUUCCUUUAACGUUCGUGGCCUGAACAUCCGUAUAUCCUCUGCAAUCUCCGUUUUCAACCCUCCCAUGAAAGUGCCUACCAACGCUUUCUGUGACCACCCAUGAACUCGGUUUCCCAACCUCUCAAAUUCCUUUUGGUAUUCUCGCAGAGAACCUGUUUGUUUGACCCGAGACAAUGCUUCAUCAAAGUCUUCACAACCAGUGGGUCCGAAGCGCGCCCACAACUCGUCAACAAAUAUUUCCCACGUAACCGGUCGACCUUCUUCUCGGUAAGCCUUGCACAUCCACUGCCACCAUUGAUUUGCUUCGCCCUCCAAGUGAUAUGCCGCUAAGACUACUUUCUGCUCAUCUGUGGUUUCUUGGUACUCAAAAUACUGCGUUACCCGAUUGAACCACUCCGUUGGGUCGUCGCCGGCAUAGCGGGGAAACUCCAACUUAGCAAGUCUUGUCGGCAUCGGUGGUCGACCUCUUUCACUUUCCUCGCGGAAUGAUCGUGAAGGUCCAAUGUUCUCGUUAGUGUCGUGUCGUGAAGAUCCAAUGUUCUCGUUAGUGCCGUGACUGGCAGUGCCUCUGGUUGCACUAAAAGAUUCAACCAAUUUGUUCAUGGUAUCCUCCAGACGUUGCAGCUUGUCAUUGAACCCAAUUUCCAUUUGUUCCAUCUUGUUCUGUAAGCUCCCGAUAUCAGUUUCAAUUCGUUCGAUGCGCUCCUUGUUGGUCCUCAUUGAUAGCUAGCUCUGAUACCAAUGUUAGGUCCCAGUCAGAGACAGCCAAUGAUCACGCGUAACACAAGUGAUAUUUUUCUGCUUAUGGCGAGAAAGGACCCAAUAAUUGUUGUUUAGAAUUCUCAAUGCCUUUAUUCAUAUUCUGGAGCUUAUUUAUAAUCACAAGACCUUGAUUUUCAAUCUACAAUCACGGCUGAAAUCAAUAAAACAAAUAUUAAAAUAACGACCUAGCUAAUAUUUCGUAAAGAUAAUCAAAAGCAACUUGAUAAGGUUAUCCCAAAAGCAACUUGAUAAGGUCAUCCCAAAAUCAUGGCUCCAGUACUCAUCUUUACAAUUUCCACACGUGAAACUGCACAUGCAUGUGUCAUGCAUGGCUUGCAUGGGAAUCAACUUAUGCUCUCACGUAAUAUACUUAUGGUUUGGCUUUGGCAUUCUUCCAGAUCUUCGUGGCUCAUGCACUUGCUUUCUAUCAUUAUAUUAUAUGAUUAUUGUACUAUUUACGGAUUGCUUUCAUUAUGUCAUAUUAGGUAAGGAGAUUCCCUUUAAAAAAAAAAGAAAAAAGAAAAGAGAUAGAGACUCCCUCUUCGGCGAAUGAAAAUAAAAGAAAUCAAAAAUAAAAUAAGACUUAGUAAAUUUAGCCCUUUUUUCUAUUUUUGCUGCUGGCAUUUUAUUCAUAAAAGAAAUGAUCACAAGUCAUUUAAUAAAUAUUAAGGGCUGCAUUAUUAAGUCUUCUUCUUUUGCAAAUCAUUACUUUCAUAAGCUCUCUAUAAUCACAUUCCUUUGCAGUUAACAGAAAUUUUUUUGCUCAUUGAAAUUGUUCUUAAAUAUUCAAGGCGAUUACAUUAGCUCAUCAACUUUCUGAUGCCAUAUAAUUAAACAUGUGCACUUGUACUAAAACCUUCAAUUAAUUUCUUUUAAUAGCAUAAUCUCUGAUGCUUGAUCUUUAUAGCAUUUCUUUCUCAAUUUCCAUCCACUUUCCAUGAUAAAACUUUUACGGCUUGUUUUGCUUGAGUUUUGUAGUUAUUGUUCAUUUAUAGUUGUUUUUUUAGACACUUGAAGUACGUUUCUGUUAAUAGCAAAAACUCUGAUCCUUAAUAAAGAAGAAAAAAUGCUCUGUUCAUGUUUCAGUUGAUUCAAGAUCAAUGUUGCGAUACUGUUUGCUGUCUUUUCCUUUCUUGUCUUUCCUUCUAGUUCAUUUUAGUUUAUUUGACAUAUUAUUAGAUUUGUUAAGCAGCAGGCAAUGGCAGAGGUGGGUCUGGCUGCUUUUUCCAGCAUCGUAUCAGAAGGUGCAAAGUCACUGUUCAAACCAAUUAUACGGGAGAUAUCUUAUGUGUUCAAGUACUAGAGCUACAUAGAUGAGCUAAAAGAUCAAGUAAAGCAGCUGGGAUAUAAAAGAGAAAUGGUGCAGCAACCAGUUAAUCAUGCUAGGCUACAAGGGGAUGAGCUUUAUGAGGGUGUCACAGACUGGCUACAUAGCGUUGACGAAUUCAUCAGUGAAGGGGUUGCAAAAUCCAUCAUUGAUGUUGAAGAUAGAGCUAAGAAGUCCUGCUUCAAAGGAUUGUGCCCAAACUUGAUUUCUCGUUACAAGCUUAGUAAACAAGCAGCAAAGGCCGCAGAAGCUGCCGCUAGUCUCGUGGGAAAAGGCAACUUCUCUAAUGUUUCCUACCGUCCUGCUCCAAAGCGGGCAGAACAUAUGCAAGCGAAAGAUUUCGAGGCCUUUGAUUCAAGAAUGAAAGUACUUCAAGAUGUUGUGGAGGCGUUGAAGGACGAUAAGCUCAAGAUAAUUGGGGUCUACGGGAUGGGCGGCGUGGGGAAAACCACGCUCGUCAAGCAAGUUGCAAAGCAAGUGAUGGAAGAUAACUUGUACGAUAAGGUCGCUAUGGCUGAGGUAACAGAGAACCCAGAUCAUCAGAAAAUUCAAGACAAACUUGCCUUUGAUUUAGGCAUGGAAUUUGGCUUGAAUGAGAGCAUAUUCCAAAGAGCUUCUCGACUGUGUGAAAGGUUGAAGAAAGAGAAGCGGGUCCUCAUUAUAUUGGAUAAUAUUUGGACAAAACUUGAGUUGGAUGCGGUUGGAAUUCCUUCUGGAGAUGUUGAUGAGAAAGAUAGAGAGGAUGAUCAGAGAAGAUGGACAAUAAUAUUGACGUCUAGAAGUCGUGAUUUAUUGCAUGAUGAUAUGAAAUCUCAGAAAAAUUUCUCAAUUGAAAUCUUAGCAGACAAAGAAGCAUUGCAGUUGUUUGAGAAGAUAGUGGGCGAUUCAACAAAAACAUCUGCUUUUCAACCUAUAACAAAUGAGAUUGUUAAAAGAUGUGGAGCUUUGCCAGUCGCAGUGAGUACAGUUGCAAAUGCUCUGAAAAAUAAGAGGCUUGCCAUUUGAAAGGAUGCGUUGAAUCAGCUGCGAAAUUCUAAUUCAAGAGAAAUUCAUGGAAUGGAUGCAAAUGUCUACACUUCCAUAGAAUUGAGUUACAAAUUUUUGGAAAGUGAUGAAGCAAAGUCUUUGUUCCUUCUUUGUGGUCUAUACGGUCAAGGUCAUUCUCUAGAAGUUCCUUCCUUAUUGAGAAAUGGUAUGGGUUUGGGUUUGUUUAAAAAUGUUUACACAUUGGAAGCAGCAAGGAAUAGAGUGGAUACAUUGAUCGACAUUCUCAAAUCGUCAUGCUUAUUGUUGGAUGGUGAUGCUGAAGAUGAAGCUAAAAUGCACGACAUUAUUCAUGCUAUUGCUGUAUCAAUUGCCUCAGAAAAGCUUAUGUUUAAUACCCCAAAUGUUGCUGACUUGAAGGAAGAGAUAGAAAGGACAAUAGAGAAGGAACCAACCGCUAUUUCUCUACCUUUAAACAAAAGAAAGGCUUCUGAGCUUCCAGAACGGCUGGAAUGUCCAAAACUCAAGUUACUUUUGUUGUUUACAAAGUUUCGUAGCUCUUUAAUAAUCCCAGACCUCUUUUUUGAAGGCAUGAAACAACUCAAAGUAUUACAUUUUACUAAUGCUCGAAUCCCUUCAUUACCUUCAUCACUUGGUUGCCUCUUCAAUGUUCAAACAUUAUGUUUAGAUGGUUGUGUACUGAAUGAAAUAGCCAUAAUUGGACAGCUAAAGAAGUUAGAUAUUCUCAGCUUUCGAGAUUCUAAUAUUGAGCAGCUGCCACUUGAAAUUGGACAAUUGACACGGUUAAGGUUGUUAGAUUUGAGCAAUUGUUGGAACCUUGAGGUGAUAGCACCGAAUGUCAUUUCAAAAUUAUCUCGAUUAGAAGAACUGUAUAUGGAUAACAGCUUUUCACAGUGGGAUAAGGUUGAAGGAGGAAGCAAUGCCAGUCUUACCGAGUUGAAGGGGUUGUCAAAGCUAACUACUUUGGAGAUAGAUGUUCCAGAUGCCGAAAUUCUGCCGCAGGAUUUGGUCUUUGUGGAAUUGCAAAGAUAUAGGAUAUGUAUCGGAGAUAAGUUGGGCCAACGGCACGUCAAAUCUGAAACAUCAAGAUUGAUGAUACUCAAGAGGCUAGGAAAAGUUAGCAUUCUUUUGGAGAAUUAUGGGACGAAAAUGUUAAUGAAGAGAACCGAAGAUCUCUGUCUACGGGAACUGAAGGGUGUUCAGAAUGUUGUUCAUGAAUUAGACGAUGGGGAAGGUUUUCCACAGUUGAAGCAUCUUAAUGUAACAUAUUGCUCUUGUUGGGAAAAAUCAGGUUUUUAAAUUUUUAUAAAACCUUUUGAAGAUCGCUCUCAUAUAAUAUAUAAGAAUUUGUAUUCUAGAAAUCGUACCUUGAAAAUCCGAUUUGGCUUUUUCCGUUGAAGUGAUUUAGGCUCCUAGAUCACGAUCCGCCACCACCACUCCUGUUAGAUCACGAUCCUGCACCACCACGCUUGUUAGAUCAUGAACUGUCACCAAUGAUCUUCCAGCUUAUGACUCAGGUUCGAUCUGCACUUGACGUGUGGGCGCCUUUAUCACUACCAAAGCAACUAGCACGAGAAAAUUUUUCUCUCAACAAUAGAGAGAAAAAUCUUUUUCUCUGAUCUGUAUAAAGUGGCUCCACCUUUUUCUUUUAAGAAAAUAAGCCUUAUAUAUCUCCCUUUAGUGAAAACCCUAGGCUCCAAAUAAUCCCUAAAUAAAACUCACGGUACUUUUCAUUUAAUAGGGGACCCACCAUGUAAAAUAACAUAAGGCCACUUACAUAAGCUAAUUAAAUGGAGCCUCCCACUAAAUGAUAUAUUUAGGCUUUUGACCCAAAUAGCUAGUUAUCUUGCUUAUUAGUCCAGUAGUGGUGCAGUCAAUUAAAUGAGCUAACCCGGGGAUCAUUUGGGAACAUACAAUAGUGGCUAUAACAAUUAGGCCUGUAAUUAAACUAGCCUAAUUAUUUAAUUCCAAAUCUACUCCACUAAAAGAUUAGAACUGACUUCCAUAAUUGUAUGCUCGAAUAAUAAUUCGUCCCAAGCCACAUUGAUUUCUUUACUGCACAAUCCUUUGUACCACAUCGUUAAUUAAAUUGAUAUCUCAACUGUCCAAUCAAUUUAAUAACAUCUUUUUCCUUGAUCCUUACUGGUUUUCUCUAAUGAUCAUUUUCAACAUACUAAAUAUGUUGACGCACUUUGGCCAGAGAAUUCAAUGAUCAAGUGCCGAAAACCCAUCAAGAGAUGUGUUGUACAAAUUCUAUAUUGUUAAUCCAUAACUCCAAUACUCAUAAUUGCUCCCACCAAGAUACCGGGUAAUCUUGACCACAAGUAUGUGUCGUGCCCAUUGGUAACUCAAAUGGAAUAACAAUUACAAUCAUGAAAUCAUAAUUAACUCAAGAUUAAGAUUACAGUAAAAUCAAUGCCUAUGAGAUUUAAUAAGUCUGACAGUUAUUACAAAGUUAAUUAAAUCUCAUAUGUGAUCCUGUUCAAUGUAGUCGUACUACAUCAAUAAAUUCAUACAUGAUUAAGACAAAUCAUUCAAUGAAUUUAUUACAGUUUAUACCUAAAUAAAGUGCCCAACUUUAUUUAUCAACUGCGAACUAAAUUUAUUUAAUCAUAAGAUAACUUGUAUUUAUGUUUUCUGUGAAUCCACAUGGUGAUCACAUAAAUACAUAUAAUAUGAUUAAAUGGACUUUAAUACAAAUAUUAAUGUAAUUAAGAUAUUUGAAUAAAAUACCUCAUUUAUUUUAUUAAUCAGAAAAAUUGUUUAUUACAAUUAAAGAAACACAUAUGCUUUUAAAGAGCAUAUUUUCCCAACAACUCUAAGAUUUUACAUAUUGUCGGUUCAGUUGGACGGGUUCGUUGCGAAGUCUUUCCCUGGCUGGAGUCAUUGUCUCUUAUGUUUUUAACUAAUUUGGAGACGAUAUGCUACAGCCAACUCAGAGAAGAUCAAUCCUUCAGCAACUUAAGGAUUAUAAAAGUAGCUUUUUGUGGCAAAUUGAAGCAUCUCUUCUCAUUCUCUGUGGCUAAAAACCUAUUGCGGCUUCAUAAAGUAGAAGUGGAAGAUUGCCGUGAAAUGAAAAUGAUUAUUGGUAAGUGUUGAAAUUAAUUAUUGGUAGGAUUAUUGACAUUGGCUCAUUCUUCUUUUUUUUUUUUGGUGAAAAAAACAAUAGAGGUUAAUUAUAUAUUGUUUUUGUUCAUUUAUAGGGCCCGACAAGGAGAAACCAACAACUACUCAGGGAUUCAAAGAAAUCAUUGCAGAGGAUGAUCAUGUUCACAAGGUGAAAAUUUUUUGUUUAAUAAUUAAUUAAUUGAUUGAUUAAUUAUUUAAUUAAUAUUAUCACGAUUGAUCUUCAGUCAUCAAAAGAAUAUUAUAUUAGAUAGUUGUAGUUGAAGGAACAAAAAUGUGUUAAGAAUAACAUAUGAUGAGUCAGCUGCUGAGUCAUCAAGCCACGCUGGAAGUCAGUUUUGCAGUUAGUUAUAGAGCUUAUCAGCUUCCCUCCAAAAGUUUGUUAUGUGUAUUAGAAUCUGUGCUCACGAGUUUUGUGAGAUUGUAACCUUGAAAAGAUUCUCACACUACUGUAAAUUUUAUUGUGACUAAAUUAUAAAAGUGUUGUUGAAGCUUUGAGUUCUUCUGAGCAAUAUUUGCUGUCAUGUUAUGCAUCACAUCACCAGCAAUUUUUCCUUUCUUUUGCUCAACUCUAUUUUCAUGAUUCAACAACAAAGAAUAUAGUUCAUCUAAUGUGAUCUUUUCACCUCGAGCUAACACAGCUGUGGCUAAAGACUCAUAGUCUGAUGAAUCAAGACCAGUUAAUAUAUGCAUCAGAAGAUCAUUUAACUCAAUAGGUUUUCCAGCUAGAGCUAAAGUAUCAGCUAUGCGUUUUACUUUUACAAAAUAAUCAGACAUAUGCAUUGCACCUUUCUUAAUAGUUUGAAUUUGCAUUCUAAGUGUUUGAAUUCUAGCUUGUGAUUGAGAGAUAAACAUACUAGCAAGAGUCUCCCAAAGCUGUUUUGAAGUUGUAGAAUCAAUCACAGUAGCAAGCAGAUUUUGCUGUAUCGAUGACAUCAUCCAACUCAGUAAGAGUUGGUCAGUCUUCAUCCAAGCUACGAAUUCUGGAUUAAUAGAUCUGGAUCCAGAUUCAGUUAAAACUUCAGCUCCAUUGUUGUUUCCAGAAGAAAGGAACUGCUCAGGACAUUCUCGAUCGCCAUUGAUAAACCCUUCCAAACCGUUUCCUUUGAUUGAAGUUAAAAUUUGUGUGCGCCACCGAAUGAAGUUGUUUUGAUCUAGCUUUACUGGCGUAACAUGGCGUAACAAAACUGAAAGAGUUGUUGUUUUGAACUAUAUUUGCCAUUUAUGGCUCUGAUACCAUGAAAGAAACUUAGUUCUAUAUUGUUUGGUAGGCUAGAAAAUGAAAGAAAAAAAAAAAAAAGCUUUGCAAAGAAAUCUGUUGGAUCUUUUAUUAUUCCAAGCUUACAGUUUAAUGACUACUGAUUAAUAUUUAUAUUGAGCUACAAUCUCUUUACACACACACGAGAUUGUUGCAACACAUAACCAUUUGCUGUAUAACUAACUUGACACAUAAGCUCAACCAGCUAACUAACUUUGACAGGUUAGCUUAAUGAUUUGAUCUGCUACAACCAGCUACAUAGCAACAUCAUGCUCUGCUCCAGCUUCAUCUAAUUCACUAACAAAGAACAUUUUGGUCUACUAUUUCCUUUACUACGGGAACUAAAAAUCAUGGAUCUUCCAAAACUCAAAAGAUUUUGCAACUCCAACGAGAGUAUAAUUGAACUACCUAAGUUGUGGCAUCUGACCAUUGAGAAUUGCCCUAAUAUGAAAACAUUCAUCUCCAAUUCUAUGUCUGCGCAGCACAUGACAGCGGAUAAUAAGGAACCUCAAGAAAUAAAAUCAGAGAACUUCCAGCUAGCUGAUCAUAUAGAACCACCCUUCGAUGAAAAGGUGGUUAUUAUUAUUAUUAUUAUUAUUAUUAUUAUUAUUUCUUCUUCACUUUCAUUCGCAUAGGUGUAAUUUCAUUAGACUCAAAAUCAAAUUUAAUGACUCAUCUUCCUAGAAGUUGUCUUAAUUUAUAUAUGAUUUAACAGUAUUAUUGUUAUUAUUAACUAACUUUACAAUAAGAAUUAUAAAAAUGUCUCAAAUUAAUUAGAUGAUCGGUAACAUGGUGUGAAUUAUAUCCAUUUUACGCCUUACAUCUCUGUUUUCCUAGCUAAUUCAUAUUGGAUUUAGCAUUAGAUUUGAUUUAUGUGUUUCAAGGGUAAUUAAUUUGUUUGUUUUUUUUUGGUUCCUUCCAAAAAUGAAACCAAUUUGAAUAUAAAAUGUUGGGAGGACUGCAGAGAUUAGUUAUGUAUUUUCUUUACAACUUAAGUUUGUUGAUUUUCAGGUUGCAUUCCCCAAAUUGAGACGGUUAAAGCUGUCUAGAUUACCCAAUGUGUUGCAUCUCUGGAAGGAAAAUGCCGAAUCCAACAAAGUUUUUGCAAAUUUGCAAAGUCUAGACGUAUCGGAAUGUAGUAAGUUGCAAAAAUUAGUACCGCCUUCAUGGCAUUUGGAAAUUCUGGCGACUCUGGAAGUAUCAAAAUGUCACGGGUUGAUAAAUGUGUUGACGUUCUUAACAUCUAAAAGUCUAGUGAAUCUUAAAAAAAUGAAGAUAGUUGAUUGCAAAAUGAUAGAAGAAAUCAUACAAUCGCAAGUUGGAGAAGAAGCGAAAGAUUGCAUUGUUUUCAGGAAAUUGGAGUACUUGGGACUUGAUUGUUUGCCUUAACUAACAAGCAUUUGUUUGGGUAAUUAUACUCUUGAAUUCCCGUCCUUGGAACGAGUAGUUGUGAGACAGUGUCCAAAGAUGAAGAUUUUCUCUCAAGGAGUUGUAGACACACCAAAGCUAAACAAAGUGAAACUCACCGAAGGAGAAGAAGGAUGCUGGGAAGGCAAUCUCAAUGACACCAUACAAAAAUUGUUCAAUGAAAUGGUGAGUAUUAAUUAAUUAAAUAUUGGUGCUAGCUAGCAAAUUAUUUUAUAGAAACUAAUAUGGUAUAAUAUGAUUGGUUGACUGAAAUAUAUAAUAAUAAAAAAUAAAUCAUGAGGGUCAUUGGAUGUUUUAGUUUAACCAAUCGUAUUAUGUUACAUUAGUUUAUACAAUAUUAUUUGUACAAAAGAGUUUGUGGUCGCAUCAUUACUCUUGCUAUUUUUUUAAUUACUAUUAUUAUGAUGAUGAUGAUGGUGGUAUUGUAUGCUUGCUUACACAUUAAUAAUUACAAAAUGUGCAAAAUUCUGAAGAAAAGAUUGAGCCCACCCUUCAAGUACAAUAAAGAAGCUAUCUCGAACCAGGACAAUCUCUUAUCCAUGAUUCAACUUGCUCGUUUUUUUGUACUUGAAUAAUUUGGCCCCAAAUGUAUUUACAGCGUUUUGGUCAUGCUACAGACUUGCAAGACACUUUGGAUUUGUUAGAUGCAUUCUCUGUUUAAGGAAGGACUUGAAUUGAUGUUUCAUGUCUCAUGCGAUAUUCAAUUAGAUUCUGUUUCAACUUCUAUGUUAAGCAUUUGAUUUCUAACCUGUUUUGAUUGAAGAUCUUUAGUGAAGAAAACAGCACAAGACAAUGCUGAUUACAUUUGUAUGGCGUUAUCAUAUAUAAGUGUGUAAGAAUUUAUACCUAAAUGCAUGCCGUCUUUGUACAAGCUGAAGAGUACUAUGCAAUGAAGGAUUUGCCUGCACAGAAACGAGAAACAUAAAGAAGAGACACACGAAGCAUUUUACCGUUUUGAGAUCAUUGCAGCAUACAAAAAAUGUGAAUAACAACAAUGCAAUAUACGAUACGCACAUUAAAUUUAUGUACAAACAUAUAAAAUUAAGUGCUAAAUUUGAACUUUUAAAAUCAUUAGAUAAUUUGGAUAUAUCCAGAACUUUUAGCGUAUGUAAGAUUAAUUUUAAUGCAUGCAGCAUUUAGAAGGUACUAAGGUAGAAACAAAAAUUUGCGAUUGCAACAAGAAUUGAUCUUUGCAUUCCCCAGUUUAGUAAUAAAAAAAUCAAAACAGAGUAGAGACAGGGGAUCUCUUUCCUCAUUCCCCUGUUUAAUAACAGUAAAAACAAAACAGACGAGAAACGGAGGCCAUCUUUUCAUUCCCCUGUUUUUCUAUUCAUUUUAAAAAAAAAGUUAUUCAAAACUUUUUUUUAAUUCAAAACUAUUUUCUAUUUUCAUAUUGACUUUUAUUUAUUAAAAAAAAAGUAAUUAAGAAGUGUAAUUCUAAACUCAUCCUUGUGCUUUGAUGUUGGAGGGGUUUUUCCGUUUUUCUACAUUGGCCAUAUCAAUUAAUGAUGAAAGUUCUUAUCAUUAACUGCUUUCGAAAUGAGUAAGCACGCUAUGACCCGUAAGAGAAUUUAAUAAUUGGAUAAGUUAUAUAACAGCUUUGAUAUGGCUCCUAGACAUGUAUGCAAUUUGUGUCUUUUAGUUUGGCUUUGUAUUCUUUUUUAAUUAAAUGAGUCCGGAUUAGGUCAGCGGUAGAUAAACGAGUCGGUUUUUCCAUUACUAAGCUUUUCAUGGAUGAAAAUUUUUAUUUAUUUUUUUGUUUUAUAGAUUCUCCAUGAAUGCCAUUAGAAAUGAGAUUGAAUAAUUCAAACUUUCUUUUUCCCCUUAACAUCCAAACAUGUGAGGUGAGGGCUACUAAUAAGUCUUUUGUAAUGAGAACCUGUGUCUAAGCAAAAGCAGAGGUCAAUUGCCAAUACCAUACUUCUGCACCUUCGUCUAUCACUGUUAUUAGUUUCAGUGCUUAAAUUGCUCCAUAAGCUUGCACUUUGUCUUUGUCUUAAUUUCUGAGGCGUACUGCUAAUGAGACCCCCUGCCAAGUUCAAGCUUCUUGAUGUCUUGUGAUUCCCUUUUUUGUGGUGGUUACUUUGUCAUAGAACUGACUGUUAAAGGCCAUCAAUCAAUCCUGUUUUAUAACAUUUUUUUUUUUAACAUAAUGAUCAAACAAAUGUUAGCCCUCAGAUUGCAUGCAGCUAUUGACUUGCAUCCAAUUAUUGACUCUCUCAUAUUUUGAUAUAAACUAAAUUCAUAAGAGGAUACCUCUUCACCAUGGCAAAGCAAACUUACAGUUCAUGGAAGAACAUAAACAGCGGUGCCUCCAAGACUUUCUUCAACGGACGAAAUAAGGUUUAAGGAGUUUGUUCAAGUCAUAAAGAUCAAAGAAGCAGAAUUACUCGGUUCUUAUGCAGAAAAAAUCGAAUUAAGCUGUGUUGAUUAAAUUCGUUGAAAUGACUCUGCUGGAUGCUGCCUACACCAUUGAACUCUUAUUGAGGUAUUGUUUCUCUCAACUUGGGGAGCCAGUUUGGGAAGUCGCUCCAUUGCUACCCGAACAAUUUCACAAAUCAGCCGGUUCCAUGGUUCACGAUCGUGAGAUGAGAACCAACCGACGGAGUUCUAACAUGGCUGAAGAUGAGAUCGUUCAAUGUUGUAUUUGAAGCCACAUGGAUUUGUGUUGUACGUGUCAUUUGGUACUAAGGUUGGUCUAACCUUCUACCUUUGAUGAGUAUUCACAACUGGGCGAUGCUUUAGAAGUACCAAACCAGUCAUUUAUUUGGGUAAUUUAAAUUGGUGCGGGUAGAUUAAAUUACCUCAACCAACCAUGAAUUUAUCAAUUUCUGGUAGCUCACAGGCCACAGUGAAGCAUGACUGCAACCAGACAUACCAUAUUGAUACAGCAUUCCAGAGCAGGGGAAAAAAUUUGGAUAUGAAGUAAUGGAUACAAUUAAGAUUUUUUUCCCCUUCAUUUUUCAAUCACACUUACACAGCAUGAAUAUUUACUAAAGAAACUUGUGCCGAACGGUGUGAGUGCUGUUAGCUGUAAGGUACACUAUGUUCAAAGAUGGACACACUAACGUGUACGGGAAAUAGAAAUCUAUAAUGCAAGUUUUAUUAAGAAAGUAUUCGACAAUUAAGCUUUGACUGAAAACAAACUGGAAAUUUAUGAUCUAUCUCUACUUCGACUUGUCUUUCUCAAAAUUAAAUCUUCGCAAUCUUCAAAGUGAACAGAGCCUCCCACAUGCAUUUCUACGUUGAUUCUAGGAUAUCAAACGAGUAACCAUGAUUCACUGACAUACAGAGGUACCAACACAUACAAGUAUUGAGAAAUAUUUCCACUAAAUUCUUUUCAUGUGUACAACUCAACCAAUCAUGAACAAGAAAAAGAAUAAAAAAUUAAAAGUGUCUCUAAGAUUAAAUUGGAUUUAUCAUGUAAGACCCCAACCAAUCAAUAAAUUCAUAAUUCAGAUAAAAAAAUAAUGAUUAUAAUAAUAAUAAUAAUAAGACAAAAUCUUGAUAUGGGCAUGCUCUAAUUUUGCAUGCAUGAACACACAUCACAUUAAUCCAAACAAAUCACAUACCGUAAACACAAAACCAUCAAAAAAUUAAAUCCCAGAAAUAUUUUUUAUCAUACACAUUUACACUAAAUGCCCCAAAUGUAUUUACAGCGUUUUGCUUAUGCUACAGACUUGCAAGAUACUUUGGAUUUGUUUGAUGCAUUCUCUGUUUGAGGAAGGACUUGAAUUGAUGUUUCAUGUUUCAUGCAAUAUUCAAUUAGAUUUUGUUUCAACUUCUAUGUUAAGCAUUUGAUUUCUAACCUGUUUUGAUUGAAGAUCUUUAGUGAAGAAAACAGCACAAGACAAUGCUGAUUACAUUUGUAUGGCGUUAUCAUAUAUAAGUGUGUAAGAAUUUUUUACGAGAAGAUUAAAAUUAUCUUGACCAUUAUUAAAAGGAAUUAAUCUGUCAAGUUGGCCUUCUCAAACCAGCUGUUAAGGAAGCACAACAAGUUGCUGAGAAGGAUUACCAGCUGGCUUCAUAUGGUUACAAAGUCACACGUGCAUGAUUAGUUAGUAAGUUAGCUAAAAUAGUUUGUUGUAGAGUUAGUUGAAAUUAGCUUAAUUACAGUUCAGCAUUCUUGUAUAUAUAAAUAAACUUCAUUGUAUUAUGUUUUUAUGAACAAUAAAAUGAAUUAGAAAGAUCUGGAAUAUUUCCUCUCAAUUCUUCUUUCAAAACUUUCUCAGUAUCCAAACAUCAUUUUCUUGUUUUUCAACUUGGUAUCAGAGCCAGCUAUGGCCUCAGUAAAUCUUGCUUCAUCCUCUACACCAAUUCAGAAUACUAAUGUCAACUCAUCGACUGUAACCUUUACUUUUAAUACACCUGUUAAACUUGAUCAGUCAAACUAUCUGAUAUGGAGGUCACAAGUCUUAGCUUCAAUUUGAGGUAACAGACUUGAGAAGUUCAUUGAUGAAUCUAUCACUCCACUUGCUUCUCACAUUGCUCAGAGAGUUGGUGAUGAUCUCAGAUUUGUUGAAAAUCCAGACUUCAUAACAUGGCGCUCACAAGAUCAAGUGCUUCUCGGAUGGUUACUCUCCUCAAUGAGUGAAGGCAUCAUCAGUCUUGUAUUCAACCUGGAAACUUCUUUGGAGGUAUGGAAAGCUAUUGAAACUCAGUUUGGAUCACAAUCUAAAUCUAGACUUCUGCACUUAAGGUACAUGAUGAACUCCACUAGAAAAGAUUAUUUGAAGAUCACUGACUACUUUAUUAAGAUGAAAAAUAUUGUUGAUAAUAUGGCUGCAGCUGGAAGUACUUUGAGUGAUGAUGAUUUAAUUUUGCACAUACUCUCUGGCUUAGGUCCAUAUUAUAAUUCUGUUGCCACAUGUAUCACUAGACAAGUAGGUGUUGGGAAGAUGAAUAUUAAUGAAGCCUAUCUUAUGCUUUUAACUCAAGAGGCUAGGAUUGAGCAACAAAAUCAUAUGCUUGCUGGUAUAGAUGUAAAAUAAAACUUUGAGGCUAAUUUUUCUCAAAACAGAGGACCUAAGAGAGGAAAUAUGUCAGGAGGAAAAGGUUUUGAUAAUUUUGGAUACGGUUCUGGUUAUGGCUAUAAUGAAAAAUCUGGUAAUAAUGAUUAUAGAGGAGGAUAAGGAAACUCUAGUUAUUCUACUAAUGCUUUUGGUACUAAUGCACAGCACAGAGGCUAUCCGGGAGAUAAUCAAAGAGGUGGUGGGGGAAAUUGGAAUCAAGAUGCUGGACCUAGUGAUUUCAAUAACUCCAAAACUUUUGGAAACACUAAACCUAAUUGGAAUACUUCUAAACCAACCUGUCAGAUUUGCUUCAAAACUGGACAUACUACAAAUGUCUGCUGGAAACUUGCUGAAUUCAUGGCUUCUGGUGCUUAUAGACCACCACCAAAUAGAAAUCCAAGGUCAACAUAUCUAGCCAACAUGGAUGGACCAUCUGAUAGUAAUUGGUACCUGGACAGUGGUGCAACACACCAUCUUACAAAUGAUGUGAGUAAUAUGCAUAUCAGUGAAGCUUUCACAAGUACUUCUAAACUUUUUGUUGGAAAUGGAGCUAGUUUGUGCAUAACACAUGUUGGUCAUGUUGUGUUUAAGCUAAAGAACUUAAUUACCUCUCCCACAAUUAAACUAAAUAACAUACUUCUUGUACCACAAAUCACCAAAAAUCUGAUUAGCAUAUCACAGCUAACUAAAGAUAAUAAUGUUGUAGUUGAGUUCACUAAUAAAUUCUGUUUUGUGAAGGACAAAGUGAAGAACUUGAUCAUGCUACAAGGUAAGGCUGAAAAGGGAUUAUACAAAUUGCUAUUGGUUUCCUCUAAAACAAUAAUUCCUUCGACAACCUUUCAAAGUCAUGUUGCUGGUAUUGAGGCAGUAGCUAGUGAAACUCCUCUUUUAAUGUUCUCUGCUGUUGAGUCUGAUUUCAAAAAUAAAACUUCUUGUUUGCCUACUGCAACAGAUGAUUGUGUAAACUCCAAAUGUUUAUUGAGUACAUCUGUAUUACAUCAAAGAUUUGGUCAUCCAAAUUCUAGAAUUCUAACUCAUGUAAUUCAGUCUUGUCCAUCUUUCAAGUUUGUCAAUAAAAACAAAGUUAGUGAUUCCUGUGAUGCUUGUAAAGUUGGAAAAAUGCACAGAUUACAUUUUCCAGCAACAGAAACAAAAACCAAUCAUCUUCUUAAAGUCAUACAUAUUGAUCUUUGAGGACCUGCCCCUAUAAUUUCAAUUCAGGGGUAUAGAUACUAUGUAAGCUUUGUUGAUGAAUACACUAGAUUUACAUGGAUCUUUCCUCUAAAAACUAAGGAUGAGUAGGGAUGGCAACCGAACCCGGACUGAACCUGGAUAAUCCGAUCCGGGUUCAACCCGCACCGGAACAAAUUUAAUGCGAAAUCCGGAUCGGUUUUUUAGAACCCACAUACGUCCAGAUCCGGUUUCAAGUGAACCCGCAAAUCCAAAACCCGGAUCCGUAUAUUAUUUAUUUUAAUAUUAAUUUUUUAGAAAUUAAUAAAUAUAAAUAAAAAAACCUAGCUCUCUCAAAUCUCAAUUCGUUCCUCACUUCCUCUCGGUCUUGGCUCUCUGCCUCUCUCAAAUCUCAAUCUCUCUCACUCAUUGCUCUCUCGAUCUCUCACUCUCUUCAACUCUACUGUAAUUUCUCCUCUCAAUCUCUCAUCUGUUCGGUUCCUCUCUCAAUCUCUCUCAAGUCUCACCCGUUUCUCAAUUAAUCUCUCUCACUCUCUCACGGUGCGGCUGCGUUAAGCUACUGCUGUGAAUAUUUGUGAGUCUUGGCUUUUCUCUUUACAGUUUAUGCUCUAUUACUUUUUUAUUAUUCCCUCUUUGCAAUUUAAUUAUAUUGUCUUUACAAUUUACCUGCUGUUAUGCUCUGAUUAUACUCUUUUUGGAAUUUAAUUAUAUUGUCUUUGUAAUUUAUGUGUUGUUAUGCUAUGAUUAUACUGUCUUCACAAUUUAAUUAGAUUGUGUUUGCAAUUUAUGUGUUGUUUUGCUCUGUUUGUGACUUUGUGUCGUGUGAAGGAUGUUAGAGUGUAAUUUAUGCACUAGUUUUGUAUUGUUUACUUCCUUUAAUAUCGACGUUUUGCACUUAAUAAUAAUGAUUUACUUGUGUUUUAUUCUUGUAGGUGCAAUUCUAUUGAUUGAUGCUAAAAUUGAGCUACAAGAUGAUGCUUGAGGAUGAUUAUUUUCCUGGAAAAAUUAUGAGCUUUAGAAGAACAUUGUUGAUAAGGCAUGGGCACGUGCUGUCAACUAAGGACCUGCAGUUUUUAUUUUAACGUGUUUUGUCUUUUUAGUUAUUUUUGUAAUUUUGAAUUUAAUAUUUAGAUAAUAUUUUAGAUAUUAGUAUUUUAUUUUUGGAAGAACUCUAUAAGAGAGAAGAGACGUGAAAAACAAAGGGCGGGUAGAUUUUUGAAGGGGAUCAAAUAAAAAAAAACCCUGGAUCUAGAUUUUUCUCUUCUCUCUAUGAAGAAUUAAACCUAUUAUUCUGGUUGAAGAUUAAUAAAGCUUUGAUUCAACAUUACUGUGAGAUCUUUCUUAUGCUUUAAUUGUUUUAUUGCUUUUUGGGUAUUUGUUUAUUCUCUAUAUUAUUGUCAUGAUUAUGUUUGUUAAUUAGAUAAUUGGCCACUAUUUAAUUAUCAAUUUAAUCUAUUAUCAAUUAAAAGAUUUAUCAUAUGAAGAUUUUAAUGUUUGUGACAAAUAACAUAGCAGUGCGUUAUGUUAUGAGAAUAAACAAUCUAAUUUAAAUGAACCAUCGUAUGCGUUUGUUGAUUAGGAUUUUGGUCUCUCUGGUUUUUUAGGCUGUCAAUUGAUUAAAUCCUAUGAUCGUAUCUAGGGUUGUUGAUAACUCUAGGAAAUGAGAGUUAUUACAUCAAUUCUAGACUUGAAUCAAGGCCACUUAGAGAACAAAUAAGGUGUUUUUAUUACAUUUUGGGUACCUUUUGCAUAAACAUUCAUUUUAGUUGAGUUUUAAAAAGUUUUGAUUGAAUCAUAGUAAUUUGUGCUAAAAAUAGGUUUUAAAUUGUAGGUUUUAAAUUUGUGAGAGGAUGUUGAAGCAUUAGAAGAGCAAGAGGAGGAAGGAAGAUGACCACAAAAGAAGUAAAGCACAAUCGGGAAGAAAACAAUGUUGUAGCGGCUAUUAGAGCAACCAGUGCUGUAGCAAUUUGGGAGCAGUACGGGAGAAAAUUUAGGCGUGAGUCAGCCAUAAAGUCGCGAUCUGCAUGUUUCCUAAUUUAAACACAUGCACGCUCAUGGGCUUUGGUUUUAACCUAAUUCGCAAUAUAAAAAGGAGGUGUGCACCACAUAGAAGGGCGGCAAGGAAUUAUCAUUAGAGUAAUUAAAAGGAACGAAGGAGAAGAAUAUCAUAAUUGAAGAGUGUUGUUUCGGCAACAUUGGACAAUCGUGCAGAAUUACUUGACUUUGAUUUUCAUUAUGCUCAACUUAUAUUUAUUUUUUUCCUUUAAUUGAUUUGAUGUAUUCUGAGACCAAUAUAUUUAUGUUUACUUUUCUCAUCCAGAUUAUGAACUAAAUUUAUUUGUGGUUGAGCGACAAAUAAUCCAAUGGGGUCUUGACUGUUCUUUUAUGUUGUUAUGGUAAUGCUGUAGCAUUUUACUCUAGUAGUUUUUAUAAAUACAACUGUUAUUUCGGUUGACCACCCAUUUAAUAGUUUUAGUUAAGAUAGAGCAGCAAAAGGGCAUGUCUUAGCGGACGUUAUUAGAGUAUUACUUGUUCUUAAGUCGAGUUUCCUGGAUUAGGUUAUCUUGAAUCCCAUAAGGGCAAUACUUGAAGUUAAGAUUUGUGACACUCUAGACAUAGGUGUUCACCUUGUAGGGUAGAGAGAUUAAAGGUGAUAAUGCCAUACCAUAAAUAUAUGAGCAACUGGUCAUUGUUAGUAGAUUUAAAGGUAUGAGAUUUCCAACAUGGGAUAACUGCGGAUGCAAAUUUAUUCUACCCAUUGUUGCAGCACUUAUUGUAAUAACUGGUACUAAUUUGGUAAACAACAGUCAUCCCAUUAGGAGAGUUUGAUCAUUCAACUACUAUAUUCUCAAUUGAAUUUUAGACACAUUCAACUCAGUUUAUUUCAUUACAGUAUUGUUUUAUUUUCUUCUCUCACAACUAUUAGUUACAUAGAAUUAUUUGACAAUUGUUUGUUUCGGUCCUUAAUUAAUUUGCAUUAUUGUGAUUUGCUUUAGCAUUUUGAGUAACAUCAAUCCCUGUGGAGACGAUCUUGAAUACUCAUCACUUUAUUACUUGUUGUGUAUACUUGCACAUUGGCAUUGAUAAUAAUUGCUUAUAGAAAUUUACCAACAGUUGUCUAUUGAUUUAGGGAAAUAACCAAUGGUCGUACCUUGGUUAUCGACUAGUUAAGGAGAGAUUGGCUAUUAGAGGGUCUCAGUAGCUAUAACCAGUCAAUUCAUAAGUAGUAAUGAUUUAUAUUUGAAUCAAUGAUCAGUAGUCGAAUCAAGCUGAGUUAAUUCCUUCAACCAUAGCUUUUUCCCAAUUUGAAUUACAAUUUUAAUUUGCAUUCUUGUUAUUUUAAUUUGAUUUUUAUUAUUGUCAACAAUCCCCCAUUUUGCAUUUUACAUUUUAAAAGGAUUUAAAUAAUUACCAAUCUCUGUGGACACGACCCUGCUCAAUCACUAUACACCAUUUAUUUAGAGUAGGUAUUUAUUUUUGCUGGCUUCGACAACCAUCAAAGGAGGACUUCAUCUGGCUGCCACAACAUAACAGAGUAGCCGUAAAAAAUUAAAAUAGAAAUUAUAUGACACAUACAAUAAAAAAUUGAUUAUGACAUUACUUAGUAACUUUAAUAGCUAAACUCUGUGAUUUUUAAUAUCUAUACUUAGUUAUGCUUCAACUUUAUUAUUUAUAGUUUAUUUAUUUUUGAAUUAUUUUUUAUUGUUGUUGUUAAUAUAAUAGAAAUGGUAUCUCUAAAAUAUUUAUAGUUUUUACGAUUAAACAUAGCAUAUAAAUUAGAAGAAGUUUCUGGAAUUAAUUAUGUCUUGACAUAAUUUUUGUAGAGCGAAAAAUUGAUAUGGAAAAUGAACAAAGAAUUGACUUGGAUGCCUCCAAAAAAAGUGAUGAAAGUGUUUGUGUGAGAGUUAUGACAAAAUCAGAAAAUAAUAAUGAUACAACUGUUGAAUUAGAACCAAAUUCAACAGUAGCAGUUCAGGGGGGUAGUCGUGGCCGUGGCCGUAGGGAUAAUACUAAUCCUGUUACUUCACAAAAACGAGGUGGUAGUGGUAGAGUAGUCUCUGAUGCUUGGAAUCAUUUCAAAAAAGUUAAGUUGGGUGAGGAAGUUCAGGCGAUUUGCAAUUAUUGUGGGUUAGUUAUGCAAGGACAUUAUUCGGGGGGUACUAAUCACUUAAUAAACCAUGCUAAACGUUGUCCUAGAAGGUCAUUCAAGAAUGUACAGCAAAUGCACUUAUCUUUUUCUUCUAAAGUUGGUGGAACCACUUCACUUAGUAAUUGUAGUUCUGAAUCAAAAUGGGAUAUGGCUACAAUAAAGCUUUUUGUGGCUACAAUGAUUGUACUACAUGAGCUCCCCUUGGCAUUGGUUGAGUACGUUGGGUUUUAUGACUUGUUGAAGCUACUCCAACCUUCUAUUGAGACUAUUAGUAGAAACACCUUCAAAGCUGAAAUUUUGAAGCUUUAUGAUGUUGAAAAGAAGAAGACAAUAGGUAUUUUGGAAACUUGUGAGAGUCGAAUCGCAAUUACUAUAGAUAUGUGGACUGCUAGUAACAAAAAAAAAAGGAUACAUGGUUAUUACGGCACAUUACAUUGAGAGCUCAUGGGUGUUGCGAAGUCGUAUUAUGAGGUAAUAUUCUUAAAACUUAUUUUUUUUUGUUUAAGCAUAAAUUAGUGUCCUGUCUAAUAUUUUAAUUAUUUUUUUCACAUUGUUAGGUUUAUAUAUGUGCCAGCUCCACAUAGUGCUGAGGUAAUGUGUAAUGAGUUAUAUGGUUGUUUGAUAGAUUGGAAUAUAGAUAGAAAGUUGUCCACUGUAACUGUUGAUAAUUGUGCUGCAAAUGAUUCUAUGAUUGCCUUGUUGUUGGGGAAAUUUUCUGCUAGUUCAAUGAUUAUGGGUGGCAAAUUCUUUCAUAUGCGUUGUUGUGCUCAUAUAUUGAACUUAAUAGUUAGAGAUGGUUUGUCUGUGAUACAAAAUAGAGUUGAGAAAAUUAGAGAUAGUGUUCAUUAUUGGACAGCAACACCAGCUAGAGUUGAAAAUUUUAAGAAUGUAAAAAAACAAUUAGAUAUUAAGGAAACCAAAAACUUGGUACUUGAUUAUAAAACUAGAUGGAACUCCACUUACUUGAUGUUUAGUAUUGCAUUAUUGUAUAAAGAUGUAUUUGAUCAUUUAAAGGAACGUGAGAGAAAUUAUACAUCUUUACCUAGUGAGUCAGAGUGGAAUUUUUCAAAGCUUAUGUGUGAGUAUCUAUAAAGCUUUUAUAAGUUGAUAGAACUUUUUUCCGGGGACAUGAUAUCCGACAUCUAAUUUAUUUUUUGCCAAGAUUUGUGAAAUUAGAUUGUCAAUGAAUGCAUGGUUGCAAUCACCAAUUGAGGGGAUAAAAAAUAUGGCCACUAGGAUGAUUACGAAGUAUGAAAAGUAUUGGGAUGUUAUUCAUGGAGUUCUUGCAGUGGGGACUAUGUUAGAUCCUAGCCGUAAAAUGUUACUGAUUAACUUUUUAUUUCCUAAAAUAUAUGGGGAAAAAGAUGAAUCCGAAAUUAAAAGAGUGCAUAAGUUAUUUGUUGAUUUAGUGCAUGAGUAUGAAGUAAAGCAUCUAUCAAAUUCAAGUGGGGGGUUAAUGGUGCCAAUUCUCAAGCUGCUUCAGGAGGGGAUUCUAUUAUGUUGGACUUAGAUUUGGAUGAAAUGGCUGAUGAGUGGGCAUUAUUUAGAAAUGAAAACACACAGAAUACUCAUUCCAAAUCAGAAUUAGAGCUUUAUCUUGAGGAGAGUACUUUGCCUUUAACUAGUCAAUUUGACAUUUUGUCAUGGUGGAAGAAUAAUCAAGGCAAAUAUUCUAUACUUGCAAAGACCACAAGGGACAUUUUGGCCAUUCCUAUAUCAACAGUUGCUUCGGAGUCCGCUUUUAGCACUGAAGGUAGACAUUUGAGCCCUCAUCGCAGUAUACUUCACACAUCCAUAAUGGAGGCAUUGGUGUGUACUCAAAAUUGGUUUUGGCUUGAACAAAACCUAAAAGGUAUGCAAAUUUUAUUUAUUAGAAUCAAAUUAUUUGUUGUAUUGUUCUGAUUAUUAAUUUAUCACUAAUUGGUUGUCUUGUUCAUUGUGUUUAUGAUUUACAUAUUUUUUGUAGAUGGAAUUCCAGAGGAAGCAAUACUUUCUGCUGAGCAUUUGAUUGAUGAAAGUUGGAUGAGUGAACAAUAGUCAAAUGAAGUGGAUGAUUGAGAGUUUAGUCUUUAGCACUAGUGGUUUGAAAUUUGAACUUUAAAUUGUAGAAUUAUGUUAUGGAUUUGUAUUUGUGGAUGUUUAUUACUUUAAAAUUUUGAAUUUUAAAUUCUAUGUUGUGUUGUAUUUGUUUUAGAACCUGGAUAAGUUAUAUGUUUUUUAUUUGAAAUUUUGUUGAGCUAAACUAAAGCAAUUUGUAUUCUGGAAGCAAUUUGGUUCUGGUUGCUAAACUAAAGUAAUCUGGAUUCUGGAAGCAAUUUGGUUCUGGUUUGAGUAAUUGUGUUCUUUUUUUUUUCCUUUUCCAUCAACUUAAGUUAAGUAAAGCAAUCUGGGUUCAAAACCCGAAAUCCGGAAACUCAGAUUUUUUCGGGUUGACCCUGGACCGGACCCGGAUGGAAAAAAAUCGAGUUCAAUGUGGGUCUGAUAAUAAGAAUUUAGUGUCCGGGUUCGGAUCUGGAACAGCCAAACCCGGACCCAGACUCAAAAAUUGCCAUCCCUAAGGAUGAGACACUAUUUGUUUUCAAAAUCUUCAAAACACAAGUAGAAAAGCAACUUGAAAGAUCAAUCAAAUCCCUUCAAUCUGAUUGGGGUAGGAAAUUCAAACCAUUUGUUGAUUUUAUUCACAAAGAAGGAAUUCAAUUUAGACACUCUUGCCCAUAUACUCACUACCAAAAUGGCCUGGUAGAAAGGGAACACAGACAUAUUACUAAAUUGGGGUUAACCUUACUUGCACAAGCUACUCUACCUAUUAAGUUUUGGUGGGAUUCCUUCCAUAGUGCAGCUUACAUCAUAAACAGACUACCCACUCCUACAUUAUCCAUGCAAUCACCCUAUGAGUGUAUGUUUCAUCACAAACCAGAUUACAAGUUUAUGAGAACUUUUGGUUGUUCUUGCUUUCCUUUUCUUAGAGAAUACAAUAAACAAAAGUUCUAUUUUCACACUUCUAAAUGCAUAUUUCUGGGCUACAGUCCUAUACACAAGGGGUAUAAAUGCUUGCAUUCCUCAGGCAAAAUCUACAUAGCUAGUCAUGUUCUAUUUAAUGAAACGUUUUUUUCCCUAUUCAACUGAUGCUAUUGCUUCUUCUUUAAAGCCCAAUCCCUCUGAUUUUAAAUAUAAUCUCCUUCAGUCUUACACCAUAUUUGUUUCCAAUAGCAAUUUGAAUAAUCUUGAAGCUGAUGCUGCAGUACAUGGUUCAUUCUCUCCUAUACCCUCAUCAACUUAUUCACACAACACAUCACUUGUACCUUCAUCAUCUGAUUUACAAACACAAUCUAUAUCACAGAACUCUCAUUCAUCUCACUAAACAAUUAUACCAUCCACCUUACAGAACUUACAAACCUCAUCAAAUACAUUUCCAUCCCAAACUAUUCCAUAUUCUACAUCUCAAAAAUCCAAACCAAUAAUUCCUACUCACAGCAUGAUCACUAGAGCAAAGGCUGGUGUUUUUAAGCCCAAAGCUUUCUUAUCAGCUCAUAACAAUCUAGAACCCUCAACUACUAAAGAAGCAUUAUCUGAUCCUAAAUGGAAGAAGGCAAUGCAAGCUGAAUACAAUGCUCUCAUUAAAAAUAAUACUUGGAAACUUGUGCCCAUGUCCUCAUAGCUUAAGCUGGUCGGCUGUAAAUGGGUGUUUAGAACCAAGUAUAAUACAGAUGGCUCAAUUUCUAAAUACAAAGCACGGUUGAUUACAAAAGGGUUCCAUCAAACAGCUGGUAUUGAUUACUCAGAAACUUUCAGCCCAGUAGUGAAAUCUUCAACAGUGAGAGUUGUUCUGAGUAUAGUUGUCAUGCAAGGAUGGAAAGUGAGGCAAAUUGAUGUGAAUAAUGCCUUCCUCAAUGGUGACCUUAUUGAAGAUGUAUAUAUGAUUCAGCCUGAGGGGUUUUCAUUAAAAGAAGGUUAUGUUUGCAAACUUAACAAAGGUCUUUAUGGAUUGAAGCAAGCUCUAAGAGCUUGGUAUGAAAAACUCAAGAGCUGUCUUGUUAGGUGGGGAUUUAACAAUUCUAGAGCUGAUACUUCUCUAUUUAUAAAAUCAAAAAGGAAACUCGUCUCUUAGCCCUCUUCUACCUCUCCGGUGACUGAGCAAUUUCUCUCCAUCGACGUAAAAGCUACCUUCCUUGUCUCUAUUCGGCUGGGCCACAACUACAUGUAUUAUUUCUAUUUCUUCGGUUUUGGAUAGUUGUAGAAAAUUUCUUUUCUCUUUAUUUUGCUUGGGUAGUGUUUAGUGAUAUUGCUCUGGUCAUAGUUUAGGAAAUGUCAAAAGGCAAAGAAAAGGUAAUUGAGAUUGAUGACGACGAGUUAGACUUCUUGCCUAGUCUACUCGCCGAUUCUGCCUUUGACCCUGGGAUUCCCUUAGAACCGAUUAGAUCUAGUAUUGGGACAAGUGCUAGGAGGAUGUCUCCCCAAAUAACCUCUUCAACUAGCAAUAGCGGCGGCGAGGGAUCUUCUAGUUCGGAAGAUACCCUGCGUGAGGACCCAUGAGAAGAUUCUGGUGAAAUGUCCUCACUAGGAACAUCGCGACAAGAUAGGAAGAACAAAGUAGGAGGUAAGGCUUUAUCGGAGCAUUACGCUAUUGACUUCAUCACGUGCACGACCUCAUUGACCUCCGGACUAGGUAUGACAUUCCUGAUGAUAUACCCCUUAGGAUCCCAGGAAAAAAUGAUACUCCCAGUCGGCUUCCCAGGGGAUACGUUACUCUUUUUCUAGAGAGUUUUAAGUUAGGGAUGAGGUGCCCCCUACAACCCUAUUUUGCCCGAAUGCUUAGUGGGUUAAACUUAGCUUCUAGUCAACUUAACCCCAACGGGUGGAGGGUACUUUCUGGUCUGUUCAUAUUGUGGGACAGAUGCUGCCAGAGUGAGCCCACCAUUGAUAAGGUAAAGCACCUGUACCAGCUAAAGAGCAACCCCAAAGACACCGGCUGGUAUUACUUCAUGUCGAGUACCAAGACCAGGAAACCCAUAACUAGUCUUCCAACGGGUGGUGGUGGGAAUUGGAAGAAAAAGUUCUUUUUUACUGGGGGUCCCUAGGGUCAAGUUGCACAGAUUGACAAGAAGAACUAUCGCGUCCCCUCCAAUUUCGUGGUCCUAGGUUGUCUGCUCGCUUUAGAUGUCUUGUAUCCCUAGUUGUUCUCAUUUUUUAUUUGUCUCUAACCCAAUUUUUGUUCGAACUACAGGUUCUUGGGGUGUCCACUACAAGCUUAAACCUAAACCGCUCAAGCGGGUCGAGAUUGUGUUAGCCAAUUCCUGCUCAGGCCGAGAGUUGCUAUCUACUUACAACUUCUUCAAAUCUCGCCUGGUGCACACUGAUCUUAAGAUGGAGGAUGCUGUGAUUGGGGCUUUGAAUCAGAAACGUCAUCGACCUCAUGCUGCUAAGCGAGACCAGGAUAAGGAUGCUCCCUCUGCGAAACGGGUGAACAUCACGGAGCAGGUCCCCCCCUUGAGGACUCUACCACCUCUUCCUACUAAAGCCAGCGAAAGUAAUGGAACAACCACUGAUCCCACUUCCCCUCCUCCACCAGCAGAGUCGAACCCUCGCUUGCCCGACAAUUGAGCAGAGCAUCUGGUCCCCUAUAUCAGUAAGUUUUCUAGGCUCGCCAGUAAAAAGGACUUGGAAGACUUUGACGGCAGCACUCUGAGUGAGCUGGUGGGGGCUAUGCAGUUUAGUGCUUUUCAUCUCGGCUGCAUGGCCACUUACUAUAAGGCGAAGGUCGGCUGCUAUGAUCGAAAGAUGAGAGAAGACGUUCAAUCGGCUAAAAACAAAGCUCAUGUUGCCGAGAAGAAAGCCAGAGAUCUCAACCUUGAGAAUCUGAAGUUGAUAGAGCGAGAGUCUCUCGCACAGGCAAAGGGAAUCACUCUUAAGGAGGAGCUGACUAAGGUCAAGGAGGACCUGCAGAGACAAAAGGCUACUUACGAGGCUCAGCUCGAAUCUCUCAAAGAUUCCUACCAGGUUCAGGUUGAAAACCUAGAGAAGGAAGCUGACAACCAAUAUGACCAGGGGCUUCGGCAUUCUUAUCGCUGCAUCAUGGCCGUCCUAGGGAAGCAGCAUCCUGAUCUGAAGAUGGACGAGCUUACUAUUGGUGUUGCUCAAUAUAUGGAUGAGGAGGCAACCAAAGAAGAUGUCGAAGAGUUGGAGCCAAAUGCAACUGAGGAGGGAACAUCUCCUCCUCGUGCAGUCCCUGCUGAUGUUGCCGAGGCAAGUACCCCCCCGAGUGCAACUGGUGAGACCCCCAUGCUCCUGAGGUGGACCAGUCAACAGAGACGGCCCAGCUUACUGACCCGCUGUCCUCUUGAAUGUACCUUGUGUCGUAGGUUUCUUUUUUGGAACAUUGUAUGUUAAGACUAGCAGCUUUCAUAAUUUGUUGGCAGAUUAAUAAGAAUGUUCUUAUUUGCUUUCUUCGCUUUGAGCUCUUGGCAGAUUAUUUUAUUUUUUGUUCGCUUACAUUGUGGUCGAGUAGGUGUCGAAAAGUUCAGCUUCCCGUCGCCUUACGUUUAAUGGUUUGCUCGUCUUCGCUUGGUCGAGCAGAUAUUGGUAUGUUUUGGCUUCUGGUCUCGCCAUAAAACAGGCUUUGAGAUUUAGUGAGCCUUUGCAUGCCUUAGAAAAUUUUUAUAACAUUUGAGGGUCUGCUCGCCUUCGCUUGGUCGAGCAGAUCCUGACAUGCUUGGCUUCUGGUCUCGCCAUAACACAGGCUUUGAGACUUAGUGAGCCUUUGCAUGCCUUAGAAAUUUUUAUAACAUUUGAGGGUCUACUCGUCUUCGCUUGGUCGAGCAGAUCCUGGCACGCUUGGCUUCUGGUCUCGCCAUAACACAGGUUUUGAGACUUAGUGAGCCUUUGCAUGCUUUAGAAAUUUUUAUAACAUUUAAGGGUCAGCUUGCCUUCGCUUGGUCGAGCAAAUCCUGGCACGCUUGGCUUCUAGUCUCGCCAUAACACAGUCUUUGAGACUUAGUGAGCCUUUGGAUGCCUUAGAAAUUUUUAUAACAUUUGAGGGUCUGCUUGCCUUCGCUUGGUUGAGCAGAUCCUGGAACGCUUGGCUUCUAGUCUCGCCAUAACACAGGCUUUGAGACUUAGUGAGCCUUUGCAUGCCUUAGAAAUUUUUUAACAUUUGAGGGUCUGCUCGCCUUCACUUGGUCGAGCAAAUCCUGGCACGCUUGGCUUCUGGUCUCGCCAUAACACAGGUUUUGAGACUUGGUGAGCCUUUGCAUGCCUUUGAAACUUUUACAACAUUACAACUGACUGAAAUUCCUCAACGUUUCAUUAAUUUCUGAAUUCGGCUUACAUGAGGUUGAUUUAACAUAAAACAAAUAACAACAAGAACGAAUAGAAAUAACUUUUAAGCAUGAUUGGGUCUUAUUGGAAAUAUUUCCUGAGGUGUUCUGCGUUCCAGGGGCGUUUCACCUCAUGGCCAUCCGCGCGAACAAGCUUAUAGGCUCCGGGUUCAGCUACUUGCUUGACCCUAUACGGCCCCUCCCAGUUUGGUCCAAGUACUCCUUGUGUCGAGUCUUUCGUGUUCUGAUCCACCCUCCUUAGUACCCAAUCGCCGACCUUGAACUGUUGUAUACACACCUUCUGGUUGUAAUAACGAGCAACCCUCUGCUGGUAGACGGCGGAUCGCUUCGAUGCUUGCUCUCUCUUCUCAGUCAGCAGAUCCAGAUUCAAGCACAUUUGGUCGUUGUUUUCCUGCUCAUCGAAGUGAUCUGUCCGGUGCGUGGUCGCCCCUAUCUCGAUCGGUACAACAGCUUCAUGUCCAAAGGCCAAAGCGAACGGAGUUUCGCCAGUUGCUGUUUUGUGAGUUGUCCUGUAUGCCCAUAAUACACCUAGUAGCUCAUCAACCUAUACUCCUUUUUUUGCUCAUAGCCUAGUUUUCAAAAGCCUCUUGAUUAUUUUGUUGGCUGCUUCUACUUGUCCGUUAGACUGAGGGUGAGCAGGCGAGCAAGACUUCAGCUCUAUCCCGAGGUUCUGGCAGAACUCCCUGAAGUUGUGGUUGUCAAACUGCCUGCCAUUGUCUGCUAUCAGGGUAUAAAGGAUCCCGUACCGACAGACCAGGUUUCUCCAUAUGAAGUCAGUCGUCUUUUUCUCUGUGAUCCUGCUGAGGGCUUCUACUUCUAUCCACUUCAUGAAAUAGUCUAUCGCUACUAUUGGGGUAAGGAGGUACAAUAUCUCUCUUGCUAGGUAGCUUUGUUAUUGGGGUAGGGAGGUACAGUAAUCUCUGUUCCUUUAUGGCCUCAUACACCUUGUCUAGGGGCAUCUUCAAGGAAGUAUACCACCCAUAGUCUUGACUCUAGUCGAUCAUGUAUACCGACCUUUCCCUGUUGGUGCCGUUCUGAACUAGAUGGGGUAACAGUGCUUCUGGUCUGCUUCCUCUACCACCGUGUGGGUGUGUAUGAGGAUGACCAUAUGUUGGGUCAUGCCUUCUCCAUGAAUCUCUGGCUGGUGAACAAGGAGGUUGCGCCCUACUGCGCUAAUAUUGGGGUGGCCUCUGAUGAGACUGGUAAGAGGUGACCCGGCCUCCUACACCACUACCUGAGGCAUGAUGGUCCUUCCUCUUAAUAGGCCCAUUUCCUGGUAGAGCUCUCUUCUCUUUCCUCAUUAACCCUUCCAGCUGGUCUGUCUUAAUCCGUGCUGCCUUUUCCUCCUCAAUCUCUAUGUCCCUCUUGGCCUGCUCGUAAGCAGCUGAAUAUGUCUGAAUAGUAGGAUUCCUCAAAUUGUAUCACAACUGUCCUAUCUUCACCCCUUCUUUCAAUCCCCUUAAUGUCUGAGGAUGGUUGAAAGCUCCCAAAUCGAGGACAGCACGAUGGACCCUUUUGAUGAAUUCCCGAAGGGUUUCCUCCUCUCCCUGCUUCAUGCUCGUCAGCUCCAUCAUAUCAUCUUCAGGCGCCAUUGCCCUACAGAACUGCUCUGCAAAUUCUUGGCACAUCUGCUCGAAGGAUUUAAUGCUCCCUCGAGGAAGUUUUCGGUACCACUCACGUGCUUGUCCCUCUAGAGCUUGCGAUAAUCCUUGCACCCCAGUUAUGUCGUUAAAGCACUCUAUGUGCACCAACUAAUCAGUUUGCCCCGAGUAACUGAGGUUUGGGAGGUGAAAAUCCCUCGGAAUGACUGCCCUCAUGAUUUCUGCUAAGAGCAGGGAUUCUCCGUCCAGCAUUAUCCUCCAACCAGGUGCUCUGCUCUGCCCUUGCAUGUCAUCUAUUAUCUGCGCUAAUCUGUGCACUUCUUCUUCCAGUUGUACAGCACGACCAGGGUCACGUGCUGCAACCUGAUCUCGCUCUUGCUCAACAUCAUGCAGGUGUUGCCGGAGUUCUCUUUCCUCUGCAUUCGCCACUUUGUCAUCGUUAUCAAAGAUCCGCCUCCCUGGGGAUUGUUCUUCUCCUCGAUGGCUUUCUCCCCGUAGAGAUGAGUUACCCCCCUCACCACCAAAUCUUCUGGUGGUCCGACCUCUUAUCAUAUUGUCGUGCCCUGGUGUCAUUCCGCCACUUCUCACCCCCUCCUCUUGAACUCCCCUUCACUCACUUCUCAGCUCGUGUAGGAUGGUUGUCAGGGUCUCCAUCUGUUUCUCCAUCCGUUCUAUCCGCUUAUAUAUUGCUUUUUCCCGUGCUUCAUUGGCUAUCUCUCUCAAUGUCACGGACUCGUUAAGUCUCAAGUCACCUUCUUGGGCACUACCUCCGCCUACAUCCAUUGUUCCCUCACUUCCUUUCCUCUUCUUCUCUCUAUUAACAGAAGCUUUUGGCUUAGCUCCCCACAGACGGCGCCAAAAUGUUGAUACGAGAUUCUGGUUUUCUGCUCGUCCGGGACCAGGAUCUCUCCUCAACCAACUCAUCCACGACUAGGAUCUCUCCUCGUAAGACUUCCUCUCCACAGACUCCUGCGUACACAGAGACAGGUCACAGCACACCGGGUGUUUUUCCAGUGUAAACCCUCCAACGCUCAAGUCAGAAACGUAGGUUUUACCUUUUUGGGAAACACGACCACUAAUAUUAUGGCUCUUUUAUGAUCUCUCAAUAGAAAGCUCUUUUCCUAAGUUCUAAUCUCAAAAAGUCUAACCCCUUUACCUUCGUUGGUUACCUUUUUAUAGCAUUCCUUUGAAUCCGGCCCUUCCUGCAAUCCACGUCUAUCACCUCUCUCAACUCUCGGAAGUGGGUGCGUCAUUAUCAUAGUUGUGGCUGAGUGGACUUCGUGCCUUGAUUCUCGGGCAGGAAUGCACGUCUUGCCAACCGUCAUUGACCGGGUCUCCCCCCUCAACCUUUAGUAAGAAUGGCCUUAUACUCCUAGUAGGAGGCCGGCUCCCGCUAUGGCCCCGUGGAGGGUGCAUUAUUGAACGAGCAUAAUACUCCUGUUUGUGGAAUCCUGCUACCAGACAUCUGCUCAUCAUGGUUGGUCUUGUCAAAGUAUAUCCCCCAAACAGUAGUUAUUAGUAUCUUUAUUAGUAUCUUUGUUUAAUGAUACUAUUUAUAGCUAAAUGCAUACCGUCUUUGUACACGCUGAAGCGUACUAUGCAAUGAAGGAUUUGCCUGCACAGAAACGAGAAACAUAAAGAAGAGACACACGAAGCAUUUUAUCGUUUUGAGAUCAUUGCAGCAUACAAAAAAUGUGAAUAACAACAAUGCAAUAUACGAAAUGCACAUUAAAUUUAUGUACAAAUAUAUUUACAAUUAAAUGCUAAAUUUGAACUUUUAAAAUCAUUAUAUUAUUUGGAUAUAUCCAGAACUUACAUGCAGAGUGGCUGUUAUGCUAGCAUAUGUCAGAUUAAUUUUAAUGCAUGCAGCAUUUAGAAGGUACUAAGGUAGAAACAAAAAUUUGCGCAUGCAUUAAGAGGUGAUCUUUGCAUUCCCCAGUUUAGUAAUAAAAAAGUCAUAACAGAGAAGGACAGGGGCUCUCUUUUCUCAUUCCCCUGUUUAAUAACAGUAAAAACAAAACAGAGGAGAAACGGAGGCCAUCUUUUCAUUCCCCUGUUUUUCUGUUUCGUGAUUUUAAAGUUUUAUAUCUAUAUUCAUUUUUAAAAAAAAGUUAUUCAAAACUAUUUUCUAUUUUCAUUUUGACUUUUAUUUAUUAAAAAAAAUUAAGAAGUGUAAUUCUAAACUUAUCCUUGUGCUUUGAUGCUGGAGGGGUUUUUCUGUUUUUCUACAUUGGCCAUAUCAACUAAUGAUGAAAGUUCUCAUCAUUAGUUGCUUUUGAAAUGAGUGACCAUGGUAUGACCACUGAGAGUCCGGAUUGGGUCAGUGGUAGAUAAACGAGUCGGUUUUUCGUUACUGAGCUUUUCAUGGAUGAAAAUUUUUAUUUAUUAUUUUGUUUUAUAGGUUCUCCAUGAAUGCCAUUAGAAAAGAGAUUGAAUAAUUCAAACUUCCUUUUUCCCCUUAACAUCCAAACAUGUGAGGCGAGGGCUACUAAUAAGUCCUUUGUAAUGAGAACCUAUGUCUAAGCAAAAGCAGAGGUCAAUUGCCAAUACCAUACUUCUGCACCUUCGUCUAUCACUGUUAUUAGUUUCAGUGCUUAAAUUGCUCCAUAAGCUUGCACUUUGACUUUGUCUUAAUUUCUUAGGCGUACUGCUAAUGAGACCCCCUGCCAAGUUCAAGCUUCUUGAUGUCUUGUGAUUCCCUUUUUUGUGGUGGUUACUUUGUCAUAGAACUGACUGUUAAAGGCCAUCAAUCAAUCCUGUUUUAUAACAUUUUUUUUUUAACAUAAUGAUCAAACAAAUGUUAGCCCUCAGAUUGCAUGCAGCUAUUGACUUGCAUCCAAUUAUUGACUCUCCCAUAUUAGGAUAUAAACUAAAUUCAUAAGAGGAUACCUCUUCACCAUGGCAAAGCAAACUUACAGUUCAUGGAAGAACAUAAACAGCGGUACCUGCAUUACUUUCUUCAACGGACCAAAAUAAGCUUUGACGAGUUUGUUCAAAUUAUAAAGUUCAGAGAAGCAGAAUUACGAGGUUCUUAUGCAGAAAAAGUCGAACUAAGUAGUGAUAAAUUUGUUGAAAUGAUUCUGCUGGAUGCUGCCUUCAUCAUUGAACUCUUAUUGAGAUAUCAUUUCCGUCAACUUCAAAAAAAAGAUGAUCAUAUAUUUCAUAAACCCUAUUUAAUAGAGGAUAUAUGGUAUGAUAUGUGGUUACUUGAAAAUCAGCUUCUUUUCUUCAUUCUUGAGGAUCUUUUUGCUCUAGCGGCAAUUAAAAUCCCCGACCAACAUGAAAAUCCAACCAUCAUCACAGUCACAUACGAGUAUUUCAAGGGUUUAGAGGCAGUACAAGGUAAUCGGCAAAAAUUCCCUCCUUACACUGAGGCUAGGGUAGAGCAUUUCCUUGAUUUUCUAAGGAUUUGUCAUCUACCAUCAUCGAGGAAUCAGGAAAAACAAGAAGGUCAGCAAUACCACAAAGGUAAAACCGCACCAAGUGUGACUGAUCUCCACCAAGCUGGAGUCCACUUCAGUUUGAGCAAGAGCAAUGAUUUGUUCGCCAUAGAAUUCAAAAACAGGACAUUGUAUAUUCCGAAACUGAAGCUACAGCUGGAAACGGAAUCCUUAUUUCGUAAUCUCGUUGCCUUUGAACAACGGCAUUACUCAGAGAAUUACAUAAAUGAUUAUGUGUUCCUUAUUCAUCAUCUCGUGAACACAACAAAGGACGUCGAGUUGCUUGUUCAGAACGGAAUCAUUGAGAACUGUGUUAAGUAAAUAAGAGCACCAGCUUGGCCAUGCCAUCAUUUCCACCCCAACAUGGAUCACCUCAGCCAAAUGGUACGAGCAGAACACUGAUAAUGAGUCUUUUACGAGCAAGGACCAACCAGAGACAAAUACCAAGCAGAUACCCAUUCCCCAAAAAGCGGGAACACGAUCUCACGAAAUCACGACAGUUGCGCUAUGCCCAGAACUGUCGAGAGAGGUAUGGUGUCCCACGUUUACUCACAAUAUAGCAGUUGGAGUCCCAUGGGGGCUGCCACGAUCCGAGAUAGAGGGGGGAUGAAGGGUAAACGGAAACGUAGGACAAUGGCUAUAAAAGAGAAAGAAACUAAUGAAGAAAGGACAGAAAAAAUUGAGAGAAGGGAAAACUCUGCCAAAUUGUAUCCAAACCACUUUCAAUACAAAUAGUGAGCCAAUUCUAAGCAAUUAUUGGAAUCUUAAUUGCACUGUUUUCCCGUAAACACCUUGUGCUAACUUAGGCAUCGGAGGGUUUACGCCGGUAAAACCACCGGCGUCUCUGAUCCACUUUUGUGAACGCAGGCUUAGUGAGAGGAAGAAGGACAAUUCCAACUUCAGUGGCUAGAGCGAUCGUUGAAGCAAGAAGGAAUUGACAUCUUCACUGUUGAUAACAUAAAUGUUGGUGUAAAAAUCUGGUUGGGCAAAGGGCGAGCAGAUUUCAGCAUCAACAAACUGGUUUCCGGAUAAAGAGGCAGCGUCAACGCUUAUAAAUAACCUUUCCAGAGGUACCACUCUGCUGGCUGAUAGCUUCUAUUUUUUUGGGCUAUGCAAAGGAUUGAAUGAUCACUGCAAAAGAACGUGCUACAAAUGGAGGGCAAACUUAAAACAAAAUUACUUCAAUACUCCAUAGGCUGGCAUUUCGGUGUGCGGCGUCGUUUUCCUUCUUAUUCUCACCGUUAUUCAGUCUGUAUGCUCUGUUAUACAAGUGUUGUCUCAACCCAAAAAUAUCUCGUGACGAAAAACCUCUAUGCGGUAUUUGUUGUUGGAAAAUUUUCAAAAUAAAUGUGUCUUAUGGUAAAGGCAUGUCCUAUUAAUUAUGCUUUAUAGAAAAUGUACAUUUUACUAAAGACAUGUCUAAUUAAAUAAUAUCUUGUUGUAUGGACAUGUCCAUUUAAUUGUGUCUUGUAGAAAAUGUAUCUUUUUACUAAAUGAUAUAACUUUUCAUGGCAACAUUUCACUUAGAGAUGCGUCAUUUCAUGGUGACAUUUCAUUUGAAAUGGUGAUGGUUCAAUUUGGACCAUUGAUUAAAAUCAAAUCUAGAUCCAAUGGCCAUGAAUGAAGGGGUAUCAUGAAAGAUGACAACCCAAAUGAGGGGGCACAAGUAUAUCUAUAAAUAGGGGUCAUGUUUAAGCCAUUUAAACAUGAAAACAAUGAUCCUACACCACUCUUUUCUUAGCAUUCCUUUCUAGUACGAAUUUCAACACAAAACACCCAUUUCUUUUGUGCAUUCACAAUCCAAUAUAUUGUUUUCUGCAGGAACAAUAUAUUGUUUCUUGGCAGGCUUACAACAUUCAAGAGUAUUCUAGUUUGCUUUCGUCGAUGCACAACGCAAGCAAACAAACAAGUACUUCAUUGUAUCCUAGAGGUGUAUUUGCUUAACCCAUGUGCAUUACUCAAUUGGUGGGGGCAAAUAACGUCUUAAGGAAAGCGACAUUUGUAACGUGCCUUAAAGCACACAAAUUUUCUACAGUUUACUUAUUACUAUUAUUUUUCUUCCUACAUACAGAGUUAGUUGUAAACACAUUACUUUACGUAAUAAAGUUUCAACAUUAUUGUUGUAUUUCUCUACAUUUGCCAUUCCCCACAAGUUCAACCACCAACAUUUGUAUGUCGUUUUUGAGUUGUUGUUUUCUUUUUUUAUUUUAAUUCUUAUUCUCAAGCAAUUUUAUCAUGGAAUUGUUAAUUUUACUUGAAUGUUGACCAAGCCUUUGUUGUUGUUUUUUUUUUUAAAUGAAAUGAAAUAAAAGGUAGGGGUAUACCCUACAAAUUAUUCUCUCCACUCCAUAUAUAGUAUUGCAUUUACCACAUGAAAAAUUAAUUUUAAACGAUAAAUUUAUUUACUUGAAUAUUUUAAUCAUGUCAUGAACCCAAUGACAGGUUAACGGAUAAACAUUCAAGUUUCAAUAUUAUAAUAUUAAUAAAUGGCAUAAACUAAUUUUAUUUUCAUUUAAAUUAAUCUAAUCCUACCAAUUUCAUUUGGUUUUCAUAUUGGUUGGUUUCAUGUAUCACACGAAUUGUUAGGCACCGACUAACGCAAGCAUAUGUUACUCAAACAUCUCACCUAAAUAAUAGUCUAAGGAACUUUGAUUUGGAUGGUAGAUAUUUAACUAACUAAAACUAAUCUUCUUUAACUCAAAGCUCAUCUACUAGUAAAAGUAGAACCCUUCUCCGUCAACUUAUCUUCUUCAUUAUAUAACAAAAGAUGUUUAGUGAAGGAUUGAGGGGGAAAAAAGACUAAUAAUAAUUAUGUCAAAGUAGUCAAUAUUACAGCCACUGGGCUUGAGGGCUUGGGUUAAAAGCCACAGAAACUCAUUUCAAUCCUUAUUUUGUAAAUGUGGGAUUAGGGAUAGAUUUGUCUUAUGACUUUGUUUAUCAAGUAAUUAAUUUAAACAGUAUUGUUAAUUUUAGUUGAAAUUGGAAUGAAUUUUUUGAAAGAUGCUUUCUCAUAACUAACCAACUAAAACUAACAUUCAAAUUAUCAAAAUCAGAGCUGACCAAGUAAAAUUGUGAAAGUAAAAUACUUACUUCUUCAUCAAGUCAUCUCUUUAUAUAUAACAAAGAAUGUUUUAUGAAAGAUGGCAAAAGCAAUCAGUAACAAUUAUGUAUCAAAUAAUUCAAAAAAGAUGUCAAGCUCUGUUGCAACUGCUGCUGAGGCCGAGGUUUGGAUUGUCCCAUUCUUCGGUCAGGGACAUCUAUUUCCAUGCAUUGAAUUAUGCAAGCAAAUCGCUUCUCGUAAUUACAAAUCUACCCUCAUUAUUCCCUCUCACAUUUCCCCCACCAGCAUCACCCCUUCCUCUCUUCACCAGCAUCACCACCUCCUUCCCACCACCAUGUUGUCAUGCACGGCCAAAUGCUUCAAGGCCUUCGAAACCUCCUUUCAACCCGGGAACCCGAAACGCGACCCGUUUGUGCAGUCAUCGACGUUAUGAUGGGCUGGACGGCUGAUGUUUGCAAGAAUUUUGAAGUUCCCAUUGUUGGGUUCUUCACUUCUGGUGCUUGCUCAGCAGCCGUGGUGUGUGCCAUGUAGCAGGCUUGCAUCCAAGAUGUCAAACCGGGAGAGGCCCGUUUACUUCCUGGGUUACCCAAGGAUACGGCUUUAUUCGGAUCGAAUCUGAAAUACAGGCCUCACGGGCCCCUUUCUCGUGGUCCACCACCUUUGCGAGGUGCGACCGGUUCAGAGAAAAUGGGUCCAUCGAACCCCGUGAUCAACCACACUAGAUGAAGGAAGUGGAGGGACCGAUGGCGUUGAUGUUCAACAUGUGUGAUGAUCUUGAGGGACCAUUUAUUAAUUAUUUAGAGGAGAUUACCAAUUUUUCUCCUAUUGUAAUCAACAUACAUCAUUUACCUUCCUCCUUUUUUUAUAAUGGUCAAAAACCCCACUGAUAACAUAAGUUUACAAUAUUACCUUUAUUUUCAACUACUCUUUUAUUUAUAUUUAUUACAAAUUAAAUAAAUCACAUGAAUAGAAACUAAAUAAAAAAUUAAGCAUUAAAAAUAAAAAAUAUAUGUUUUGAUAUGAGUAAAAAAUUAAUAAUAAAUUUUUUUGUACUUAUUUAUUUUGUGAAAAUUUUCUUGUAAUAAAUAUAUAAGAAAAUUAUUAUAAAAUGAUAAAAAAAUUAUUAUAAGAAAACUUGAAUGACAAAUAAAAAUUUAUUAUAAGAUAAAUAAUAAAAUAUUUUGCCUAUGCUUUUUACAUUUAAUUUAAAAUAUUAUAAAAUUUUUAUUAUAAGAAAAUGUUCACAAAAUAAAUAAUUACAAGAAAAAAAUUUUAUUAUUAAUUUUUUUUCACAUAUCAAAACAUAUACUUCUUGUCUUUAAUACUUAAUUUUUUUAUUUGGUUUUUAUUCAUGUGAUUUAUUUAAUUUAUAAUAAAUAUAAAUAAAAGAGUAAUUGAAAAUAUGGGUAAUAUUGUAAACUUAUGCUGUCAAAUGGGUUUUUGGCCAUUACAAAAAUAGUAGGGGGAUAAAUGGUAUAUAUUAAUUAUAGUAGGGGAAAAUUGACAAUCUCCCAUUAUUUAGUCAAUCAAAUGGGAAAGCCAAUGUGGGGAGUAGGCCCAAUGUGGCGGGCUCAGUGCUUCAUGAUCGUGAGAUGAGAACCAACCGAUGGAGUUCUAACAUGAACGAAGAUGAGAUCGUUCAAUGGUUGAAUUUGAAAUCACGCAGACCUGUGUUAUAUGUGUCAUUUGGUACCGAAGUGGGUCCCAAGUUAGAUGAGUAUUUAGUACUAGCCAAUGCUUUAGAAGUAUCAAAUGAACCAUUUAUUUGGGUAAUUCAAACUGGUGCUGGUAGAUUGGAUCCUCCGUGUCAUUUAACCGGCUUAGACAGGCCAGCAGAAGGCAAUUAUUUUCAUAGUGGUUUGGAUAGUAAAGCCAGUAAAAAGGGAUUGAUAAUAGAUGGAUGGGCGCCACAAUUAUUGAUACUGAAUCAUCAAUCAAUGGGUGAAUUUAUAUCUCAUUGUGGAUGGAAUUCAAUGGUAGAAGCAAUUGGUUGUGGGGUCCCAAUUUUAACAUGGCCAAUUAGAGAUGAUUAACAUUACAAUGCCAAAUUGGUGAUCAAUCAUCUAAAGGUGAGGGUACAUGAUUUCUGAUGAUCAAUCAAAAUCGAUUCAAAAGAAUGAUAUAGUGAGUGGUAUAGAAAAGCUUAUGAGUGAUCAAGAGAUUAAAAAACGAGCUCACAUGCUUCGCCAUAUAUUUUAUCAGGGCUUUCCUAUGAAUUCUGUGGCUUCUUUGAAUGCUUUCAAAGAUCUCAUUAGUCAGAAAUCAGUUUAACAAAAAUAAUUAUUGUGUAUAAUAGGCUUUGGUUACGUUGGCUUGGGUGUGAAUAAAUCUACUUUAUCAAGAACAGACAUCUCAGCACCUAAAUAAUAUGUAAGCUUUUGUUAAUUGACUGCAGUCAAUCAUCAAAAGUCUUACAAAGCAUGUAAAAUAAAAAAUGGCACAUCCUCCAUCCGAGAGCAUCUAAAAUAAAAAGAUGGCACAUCCUCCAUCCGAAGUUUUUUACCAUUCGGCUAAAAUAUAUAGUCUCAUGUUUGGUAAUAAGCUCACAACAUGCGUAGGGAAGUUUUUAAUAGAUCUUCAUUCCCGUGCAUGUUGUGAGCUUAUUACCAAAAAUGAGACUAUAUAGUUGUGGGACAAACAAAAAGGGAAGUUUUUUUUCCAUUCGGCUAAAUUUUAAUGUCACGCAAAAUAAUAUGUGAUCUUGAAUUCAUUUUAAUAUGAUAUCAACAUACGUAGGAAAUUCGUGAAUAAAGAAAUUUUGCAUGCCAGAGUCAGAGGAACAAUUAAAUAGAAUGCUUUUUAAGACAACAAUCACUGAUGAUCAUGUUUCCACACCAUCUGAGAGUACUGAAUAUCUACUAUCAGUCCUAUCUAAUUGAAAAAUGUACUGGUAGUUCGAUGAGUUUGUUUCCAUAGAAGCUACUAAAUAAAGAAAGGGAAAAAGAGUGGCUACAAAAAGGACGAAAGUGGGUGGAGCUGUAAGGCUUUCACGGCAAAUUGAUUGUCUUGUUGAUGCUGUGAAAAUGGAGGUCGAACUCAAGAAGCAGAUCAUGGUACUAAUGUUCUUGAAGAUCAAGAGAUGGAGAGAUUGAAAAAUAAUAGUGCUGCAAGUGGAUAAUAUUAUAGUUAUAUAUUUCUUUACACAUGUAUAUAAUAUUAUAUUUCUAUGAAUUACUUUAUUACAAUAGUUUUGUGUACAUAAAAGUUUAUAUAAAGAUUAAAUUUUUGCAUUUUCUUUUUUGCAGUUAAGUUUAUUAAUCAAUUCAAGUAUUUGUGUAUAUUACGGACUACAUAACAAAUUUUUUAGUUAAAUAUAUUAUAGUUAAUUUUUAUUGUAAAUUAAAAUAGUUAAUAAAAAAUUAUUUAAAUAUGUAAUCAACAAAAUAGAAUAUGCUCUUAAAAAUCCAAUGAAUAAGAAAAAUUAUUUAAAUAAUAAUAUUCUAAGUAAAUUACAGAUAAGUAAAUGAGUAUAUUUUUGUAAUUUGCACAUGAACAUUAUACUUUUAAUUUUCACUUACCAGAUUUAUCUAGUAGAUUAUUUACAAACUGAUUGUCAAAUAAUCAUCAUUUACCAAACACCCGACUAAAUUAUUCAUAAAAUUAAUUUUCUGAUAAUCAAGGUAAAAAUUAAUUCUUGGGAAGUAAAAGAAAUUCCAAACAUACCAUCAAUCAACUACAAGAAGUUAUUUAAGUUGUAGUAUUUAAUGGGUUUUAUUAAUAGUGAGUGUGCUUAUCAAAUAUAUAAAAAUAAAUAUUUUAGUUAUUACCCACCUAUUCUCUUGAAAUUAUUCUCAAAGUUUUUUCGUUUACCUAAAAUUCCAAGGAAAAUAUAUAAAGGAAGAAGAGUUGGGUUAAAAAAAAAAAAAAAGGAAGGAAAAACAGGGCUCCUCUGUUUUCAUUCCCCUGUUUUGAAAUUAUCUAUCAGUUACGAAAGGAGAGUGGUUCAGAUUAUCUUGAGCUCUGCGGUCAAACCCGUCCAUCAGGCGGAUUCAGAUUUUGAAUUUUCUGUCAUAAUUGGUUUCCCACUUAAGAAAGCUUAUCAUUGGUUUAAUAUAUUGCUGUUCCACUUGUUUAAUGAAUGGAUUCCCACCGACGCGUUUGCUUAUUAAAAGAAUAAAUCUUGCUUUUGCUUUUCUAGAGAAAUAAUGCAAUAUGCAAUUAUGCGUGAUGGUGCGCGUCCAUGUGAGAAAGUUGACGAAAGCUUCUUUUUCAGUAUUGCAAGUGCUAUCCACAGCGGAACUCCACAAUCGAAACCAUCAUUACGACAAUUUUUCUCUGUCGUUUCAAUUUUUAAUUGAAUAUAAAACAAGUAAGGUCAAAUAAAGUCUGGUCCACCAAUUUAAUCAGUAUGAACGUAUGGAUCCCAUCAUUAAUAUUAUAAAUAUGUGGGUCCUUUAAUUAUUACAUUAUAUGAUUAUUGUAUUAUUUAUAGAUUGCUUUAAUCAUGACAUAUUACGAAAGGAGAUUCCCCUUGGAAAAAAAAUAAAAAAGAGAUUCCCUCUUCGGCGACUGAAAAUAAAAGAAAUUAAGGGCUGCAUGAUUGAGUCUUCUUCUUUUGCAAAUCAUUAUCAUUACUCUCAUAAGCUCUCUAUAAUUACAUUCCUCUGCAGGUAACAUUAACUUUUUGCUCAUUAAAAUUGCACUUAAAUACUCAAGGCGAUUACAGAAGCUCAUCAACUUUCCAUAAUUAAACAGGAUUUCCACAACCUUCAAUUAAUUUCUUUUAAUAACAUAAUCUCUGAUGCUUGAUCUCUAUACAAUUUCUUUCUUAAUUUCCAUCCACUUUCCAAGAUAAAAUUUCUAUGGCUUGUUCAUUUAUCAUUUUUUUUUGGGACACUUGAAGCACGUUUCUGUUAAUAGCAAAAACUCUGAUCCUUAAGAAAGAAGAAAAAAUGCUCUGUUCAUGUUUCAGUUGAUUCAAGAUCAAUUUUGCGAUACUGUUUGCCGUCUUUUUUUCUCUCUCUAGUUUAUUUUAAUUUAUUUGUAUUCCUUUCCCCUUUCUUUGACAUAUUAUUAGAUUUGUUAAGCAGCAGGCAAUGGCAGAAGUGGGUCUGGCUGCUUUUUCCAGCAUUGUAUCAGAAGGUUCAAAGUCACUGUUCAAACUGAUUAUACGGCAGAUAUCUUAUGUGUUCAAGCACCAGAGCUACAUAGAUGGCCUGAAAGAUCAAGUGAAGCAGCUGGGAUAUAGAAGAGAAACGGUGCAACAACCUGUUAAUCAUGCUAGACUACAAGGGGAUGAGAUUUAUGAGGGUGUCACAGACUGGCUAAAUAAAGUUGAUGAAUUCAUCAGUGAAGGGGUUGCAAAAUCCAUCAUUGAUGAUGAAGAUAGAGCUAAGAAGUCCUGCUUCAAAGGGUUGUGCCCCAACUUGAUUUCUCGUUACCAGCUUAGUAAACAAGCAGCAAAGGCCGCAGAAGCUGCCGCUAGUCUCGAGGGAAAAGGCACCUUCUCUAGUGUUUCCUACCGUCCUGCUCCAAAGAGUACAGAAUAUAUGCCAGUGAAAGAUUACGAGGCCUUCGAUUCAAGAACGAAAGUAUUUCAAGAUGUUGUGGAUGCGUUGAAGGAUGAUAGUUUCAAAAUAAUUGGGGUCUAUGGGAUGGGCGGCGUGGGUAAAACCACGCUAGUUAAGCAAGUUAGAAAGCAAGUGAUGGAAGAUAAGUUGUUCGAUAAGGUCGUUAUGGCUGAGGUAACACAGACACCAGAUCAUCAUAAAAUUCAAGACAAACUUGCUUUUGAUUUAGGCAUGGAAUUUGACUUGAAUGAGAAUGAAUUUCAAAGAGCUUCUCGACUGUGUCAAAGGUUGAAGCAAGAGAAGCGGCUCCUCAUUAUACUGGAUAAUAUUUGGACAAAACUUGAGUUCGAUAAAGUUGGAAUUCCUUAUGGGGAUGUUGAUGAGAAAGAUAGAGAGGACGAUCGGAGUAGACGCACAAUAAUAUUGACGUCUCGAAGUCGAGAUUUAUUGUGCAAUGAUAUGAAUUCUCAGAAAAAUUUCUGGAUCGAUGCUUUAUCCAAAGAUGAAGCAUUGCAGUUAUUUGAGAAGAUAGUGGGUGAUUCAAAAAAAACAUAUGAUUUUCAACCCACUGCAGAUGAGAUCGUUGAAAAAUGCGGGGGAUUGCCUGUUGCACUGAGAACAGUUGCAAGUGCUCUGAAAAAUAAGAGUCUUGCCAGUUGGAAGGAUGCAUUGAAUCAGCUAAGAAGUUCCAAUCUAAGAGAAAUUCGUGGUAUGGAUGCAGAUGUGUAUUCUUCCAUAAAAUUGAGUUACGAUUUCUUGGAAAGUGAUGAAGCAAAAUCUUUGUUCCUUCUUUGUACUCUGUUUGGUGAAGGUCAUCCUAUAUACGUACAUUACUUAUUGAGAUAUGGUAUGGGUUUGGGUCUAUUUAGAAAUGUUUACACAUUGGAAGCAGCAAGGAAUAGAGUGGAUGCAUUGAUCGACAGUCUAAAAGCUUCAUGCUUAUUGUUGGACGGUGAUGCUGAAGAUGAAGCUAAAAUGCAUGACGUCAUUCAUGUUGUUGCUGUAUCAAUUGCCGCAGAGAAGCUUAUGUUUAAUAUUCCAAAUGUUGCUGACUUUGAGAGAGAGAUGGAAGAGACAAUACGGAAAGGUCCAAUCGCUAUUUCCUUACCUUAUAGAGAUAUUCAAGAGCUCCCUGAGAGGUUGGAAUGUCCCCAACUCAAGUUAUUUUUUUUGUUUGCAAAGCAUGAUAGCUCUUUGCAAAUUUCACACCUCUUUUUUGAAGGGGCAGAAGAACUCAAAGUUUUAGACUUUACUGGAAUAUUUUUCUCUUCAUUACCUUCAUCACUUGGUUGCCUCAUUAACGUUCAAACAUUAUGUUUAGAUGGUUGCCGACUGAACGAUAUAGCAAUAGUUGGACAGCUAAAGAAAUUAGAGAUUCUCAGCUUUCGAGAUUCUGAUGUUAAGGAGUUGCCACUUGUAAUUGGACAAUUGACGAGAUUACAGUUGCUAGAUUUGAGAAAUUGUAGCAGCCUUGUGGUGAUAGCUCCAAAUGUCAUAUCAAAAUUAUCUCGAUUAGAAGAACUAUACAUUGGUAACAGCUUUUCACAAUGGGAGAAGGUUGAAGGAGGAAGUAACGCCAGUCUUGCUGAAUUGAAUGGGUUGUCAAAGCUAACUACUUUGGAGAUACACGUUCGGGAUGCCGAAAUUCUACCGCAGGAUUUGGUCUCUGUGGAAUUGCAAAGCUAUAGGAUAUGUAUAGGAAAUGAGUGGUGGAGCAGCCGGUCCGUUAAAUCUGGAUUAUCAAGAUUGAUGAAGCUCCAGGGGCUAGAAAAGUUUGGCAUUCUUUUGCAGAAUUACAGGAUGAAACUGUUGUUGGAGAGAACUGAAUAUCUCUAUCUAAAAGAACUGAAGGGUGUUCAGAAUGUUGUUCAUGAAUUAGAUGAUGGGGAAGGUUUUCCACGAUUGAAGCAUCUUCACGUAGAAAGUUGUUCUGAGAUUUUACACAUUGUCGGUUCACUUGGACGGGUUCGUCGCAAAGUCUUCCCCUUGCUGGAGUCAUUGUCUCUUUGGUGUUUGAGCAAGUUGGAGACAAUAUGUGACAGCCAACUCACAGAAGAUCAAUCUUUCAGCAACUUAAGGAUUAUAAUAGUACGCGGCUGUGACAAAUUGAAGCAUCUUUUCUCAUUCUCCAUGGCCAAAAACCUACUGCGGCUUCAAAAGGUAGAAGUGUUAUUUGGCGGUGAUCUGGAAAUGAUUGUUGGUAAGUGUUGAAAUUAAGUAAUGGUGGGAUUAUGGACUUCACCUCAAUUAUUUUGAAAAAAAAAUACGACAAAGAUUAAUUAUGUAUAUUGUUUUUGUUUGUUUAUAGGACCCGACAGGGAGAAACCAACAACUUCUUUGGGAUUCAACGAAAUCAUUGCUGAUGAUGAUACUGCUCCAAAGGUGAUAAUUUUCUGUACAAUAAUUAAUUGAUUAAUUUAUUAUCACGAUUAAUCUUCGAUCAUCAAAAGAAUAUUAUACUAGACGGUUGUACUUGAAGGAACAAAAAUGUACGGGUUUUCUUUGCAGGUUAUUCUUCCGAGCUUAGAGGAAUUGAAUCUCACGCUAUUAAGAAACAUGAAAAAAUUAUGGGCCGAUCAUAAUCAAGGAAUGUACUGUUGUCAAAAUUUAACAAAGGUGAUCGUGAGCAGUUGUGAUCGUAUGAAGUAUCUGUUUUCGUAUUCUAUGGUUAAUAGUCUUUUGCUACUCCAACAUCUUGAGAUAAGAGCUUGUAAGUCAAUGGAAGGGGUAGUCGACACCACGGGGUGGUCAGAAAGAGAUGAAGGACAUAUUCAUUUCCCUAAACUACACUCCCUCGAGCUCCAUUGUCUUCCAGAACUAACAAGCUUCGCCAAUACGGGACAUAUUCAUUCAGAUUUAGUUGUUGAAUUCCCUUCUUUGCUAGAACUCCGGAUUAGUGGUUGCAGUAAUAUGUUAAGAUUCAUCUCUACGAGCUCACCAGAAGACACCAUUCAUUCUGAAAUGCAACCUCCUCCUCUUUUUGACGAAAAGGUUUUUUUUUUUUAAUAAAAAAAUUAAUUUUAGUCACAAUACUUAAUUUUUCUUUUCCUUGAGUCUUCAAAUUUAGUUAAUAUCCACCUCUAAUUUAGUUAUCAAUUGAUUAUGCCAUUAAUUGAUUAAUUAGUUAUUUAAUCUUUAACUGCCAGGUACGACUUCCUAGGGUGGAGGUAUUACUUAUGGAGAUGAUGGAUAAUUUGAGAAGAAUAUGGCACCACCAGCUUGCUUCGGAGUCUUUCAGCAAAUUGAAGAAUUUGGACAUAUGGUGGUGUGAUAACCUAAGAAAUAUUUUUCCUCCAUUGGUAAGGUUGCUGUAUUCAUUUCGAAUCUUUUUUCCCAGAUAAAAUUCAACCAUUUUUUAACCAUUUUUGUGUUUACAAAUGGUAUUCAGCCACUAAUUAUUUAUUUCAAGUAUUGUACUUCAAAUUAACCACCACUCUGAAAGUACGAUUUUAAAAAAUUAAAGGAUCGUCUCUCAUCUUAUAGGUUCACAAAUUCAUCUAUAUAUUUCUCUUUUCCUUAAUUCUUCACGUUUCGAUUGGAAAAAAAAAUAAAAGUCUUCAAAUUUAAUUAAUAUCUCUAGUUUAGUUACGAAUUGAUUAUGCCAUUAAUUAACCACAAAUUCAUGAUUAUUUACAACUGACCCUUGAUUGUAAAGAAAUUUCCUCGAGUCUGGAAGUACUUAAUAAAGAUCCACUUUACAGCAGUCCCUUGUUGACAGUAUUGGGAAAUCUUUUCCAAUUUUUUUUUUCCAUUUUUAAAUAUACAUUAAAAAAAGGAACCAAGGAAAAGGGAAAAAUGGUUGAGUUUUUUUUUUUUUUUAAAAAAAAAAAGGAAUAGUUGAAAUUUGCAAAUUUAUGCUUAAAAACUGAUAUCAAGAUGCAAAAGAAGUCUAAAAUAUUUAGAAAUUGCCUUAAAUUCUUUCUACGUUUCUAAUACUAAAUAGUGUAAAUGCAUUUUUAUUAUCUUUGUUUAUCUGGGUUUUAUUUAUUUAUUUAUCUUGUUCUAUUUUUGUUUAAAAAAAAAUAUCUAGUAGACAUUUCAUAAUUUGUUAUGUUCAUAAAAUGUAUAAUUGUAUGAUUAAACAUACUUUGAACCUAGUUGAAUGAUAUUCUUACAUUUUUACUUUUUUAAUACACCACACAUGCACACACUUUUGCUUAUUUUCAGGUUGGAAUUCCUAGUAGUCUGGUGAAUCUUAAAGUAUCGGGUUGCCCAAAAUUAGAAGAAAUCGCAGGACAUGCUGGAGAAGAAGUGAAGGAGAAUCGUAUUGCUUUCAGCAAAUUAAAAGUUUUGAUACUUGAUGAUUUACCAACGCUUACCAGCUUUUGUUUGGAGAAUUACACUCUUGAAUUCCCAUCACUGGAACGAGUUUCUAUGACACAUUGUCCGAACAUGAAGAAUUUUUCUGACGGAAUCUUAUCCAUUCCAAAGCCAUGCAAAGUACAAGUGACUGAAAAGGAAGAGGGUGAACUGCACCAUUGGGAAGGCAAUAACCUUAAUUCCACUAUACAAAAGUGUUAUGAUGAAAUGGUAUGUGUUAAUCGAUUCACCCAAAUUGUUCAUGCAUCUCCCCUGCACUUGCACAUUUAAGCAUAUACACCUCCCUUGUAUAUAUAUUUUUAGAAGUUAAAACACAAAACAUGUAAGUUUAAUGUGUAUAUAUAUAAUGCCUUUCAAAAACAAAAUUGUAUAUAUCUGGUGCAAUUGUUUUGGUUUGUGCAGAUUGGAUUCCUUGAUAUAAACCGUUUGCAACUCUCGCAUUUUCCACGCUUGCAAGAAAUAUGGCAUGGCCAAGCACUGCCUGUCAGCUUCUUCAACAAUUUAGCAGAGCUGGUGGUGGAUGACGGCACGAAUAUGUCGAGUGCUAUUCCUGCCAAUCUGCUACGGUGCUUGAACAAUUUGGAAUGGCUGGCAGUGAGGAAUUGUGAUUCACUAGAAGAGGUGCUUCAUUUGGAAGAGCUAAGUGCUAAGGAAGAACAUAUAGGCCCCCUGUUUCCUAGGCUUUUAAGCCUAAAGCUCAUUGAUCUUCCAAAACUCAAAAGAUUCUGCAACUUCACUGGGAAUAUAAUUGAACUGCCUAAGUUGGAAUAUCUAAUUAUUGAGAAUUGCCCUGAUAUGGAAACAUUCACAUCCAAUUCUACAUUUGUACUGCACAUGACAGCAGAUAAUAAGGAACCUCAAAAAUUAAAAUCAGAAGAGAACCUCUUGGUAGCUAAUCAAAUACAAUAUCUCUUCGAUGAAAAGGUAAUCAUUAUUAUUAUUUUCCCUUCACUUUCGUUCGCACAUAUGUAAUUUCAUUAUAAUCAAAUCAAAUUUAAUGACUCAUCUUUUUGCACGUCGUCUUAAUUUAUAUCUGAUUUAACAAUAUAACCGCAGUUAUUAACUAACUUUAUAGUAUGAAUUAUAAAAAUGUCUGAAAUUAAUUGGAUGCCUGGUAACACGAGGUGAUGAACUAUACUAAUUAUGUGUGUAACAUCUCUGUUUUCCUAGCUAAUUCAUAUUGGAUUUAGCAUCAGAUUUCAUUUAUGUAUUUCAAAGGGUAAUCGAUUUGAUACUUAUAUUUGGGAUCCUACUGCAAAGCAUACUAAUAUGGAAAUAAAAUAUAAAAUGUCGUGAUUAAUCUUGUCCGUAAAAUAUGCAGGGGAAGACUGCAGAGAUUGGAUACAUAUUUUCAUUUACAACUUAAUUUUGUUGAUUUUCAGGUUGCAUUCCCUAAAUUGAGGAAGUUAAGGCUGUCUAGAUUACACAAAGUGCAGCAUCUCUGGAAGGAAAAUGCCGAAUCCAACAAAGUAUUUGCAAAUUUGGAAAGUCUAAAAAUAUCGGAAUGUAGUAAGUUGCAAAAAUUAGUACCACCUUCGUGGCAUUUGGAAAAUCUUGAGGCUUUGAAAGUAUCGAAGUGUCACAGGUUGAUAAAUGUGUUGACGCUCUCAGCAUCUAAAAAUCUAGUGAAUCUCGGAAGAAUGAAGAUAGUUGAUUGCAAAAUGAUGGAAGAAAUUAUACAGUCGCAGGUUGGAGAAGAAACGGAAGAUUGCAUUGUUUUUGGGAAAUUGAGGUACUUGGAACUUGACUGUUUGCCAAGCCUAACAAGCUUUUGUUUAGGUAAUUACGCUCUUGAAUUCCCGUCCUUGAAACAAGUAGUCGUGAGACAGUGUCCAACAAUGAAGAUCUUCUCUCAAGGAGUCUUAGACACACCAAUGCUAAACAAAGUGAACGUCACCGAAGAAGAAAAAGAUGAUGAUGAUGAAGAUGAUGAUGAUGAAGGAUGUUGGGAAGGCAACCUCAAUGACACCAUAAAAAAAUUGUUCAAUGAAAUGGUGAGUAUCAAUUAAGUUUUGGUGCUAUUUAGCAAAUUAUUUUAUAGAAACUAAUGUGAUAUAAUAUGAUUGGUUGACUGAAAAUAUAUAAUAAUAAUAAUAAUAAUAAAUAAAUAAAUAAAUUAUGAGGACCAUGUAAUGUUUUUAUUUAACCAAUCAUAUUAUCUCGCAUUAGUUUAUACAAUAUUGUUUGUGCACAAGAGGUGGUGGUCCUAUCAUUACUCUAGCUUUAUUAUUCUUAUGGUGGCAAUGUAUGCUUGCUUACACGAGUAAUUACAAAAUGUGCAGAAUUCUAAAGAAGAUAUUGAGCCAACCCUUCAGGUACAGUGAAGAAGCUAUCUCGAACCAGGCCAAUCUCUUAUACAUGAUUUAGCUUGCUCGUUCUUCUGUACUUGAAUAAUUUGGUUCUACAUAUUUACAAUUUUUUGCUCAUGCUACAGACGUGCAAGACACUUUGGAUUUUGUUUGAUGCAUUCUCCGUUUAAAGAAAGGACUUGAAUUGAUUUUUCAUGUUUCAUGCAAUAUUCGAUUAGAUUCUGCCUAAAUUUCUGUAUUAUUCUCUUUUAAGCAUUUAAUUUCUAACCUCUCCUGAUAGAAGAUCCUUAGCCUAAGAAAACAGCAUAACAUUUGUGAAAAAGAAUUAAUUAUCUCACACCAGAUUAGAAAAAGAAAACAGCAUAACAUUCGAUUAGAUAAUAAAAUUAUCUCGACCACUGUUAAAAAGAAUUAAUCAGUCAAAUCUCACACCAGCACGCUUUAAAUUAAAAGAAUUUCGUGAAGUCAAGACCAUGUUAUAGAUCUCAUGGAAAGAAGUAAACCCGUAAUCUUUUUCACAGCAUCAUAAGAAAAACCGUUUUUUUUAAGUAUUUUUGUUAGCUGUCGAGUUUUAAUAGUAGUAGCUAUUAAACAAUAACAAUUAGUGUAUAUUAAAAAGUUGGAAACUGGUUGAUACCACUCGGGAAUCGAGCAGUUCACUUGUUUGCGAGUAGAAACCAACUUUACUACUAAUUACACUCCAAAAAUCACUAUUCUUCAUUUUUUAAUGCAAAAUUCCCAUUCGAAAACACCAAUGACUUUCAUUCAAAGUAAAUGAGAAAUUACAAUGAAAAUAGAAUCAAAAUACAUGUAUGUAUACCUAAAACAAAUGAUUUUUUUAAUUAAAAAAAAAACACAGUUGAGGUGAAAUGAAACCAGAGUCAUGAUAUCUCUGGUUCCAACUUUGGGACAACAGCAGACUUGAGUUCUAUAUGAGAAACACGUACAGCACCAAUCAGCCGCUCCGGUAAUUCAUCUGUAGUAUUUGCCUGCAUACAGAAGAGUAAGAUAAAGAAGACACACACGAAGCAUUAUACCAUUCUGAGAACAUUCAAGUAUGCAAAAAUGCAAAUUGCAGUGCAAUAUCUCAAAAUCAUGUCUUUUCCCUUGUGUCCAUUUAGAAGUGGGGGAAAAAAACAAUCAUACAUACCUGUACAAGGAAAGCCAUGUCAACCACCAAUGUCGUAACUACACCAAUUACAAGGCCCAAAACUCCAUUAGCAACAGUAGAAGAACCGAUGUCAACAUUAAUCUACAGAAAGAUGAACAAUGUUAAACCAUGUUAAUGGUAUCGGAUGCUAUUUGAAAGAUGAACAUCUCAUGUACUAUAGAAAUUCCAAGAGCAUUUACUUCUAAGUACUUGGGACCGCGAAUAUAGUUACAAUCAACUGCUUUACCCAAUAAGCAAGGGGUGCUUCCAACACUCUGGCGCACGAUCCAUGACCCCUGCAUGAUUCAGUGCUUAAAAUCAAGAACAAGUGCAAAACAAAUUCAAGAGGGUAAAAAUGGACAUGAAGUUUGAAGGUACAACCCAUCAAUACAUUUACACCUAAAUGCAUGCCUUCUUUGGACAAAUUGAAGUGUACCAUGCAGUAAAGGGUUAGUAUACGUUAAUAUAGUCCUAAUACAUGAAGGCCAAGAUGGAUACCUUAGGAACAGAUGGAAUAAGUUUCAACCUGCUAUUGCGAAACUCAUCAUCGCCAUCAACAAACCGUUGCAAAAGUGAUCCCAUAACCAAUUGCCUUGCGACUAAAUAAAAUACCAUACUAUAAUGUGUUGAUCCAGGAACCUGCAGAUGCUUAGGUUACAACUAUACAACCUCCCAAUACAAUAAGUUUGAAACUUAAUACCUUCUGAAAUGAAACAAACUUACUUGAAGAUUAAAGAUCAGUGAGAAAAGCCCAUUUUCGGAAGCAACCUACAUUUUUUAGAAGAGGGUCAGUGUGUUAUAGAUUCAAUGAACCAUGAGAAGUUAUUUACAUUGUAGUAUCUCACAGGCAGUAUUUUCUCCUAAUGCAUCAAUGGAAAAGGAAAAAUAAAAAGAAAAGAAUAGUUACUUGUGCAGCACAGCCUUGACGCCUAGCUACAUGGUCCAUUCUCUUUGUGUCUUUGAACCAAUCAACAGCAACAAGAUCCAUUAAAUGUUUUCCCGCAGGUAUCUGCAGUUACAAAUUGCACAAAGCACAAGAAGAGCCAACCAAACUACAUCAUAACCUGUCUACCUAGCCUAUGCAGGAUAUAUAAAUACCAUAACAAACAAACAAAAUAUGGGGGAACCUUUGUUUUGUCAUAACAAAAAUGCUUGCUACGAACUCUAAAGUUAUUUCCAUCAGAAAGUUUCCAGCAGUCACGAGCAUUAUCACAGUCAUCGUGUCGUAGAUUGCCCGAAAAACAAGACAAAUCAAUUUGAUCAGCCUGCUCUUCCUCUAGGGCUGCAACUAAUUGAAAUUUUUUUUUUUUUAAAAAAAAAGAUCAAUACCAUAAAAAUCCACUAGCCAAAUAUACAAAAAUGAAUACUUAUCAUCCACCUGUCCUCUUGAAAUCAUUCUCAAUCUUUUUUUCAUUUGCCUGAAAUCCCAAGGAAAAAUAUGUAACUAAUACUUCCCAUUCAUGAAUAUUGUCUAUCGUAUAAACAUGACAUUUUUAAUUGGAAUAAUAAAAUUAUUUAAUUAUUUUAAUUAAAUGUUAAUCCUACAAAUUAUUUUUGUUAAAUCUAGCAAGAAUAACUAAAAUUUCUUUAAGAUAUAUUUUGGUGGUAAAUUAAAAAAAAUUUAAUUAUUUGGCGGGAAUUAUUGAAAUUGGAGCCAUUUUUUUUUGUGGGAAUUGAAAUAUAUUCUUUAAAUUAUUACAUAAAUAGCAAAAUGUACAUACACACACAUAUAUAUAAUUCAUAUAUAAAAAUUCUCUAAUUUGUUCACAAGUACCAUAGAUUAUAAUUCAGUUAUGAAAUAAAAUAACUACAAUUAUUAUAGUUAAAUGAAUACUUCAUUAAUUCUUAAUUUGCUUCCUAACAUUAAAUGAACAACUUGAGUCAGCCACCUGAAUUAACCAGUAACAACGCCUGAGUCAACCAUCUGAAUAAACCAGCAACCCUAGCUGAUUCCAGCACCUGCAAUUAACGUCAGCACAACAGGAACAAUCUUAAAUCAACACCAAGAACAGACCAAACUGCUGUCAAAUGUCACAAAACCAAACAGUCUGCUACUGCCAUCAAAUGCAAGCAAACAUAUGCAACAAAACCAGAUGCAAGUGAAAUUCUGGAGAAUAUCGGAUAAACCAAACCAAAUGCAACACUUCUAGUAAUUAGACUAGAUGCAGUGUUCAAUUAAACUAAAUGUAGUCUCAUAUUACAUUCAAAAUUUCUAAAAGAAGCAGUGUUCCAUCAGAGAAGCACCAAAACCAAACCAAUCUAAUCCAGCAUAAUUACCAGCUCAACCCAAAACAAUUACACAUUAUAUUGACAUAUCAAAAUUCGCUAUCAAAACAUAGCCAAAUAAAUGAAAAUAAACUCAAAACAGACCCAAACCAACUGAUGUUGCAGCCCUAGUAGUCGUUGUCCGUUCCACUGCCAUGGGAGCGAGGGUAGGCUCCGUUGUCGAUGAGUGAGUAAGAUAAGGCUCCAAAUAAAUAGUUCCACCUCCUUUCUGCAAUUCAAAAAACAGAAAUUCAUAUAUGUAAAACUAUUAAAAAGUGUGAAACAACCUGUAAGUAUUCAACUUCUGUCAACUCAAUAGCACUUACUAAAGUUUUUAUACAGAAGAAAAAGGCAUUUUAAGUCCAAAAAAUUAGAAUUAUUGGUUGAACUCCAACUCCAUCAAUCCAUGCAACCAUCCAAUCUUUAACGAAAAAAUGAAGCAUAAUUAACCAGACAUCUGAAUCAGAAAGAUUGUGCUUUCAUUUGGCACGAGGUGUUGGAAACAACUUAACAAAUCUAGACACAAUCUAUAACCAUCAAGUCCAAACAAAAGUCAGGAUCUAAAAUACUUUGAAAAAUCAGAAAAGCAGUUUCAAUUUCUUUUUCAUCCAUUGUAAGCUCAAACUAAAGGUAGCCGCGCUACCUUUAAACAUCAUUUGGGCUUAUACAUGCGACAUUUGCUCAUGAACAACUAAAGUUGAAUAAGAUUUUUAUAUGAAACAGAAUAUAAAAAGUCAAAGUAGAAUAUGACAGGAGCUACAAUAUAUUAUUCAGCAUCAGCAUUAUGUAUAAAAUAAAUUUAGAGGCAUUAUAUUCAUUCACAAUCUUGCAGAGGUAACACCAGAUUAUGGCACGCAUCUCUUGAAUAGCAGAUAAAGGAGGAGAUGCAGUGGGAAGGUAGUAACUUGCUUGCAUGAGAACUAGAAAGUAAUAUCCCAAGAUCAAUUAUAGAUCUCAUAAAACAAAAACAGUGAGGCAAACACAAUUAUACAAUCCAUCUGUCAAAAGGCUAAGCAUAUGAAUAUACAAUCAACACCAUUCUUCCAAACGAAUAUAAAGUCAACACCAUUCUUCUAAACACAAACAAAGUUUGAACGUAUGACAGAUUUUUAGCUAUUUAAUAUUCCAUCAAAGAUAAUUAGAUAACACCUACCAAGGAUUUUUGAAAAGAAUGCAUUCUCAUCUUAAGCAGCAACCUCACCAGUAACACAUUUUCAUACCCUGUUUCCACCUCUGGUCGCACCACCAAAAAAAUUCAGUACUAAUUAGCUUCAACAGAAUCUGUUUUUUUUAUUUUUUAUUUUUUCCAAAAUAAACCUCCAUUCUUAUACAUAAAAUUAAAAUAUCAAUUAAAUACACAAAGUCUAUGCUUACUAGUAAAACACGUCCAUUUUUAGGUAGAGGCAGAUAAUAAAAGAAAAUUGAAACUGAGAUAAAAUAAGAAGAGCUUACUAGGUGCAUUUGAUCAACAAUCCAAUCCUCAACGAUGGAAUCGAUGCCAUCAAAUAAACAUGACUUAAUCUUGAAACCAUAAACUGCACUAAGCAUAGCACCAAAGCCAGAGCGUGACUAUAAAGAAGAAAAAUAAAAAGAAGGAAAAGAAGAAUUAAAUCAACAUGAAAUUCAACUGGAACAAUACAAAAUAUGAAAUUUUUAGCAAUCUUACUAGCGUUAGGGUUAAGGCUUACCAUAGAGAACUGGAUGGCGCUAACUAAAUGACAAGUUGAAACGGCAUCUGCAAUCGUAUUGAAUGACAUUGAACCGCGAGGUAGGGUUUAAAUGAAUACCGAGCAGAGAUAAAUUGGUGUGGUGAAUUAGGGUUUUGUGGCUACGUUUUAUUUCGAUUGAAAAAAGGAAUUUGAGCUUUUGCUUUAAUUCAACGGUGUCGUUAAUUUAAACAUUCAUUUUAGGUUGCAGUGGCCAGUGGAGAGAGGGGGAUUCAUUCAACGCUUAGCCAAAAUUUGGCUGUAAGUGUUGAUGUGUUUUAAGUUAUACAGAACGGUGUCGUUAAUUUAAACAAUACUGUUUUACAAUCUUAUAAGAUCACAAAACCUAAGCAUGACUUAUAUGUAUCAUUUAUUUAGGACGGUUAAGUUAUAAGUCAUGAAUAUGUCAUAUAUUCUGGACAUAUGAAUAUAUAUUAUGAAUCUAUCAUAUUUUUAUGACACAUUCGUGACACAAUGAUAUAUGUCAUCAAAUUUACGUCAUUAUUUAAUAUUUUUCUAGUGGUGUCAGAUUUUUGAAACAUUUUUGUUAAUAGCAAAAACUCUAAUCCUUUAGCAAAAGACUAAAAAUUAAAAAAAAAAUCUGUUUAAAUAUCAGUUGGCUCAUGAUCAACACUUCAAUAUUGUUUGUUGUAUUUUCUUUCUUUCUUUCUUUGUCAUUUUAUUAGAUUUUUUUUGUAUCAUAGUUUGUUUUGCUUAAGUAAUUGUUCAUUGUUUAUGUCUGUGUUCUUACUAACAGAGUAAAAGAUUUUGAGAGAAUGAAUUGCACCCUUUUCCAUUGAUUGUAAGACUUUUAUAUGCAGCAAUAUAUAUAACAACUGUGCCUAUUUUAAAGAGAUAAGAUAACAGAAAGAUAUACUUUACAUUUGAAUUAGUUUGAAUGAGUAAACUAGAUAGGUCCCAUAUUCUAAGAGGAGAAUCUGCUGACACUUACUGGCUUUUGAUAAUUUAUGGUUGGUUUUUUAUUCAGACCCUCGAAGUACCUUUUUGUUAAUAUUAAAACCUCUGAUCCUUAAGAAAGAAAAAAAAAUUCUCUAUUUAGUUAUUAGUUAGUUCAAGAUCAAUAUAGCGAUAUUGUUUGUGGUCUUUUCAUUCUCUAUCUUUCCCUCUAGUUCAUUUUAAUUUAUUUGUAUUCCUUUCUUUGACACUUGUAUUUAUAUAUAUAUAUUGUUAAGCAACAGGCAAUGGCUGUUGAAGGGUGUCUCCCUGCUUUUUCCAGCAUUGUAUCACAAGGUUCAAAAGCAUUAUUCGAACCGAUUAUGCGGCACAUAUCUUAUGUGUUCGAGUACCAAAGCUACAUAGAUGGGCUAAAAGAUUGAGUGAAGGAGCUGGAAUAUAUAAGAGAAAGGGUGCAAACGCUGGUUAGAGAGGCUACUCUACAAGGAGAUGAGAUUUAUAAGGGUGUCUGAGACUGGCUAAAUAGAGUUGCUGAAUUCAGUGAAGGGGUUGCAAAAUCCAUCAUUGACGAUAAAGAUAGAGCUAAGAUAGAGCUAAGACUGAGCAUGAUUGCAAAUGCACGAUUGCAAAUGCAUUGGAUCAAUUAAGAAGUUCCAAUCUAGGAGAAAUUCAAGGAAUGCGUGCAGAUGUAUAAACCUCCAUAAAAUUGUUACGACUUGAAGGAUUGUAUAUAAGCAUUAAAUUGAUCUAAUUUAAUUUGUAUGUAAACAUUAAAUUGUAUAUAAAUACACAGAACAGAACCAUAUCAGUGUUGGAAAAAAAAAAAAAAAGAAUCCAGAGUUAUAUAAAUUCAAUAAAAAAUUACUGAAUUUUUUAUUACUAACUUUGAACACUCUAAUUUCAAUAAAAAAAUUAUAUUACUAAAAUAGUCUUAAUUGAAUUUACUAUUAAAGACAUUAGAAUAACUCAACACUAAUAUUCUAAAAUAUAUUUCUCUCCAUAGUCUAAUCUAAUCCAUUCUAAGAAUCCUAUAGAAAAUAUAUUAUUUACUUUUUCCUUAUUAAACACAAAAACAUGUCAUUUUGUUGCUAACUAAAAUUUUGGAACUAACAACAGCAGAUUAACAAAAUUAUCAGAAAAAGAAAUCAAACAAGAUUUUAAUCGUCGUCAUCUUCACUCUUGUCUUUUUCUUUUUCUUCACACAUGUGGCUUGCACACGCAUUCCCCUCUCUCAUCCUUAGGGCCGCCCUUCAACAAUAUCCAAUCAUCGAUUAUAAUUAUUUAGAUUGACCAAAUCAAGCAUUGAUCAUAUAUUGGUUGAGGUUAGAAAUAGGCAGGCAGCAGCGAUAAUACUACUAAUUAAUAUCUCAUGAGAAUUUUAAAGAAAAAUCUAACGUUGUCAAAUUCGUUUGAUUUCAAUGAAGUCUUUCUCCUACUUAUACUUUCACAUAUUCUCUUUUAUUUCCAAAGUUAAGGUUAUGGAUGUUGUAGAGUAAAAAGAUGAGCAUUGCUAGGAAAGCAAUAAAAGGAAAUAAAUAAAAAUUAAAAAUAUAAAAAGAGUUAAGUCAUUUUUUUUUCUAUUAGUGUUUUUGUAUUUAAUAACGAAAGAUAAAAAUAAAGUAGAUAUUAUCUAUUGGAUUAUUAAAAUAACACAGGUAUAACACAUGUCAAAAUCUCGUUAUUAUAAUAUUAGAAAAGGUUAAAUUAGGAGAAUAUUCAAAUCGGCGAAAUAAUUAAUAAAUCGUAUUUAUUAAUCAUCCACCCAAUUCAUGCAUACCCAAAUGGCCGUCAACGAGCUAACCAAAUCCCAGCUUGUUGUAAUCUGGGUUGGGCUUUUUGGGCGAUAAUUAACUGCCCGAGCUGCUCAUCUACCCCAAUAGAGCCUAACAAAAAUUUUCGCCUAAGCUUCACAAAAAUGUUCAUAAAUCUUUUUUUUUUUGGUAUCAUAAAAACAUAAAUUUAUUUCAAACACUUUUGGAGCUUAAUAAAAAUUUCCCAACAUUUCAUCUGACAAAGGUAGUUUAAAAGUGUAUUCGUUAAAUUCUAAAAUACAUACUUAAAAUCUUUUAGUGAUAAUCUAAUUAUAAAUUAAGGGUCUAUUUGGGAUUGAGAUUGAACAGUUAAAAUGUUAUAGUUGUUGUAGUUUAGAAGUUAAGAUGAUUUGAUUUUACACUUAUAUGAUAAAAAAUUUAUUAUAUCUUUUCUAAUUUUAUCAAAAUUAUUAUUAAAAAAUUAUAUUUAUUAUAUACUAUUAACUUUUAUUUUAUACUUAAAACUUUUUUUUCUUACGGCAAAAGUUUUAGCACCUCAAUACCCAACCAAGUCUAAAACUGCACAAAUAUAAUUAUGAGUGCGAAUGUUAAAAUCUACACACAUUCGUACUUGAUAAUUUCAAUCAACAGUGUUACAAACUUAGUUAAAAUAUUAUAUCUGAAAUUAUUGAGGGAAAAAAAAAAAGAAAACGAAUGUUGUUUUCAUGAUAGUGACAUGUGUCGUGCACAUUUUGCUGUUGGCUCUUUGGUCUCUAAGACUCUAACCCAGCGAAUAGGUUGUUGUGUCCUCGUUGUUAGAUGCCCGAACCCAGCGCAAGAACUUUGUACGAUACAUGGUGCGUUUGGGAUUGAGGUGCUGUAGCUUUUAAGCUAUAGUUGAUGUGAAAAAAAAGCUGUAAUUAUGAAACAAAAGUUAAUAAUAUAUAGUAAAUAUAAAUUUUAAAUAAUAAUUUUGAUAACAUUAUUAAAAAUAUAAUAAAUUUUGUAUUAUACAAGUGAAAAACCAUAUCAACAUAGCUUAAAAGCUACAGCAGCUAGUGUUUACCAAACACUUUAGUGUUGUAGCUUUUAAGUUACAGCUACCCAACCUCAAUCCCAAACGCACCCACAAUAUAUUUUAUGAAAGUGAUGAUGUUGCCAAUAAAGAUGAGUAAUAAACCAAACGGCGUCGCUUCCCUAACCUGUUAGAAAUAUCAACGCCCAUUGUCGCCCUCUCGUUCCAUUUAUUCAUUUAGCCCGGUCAGGGGAUUGACGAAUUAAAUAAACAACAAUAAUCGUCCGAUCCCCGCAGAUUGCCACUCAUAUUUAAUCCAACGGCUAGGAUAUGAACCCCUCUAUAACUUUUAUUUGUCGAAUCAGCCGCUCUCUCUAUUAAAAUUAAUUUUUUUUUUACAACGGCCGACGAGUGCUGACGUAUCAGAGACGCUUCACCAAUCAAUAAAAAAAUCAAUUGAAAAGGACGGUAUAGUGAGUGGAAGAGAAAUGCCAAUGGCAGAUCAAGGGAUGAAGAUACGAGCUCACUUGCAACGUGGUAUAGUUCAUCAUGGCUUUCCUAUAAGUUCAGGUCCUUUGAAUACUUUCAAUGAUCUUAUUAGUCAGAAAUUCAACAAUAAUUUUUACUUUUUACAUCCAGGAACAGUUUUAAGCACAAGCAAAUCAGGUGGUCAAUAGGCCUCAUAUGUUAGCAAGGUCCCCGUUUUGGUCACUUAAGUCCCAUAUGUUAGGAAGACUCCCUUUUUAUUUUUGGUAUUACUUAUGAUAGCAAAUCCUCUUUUUUAGGCCUCUUUUUAGUUAGUAAUUAUCUUAUAAUGAAGAAUUUUGUAUUUUGUUACACAUUUUAUAUUUGAUAACCUUAAUAUUAAAGAUCUCUAAUUGAUAGUAUUAUCUAAUUGUUAAUUUAUUAUUAGUUUUUCCAAAAAAAAAUAAAUUCUUUAUCUAUUUAAAAAGGUUAAUUAAUUAACAUUAUAAAAAAUUUUGUGCUAUUCUCUAUACAGAAAAUUAUUACAUUUAUUACUUCACUUCUGAAUUAAAAAAAAAAAAAAGAUUUAUUGAAAUAAUAGUUCUAGAGGAAGUAAAAAAGAUAUCUUCUUGAUUAUUUUUCUUUUUUGAACAUUUUAACUAUCUUGUUGAUUGUUAAUAUUCAAGAUAUAGUUAAAAAUUGAUUGAAUUCUAAGCUCUUUUAUGUUUCUUUAGGUGUUGAAGCUGCUGAAUGUAAGGAGCCCUCGUAAAACAAUUCCCAUAACGCCCCUAAUACUCUAAGGUCGACCCUGUGUAUAUCAUAUUACUAAUAAUGUAUAUCAUAUUUUUAAUAGGUCUUCAUUUUAGGCUAAAGUACUUGAACAAUAGUUCCCAUGCACUUUGUGAUCUUAUUACAAAAUAUUAAACUAAAUAGCUGUGGAAGUAACAAAGAGGGCAACUUUUUACCAUAAUGUGAUGAAAAUAAUUCAUUUGUCAUCACGAACUAACCAAAUCAAAACAAAAAACUAAUUAUCAUAUGGUUCAAAUCUGUGCAACAAUGGUGCAUUUAAAAGGAAAUAAUGUACAGUUAAAAUUUGUGCUUGUAACAAGAACUCUUCUCUUCAAGCCAACAAUUCCACCUAGGAGAGGAAGUGUUUUAGGCGACACUUUCCAACUAAUGAAAGCAGUGAGCUCUCAAACUCUGUUAUCAUUUUCUACUACUUGAAAAAGAGAGAAAGAGAAACGAGAGGAAAAACAGGUCUCCUCUGUUUUCAUUUUGGUGAUUGCAAAUAAUAUUUUUUUUUACUUUUACUCUUUAUUUAUUUAAUUUUUAAAAAAAAACUUUUAGCUCAUUAGUUCUUGUUCUUGUUAAUGCGUCUAAUAACUUAUAUGAUGAUCUGAUCAUAUCCGUAACAUUAACAUACCCCCAUAAUCCGUUAUUUUAUAAUUAUAAAAUUUGAAGAUUCGGUCAUGCAAUUUUGUAUGAUGAACAGUGUGUUCAUUUUUUCUGUGAAACAUAAGAACAAUUUGUAAAUAAUGUCCAUGCGGACCUUGUAAUAGCGAAGCAUCAUUAUUGAUCUUACUUUGAUGAUCGCACUUUAGUUUCUUUUUAAAGUGCCUUUUGUUUAUUUUAUCGGCAUCCGCUUUUACAAAAGUUUUGGUCCUCGUUCAUUCAUCAAAGCUUCUACUUUUAUCUUUUAUUAGUAAUCUUACAAAAAGCUUAAUUUAAUUGGAAUCAUGUUCGAUAUGAAGAUUGUUUUACUUACUUCAGUAAUCUUUCAAUCAACCGAAUUUAUACUUGGUCAGUAGGACAACAGUGACCAAGUACAUAAUAUGAAAAUUCAUUUGUAUUGCUUACUCUAAUAAGCUCUUAAACUCACACAUUCCUCUGCAGUUACCAGUGAUCUUUUGCUCACUAAAAUUGUUAAUAUAUAUUCAAGGUGAAUAAAGAAACUCAUCAUCCCAGAUAAUUAAAGAGGUGAACUUGUUCUAAAUCCUUUAAUAAUUUCUAUUAAUAGCAUAUAUAAUCUCUAAUCCUUGAUCUUGGUAGUAGUUCUUUCUUAAUGUCCAAGAAAAAUAUCUCUCAUUUGUCUUAAUCUUGUCAUUUAAUUUUCUUGAAUUCUGAGUUAGUGUUUAUUGUUAAAUUCGGUUUUCGGUUAGUAGCUGUUGGUUAAUAGCUUCGGUUAAUCCUUGAAUUAAACAUAUUAAAAUCUAAUCAUAAACCCGCCUUUCCCUAUUUUACAACACCCUUUAUGUAAUAGUGACUUCAAAAGUGUAACAUAUUUUGAACAAUUGCAAGGAAAGAACAUAUUUGACACUUCACAAAACGGUAAAGAUAUAAGCUUCAAUUCUUGUCCAACAAAUUAAUAUAACUAACGUCAAUUGAUCAAUAAUUCAGUAACAAAAAGGGGCAGAUAUCCUAGUCUUUCUUUACUAAUGAAGCAAGCCAUUAAACUUCGAAAGCUAUUUCUAUUUCCACAUUCUUCAUGUACCAAAGCCAAAAAAAAAAAAAAAAAAGCAACAAAAAUUUGGAAGUAAUCAUCUUUAUUCAGCAGCAUGCAUAUUAAUUAAAACAUAUUCAAAAAGAAAUAUACAAUAUCAGGUCUGGAGACGAAAUGAGCCCACAGAGACUACCAAUAAUGUAACGGCUUGAUUAAAAAUAUUAAUCAAGCCACUACAUUAGAAGAACAAGAGUUAAUCAUGCAUAGUAAUUAAAAAUAUUUUUGCUAUCAUCCACCUGUUCUCUCUAAAUAGUUGUCCCUUUUUUUUUUCUUUUGCCUGAAAUUCCAAGCAAAAAUAUAAUUAGAAGAUCAAGAGUUAAGGGUUAAAAAAAUGGAAAAAGAGGGCUCCUCUGUUUUCAUUCCCCUGUUUUUCUGUUCGGUGAUUACAAAGAUUUAAAUCAAAAUUUAUGAUGCAGGCUACACGGCACCUGGUGGAAGACUGCUAGGGUUUACCUUUUAUUCUUAGUUAGAAAUUUAAUUUAGAAUUUGUAGUGUGCGCCUUAUAUAAGUAGGUUUCCUAAUAGUAAAAUUAAAUAAUCUAAGUUUAUGAUGCACUAGGAUAUGAUUGUGAUAAAUGAGCUUUUUAUGUAUCCUCUGAGGUUGAUCAUUAUUUUACUACAUUGAAGAUUCAGUUAUCUCUUUGUAAUACUCUGGACUUCACAUACUAAACAGAAUGGAGCAUUAUUUUAUCCCGCUAAAUCAGUUUUUUAUUUUUUUAAAAAAUAAUUCAUCAAACACUUUAUAGCUCUGGUUUUAAGUUGGUAAACACUUUAAGCCGCAACUUUAAAUUCAGUUUACGAGAAUCCCUAACAGUCACAGUGGCUGAACCUAUCCAGACUAAAACCAGAUCAUGAAAGCUUAUAUACACCAAGAGAUUUAUCUAGAAAGUACCGCCGGCAGCCAGUUCAUUCGUUUCUGAGUUUGUUUCCAGAAACCCGGAAACUCCCCUGUUUCUGCAAACAGGGCUUCUUUGUUUUCAGUCCCCUGUUUUUCCAUUUGGUGAUUGUAAAAAUUUAAAUCUAAAUUUUUGAUGCAGUCUACACGGCACCUGCUAGAUGAUUGUUAGGGUUUAUCGUUUAUUCUUAAUUAUGAAUUUAAUUUAGAUUCGUAGUGUGCGCCUUAUGUAAGAUUAAAUAGAAUAAUGUAAAAAACAAAAGAAAAAAAGGCCUUUCUUAAUUUUGACUUCAUAAUGUUGCAGCAACCGUCCUCUGUUAUCAUUCCCCUGUUCUUCAGUUUGUUGAUUGCAAAUAACAUUCUUUGUAUCUACUCUUUAUAUGUUUAUUUUUUAAUUUUUAAGUCAUCAAUUCUUGUUCUUCUUAAAGCGUGUAGUAAAUUAUAUGAUCAUCUGAUCAAAUCCCUCACAUUACAUACAGCAGAAUCUGUUAAUGGAAUUUAUUAUUUUAUCAUAAUUAAACAGAAGAUUUGUUCAUGCAGUUUUGUAUGACGAGGAGAUUUCAUUUUUCUGUCAAAUACAAGAACAAUUUGUAAAUAAUGUCCAUGAAAGCUUGAAUGAAGAAUGGCAUUUAAUAAUUUUAGAAGAAUAUUGGCUUAUAGAGCAUAUUAGUAGGGAUAAGAUUUGUAGGUGUCUGGUAACGGAAAAAGGAGAAAAAAAAUGGAGAGUGGAGGCAUUACUUUUAUCUCAUCCUUAACUUCAGUAAGUGGAGGAGAACAAAGGGGAAAAGAGGGGAGUGGGGCAUGACCUUAAAAGGAGGAUUUAUUUAUUUUUUCGGGGUCUGCAGGGCAUCUUUUUCUCUCUUCCUCUCAUGGAAAAUCCUUUCUUUUACACUCUAUUUCAUUUUUCUGCAAAUUACUCAAAAAGCUUUUGGUUUUUAAGGUAAUGUUUAUUAAGCCAUAUGAGUGGUAGCACAAGUUUUUUGGCAAAGGCCCAGAAACUAACUUGAGCGUCGGAGGGUUCACGCCGGAAAAACUUUCGGCGCCUUUGACCGUCUUCUAUGAUUUUAAGUAUUCGCAAGUUAAUCGCUAGUGGUUGCAGGACAUCUUGACGAUUGACCAAUCGAUUCUCUACCAAAUAAAUCUAAUGCUGGUGUAGAAGUCUGAUAUUAAGUCGCUAAUAGACUAGAUCAGAUUUGGGCAUCAACAUUUGGCACCGUCUGUGGGGAAUCGGUACAAAAAGCCAACUUCUUGUCUCUACCAAUUUUGCAUCCGGCCAAGCCAAAGGCAGAAUAUUAUCAUGCACAAAUUGAUAAGCUGGCUCAAACACGGAAGCCUAUCAAGGCUGGAUGGAAUGCUUACCUGUAAAGGUUUUGGCUUAUUUAUUGCUUUAAGUAUAUUGUUAUUAAAAUUCAAUUUCCAAUUGCUAUGAUGAUUGAUUUAUCAACUGAGAGAUGCUUGGAAAUUCUUUAAUAACAUGCAUGUUUCAAUACCGUGCAUGAUAUAUUUGCUGAAAUUGAAUAUUAUCCCUUGGAAUUCGUUGAUAAUGUUCCUUCACAAAAUUAGCUUGUUAGAAUGGGCUUCAUUCAUGAUUCAAGAUUACAUGCUAUUAUACUUGCAAAUGAAUUAAUUUAGUAUUUUCCAACAACAUGCUUGACAUAAUGUUAACAGUUCAGAUUUAUUAUGGCUAAUUAUUCAGCUUCGUUAUGGCUAAUUGGAUGUAUAAUGCUGCUACCAUCAUUAUUUUGCUGAUGUAUUUAUAUUUCUUGAUUGAUUGUUCUCUUUUCAUCGAACUCAAGAUAUAAAGUCUGUUCAAAAGAGCAAUCGAUUUGCGGUAUUAUCAAUGUUCAAUUUCUUAAAAUAAAGAUCACACAAAUUGUUAAAUUCAUUUGGUGGUAAGCAUAAAAAAUCCACGGAUCUUUGGUUUCUUCAAGAUAUUUCCUGCUGGUUUUACACCCCAUCAAUCAAUCAUGCAGCUAGUUUUCAUGUGAAGAAUAUGCAGGGAAAGUAUUUAGACAAUUCUGGUAUGAAACUCGGUUCAUUACAAGUUGAGGCAGAAUUGUUAAAAUUCAAAUCAGGAGCUGUUCGUUAAAUCGCCUCAAGGGAUAUGAAAGUUCAAAAGUGAGUUUGUUGCUGAUUACACUACAUACACUACAUAUAUGCUUGAGAGAAUGUUGCCCAGGAGCCAAGAUCUAAACCCAUGUUCUGUUUCAGUUUAUUCAAUAUAAGUAUCAAACUGAUUGAGAGCAUGAGUUAUUCUUAACCAUAGCUUUAUUAUAUUUUCGCAAAGAGAACAUUAGAAAUUAUGCAUAUAUACGCUGUCUUUUGAUAGUAGCUGUCAUCCACAUUGCACAAAUUCUCAUAAUCGUUAAUGAGUGUUGGAAGAAGUAUAAUUAGCAUAAUCUGGAUGAGGCCGAGUAUUGGUAUUUUGGCUGACUUUAAUAAUGGUUUUAAAACAAAACAAUUUUUUAUUGAUGAUGAGAAUUGAUAGGCAUGUCUUCAAGCUUCAAAGAAUUGAUGAAGUUGGAUUUUUGUUUCCUUCAUAUUUUAUUCGUUUUGUGCCCGUGUUAAAAUAUUGCAAGAAUAAUUCUAAGAAGGGAGCAAAGCAGAGUCAAGCUCGGGAUUUGUUUGAUGAAGUACUAAUGAAAUAAUGCAGAGCACAAUCUCAGGUGCACUUGUUCUAAAACCUCAGUUUUAUAUUUAUCCUUUAAAUCCACUACCUGACUUAAAAAAUCUGAUGGAUGGGGUUUUGACUUAUUAAGUCGUUAAUAGAAAAUAGUUAAGAUUACAUAUUAUAGAUUAUAUAGCAUAGUCAUAUAUUAGCACACAACAUGCUUGACCGAAGGAUUGAUGGAACUUGGGUUAGCAUGAGAUCGUAUUUCCUUGAUACAGUGAUAUGACUUUGCUUAAACUUUUAUGGUACCAUUUAUAUAAUAUGAUUUAUUUUAUAUAUAAAUUUUAAUAUCUUUAGUGUUGGUAAAUGGUGCUCUGCACCUUUAGCAAAGGUCUUUAAUAAUAUUGCUAACCAAAUAUUAUAGAUGGUAAUAAAAACACCAAGGAUGUUUAUCCAUCAAAGGCCCAAACAUAUAUAAAUAGCUAAAGCGCAAGUUGUAAAUGUGAGCUAUUUUCUGGACAAGUUAUAAGUUAUAAGUCCGAAAUUAAAUUUUUGAUGGUUAUCUAUAUUUAAGGAUUUAAAGCAAAAACCUCAAAUAAGAACACAUUGAAGGCACGCAAAGGCUCUAAAGUCUCAAAGCCUGUUUUAUGGUGAGACAGGAAGCCAAGUAUGCCAGGAUCUGCUCGACCAAGCGAAGGCGAGCAGACCAAAAAAGUUUCAAAAAUCUUCUAAGGCACGCAAAGGCUCCAAAGUCUCAAAGCUUGUUUUAUGGUGAGACAGGAAGCCAAGCAUGCCAGAAUCUGCUUGACCAAGCGAAGGCGAGCAGACCAAAAAAGUUUCAAAAAUCUUCUAAGGCACGCAAAGGCUCCAAAGUCUCAAAGCCUGUUUUAUAGUGAGACAGGAAGCCAAGCAUGCCAGGAUCUGCUGGACCAAGCGAAGGCGAGCAGACCACAAAAGUUCCAAAAAAGUUUCUAAGGUAAGCAAAGGCUCCAAAGUCUCAAAGCCUAUUUUAUGGCGAGACAGGAAGCCAAGCAUGCCAGGAUCUGCUGGACCAAGCGAAGGCGAGCAGACCACAAAAGUUCCAAAAAAGUUUCUAAGGCAAGCAAAGGCUUCAAAGUCUCAAAGCCUCCUUGAUGGCGAGACAGGAAGCCAAGCUCGCCAGAAUCUGCUCGACCAUGUGAAGGCGAGCAAAAAAUGAGAAUUCCAAAACAGUUUCUAAGGCAAGCAAAGGCUCCAAAGUCUCAAAGCCUCCGUGAUGGCGAGACAUGAAGCCAAGCUCGCCAGAAUCUGCUCGACCAUGUAAAGGCGAGCAGAGAACAAAAAUCCCAAGAAAGUUUCUAAGGCACGCAAAAGACUUCAAAGUCUCAAAGUCUGCUCGAUGGCGAGACAAGAAGUCAAGCUUGCCAGAAUCUGCUCAACCAUGUGAAGGCAAGCAGAAAGUUAAAAAAAAAAAAAGUGUACUUCAAGUAAAAGGCUUAUAGUCUCUAAACCUCCUCGCAGUGAGACGAAGUCAAAGUUUGCCUGCUCUUGCCCGACCAAGAUUAGGCGAGCAAGAGUUAUAUGAGUGAAAAAUAUUCUAAAGCAGAUAAAUGACUGAGUCUCAAAACCUACUUCAGGUGAGAUAAAUACGUGAACUUAUGAAACCUGCUUUACAUAAUUAUGCAAGUAGGAAAAUGGUAUAUUUAAAGGCAUGUAAAAGUUUAAAACUUGAAAUUUUUUGCUAAUAGUAAGGUUAAUUUUAGCAAUCCCGAGCCGAUUUAUGCCAACCACAUCGAGGUCACUUUAAAAUUCAUAUAGUUUCCAGUCUUGAUUCGUUAAAACUCUCAACAUUAGAAACUGGGGGACUGGUGUUUGGUAACGGAAAAAGGAGAAAAAAAUGGAGAGUAGAGGCAUUACUUUUAUCUCAUCCUUAACUUCCGUAAGUGGAGGAGAACAAAGGGGAAAAGAGGGGAGUGGGGCGUGACCUUAAAAGGAGGAUUUAUUUAUUUUUUCGGGGUCUGCAAGGCAUCUUUUUCUCUCUUCUUCUCAUGGAAAAUCCUUUCUUUUACACUCUAUUUCAUUUUUCUGCAAAUUACUCAAAAAACUUUUGGUUUUUAAGGCAAUUUUUAUUAAGCCAUAUGAGUGGUGGCACAAGUUUUUUGGCAAAGGCCCAGAAACUGACUUGAGCAUCGGAGGGUUCACGCCGGAAAAACUUCUGGCGCCUCUGACCGUCUUCUAUGAUUUCAGGUAUUCACAAGUUAAUCGCUAGUGGUUGCAGGACAUCUUGACAAUUGACCAAUCGAUUCUCUACCAAAUAAAUCUAAUGCUAGUGUAGAAGUCUGAUAUUAAGUCGCUAAUAGACUAGAUCAGAUUUGGGCAUCAACAGUAGGAUGCCUGAUAAAAGAUAAAGCAAAAGCUUGAAUGAAGAAUGACAUUUUUAGAAAGAAACUAAUGUGCAAUGUAAUAAUCAAAGUAAGAUCAAUAAUGACUUGAUCAGUUAUGCUUUUUAUUAUUUCAUUUAUUCUAUCCUAUCCCUACUAAUAUGCUCUAUAAGCCAAUAUUCUUCUAAAAUUAUUCUAGCACAACAUGUAUUUAUUCGUUAAAAACUUCAACUUAAUUAUUUCAUUACAGGAUAUGAAACACUGAGCCAUAAACUAGUGCUUUCUUCAACUUAAUUAUUCUCACUGCAUAUUUUUUAAGGCUUCGUCUUUUGUCUUGAUUCUGGACUUCAAAAUUAAAUCUUAAAAAUCGGGUAUAAUAGGGGUACGUGAUUAAGUCUUCCUCUUUUGCAAUUCACUGUUAUUACUCUCAUCAAUUCAUUCUUUUGAUAGCAGUUCUUACUUAAUAUCCGAAGCGAAUAGAGGAGGUCAUCGACUCUCUGAUCCCAUAUAAAUAAAGAGGUAUACAUGUUCUAAAUCCUUUAAUAAUAUCCUUUAAUAGCAGUUCUUACUUAGUUUUCAUCUACUUUCCAAGAAAAAAUUUCUCUGGUUUGUUUUAAUCUUGUCAUUGGUUUUGCUUGAGUUUCAAAUUAUUGUUCAUUGUUAAAGUCUGUGAUCUUAUUAUAUGGCUUUAGUUAAUUAAAAAAAAAGUCUGGGAUUUUAUUCAGACCCUUGAAACCUUUCAGUUAAUAGCAAAAACUCUAAUCCAUGAGCCCGGGGGGGGGGGGGGGGGGGGGGGGGGGGGGGGGGGGGGGGAAGAAAAAAGAAGAAGAAAGAAUUCCCUGUUUAAAUAUCAGUUGGUUAAAUGUUGUGUGUUUGCUGUCUUUUACUUGUUUGUUUGUUUUUCAUUUUAUUAGAUUUGCUUUUUACUUGAAGAUUAAAGAUGAGUAAGAAUUUUUUUUUUCUUUUCUGAAGCAGCCUACAAAUUUUAGAAUAGGGCUAAGAGUAAUUACAAAUUCAAUUAACCACAAAAAGUUAUUUAUAUUUAUCGCUUGUAAAAUUAAGUUUAUCAUCCCAAAUAGAGUUGUUUGCAUUAGAAGUUUUCUAGCAUUCAUGAGCUUUAUCAUCAUAUCACAAGAUUGCCUGAAAAACAAGAUAAAUCAAUUUGAGCAACUUGCUCUCUAUUGAUUUUUUUUUUUUUUUUUGCCUGAAAUACUAGGGAAAAUAUUAUAUAAGAACAAGAGUUAGAUGAAAAAAAAGUUAAAACAAGUUUUCUGUGUUUUCAUUCCCCCUGUUUUUUUGUUUGGUGAUUGAAAAUUUUAUAUCUAAAUUUUUAUGACUUCCCGUUGGGAUUUUAUUAAAUAAAAAAGAAUAUGUAAUUCUAAAUUUACCCUUACGCAUUGAGUGAUUAUUAUUACGUUCUCUUAAUAUUUGUUGGUGCAAUUUUGUGUGAUGUGAAUUUUAUGUUUCUGUUAACAUAAACCAAUUUGGAAAUAAGGCCACGUCGAACAAAUGAAACAACAAAAAAGCAUCGUUGGCAAUACAAAAUCAAACUUUAUUAUUAAUCAUUAUUUUGUUUUUGAAUAUGUAUAAAUCAAAUCAUAUACUGUUGAUCUUACUUUGAUAAUUUGGUGCUUAGUUUCUCUCAAAAAUGCUUUUAUAAAAGUUUUGGUCUUCAAUCAUUCAUCCAAGCUUUUGCUGAUCUUUUAUUAGGCAUAUACAUCGUGCUGUCACUUAAUAUUCAUUUCAAUUUCACAGUACACAAGCAACGUCUAUGCCAAAAUCAUUAAAGCACAAGCGGUAUUUAUUCCAUGAAAACUUUAUGAUUUCUUCAACUUAAUUGGGUCGAACAACAUUUUUUAAAAUACUUUUAUCACACUGCAUGCUUUGUUAAACCUCCGUCUUUUGGUAUUGAUUCUAACUUGAAAUUAAAUCUUUAAGUCUUUACAAGUUUAUUUCUUCAUGAAAGAAGUCAAUAAUCAAGUGCGUGUGAAUUAAACAAAAAAAAAAAAAAAGAUCAGUGAGAAAAGCCCUUUUUCUAAGGCAACCUACUGAUUUGAGAAUAGGACUCAACCACAAGAAAAUAUUUACGUUUGCUUUUAAGGAGUACAUGAUAGCUAUUAAACUUAAUUCAAAUUUAGUCAAUCAUCAAUCAACCAAUCCAACUAGUUCAAGUACAGAGUCAAUUGAACAAAUUCAUCACUUGCGUAAUUAAGCUUAUCUUCCGAAAUUGAGUUGUUUCCAUUAGAAAAUUUCCCGCAGUCACGAGUUACAAUCAUCAAAACAAGAUUAUUUAUAUAAGAACAAGAGUUAAAGGGAAAAAAAAAUGGUAAAGCAAGAUUCCUCUAUUUCCGUUCCCCUAUUUUUUUUUUUUUUUUUUUUUGUCUGGUGACUUAAAAUUUCAUAUCUAAAUUUUUAUAAUUUUCCAUCGACGUUUAUAUUUAAAUAAAGAAUUACAAAAAAAAAAAUUCUAAAUUUAUGCAUUGAAUGGUUAUUGUUAUGCUCUCUUAAAAUUGGGUACAAUAUCAUUUUCAUAGCGAAUAGAGUUAUUGACCACUUUGUUAAAAAUGAACAUGUUAUGUUUAUACGAAUAAAACAAAACACGGGGUGCACGCUUAAGUCUUGUUCUUUUACAAUUCAUUUGUAUUACUUACUCUGAUGAAAUCUUUACUCUGUUAGGAAAUUGGUGGGUGAAGCAGACACGCAGAUAAAGUGAAAUUGGGAAAAAAAUAAAGAACAAGCACAAAAAAUGGACACAAGAAAUUACGUGGUUCAGCUUUUAGCCUACGUCCACGGGCGAAAACAGGAGGAAAAUAUUUUACUAGUAAAAAUGAUUUAUAAGUAUUGUGGUAUUUUAGCUUACUACCCAAAAUCCUAAUACACUCAAACUCUCAAAUCACUAGACUCUUAAAAUCACUCUUUAAAUAAAGAAAAGAACUGAAGAACUCGAUGAUUUACAAAUGAAGGGAGCCAGCGGUUUUAUAGCCAAAAUUAGCUACCGUUCAUUUAAUAUUUAAUUAUUAUUAUUAUUUUAUUAAUUUUCCUUUUCUUUUCCUUCUUCGGUCUGACAUCUCUUUUUCUUCUCUCUUUCUUCUUUUUCUUCUUUCUCUUUUGUUUCUUUCCUUGGGCGGCAUCUACAUGGCCUUUAAUUUCCUUCAAUUUGGGUGGCCAUUUUGAAAUAUGUUAAUGAUGCUAAACCGCCCAUGACUUUGACAUUCUCCCACUUGGAGAUUAGAUUGAGAAUCAAUCAAUCUCCACAACAUCCUUUCUGCUUCGCCAUAAUCAUGUUGCCUACAUUUCUGCUAGGCCACAAGAGGAUCUACUCCAGAUAAACUUGUCAGCAUUUAUCGGCUUAGCCAAAACAUCUGCUAGGUUCUCCUUCGUAUGGAUUUUCUGUAAAUCCACAUUUCCAUCUUCCACUACUUCUCGAACGAAGUGAUACUGAACUCCUAUAUGCUUUGUCCUGGAAUAAAAGGCUGGAUUUCUUGCAAUGUGAAAGGCACUCUGACUGUCACAAAACACAGAAAUUUGCUCUUGUUUGUGCCCGAGCUCCUCCAAUAAUCUUUGUAUCCAAAUAGCUUCCUCGCAAGCUUGUGUAGCUGCCAUGUAUUCUGCUUCUAUUGUAGAUAAAGCCACAACAGUCUGCAGUUUCGAAACCCAGCUUACAGCUGCUCCCGCAAGUAUAAACACAUAACCAGUAGUGGAUUUUCUUUUAUCAAGAUCUCUUGCAAUCUGAUCCUCCGUAACAUAAUGCAACAUCUGAGGUUCAUUUGAUGUAUCUCAGAAUCCUCUUCACAACUAUCCAAUGCUCUCCACCGGGAUUCGCCAUGUAUCGACUGACUGCUCUCACUGCUUGUGCAAUGUCUGGUCUAGUACAUAUCAUAGCGAACAUUAAACUUCCCACUACUGAUGCAUACAGUACUCGAGACAUCUCCUUCCUCUCUGCUUCAUUGCUAGGACACAUACUUGAGGAUAAUUUGAAAUUAACAGGAAGUGGGGUAGAAAUUGACUUACAAUCUUGCAUGUUGAAGCGCCACAAGAUUUUCUUCAAGUAAUUCUUCUGCGAAAGCCAAAUCUUCCUGUUAUUUAUGUCUCGGUGAAUUUGCAUUCCUAGAAUCUUGUUUGCUGGUCCCAAGUCCUUUAUUUCAAACUCCCUAGCCAACUGUGCCUUCAAUUCUUGGAUUCGAUCUUUGUUAGGGCCUGCUACCAACAUGUCAUCCACAUACAACAGUAAAAUAAUGAAAUCAUUAUCUUCAAACCUUUUAUAAUAUGCACAAUGGUAUGAACUGAGUCUGUUGUAUCCAAGGCUCAUGAUAAAGGAAUCAAAUCUCUUAUACCAACACCUCGGCGCCUGUUUGAGACCGUAUAAAGAUUUGUUCAACCUGCAAACCAAGUUCUCUUUUCCCGUUUCUGCAAAACCUUCUGGUUGGAGCAUAUAUAUUUCUUCUUCAAGUUCUCCAUGAAGAAAUGUAGUUUUCACAUCUAACUGCUUUAAAUGUAGGUCAAAUGUAGCACACAUUGCCAAGACUACUCUGACUGUCGUGAGUCAAACCAUCGGCGAAAAUAUCUCGUUGAAGUCAAUACCUUCUUUCUGAGCAUAUCCUUUCACCACUAAUCUCGCACGAUACCGCUCUACUUGGUCAUUGCCUUCACGUUUGAUCUUGUAGACCCAUUUGUUUCCAAUGGCUUUUCUUCCACGUGGUAGUGGUACAAGUUCUCAUGUCUUGUUAUUAUGUAGAGCUUCAAUUUCUUCCUGCAUUGCUGUCAUCCACAAAGCAACAUCUGAGCUUUCUAAAGCUUCAUGGAAAGUUAAAGGCUCUCUAUCCUCUGUUAGAAGACAGUAUGCAACGUUGAUCUCUGUAACAUACUCCGAGUGCCACAUUGGCGGUCGUCUCUCACGAGUUGACCGACGAACUUCUGGAGCCUCGGACUCGACUAGUUUUUGUUUCUCGUGCUCUGGUUCUGCUUCAAAAGAAUCUGAAUCUUCUGGAUUAUUUUCCACAUAUACCUGUACAGUUUCUGACUUUUCUUUUACACUACUAUCAUCUUCAUUUUUCCUUUGCAGUUGAUCUUCUAUGAAGAUAACAUCUCUGCUGAUAACGAUCUUGUGGGCAGUGGGGUCUCACAGACGAUACCCCUUUACUCCAUCAGCAUAUCUCAAGAAGAUACAUCUUCUAGAUUUUGGAUCCAGCUUUGUUCUUUCUUGGGCAUUGUACAUCACGUACACAAGACAUUUAAAUGCAUGUAGGUAGGAAUAAUCAGCUGGCUUUCCAGUCCACAUCUCCAUCGUUGUCUUUAGCCCAAUAGCUGUAGAUGGCAACCGAUUUACUAUAUAACAAGCAGUUUUGGCUGCUUCUGCCCAGAAUGAAUUAGGUAGACCAGCAGUCCUCAACAUAGCUCUUAUUCUUUCUGUAAGAGUUCUAUUCAUCCGCUUCGCCACUCCGUUUUGUUGAGGAGUGUAUGCUACAGUGAACUGUCUCUGAAUACCUUCUUGCUUACAGAAAGCAAGAAACUCGCCGUCUGUAUACUCUCCACCAUUAUCCGUCCUCAAGCACUUAAUCUUUUUAGCAGAUUCAAGUUUCACCCGCGCUUUGUAUUCUUUAAACACUGGAAAUACAUCUGACUUUUUCUUAAUUAGAUACACCCAACAUCUUCUGGAAUAAUUAUCAAUGAAAGUCGCCAUGUACUUUGCACCUCCCAUGGAUAUAUCCGGUGAUUUCCAAACAUCAGAAUGAAUCAAGUCUAGAAUAUAUUUACUUCUAGAAUAGAUCUACUAAAUUUUAAUCUAUGCUGCUUACUGGUAACAUAAUGCUCGCAAAAAGGUAAACUUACCGAUUUAAGCCCUGGAAGUAAUUUUCGCUCAGAGAGAAUCUUCAAACAUUGUUCCGACAUGUGGCCAAGUUUGAGAUGCCACAUCAUCAUUAACUCUUCUCCAUUUGAUGCGACACAUGCAUCAGCCUCCUGUAGUGACUCUCCUUUAAGCAUGAAUAGAUUAGCACCGAUCUUUUCUGCCUUCAUCAAUACAAGCUCUCCUUUAACAAUCUUCAUAAUUUCAUUCUCCACAUGAGUUUUGCACCCAUAACUGCCUAUUUGUCCCAAAGACAAUAGAUUUUUCUUCAGGUCAUUGACAUGUCGUACCUCCCCAAUUGUGCGAAUUGUACCAUCAAAUAUUUUUAUUUUGAUAGUACAAAUACCAGCGAUCUCCAAGGCAUGAUCAUCUCCCAUAUAUACAGAUCCUCCUGAGAUAGGUUCAUAUGUCUAGAACCAUUCUCUCCGAGAGGUCAUGUGCCAGGUAGCUCCUGAGUCUAUAAACCAGACAUCAGAUAGUCGUUUUCUGCCUUCUGAAAUAGUUAUUGCCCCAGUGUAAAGAAUUUCGCUAUCAUCCGAGGUACUUGCUACACACCCCUGAGCAUUUGAUGACUCAGGUUCUUUAUCCUCUUUUCUCUUCUAGUUACUCCAACACUCUUUCUUGACGUGUCCUUUCUUGCCACAGUUGUAGCAUUUAACAUUAUUCUUACUUCUGGAUUUUGAUUUACCAUGAUUUUGACUCCCACUAGGGCCACGUUCCGUUGAUCUCCCUCUCGUCACCGAUAGCACCUCCGCUUGCUGCGAAAUUGCUUGUCUGUUUUCCUUAUUUUUCCGCCUGCUCUCCUCAUUUAAUAUGAAAGCUGCAACAUCGUCGAAAACUAGACUAUCCGCUGGAUUGUUGUUCGUUAGGUUGAUGAUGAGUUGAUCAUACGAAUUUGGUAGACUUUGAAGUACAAGCUCUGCAUGUUUAUUCUCCUCUAUAUUAUGACCCAACGUUGUGAGUUGUGAAAAUAGAGUCUUCAAGGUGUUGAUGUGGUCGAUCACCAUUGUAGAUUCCACCAUUUGAAGAGUAUAGAGUUUCCUCUUUAAGAAGAUUUUGUUGUGUAGUGACUUAGCCUCAUACAAUUUUGUGAGAGUAUCCCAUAUUUCCUUCGCUGUAUUUUUCUCUGCUACACUAGAUAAUACUCCAUCUGCAAGUGCCAAGUGUAGAUCAGAAAUGGCGUUGCCAUCUAUCUCGUUCCACUUGUCAUCAGUUAUCUCCAAAAGCCUUUCUCCAAUUACUGCUAAGCAAUUAUUUUUUCUCAAAACAGCUUUCAUCUUCAUUUUCCACAAUAAAAAAUUGUUUCCGUUAAAUUUCUCAAUUUCAUACUUUGCCGCCAUUUUAUUGAUAAAUACCGCACACAAGCAAGUGUACCACCUUGAAUAGUUGUGAGUAUGUGUGAGAAUGCACAACAGGAAAGUUCCCAGGAAACACUGGAGGGGUCACAAUGGUCCCACUUAAAACCCAGACUCCUUAAGUUCUUAUCGCCUUUGUGAUAGAACUUUCAUAGACAUGUACAAAACCACACAGUUGUUUUACUCACACCAUUAUUCCCUGCUUUGCACCGCAAAAUUCUUGGAUUGCUCCCACCGUUUUACGUGAAUAGUACCGUAUACGUGAACAGUGCCGUAUACGUGAAUAGUACCCCUUACGUGAACAGUACCCGACUCCAAAAAAUACAACUAAUAGCUCUGAUUCCACUAUUACAAAAUUGGUGAGUGAAGCAGACACGCAACUAAAGUGAAAUUGGAAGAAAAUAAAGAACAAGUACAAAAAAUGGACACAAAAAAUUACGUGGUUCAGCUUUUAGCCUACGUUCACAGGUGAAAACAGAAGGAAAAUAUUUUACUAGUGAAAAGAAGUUACAAGUAUUGUGGUAUUUUAGCUCACUACCCAAAAUCCCAAUACACCUAAACUCUCAAAUCACUAGACUCUUAAAAUCACUCUCUAAAUAAAGAAAAGAACUAAAGAACUAGAUGAUUUACAAAUGAAGGGAGCUAGCGGUUUUAUAGCCAAAAUUAGCUACUAUUCAUUUAAUAUUUAAUUAUUAUUAUUAUUAUUUUAUUAAUUUUUCUUUUCUUUUCCUUCUUCGGCCCGACAUCUCUUUUUCUUCUCUCUUUCUUCUUUUUCUUCUUUCUCUUUUGUUUCUUUCCUUGGGCGGCAUCUACUUAGGCCUUUAAUUUCCUUCAAUUUGGGUGGCCAUUUUGAAAUAUGUUAAUGGUGCCAAACCGCCCAUGACUUUGACAUACUCACAUUCCUUUGCAGUUGACAUUGAUCUUUUGCUUAUUCUUAUAUGUUCAAGGCCAAUAGUGAAGCUCCUUUCAAAAAAUAAAAAUAAAAAUAAAAUAGAGAAAUUGUGGGCUUUUAUUCAGACCCCUGAAACCUUUCUAAUAAUAUAAAAACUCUAAUCCUUGAGCAAAAGGUUAAAAAAAAAAAGAAUUCUCUGUUUAAAUAUCAGUUGGCUUAAGAUCAAUGUUGUUUGCCUCCUGUCUUUUCUUUGUUUUGUUUGUUUGUUUGUCAUUUUAUUAGAUUUGCUUUGUAUCUAAUUUUACUUGGAGAUUAAAGAUGAGUGAGAACUGCCCUUUCUUCUGAAGCAACCUACAAAUUUUAGAAUAGGGCCCAGAGUAUUAAAGAUUCAAUUAACCACAAAAAGUUAUUUACUUGCAUCACUUGCAAACUUAAGCUUAUCAUCCCAAAUUGAGCUGUUUGCAUUAGAAAUUUUCAUGCAUUCACGAGCAAUAUCAUCAUGUCACAAGAUAGCCUGAAAAGCAAGUUUCCUCUGUUUUCGUUCCUUUGUUUUCAUUCCCCUGUUUAUUGAUUUUUGUUUUUUUUUGGCCGGAAAUUAAGAAGAAAAAAUUGGUAAAACAAGUUGCCUCUGUUUUCAUUCCCCUGUUUUUUGUGGAAAGAAUAAAUCAAACUUUAUUUUUUUUUUAAUUUUAUAUUUUGGUUUUUGAAUAUGCAUAAAUCAAAUCAUAUAUUAUUGAUCUUACUUCGAUUAUUUGCUGUUUAGUUUCUCUCUUAAAUGCUUUUUGUGUGUUUCCGGUAUUUGCUUUUAUAGAAGUUUUAGUCCCGAAUCAUUCGUUGCAAUUCCGAUAGGAAUUGAGUAAGGCCUUCACCUUAAAACGGGGCUCAGGGGAGAGGGGAACCCCUCCCAAGGAUUUGCUUUAUGUUUUAUUAGGCAUAUACAUUGCUCUGUCAAUCAAUAUUCAUUUCAAUUUCACAGUACACAAGCAAUGUAUAUACCAAAAUUAUUCUAUGAAAACUUAAUUAUUUCUUUAGAAUAUAUGAAAACGUAGAGUUGUGAACUAGUGCUUUCUUCUUCAACAUGCGUCAACAGGGCAACAAUAACCAAAUACAUGAUAUAGAAAAGCGGUGCAUGACUAAUUCUUUUUCUUUUGCUUUAUGCACUAGUUUUGCAUUGUUUACUUCCCUUAAUAUCGAUGUUUUGCACUUAAUAAUAAUGUUUUAAUUGUGUUUUACUUUUGUAGGUGCAAUUCUAUUGAUUGGUGAUAAAAUUGAGCUAAAAGAUGAUGUUUAAGGAGGAUUGUUCUCUUGGAGAAAUUAUGAGCGUCAGAAGAACUUUGUUGAUAAGGCGUGGGCGCGUGCUGUCAACUGCGGACCUGCAGUUUUUAGUUUAACGUGUUUUGUAUUUUUGGUUAUUUUUGUAAUUACGAAUUUAAUAUUUCAGAUAUUAGUAUUUUAUUUUAAAUAGAAUUCUAAAAGAGAAGAGAGAGAGAGUAUUUAAGGGAGGAAUCUAUUGUGAAAAAGGGGGGAUUUGGAUUGGAGAAAAAGAAAGAAACCCUAGAUCUUAAUUUUUCUCUUCUCUCUAUGAAGAACUAAACCUAUUUUUCUGGUUGAAGGAUAAUGAAGCUUUGAUUCAUCACUACUGUGAGAUCUUUCUUGUGCUUUAAUUGUUUUAUUGCUUUUUGGGUAUUUGUUUAUUCUCUGAAUUAUUUUCAUGAUUAUGUUUGUUAAUUAGGUAAUUGGCCACUAUUUAAUUAUCAACUUAAUCUAUUGUCAAUUAAAGGAUUCAUCGUAUGAAGAAUUUAAUGUUUGUGACAAAUAACAUAGCAGAAAGUUGUGUUGUGAGAAUAAACAAUCUAAUUUAAAUGAAUCAUCAUAUGUGUUGAUUAGGAUUUGGGUCUCUCUGGUUUUUCAGGCUGUCAAUUGAUUAAAUCCUAUGAUCGUAUCUAGGGUUGUCUAUUGAUUAGGGAAAUAACCAACGGUCGUACCUUGGUUAUCGACUAGUUAAGGAGAGAUUGGCUAUUAGAGGGUCUCAGUAGCUAUAACCGGUCUAUUCAUAAGUAAUAAUAAUCUAUAUUUGAAUCAAUGAUCAGUAGUCGAAUCAAGCUGAGUUAAUUCCUUCAACCAGAGCUUUCUCCAAUUUGAAUUACAACUUUAAUUUACAUUCUCGUUAUUUUAAUUUGAUUUUUAUUAUUGUCAACAAUUCCCCCAUUUUACGUUUUACGUUUCAAAAGGAUUUAAAUAAUUACCGAUCUCUGUGGACACGACCCUGCUCAAUCACUAUACACAAUUUAUUUAGAGUAUGAAUUUAUUUUUGUUGGCUUCGACACCCAUCACAGGUCAUUGUUAUUGCUCUCAUCAACUCUUUUCUCACACAUUCCUCAGCAGUUACCUGUGAUCUUUUUCCUCUUUCAACUUGUUCUUAAAUAGAGAAGCUCACCAACUCUCUAAUCCCAGAUAAUUAAAGAGGUGCACGUUUUCUAAAUCCUUGACAUCUGCUCUUUCAUAAGUUCCAUCUACUUUCCAAGAAAAAAUUUUCUCUGGUUUGUUUUAAUAUUGUAACUUAUUUUGCAUGAGUUUUAAGUCAGUAUUCAUUGUUAAAGCCUGUGCUCUUAUUAUUUCUUUUGGUUAAUUUGCAUGCUCUUCCCCCCCCCCCCCCCCCCCCCGCCCCCGCGGCGGCGCCCCCCCAAAAAAAAAGUUUAUAGGCUUUUACUCAGACCCUUGAAACCUUUACUGAUAAUACCAAAAACUCUAAUCCUUCAACAAAAGAAAGCAAGAAAAAAAGGUCCUAAGUUUAUUGUCUUUUAUUUGGAUUUGUACCAAAAACUCUGAUCUGUUGGCUUUGUAUCAGUAUUGCUUGUUUGUUGUCUUUUAUUUCAUUAUUUGUAUCUAAGUUUAUUUCAAGAUUACAGAUCAGCAGGAAAAGCCCUUUUUCUAAAGCUAACUAUACAGAUUUUAGAAUAGGGCUCAACCACAUGAAAAUAUUUACGUUGUAAUAUCUCAUAUUAAUAAUCUAAAAGCAACCAAUCCAACAAGUUCAAAUUCAGUCAAUCAUAAAUCAACCAAUCCAACGAGUUCAAAUUCAUCACUUGCAAAAUUAAGUUUUCUUCCGAAAUUGAGUUGUUUCCAUUAGAAAUUUUCCCGCAGUCACGAGUUACAAUCAUCAAAACAAGAUUACUUGAUGCAUUAAUAAUCUUAUUAAAAAAAAUAUACCAACUGUUAAGGGUUAAAAAAAUUUAUUAAAUAAUUGCAUUAAUAUACCAACUGUUAAGGGUUAAAAAAAUGUGCCAUUUUGUAAUCCAUUUAAAUCAAAAUAGUAUGUUUAAUCGCAAAAAAAAUAACUACUGCCAUGAUGGAGCACAUAGAAUAAAAAUAAAACUUUUAGUUUUACUAAUCCUAAAUAUACCAAUUGUUAUCUCCAAAAAAGAAAAUUUUAUUUUUUAAAUUUUUAAAUCAUAUAUUAUACAAAUUUAACAUAUGUUCUAACAGUCGUCUGAUCCCUGCAGAUAUUAAUUGGGUUUAGGGUAAUCCUGUUUACAUAAAGAAUAUUGUUAAAUAAAUGUUUGUUAAUAUGGUUUCAGAUGAUGAUGAUGAGUUGCGACUGCCAAUCAUGCGUAAUAUCAUAAUAAUAUUAAAAACAAUUAUCCCAACAGGUUUCCCAGAAUAUGCUAUAUUAUUACAUAUUAAAGUUAAUUAUAAACUAAUAUAAAAAAAAAGCUCUGACAAAUAUUAUUUCUUGAAAAAUGAGAUGAUUCACCGCUGUUGUGUUUCAUGCUAAUUACUUUUCUCCGGAAAAAUAUUAUAAAUUAAAAUUUAACGAAAGUCUCAAUUUAUACGCUUAUAGCAUGUUCUAUAAUUUUUAUUUUUUAUAUAUAUAGUAUAAUUCAAGAAUUUAUACUGAGUAGAAGCAAAGAUCAAUCCCAUAUGUGGGUAACCAAAAUCCUUCAUAGAACAAGGCACUAUAAUAACCAAAACCAGCCCUUCGUUUUGGUGCCGAUUGAAAACAAUCAUAUUGUGAUUCGCAAAUUAAGUGAGAUUAGUGACCUCUCAACUCAAUCAAAUACUUGCCAAAUUCAUUUCUGAUCAUGCAUCUUACCCCCCCCCCCCCCCCCCCUCCUCUUUUUCGUGUAUAAAUUGAGCAUGGUGGCUUUGAAAAUUUUAAGAUUCUUGAUGAUUCCAAAAUGAGAAUAUCAAUUGUUAAGCCAAUAGUAGAUUAUUGACGUUUUAAAUUGAUAAAUAAACACAACUCUGAUUUUAAAAAGUUAUGAUAACAACUUUAAAAAUUUAAAUGUGGAUAUAAAAUCACCCAUAAUAUAACGAUAUGAGAUUGAAAUAAUUUAUUUAAAUAUAAAUCAUCCGAUGUAAUGAAUACAAAACCAACCAUCAAUUUAAAUUUUUAAAUAAUGACAUUGACAUGUGCUAUAAAUGAGUUCCAGGAAAUAAAUAUUAAUGUAAAUGAUAGCAACAGCUUCAUCCAUUAAUAUAAUUCUACUAUUAAGCAUGAAAUAUAUGACCAUCAACUUACAAUUGUAAUCAUUAAACUAGAAAUCAUUGAGUAUUACAUGAAAUCAUUAAUAUUGAACCUAAAAGAUAUAUGAAACUAAUGUUAAUAUGAAAUCUAGGACCAUUAACUUAAAAUUGUAAUUAGGAAAUAAAGCUUUACAUGAAAUCACUGUCAUUGAGCUUGAUAAUUCUACCAUUAAACAUAAAAUUAAUGCAAAUAGGAAGCAUAAGACCAUCAACUCAAAAAUUGUAAUCAUCAAAUUUUGAAUACCACAAAUUAAAUUUACUCUAUCUUUGUAAUGAAUACAUUCUACAGCCUUAAAAAAUACAUAAAUAAAGGGUUAUUUUAGCAUUUAUACAAGUGUGUAAAGUAAAUGUUGACUUUUAAAGUUGAUUCAAUAUAUAUAAACAACAUUAUUGAAUCAUUAUCUUUUUUUUUAUAAUCAUUAUUAAUAAACAUACUAUUUUGAUUAAAAAAAUAAAAUAGUGGAGCUUAAAUAUGUCUAAAAAUUUCAAAAUUAGUAAUAGAAUCAGUAGCGGUUCGAUCUCUAGACAACUUAGGUGGUUGCUUAGAGCCCUACUUUACAAGAAAAUCCUAUAAGAUGAUUAUUUUGUAUAUAAAAGAGGAAAGUGAAUUUAAAAGUCAUUAUUAUGCAUCUAAUUUAUUAUUAUUUUGUAAUUAUCUUUUCUCAAAUAAACUACCGAGUUCCUAUAAAGUUUAUUUAAUGUAGUACUUAGUAGUUUUAAUUCCUACAAAACCGAUAAAUUAAUAGUUUCAAUCCUAUAAAUUCGAUAUUUCAUUGUUAGAAUUAACAACUUAUAAUUAAAAAGUUUUAUAUUCAUUUUAAACCUCUAUAAAAGCCCCACAUUUUAUUACUUAUCCAUUAAAUUUUUCUUCUAACAAUGAAGACAGCAUAUGUUCUUCGUUUUUGAGAGAAAGAAAGAGAGAGGGGAAAAAAAAUCUUGCUUCCUCUACUUUCCACUCAAAAAAAAAAAGAAAAAAUCUAAUAGUUUUAUUCUAUUCUCUAUGGCUAUUAGUCAUUACUCAAAUCUUCAAAUAAUUAAUAUAAAGAUAAAGUUAAUUUAUGAUUUCAUCUCAAAUUUCAAAUUUCAGAUUUUAUUUUUUAUUAUUCUCUUAAUUAAUUGUAUUAUUUAUGUGUUCUUAUUUCUUUUUAAUACAUUCUUUUAUUCAUCUACUAUUUUUUGUGUGCUUUUUUUUUUCUAUUGUGAAAUAAAUAACUAUAUCAAAAAACUUUAGAAAACAGAAGAAUAAAAAAAUUAAUUUAAUGUAGAAAAGAAGUAGUAUAAAAGAUGUAAUUUGAGUUAAAAAAAAGUAAAAAUAUUAUAAUUGAAUUAAAAUUUCAAGGAUUGACAAUAGUGUAAUAUAAUUUUAUUUAAUAAUUUUACAUUUUAGAGAGUGUUUAAAGAAUUGAUUUUCAAUAAAUAUUAUAUAACUAAUGAGUAAUGAUAUAACCACAAACUCUUGUACAAACUUAUUUUGUACAAACUGAUGUGGCAUGAUAAGAUUGGUUGAAUUAAAUAUCACUUGGCUCACGUGAUUUGUUUUUAUUAUUUUAUAUUUUCAUUCAACGAAUGAAUUAAUACCAUGUCAGUUUGUACAAGAGUUUGUGGCUGUAUCAUCACUCAUAACUAAUAUACAUAUUUUUUGUCCUAAAUUUUAAGAAAAACUAAUUAAAACCAUUUGCCUAAGGCCUCAAAUAUGGUUGAGCCAGCCCUGAAUAGAAUAUAAAAGUACAUGAUAAAUAUUUAAAUUAAAACUCGAUAAAAGGUUAACAAAAACACACAUGUUGUUUUUUAGUGAGUUUAAUUUUUUUUUUUUUUUGGGAACAAAUUCAAAACGACAUCAUUUUGGAUGUAUUUUCAUUGGGAUUUGGUUCUUCAAUUAUUUUUCUAAUAGCAGAUCUCAAGAUUGUGUGAUUACAUCACAGCUUAACUUUUACAGUGAUCGAUUCCAAUAGCUCUCUAGUUGAAAUUUAAAUUAAUUAAAUAAAAAAUAACACGGCCCUUAUCAAUUUGACGAUGGUAUGGUGUAAAAACAUCCUCUUGAAAAUUAUGAGUCAUCCAAAAAGAUUAAUUUUUUUGGGAUAUCUUGAAUGGAAGUAAACAUAAUUUUAUGUUUUAUAAAAAGGUAAAACAUUAAGUAAUUAAUAAUAUAUCAAUAUUAAUUAAUAAGUUAUUUACAUUAGGCAAUAUUAUACGUUUGUGAAUUUAUUGGUCAUUUGUUUUUGUACAAUUAUUUCAUGACAUUAUAACGAUAUGAGAAUGACGAUUCAAACUAUCUUGAAUAUUGGAUAAUUGUUUUUUAAUUAACAUUUUGGGGCUGAAUUCAAUCGUGCAUAUAGACAAUUUUAUCUAUUAAAAGAAUUAAUUAUUAUGUUAAAAUUUAUUUUGGAAUUUAAUGACGAAGAAACUGUUUCUUAACUGGAGCUAUGGCUUUGGCCACGAGCUCCUCUGGUGUUAGAUUAUGAACCGGAACUCCGGUUGAAUUCGGUUGUGGUGGCGGUGAGUCCGCCGGAAAAAUCCGGAACUCACUGAGUUCGGAUGCGGACUCGGCCAUUAUUGAAAUAAUGACUAACUAAUUUACUUAGGAAUAAAGACAGAAUUUGGGGGAGGGAAAUUACCAAGCCUUUAAAUUUUUAUAAGUAAAUAGAAAAAGAAAUUCAAGAUGGCCAAAAUUUUUUUGCUGUAUGAGACCCCAAUUAAAGCGGGCAAAUUCCACUCAAACUUUAAAAGUUAGUGUGAGUAUAUAGGUUUGAUUAUUUUAACUUAAAACUUUGACCUAAUUAAACACAAAUUCAUAAUCAUUGUACUUCCAGACAUCAAGCGUGUAAUCAAAAUUCAGUUACUUUUUGUCUUGCAUUAAUUUAAUUGACCAAUAUAUAUUUCUUAAAUAAAUAAUAAUAGUUUGUAUUUUAAUUAAUGUUCCACUAAUCAUUUAUUGUCUCAUAAAUGAUAAUAAAUAAAUUUAUUAUUAAUUAUUUACAUACUAUUCUUACAACUUGAUCAAUGAACAACAUAUAACAUGCCACAUAAAAUAUCAGAGUAACUAAGAUAUAAACUAUGUAUUUCUUGGUCGAAUUGAGUAUCCGUAGCAUUAAAUGUAAAUCACUAAUUACUGCAAAGAUCAAACUUAUAUUUAAACGAGAGAUUUAACAUUAACUAAUACCAAAUAUUGGCGUUCAAUUACAACUUAUGAAAUACUCAACAUAGGUAAAACCACAGAAUCAUACGAUUCAUACGGUUCGUAUAAGCCUUUCGAGGCUAAUGCAUGUGUAGGCUUGAAGACAUCAUUACUAAGAGGCGGCUAAUAAUAUUAUAAUAUAAAAUACUGCUACUCAUGCAACUGGGUAGGAAGGUUUAGUGGCAAUGCCACAGAGACCUUCAGGUGCUUCAACAUCUCUGAGAAUCCUCAUGUAGCCGGCCUCACCCCAGCUCUCCCCCCAUGAAUUCUUAAUUAACCAAUACUUCAUUCCAUCUUCAGUUGCCCCAAAUCCAACGAUAGCAACAGCAUGAGAACACUGAGUUCCACAUCCUCCGUUAAAAAUACCGCCUUUGUAACUCUGGAAGUCUGGUCCACUUCCUUCAAUGCAAAUUGAUACUGGCUGCAUGGCUACAGCUUGGAGUAAAGCCUGCUCAUCAUUGGGUUUUACAUCUUCAAAGUUACUAAUUUUAGCAGCUGCCUUGACCUGUGCGUCUUCACAAGUCCCUUGGACUUCCUUGUAUGGAUAAUCCGCUUCUGAGGCAAUACCCUGGUUUUUUAUAAUAUAUUUAAAGGCAUUGUCCAUCCAACCGCCACCGCAUCCACGGUUACCAUCUAUGGAGCAGUCUAGUAUUUGCUGCUCCGAAAGUGGAAUAAGAUUACCACUACUAAUCUCAGUCACCCCUUCCACCGCCGCCACAGUUGAAAAUGCCCAACAGUCUCCUGCAUCGUACAUAUUAAGGAAAAAAAAAAAAAAAAGGCUUGAUUAAGUUACAUGAAACAUGCCCCAGCAGGGGUUUGGCAGACGGUUGUCAAGCUGUUUUUAUUAAUUAGCUGAUGGUCAACUGAGUUUGAGUUCUGAAAGAGGUUGGAGGCUAAAUAAUCUAUUAUAGUUACUUCAUAAAUAUUUAGUAUACGAUUUACUUACCACAUUGACCUUGGUUCUUAAUAGGAGUGACAGCUCCUUUCUCUCUCCAGUCCAUGCUAGUUGGAACGUCAGUCAGGUUUUGAUACUUGAAGGAUGCUGUUGUGGAUUGCCGUGAUGAAGAUGACUGGCUUGGCACCCUGUAUCCUGUAUAUGAAGCACGAAACUCCUCAUUAGUUAAGUCUGAAAAUUCAUUGGUGCCUAACUUGUACGUCCGAUUCGCCUCCUCAUUGGCUUUCUCAAUGUAUUCAAGGUUUUCUUUGAAUAUCUUAAACCGCUUUUCCUUCUCCAGGUCGUCCUUGUAAGUGCGCCCAUGCUCAGCCAUCCAUUUUUCAUGCUUCUCAACAAUGGAUGGUUCAUGCAGCGACCGGCCGGCGACCGACACCAUUUUAGAUGAAUAAGUCACCAGAAUGAUCAUAGACAGGGCAAUGAUAUCAAAGCUUUUCCCCAUAAUAAUUGGUAGGUAUUUGCAAGUUGAACAAGGUUGUUGUUUUUUUUUUUUUUUUUUUCCCUUCAAAUUAUAGAGGCUAGCUAGCCAGCUGGGGGUAAGUUGUGAAUACUUGAAGCACGCAUUGCAGCUCUAUAUAUAGUACUUGUAGAUAGUGGAUUUGUGCUCUCAACAUGGGUCGCGUACAAUAUUUGCCUAAUGCAUGAGACGUAUGCGUUGCGUUAGUCGUGCCCCAUACUUCACGAUUUUCAAUCAAGCUAAUUAGUAUGCGAAACCGGACAACCAAGUUAUUAUCAGUUAUCGCCGUGAUUCGCGUACUUCGUGCUUUUGAGGCUUGCUAGCAAUGACUUGACUAGCUUUUAGCGAAGUUACAAAAAGAAUUAUGAACUAAUUUGUAGAUGGACUUUUAUCGAUGAGACUUGCGGCGACGUGGAAAACAUUGGUGUCAUUUUUUUUUUCUUUCAUAAAUCAACUUAAAAAAAGGAAAAUUGGAUAAUAAUGUGAACUCAUUUGGACGGAGUAAAAUAAUUCUUACAAAAUCUACAAUGCAUCUAGCUAGGAUGAACUUUUAUAUAUCUGCGAUAUUAUGAAGAAAUCAUUACUAAUAUGCAUUACAUAAUAUGGCAUAAAAUAUGACACUAAUACUAGAAUUUCUUCCUUUAAGUGCCAAUUUGGUAGUUUAUCUUAACCUGUCAGUGACAACUGUUGUUUCAAGUGCACUUUUUGAGUCUUUAUGCAUACUAUAAUAUAUAGGCUUCAAUGGGGUCUCCUCGUAACUUUCUUGCCUAUCACCUUGAAUAUAAUCAUAACAUCCCGCCAAGUUAAUUUUUUUAGACCAUAGCACGUCAAAAUCUUUAAUGGAUAUAUUACUAAUAGAAUAAUGGUCAAUAUUCUAUUUUUACAUACGGUUUAAGAUAUCUAAUAAAUUGAUAUGGAUUUAAUUUCCUAAAUAGCAAAUUAGUGAAUUAUCAUAACUUUUUAAAAACUUAAAUUUGAUGUUAAAGAAAAGGAUAUAUAUAUUAACUUAUUGAUAUAAAUAAUGCUAAGUAUAUAUAUAUUUGCAGCCAAAAGUUAAAUAUGGUACAACAAUAAAAAAAGAUACUUUACACACUCAGUUAUAAUAAAUUAAUAUUUAUAACGAUAAUAUGACCCAAUACCCAUAUUGACCCAAUUACUAUCAUAAUAUUGUAUUAGGAUAUUAAAAUUCCACAAUAAUGGAGAUGACAUAAAAUUUGUUUAUAAAAAUGUACAAUACAAUAUUUAAAUUUUUUGCGGCUGAGAAUCGUGAGAACAGUAUGGUCAUCACAAUUAAUUGAUUGUGAGGAGAAUAAAGAGACCAUUACCAUAAUAGCUAUGCAUAAUUCAAUGGCCCGAGAUGGAUUGGCGGAUGGAAUCAAGAAUAAUUUGAUUCAAACUUAAGAAUAAUACAUUAUACAGAAUUACAGAUUGAGAUUAAAUAUACUCUCUUGUUUUUAUAAACAUGUGCAAAAUGCAUGCUUUCUCUUUCAUCUCUGCUUCAAUCCCACUUUAGGGUUUGUUUGUCAAAAGUAUUGUUUUUGAAAAAUAGAUAUUGUUUAAAGCAAAUAAAAUAAAGAUCAUUAAAAAAAUAUAACAACAUAAUGUUUAAUUGAUAAUGAUUUUUGCCAGUCUUAUGAAGGACUACAAAACCGAAUACAAAAUGCCAAAAUUUUGUAACUAGGAAUCAUACCAAAUAACAUAUUAAUUUAAAAUUUAAUUCUUACUUUUAAUUCUUACUUUUAACAUCUAUAUAUGUAUACAUAGAUACACGGUGGGUCCCUCCGAGCAUCGGAUGAUUUUUCGGGCAACGGACAUCUCAUAGAGUUAAGAUCGUCAUCAUCAUCGUCAUUAUACGAAUACAUUACUUUGAAGGAGCUUAUGUUGGACUCCAAUUUUAGGGGUGGCGGCAUUGCCAUUAUAAAUUCAAUAAGAACCACAGUGGACAAUUGUUACAUUUCGCAUUUCACUACCGCUGGCAUUUCCAUCCAAGAUGGCCACGAAACGUAUAUAAGAAAUUCCUUCAUCGGCCAACACAUCAACAUCGGCGGGGAUGAUCGCGAAAAGGAUUUCUCCGGCAUCGGAAUAAACAUCACGGGAAACGACAACGCGGUCACUGAUGUUGUUAUAUUUUCAGCAUCAAUUGGAGUAAUGGUACAGGGGCAGGCCAAUAUGCUGACGGGAAUACACUGUUAUAAUAAGGCUACUGACUUGGGAGGUACCGGCAUUUACAUCCGGGCACCAGCAUUGAUAAUAAAUUUACUUAUUACAAUGGUUCUCCGUGAAAUCUCCUCAAUGGGAUUUUAUGAGUUGAAAAUAAUGAAUUAUCAAUAUAAGCAAAAAUAUAUUUUUCAAUAUACAACUUAAUUUGCUCUUAAAAUAUUUUAAUAAUAACAAAAAUAUUCAUAUAUUGCAACACACAGAACAAAUAUGAAAUGCAUGAUAAAAUUAUAUAUUUUAAAACUAGAUAAAAGAUUAAUUAGAAAAUUAUAAAUUAGAAUUAGGAAGACUUACAACUUAUGGUCAGUGUUGAAAGACUAAAUAAUUAAUUUUACUUGAAUAAAAAAUAAAAAGAUUAAAAACUGAUCCAUUAACCAUUAUACUAACAUUUUGUUAUGAUUAUUUUUUAUUUUAAUAUUUGUUCUCGUGUCUUUAAUAAAGUUUCAUGAAAUGUUAAUAACUAAUUAAAUAAUUUAUAAUUAAAAAUAUAAAUUAGGGACAGUAUUAAAUAUUUUAAAAUUACUGGAGUCAAUUUUAAAUUUUACAAUUCAGCUGGGACAUUUUUCAUAAAUAACAAAUAAAAUACAUAUUUUUAGUAUAAUUAUAAAAAAAAAAAUUAAAAGCCAGCUGGGGCCUGUGCCCCACCUCGUCCCACGCUGGCUCCGUCCCUGUUAUUCGUUCCCUCUCACAUUUCCGGCACCGGCAUCAUCCCUUCCCCUCUUCACCAAUACCCUCUAUUCGAAAUUACUGAAAUACUCUCCUCAUCUCCACCACUACCACCACCACCACCAUGUUGUCAUGCACAGUCAAAUGCUUCAAGGCCUUCAAAACCCCUUUCAACCCGGGAACCCAAAACCCGACCCGUUUGUGCAGUCAUCGACGUUAUGAUGGGCUGGACGGCUGAUGUUUUCAAGAAUUUUGAAGGUCCCAUUGUUGGGUUCUUCACUUCUGGUGCUUGUUCAGCAGCGUGGAGUGUGCCAUGUAGCAGGCUCGCAUCCAAGAUGUCAAACCGGGAGAGGCCCAUUUACUUCCUGGGUUACCCAAGGAUAUGGCUUUAUUCGAAUCGGAGCUUAAAUACGGGCCUCACGGGCCCCUUCCUCGUGGUCCACUACCUUUGCGAGGUGCGCCCGGUUCAGAGAAAAUGAGUCCAUCGAACCCCGUGAUCAACCACACUGGAUGAAGGAAGUGGAGGAAUGGAUGGCUUUGAUGUUCAACACCUGUGAUGAUCUUGAGGGACCAUUUAUUAAUCAUUUAGGGGAGAUUAUCAAUUUUCCCCCUAUUGUAAUCAAUAUAUACUAUUUACCUCCUUCCUGUUUUUAUAAUGACCAAAAACCCCUCCUGAUAACAUAAGUUUAUAAUAUUAUCCUUAUUUUCAACUACUCUUUUAUUUAUAUUUAUUAUAAAUUAAAUAAAUCACAUGAAUAUAAAUUAAAUAAAAAAUUAAGCAUUAAAAAUAACAAAUAUAUGUUUUGAUAUGAGCAAAAAAAUCAAUAAUAUAAUUUUUUCUUGAACUUAUUUAUUUUUUGAAAAUUUUCUUAUAAUAAAUAUAUAAGAAAAUUAUUAUAAAAUGAUAAAAAACUAUUAUAAGAAAACUUGAAUGACAAUUAAAAAUUUAUUAUAAGAUAAUUAAAAAAAUAUUUUGCCUAUUCUUUUUACAUUUAAUUUUAAAAUAUUAUAAAUGUUUAUUAUAAGAAAAUAUUCACAAAAUAAAUAAUUACAAGAAAAAAUUAUUAUUAAAUUUUUUGCUCAUAGUAAAACAUAUAUUUCUUGUUUUUAAUACUUAAUUAUUUAUUUAUUUUUUAUUCAUGUGAUUUAUUUUAUUUAUAAUAAAUAUAAAUAAAAGAGCAAUUAAAAAUAAAAGUAAUAUUAUAAACUUAUACUGUCAAGGGAAUUUUUGGCCAUUAUAAAAAUAGUAAAUGAAUAAAUGAUAUAUAUUGAUUAUAGUAGGGGAAAAUUGGCAAUCUCCCAUUAUUUAGUCAAUCGAAUGGGAAAGCCAAUGUGGGGAGUAGGCCCAUUAUUACUUGAACAAUUUUACAAAUGGGGCGGGUUCAGUGCUUCGUGAUCGUGAGAUGAGAACCAAUCGGUGGAGUUCUAACAUGAACGAAGAUGAGAUCAUUCAAUGGUUGGAUUUGAAAUCAUGAGGAUCUGUGUUAUAUGUGUCAUUUGGUAUCGAAGUGGGUCCAAGUUAGAUGAGCAUUUAGUACUAGCCAAUGCUUUAGAAGUAUCAAAUGAACCAUUUAUUUGGGUAAUUCAAACUGGUGCUGGUAGAUUGGAUCCUCCGUGUCAUUUAACUGGCUUAGACAGACCAGCAGAAGGCAAUUAUUUUCAUAGUGGUUUGGGUAGUAAAGCCAGUAAAAAGGGAUUGAUAAUAAAUGGAUGGGCGCCACAAUUAUUGAUAUUGAAUCAUCAAUCAAUGGGUGAAUUUUUAUCUCAUUGUGGAUGGAAUUCAAUGGUAGAAGCAAUUGGUGUGGGGUUCCAAUUUUAGCAUGGCCAAUUAGAGAUGAUCAACAUUACAAUGCCAAAUUGGUGAUCAAUCAUCUAAAGGUGGGGUACAUGAUUUCUAAUGAUCAAUCAAAAUCGAUUCAAAAGAAUGAUAUAGUGAUUGGUAUAGAAAAGCUUAUGAGUGAUCAAGAGAUUAAAAAACGAGCUCACAUGCUUCGCCGUAUAUUUUAUCAGGGCUUUCCUAUGAGUUAUGUGGCUUCUUUGAAUGCUUUCAAAGAUCUCAUUAGCCAGAAAUCAGUCUAACAAAAAUAAUUAUUGUGUAUAUUAGGCUUUUGUUACAUUGGCUUGGGUGUAAAUAAAUCUACUUUAUCAAGAACAGACAUCUCAGCACCUAAAUAAUGUUAGGAAAUUGAGUUUCAUCCCAAGAUCACUCCAAGCAAUUUGUCAAGCAACAAAUUAACAAAAAAUUUAAAUGGAGAAUACAACAAUCACACAACACAAGAUUUACGUGGAAAACUCUAAAUUCGGAGAAAAACCACAGCCGUUGUCAAGAGACAACCAGAGAAAAAAUAUUCACUAUAUGGAAAAUUAUUACAACCACACUCUCAUAAAUAAUUUUCUCUCACCCAAGCCCCAAAUACAUAAUUGCGAAAAAUAUUCCUUAACAAAGCAAACCCGUAAUACCCAUAUUGAGGAGCCAAAUGCUCCUUCAAUAUAAAUACAUGCUUAAGAAUAUUUCUCUCCCAUGUUGGAAGCUCUCAAUGCUUCUCUUACAUAUUCUUGCUUCUCAAAUUUUGGGAUUUCUUCUCUGGGAUACAAAAAUGAGAGGGAGAACCCCUCUAUUUAUAGCCAAACUUUGGCUUCAUUUUCUCCCUUUUCUUCUUUGCAUGGGCGGCACCCACCCAUUUUUUCUUGUUCAAUGAUGGUGGCUAACUUGGCCACCCACCAUCUUUGAAUUCAGAGAUGAUGGCUCAACCACCCAUCAUUUUGGCUUCUUUUUUUAAAAUCAAUUUUCAACAAUCUCUACCAUGAUUAAAAAAAAAAAAUUUCAUAGUCACUACUACAAAACAUUGUCUUCACCAAUAGUUAUAAUUCUCAAUAUAAAGAAUUAUCACACUACACCAUAAUGAGUAUACCACUUAGAAUCAACUAUUCUAAGAUUUUUCUCGGCACAUGUCAAAAUAUCCUGCUGAAAUUUAUAGUGCAAUUCUCAUGCUUGGUUUCAAUGAGAAUUCUUCAGCCAUGACAUAACUUUUCCACCACACACGUUGCAUUUAUACCAAGCCAAUGCCCUCGUGCAAACUUGUGGACCCCACUGAUAAUAACAUGUUCUCUUUCAUGGUAACUUGGAGAUCUACAUGCCAAAAGAACUAAUCCAAUCUCUUAUCAAAAACAAAUUCACCAUCUGCGAGAAAUAUCAGUAUUUCUUUUACUGAUUCUGGAGUAAUUUGUCGAGCCCGCUCCACCUUCUUGACAAUUUUCUUGAGGCGCCAAAAUUGUCCACACCUUCAAAUCUUUGUGCAUACCAGAUUGGAUACACCUUUGACUUGAAUUCUCCACAAGCCAACAAAAAAUCAUUCUCCCAUUAAUUUUUUAACAACAUCAAACUCCACCAAGUUUGAAAAAUACCAGCUACUGACAUAUUUGCUUCAUAAAUGACCCUAUACUCUUCACCACGGACUAUUUAGAUUGGCUCCCACUGCUUCACAUGAACAGUACCGUAUACACGAACAAUAUCAUAUACGUGAAAUAGUAAUGUCUACGUGAACAGUACCCCGACAUCAAAACUUCAAUCAAUGGCUCUGAUACCACUGUUAGGAAAUUGAGUUUCCUUCCAAGAUCACUCCAAGCAAUUUGUCAAGCAACAAAUUAACAAAAAAUUUAAAUGGAGAAUACAACAAUCACACAACACAAGAUUUACGUGGAAAACUCCAAAUCCGGAGAAAAACCACAGCCGUUGUCAAGAGACAACCAGAAAAAAAAUAUUCACUAUGUGGAAAAUUAUUACAACCACACUCUCAUAAAUAAUUUUCUCACCCAAGCCCCAAAUACAUAAUUGCGAGAAAUAUUCCUUAACAAAGCAAACCCGUAAUACCCAUAUUGAGGAGCCAAAUGCUCCUUCAAUAUAAAUACAUGCUUAAGAAUAUUUCUCUCCCAUGUUGGAAGCUCUCAAUGCUUCUCUUACAUAUUCUUGCUUCUCAAAUUUUGGGAUUUCUUCUCUGGGAUACAAAAAUGAGAGGGAGAACCCCUCUAUUUAUAGCCAAACUUUGGCUUCAUUUUCUCCCUUUUCUUCUUUGCAUGGGCGGCACCCACCCAUUUUUUCUUGUUCAAUGAUGGUGGCUAACUUGGCCACCCACCAUCUUUGAAUUCAGAGAUGAUGGCUCAACCACCCAUCAUUUUGGCUUCUUUUUUUAAAAUCAAUUUUCAACAAUCUCUACCAUGAUUAAAAAAAAAAAAUUUCAUAGUCACUACUACAAAACAUUGUCUUCACCAAUAGUUAUAAUUCUCAAUAUAAAGAAUUAUCACACUACACCAUAAUGAGUAUACCACUUAGAAUCAACUAUUCUAAGAUUUUUCUCGGCACAUGUCAAAAUAUCCUGCUGAAAUUUAUAGUGCAAUUCUCAUGCUUGGUUUCAAUGAGAAUUCUUCAGCCAUGACAUAACUUUUCCACCACACACGUUGCAUUUAUACCAAGCCAAUGCCCUCGUGCAAACUUGUGGACCCCACUGAUAAUAACAUGUUCUCUUUCAUGGUAACUUGGAGAUCUACAUGCCAAAAGAACUAAUCCAAUCUCUUAUCAAAAACAAAUUCACCAUCUGCGAGAAAUAUCAGUAUUUCUUUUACUGAUUCUGGAGUAAUUUGUCGAGCCCGCUCCACCUUCUUGACAAUUUUCUUGAGGCGCCAAAAUUGUCCACACCUUCAAAUCUUUGUGCAUACCAGAUUGGAUACACCUUUGACUUGAAUUCUCCACAAGCCAACAAAAAAUCAUUCUCCCAUUAAUUUUUUAACAACAUCAAACUCCACCAAGUUUGAAAAAUACCAGCUACUGACAUAUUUGCUUCAUAAAUGACCCUAUACUCUUCACCACGGACUAUUUAGAUUGGCUCCCACUGCUUCACAUGAACAGUACCGUAUACACGAACAAUAUCAUAUACGUGAAAUAGUAAUGUCUACGUGAACAGUACCCCGACAUCAAAACUUCAAUCAAUGGCUCUGAUACCACUGUUAGGAAAUUGAGUUUCCUUCCAAGAUCACUCCAAGCAAUUUGUCAAGCAACAAAUUAACAAAAAAUUUAAAUGGAGAAUACAACAAUCACACAACACAAGAUUUACGUGGAAAACUCCAAAUCCGGAGAAAAACCACAGCCGUUGUCAAGAGACAACCAGAAAAAAAAUAUUCACUAUGUGGAAAAUUAUUACAACCACACUCUCAUAAAUAAUUUUCUCACCCAAGCCCCAAAUACAUAAUUGCGAGAAAUAUUCCUUAACAAAGCAAACCCGUAAUACCCAUAUUGAGGAGCCAAAUGCUCCUUCAAUAUAAAUACAUGCUUAAGAAUAUUUCUCUCCCAUGUUGGAAGCUCUCAAUGCUUCUCUUACAUAUUCUUGCUUCUCAAAUUUUGGGAUUUCUUCUCUGGGAUACAAAAAUGAGAGGGAGAACCCCUCUAUUUAUAGCCAAACUUUGGCUUCAUUUUCUCCCUUUUCUUCAUUGCAUGGGCGGCACCCACCCAUUUUUUCUUGUUCAAUGAUGGUGGCUAACUUGGCCACCCACCAUCUUUGAAUUCAAAGAUGAUGGCUCAACCACCCAUCAUUUUGACUUCUUUUUUUAAAAUCAAUUUUCAACAAAUAAUAUGUAAGCUUUUGUUAAUUGACUGCACUCGAUCAUUAAAAGUCUUACAAAGCAUGUAAAGUAAAAAAAUGGCACAUCCUCCAUCCGAAAGCAUCUAAAAUAAAAAGAUGGCACAUCCUCCAUCCGAAGUUUUUUACCAUUCGGCUUAAAUAUAUAGUCUCAUUUUUGGUAAUAAGCUCACAACAUGCAUAGGGAAGUUUUUAAUAGAUCUUCAUUCCCGUGGAUGUUGUGAGCUUAUUACCAAAAAUGAGACUAUACAGGUGUGGGACAAACAAAAAGGGAAGUUUUUUUUCCAUUCGGCUAAAUUUUAAUGUCACGCAAAAUAAUAUGUGAUCUUGAAUUCAUUUUAAUAUGAUAUCAACAUACGUAGGAAAUUCGUGAAUCAAGAAAUUUUGCAUGCCAGAGUCAGAGGAACAAUUAAAUAGAAUGCUUUUUAAGACAACAAUCACUGAUGAUCAUGUUUGCACACCAUCGGAGAGUACUGAAUAUCUACUAUCAGUCCUAUCUAAUUGAAAAAUGUACUGGUAGUUCGAUGAGUUUGUUUCCAUAGAAGCUACUAAAUAAAGAAAGGGAAAAAGAGUGGCUACAAAAAGGAGGAAAGUGGGAGGAGCUGUAAGGCUUUCACGGCAAAUUGAUUGCCUUGUUGAUGCUGUGGAAAUGGAGGUCGAACUCAAGAAGCAGAUCAUGGUACUAAUGUUCUUGAAGAUCAAGAGAUGGAGAGAUUGAAAAAUAAUAGUGCUGCAAGUGGAUAAUAUUAUAGUUAUAUAUUUCUUUACACAUGUAUAUAAUAUUAUAUUUCUAUGAAUUACUUUAUUACAAUAGUUUUGCGUACAUAAAAGUUUAUAUAGAGAUUAAAUUUUUGCAUUUUCUUUUUUGCAGUUAAGUUUAUUAAUCAAUUCAAGUAUUUGUGUAUAUUACGGACUACAUAACAAAUUUUUUAGUUAAAUAUAUUAUAGUUAAUUUUUAUUGCAAAUUAAAAUAGUUAAUAAAAAAUUAUUUAAAUAUGUAAUCAAGAAAAUAGAAUACGCUCUUCAAAAAUCCAAUGAAUAAGAAAAAUUAUUUAAAUAAUAAUAUUCUAAAUAAAUUACAAAUAAGUAAAUGAGUACAUUUUUGUCAUUUGCACAUGAACAUUAUACUUUUAAUUUUCACUUACCAGAUUUAUAUAGUAGAUUAUUUAAAAAUUGAUUGUCAAAUAAUCAUCAUUUACCAAACACCCGGCUAAAUUAUUCAUAAAAUUAAUUUUCUGAUAAUCAAGGUAAAAAUUAAUUAUUGGGAAGUAAAAGAAAUUCCAAACAUACCCUCAAUCAAUUAUAAGAGGGUUUUUAAUUAAAGAUACCUUAAAAGUAGGGUAUUUAGUUAAAUAUAUCACAUGCUUGAAAAUUAUCUAGAUAUACCUUUUUAUGUGGUACAUUGUUUAAAAUAUCCUUAAAAAAAUAUAUAAAACACACACAACUCGUCUCUAACACUCUUUACUUCUCACUCUUUUUAACUCCACACAACGAAAACUCACUCCACACUCAAAAUCACUCACGAACAGCUAAUGCAUUGAGAUUUUAAUUUGCAACUGGGUGCAUUAUUCAUCCCAUGAAUAAGGUAUUUGAAAUUUUUUUAUUUUGUGUUAUUUAUUCAUUUAAUUGACAUUAUAUUAUUUUUAGGGUUUUGUUUGGUUUGUGAUAAACACUAAAGCAACUCAUAUUUCAUUACAUUUGCAUCAUAUGACUGUUAUUUGAUGGAUUUUAUAACUACAUUCGUUAAAACCUGAAGUUGUUGCCAAAUUUUUUUUCUGCACCCGACAUACACGACAUCAGUCUUGUAUGUAUGGAUUUACAUAACUGUAGUCGUGCAAAUGUGCAAAAGAUUCCAAUUAUCAUGACACUUUAUCAUUCUAUUGGUGCAAAAAAUAUUUUUUUUUUCACUAUAUAUAUCCUUUUACUAUUACUGGACUAUAGUCGUGUGUGUUAAUAAGUUACACAACUACUAUCGUGUACGUAUGAACUUACAUACUAUAAUUGUGUAUAUAUGUAAAAUGUUCCAAUUGUUAUCAGAUCCCAACAUUUUUUUAAGAAGAAAUAUGUCCUCUGAUUAUUUAUUGAGUCAUAUAUUUUUGCAACUUACACGACUUUUGUCAUGUAUGUAUGAAUUUACACGACAACAAUCGUGCAAGUUUGGAAGAUAUAGUAGCUGUUAUGACACCUACCAUUCGGUUAGUACAAAGAUUACAGUUUUUUUUACUAAAUAUAUCAUCUGACUGUUUAUAGAACUAUAGUUGUGUAUUUUAGCAAGUUACAUAACUAUUGUCGUGUAAACUACCAAUUACACGACGUGAGUCAUGUAAAUAGGCAGACAGAUCCACACUUCGUUAUAUGCAUUGCUUGAUUUUAUUUUUGUAUUUGUUGUAUAAUCAACCGUUGUAUUAUUACAGAAAAUGACUUCAGUACGUGUGCCUAUUAUGUUUUGUGGUGAAUGGAUUGAGCAAAACGGCCAUUAUAGAUUUAAUGAUACAAAGGCAAGAGGGAUCAUAGUGCCAUAUUCUACAACGUAUGCACAAUUGAUAGAAAUAGUAUCUCGGGUUAUUUAAUAGGCAACCAAAUUACCAGAGGCUUAUACAAUAUGGACCGAGUGUUUGGGUUGAAAAUGCAAAAAAAUUAUGAUGAUUGUUAAACAACUUCUAUUGUAUUAUGACUUAUUUACGAUUCAAAUAAGUAUUGGAUUUAUGUUGUUUGAUAGGCAACCAGACUACAGUUAGUUUCAUUUAUUUGAAAUUUAAUAUGUUAAAGUUUAUAUUGAUUGUGUCAUCAAUAUAAUGAAUGUUUUAGUUGAUUUUUUAUUCUGUGUCCACAUACCCGAGUACAAUCGUGUAUUUUGGCUGUUACAGAACUGGUCAUGUUUAUUUACAAAUACUCGACUGCAGUCGUGUAUCUGUGCAAAUACCUGACUGCAGUCGUGUAUUUUCCUAUAGAGAGCUAGUCAUAUUUAUUUGUAAAUACUCGACUGUAGUCGUGUAUCUGUGCAAAUACCCAACUACAGUCGAGUAUUUUCUUACAGAGAGCUGGUCAAAUAUAAUUAUAAAUACUCGAUUGCAGUCGUGUAUCUGUGUAAAUACCCGAAUGCAGUCGAGUAUUUUCUUAUAGAGAGCUGGUUAUGUACAAUUGUAAAUACUUGACUGUAGUCGUGUAUCUGUGUAAAUACCCAAUUGCAGUCGAGUAUUUUCUUACUGAGAGCUAGUCAUGUAUAUUUGUAAAUACUCGACUGCAGUCAUGUAUCCGUGCAAAUAGCUAAUUGCAGUCGUGUAUUUUCUUACAGAGUAUUCCCUGACCAUAUAUGGCAAUCCUGUUACAUCACAUAGAUUGUACAAACUAUCUUCACUAUCAUUAAUAUAGUUAACAAAGAAAUAAAACAUAUUAAUGAUGUCAAGUUAUCUUUAAUGACAUCAAAUAUCAACAACAUCCUCAUUAUAACUAUCACAUCUCAUGGUCCAAAAAUGACACACCAAUAAAGUUUUUAAGGGUAGUACACUACAAAGUUUUUUUCCAUGACCUAUGCCCAAAUAAUUUGACAACCAAGGCUUUUCGAAAUUGUAUAACAUGAUCUUGUUUGCAAUAUGAAUUGACAUCAAGUCCAUGGGUUAGGACCUCCAAGUACCGCAACAAAUUCUCCACAAUCACCACUAAAAAAAGUAAAAUAAAUCAAUUGUUAAAAAUCAGCAUUCUUAUUAUUAUGUUCAAAACACAUUAUAUAUAUAGUACAUACCCUAAUUUUUGUUGCGGGAUGUCACACACUCGCACGAUGGGCCAAGGAAUUUUCGAUGUAACCUCAAUAUAGUCUGGAUGUGUUUCGUGAUACGCUAUCUUUUGAAGUACUAGAGGUAUCAUGUCUGCAACAGGCAGCAAUUGUCUCACUAAAACUUAAGUCUAUCAUGGAGUCAUAAAUAGAAAUCUUGCCACAAGAAAUUUAUAAUGCUUGCAGUAAUCAAAUGGCCUCAUAAAUAGAAAUCUUGCCACAAGAAUCCUUUGUUAAGUCUAUCAUGGAGUCAUUAAUUCAAUUAGAUUAAUCUCAGCAACAAGAAAUUUAUAAUGCUUGCAGUAAUCAAAUGGCCUCACAAUUCUAAACUAACUCUCCAUCCAUCAUUAAUCCUCUUGCUUCUUGAGCAAUUAAUGAAAAAUUAAAUUUAUCCACCCACUAUUUCCACUUCUAAGUAAAUAUAAUGUCAAUAGUCCAAAAUUAAAUUAUCUCGUACAAGUUUCCUAAAUAACAUCUUUCAAUAGUUGAAAAUAAGAAAUUAGAUAUAUGUAAUGCAUGUUUUUUUUUUUCAUUAAAACUAUAACCCAUAUCUCCACAUAAGCACAACUCCAAUACUUGAGCCUUUGUACCAAAUUUCCAGGUAAUUCAAGAUAGAUUCUAAUGUUACUAACAAAUCACACAAAUUAGCAAAGCAUAUAUUCGAUAAAAUCAUACUCAACAAGGUGUAACUGUCAAGUUUUUGAGUGGUAACUCACCUUUCAUUCGCCCAAUUUCAAUUCAAGGCAACAAAUUUAUGGGCUGGAACAAACGGCAACAGAGACAUAAAGUAACAGCAGCAAAGCGUCAUUGGCGUUAAUCUCAUCUAAUGGCGCAUCAGAGGGAUAGCAAUCGAGCCUGGCAAACAACUCUUCACUCUUUUUUGCUUGCUUGGAUUGGAUUCAAUCUUGAGGAAGGUUUGAAUUUGGCAAAAAUGGGUGUUGUGCACGCUAGUCGUGAGAGAGAAUUAGGGAUUGUGUUUUGUGACUGAUUGUGCAGGGUAAUUUGAAUGAUUUAGGUUUUUAAUUAGAGCAAUUUCGUAGCUGCACAUUAAAAAAGGUAUAUAUGGGGAAUUUUAGAGUAUGGGGGUGUUCUUAGAUAAAUACAUUUUUUUGGGGUAUGCCACGGAUAAAUCCCUGACUAUAAGAAGUUAUUUAAGUUGUACUAUUUAAUGGGUUUUAUUAAUAGUGAGCGCGUUUAUCAAAUAUAUAAAAAUAAAUAUUUUAGUUAUUAUCCACCUAUUCUCUUGAAAUCAUUCUCAAAAAUUUUUCGUUUACCUAAAAUUCCAAGUAAAAUAGAUAAAAGAAGAAGAGUUGGGGUAAAAACAAAUGGAAGGAAAAACAGGGCUCCCUGUUUUCAAAUUAUCUAUAAGUUACGAAAGGAGAAUGGUUCAGAUUAUCUUGAGCUCUGCGGUCAAACCGUCCAUCAGGCGGAUUCAGAUUUUGAAUUAUCUGUCAUAAUUUGGUUUCCCACUUAAGCAUGCUUAUCAUUGGUUUGAUAUUUGCUUUUUAAGACGACAAUCACUGAUGAUCAUGUUUGCACACCAUCUGAGAGUACUGAAUAUCUACUAUCAGUCCUAUCUAAUUGAAAAAUGUACCGGUAGUUCGAUGAGUUUGUUUCCUUAGAAGCUACUAAAUAAAGAAAGGGAAAAAGAGUGGCUACAAAAAGGACGAAAGUGGGAGGAGCUGUAACUGUAAGGCUUUCACGGCAUAUUGAUUGCCUUGUUGAUGCUGUGGAAAUGGAGGUCGAACUCAAGAUGCAGAUCAUGGUACUAAUGUUCUUGAAGAUCAAGAGAUGGAGAGAUUGAAAAAUAAUAGUGCUGCAAGUGGAUAAUAUUAUAGUUAUAUAUUUCUUUACACAUGUAUAUAAUAUUAUAUUUCUAUGAAUUACUUUAUUACAAUAGUUUUGUGUACAUAAAAGUUUAUAUAAAGAUUAAAUUUUUGCAUUUUCUUUUUUGCAGUUAAGUUUAUUAAUCAAUUCAAGUAUUUGUGUAUAUUACGGACUACAUAACAAAUUUUUUAGUUAAAUAUAAUAUAGUUAAUUUUUAUUGCAGAUUAAAAUAGUUAAUAAAAAAGUUAUUUAAAUGUGUAAUCAAGAAAAUAGAAUAUGCUCUUAAAAAAUCCAAUGAAUAAGAAAAAUUAUUUAAAUAAUAAUAUUCUAAAUAAAUUACAAAUAAGUAAAUGAGUACAUUUUUGUCAUUUGCACAUGAACAUUAUACUUUUAAUUUUCACUUACCAGAUUUAUAUAGUAGAUUAUUAAAAACUGAUUGUCAAAUAAUCAUCAUUUACCAAACACCCGACUAAAUUAUUCAUAAUAUUAAUUUUCUGAUAAUCAAGGUAAAAAUUAAUUCUUGGGAAGUAAAAGAAAUUCCAAACAUACCCUCAAUCAACUACAAGAAGUUAUUUAAGUUGUAGUAUUUAAUGGGUUUUAUAAAUAGUGAGCGUGCUUAUCAAAUAUAUAAAAAUAAAUAUUUUAGUUAUUACCCACCUAUUCUCUUGAAAUCAUUCUCAAAGUUUUUUCGUUUACCUAAAAUUCCAAGGAAAAUAUAUAAAGGAAGAAGAGUUGGGUUAAAAAAAAAAAAAUGAAGGAAAAACAGGCCUCCUCUGUUUUCAUUCCCCUGUUUUGAAAUUAUCUAUCAGUUACGAAAGGAGAGUGGUUCAGAUUAUCUUGAGCUCUGCGGUCAAACCCGUCCAUCAGGCGGAUUCAGAUUUUGAAUUAUCUGUCAUAAUUGGUUUCCCACUUAAGAAUGCUUAUCAUUGGUUUAAUAUAUUGCUGUUCCACUUGUUUAAUGAAUGGAUUCCCACCUACGCGUUUGCUUAUUAAAAGAAUAAAUCUUGCUUUUGCUUUUCUAGAGAAAUAAUGCAAUAUGCAAUUAUGCGUGAUGGUGCGCGUCCAUGUGAGAAAGUUGACGAAAGCUUCUUUUUCAGUAUUGCAAGUGCUAUCCACAGCGGAACUCCACAAUCGAAACCAUCAUUACGACAAUUUUUCUCUGUCGUUUCAAUUUUUAAUUGAAUAUAAAACAAGUAAGGUCAAAUAAAGUCUGGUCCACCAAUUUAAUCAGUAUGAACGUAUGGAUCCCAUCAUUAAUAUUAUAAAUAUGUGGGUCCUUUAAUUAUUACAUUAUAUGAUUAUUGUAUUAUUUAUAGAUUGCUUUAAUCAUGACAUAUUACGAAAGGAGAUUCCCCUUGGAAAAAAAAUAAAAAAGAGAUUCCCUCUUCGGCGACUGAAAAUAAAAGAAAUUAAGGGCUGCAUGAUUGAGUCUUCUUCUUUUGCAAAUCAUUAUCAUUACUCUCAUAAGCUCUCUAUAAUUACAUUCCUCUGCAGGUAACAUUAACUUUUUGCUCAUUAAAAUUGCACUUAAAUACUCAAGGCGAUUACAGAAGCUCAUCAACUUUCCAUAAUUAAACAGGAUUUCCACAACCUUCAAUUAAUUUCUUUUAAUAACAUAAUCUCUGAUGCUUGAUCUCUAUACAAUUUCUUUCUUAAUUUCCAUCCACUUUCCAAGAUAAAAUUUCUAUGGCUUGUUCAUUUAUCAUUUUUUUUUUGGGACACUUGAAGCACGUUUCUGUUAAUAGCAAAAACUCUGAUCCUUAAGAAAGAAGAAAAAAUGCUCUGUUCAUGUUUCAGUUGAUUCAAGAUCAAUUUUGCGAUACUGUUUGCCGUCUUUUUUUCUCUCUCUAGUUUAUUUUAAUUUAUUUGUAUUCCUUUCCCCUUUCUUUGACAUAUUAUUAGAUUUGUUAAGCAGCAGGCAAUGGCAGAAGUGGGUCUGGCUGCUUUUUCCAGCAUUGUAUCAGAAGGUUCAAAGUCACUGUUCAAACUGAUUAUACGGCAGAUAUCUUAUGUGUUCAAGCACCAGAGCUACAUAGAUGGCCUGAAAGAUCAAGUGAAGCAGCUGGGAUAUAGAAGAGAAACGGUGCAACAACCUGUUAAUCAUGCUAGACUACAAGGGGAUGAGAUUUAUGAGGGUGUCACAGACUGGCUAAAUAAAGUUGAUGAAUUCAUCAGUGAAGGGGUUGCAAAAUCCAUCAUUGAUGAUGAAGAUAGAGCUAAGAAGUCCUGCUUCAAAGGGUUGUGCCCCAACUUGAUUUCUCGUUACCAGCUUAGUAAACAAGCAGCAAAGGCCGCAGAAGCUGCCGCUAGUCUCGAGGGAAAAGGCACCUUCUCUAGUGUUUCCUACCGUCCUGCUCCAAAGAGUACAGAAUAUAUGCCAGUGAAAGAUUACGAGGCCUUCGAUUCAAGAACGAAAGUAUUUCAAGAUGUUGUGGAUGCGUUGAAGGAUGAUAGUUUCAAAAUAAUUGGGGUCUAUGGGAUGGGCGGCGUGGGUAAAACCACGCUAGUUAAGCAAGUUAGAAAGCAAGUGAUGGAAGAUAAGUUGUUCGAUAAGGUCGUUAUGGCUGAGGUAACACAGACACCAGAUCAUCAUAAAAUUCAAGACAAACUUGCUUUUGAUUUAGGCAUGGAAUUUGACUUGAAUGAGAAUGAAUUUCAAAGAGCUUCUCGACUGUGUCAAAGGUUGAAGCAAGAGAAGCGGCUCCUCAUUAUACUGGAUAAUAUUUGGACAAAACUUGAGUUCGAUAAAGUUGGAAUUCCUUAUGGGGAUGUUGAUGAGAAAGAUAGAGAGGACGAUCGGAGUAGACGCACAAUAAUAUUGACGUCUCGAAGUCGAGAUUUAUUGUGCAAUGAUAUGAAUUCUCAGAAAAAUUUCUGGAUCGAUGCUUUAUCCAAAGAUGAAGCAUUGCAGUUAUUUGAGAAGAUUGUGGGUGAUUCAAAAAAAACAUAUGAUUUUCAACCCACUGCAGAUGAGAUCGUUGAAAAAUGCGGGGGAUUGCCUGUUGCACUGAGAACAGUUGCAAGUGCUCUGAAAAAUAAGAGUCUUGCCAGUUGGAAGGAUGCAUUGAAUCAGCUAAGAAGUUCCAAUCUAAGAGAAAUUCGUGGUAUGGAUGCAGAUGUGUAUUCUUCCAUAAAAUUGAGUUACGAUUUCUUGGAAAGUGAUGAAGCAAAAUCUUUGUUCCUUCUUUGUACUCUGUUUGGUGAAGGUCAUCCUAUAUACGUACAUUACUUAUUGAGAUAUGGUAUGGGUUUGGGUCUAUUUAGAAAUGUUUACACAUUGGAAGCAGCAAGGAAUAGAGUGGAUGCAUUGAUCGACAGUCUAAAAGCUUCAUGCUUAUUGUUGGACGGUGAUGCUGAAGAUGAAGCUAAAAUGCAUGACGUCAUUCAUGUUGUUGCUGUAUCAAUUGCCGCAGAGAAGCUUAUGUUUAAUAUUCCAAAUGUUGCUGACUUUGAGAGAGAGAUGGAAGAGACAAUACGGAAAGGUCCAAUCGCUAUUUCCUUACCUUAUAGAGAUAUUCAAGAGCUCCCUGAGAGGUUGGAAUGUCCCCAACUCAAGUUAUUUUUUUUGUUUGCAAAGCAUGAUAGCUCUUUGCAAAUUUCACACCUCUUUUUUGAAGGGGCAGAAGAACUCAAAGUUUUAGACUUUACUGGAAUAUUUUUCUCUUCAUUACCUUCAUCACUUGGUUGCCUCAUUAACGUUCAAACAUUAUGUUUAGAUGGUUGCCGACUGAACGAUAUAGCAAUAGUUGGACAGCUAAAGAAAUUAGAGAUUCUCAGCUUUCGAGAUUCUGAUGUUAAGGAGUUGCCACUUGUAAUUGGACAAUUGACGAGAUUACAGUUGCUAGAUUUGAGAAAUUGUAGCAGCCUUGUGGUGAUAGCUCCAAAUGUCAUAUCAAAAUUAUCUCGAUUAGAAGAACUAUACAUUGGUAACAGCUUUUCACAAUGGGAGAAGGUUGAAGGAGGAAGUAACGCCAGUCUUGCUGAAUUGAAUGGGUUGUCAAAGCUAACUACUUUGGAGAUACACGUUCGGGAUGCCGAAAUUCUACCGCAGGAUUUGGUCUCUGUGGAAUUGCAAAGCUAUAGGAUAUGUAUAGGAAAUGAGUGGUGGAGCAGCCGGUCCGUUAAAUCUGGAUUAUCAAGAUUGAUGAAGCUCCAGGGGCUAGAAAAGUUUGGCAUUCUUUUGCAGAAUUACAGGAUGAAACUGUUGUUGGAGAGAACUGAAUAUCUCUAUCUAAAAGAACUGAAGGGUGUUCAGAAUGUUGUUCAUGAAUUAGAUGAUGGGGAAGGUUUUCCACGAUUGAAGCAUCUUCACGUAGAAAGUUGUUCUGAGAUUUUACACAUUGUCGGUUCAGUUGGACGGGUUCGUCGCAAAGUCUUCCCCUUGCUGGAGUCAUUGUCUCUUUGGUGUUUGAGCAAGUUGGAGACAAUAUGUGACAGCCAACUCACAGAAGAUCAAUCUUUCAGCAACUUAAGGAUUAUAAUAGUACGCGGCUGUGACAAAUUGAAGCAUCUUUUCUCAUUCUCCAUGGCCAAAAACCUACUGCGGCUUCAAAAGGUAGAAGUGUUAUUUGGCGGUGAUCUGGAAAUGAUUGUUGGUAAGUGUUGAAAUUAAGUACUGGUGGGAUUAUGGACUUCACCUCAAUUAUUUUGAAAAAAAAAAACGACAAAGAUUAAUUAUGUAUAUUGUUUUUGUUUGUUUAUAGGACCCGACAGGGAGAAACCAACAACUUCUUUGGGAUUCAACGAAAUCAUUGCUGAUGAUGAUACCGCUCCAAAGGUGAUAAUUUUCUGUACAAUAAUUAAUUGAUUAAUUUAUUAUCACGAUUAAUCUUCGAUCAUCAAAAGAAUAUUAUACUAGACGGUUGUACUUGAAGGAACAAAAAUGUACGGGUUUUCUUUGCAGGUUAUUCUUCCGAGCUUAGAGGAAUUGAAUCUCACGCUAUUAAGAAACAUGAAAAAAUUAUGGGCCGAUCAUAAUCAAGGAAUGUACUGUUGUCAAAAUUUAACAAAGGUGAUCGUGAGCAGUUGUGAUCGUAUGAAGUAUCUGUUUUCGUAUUCUAUGGUUAAUAGUCUUUUGCUACUCCAACAUCUUGAGAUAAGAGCUUGUAAGUCAAUGGAAGGGGUAGUCGACACCACGGGGUGGUCAGAAAGAGAUGAAGGACAUAUUCAUUUCCCUAAACUACACUCCCUCGAGCUCCAUUGUCUUCCAGAACUAACAAGCUUCGCCAAUACGGGACAUAUUCAUUCAGAUUUAGUUGUUGAAUUCCCUUCUUUGCUAGAACUCCGGAUUAGUGGUUGCAGUAAUAUGUUAAGAUUCAUCUCUACGAGCUCACCAGAAGACACCAUUCAUUCUGAAAUGCAACCUCCUCCUCUUUUUGACGAAAAGGUUUUUUUUUUUAAUAAAAAAAUUAAUUUUAGUCACAAUACUUAAUUUUUCUUUUCCUUGAGUCUUCAAAUUUAGUUAAUAUCCACCUCUAAUUUAGUUAUCAAUUGAUUAUGCCAUUAAUUGAUUAAUUAGUUAUUUAAUCUUUAACUGCCAGGUACGACUUCCUAGGGUGGAGGUAUUACUUAUGGAGAUGAUGGAUAAUUUGAGAAGAAUAUGGCACCACCAGCUUGCUUCGGAGUCUUUCAGCAAAUUGAAGAAUUUGGACAUAUGGUGGUGUGAUAACCUAAGAAAUAUUUUUCCUCCAUUGGUAAGGUUGCUGUAUUCAUUUCGAAUCUUUUUUCCCAGAUAAAAUUCAACCAUUUUUUAACCAUUUUUGUGUUUACAAAUGGUAUUCAGCCACUAAUUAUUUAUUUCAAGUAUUGUACUUCAAAUUAACCACCACUCUGAAAUCUACGUUUUAAGUCCGGUUUUCAAUUUAAUUGUUUUUGCUCAUAUCUUAAAAGUACGAUUUUCAAAAAUUAAAGGAUCGUCUCUCAUCUUAUAGGUUCACAAAUUCAUCUAUAUAUUUCUCUUUUCCUUAAUUCUUCACGUUUCGAUUGGAAAAAAAAAUAAAAGUCUUCAAAUUUAAUUAAUAUCUCUAGUUUAGUUACGAAUUGAUUAUGCCAUUAAUUAACCACAAAUUCAUGAUUAUUUACAACUGACCCUUGAUUGUAAAGAAAUUUCCUCGAGUCUGGAAGUACUUAAUAAAGAUCCACUUUACAGCAGUCCCUUGUUGACAGUAUUGGGAAAUCUUUUCCAAUUUUUUUUUCCAUUUUUAAAUAUACAUUAAAAAAAGGAACCAAGGAAAAGGGAAAAAUGGUUGAGUUUUUUUUUUUUUUUUUAAAAAAAAGGAAUAGUUGAAAUUUGCAAAUUUAUGCUUAAAAACUGAUAUCAAGAUGCAAAAGAAGUCUAAAAUAUUUAGAAAUUGCCUUAAAUUCUUUCUACGUUUCUAAUACUAAAUAGUGUAAAUGCAUUUUUAUUAUCUUUGUUUAUCUGGGUUUUAUUUAUUUAUUUAUCUUGUUCUAUUUUUGUUUAACAAAAAAUAUCUAGUAGACAUUUCAUAAUUUGUUAUGUUCAUAAAAUGUAUAAUUGUAUGAUUAAACAUACUUUGAACCUAGUUGAAUGAUAUUCUUACAUUUUUACUUUUUUAAUACACCACACAUGCACACACUUUUGCUUAUUUUCAGGUUGGAAUUCCUAGUAGUCUGGUGAAUCUUAAAGUAUCGGGUUGCCCAAAAUUAGAAGAAAUCGUAGGACAUGCUGGAGAAGAAGUGAAGGAGAAUCGUAUUGCUUUCAGCAAAUUAAAAGUUUUGAUACUUGAUGAUUUACCAACGCUUACCAGCUUUUGUUUGGAGAAUUACACUCUUGAAUUCCCAUCACUGGAACGAGUUUCUAUGACACAUUGUCCGAACAUGAAGAAUUUUUCUGACGGAAUCUUAUCCAUUCCAAAGCCAUGCAAAGUACAAGUGACUGAAAAGGAAGAGGGUGAACUGCACCAUUGGGAAGGCAAUAACCUUAAUUCCACUAUACAAAAGUGUUAUGAUGAAAUGGUAUGUGUUAAUCGAUUCACCCAAAUUGUUCAUGCAUCUCCCCUGCACUUGCACAUUUAAGCAUAUACACCUCCCUUGUAUAUAUAUUUUUAGAAGUUAAAACACAAAACAUGUAAGUUUAAUGUGUAUAUAUAUAAUGCCUUUCAAAAACAAAAUUGUAUAUAUCUGGUGCAAUUGUUUUGGUUUGUGCAGAUUGGAUUCCUUGAUAUAAACCGUUUGCAACUCUCGCAUUUUCCACGCUUGCAAGAAAUAUGGCAUGGCCAAGCACUGCCUGUCAGCUUCUUCAACAAUUUAGCAGAGCUGGUGGUGGAUGACGGCACGAAUAUGUCGAGUGCUAUUCCUGCCAAUCUGCUACGGUGCUUGAACAAUUUGGAAUGGCUGGCAGUGAGGAAUUGUGAUUCACUAGAAGAGGUGCUUCAUUUGGAAGAGCUAAGUGCUAAGGAAGAACAUAUAGGCCCCCUGUUUCCUAGGCUUUUAAGCCUAAAGCUCAUUGAUCUUCCAAAACUCAAAAGAUUCUGCAACUUCACUGGGAAUAUAAUUGAACUGCCUAAGUUGGAAUAUCUAAUUAUUGAGAAUUGCCCUGAUAUGGAAACAUUCACAUCCAAUUCUACAUUUGUACUGCACAUGACAGCAGAUAAUAAGGAACCUCAAAAAUUAAAAUCAGAAGAGAACCUCUUGGUAGCUAAUCAAAUACAAUAUCUCUUCGAUGAAAAGGUAAUCAUUAUUAUUAUUUUCCCUUCACUUUCGUUCGCACAUAUGUAAUUUCAUUAUAAUCAAAUCAAAUUUAAUGACUCAUCUUUUUGCACGUCGUCUUAAUUUAUAUCUGAUUUAACAAUAUAACCGCAGUUAUUAACUAACUUUAUAGUAUGAAUUAUAAAAAUGUCUGAAAUUAAUUGGAUGCCUGGUAACACGAGGUGAUGAACUAUACUAAUUAUGUGUGUAACAUCUCUGUUUUCCUAGCUAAUUCAUAUUGGAUUUAGCAUCAGAUUUCAUUUAUGUAUUUCAAAGGGUAAUCGAUUUGAUACUGAUAUUUGGGAUCCUACUGCAAAGCAUACUAAUAUGGAAAUAAAAUAUAAAAUGUCGUGAUUAAUCUUGUCCGUAAAAUAUGCAGGGGAAGACUGCAGAGAUUGGAUACAUAUUUUCAUUUACAACUUAAUUUUGUUGAUUUUCAGGUUGCAUUCCCUAAAUUGAGGAAGUUAAGGCUGUCUAGAUUACACAAAGUGCAGCAUCUCUGGAAGGAAAAUGCCGAAUCCAACAAAGUAUUUGCAAAUUUGGAAAGUCUAAAAAUAUCGGAAUGUAGUAAGUUGCAAAAAUUAGUACCACCUUCGUGGCAUUUGGAAAAUCUUGAGGCUUUGAAAGUAUCGAAGUGUCACAGGUUGAUAAAUGUGUUGACGCUCUCAGCAUCUAAAAAUCUAGUGAAUCUCGGAAGAAUGAAGAUAGUUGAUUGCAAAAUGAUGGAAGAAAUUAUACAGUCGCAGGUUGGAGAAGAAACGGAAGAUUGCAUUGUUUUUGGGAAAUUGAGGUACUUGGAACUUGACUGUUUGCCAAGCCUAACAAGCUUUUGUUUAGGUAAUUACGCUCUUGAAUUCCCGUCCUUGAAACAAGUAGUUGUGAGACAGUGUCCAAAAAUGAAGAUCUUCUCUCAAGGAGUCUUAGACACACCAAUGCUAAACAAAGUGAACGUCACCGAAGAAGAAAAAGAUGAUGAUGAAGAAGAUGAUGAUGAUGAAGGAUGUUGGGAAGGCAACCUCAAUGACACCAUAAAAAAAUUGUUCAAUGAAAUGGUGAGUAUCAAUUAAGUUUUGGUGCUAUUUAGCAAAUUAUUUUAUAGAAACUAAUGUGAUAUAAUAUGAUUGGUUGACUGAAAAUAUAUAAUAAUAAUAAUAAUAAUAAAUAAAUAAAUAAAUUAUGAGGGCCAUGUAAUGUUUUUAUUUAACCAAUCAUAUUAUCUCGCAUUAGUUUAUACAAUAUUGUUUGUGCACAAGAGGUGGUGGUCCUAUCAUUACUCUAGCUUUAUUAUUCUUAUGGUGGCAAUGUAUGCUUGCUUACACGAGUAAUUACAAAAUGUGCAGAAUUCUAAAGAAGAUAUUGAGCCAACCCUUCAGGUACAGUGAAGAAGCUAUCUCGAACCAGGCCAAUCUCUUAUACAUGAUUUAGCUUGCUCGUUCUUCUGUACUUGAAUAAUUUGGUUCUACAUAUUUACAAUUUUUUGCUCAUGCUACAGACGUGCAAGACACUUUGGAUUUUGUUUGAUGCAUUCUCCGUUUAAAGAAAGGACUUGAAUUGAUUUUUCAUGUUUCAUGCAAUAUUCGAUUAGAUUCUGCCUAAAUUUCUGUAUUAUUCUCUUUUAAGCAUUUAAUUUCUAACCUCUCCUGAUAGAAGAUCCUUAGCCUAAGAAAACAGCAUAACAUUUGUGAAAAAGAAUUAAUUAUCUCACACCAGAUUAGAAAAAGAAAACAGCAUAACAUUCGAUUAGAUAGUAAAAUUAUCUCGACCACUGUUAAAAAGAAUUAAUCAGUCGAAUCUCACACCAGCACGCUUUAAAUUAAAAGAAUUUCGUGAAGUCAAGACCAUGUUAUAGAUCUCAUGGAAAGAAGUAAACCCGUAAUCUUUUUCACAGCAUCAUAAGAAAAAUCGUUUUUUUUAAGUAUUUUUGUUAGCUGUCGAGUUUUAAUAGUAGUAGCUAUUAAACAAUAACAAUUAGUGUAUAUUAAAAAGUUGGAAACUGGUUGAUACCACUCGGGAAUCGAGCAGUUCACUUGUUUGCGAGUAGAAACCAACUUUACUACUAAUUACACUCCAAAAAUCACUAUUCUUCAUUUUUUAAUGCAAAAUUCCCAUUCGAAAACACCAAUGACUUUCAUUCAAAGUAAAUGAGAAAUUACAAUGAAAAUAGAAUCAAAAUACAUGUAUGUAUACCUAAAACAAAUGAUUUUUUUAAUUAAAAAAAAAACACAGUUGAGGUGAAAUGAAACCAGAGUCAUGAUAUCUCUGGUUCCAACUUUGGGACAACAGCAGACUUGAGUUCUAUAUGAGAAACACGUACAGCACCAAUCAGCCGCUCCGGUAAUUCAUCUGUAGUAUUUGCCUGCAUACAGAAGAGUAAGAUAAAGAAGACACACACGAAGCAUUAUACCAUUCUGAGAACAUUCAAGUAUGCAAAAAUGCAAAUUGCAGUGCAAUAUCUCAAAAUCAUGUCUUUUCCCUUGUGUCCAUUUAGAAGUGGGGGAAAAAAACAAUCAUACAUACCUGUACAAGGAAAGCCAUGUCAACCACCAAUGUCGUAACUACACCAAUUACAAGGCCCAAAACUCCAUUAGCAACAGUAGAAGAACCGAUGUCAACAUUAAUCUACAGAAAGAUGAACAAUGUUAAACCAUGUUAAUGGUAUCGGAUGCUAUUUGAAAGAUGAACAUCUCAUGUACUAUAGAAAUUCCAAGAGCAUUUACUUCUAAGUACUUGGGACCGCGAAUAUAGUUACAAUCAACUGCUUUACCCAAUAAGCAAAGGGUGCUUCCAACACUCUGGCGCACGAUCCAUGACCCCUGCAUGAUUCAGUGCUUAAAAUCAAGAACAAGUGCAAAACAAAUUCAAGAGGGUAAAAAUGGACAUGAAGUUUGAAGGUACAACCCAUCAAUACAUUUACACCUAAAUGCAUGCCUUCUUUGGACAAAUUGAAGUGUACCAUGCAGUAAAGGGUUAGUAUACGUUAAUAUAGUCCUAAUACAUGAAGGCCAAGAUGGAUACCUUAGGAACAGAUGGAAUAAGUUUCAACCUGCUAUUGCGAAACUCAUCAUCGCCAUCAACAAACCGUUGCAAAAGUGAUCCCAUAACCAAUUGCCUUGCGACUAAAUAAAAUACCAUACUAUAAUGUGUUGAUCCAGGAACCUGCAGAUGCUUAGGUUACAACUAUACAACCUCCCAAUACAAUAAGUUUGAAACUUAAUACCUUCUGAAAUGAAACAAACUUACUUGAAGAUUAAAGAUCAGUGAGAAAAGCCCAUUUUCGGAAGCAACCUACAUUUUUUAGAAGAGGGUUAGUGUGUUAUAGAUUCAAUGAACCAUGAGAAGUUAUUUACAUUGUAGUAUCUCACAGGCAGUAUUUUCUCCUAAUGCAUCAAUGGAAAAGGAAAAAUAAAAAGAAAAGAAUAGUUACUUGUGCAGCACAGCCUUGACGCCUAGCUACAUGGUCCAUUCUCUUUGUGUCUUUGAACCAAUCAACAGCAACAAGAUCCAUUAAAUGUUUUCCCGCAGGUAUCUGCAGUUACAAAUUGCACAAAGCACAAGAAGAGCCAACCAAACUACAUCAUAACCUGUCUACCUAGCCUAUGCAGGAUAUAUAAAUACCAUAACAAACAAACAAAAUAUGGGGGAACCUUUGUUUUGUCAUAACAAAAAUGCUUGCUACGAACUCUAAAGUUAUUUCCAUCAGAAAGUUUCCAGCAGUCACGAGCAUUAUCACAGUCAUCGUGUCGUAGAUUGCCCGAAAAACAAGACAAAUCAAUUUGAUCAGCCUGCUCUUCCUCUAGGGCUGCAACUAAUUGAAAUUUUUUUUUUUAAAAAAAAAAGAUCAAUACCAUAAAAAUCCACUAGCCAAAUAUACAAAAAUGAAUACUUAUCAUCCACCUGUCCUCUUGAAAUCAUUCUCAAUCUUUUUUUCAUUUGCCUGAAAUCCCAAGGAAAAAUAUGUAACUAAUACUUCCCAUUCAUGAAUAUUGUCUAUCGUAUAAACAUGACAUUUUUAAUUGGAAUAAUAAAAUUAUUUAAUUAUUUUAAUUAAAUGUUAAUCCUACAAAUUAUUUUUGUUAAAUCUAGCAAGAAUAACUAAAAUUUCUUUAAGAUAUAUUUUGGUGGUAAAUUAAAAAAAAUUUAAUUAUUUGGCGGGAAUUAUUGAAAUUGGAGCCAUUUUUUUUUGUGGGAAUUGAAAUAUAUUCUUUAAAUUAUUACAUAAAUAGCAAAAUGUACAUACACACACAUAUAUAUAAUUCAUAUAUAAAAAUUCUCUAAUUUGUUCACAAGUACCAUAGAUUAUAAUUCAGUUAUGAAAUAAAAUAACUACAAUUAUUAUAGUUAAAUGAAUACUUCAUUAAUUCUUAAUUUGCAUCCUAACAUUAAAUGAACAACUUGAGUCAGCCACCUGAAUUAACCAGUAACAACGCCUGAGUCAACCAUCUGAAUAAACCAGCAACCCUAGCUGAUUCCAGCACCUGCAAUUAACGUCAGCACAACAGGAACAAUCUUAAAUCAACACCAAGAACAGACCAAACUGCUGUCAAAUGUCACAAAACCAAACAGUCUGCUACUGCCAUCAAAUGCAAGCAAACAUAUGCAACAAAACCAGAUGCAAGUGAAAUUCUGGAGAAUAUCGGAUAAACCAAACCAAAUGCCACACUUCUAGUAAUUAGACUAGAUGCAGUGUUCAAUUAAACUAAAUGUAGUCUCAUAUUACAUUCAAAAUUUCUAAAAGAAGCAGUGUUCCAUCAGAGAAGCACCAAAACCAAACCAAUCUAAUCCAGCAUAAUUACCAGCUCAACCCAAAACAAUUACACAUUAUAUUGACAUAUCAAAAUUCGCUAUCAAAACAUAGCCAAAUAAAUGAAAAUAAACUCAAAACAGACCCAAACCAACUGAUGUUGCAGCCCUAGUAGUCGUUGUCCGUUCCACUGCCAUGGGAGCGAGGGUAGGCUCCGUUGUCGAUGAGUGAGUAAGAUAAGGCUCCAAAUAAAUAGUUCCACCUCCUUUCUGCAAUUCAAAAAACAGAAAUUCAUAUAUGUAAAACUAUUAAAAAUUGUGAAACAACCUGUAAGUAUUCAACUUCUGUCAACUCAAUAGCACUUACUAAAGUUUUUAUACAGAAGAAAAAGGCAUUUUAAGUCCAAAAAAUUAGAAUUAUUGGUUGAACUCCAACUCCAUCAAUCCAUGCAACCAUCCAAUCUUUAACGAAAAAAUGAAGCAUAAUUAACCAGACAUCUGAAUCAGAAAGAUUGUGCUUUCAUUUGGCACGAGGUGUUGGAAACAACUUAACAAAUCUAGACACAAUCUAUAACCAUCAAGUCCAAACAAAAGUCAGGAUCUAAAAUACUUUGAAAAAUCAGAAAAGCAGUUUCAAUUUCUUUUUCAUCCAUUGUAAGCUCAAACUAAAGGUAGCCGCGCUACCUUUAAACAUCAUUUGGGCUUAUACAUGCGACAUUUGCUCAUGAACAACUAAAGUUGAAUAAGAUUUUUAUAUGAAACAGAAUAUAAAAAGUCAAAGUAGAAUAUGACAGGAGCUACAAUAUAUUAUUCAGCAUCAGCAUUAUGUAUAAAAUAAAUUUAGAGGCAUUAUAUUCAUUCACAAUCUUGCAGAGGUAACACCAGAUUAUGGCACGCAUCUCUUGAAUAGCAGAUAAAGGAGGAGAUGCAGUGGGAAGGUAGUAACUUGCUUGCAUGAGAACUAGAAAGUAAUAUCCCAAGAUCAAUUAUAGAUCUCAUAAAACAAAAACAGUGAGGCAAACACAAUUAUACAAUCCAUCUGUCAAAAGGCUAAGCAUAUGAAUAUACAAUCAACACCAUUCUUCCAAACGAAUAUAAAGUCAACACCAUUCUUCUAAACACAAACAAAGUUUGAACGUAUGACAGAUUUUUAGCUAUUUAAUAUUCCAUCAAAGAUAAUUAGAUAACACCUACCAAGGAUUUUUGAAAAGAAUGCAUUCUCAUCUUAAGCAGCAACCUCACCAGUAACACAUUUUCAUACCCUGUUUCCACCUCUGGUCGCACCACCAAAAAAAUUCAGUACUAAUUAGCUUCAACAGAAUCUGUUUUUUUUUUUAUUUUUUAUUUUUUCCAAAAUAAACCUCCAUUCUUAUACAUAAAAUUAAAAUAUCAAUUAAAUACACAAAGUCUAUGCUUACUAGUAAAACACGUCCAUUUUUAGGUAGAGGCAGAUAAUAAAAGAAAAUUGAAACUGAGAUAAAAUAAGAAGAGCUUACUAGGUGCAUUUGAUCAACAAUCCAAUCCUCAACGAUGGAAUCGAUGCCAUCAAAUAAACAUGACUUAAUCUUGAAACCAUAAACUGCACUAAGCAUAGCACCAAAGCCAGAGCGUGACUAUAAAGAAGAAAAAUAAAAAGAAGGAAAAGAAGAAUUAAAUCAACAUGAAAUUCAACUGGAACAAUACAAAAUAUGAAAUUUUUAGCAAUCUUACUAGCGUUAGGGUUAAGGCUUACCAUAGAGAACUGGAUGGCGCUAACUAAAUGACAAGUUGAAACGGCAUCUGCAAUCGUAUUGAAUGACAUUGAACCGCGAGGUAGGGUUUAAAUGAAUACCGAGCAGAGAUAAAUUGGUGUGGUGAAUUAGGGUUUUGUGGCUACGUUUUAUUUCGAUUGAAAAAAGGAAUUUGAGCUAGGCUUUAAUUCAACGGUGUCGUUAAUUUAAACAUUCAUUUUAGGUUGCAGUGGCCAGUGGAGAGAGAGGGAUUCAUUCAACGCUUAGCCAAAACUUGGCUGUAAGUGUUGAUGUGUUUUAAGUUAUACAGAACGGUGUCGUUAAUUUAAACAACACUGUUUUACAAUUUUAUAAGUUCACAAAACCUAAGCAUGACUUACAUGUAUCAUUUAUUUAGGACGGUUAAGUUAUAAGCCAUGAAUAUGUCAUAUAUUCUGGACAUAUGAAUAUAUAUUAUGAAUCUAUCAUAUUUUUAUGACACAUUUGUCACACAAUGAUAUAUGUCAUUAAAUUUCUGUUAUUAUUUAAUACUUUUCUAGUAGUGUCAAAUUUUUGAAACAUUUCUGUUAAUAGUAAAAACUCUAAUCCUUUAGCAAAAGACUAAAAAUUAACAAAAAAAUUUCUGUUAAAAUAUCAGUUGGCUCAUGAUCAACACUUCAAUACUGUUUGUUGUAUUUUCUUUCUUUCUUUCUUUGUCAUUUUAUUAGAUUUUCUUUGUAUCAUAGUUUGUUUUACUUAAGUAAUUGUUCAUUAUUUAUGUCUGUGUUCUUACUAGCUUUUGCUAAUUUAUAGUUGGUUUUUUAUUCAAACCCUCGAAGUACCUUUUUGUUAAUAAUAAAACCUCUGAUCCUUAAGAAAGAAAAAGAAAUUCUCUAUUUAGUUAUUAGUUGGUUCAAGAUCAAUAUAGCCAUAUUGUUUGUGGUCUUUUCAUUCUCUAUCUUUCCCUUUAGUUCAUUUUAAUUUAUUUGUAUUCCUUUCUUUGACACUUGUAUUUAUAUAUAUAUAUAUAUUGUUAAGCAACAGGCAAUGGCUGUUGACGGGUGUCUCCCUGCUUUUCCCAGCAUUGUAUCACAAGGUUCAAAAGCAUUAUUCGAACCGAUUAUGCGGCACAUAUCUUAUGUGUUCGAGUACCAAAGCUACAUAGAUGGGCUAAAAGAUUGAGUGAAGGAGCUGGAAUAUAUAAGAGAAAGGGUGCAAACGCUGGUUAGAGAGGCUACUCUACAAGGAGAUGAGAUUUAUAAGGGUGUCUGAGACUGGCUAAAUAGAGUUGCUGAAUUCAGUGAAGGGGUUUUAAAAUCCAUGAUUGAUGAUAAAGAUAGAGCUAAGAUGUUCUGCUUCAAAGGGUUGUGCCCAAAUUUGAUUUCUCGUUACAAGCUUGGUAAACAAGCAGCAGAGGCCGCAAACGAAGCGGAUAAACUUGUGAAAAAAGGCGAAUUUAACAACUGUAAUCAUGUUUCCUACCGUCCUGCUCCAGAGAGUACAGAGUAUGUGCAAGUGAAAGAUUACGUAGCCUUUGAUUCCAGAAUGAAAGUAUUCCAAGAUGUUGCAAAGCAAGUUAGGGAAGAAAAGUUGUUCGAUGCGGUUACUUCCGGGGAUGUUGAUGAGAAAGAUAGAAAGGAUAAAAGUAUUCCAUUCAUUAACUUCCGGGGAUGUUGACGAUCAGAGACAAUGCAAAAUAAUAUUGACGUCUAGAAGUCGAGAUUUAUUAUUGUGCAAUGAUAUGAAAUCUCAGAAAAAUUCCUCGAUCGAUGCGUUAUCAAAAAAAAAAAAAAGAAGCAUUGGAUGGCGAUCGAGGAGUAUUCAACAAAAAUACUCCUCGAUCGUUGAAAGAUGCGGAGGUUUGCCUGGUGCACUGAGUACGAUUGCAAAUGCUCUAACAACUAAGGAUCUUGACCGUUGGAAAAAUGCAUUGGAUCGAUUAAGAAGUUCCAAUCUAGGAGAAAUUCAAGGAAUGCGUGCAGAUGUAUAAACCUCCAUAAAAGUGAGUUACGACUUGAAGGAUUGUAUAUAAACAUUAAAUUGAUCUAAUUUAAUUUGUAUGUAAACAUUAAAUUGUAUAUAAAUACACAGAACAGAACCAUAUCAGUGUUGGAAAAAAAAAAAAAAAGAAUCCAGAGUUAUAUAAAUUCAAUAAAAAAUUAUUGAAUUUUUUAUUACUAACUUUGAACACUCUAAUUUCAAUUAAAAAAAAUUAUAUUACUAAAAUAGUCUUAAUUGAAUUUACUAUUAAAGACAUUAGAAUAACUCAACACUAAUAUUCUCAAAUAUAUUUCUCUCCAUAGUCUAAUCUAAUCCAUUCUAGGAAUCCUAUAGAAAAUCUAUUAUUUACUUUUUCCUUAUUAAACACAAAAACAUGUCAUUUUGUUGCUAACUAAAAUUUUGGAACUAACAACAGCAGAUUAACUAAAAUUUUGGAACUAACAACAGCAGAUUAACAAAAUUAUCAGAAAAAGAAAUCAAACAAGAUUUUAAUCUUCGUCAUCUUCACUCUUGCCUUUUUCUUUUUCUUCACACAUGUGGCUUGCAGACGCAUUCCCCUCUCUCAUCCUUCGGGCCGCCCUUCAACAAUAUCCAAUCAUCGAUUAUAAUUAUUUAGAUUGACCAAAUCAAGCAUUGAUCAUAUAUUGGUUGAGGUUAGAAGUAGGCAGGCAGCAACGAUAAUACUACUAAUUAAUAUCUCAUGAGAAUUUUAAAGAAAAAUCUAACGUUGCCCAAUUUGUUUGAUUUCAAUGAAGUAUUUCUCCUACUUAUACUUUCGCAUAUUCUCUUUUAUUUCCAAAGUUAAGGUUAUGGAUGUUGUAGAGUAAAAAGAUGAACAUUGCUAGGAAAGCAAUAAAAGGAAAUAAAUAAAAAUUAAAAAUAUAAAAAGAGUUAAGUCAUUUUUUUUCUAUUAGUGUUUUUUUAUUUAAUAACGAAAGAUAAAAAUAAAGUACAUAUUAUCUAUUGGAUUAUUAAAAUAACACAGGUAUAACACAUGUCAAAAUCUCUUUAUUAUAAUAUUAGAAAAGAUUAAAUUAGGAGAAUAUUCAAAUCGGCGAAAUAAUUAAUAAAUCGUAUUUAUUAAUCAUCCACCCAAUUCAUGCAUACCCAAAUGGCCGUCAACGAGCUAACCAAAUCCCAGCUUGUUGUAAUCUGGGUUGGGCUUUUUGGGCGAUAAUUAACUGCCCGAGCUGCUCAUCUAGCCCAAUAGAGCCUAACAAAAAUUUUCGCCUAAGCUUCACAAAAAUGUUCAUAAAUCUUUUUUUUUUUUUGGUAUCAUAAAAACAUAAAUUUAUUUCAAACACUUUUGGAGCUUAAUAAAAAUUUCCCAACAUUUCAUCUGACAAAGGUAGUUUAAAAGUGUAUUCGUUAAAUUCUAAAAUACAUACUUAAAAUCUUUUAGUGACAAUCUAAUUAUAAAUUAAAGGUCUAUUUGAGAUUGAGAUUGAAAAGUUAAAAUGUUAUAGUUGUUGUAGUUUAGGAGUUAAGAUGAUUUGAUUUUACACUUAUAUGAUAAAAAUUUAUUAUAUCUUUUCUAAUUUUAUCAAAAUUAUUAUUAAAAAAUUAUAUUUAUUAUAUACUCUUAACUUUUAUUUUAUACUUAAAACUUUUUUUUCUUACGGCAAAAGUUUUAGCACCUCAACACCCAACCAAGUCUAAAAUUGCACAAUAAUAAUUAUGAAUGCGAAUGUUAAAAUCUACACACAUUCGUACUUGAUAAUUUCAAUCAACAGUGUUACAAAAUUAGUUAAAAUAUUAUAUAUGAAAUUAUUGAGGGAAAAAAAAAAGAAAAAGAAUGUUGUUUUCAUGAUAGUGAUGUGUCGUGCACAUUUUGCUGUUGGCUCUUUGGUCUCUAACCUAGCGAAUAGGUUGUUGUGUCCUCGUUGUUAGAUGCCCGAACAGUAGCGCAAGAACUUUGUACUAUACCAUAUAUUUUAUGAAGGUGAUGAUGUUACCAAUAAAGAUGAGUAAUAAACCAAACGACGUCGCUUCCCUAACCUGUUAGAAAUAUCAACGCGCUCUGUCACCCUCUCGUUCCAUUUAUUCAUUUAGUCCAGUCAGGGGAUUGACGAAUUAAAUAAACAACAACAGUCGUCUGAUCCCUGCAGAUCGCCACUCAUAUUUAAUCCAACGGUUGGGAUAUGAACCCCUCUAUAACUUUUAUUUGUCGAAUCAGCCACUCUCUCUAUUUAAAUUAAUUUUUUUUUUCAACGGCCGACGAGUGCUGAUGUAUCAGAGACGCUUCAUCAAUCAAUAAAAAAAUCAAUUGAAAAGUACGGUAUAGUGAGUGGAAGAGAAAUGCCAAUGAUAGAUCAAGGGAUGAAGAUACGAGCUCACUUAGAUGGGCGGAAAUUGACUGCUUGUAAAGUGACAGCCAAAUUUCUUGCAAGUCCUCUCCUCAUGAAGUUUUCUCUUGGAGACCUCAAAAGGAUGAGAGAGUACAGUCGAGCCGUCAUGACUCAUUAAGUCACUCCGGGGUGGGUGGUUAUUUUCACUGCUUUAUUGAGGGUCUGUAGCUGGUAGAUACAGAUUUAGUUUGGUCAGGGGCUUGGUGGGGGUGCUCUCUAAGAGGCUGAGACACCAAUUAAUUUACCCAUUAUUGUUCAAAACAACCUCCAACGGAUGGAUCCAGAAGAGCUUAUAAGGAGAUGCAGAGCAAUAAGAUUAAGUGAAGAGGAGGGAGGGAUAGUCUCUUUCAAGAUAAAAAUGAAGGCUAAGGGAGAAAAGAUAGCUGCGGGCUGUUUGGUCGGGAAAGUGCUCCACACAAGAAGGGUCAACACUGAAGGCUUAAAAAUGACAAUGCAGAGGGUGUGGAAAACUUCAAGGGAGGUCAAGAUAGAAAGUUUAGGGGAUAACACGUUUAUGUUUAGGUUUGGCUCAGAGGCAGAUAAAAGAAGUAUCAUGGUGGGGGGACUGUGGCAUUUUGAUAGAGCCCUUAUUGUGCUUACCGAACCAGCAGGAAUAGGGGAUAUAAAAAAGCAAGACUUUAGUCAUGUAUCAUUCUGGGUACAAAUCCAUGAUGUUCCCGUUAUGUGCAUGACUAAAGAAAUGGCCACCGAAUUAGGGGAGGUAAUUGGGAAAGUCGAAGAGGUAGAAACAGAUGCAACAGGGGAAUGCAUUGGACAGUUCCUAAGAUUAAGAAUUUCAGUGGAUGUUACAAAGCCGCUAAAAAAGAUAAUUGAGCUGGAACAAGAAGGGGAAGAGGAAGAGGAAGAGGAUAUCCCCAUGCGUGUGAUGUACGAAAGAUUACCUGACUUUUGCUUCUGUUAUGGGAGGAUAGGGCAUCAGUACAGAGAAUGUGCUCACUACAAAUCUCAAUCCAAAGAUGAAUUAGCUUAUGGUCCAUGGAUUAAAGCAACUACCACAACAGAGAGAUUAAGACAGAAUAUGGGAAGAGAUAGAUGGGAUUUUGAGCGUAACAAUUUCAAUCGAAAGAUCUCAACCCAGACAACAAUGGAAACAAGCAGAUACACGGUAGAGGAGGAGCAACACAGGAGGGGGGAAUCGGGUAACAGGUGGUGCCCAGACCAUCAGGAUCCGGGUAAGGAUUACUCGACUGAUGAAAUGGGUAUGGUUCAGAGGAUAGUUGGGACGCAAUUAAUGAAAGGGACUGAAACAGGCCGAAAGACCCCUGAAAAAUGCAACCUAGAUGCUGGGGAUAUAGUAUCUUGGGAUACGAAUGGGCAAGCAGAAAUGAGGGGAAAAAGGAAAGAGUAGAGAGAGGCAAGCCUUAAGUCAGAAAAAGCAAAGUUUCUUGGAAUGGCAAACGCGGGAACUUUUAAGAGGGAAGAAGUUGAUGACUUGGGGGAUGGGAAAAAGGGGGGAGGCAAACAAGAGGUAAUGGUGGGCUCGGCCCAUGUGGAAACUGAAGCUAAGAAUGCAGACAAUGGGAAUUGCUUGGAUAAAAUGAAGCACAGGAAAAAGAAAUGGAAGACACAAGCCCGAAAAAUAGAAAAUAAAGCAAGGAUAAAUGAAGCAAUCAUAAACUUAAAAAGGCCCAGCAGUGCUAUGGAGUGGGAGCACCCGGAAGCAAAAAAAUGCAAAAUAAAUAGCUGGCAGGGCGCUGAACAUUCAUCACAGCAUCAGGAAGUUACUACAACAGCUACUCAGCUAGUUUUCGAAAAUGAAGUCGGGGAUGCUUCAAAGGGGGCUCUGAAUGCUGCUCCUAAAAUAUCGGCGGAGGCUGGAAGACAGCCCUGCCGACAGCCAUGAAGCUAAUAAGCUGGAACGUUCGGGGGCUGGGGCAAGACCGAACGUUCCGAGAAGCCCAACAAAUCUUGCAGGAGCAUAGACCUCAACUUUUAUUUCUUUGCGAAACAAAGAUGACGUCGAAGCAAAUGCAAGAGAAAGUGAGUAAGAUGAAAAUUCAGAAUUGUUUUUCAGUUAGCCAUGAAGGAUUGGGAGGUGGGUUGGCAAUGUUGUGGAAUCCAGGGACAAUAGUAGAGAUAAAGUCUUUUAGUAAACAUCAUGUGGAUGCAGUGGUUUGUAACGAAAAUGGCAAUUAUUGGAGGUGUACGGGAGUGUAUGGCCAUCCAGAAUCAGAUUAGAAGAGACAUACUUUGGAGCUAUUAAGAAGGUUAGCUACUUUAUCUUCGCUGCCGUGGCUUUGUUUCGGAGAUUUCAAUGAGGUGUUGAACUUAAAUGAGAAAUUAGGAGGAAGAGAUAAGAGGAUUAAUAUAGUGAAUGAGUUUAGAGAAACUAUUAGGGAUUGUGAUUUAAAGGAUUUAGGAAGUAUUGGGUACCCGUUUACUUGGUCCAAUAGACGGUUUGGCCCUCACAUUAUAGAAGAAAAACUCGACAGAUUUUUGUGCAACAGCAAUUGGGGAAACAACUUCCAAGAAAAGGUUGGGCGGAAUUUAAUUUCUUGGAGCUCAGGUCAUAGUCCAAUCUUGAUGGAGGUGGUAGAAAAGAGGAAGGGAAAACGUUUUAUGAAAAGAACUUUCCCAAGAGUCCAUUAUGAAGAUAUGUGGAGCUCGUACGAGAAGUGCAGAGAGAUAGUGAGGCAGGAAUUGAGGGAGGUGAAUUAUGAGAAUGGUAGCAAUCCAAUUGAAAUCUUCAAGAAAAAAUCAAAGAUGUUGUUGGCUGAAUUAAAGAAUUGGAGCAAUGAAGAAUUUAGUGGGAGAGAAAAGAAGCUGGAGCAGUUGCAAAACAAGCUGAAGGAUAUUAAAAUCGGGCACAAUCAUGCUGUUAAUGGAGAGGAGAUUACAAAAGUAGAAAAUCAGAUAUCAUUCUUGACAAGGAAGUUUAUUGGAGGCAAAGAUCGAGGGCGGAUUGGUUGAGGCAGGGGGAUAAGAACACAAAAUUUUUUCAUUCGAAAGCCUCUGCGAGAAAGAGAAAGAACUGGAUAAGUGGGCUGGAAGAUGAGAAUGGCAAAUGGCUUGAAGAAGUUGACGAUGUAGAGCGGAUGCUAUGUGAGUAUUUCACUAAUAUCUUCACUACAACAAACCCAUCAUUAGGCCAGAUAAGCACAGCCUUAUCAAACCUGCCAGCCAAGGUUACAAGGGAGAUGGGGAGCUUCAUGGACCAGCCGUUUACAAAAGAAGAUGUAGCAGAUGCCUUAGCUCAAAUGUGCCCCACAAAAGCGCCGAGACCAGACGGGCUUCUAGUAGCUUUCUUCCAGAAACAUUGGGGUUCUGUGCAUCAAGAUGUUAUCACCACAUGCCUACAUGUUUUAAAUAAGGGAGGUAACAUUGCACCCCUGAAUCAUACAUAUUUAGCUUUGAUCCCCAAAGUGCAAAAGCCUAGAAAAGUGACUGAUUUCAGACCUAUUAGCUUGUGUAAUGUUAUAUAUAGGAUUAUUGCUAAAACGCUAGCUAAUAGGCUUAAGAAGAUUCUGCAUGUUAUCAUCUCCCCGACCCAAAGCGGUUUUGUACCCAAUAGACUCAUUACUAAUAAUCUUAUUAUAGGAUACAAGUGUCUUAAUAAGAUUAGACAAAGCAAGAGUAAAAGAAAUGGGCUGGUAGCUCUUAAACUUGAUAUUAGUAAAGCCUACGAUAAGGUUGAGUGGGAAUUUGUAAAAUGCACAAUGCAAAAACUGGGAUUUUCAGAAAAAUGGGUGAAGUUGAUCAUGAAUUGUAUCACUAUAGCAAGUUUCUCAGUGUUAAUCAAUGGAGUGGCAAAAGGCCUAAUCCAUCCUCAAAGAGGAUUGAGACAAGGCUGCCCCCUCUCCCCUUAUCUCUUUAUUAUGUGUGCAGAGGUGUUUUCGAACUUAAUGGUGAAUGCAGAAAAUCAAAAGCUCAUAAAUGGUCUGAAAUUCAGCAGAGAUCUAUCAGUCACACAUCUUCUCUUUGUCGACGAUAGUAUGAUCUUUACAAAGGCAUCAAUUAAUGAUUGUAGAAACUUAAGAAAGAUCUUUGACAAUUAUGCAGCAGCCUCAGGACAGGUUUUUAAUUUCGAGAAGUCCUCUAUGUUCUUUAGCAGCAGCACAAGCUCAGGUCAAAGGGAGGAAAUCAGAAGUAUUUUUGGUUUGAAUGUCAUUUCAAAACAUGAAAAGUAUCUAGGACUUCCAUCGAUGAUAGGGAGGAAAAAGACUAGCUUCUUUAACGACAUAAAACUGAGAGUGCUAAGCAAGCUAUCAAGUUGGCAAAACAAGUGUUUCUCAAGUCGGGGAAAAGAAAUACUCAUCAAAGCUGUGGCACAAGCAGUGCCUGCCUAUGCGAUGAGCGUAUUUAAAAUUCCCCAAGGGCUUUGUGAUGAUAUACAAAAGGCUGUAGCAAGGUUCUGGUGGGGAUCAUCUGAAAUUCAUAAAAGGAUUCAUUGGGCAAGGUGGGAGAAAUUAUGUUAGGCUAAGAUUAGGGGUGGUCUGGGUUUUAGGGACUUUUCAAGCUUUAAUCAUGCCCUUGUCGCCAAACAGGAGUGGAGGAUCCUACAUAAUCCUGAUGCUUUAAUGUCAAAAAUUUUAAAAGCCAAGUACUUCAAGCAUACUGAUUUUAUGGAGGCAAAAUUGGGGUCAAAUCCCCGGGGAGACAAGCGUUGCACAAGGGCUUAAGAUGGAGAAUAGGUAAUGGAAACCGGGUCUCAGUGUCCAGCAGGAAUCGAAUGCAAAAACUCGAAUGUUCCAGCAAUGUUCCUCACCAAAAUUUAGCAAAAAAUGUUGUAGUUGCUGAUUUUAUUGAUGACAAAAAUCAGUGGAUGGAGGAGAAGGUUGUGCAAUGUUUUCCUGAAGAGGUGGCACAAAGGAUUCUAAUAACCCUUCUGCCAAGAACUCCCCAGGAAGACCUGAUGAUUUGGCACUUUGAUAAGUAUGGCUAUUACUCAGUAAGAAGUGAAUACCAGGUGGCAGUUAGAAUGAAAUUCCCAGACAAUCCGGAGUGCUCUGAUAGCUCUAAAACUCAAUGGAAGGUAAUUUGGUCAAAUGAGAUUUCGGAAAAAAUAAAAAUUUUCAUGUGGAGAGCUGCUCAGAAUCUAUUACCCACAGCCAAUAAUCUAUGGAGGAAAAAUGUGGUGGGGAAUCCAGCUUGUCAAAGAUGUCAUUGUAAAAGUGAAAAUGUCACUCAUGUGUUAAUGGAGUGUAAGGCUGCUCGAAAAGUCUGGAAGUUGACAGAUUUUUACGAAGAUAUGAAGUUGUUGUCUCAGCAUGACAUACUGAGUAUGCUCCAAGAACUAGCAUCGAGAAGAAUGAAGAAAGAGAUUGAGCAGAUUUUUGCAAUAUGUUGGGCCAUUUGGUAUGCGAGGAACCGCUUUGUAAUUGAAGGAAAGCAGGAAGAGCCAAAACUGACAGCAGCUAGAGCUUCAGCUAUUGUGGAGUCAUAUAAGAGAAUCAAAACCCAAAACGGUCCAGCUAGAUCAAUUCAUUUUCAAAAUAACCAACAAAUUUGGACACCUCCUCCAGAGGGGAAGUAUAAAGUCAAUGUGGAUGCUGCGAUUCAAAUGGCACGUCUGAAGGCAGGGUUGGGGGCAGUGGUUAGGAAUUCCAAUGGAAAAAUCAUUGCUACAGCUGUUAAGAAGGUGUGCUUUCAGGGAACAGUGGCGAGCAUGGAGGCUGAAGCAGUCCUUUUUGGCAUUCAAGUUGCCCAGCAAGUAGAAUCUUUGCCCAUGAUUAUUGAAUCGGAUUCAACAGAAGUGGUGGAGCUGGUCUGGAGCAGGAAACGUAGCUCGACUGAAGUUUCUUGGACAGUAGAAGAAAUAAAACAACAGCUGCAGAUCUCGAAUGCAUGUCGAUUACAGUAUGUUCCAAGGAAGUGUAAUGCCAUAGCUCAUGCUAUAGCAAAAGUGGCUCUGGAUUUUGAGAAUUUUGUUAUAUGGUUGGAAGAUUUUCCAGUCCAGAUCAUGAUGUUACUCUCAAAUUUUAUCAAUUAGAAAGCUUUACCUUCUUAUCAAAAAAAAAAAAAAAAGCUCACUUGCAACGUGGUAUAGUUCAUCAUGGCUUUCCUAUAAGUUCAGGUCCUUUGAAUACUUUCAAUGAUCUUAUUAGUCAGAAAUUCAACAAUAAUUUUUACUUUUUACAUCCAGGAACAGUUUUAAGCACAAGCAACUCAGGUGGUCAAUAGGCCUCGUAUGUUAGCAAGGUCUCCGUUUUGGUCACUUAAGUCUCAUAUGUUAGGAAGACUCCCUUUUUAUUUUUGGUAUUACUUAUAAUAGCAAAUCCUCUUUUUUAGGCCUCUUUUUAGUUAGUAAUUAUCUUAUAAUGAAGAAUUUUUUUACACAUUUUAUAUUUGAUAACCUUAAUAUUAAAGAUCUCUAAUUGAUAGUAUUAUCUAAUUGUUAAUUUAUUAUUAGUUUUUCCAAAAAAAAUAAAUUCUUUAUCUAUUUAAAAAGUUAAUUAAUUAACAUUAUAAAAAUUUUUGUGCUAUUCUCUAUACAGAAAAUUAUUACAUUUAUUACUUCACUUCUGAAUUAAAAAAAAAAAGAUUUAUUGAAAUAAUAGUUCUAGAGGAAGUAAAAAAGAUAUCUUCUUGAUUAUUUUUCUUUUUUGAACAUUUUAACUAUCUUGUUGAUUGUUAAUAUUUACGAUAUAGUUAAAAAUUGAUUGAAUUCUAAGCUCUUUUAUGUUUCUUUAGGUGUUGAAGCUACUGAAUGUAAGGAGCCCUCGUAAAACAAUUCCCAUAAUGCCCCUAAUACUCUAAGGUCGACCCUGUGUAUAUCAUAUUAUUGAAAAAAAAUUGCUUCAAUACAGUAUGUGGUAAGGUUUAAUUUUAUAUGAAUUUAAGCUGAAGUUGGUACCUUUUAUUGUUUAAUACCAUGACAUCAGGUAAACUUUUAAUAGGUCUUCAUUUUAGGCGCAAGUACCCGAACAAUAGUUCCCAUGCACUUUGUGAUCUUAUUACAAAAUAUUAAACUAAAUAGCUGUGGAAGUAACAAAGAGGGCAACUUUUUACCAUAAUGUGAUGAAAAUAAUUCAUUUGUCAUCACGAACUAACCAAAUCAAAACAAAAAACUAGUGAUCAUAUGGUUCAAAUCUGUGCAACAAUGGUGCAUUUAAAAGGAAAUAAUGUACAGAUAAAAUUUGUGCUUGUAACAAGAACUCUUCUGUUCAAGCCAACAAUUCCACCUAGCAGAGGAAGUGUUUUAGGCGACACUUUCCAACUAAUGAAAGCAGUGAGCUCUCAUACUCUGUUAUCAUUUUCUAUUACUUGAAAAAGAGAGAAGGAGAAACGAGAGGAAAAACAGGGCUCCUCUGUUUUUAUUUUGGUGAUUGCAAAUAACAUUUUUUUUUACUUUUACUCUUUAUUUAUUUAAUUUUUUUAAAAAAACUUUUAGCUCAUUAGAUCUUGUUCUUGUUAAUGCGUCUAGUAACUUAUACGAUGAUCUGAUGAUAUCCGUAACAUUAACAUACCCAUAAUCCAUUAUUUUAUAAUUAUAAAAAUUGAAGAUUCGGUCAUGCAAUUUUGUAUGAUGAACAGUGUUUCAUUUUUCUGUGAAACAUAAGAACAAUUUGUAAAUAAUGUCCAUGCGGACCUUGUAAUAGCGAAGCAUCAUUAUUGAUCUUACUUUGAUGAUCGCACUUUAGUUUCUUUUUAAAGUGCCUUUUGUUUAUUUUAUCGGCAUCCGCUUUUACAAAAGUUUUGGUCCUCGUUCAUUCAUCAAAGCUUCUAAUUUUAUCUUUUAUUAGGCAUCUUACAAAAAGCUUAAUUUAAUUGGAAUCAUGUUCGAUAUGAAGAUUGUUUUACUUACUUCAGCCAUCUUUCAAUCAACCGAAUUUAUUCUUUUCUGACCUGGCAAUUAUUCAUGAAAAAAUACGUGCGUCAGUAGGACAACAGUGACCAAGUACAUAAUAUGAAAAUUCAUUUGUAUUGCUUACUCUAAUAAGCUCUUAACUCACACAUUCCUCUGCAGUUACUAGUGAUCUUUUGCUCACUAAAAUUGUUAUUAUAUAUUCAAGGUGAAUAAAGAAACUCAUCAUCCCAGAUAAUUAAAGAGGCGAACUUGUUCUAAAUCCUUUAAUAAUUUCUACUAAUAAUAGCAUAUAUAAUCUCUAAUCCUUGAUCUUCGUAGUAGUUCUUUCUUAAUGUCCAAGAAAAAUAUCUCUCAUUUGUCUUAAUCUUGUCAUUUAAUUUUCUUGAAUUCUGAGUUAGUGUUUAUUGUUAAAUUCGGUUUUCGGUUAGUAGCUGUUGGUUAAUAGCUUCGGUUAAUCCUUGAAUUAAACAUAUUAAAAUCUAAUCAUAAACCCGCCUUUCCCUAUUUUACGACACCCUUUGUGUAAUAGUGACUUCAAAAGUGUAACAUAUUUUGAACAAUUGCAAGGAAAGAACAUAUUUGACACUUCACGAAACGGUAAAGAUAUAAGCUUCAAUUCUUGUACAACAAAUUAAUAUAACUAACUUCAACCGUCAAUUGAUCAAUAAUUCAGUAACAAAAAGGGACAGAUAUCCUAGUCUUUCUUUACUAAUGAAGCAAGCCAUUAAACUUCGAAAGCUAUUUCUAUUUCCACAUUCUUCAUGCACCAAAGCAGCAAAAAGAAAAAAAAAACAACAAAAAUUUGGAAGUAAUCAUCUUUAUUCAGCAGCAUGCAUAUUAAUUAAACAUAUUAAAAAAGAGAUAUACAAUAUCAGGUCUGGAGACGAAAUGAGCCCACAGAGACUACCGAUAAUGUAAUGGCUUGAUUAAAAAUAUUAAUCAAGCCACUACAUUAGAAGAACAAGAGUUAAUCAUGCAUAGUAAUUAAAAAUUAUUUUUGCUAUCAUCCACCUGUUCUCUCUAAAUAGUUGUCACUAUUUUUUUUCGUUUGCCAGAAAUUCCAAGCAAAAAUAUAAUUAGAAGAACAAGAGUUAAGGGUUAAAAAAAUGAGGGCUCCUCUGUUUUCAUUCCCCUGUUUUUCUGUUCGGUGAUUACAAAGAUUUAAAUCAAAAUUUAUGAUGCAGGUUACACAGCACCUGGUGGAAAAUUGCUAGGGUUUACCUUUUAUUCUUAGUUACAAAUUUAAUUUAGAAUUUGUAGUGUGCGCCUUAUAUAAGUAGGUUUCCUAAUAGUAAAAUUAAAUAAUCUAAGUUUAUGAUGCACUAGGAUAUGAUUGUGAUAAAUGAGCUUUUUAUGUAUCCUGUGAGGCUGAUCAUUAUUUUACUACAUUGAAGAUUCAGUUAUCUCUUUGUAAUACUCUGGACUUCACAUACUAAACAGAAUGGAGCAUUAUUUUAUCCCGCUAAAUCAGUUUUUCAUUUUUUUAAAUUAAAAAAUUAUUCAUCAAACACUUUAUAGCUCUGGUUUUAAGUUGGUAAACACUUUAAGCCGCAACUUUAAAUUCAGUUUACGAGAAUCCCUAACAGUCACAGUGGCUGAACCUAUCCAGACUAAAACCAGAUCAUGAAAGCUUAUAUACACCAAGAGAUUUAUCUAGAAAGUACCGCCGGCAGCCAGUUCAUUCGUUUCUGAGUUUAUUUCCAGAAACCCGGAAACUCCCCUGUUUCUGCAAACAGGGCUUCUUUGUUUUCAGUCCCCUGUUUUUCCAUUUGGUGAUUGUAAAAAUUUAAGAUUAAAUAGAAUAAUGUAAAAAAAAAAAGAAAAAAAUGCCUUUCUUAAUUUUGACUUCAUAAUGUUGCAGCAACCGUCCUCUGUUAUCAUUCCCCUGUUCUUCAGUUUGUUGAUUACAAAUAACAUUCUUUGUAUCUACUCUUUUUAUGUUUAUUUUUUAAUUUUUAAGUCAUCAAUUUUUGUUCUUCUUAAAGCGUGUAGUAAAUUAUAUGAUCAUCUGAUCAAAUCCCUCACAUUAACAUACAGCAGAAUCUGUUAAUGGAAUUUAUUAUUUUAUCAUAAUUAAACAGAAGAUUUGUUCAUGCAGUUUUGUAUGACGAGGAGUUUUCAUUUUUCUGUCAAAUACAAGAACAAUUUGUAAAUAAUGUCCAUGAAAGCUUGAAUGAAGAAUGGCAUUUAAUAAUUUUAGAAGAAUAAUGGCUUAUAGAGCAUAUUAGUAGGGAUAAGAUUUGCAGGUGUUUGGUAACGGAAAAAGGAGAAAAAAAAAUGGAGAGUGGAGGCAUUACUUUUAUCUCAUCCUUAACUUCCGUAAGUGGAGGAGAACAAAGGGGAAAAGAGGGGAGUGGGGCAUGACCUUAAAAGGAGGAUUUAUUUAUGUUUUCGGGGUCUGCAGGGCAUCUUUUUCUCUCUUCCACUCAUGGAAAAUCCUUUCUUUUAUACUCUUUCAGUUUUCUGCAAAUUACUCAAAAAGCUUUUGGUUUUAAAGGCAAUGUUUAUUAAGCCAUAUGAGUGGUGGCACAAGUUUUUUGGCAAAGGCCCAGAAACUGACUUGAGUGUCGGAGGGUUCACGCCGGAAAAACUUUCGGCGCCUCUGACCGUCUUCUAUGAUUUUAAGUAUUCACAAGUUAAUCGCUAGUGGUUGCAGGACAUCUUGACGAUUGACCAAUCGAUUCUCUACCAAAUAAAUCUAAUGCUGGUGUAGAAGUUUGAUAUUAAGUCGCUAAUAGACUAGAUCAGAUUUGGGCAUCAACAUUUGGCACUGUCUGUGGGGAAUCGGUACAAAUAGCCAACUUCUUGUCUCUACCAAUUUUUCAUCCGGCCAAGCCAAAGGCAGAAUAUUAUCAUGCACAAAUUGAUAAGCUGGCUCAAACACGGAAGUCAAUCAAGGCUGGAUGGAAUGCUUACCUGUAAAGGUUUUGGCUUAUUUAUUGCUUUAAGUAUAUUGUCAUUAAAAUUCAAUUUCCAAUUGCUAUGAUUAUUGAUUUAUCAAAUGAGAGAUGCUUGGAAAUUCUUUAAUAACAUGCAUGUUUCAAUACCGUGCAUGAUAUAUUUGCUGAAAUUGAAUAUUAUCCCUUGGAAUUCGUUGAUAAUGUUCCUUUACAAAAUUAGCUUGUUAGAAUGGGCUUCAUUCAUAAUUCAAGAUUACAUGCUAUUAUACUUGCAAAUGAAUUAAUUUAAUAUUUUCCAACAACAUGCUUGACAUAAUGUUAACAGUUCAGAUUUAUUAUGGCUAAUUAUUCAGCUUCGUUAUGGCUAAUUAGAUGUGUAAUGCUACUACCAUCAUUAUUUUGCUGAUGUAUUUAUAUUUCUUGAUUGAUUGUUCUCUUUUCAUUGAACUCAAGAUAUAAAGUCUGUUCAAAAGAGCAAUCGAUUUGUGGUAUUAUCAAUGUUCAAUUUCUUAAAAUAAAGAUUACACAAAUUGUUAAAUUCAUUUGGUGGUAAGCAUAAAAAUCCACGGAUCUUUGGUUUCUUCAAGAUAUUUCCUACUGGUUUUACACCCCAUCAAUCAAUCAUGCAGCUAGUUUUCAUGUGAAGACUAUGCAGGGAAAGUAUAUAGACAAUUCUGGUAUAAAACUCGGUUCAUUACAAGUUGAGGCAGAAUUGUUAAAAUUCAAAUCAGGAGCUGUUCGUUAAAUUGCCUCAAGGGAUAUGAAAGUUCAAAAGUGAGUUUGUUGCUGAUUACACUACAUACACUACAUAUAUGCUUGAGAGAAUGUUGCCCAGGAGCCAAGAUCUAAACCCAGGUUCUGUUUCAGUUUAUUUAAUAUAAGUAUCAAACUGAUUGAGAGCAUGAGUUAUUCUUAACCAUAGCUUUAUUAUAUUUUCGCAAAGAGAACAUUAGAAAUUAUGCAUAUAUUCGCUGUCUUUUGAUAGUACCUGUCAUCCACAUUGCACAAAUUCUCAUAAUCGUAAAUGAGUGUUGGAAGAAGUAUAAUUAGCAUAAUCUGGAUGAGGCCGAGUAUUGGUAUUUUGGCUAACUUUAAUAAUGGUUUUAAAACAAAACAAAUUUUUAUUGAUGAUGAGAAUUGAUAGGCAUGUCUUCAAGCUUCAAAGAAUUGAUGAAGUUGGAUUUUUGUUUCCUUCAUAUUUUAUUCAUUUUGUGCCCGUGUUAAAAUAUUGCAAGAAUAAUUCUAAGAAGGGAGCAAAGCAGAGUCAAGCUCGGGAUUUGUUUGAUGAAGUACUAAUGAAAUAAUGCAGAGCACAAUCUCAGGUGCACUUGUUCUAAAACCCCAGUUUUAUAUUUAUCCUUUAAAUCCACUACCUGACUUCAAAAAUCUGAUGGAUGGGGUUUUGACUUAUUAAGUCGUUAAUAGAAAAUAGUUAAGAUUACAUAUUAUAGAAUAUAUAGCAUAGUCAUAUAUUAGCACACAACAUGCUUGACCGAAGGAUUGAUGGAACUUGGGUUAGCAUGAGAUCGUAUUUCCUUGAUACAGUGAUAUGACUUUGCUUAAACUUUUAUGGUACCAUUUAUUUGUUGAUUACAUAUUUUAUAUAAUAUGAUUUAUUUUAUAUAUAAAUUUUAAUAUCUUUAGUGUUGGGAAAUGGUGCUCCGCACCUUUAGCAAAGGUCUUUAAUAAUAUUGCUAACCAAAUAUUAUAGAUGGUAAUAAAAACACCAAGGAUGUUUAUCCAUCAAAGGCCCAAACAUAUAUAAAUAGCUAAAGCGCAAGUUGUAAAUGUGAGCUAUUUUCUGGACAAGUUAUAAGUUACAAGUCCGAAAUUAAAUUUUUGAUGGUUGUCCAUAUUUAAGGAUUUAAAGCAAAAACCUCAAAUAAGAGCACAUUGAAGGCACACAAAGGCUCUAAAGUCUCAAAGCCUGUUUUAUGGCGAGACAGGAAGCCAAACAUGCCAGGAUCUGCUCGACCAAGCAAAGGCAAGCAAACAAAAAAAGUUUCAAAAAUCUUCUAAGGCACGCAAAGGCUCCAAAGUCUCAAAGCCUAUUUUAUGGUGAGACAGGAAGCCAAGUAUGCCAGGAUCUGCUCGACCAAGCGAAGGCGAGCAGACCAAAAAAGUUUCAAAAAUCUUCUAAGGCACGCAAAGGCUCCAAAGUCUCAAAGCCUAUUUUAUGGUGAGACAGGAGCCAGGAUCUGCUCGACCAAGCGAAGGCGAGCAGACCACAAAAGUUCCAAAAAAGCUUCUAAGACAAGCAAAGGCUCCAAAGUCUCAAAGCCUAUUUUAUAGCGAGACAGGAAGCCAAGCAUGCCAGGAUCUGCUGGAUCAAGCGAAGGCGAGCAGACCACAAAAGUUCCAAAAAAGUUUCUAAGGCAAGCAAAGGCUCCAAAGUCUCAAAGCCUCCUCGAUGGCGAGACAGGAAGCCAAGCUCUCUAGAAGCUGCUCGACCAUGUGAAGGCGAACAAACAAUGAGAAUUCCAAAAAAGUUUCUAAGGCAAGCAAAGGCUCCAAAGUCUCAAAGCCUAUUUAUGGCGAGACAGAAAGCCAAGUAUGCCAGGAUCUGCUGGACCAAGCGAAGGCGAGCAAACCACAAAAGUUCCAAAAAAGUUUCUAAGGCAAGCAAAGGCUCCAAAGUCUCAAAGCCUCCUUGAUGGCGAGACAGGAAGCCAAGCUCGCUAGAAUCUACUCGACCAUGUAAAGGCGAGCAGAGAACAAAAAUCCCAAGAAAGUUUCUAAGGCACAUAAAAGACUUCAAAGUCUCAAAGUUUGCUCGAUGGCGAGACAAGAAGUCAAGCUUGCCAGAAUCUGCUCAACCAUGUGAAGGCAAGCAGAAAGUAAAAAAAAAAAAAAAAAGGGUACUUCAAGUGAAAGGCUUACAGUCUCUAAACCUCCUCGUAGUGAGACGAAGUCAAAGUUUGCCUGUUCUUGCCCGACCAAGAUUAGGCGAGCAAGAGUUAUAUGAGUGAAAAAUAUUCUAAAGCAGAUAAAUGACUAAGUCUCAAAACCUACUUCAGGUGAGAUAAAUACGUGAACUUAUGAAACCUGCUUUACAUGAUUAUGCGAGUAGGAAAAUGGUAUAUUUAAAGGCAUGUAAAAGUUUAAAACUUGAAAUUUUUUGCUAAUAGUAAGGUUAAUUUUUGCAAUCCCGAGCCGAUUUAUGCCAACCACAUCGAUGUCACUUUAAAAUUCAUAUAGUUUCCAGUCUUGAUUCGUUAAAACUCUCAACACUAGAAACUGGGGGACUGAUGUUUGGUAACGGAAAAAGGAGAAAAAAAUGGAGAGUGGAGGCAUUACUUUUAUCUCAUCCUUAACUUCCGUAAGUGGAGGAGAACAAAGGGGAAAAGAGGGGAGUGGGGCGUGACCUUAAAAGGAGGAUUUAUUUAUUUUUUCGGGGUCUGCAAGGCAUCUUUUUCUCUCUUCUUCUCAUGGAAAAUCCUUUCUUUUACACUCUAUUUCAUUUUUCUGCAAAUUACUCAAAAAGCUUUUGGUUUUUAAGACAAUGUUUAUUAAGCCAUAUGAGUGGUGGCACAAGUUUUUUGGCAAAGGCCCAAAAACUGACUUGAGCAUAAUAAACUAGUUAAUUAUUUCAUAAACUUCAACUUAACACUGAGCCAUAAACUAGUGCUUUCUUCAACUUAAUUAUUCUCACUGCAUAUUUGUUAAGGCUUCAUCUUUUGUCUUGAUUCUGGACUUCAAAAUUAAAUCUUAAAAAUCGGGUAUAAUAGGGGUACGUGAUUAAGUCUUCCUCUUUUGCAAUUCAUUGUUAUUACUCUCAUCAAUUCAUUCUUUUGAUAGCAGUUCUUACUUAAUAUCUGAAGCGAAUAGAGGAGGUCAUCGACUCUCUGAUCCCAUAUAAAUAAAGAGGUAUACAUGUUCUAAAUCCUUUAAUAAUAUCCUUUAAUAGCAGUUCUUACUUAGUUUUCAUCUACUUUCCAAGAAAAAAUUUCUCUGGUUUGUUUUAAUCUUGUCAUUGGUUUUGCUUGAGUUUCAAAUUAUUGUUCAUUGUUAAAAGUCUGUGAUCUUAUUAUAUGGCUUUGGUUAAUUAAAAACAAAAAGUCUGGGAUUUUAUUCAGACCCUUGAAACCUUUCAGUUAAUAGCAAAAUCUCUAAUCCAUGAGCCCCGGGGGGCGGGGGGGGGGGGGGGGGAAGAAGAAGAAAGAAUUCCCUGUUUAAAUAUCAGUUGGUUAAAUGUUGUUUGUUUGCUGUCUUUUACUUGUUUGUUUGUUUUUCAUUUUAUUAGAUUUGUUUUUUACUUGAAGAUUAAAGAUGAGUAAGAAAUUUUUUUUUAUUCUUUUCUGAGGCAGCCUACAAAUUUUAGAAUAGGGCUAAGAGUAAUUACAAAUUCAAUUAACCACAAAAAGUUAUUUAUAUUUAUCACUUGUAAAAUUAAGCUUAUCAUCCCAAAUAGAGUUGUUUGCAUUAGAAGUUUUCUAGCAUUCAUGAGCUUUAUCAUCAUAUCACAAGAUUGCCUGAAAAACAAGAUAAAUCAAUUUGAGCAACUUGCUCUUUAUUGAUUUUUUUUUUUUUUUUGCCUGAAAUACUAGGGAAAAUAUUAUAUAAGAACAAGAGUUAGAUGAAAAAAAGUUAAAACAAGUUCCUGUGUUUUCAUUCCCCCUGUUUUUUGUUUGGUGGUUGAAAGCUUUUAUAUAUAAAUUUUUAUGAUUUCCCGUUGGGACUUUAUUAAAUAAAAAAGAAUAUGUAAUUCUAAAUUUAUCCUUACGCAUUGAGUAAUUAUUAUUACGUUCUCUUAAUAUUUGUUCUUGCAAUUUUGUGUAAUGUGAAUUUCAUGUUUCUGUUAACAUAAACCAAUUUGUAAAUAAGGCCACGUCGAACAAAUGAAACAACAAAAAAGCAUCGUUGGCAAUACAAAAUCAAACUUUAUUAUUAAUCACUAUUUUUUUUUUGAAUAUGUAUAAAUCAAAUCAUAUACUGUUGAUCUUACUUUGAUAAUUUGGUGUUUAGUUUCUCUCAAAAAUGCUUUUAUAAAAGUUUUGGUCCUCAAUCAUUCAUCCAAGCUUUUGCUGAUCUUUUAUUAGGCAUAUACAUCGCGCUGUCACUUAAUAUUCAUUUCAAUUUCACAGUACACAAGCAACGUCUAUGCCAAAAUCAUUAAGGCACAACCGGUAUUUAUUCCAUGAAAACUUUAUUAUUUCUUCAACUUAAUUGGGUCGAACAACAUUUUUUAAAGUACUUUUAUCACACUAAACGGCUUUGUUAAACCUCCGUCUUUUGGUAUUGAUUCUAACUUGAAAUUAAAUCUUUAAGUCAUUACAAGUUUAUUUCUUCAUGAAAGAAUUCAAUAAUCAAGUGCGUGUGAAUUAAAGAAAAAAAAAAAAAGAUCAGUGAGAAAAGCCCUUUUUCAAAGGCAACCUACUGAUUUGAGAAUAGGGCUCAACCACAAGAAAAUAUUUACGUUUGCUUUUAAGGAGUAAAUGAUAGCUAAGCUAUUAAACUUAAUUCAAAUUUAGUCAAUCAUCAAUUAAUCAAUCCAACUAGUUCAAGUACAGAGUCAAUUGAACAAAUUCAUCACUUGCAUAAUUAAGCUUAUCUUCCGAAUUUGAGUUGUUUCCAUUAGAAAUUUUCCCGCAGUCACGAGUUACAAUCAUCAAAACAAAAUUAUUUAUAUAAGAACAAGAGUUAAAGGGAAAAAAGGUAAAGCAAGAUUCCUCUAUUUCCGUUCCCCUAUUUUUUUUUUUUUUUUUUUUUUGGUCUGGUGAUUUAAAAUUUUAUAUCUAAAUUUUUAUAAUUUUCCAUUGAAGCUUAUAUUUAAAUAAAGAAUUACAAAAAAAACCUAAUUCUAAAUUUAUGCAUUGAAUGGUUAUUAUUAUGCUCUCUUAAAAUUGGGUACAAUAUCAAUUUCAUAACGAAUAGAGUUAUUGGUUGUUGAAUAAUGAUGAGAUUAGAGAUUAUGCUGUGUCCUUCUUUUCAAAGCUCUAUUCCAAAGAGGAUGCAAUCUAUCAUCCAUACCAUGUUGUUAACGCCUUCCCAGUCCUUGAGGAAAGUCGAAUGCAAGCUUUGGGACAAGCAGUGGAGGAUGAGGAAAUUAAGAAUGUGAUCUUCAGCAUGAAGGCUUUGAAAGCCCCUGGAAUAGGCGGGUUGCAUGCUCUCUUUUACCAGACCCAGUGGCAUGUAGUGGGAAAAUCUGUCUGUAGUCUUAUAAAAGGUAUUUUUAAUGGCAACGAGAACCCUAAGGAGUUGAACAAAACUCUGAUUGUGUUGGUUCCUAAGUCGGAUAAUCCUAUUAGCCUUAAGCUUUUUCGUCCGAUUAGUCUUUGCCCGGUUAUCUAUAAAACUAUCACUAAGUUAUUAGCUAACCGGCUGAAAUCUAUCUUGCCUGACCUCAUUGGACCUACCCAGACUAGUUUUAUCCCGGGGAGACACAUAACGGAAAACAUAGUGGUUGCUCAGGAAGUUAUUCAUUUGAUGAGACGUAAGAAAGGGAGGAUUGGGCAGAUGGCCAUUAAGGUGGAUUUGGAAAAGGCGUAUGAUCGUUUAAGCUGGGAUUUUAUUUAUGAAACCUUGAGGGAGUUUGGAUUGCCUACUAUUUUGGUUCGGCUUAUUAUGGAAUGUAUUACAACGGCGACUAUGCAACUUCUAUGGAAUGGAGAAAUUACAGAGAUUUUUACCCCUUCUAGGGGUAUUAGACAGGGAGACCCCAUUUCCCCAUAUAUCUUUGUGUUAUGUAUAGAAAGGUUAAGCCAUGGAAUAAAUGACGCUGUGAAGAGAGGGCACUGGAAACCUAUUAAACUGUCUCGUGGAGGUACCUCUUUAUCUCACUUAUUUUUUGCUGACGAUCUUAUCUUGCUUGCAGAGGUUUCCUGUAGGCAAGCAAUGGUUAUAAUGAAGUGUUGAAUGUUUUUUGUAUGAGCUCUAGAGAGAAAGUUAGUAAAACAAAGACACAAGUUUUUUUCUCCCACAACAUAAAGUCUGCUGAGGCUAAGGAAAUUGGUGAUUCCUUGGGUUUUUCUGUCACAAAAAACCUAGGGAAAUAUUGAGGAAUGCCAAUUAUUCAUUCACGGGUUAAUAAGCUGACUUAUCAGGGAAUUUUGGACAAAGUGAACCAACGUUUGUCGGGGUGGAAUGCGAUACAUUUGUCCUUGGCGGGUAGGAUCACUCUCACUCAAUCGGUAAUCCAGGCAAUUCCUAUUUAUGCAAUGCAAACCACGAAGAUUCCGUUUGGUAUUCGGGAGAAAAUUGAUCAGGCUUGUAGGAGGUUUAUUUGGAGCGGGGCAGCAGACAAGAAGAAAAUCAGUUUGGUGAAAUGGGAUACAAUAUGUCAACUGAAACCUAGCGGAGGCCUUGGUCUUAAGCAGCUUAAUUUAAUGAAUGAUGCUCUGCUCAUGAAGAUUGGGUGGGUUUUAAUUGCUUCUCCAAAUAGUUUAUGGGUGAAGGUUCUCUUGUCUAAGUAUGGGCUGGCUCCUAAAGCCCUCCCCGGCACAUUACCUACGAAAUAUGGCUCUUACAUGUGGAAGGCUGUGGGAGGCAUUUGGCAUGAGGUUUUAAAAAGGAUCAAAUGGGACAUUGGAAAUGGCAACCGACUUAGAUUUUGGUGGGAUAAUUGGGUAACAGAGGAAUACCCUUUGUAUACUUUCGCUUUGCAGCCGAUACCUUUACAGCAGCUUGAGGAGUGUGUGGCGAGGUUUAUCACUGUUGAGGGUACUUGGAAUUGGCGGCUUUUUGAGAAUUUAUUUCCCCAUCAUUUACUUCUCAAAAUUGCAGCCACCAAGCCUCCCAGUGUAAAUGAUGAGGAUGAUUACAUGUACUGGGCAUAUUCUAAGUCAGGAGAUUUCACUACUAAUUCAGCAUAUAGGGCUUUGUCAAAAAUGGAGGUUCACAAUGAAGAAUCCUUUUGGCGCAUUCUUUGGCAGUGGAGAGGUCCCCAACAUAUCAAAACCUUUCUGUGGGUGGUGGGUCAAAAUAGACUUAAAACUAAAGUAGAACUUUUCCGGAGACAUAUUGUUGAUGAUAUGAGUUGUGCAAGGUGUGGCUGUGUUGUUGAAAAUACUCUUAAUGUGCUGCGGGAUUGCCCCAGUGCUAAGCAUGUAUGAUCGUCAUUGAUACCCCAUGGGAUUAGUCAUCAAUUUUUUAGUUUGAAUCUCCGAGAUUGGGCGUUAUAUAAUUUGAGGAACUUGUGGAAGUAUGAUGGUAUGUUUGACUGGCCGUGUCUUUUUGGGGUCACAGUUUGGAGGCUUUGGUUUUGGCGUUACCAAAAUCUGCAUAAUGGUGUUUUUACCAGCAAGAGUACUGUUGUAAUGGAUAUUAAGAUCUGUACAGAAGAAAUUCAAAAGGUUAAUCAGAGUUGUUUGGUUCCUGCUGCCAUGAAGAUUUAGAAAUAUUUUGGAUGGGUGACACCUACUUGGCCUUGUUUUAAACUCAACACAGAUGGAGCUCGUAAAAGUUCUGGUCUGUCUAGUACGGGUGGCUUGAUUAGAAACUGUUAUGGAGAGUGGAUAAUUGGUUUUGGAAUGAAUAUUGGUGUGGUUACCAUCAUUGGUGCUGAGUUAUGGGGCCUUUAUCAAGGGUUAUGUCUGGCUUGGGAUAAUGGAAUUCGGUAGCUUCAGGUGGAGGUUGACAGCCUUUGUGUUACUCGUUUGGUGGCGGAUGACGAGAUUAGGCCAAAUGCACAUGCUUCUCUUGUCAGGGGUAUUAUGUCAAAAGCAGCCAUCCAUCUAGAUGGUCAACAUUCAAAGAAGAGGAAUUUUGCAGCAAAUCAAAGAAAAUUCAUAAAGCUAGAUUGACAAAUGGAAGCCAUGCGGAUUGACGAAAUUGAAGCCAUAAUUGGUGGGCUAAAAUCGUUGAUUUUCUUGGCCACUAGUUUGCUAUAAAUAGAAGUGCAGAUGAAGAGCUUAUGCAUUCCAUUAAGAGAGAGCAAUUUAGCAUUUUGAGAGAGUUUAGAGAGCUUGAAAUUAUAAGCUCUUGUUAUUAGUGUUCUGAGAGUUUGGGUGUAUUGGGGUUUUGGGAAGUGAGCUAAAAUACUACAAUACUUGUAACUCCUUUUCACUAGUAAAAUAUUUCCUUCUGUCUUCGCCCGUGGACGUAGACUAAAAGCCGAACCACGUAAUUUUCUAGUGUCAUCUAUUGUGCUUGUUCUUUAUUUUAUUUCCAAUUUUAUUUUAGCUGCGGUCCUGCUGCACCCACCAAUUUCCUAACAGUGGUAUCAGAGCCAGGUUGUAUUUAUUUUUGGAGUCAGGAACUAUUCACGUAUACGGCGUACGGAACUAUUCACGUAUACGGCGUACGGCACUAUUCACGUAUACGGCGUACGGCACUAUUCACGUAUACGGCGUACGGCACUAUUCACGUAUACGGUAUACGGCACUAGUCACGUGAAACGGUGGAAGCGAUCCAAGAAUUUUAUGGUGCAAAGUAUGGAAUAGUGGUGUGAGUAAAGCAACUGUGUAGUUUUGUACAUGUCUAGGAAAGUUCUGUCACAAAGGCGAUAAGAGCUUAAGGAGUCUGGGUUUUAAGUGGGACCAUUGUGACCCCUCCAGUCUUUCCUGGGAACUUUCCUGGUGUGCAUUCUCACACAUACUCACAACUAUUCAAUGUGGUACACUAGCUUGUGUGCAGUAUUAUCAACAAAAUGGCGGCAAAGUAUGAAAUUGAGAAGUUUAACAGAAAUAAUUUUUCGUUGUGGAAAAUGAAGAUGAAAGCUGUAUUGAGGAAAAAUAAUUGUUUGGCAGCAAUUGGAGAAAGGCCCAUGGAGAUAACUGAUGACAAGUGGAACGAGGUAGACGGCAAUGCCAUUUCUGAUCUACACUUGGCACUUGCGGAUGGAGUAUUAUCCAGUGUGGCAGAGAAAAAUACGGCGAAGGAAAUAUGGGAUACUCUCACAAAAUUGUAUGAGGCCAAGUCACUACACAACAAAAUUUUCUUGAAGAGAAAACUCUAUACUCUUCGAAUGGCGGAAUCUACAAUGGUGACCGACCACAUCAACACAUUGAAGACUCUAUUUUCACAACUCACAAUGUUGGGUCAUAAUAUAGAGGAAAAUGAACGUGCAGAGCUUCUACUUCAAAGUCUACCAGAUUCGUAUGAUCAACUCAUCAUCAACCUGACGAACAACAAUCCAGUGGAGAGUCUAGUUUUCGACGAUGUUGCAGCCUCCGUAUUAAAUGAGGAGAGCAGGUGGAAAAAUAAGGAAAACAGACAAGCAAGUUCGCAGCAAGCAGAAGCGCUAUCGGUGACGAGAGGGAGAUCAACGGAACGUGGCCCCAGUGGGAGUCAAAAUCAAGGUAGAUCAAAAUCCAGAAGUAAGAAGAAUGUUAAAUGCUACAACUGUGGCAAGAAAGGGCACGUCAAGAAAGAGUGUUGGAGUAACCAGAAGAGAAGAGAGGGCAAAGAACCUGAGUCAUCAAAUGCUCAGGGGUGUGUAGCAAGUACCUCGGAUGAUGGCAAAAUUCUUUACAGCGAGGCAACAAUUAUUUCAGAAGGCAGAAAACGACUUUCUGAUGUCUGGCUUAUAGACUCAGGAGCUACCUGGCACAUGACCUCUAGAAGAGAAUGGUUCCACACAUAUGAACCUAUCUCAGGAGGAUCUGUAUAUAUGGGUAACGAUCAUGCCUUGGAGAUCGCUGGUAUUGGUACUAUCAAAAUAAAAAUGUUUGAUGGUACAAUUCGCACAAUUGGGGAGGUACGACAUGUCAACGGCCUGAAGAAAAAUCUAUUGUCUUUGGGACAAAUGGAUAGUCAUGGGUACAAAACUCAUGUGGAGAAUGGAAUUAUGAAGAUCGUUAAAGGCGCGCUUGUAUUGAUGAAGGCAGAAAAGAUCGGUGCUAAUUUAUUCAUGCUUAAAGGAGAAACACUACAGGAGGCUGAUGCGUGUGUCGCGUCAAAUGGAGAAGAAUCAACGAUGAUGUGGCAUCUCAAACUUGGCCACAUGUCAGAACAAGGCUUGAAGAUUCUCUCUGAGCGAAAAUUGCUUCCGGGGCUCAAAUCGGUAAGUUUACCAUUUUGCGAGCAUUGUGUUACAAGUAAGCAGCAUAGAUUAAAAUUCAGUAGAUCUAUUGCUAGAAGUAAAUGCAUUCUAGACUUGAUUCAUUCUGAUGUUUGGGAAUCACCGGAUAUAUCCAUGGGAGGUGCAAAGUACAUGGUGACUUUCAUUGAUGAUUAUUCCAGAAGAUGUUGGGUGUAUCCAAUUAAGAAAAAGUCAGAUGUAUUUCUAGUGUUUAAAGAAUAUAAAGCGCGGGUGGAACUUGAAUCUGAUAAAAGGAUCAAGUGCUUGAGGACAGACAAUGGUGGAGAAUAUACAGACGGAGAGUUUCUUGCUUUCUGUAAGCAAGAAGGUAUUCAGAGGCAGUUCACGGUGACAUACACUCCUCAACAAAACGGAGUAGCGGAGCGGAUGAACAGAACUCUUACAGAAAGAAUAAGAGCUAUAUUGAGGACUGCUGGUUUACCCAAUUCAUUCUGGGCAGAAGUAGCCAAAACCGCCUGUUAUAUAGUAAAUCGGUCGCCAUCUACAGCUAUUGGGUUGAAGACAGCGAUGGAGAUGUGGACUGGAAAGCCAGCUGAUUAUUCCUACCUACAUGCAUUUGGAUGUCCUGUGUACGUGAUGUACAAUGCCCAAGAAAGAACAAAGCUGGAUCCAAAAUCUAGAAGAUGUAUCUUCUUAGGGUAUGCUGAUGGAGUAAAGGGGUAUCGUCUGUGGGACCCCACUGCCCACAAGAUCGUCAUCAGCAGAGAUGUUAUCUUUAUAGAAGAUCAACUGCAAAGGAAAGAUGAGGAUGAAAGCACUGUAAAAGAAAAGUCAGAGAUUGUACCAGUAUAUGUGGAAAAUAAUCCAGAAGAUUUAGAUUCUUCUGAAGCAGCACCAGAGAACGAGGAACAAGAACCAGUCGAGUCCGAGGCUCCAGAAGUUCGUCGGUCAACUCGUGAGAGACGACCGCCAACGUGGCACUCGGAGUAUGUCACAGAGAUCAACGUUGCAUACUGUCUUUUAACGGAGGAUGGAGAGCCAUCAACUUUCCAUGAAGCUUUAGAAAGCUCAGAUAUUGCUUUGUGGAUGACAGCAAUGCAGGAAGAAAUUGAAGCUCUACACAAGAACAAGACAUGGGAACUUGUACCACUACCACAUGGAAGAAAAGCCAUUGGAAACAAAUGGGUCUACAAGAUCAAGCGUGAUGGUAAUGACCAAGUGGAGCGGUAUCGUGCAAGAUUGGUAGUGAAAGGAUAUGCUCAGAAAGAAGGCAUUGACUUCAACGAGAUAUUUUCGCCCGUGGUUCGACUCACAACAGUCAGAGUAGUCUUGGCAAUGUGUGCUACAUUUGACUUACAUCUAGAGCAGUUAGAUGUGAAAACUGCAUUUCUUCAUGGAGAACUUGAAGAAGAAAUAUAUAUGCUCCAACCAGAAGGUUUUGCAGAAACAGGAAAGGAGAACUUGGUUUGCAGGUUGAACAAAUCUCUAUACGGUCUCAAACAGGCGCCGAGGUGUUGGUAUAAGAGAUUUGAUUCCUUCAUCAUGAGCCUUGGAUACAACAGACUCAGUUUAGACCAUUGUGCAUAUUACAAGAGGUUUGAAGAUAAUGAUUUCAUCAUUUUGCUGUUGUAUGUGGAUGACAUGUUGGUAGCAGGUCCCAACAAAGAUCGAAUCCAAGAAUUGAAGGCACAGUUGGCUAGGGAGUUUGAAAUGAAGGACUUGGGACCAGCAAACAAGAUUCUAGGGAUGCAAAUUCACCGAGACAGAAAUAACAAGAAGAUUUGGCUUUCGCAGAAGAAUUACUUGAAGAAAAUCUUGCGACGCUUCAACAUGCAAGAUUGUAAGUCAAUUUCUACCCCACUUCCUGUUAAUUUCAAAUUAUCCUCAAGUAUGUGUCCUAGUAAUGAAGCAGAGAGGAAGGAGAUGUCUCGAGUACCGUAUGCAUCAGCAGUGGGAAGUUUGAUGUUCGCUAUGAUAUGUACUAGACCGGACAUUGCACAAGCAGUGGGAGCAGUCAGUCGAUACAUGGCGAAUCCUGGUGGAGAGCAUUGGAUAGCUGUUAAGAGGAUUCUGAGAUACAUCAGAGGAACCUCAGAUGUUGCAUUAUGUUAUGGAGGAUCAGAGUUUACUGUCAGGGGCUAUGUGGAUUCAGAUUUUGCAGGAGACCUUGAUAAAAGAAAAUCCACUACUGGUUAUGUGUUUACACUUGCGGGAGCAGCUGUAAGCUGGGUUUCGAAACUACAGACCGUUGUGGCUUUAUCUACAACAGAAGCAGAAUACAUGGCAGCUACACAAGCUUGCAAGGAAGCUAUUUGGAUACAAAGGUUAUUGGAGGAGCUCGGGCACAAACAACAGAAAAUUCUUGUGUUUUGUGACAGUCAGAGUGCCUUGCACAUUGCAAGGAAUCCAGCCUUUCAUUCCAGGACAAAGCACAUAGGAGUUCAGUAUCACUUCGUUCGUGAAGUAGUGGAAGAUGGAAGUGUGGAUUUGCAGAAAAUCCAUACCAAAGAGAACCUAGCAGAUGUUUUAACCAAGCCGAUAAAUACUGAUAAGUUUAUCUGGAGUAGAUCCUCUUGUGGCCUAGCAGAAACGUAGGCAACAUGAUUAUGGCGAAGCAGAAAGGAUGAUGUGGAGAUUGAUUGAUUUUCAAUCUAAUCUCCAAGUAGGAGAAAUGUCAAAAGCAGCCAUCCAUCUAGAUGGUCAACAUUCAAAGAAGAGGAAUUUUGCAGCAAAUCAAAGAAAAUUCAUAAAGCUAGAUUGACAAAUGGAAGCCAUGCGGAUUGACGAAAUUGAAGCCAUAAUUGGUGGGCUAAAAUCGUUGAUUUUCUUGGCCACUAGUUUGCUAUAAAUAGAAGUGCAGAUGAAGAGCUUAUGCAUUCCAUUAAGAGAGAGCAAUUUAGCAUUUUGAGAGAGUUUAGAGAGCUUGAAAUUAUAAGCUCUUGUUAUUAGUGUUCUGAGAGUUUGGGUGUAUUGGGGUUUUGGGAAGUGAGCUAAAAUACUACAAUACUUGUAACUCCUUUUCACUAGUAAAAUAUUUCCUUCUGUCUUCGCCCGUAGACGUAGGCUAAAAGCCGAACCACGUAAUUUUCUAGUGUCCUCUAUUGUGCUUGUUCUUUAUUUUAUUUCCAAUUUUAUUUUAGCUGCGGUCCUGCUGCACCCACCAAUUUCCUAACAUAUUAAGGAAUUGCUUAACAGAACCUGGCAAGUGCAGGUCAAGCAUGUUUACAGAGAAUCAAAUUUUGCAGCUGACUUUCCUGCAAACUCUGCUCUUUCACUACCUGUUGAAUUGCACAUUUUCAAUUCUCUUCCUUUAGGGGCUGGGUUUUGGAUUCGUCAUGAUUGUAUUGGGGUUUCACAACCCCGUUUUGUUUUGCCCUAGUCUAUGCUAGGCACGUCUUUGUACCAAAAAAAGAAGAGUUAUUGACCACUUUGUUAAAAAUGAACAUGUUAUGUUUAUACGUACAAUAAAACAAAACACGGGGUGCACGCUUAAGUCUUGUUCUUUUACAAUUCAUUUGUAUUACUUACUCUGAUGAAAUCUUUACUCACAUUCCUCGGCAGUUGACAUUGAUCUUUUGCUCAUUCUUUUAUAUUCAAGGCCAAUAGUGAAGCUCCUUUCAAAAAAUAAAAAUAAAAAUAAAAUAGAGAAAUUGUGGGCUUUUAUUCAGACCCCUGAAACCUUUCUGUUAAUAUAAAAACUCUAAUCCUUGAGCAACAGGUUAAAAAAAAAAAAAAAAAGAAUUCUCUGUUUAAUUAUCAGUUGGCUUAAGAUCAAUGUUGUUUGCCUCCUGUCUUUUCUUUGUUUUGUUCGUUUGUUUGUCAUUUUAUUAGAUUUGCUUUGUAGCUAAUUUUACUUGCAGAUUAAAGAUGAGUGAGAAAUGCCCUUUUUUUCUGAAGCAACCUACAAAUUUUACUUGCAUAUGUAAAGCCUUUGUUACUGAUUGCACUCAAUUGUUCAAUUAAAAGUCUUACCAUUUUAUUCUAUGAAAACUUAAUUAUUUCUUUAGAAUAUAUGAAAACGUAGAGUUGUGAACUAGUGCUUUCUUCUUCAACAUGCGUCAACAGGGCAACAAUAACCAAAUACAUGAUAUAGAAAAGCGGUGAAUGACUAAUUCUGUUUCUUUUGCAGGUCAUUGUUAUUGCUCUCAUCAACUCUUUUCUCACACAUUCCUCAGCAGUUACCAGUGAUCUUUUUCCUCUUUCAACUUGUUCUUAAAUAGAGAAGCUCACCAACUCUCUAAUCCCAGAUAAUUAAAGAGGUGCGCGUUUUCUAAAUCCUUGACAUCUGCUCUUUCAUAAGUUCCAUCUACUUUCCAAGAAAAAAUUUUCUCUGGUUUGUUUUAAUAUUGUAACUUAUUUUGCAUGAGUUUUAAGUCAGUAUUCAUUGUUAAAGCCUGUGCUCUUAUUAUUUCUUUUGGUUAAUUUGCAUGCUCUCCCCCCCCCCCCCCUCCCCGCGGCGGCGCCCCCCCCAAAAAAAAAGUUUAUAGGCUUUACUCCUUGAAACCUUUACUGAUAAUACCAAAAACUCUAAUCCUUCAACAAAAGAAAGCAAGAAAAAAAGGUCCUAAGUUUAUUGUCUUUUAUUGGAUUUGUACCAAAAACUCUGAUCUGUUGGCUUUGUAUCAGUAUUGCUUGUUUGUUGUCUUUUAUUUCAUUAUUUAUAUCUAAGUUUAUUUCAAGAUUACAGAUCAGCAGGAAAAGCCCUCUUUCUAAAGCUAACUAUACAGAUUUUAGAAUAGGGCUCAACCACAUGAAAAUAUUUACGUUGUAAUAUCUCAUAUUAAUAAUCUAAAAGCAACCAAUCCAACAAGUUCAAAUUCAGUCAAAUCUAAAAAAAAAUUGCUUUUAAGGAGUACAUGAUAGCUAUUAAACUUUGGUUAAAGAUCUUAUGAGGAAAAGUGAAAUUCAGUCGAUCAUAAAUCAACCAAUCCAACGAGUUCAAAUUCAUCACUUGCAAAAUUAAGUUUUCUUCCGAAAUUGAGUUGUUUCCAUUAGAAAUUGUCCCGCAGUCACGAGUUACAAUCAUCAAAACAAGAUUACUUGAUGCAUUAAUAAUCUUAUUAAAAAAAAAUACCAACUGUUAAGGGUUAAAAAAAUGUGCCAUUUUGUAAUCCAUUUAAAUCAAAAUAGUAUGUUUAAUCGCAAAAAAAAUAACUACUGCCAUGAUGGAGCACAUAGAAUAAAAAUAAAACUUUUAGUUUUACUAAUCAUAAAUAUACCAACUGAUAUCUCCAAAAAAGAAAAAUUUAUUUUUUAAAUUUUUAAAUCAUAUAUUAUACAAAUUUAACAUAUGUUCUAACAGUCAUCUGAUCCCUGCAGAUAUUAAUUGGGUUUAGGGUAAUCCUGUUUACAUAAAGAAUAUUGUUAAAUAAAUGUUUGUUAAUAUGGUUUCAGAUGAUGAUGAUGAUGAGUUGCGACUGCCAAUCAUGCGUAAUAUCAUAAUAAUAUUAAAAACAAUUAUCCCAACAGGUUUCCCAGAAUAUGCUAUAUUAUUACAUAUUAAAGUUAAUUAUAAACAACCAACAAAGUGUUGGCUCCACUGGCAAUGGAGUCCCCUUAAGUGGCUUGACUGGGUUUGCUCUCCAGUUCGAGUCGCAGGGAAGUCGCCUUUGUUGGGAGAACCUGUGCCUCCUGGUUCGAGCGGGGACUUCUAGUCUGGGUUGUGGUAGGGGCUUAAAGGUGCCUCCCACAGUUGGGGCCCUCCCCAGGAUACCUCGUGAUUAAUAUAAAAAAAAAAAGUUAAUUAUAAACUAAUAUAAAAAAAAAGCUCUGACAAAUAUUAUUUCUUGAAAAAUGAGAUGAUUCACCGCUGUUGUGUUUCAUGCUAAUUACUUUUCUCCGGAAAAAUAUUAUAAAUUAAAAUUUAACGAAAGUCUCAAUUUAUACGCUUAUAGCAUGUUCUAUAAUUUUUAUUUUUUAUAUAUAUAGUAUAAUUCAAGAAUUUAUACUGAGUAGAAGCAAAGAUCAAUCCCAUAUGUGGGUAACCAAAAUCCUUCAUAGAACAAGGCACUAUAAUAAUAACCAAAACCAGCCCUUCCUUUUGGUGCCGAUUGAAAACAAUCAUAUUGUGAUUCGCAAAUUAAGUGAGAUUAGUGACCUCUCAACUCAAUCAAAUACUUGCCAAAUUCAUUUCUGAUCAUGCAUCUUACCACCCACCCCCCCCCCCCCCCCCCCUCUUUUUUGCGUAUAAAUUGAGCAUGGUGGCUUUGAAAAUUUUAAGAUUCUUGAUGAUUCCAAAAUGAGAAUAUCAAUUGUUAAGCCAAUAGUAGAUUAUUGACGUUUUAAAUUGAUAAAUAAACACAACUCUGAUUUUAAAAAGUUAUGAUAACAACUUUAAAAAUUUUAAUGUGGAUAUAAAAUCACCCAUAAUAAAACGAUAUGAGAUUGAAAUAAUUUAUUUAAAUAUAAAUCAUCCGAUGUAAUGAAUACAAAACCAACCAUCAAUUUAAAUUUUUAAAUAAUGACAUUGAGAUGUGCUAUAAAUGAGUUCCAGGAAAUAAAUAUUAAUGUAAAUGAUAGCAACAGCUUCAUCCAUUAAUAUAAUUCUACUAUUAAGCAUGAAAUAUAUGACCAUCAACUUACAAUUGUAAUCAUUAAACUAGAAAUCAUUGAGUAUUACAUGAAAUCAUUAAUAUUGAACCUAAAAGAUAUAUGAAACUAAUGUUAAUAUGAAAUCUAGGACCAUUAACUUAAAAUUGUAAUUAGGAAAUAAAGCUUUACAUGAAAUCACUGUCAUUGAGCUUGAUAAUUCUACCAUUAAACAUAAAAUUAAUGCAAAUAUGAAGCAUAAGACCAUCAACUCAAAAAUUGUAAUCAUCAAAUUUUGAAUACCACAAAUUAAAUUUACUCUAUCUUUGUAAUGAAUACAUUCUACAGCCUUAAAAAAAAAAUAAAUAAAGGGUUAUUUUAGCAUUUAUAUGAGUGUGUAAAGUAAAAGUUGACUUUUAAAGUUGAUUCAAUAUAUAUAAACAACAUUAUUGAAUCAUUAUCUUUUUUUUUAUAAUCAUUAUUAAUAAACAUACUAUUUUGAUUAAAAAAAUAAAAUAGUGGAGCUUAAAUAUGUCUGAAAAUUUCAAAAUUAGUAAUAGAAUCAGUAGCGGUUCGAUCUCUAGACAACUUAGGCGGUUGCUUAGGGCCCUACUUUACAUGAAGAUCCUAUAAGAUGAUUAUUUUGUAUAUAAAAGAGGAAAGUGAAUUUAAAAAUCAUUAUUAUGCAUCUAAUUUAUUAUUAUUUUGUAAUUAUCUUUUCUCAAAUAAACUACCGAGUUCCUAUAAAGUUUAUUUAAUGUAGUACUUAGUAGUUUUAAUUCCUACAAAACCGAUAAAUUAAUAGUUUCAAUCCUAUAAAUUUGAUAUUUCAUUGUUAGAAUUAACAACUUAUAAUUAAAAAGUUUUAUAUUCAUUUUAAACCUCUAUAAAAGCCCCACAUUUUAUUACUUAUCCAUUAAAUUUUUCUUCUAACAAUGAAGACACCAUAUGUUCUCCGUUUUUGAGAGAAAGAAAGAGAGAGAGGGGAAAAAAAAUCUUGCUUCCUCUACUUUCCACUCAAGAAAAAAAAGAAAAAAUCUAAUAGUUUUUUUCUAUUCUCUAUGGCUAUUAGUCAUUACUCAAAUCUUCAAAUAAUUAAUAUAAAGAUAAAGUUAAUUUAUGAUUUCAUCUCAAACUUCAAAUUUCAGAUUUUAUUUUUUAUUAUUCUCUUAAUUAAUUGUAUUAUUUAUGUGUUCUUAUUUCUUUUUAAUACAUUCUUUUAUUCAUCUACUAUUUUUGUGUGCUUUUUUUUCUAUUGUGAAAUAAAUAACUAUAUAAAAAAACUUUAGAAAAUAGAAGAAUAAAAAAAUUAAUUUAAUGUAGAAAAGAAGUAGUAUAAAAGAUGUAAUUUGAGUUAAAAAAAAGUAAAAAUAUUAUAAUUGAAUUAAAAUUUCAAGGAUUGACAAUAGUGUAAUAUAAUUUUAUUUAAUAAUUUUACAUUUUAGAGAGUGUUUGAAGAAUUGAUUUUCAAUAAAUAUUAUAUAACUUAUGAGUAAUGAUAUAACCACAAACUCUUGUAUAAACUGAUGUGGCAUGAUAAGAUUGGUUGAAUUAAAUAUCACUUGGCUCACGUGAUUUUGUUUUUAUUAUUUUAUAUUUUUAUUCAACCAAUAAAUUAAUAUCACGUCAGUUUGUACAAGAGUUUGUGGCUGUAUCAUCACUCAUAACUAAUAUACAUAUUUUUUGUCUUAAAUUUAAGAAAAACUAAUUAAAACCAUUUGCCUAAGGCCUCAAAUAUGGUUGAGCCGGUCCUGAAUAGAAUAUAAAAGUACAUGAUAAAUAUUUAAAUUAAAACUCGAUAAAAGGUUAACAAAAACACACAUGUUGUUUUUUAGUGAGUUUGAUUUUAUUUUAUUUUUUUGGAACAAAUUCAAAACGACAUCAUUUUGGAUGUAUUUUCAUUGGGAUUUGGUUCUUCAAUUAUUUUUCUAAUAGCAGAUCUCAAGAUUGUGUGAUUACAUCACAACUUAACUUUUACAGUGAUCGAUUCCAAUAGCUCUCUAGUUGAAAUUUAAAUUAAUUAAAUAAAAAAUAACAUGGCCCUUAUCAAUUUGACGAUGGUAUGGUGUAAAAACAUCCUCUUGAAAAUUAUGAGUCAUCCAAAAAGAUUAAUUUUUUUGGGAUAUCUUGAAUGGAAGUAAACACAAUUUUAUGUUUUAUAAAAAGGUAAAACAUUAAGUAAUUAAUAAUAUAUCAAUAUUAAUUAAUAAGUUAUUUACAUUAGGCAAUAUUAUACGUUUGUGAAUUUAUUGGUCAUUUGUUUUUGUACAAUUAUUUCAUGACAUUAUAACGAUAUGAGAAUGACGAUUCAAACUAUCUUGAAUAUUGGAUAAUUGUUUUUUAAUUAACAUUUUGGGGCUGAAUUCAAUCGUGCAUAUAGACAAUUUUAUCUAUUAAAAGAAUUAAUUAUUAUGUUAAAAUUUAUUUUGGAAUUUAAUGACGAAGAAACUGUUUCUUAACUGGAGCUAUGGCUUUGGCCACGAGCUCCUCUGGUGUUAGAUUAUGAACCGGAACUCCGGUUGAAUUCGGUUGUGGUGGCGGUGAGUCCGCCGGAAAAAUCCGGAACUCACUGAGUUCGGAUGCGGACUCGGCCAUUUUAACUCAGGUUAAGAACUCCGUGAUGCGAGUGGCAAUGAGGGUUAUCUGUAGGGUUUAUAGCGGGUUUGGAAACAUUGGUCUUCGGUUUAGAUAUUUUUUAUUCCGUUAAAGAAGACGACUGAAACAACUUGCCGUUUAAUGAAAAUGACGUCGUUUAGUCGUAACGUUGUAAAAAAAUGAAUAAAAAAUAAAAAAUUACAUUGUCAGAAGUGGGAUUUGAACCCACGCCCUCUUUCGAAGACCAGACUUGAGUCUGGCGCCUUAGACCACUCGGCCAUCCUGAGUUUUUGAUGAGCCUGUCGACUUUCAAAAAUAUCUCCAAAUACUUUUAAUUAUAAUUACAUGACACUAUUAUUGACAAUAUAAUAUGGAUAUGAAAGUAAAAAAAUUUGAUUAAUAAAUUAUAACUAUCGUUCUACUAUUUUGUUCAAAAAAUAAUAUUAAAAAAAUAGAUGAAGAAUAAAAAUGCAUUAAAUUAUAUUGUUUAAUAUUAAUCAGUCACGGCUACUUGCGCUUAACUUUCCCUCUACGCCCAAAAUUUAGAACUUAGAAUAAUUUUAAUUAUUGAAAUAAUGACUAACUAAUUUACUUAGGAAUAAAGACAGAAUUUGGGGGAGGGAAAUUACCAAGCCUUUAAAUUUUUAUAAGUAAAUAGAAAAAGAAAUUCAAGAUGGCCAAAAUUUUUUUGCUGUAUGAGACCCCAAUUAAAGCGGGCAAAUUCCACUCAAACUUUAAAAGUUAGUGUGAGUAUAUAGGUUUGAUUAUUUUAACUUAAAACUUUGACCUAAUUAAACACAAAUUCAUAAUCAUUGUACUUCCAGACAUCAAGCGUGUAAUCAAAAUUCAGUUACUUUUUGUCUUGCAUUAAUUUCAUUGACCAAUAUAUAUUUCUUAAAUAAAUAAUAAUAGUUUGUAUUUUAAUUAAUGUUCCACUAAUCAUUUAUUGUCUCAUAAAUGAUAAUAAAUAAAUUUAUUAUUAAUUAUUUACAUACUAUUCUUACAACUUGAUCAAUGAACGACAUAUAACAUGCCACAUAAAAUAUCAGAGUAACUAAGAUAUAAACUAUGUAUUUCUUGGUCGAAUUGAGUAUCCGUAGCAUUAAAUGUAAAUCACUAAUUACUGCAAAGAUCAAACUUAUAUUUAAACGAGAGAUUUAACAUUAACUAAUACCAAAUAUUGGCGUUCAAUUACAACUUAUGAAAUACUCAACAUAGGUAAAACCACAGAAUCAUACGAUUCAUACGGUUCGUAUAAGCCUUUCGAGGCUAAUGCAUGUGUAGGCUUGAAGACAUCAUUACUAAGAGGCGGCUAAUAAUAUUAUAAUAUAAAAUACUGCUACUCAUGCAACUGGGUAGGAAGGUUUAGUGGCAAUGCCACAGAGACCUUCAGGUGCUUCAACAUCUCUGAGAAUCCUCAUGUAGCCGGCCUCACCCCAGCUCUCCCCCCAUGAAUUCUUAAUUAACCAAUACUUCAUUCCAUCUUCAGUUGCCCCAAAUCCAACGAUAGCAACAGCAUGAGAACACUGAGUUCCACAUCCUCCGUUAAAAAUACCGCCUUUGUAACUCUGGAAGUCUGGUCCACUUCCUUCAAUGCAAAUUGAUACUGGCUGCAUGGCUACAGCUUGGAGUAAAGCCUGCUCAUCAUUGGGUUUUACAUCUUCAAAGUUACUAAUUUUAGCAGCUGCCUUGACCUGUGCGUCUUCACAAGUCCCUUGGACUUCCUUGUAUGGAUAAUCCGCUUCUGAGGCAAUACCCUGGUUUUUUAUAAUAUAUUUAAAGGCAUUGUCCAUCCAACCGCCACCGCAUCCACGGUUACCAUCUAUGGAGCAGUCUAGUAUUUGCUGCUCCGAAAGUGGAAUAAGAUUACCACUACUAAUCUCAGUCACCCCUUCCACCGCCGCCACAGUUGAAAAUGCCCAACAGUCUCCUGCAUCGUACAUAUUAAGGAAAAAAAAAAAAAAAGGCUUGAUUAAGUUACAUGAAACAUGCCCCAGCAGGGGUUUGGCAGACGGUUGUCAAGCUGUUUUUAUUAAUUAGCUGAUGGUCAACUGAGUUUGAGUUCUGAAAGAGGUUGGAGGCUAAAUAAUCUAUUAUAGUUACUUCAUAAAUAUUUAGUAUACGAUUUACUUACCACAUUGACCUUGGUUCUUAAUAGGAGUGACAGCUCCUUUCUCUCUCCAGUCCAUGCUAGUUGGAACGUCAGUCAGGUUUUGAUACUUGAAGGAUGCUGUUGUGGAUUGCCGUGAUGAAGAUGACUGGCUUGGCACCCUGUAUCCUGUAUAUGAAGCACGAAACUCCUCAUUAGUUAAGUCUGAAAAUUCAUUGGUGCCUAACUUGUACGUCCGAUUCGCCUCCUCAUUGGCUUUCUCAAUGUAUUCAAGGUUUUCUUUGAAUAUCUUAAACCGCUUUUCCUUCUCCAGGUCGUCCUUGUAAGUGCGCCCAUGCUCAGCCAUCCAUUUUUCAUGCUUCUCAACAAUGGAUGGUUCAUGCAGCGACCGGCCGGCGACCGACACCAUUUUAGAUGAAUAAGUCACCAGAAUGAUCAUAGACAGGGCAAUGAUAUCAAAGCUUUUCCCCAUAAUAAUUGGUAGGUAUUUGCAAGUUGAACAAGGUUGUUGUUUUUUUUUUUUUUUUUUUUCCCUUCAAAUUAUAGAGGCUAGCUAGCCAGCUGGGGGUAAGUUGUGAAUACUUGAAGCACGCAUUGAAGCUCUAUAUAUAGUACUUGUAGAUAGUGGAUUUGUGCUCUCAACAUGGGUCGCGUACAAUAUUUGCCUAAUGCAUGAGACGUAUGCGUUGCGUUAGUCGUGCCCCAUACUUCACGAUUUUCAAUCAAGCUAAUUAGUAUGCGAAACCGGACAACCAAGUUAUUAUCAGUUAUCGCCGUGAUUCGCGUACUUCGUGCUUUUGAGGCUUGCUAGCAAUGACUUGACUAGCUUUUAGCGAAGUUACAAAAAGAAUUAUGAACUAAUUUGUAGAUGGACUUUUAUCGAUGAGACUUGCGGCGACGUGGAAAACAUUGGUGUCAUUUUUUUUUUCUUUCAUAAAUCAACUUAAAAAAAGGAAAAUUGGAUAAUAAUGUGAACUCAUUUGGACGGAGUAAAAUAAUUCUUACAAAAUCUACAAUGCAUCUAGCUAGGAUGAACUUUUAUAUAUCUGCGAUAUUAUGAAGAAAUCAUUACUAAUAUGCAUUACAUAAUAUGGCAUAAAAUAUGACACUAAUACUAGAAUUUCUUCCUUUAAGUGCCAAUUUGGUAGUUUAUCUUAACCUGUCAGUGACAACUGUUAUUUCAAGUGCACUUUUUGAGUCUUUAUGCAUACUAUAAUAUAUAGGCUUCAAUGGGGUCUCCUCGUAACUUUCUUGCCUAUCACCUUGAAUAUAAUCAUAACAUCCCGCCAAGUUAAUUUUUUUAGACCAUAGCACGUCAAAAUCUUUAAUGGAUAUAUUACUAAUAGAAUAAUGGUCAAUAUUCUAUUUUUACAUACGGUUUAAGAUAUCUAAUAAAUUGAUAUGGAUUUAAUUUCCUAAAUACCAAAUUAGUGAAUUAUCAUAACUUUUUAAAAACUUAAAUUUGAUGUUAAAGAAAAGGAUAUAUAUAUUAACUUAUUGAUAUAAAUAAUGCUAAGUAUAUAUAUAUUUGCAGCCAAAAGUUAAAUAUGGUACAACAAUAAAAAAAGAUACUUUACACACUCAGUUAUAAUAAACUAAUAUUUAUAACGAUAAUAUGACCCAAUACCCAUAUUGACCCAAUUACUAUCAUAAUAUUGUAUUAGGAUAUUAAAAUUCCACAAUAAUGGAGAUGACAUAAAAUUUGUUUAUAAAAAUGUACAAUACAAUAUUUAAAUUUUUUGCGGUUGAAAAUCGUGAGAACAGUAUGGUCAUCACAAUUAAUUGAUUGUGAGGAGAAUAAAGAGACCAUUACCAUAAUAGCUAUGCAUAAUUCAAUGGCCCGAGAUGGAUUGGCGGAUGGAAUCAAGAAUAAUUUGAUUCAAACUUAAGAAUAAUACAUUAUACAGAAUUACAGAUUGAGAUUAAAUAUACUCUCUUGUUUUUAUAAACAUGUGCAAAAUGCAUGCUUUCUCUUUCAUCUCUGCUUCAAUCCCACUUUAGGGUUUGUUUGUCAAAAGUAUUGUUUUUGAAAAAUAGAUAUUGUUUAAAGCAAAUAAAAUAAAGAUCAUUAAAAAAAUAUAACAACAUAAUGUUUAAUUGAUAAUGAUUUUUGCCAGUGUUAUGAAGGACUACAAAACCGAAUACAAAAUGCCAAAAUUUUGUAACUAGGAAUCAUACCAAAUCACAUAUUAAUUUAAAAUUUAAUUCUUACUUUUAAUUCUUACUUUUAACAUCUAUAUAUGUAUACAUAGAUACACGGUGGGUCCCUCCGAGCAUCGGAUGAUUUUUCGGGCAACGGACAUCUCAUAGAGUUAAGAUCGUCAUCAUCAUCGUCAUUAUACGAAUACAUUACUUUGAAGGAGCUUAUGUUGGACUCCAAUUUUAGGGGUGGCGGCAUUGCCAUUAUAAAUUCAAUAAGAACCACAGUGGACAAUUGUUACAUUUCGCAUUUCACUACCGCUGGCAUUUCCAUCCAAGAUGGCCACGAAACGUAUAUAAGAAAUUCCUUCAUCGGCCAACACAUCAACAUCGGCGGGGAUGAUCGCGAAAAGGAUUUCUCCGGCAUCGGAAUAAACAUCACGGGAAACGACAACACGGUCACUGAUGUUGUUAUAUUUUCAGCAUCAAUUGGAGUAAUGGUACAGGGGCAGGCCAAUAUGCUGACGGGAAUACACUGUUAUAAUAAGGCUACUGACUUGGGAGGUACCGGCAUUUACAUCCGGGCACCAGCAUGUUUUAAAAAAACCCAUUAUUGACAAUUAAUGUUGCAGGUCAUUAAUUUUUAAAAACAAUAACACAAAUGACCCAAUUAAUAUCUAAUAAAAUAUUUUUUUAUUAUCAUAUUUAAUACUAAUAUCAAUAUUAAAUUCAAAAAUCACACUUAUAUUAUAAAUAGCUUGAUUGUAGCAUAAACUUAAUGGGUAAUUGUACAAAAAUAUGUAUUUUGAUAUGACAAAAUACAACAAUUUGAUCAUUGCAAAUUAAAUCAUGGAUUUUUUUUUUAAUGAGUAAAUUACAUAAAUAUGUCUGAUUUUAUUAAAAUUUAGAUAAACAGUGAUCAAAUCAUAAACGUAACAUAUAAAUACAUAAAAUAUUUAUAUUAUAUUUACAUUUAAGUAACAUUUGAUAAUACCAAUUCUUUAAACUAAGACAUAUAAAUUAAGAUUUUUCUGAUCGUUAAAAUUUUGUAAAAACAAUUAUCUAAUAAUUUGACAAUUUUCAUCUUUUACAUUAUCCACAUUUGAAGAUUAUGUAUUUGUACAAAAAUAUCAAAAUUAACUUUGGAUAUGAAAGCUAUAAUGAUAUUUUUCAAUUCUUAAAAUUUAUAUUUCACAAAAUUAUGGAUUUAAAAAAAAAUUGGCACAAUAAAUUUAUGAUGAAUUAUAGUUUUAAUGGUUUACUCUUCCCUCAUAAAAUAAAAAUAAAACUGUUCAAAGAAGAUAUUAGAAGGUUUAUUGGAAUAUUUAAUUUGAUAUUAUAUUUAUUUGUAUUUAACAAAAAUUUGGAUCCAGCCAAAAGCCAAGAUAAUGGGCUAUUUUUUUUUUUACUUCGAGGAGGCUGCUGCACAAUGUAAGACAAGGUCACUCAACCGUUGCUGGUGAUGGAAGAAAUUAAGAGAUGUCUCUUUCAAUAAUUUGACAAGAAAAAUGAAUAUCUAUUUGUUUUCAAUUGGAACUUUGAAUGUACGCAUCAAGCUGACAUCACACGUAUUUUUAUUAAUUUUAUAUUUUUUUGGAUGAAUUAGCUAGAAGCUAGAAUGCCCCGUGAAUUAUUUUGGUUUCAAAAUUUGAUCCGGUUAAUUACAAUUAAGUGCAUCCAAAAGAUUACCAUCAAUUAAUUAGCUUGAGCUUGGGAAUUCUAAUUAAUAAUAGUAAAAUAUAUAUAAUAUAAUACUUGGAAUUAGCUUUGGAUUUGAUCUAACAUAUUUAUACAUACACACGCACGCGCGAUAUCAGCUAGCAAAGCAUGCACGAUUCACUUUAAUUAAUGAGUUGAAUCUUCAAAAAUUAAAUAUUGAUAAUUCUUUUUUUCUUUUUAAUAUUUAUAUAUCAUCUCACCGGCCGUGACAUUAUCAAUUUUUUUAUGUUUUAAAUUUUAUUAACAUCGGCCAGAACUCAAGCCUUCUCAAUUAAUAUGAUAAAAAAUUCGUCUAUUAUACUUGGCACGUUGUUGCCCUUGCUGCCUCUUCUGCAAACGAUGUCGUAUAUUUUAAUCAAAACAAAGAAUGUUGAUAAGACGCGGUUAAAUAUUAACAAUCUUUUUACUUAAAAUUAGUGAGGCCAGUUACUUCAUUCGCCACCUAAUACGCUACACUGCAGGGAAGGGCAAAACCGUCCGAAGUUGAUUCCAAUCCAAUCAAUUAAUUAACCUAAUCAUAUAUCAGCUAUUUAUUAUUGUGUUUUUCACAAAGGGUACUCUAGUUGACAAUUGGUGUUCUCUUUUCCUGUCAUUUUCCAAAUUUUUGGCCUUUUUGUUAGAGUAGUGAAGUUUCUUUCAAGGAUGUCUGCAUUCAUUGAAGGGAUUUUUUUUUUUUUAUGAGUAAUAGAAACAUAAUGUGAAUUUUGAAAAUAACUGCUUUAUUAUAAAAAAUUUUGAAUUGGUUAAAACAUUCUACAUUGUUUUAUACGAGAUUGAAAACUUUUUACUUAAUGUUUUACCUCUUCUAUUUUAAAAAAUUGUAAACCAUGAAAACAAUAGCUUGACAAUCAUGGAUUAAAUCAGAAAUUAAUUUUAAUAUUGGAUAUUUAUAAUUAACAAUUAACAAAUGAUAUCUUUACAGUGAAUUCUUUACAAUAAGUUAAUUUAUAUCAGUUCCACCGCAUUAGUUAACACCAAGAAUAGUCUUUUUAUAAAUUAACUAUUUUUGAAUUAUUAAGUUAUAAAUAGCUAUUUAUUAUGUUUGUACAAGAAAUAAUAUUUUUCCGGAGAAAAAUUAUAGAACAUAUGUUCUAACAGUCGUCUGAUCCCUGCAGAUAUUAAUUGGGUUUAGGAUAAUUUAAUAUUUUGUAAUCCUGUUUGUAACAUUUUAAUAAACACGGUUGAUGAACUACUUGUAAACCAAAUGAUAUCUCCUAAAAAUUUAUUGUUAAUAAUCAACAAUAACAUAAUAACAUUAUUUAUAAAUAACUCUUUUUUAAUAUCAAAGCCUCCACAUUUUUAGCAAAAUGUCAUAAAAAAAUAUACCAAUUUUUUUCUAUUAUACAAAUUUAAUUAAUCAGCGAUAUUCUCACUGUUUCUCCCUUGCAGCCAUUGAAUCCAACUAAUAUGCAUGGCAAUUGCCUAAAACUGAUAAGAAUUUUGCCCCUUUUUUUGGCAACAUGCAUUAUUAUCAUGACACCCUAACACGUGCGCAUUGCGUCACUGCUGGCUUCUGAAGGUUACUUUAAAGCUUCUAUAUAUAAGCGCACUCAUUCUGCAUAGAGACAUAUUUCGGUAUCAUAUGACUUUCUUCUUCAAAGCAAAAGAAAAGCAUUCAGGAAACCUCUAGAGUCUUACCUUCCUCGAUGGCCACAACGUAAGAAUUUGGUUUUUUUUUUUUUUUUUUGGAAUUUCAUAAUUAAUUAUGAUCAUUAUUUUAACGAUCAUGUGUCAUCUUUGAUAGAGCGCAAGAGAAUCUUCCUCCACCGUUGGAUUCGAAGGCCGAGCUACCACCUCUGUUCGAUGGAACUCCCAGGUUGUACAUUUCUUACUUGUGCCCAUUUGCUCAGCGUGCGUGGAUCACCAGGAACUACAAGGUUUUAUUUUUAUUUACUAUUUUUUUUUUUUUUUAUCACUGUUGACCCGUCUCUGCUUUCUAGGUUUAAUUAAAAUAAUAAUAAUAACAAUAACAGUAAUUUAUGGUUUAUUCGUUUCGCCUUUGUCGUAAUACUCUCUUUGAAUUUGACAACUUUUGGUGUGCUGCUGCAGGGAUUACAAGACAAGAUUAAGUUAGUUCCACUGAACCUCCAAGAUAGGCCCGCUUGGUACAAGGAGAAGGUUUAUCCUGUUAACAAGGUGAUGCUGAUGCUGAUGUGUGAUCAAUAAUAAUAUUUGAUUUUAUUUGAUUGAUCAUUUAAGUAAUUUGAUAGAUCAACAAUAUGUGCAUUCUUUUGGUUAACAUGGAGCUUAGAAUCUGCUGGGAAGAUUUUGAAUAGUAUUAGAAAGUUUCUGAAUAAUAAUUAGGAAUUUUUCUAAUCAAGGUGUUGAUAGACCAAUUCAGAUAUAGAAAAGGAAGAGGUUAGUUGUGUUUGGUAUUGAGGUAGGGCGGCUGUAAAUUAAAAGGUACAGAGUUAAAGUGUUUUGUAAAACUCUAAUAUUUCUACUAUUUUUGUCAAAAUCUUAAUUUAAAAUUCAUAUUUAUUACGCAUUUUUAACUUUUAUUUUAUAGUUACAGUUUUUUUUUUUUUUUUUGGGUCCGUGGCAGCUGUAGCUAAAAAAACCACAGCACCUCAAUACCAAAUAGCCUAAUUAUGUGACUCUGUGUCCUUAUGCCCCAUCUUUGAAAUUGAAAUGCUUGUAAUCUGUGCGGAGGAGUUCCUGAAUAAAAUUGGAAUGGUGUCUUUGUGCUUUGUGUGCCUAGUAAAAUCUUAACAUAUUCUGAUUUGAGCAAGUUGCUUGCUUGCAAGAAAACACAACGAAAGAAUUAAACUGAUUGUUACACUUUCGUGCAAGAUUAGGGAUCAUUGCUGGAGUUAUGAAGUAUAUUUACCUAUUAGAGUUCUUCUUGACAGGUUCCAGCACUGGAGCACAAUGGCAAAGUUAUUGGAGAAUCUCUUGAUUUGAUUAAAUAUGUUGACAGCAAUUUUGAAGGGCCUUCACUUUUACCUGAUGUAAGAUUUUUGCUGAUUACAUUGUUGCUUUUAAUAAAAGCUUCUCUCUCUCUCUCUCUCUCUCUCUCAACUUUGAGUAAAGUAAUGUUGUGAAAAUAUUGUAGGAUCCUGAGAAACGAAAGUUUGCUGAUGAACUGUUUUCCCACAUCGAUACCUUCACCAACGAUGUGUAUACUUCAUUCAAAGGAGACCCAGCAAAACAAGCUGGUAGGAUUUGAAACUUGCUUACUUGUUUAUAAUGGAAUGCAUUUUGAAUAUGUAUAUAUAUGUGCUGAACUCACGGAAAAAGUUUUAAUUUGUCACAGGUCCUGCUUUUGAUUACUUAGAGAAGGCCCUUGAUAAAUUUGAUGAUGGCCCGUUCUUCCUUGGACAGACGACUAGACAAUAAAGAAUAUUCUUAAAUACUAAGGCUACCAUAUUUAUUUGGAAAUAAAUGUUUGUUAAUAUUAAUAAACCCAUACAUUAAUAGAUGAUGUGUUGUGAAUACUGAUGACCAUACUGUUAUAAAUGAGAACAUAAAUUUAAUGUUAAAAUCACAUAUUAACAUCAUUGAAUACUGAUGUUUAAAAUAUUAGUAAAAUACUUAAAUAGCAAGUGUAUUAAUUAUUUUUUAUUAAUUAACAAUAUUUUACCAAUCAGAUCUCAAUUAUCUCAUCUUCUCUUAAAUAUUUCUGCCUCGUGUAGGUGUAUAUAUGGGUGUGUUUUAAGGUCUCCGUACGGGUUCUUGUCUUCACUGGCCUAUACAGAGGAAGCGGAGCGAAUAACGCAGUCCAAAGGGCUUGUGUUUUGCUUAAAUGAUGAGCCGGGCGUAUACAGAGUCUGGAUGCCGAAUGGUGAGACUCCGGGACUAGCCAUAUCAAGAGCCUUGGGUGAUUACUGUGUCAAGGACUAUGGCCUAAUCUCCGUGCUCCAUGUAACGCAAAGAAACAUAACAACACGAGACCAGUUUGUCAUUCUGGCAUCGGACGGGGUACGUAUCCACAUAUUGGAAUUAUCUUUUGAUCUGAACUAACGUCAAUGUUUGAAAGAUCAAUUAUGGAUUUUUCUUCAGGUUUGGGAUGUGAUUUCGAACCAAGAGGCGGUGGAGAUUGUUUCUUCAGUAGUGGAUAGGGAAAAGGCAGCAAAAAGAUUGGUGGAAUGUGCUGUUCGGGCAUGGAAAUAUAAGAAACGAGGCAUUGCAAUGGAUGAUAUUUCUGCCAUUUGUCUCUUCUUUCACUCUUCAUCGUCCCCUCAAAAGGUGGAGCACAAUUUGAAGGAUUCAAAACUGCAGGCUGGCAUUUGAAUGAAUUUGAAAACAAGGGCUGCUUCUUGGCUAUUGUGUCUGUUGCCAAAGCACUACUUGUAUGUAUAUAUAUGUCUGCGUUUAGGGAUGGUAAUUGUACCCGCAAACCCGCCCAAACCCACCCGCCAAAACCCGCCCGCUGUGGGUAAUUUUACCCGUUGCGGGCGGGUUUAGUAUUAUAAACUAAAACCCGCAUAUGGAUGCGAGUGGGUUUGGUAUUAACCUUAUAUCCGAUGGAUACCCGCAUGGAUAUCCACCAAACCCGCAAUAUUUUUUCCAAAUAUUUUUAAUUUAAUUUUAACCUAAAAAUGUAUAAAGAAAAUAAUGUCAUUAUUCAAAUUACCAAAUAGUCAAAGGCUCAAAGUUGUGUAUAUGUGUAUGUGACCCAUUUCCCAUUCUAAAGUCAUAAUCUAAAGAAAACUAAAGGCAUUUCCUUUCGAAUUUCCCUUCGAAUUAGGGCCCGUUUGGUAUUGUUUUUGAAUUCGUAUUUUCUGAGAAUAAAAAUGAAAAUGAAAAUGGUGUUUUGUAGUUGCUGUAUUUCGAAUUUAAGUAUGCGUCUGGUAUCAUUUUCUGUAUCCUAUAUUUUAAAACUGAAAACAGUAAUAUGCGUUUGGUAGAUACAGUUGAAAAUGAUAAAAACAGAGAAUAUGCGUUCGGUAAUACUUUUUUCAAAAACAGUUUUUACUAUUAAGCAAUUACGUCAUAUUUAUAAUUAUUUAGCUAAUACAUACACAAAUACAACAUAAUAAUUUAAAACAAAAUUAUUAUAAAAAAUUUACAUGAUGAUAAAGUUUUAGAAUUAACAUUAAUUAAAAAAAAUUACAUUGUCAUUGUUUUUACAUAAUAAUUAAGAUAUAUAUUACAACACAUGAUUUAAACAAAAUAAUUAUAAAAAAAAUACAUAAUAAACAUUAUACAUUACGUAUGUAAUCAUGCCACAUAGAAGCUGCAAUUCUAUCUCUUGUAGCACUCAUCUCGGCGACACUUGCUGGAGAUAAAUCAAUAUUAGUAAGUGGCCUACUAGUGUCUCCUUCUUCGUUGGUAACCAAAUCUUGCACAUCAAAGUCCCCAAAUAACCUAUCACUUGCAUUUUCUGGUCGAAUAAAGUUAUGUAAAGCGCAACAUGCAAUUAAAAUUAGACGUUGCUUAUGUAAACUAUAAUUAUGCCACUACAAGAAAAAUGAGAUUUAACAAUGUGUAAUGUACGUUGUUAAACACUUUCAACAGCGGGCAACCGCAUGCUGUUGAUCAAGAUGUUGUCUUUAAGGCUGUCUGUUUUAACAACAUAUAAAGAGUGUUGUUGAAAGUUAUUUACUUGUUGCUUAAAAGUUUUUAACCACAAGCUGUAAAUGUUGUCUUCUACUAUUUUAUUACAUAUCUUUUAAUAACAUGCAGAUGCAUGUUGUGAAUUAGUUUUUUUAAGUAAUUUAAUAUUUUUAACAUAAUAUAUUUUUAAAUUAAUUUGGAAGCUCUCAAACAAAUGCAUAAAAUACAAACUAAAAAACACGUAACAUAUAAUUAAAAAAAAUCCACUUUAUUAAUUGAAUAACAUUAUAGUAUUACAUUUUUUUUUUACAAUAUAAAAUAAACAAAAUGUCAACAACUUGAUCUAAACUCUUCAAAAGUUCAAGCUCUAUUGUGUAGUGUCCUCAGAAUAAAAAAAACAAGGGAAAAGCCAAUUUAAUAAAAUUCACCCUAUCUUCAUGAAACAACUGAAAUGAAUGCAUACUCAAUCCAUUAUAUCAACUAGGAAUGAUAUUUACUGCAUCCUGAGCACCACCAGCCUAGCCUGUUACAUCAAAAGCAAGCAAACUUAUCAUUAGCAUGCUCUCUUCUUUAAUUGGGUAAGAAAAGGACAUUUGGAUACAAAGUUUAGCGAAGGAUAAAGAAGUAUGAGUGCAAACCCUUGUGUGUAUGAAAUAGUACCCAGAAAAAUACUGAAAUAAAAAAAUAAGGUGAAAAUUAUAUAUCACCUGGAUAUUAAAAUAUCAACAUGCUUAUGAGCAAAUAGAGCAAAUUUCAGAGCAGUGAGAACCUCAAGUUUUUUCAUUAAUUAAUUAAGGAAAAUAAAGGAGUGCAAAAGAUAAUAGCACAUGUACAAAUUGCAAUGCUUUACCAAAUUAUUACAUUGUAAGCCUGCAAACUUGAAACCUUUCUAUUGAAGAGACACAGACAUGUUGCAUAUUAUGCACAAUCUCUGCCUGAAAUUACCAUGAAUGGUUCCAGAAAAGAAACCUCAAACUAUGGUUAAGGUUAUAGCUACUGGUCAGACCACAAACCUACAAUAAUUAGUAUUUAAUGCUUCCCCAAAAAAACAAAAAAAAAAACCUAAAAAAUGCUGCUACAUACUCUGAAUCCAAGUUUGCUUUUAUUUCUCUAUAUUUGCCUUUGAAAAUCUUAAUUAUAAUGCUUAUUCCGUCAACAUCUACUCAAUAAAGAACAAUAAAGAAGUAAAAAUAAAGAACCCAUCACUUUCCAAAUCCAAAAAUUUUCUCACUUUCUCACCAACAAAACAUCCUUUUUCUUUCUCUCAAAACCUCAUCUUCCCACUCAAACUCACUCAAUUUCAACUCAAAUUCCACCAAAAUUUACCUUUAAUUUGAAGAUGAGGCAGCUAAUUCGCCGUCUUUCUCGCGUCGCCGACUCCUCGUAGUACAGUCUCCGUGCUUGAACUUGAAGAAAGUAGCAGCAGCUCGAACUUGAAUAACAUCGGCAGCAGCAGCUCGAAAAUCGGUAGUUCGAUUACCACCACCUACUUAGCAAAAAUAAAAGCUGGAGCUAAUUCCUCACAAAAAGAAAAAAGUAAAAACCCACAUCCAAUUUCACCAAACAUAAGUAAACCCAGAAAAGAUUUAAAGAAAUUAAGAAAGAACAAUUGUUCACUAAAAUAAAAGAAAAUUAAAAGCUUACCAUACAAUGGGCGGGCAAGUGACAGAUCCGGGAGAGCAAAGACGGAGCAGCAGCAGCUAGACGGAGUCGUAGCAGCAGCGGUUACGGCGGAGACAGAGCAGCGGCAGUGGCUAGCACACCAAGAGCGACCAAGAGAGAGUGGAUUGGGAGAGAAAGAUGUUGGAUGAAGAUAAGGGGAGGGAGAGAGUGUAGAUUUACUGCAACUGGAUCUAGAAAAGUGAGGGGAAAGAGAGAGUUGCAGUGAACUGGAUUGAGAAAAGUGAGGGCUGCAGUGAAGAGAAAAGGAGGACGAGGGUCACGAUUUUCUUUUGUUUUUUAAUUCAUUUUUAGGUUUAGUUUGUGAUAUUUGAAGAACAUGUUUAAGUUGUUUUCAGUUGAGUAGUUAUAAUAAUGAAUCCGGAUUUUGUGUUUUGUAAUCUGUUUUUUGAAAUUAAUUGGCCGAACGUGUAUUAUAUGUGGAUUAUGAAAAAGAAAAUGAAAAUGUUGCGUGGAAAAGGGUACCGAACGGGCCCUUAGUAUUUGAAAAUAUUAAUCUUAAUUAUUAUUAUAGGCAUUGUGUUGGAUGGGUGCUUAUGUUGGUGAAUGAAAUGAAUAUCUUCUCUUGGAGCUUGUUUUAAAUGAUAAUAUGAAAUGUAAUUAUUAUUUUUAGAUACUAAUUUGUAUUUUUUAAAUGAAUUUGUGUAAUUUAUACUUAAAUUUGAGAAUUUGUGUUGGAUUGAUGUGGAAAUUUUAAUUUUUUAUUUACUUUGUUUAAAUAUAAAAUUGAGUAUGCUAUAUGGAAUUUGAGGUUAUUAUUAUAAAUUUAUAUAUUAAACAUUUGUGAUUUUAAAUACGGAAACUCGCAAAAAAUCUGCCGGGUACCAUUGCGGGUUUGGUAAUUGUUAAAACCCGUUGUGGGUGAGUUUUUUUAAAAAAAUUAAAACCCGCUGCGGGUUGCGGGUGGGUUUGGUAAUUUAAAUUUUGUGCGAGUUUGGGUUUGGUAAUGGCAAACCCGCUGCGGCCGGUACCCAUUACCAUCCCUAUCUGCGUUUUGUACGCGACAGUCUAAUAUAAAUUACACAGGAGAGAGCCCAGGAGUUCAAGUGACCCAAUAGUAACUUAACAUUGUUUGCAAUCCCUUGGUUGCAUCUUGUUUGCAACAUGAUGAUUUCAUUUUCAUGUAAUGGCAUUUACUAUCACCAAAUUGUACAUUUAUGUUGUGGCUAUUAUUAAAUUAUAAUAUAAACUACCCGAUAAUUAUUCAAUGCGUAUUUGUUAGUAACAUUUACAUUAGAAAACUUCAAAAUUUAUCUAAUGUGGUGGAGGAGAACUAAUAACAAAAGAAUGAAGAAAUGAGAUAAUAUAUUUACAUAGAAUCAUUAUAUAUUAUAAAUUUCCACAUGUUCUAAAAUAUGAAUUUGAUACAUGAUUAAAUUGAAACUAAAUAAUAAAUGUAAUAUAAUUCCACAAUUAAAUUUUAAAACGCGUGAACUUUCCACCUAAAAUUUUUUAUGGAUAACCAACCGUGAUUAAAUGUAAUUUUUUUUUUCAAGUACAAUUGAGAAACUCAAAAGAUAUAUGCAUAAUUUUACAUAAGGAUGAAAAUAUUCCAAACUUGAUUAAAGAAGAAUGCUUAAUAUAUGUAACUUGUACAUUAGUAAUGGUUUUGUAGGAAAGGGACAAAUGAAGACAAAAACAAAAUUACUCAUAAUUAAGGGGAUAAAUUAUAAAUAGGAAAAUUAUCAAUUGUAUACUUUAUUAUCAAAUUUACUACAAUACUUUUAGGGUAUAUCAGUCAUUCAUCUUAAGUUGACAAAAUAUAAUGUCGUUCACCAUACCUUAGUUGCCGUUUAAAUAUGAUGACGUUAGAGGGGUAAUAUGGUCUUUUCAUAUGAUACAAGUGAUAAUUUAAAGGUAUAUAAAUAAAAAAAAAUUGAUGACCAUGAAAUUAAUCUAUAUCAAGCAGCUUUUUGGAUGAUUCAUAAUUUUUUAUAAAUAUUAAUUUAUAAAUUGCAAUAAUGAUUUAGUGAUGGGUGUCGAAGCCAACAAAAAUAAAUUCCUACUCUAAAUAAAUUGUGUAUAGUGAUUGAGCAGGGUCGUGUCCACAGAGAUCGGUAAUUAUUUAAAUCCUUUUGAAACGUAAAACGUAAAAUGGGGGAAUUGUUGACAAUAAUAAAAAUCAAAUUAAAGUAACAAGAAUGCAAAUUAAAGUUGUAAUUCAAAUUGGAGAAAGCUCUGGUUGAAGGAAUUAACUCAGCUUGAUUCGACUACUGAUCAUUGAUUCAAAUAUAGAUUAUCAUUACUUAUGAAUAGAGCGGUUAUAGUUAUUGAGACCCUCUAAUAGCCAAUCUCUCCUUAACUAGUCGAUAACCAAGGUACGACCGUUGGAUAUUUCCCUAAUCAAUAGACAACCCUAGAUACGAUCAUAGGAUUUAAUCAAUUGACAGCCUGAAAAACUAGAGAGACCCAAAUCCUAAUCAACACAUAUGAUGAUUCAUUUAAAUUAGAUUGUUUAUUCUCACAACACAACUCUCUGCUAUGUUAUUUGUCACAAACAUUAAAUUCUUCAUACGAUGAAUCCUUUAAUUGACAAUAGAUUAAGUUGAUAAUUAAAUAGUGGCCAAUUACCUAAUUAACAAACAUAAUCAUGAAACUAAUUCAGAGAAUAAACAAAUACCCAAAAAGUAAUAAAACAAUUAAAGCAUAAGAAAGAUCUCACAGUAGUGAUGAAUCAAAGCUUCAUUAUCCUUCAACCAGAAAAAUAGGUUUAGUUCUUCAUAGAGAGAAGAGAAAAAUUAGAUCUAGGGUUUCUUUCUUUUUCUCCAAUCCAAAUCCUCUUUUUCACAAUAGAUUCCUCCCUUAAAUACUCUCUCUCUCUUCUCUUUUAGAAUUCUAUUUAAAAUAAAAUACUAAUAUCUGAAAUAUUAAAUUCGUAAUUACAAAAAUAACCAAAAAUACAAAACACGUUAAACUAAAAACUGCAGGUCCGCAGUUGACAGCACGCGCCCACGCCUUAUCAACAAAGUUCUUCUGACGCUCAUAAUUUCUCCUAGAGAACAAUCCUCCUUAAACAUCAUCUUUUAGCUCAAUUUUAUCAUCAAUCAAUAGAAUUGCACCUACAAAAGUAAAACACAAGUAAAACAUUAUUAUUAAGUGCAAAACAUCGAUAUUAAGGGAAGUAAACAAUGCAAAACUAGUGCAUAAAUUGCACUCUAACAUUUAGCCAAAAUUUAACAGGGAGUUAAUUUAAGAAUUAAAAUUAACAUGAUUUUGUUAAUAACAAAUGAUGUUUUUGUUAACUUAUAUAUGACUUGUGUGUGCAUGUGAAACAUUGGUGUUAUUACAUCAAAAUACUUGAUAUUAUUACAAAUGUUUCAGAUUAAAUUUUUAUUAGAAAAUUAUUUUAAAGUUACAAACUAACUUUAAAAUUGAAAUUGUCAAUUUAUUUGGGAUUAACUUAUUGUAAAGUCUAACGGAAAAUAAUUCUGAUAUGACAAUUAAAUUUUAUUAUAAACAAAUAGAUAUCUUAGAUGUUAUUUCAAAUUAAUUUUUAAUAAGUUCAUUUUCAGAUGUAAACUUGACCUUUAAUUAAAUCACAUAUUAACUGAGAAAUAUUGUUAAAAUAUGUUAAAUCUAAUGACUCGAGACAUCGAAUCAGAUGUGAUCAGAUCAUUCAGGAGGGUUCGGGUUCAGGGGUCUCAUCUCUUUUGGCCCUGCAUAUUGCUUGUUCCCUCUGUGCUAGCUUUUAGUAACUGAAAUAUAUCGCUGAUUGGCUGAUUUAAUUUGUACGUGCACCCGUUUUGCUCUUUUGGCAGUUCUGACUGACAGACAGACGUCUCUAGUGUACACUAUUCCUGCUGAGCUGUUUCAGAAUGAGAGAGAAAAAAUUGGCUGACAUUUCACAAUUAACACACACACACACACACUCCACUUUCUGCACUACUCGAUCGAGAAAUAAAAGGAGGUACGUGUCACCACUUUAUUUUAUUUAUUUUUUAUUUUUACCAAAUCCAUAUUAUUAUAUACUAUUAUUUGGUUCAUUCGUUUCCAAUUCUGCCCUUUGCCCCAUCUCUUUUACAAUGUCGCAUCAUUCUUUUUGGUACUAUAGUUAGUUAGUUUAUAUGCUAAUGCCUAGUCUAGUAGUUACCCGAUGUUUAAUUUAUUAUGGCGUAGAUACAGUUAGAGAUGCUCAAUGGGUCGGGCCAGUAAGUAAGGCCCAUGCGUGCUUAUGCUUGUGUUGUGUCAUGUCGAGAUUUAUUUAUUUUUUUUUUUGUUUAGGCCCGGCCUAACACACAUGCCGAUACAUGCCGUGCUAUGCCUAAGAAAAAAAGCUCACUAAGUUUUUUUUUUUUUAAAUUUUUUAAAGGGCAUACUAAACUGUUGGCGUAUUUUUUUCAAGUCUAUAUAUUUUUCUUAAGUCUAUACUUUUAUUCAAAUUUAAUAGAAUUAAAAAAUCAAAACUCAAGUUUAUAUUCAAUAAUAAUAAACUAAUAAUAGUAAGAAAAUGUAAUAUUUAAUAGAUCUAAGUUUGACCUCUUAGUAUUAUAAUUUUUUUAAUACUCAACAACAACAACAACAAUAAUAAUAAUAAUAAUAUUUUCUUAAGGGUUAACUUAAUUGUUAACUUAGAGUUACAUAGAGUCAUAGAUCAUAGUUCACAAUAAUAUUAAUGCAUAUUUAUAAAAUCAUUAUAUUUAUAAUUUUAUUCAUUAAAAUCAUGAUAUCAAUUAUUUAUUUAAUAAAUUAUAAAUAUAAAUUAAUUAUAAUAUUUUUUUAAACUAAGAAUUAAAUGAAUUUAAAAAAUUCAACUUCAAGUUAUUUAUAAAACAUAAAAUUUUAAGUUUAUUUUCAUUAAAAAAAAUAUAAUGUGCUUAUUGUGGGCAUUUUCAUCGUGCUGUGCUCAGUCCAUCUCUAAUCAUAUCAUAUUUUUAAGACUCUUGUGCUUAUAAUUCUAAGCCUGGCCCGACCCACAUCGUGCUCCACCGAAAUAAAUCUAUGACACUAAAGUGUUGAAUCUGAUAGAUAUAAAUGCCGAAGUUUUAUAAAUUAAACUUUUAUCACUUUAUUUUGUUAUAUCUGUUAACAAAGCAAAUGGAGAAUUUCAGGAUAAUGAUUUUUGUUUUAAAACUAAGGAACCACUUUUUUUAAGAAAAAGAAGCACUUAGCACUAACUAAUACCAAGUAUUUGAUGUCAUAACACCAAUUGACAAAUAUUAUCUUGCUCGAAAAAUUAUAACAAUAAUAUACAGCAUAUCUAAACUGGUAAUAUGUAUUGUAAAAAUUGGAAAAUGGUGGAGUAUUAACUCUCCAUUAAUGUUAAAAUUUAAAAUCAUAAAAUUUAAAAUUGUGCUCGUCACAAAGGUAUUCAAAAAUUUAUGUUAUAUAAUAAUUUAUAACACAAUACAAUUUAGUUGGUUCCGAUAAUUUUUUUUAUAAAAUAAAAUUCAAAUCAAACUGAACUGAGUUGGUUCGACUUUCGAUUCAAUUUCGUUUUGGCUUGGUUUUUCUUUUUAAACUGUAAAUUCCUCUAUAUUUUGUAUUUUUUUUUCUGUUUUUGAUUUUACGAAUUGACUUGUUUUUUUUUAAUUUUUGAAACAAAACCAAACCUCUAGUUAGCUUUUGGAUUUUUGGCAACAAUGAUUUUUUUAUACCCCUACUUCUGAUAUUAAAAUUUUGUAGUGUACGAAAUUGUAUUUUGUAGUUAUAUGUUGCCCUAAUUUAGGCUUGACUCUUAGGCAUUGACCUAUACAUUGUACUUAAACUUGAUUUUUUUGCAUAUAUUUGUGCCUAUAUACAUACGUAUUGAUGAUCAUUUUUAUCCUAACAAUACACGUUAUUAUUCUUUUUUUUUUUUAAAAAAGGAAUAUUCAUGUAAACUUUUUAAAAUAUUGUUAAGAGGAUAAUUCCAUCAACAAAAAAGACUACUGAAUAUUAGCCAAAUAGGUUGUUUUUAUUAAAAAAAUUACUUUCUAUAGAGAUAUGUGAGUAAUGAAAAUGUAUUUUGGGCAGCCUAUCUAGUACUCAAACUUUUCUACUUUUUAGAAGCAUUGAGUUUUUCUUUGGCUUUUUAUUGUAAUUUUUGAAUUCUGAGAAACUAGAAGGGACUUUCAUAGAAGUCAAAUUAAUACCUAUGCCUAUUGUGGUUAAUUAGCCCUUUAGAAGCAUGAUUACUUAAUUGCGUGCUUUAUUUUUCGUUUACUUUAUUAUUUUCGGUAAUUUAUUAAAUUAAUCUUUAAUUAAAUUUGGCUAAGACUUAGGUGGUGGAGAUAAAUCAAUCAUAUUUUUAUCUGUAUUAAUCUAUAGGUUAUAAUAUUAAUUGAUAUUAUAAUUUUUUUUUAAAAGAAAUUUAUUAAUCUAUGACCUAAAAAAAAUAUACCAACUGUUAAGGGUUAAAAAAAUUAGAAUUUUUCACGUAAUUCAAAUUUAUUUACUUUCUCCAAAUUCAUCUCAUACUUGAAAUUCCAAGGAAAAAUAUAAUUAGAAGAGCAAGAGUUAAGGGUUAAAAAAAUGGAAAAAUAGGGCUCCUCUGUUUUCAUUCCCCUGUUUUUCUGUUCGGUGAUUGCAAAUAUUUAAAUCAGAAUUUAUGAUGCAGCCUACACGGCACCUGGUGGAUGACUGUUAGGGUUUAUCUUAAUUUAUGAUGCAUUAGGAUAUGAUUUUGAUAAAUGAGCUUUUUAUGUAUCCUGUGAGGCUGAUUAUUAUUUUAUUACAUUGAAGAUUCAGUUAUCUCUUGGUAGUCUUGUGAAUCAAGCGGAUUUAGUUAGUAGUAGGUAAUACUCUGGACUUCACAUACUAAACGGAAUGGAGCAUUAUUUUAUCCCGCUAAAUCAGUUUUUUUUUUUUAAAUUAAAAAAUAAUUCAUCAAACACUUUAUAGCUCUGGUUUUAAGUUGGUAAACACUUUAAGCCGCAACUUUAAAUUCAGUUUACGAGAACUCCUAACAGUCACUGUGGCUUGGGUAGAAAUGAAUAUACUACCUUUGUUUCAUAAGUAAUGCUACCCAGGAAAUGUAGUUGAACCUAACCAAACUAAAACCAGAUGAUGAAAGCUUAUAUACACCAAGAGAUUUAUUCGUUUCUGAGUUUGUUUCCAGAAACCUGGAAACUCCCCUGUUUCUACAAACACGGCACCUGUGUUUUCAUUCCCCUGUUUUUCCAUUUGGUGAUUGUAAAAAUCUAAAUCUAAAUUUUUGAUGCAGUCUACACGGCACCUGCUAGAUGAUUGUUUGGGUUUAUCUUUUAUUCUUAAUUAUGAAUUUAAUUUAGAUUCGUAGUGUGCGCCUUAUGAAAGAUUAAAUAGAAUAAUGUGAAAAAAAAAGAAUGCCUUUCUUAAUUUUGACUUCAUAUUGUUGCAGUAACCGUCCUCUCUUAUCAUUCCCCUGUUCUUUGGUUUAGUGAUUGCAAAUAACAUUCUUUCCAUCUACUCUUUAUUUAUUUUUUUUUAAUUUUUAACUUAUUAAUUCUUGUUCUUCUUAAAGCGUUUACUAAAUUAUAUGAUCACCUGAUCAAAUCCCUCACAUUAACAUACAACAUAACCAACAAAGUGUUGGCUCUAAGUGGCUUGACUGGGUUUGCUCCCCAGUUCGAGUCGCAGGAAAGUCGUCUUUGUUGAGAGAAAUUGUGCCUCCCGGUUCCUGUGGGGACUUCUAGUAUGGGUUGUGGUACGGGCUUAAAGGUGCCUCCCACAAUUGGGGCCCUCUCCAGGAUACCUCGUGGUCAAGACAAAAAAAAAAAAAUACAACAUAAUGUAUUAAUGGAAUUUAUUAUUUUAUCAUAAUUAAAUUGAAGAUUUGUUCAUGCAGUUUUGUAUGAUGAGGAGUUUUCAUUUUUCUGUCAAAUACAAGAACAAUUUGUAAAUAGUGUCCAUGAAGGCUUGAAUGAAGAAUGGAAUUUAAUAAUUUUAGAAGAAUAUUGGCUUAUAGAGCAUAUUAGUAGGGAUAAGAUUUGUAGGAUGCCUGAUAAAAGAGAAAGCGAAAGCUUGAAUGAAGAAUAGCAUUUUUAAAAAGAAACUAAUGUGCAAUGUAAUAAUCAAAGUAAGAUCAAUAAUGACUUGAUCAGUUAUGCUUUUUAUUAUUUCAUUUAUUCUGUCCACAAAUCUUAUCCCUACUAAAAUGCUCUAUAAGCCAAUAUUCUUCUAUAAUUAUUAAAUGAAGAAGCGAAAGAUUGCAUUGUUUUCGGGAAAUUGGAGUACUUGGGACUUGACUGUUUGCCAAGCCUAACAAGCUUUUUAUUCAGGUAAUUACACUCUUGAGUUCCCGUCCUUGAAACAAGUACUUGUGAGACAGUGCCCAAAGAUGAAGAUUUUCUCUCAAGGAAUCAUAGGGACGCCAACGCUAAAUAAAGUGAAACUCACCGAAAAAGAAGAAGGAUGCUGGGAAGGCAACCUCAAUGACACCAUACAUAAAUUGUUCAAUGAAAUGGUCAGUAUUAAUUAACUAAGUAUUGGCGCUAACUACCAAAUUAUUUUGUAGAAAUGGAUAUGGUAUAAUAUGAUUGGUCGACUGAAAAUAUAUAAUAACAAAAAAUAAAUCAAGUGGUCCAUGUGAUGUUUUUGUUUAACCAAUCAUAUUAUGUCACAUUAAUUUAUACAUUAUUGUUUGUCUGACGGAGUUUAUAGUUGUAUCAUAACAUUUGCUUCUUUUUUCUUAUUGUUAUUAUUAUGGUAAUGUAUGCUUGCUUACACAUGUAUAAUUACAAACAUGCAGAAUUCUAAAGACAAGAUUGAGCCCACCCUUCAAGUAUAAAGAAGAAGCUAUCUCGACCCAGGCCGAUCUCUUAUAUAUGAUUCAACUCGCACGUUUUCCUCUACUUCAAAAUUUUGUUCCCAGAUGCAUUUAUAGCAUUUUGGUCAUGCUACAUAAUUGCAAGACACUUUGGAUUUGCUUGGUGCACACUGGUUAAGCGAGGGCUUGAAUUGAUGUUUCAUAUGCAUGCAAUAUUCAACUUCUAUAUUAUUUCUCCAAUUGGUAUUUUAAGCAUUUGAUUUCUAGCCUGAUUGACUGAUUCAAUUGAGGAUCUGUAGUUGAAGAAAACAGCACAAGACAAUGUUUAUUUCAUUUUUUUAUAGUAUUAUCAAAUAUAGUGUAUUGACAUUUAUUAAAAGGAAGUAAUCCGUCAAGCUGACCUUCUCAAACCAGCACUCUCUAAAUUAAAAGAAUCACGUGAAGUCAAGAUCAUGUUGUAGAUCUUGUGGAAAUAGGUAAACCCAUAUUCUUUACACAGCAUCAUAGGAAAAUCAAUUUUUCCAUUAGUAUCUAUGUUAAUGUUGAGCUUUAAUAGUAUUAGCUAUUCAACAAACACAGUUAUUGUGUAUAUUAAAAAGUUAGAAACCGGUUGAGUGACGGUUGGGAAUCAAUCAGUUCACUUGUUUGCUUGUGAGUACGACAUUUAGAGACCGAUUAAACAAUUUUAAAACUAUUACUCUCAGAUUCCAAAAAUAGUAAAUAAAGAAUCAGAAAAUUUCCUACUAGCUAUACUUAUGCAAAAGUCUCAUUUGGAAACAUCAAUGACUUUCAUUCAAAGAAAACAAUGAAAAUGGGAUCAAAAUACAUGUGUGUAUACCUAAAACAAAUGAUUUUUUUUUUCGGGUAUUAAAAAAAGUUGAGGUGCAAUGAAACCACAGUCAUGAUGUUUCUGGUUCCAAUCAGCCGUUCUGGUAAUUCAUCUGUAGUGUUUGACUGCAUACUAAAGAGUAAGAUAAAGAAGAGACAGAGGAGGCGUUUUACCAUUCUGAGAACAUUGCAGCACGCAAUAUCUCAAAUUCCGACGUGCUUCAUUUAAAAGUGCCCCCCCCCCCCCCCCCCCCCCCCCCCCCCCCCCCCCCCCCCAAAAAAAAAGAAGAGAACAAUCAUACGUACCUGUACUAGGGAAGCCACAUCAACCACCACUGUCGUAAUUACACCAAUUACAAAGGCCAAAACUCCAUUUGCAAUAGUAGAAGAACCGAUGUCAACAUCAAUCUACAGACAGAGGAACAAUGUUAAACCAUGUUAAUGGUAUCGGACGAGCUAUUUGAAAGGGGAACAUCUCAUGUAUGAUAGAAAUUCCUAGAGCGUUUACUUCUAAGUACUUGGGACCGCGAAUAUAAUUACGAUCAACUUCUUUUCCUAAUAAACAAGGGGUGCUUCCAACACUCUGGUGCACGAUCCAUGACCCCUGCAUGAUUUAGCGCUUAAAAUCAAGAGCAGGUGCAAAACAAAUUCAACAGAGUGAAAAAAGGUCAUUAAGUUAGAAGGUACAACCCAUCAAUACAUUUAUACCUAAAUGUACGCUUCCUUUGCACAAAUUGAAGUGUACCAUGCAGUGAAGGUUACGACAUGUUAACAAAGUCCUAAUACAUGCAGACCAAGAUGGAUAUCUUAGGGACGGAUGGAAUAAGCUUCAGCCUACUAUUGGGAAGAUCAUCAUCGCCAUCAACAAAUCGUUGCAGAAGGGAUCCCAUAACUAAUUCCCUUGUGACAAAUAAAAUGCCAUACUGUAAUGUGUUGAACCGGAAGCCUGCAGAUGUCUUACGUUACAACGAUCCAACCUCCCAAUACGACAAGUUUGAAACUUAAUACCUUUUGAAAUGAAACAAACUUAACUUGAAGAUCAAAAAUUAAUGAGAAAAGUCAUUUUUCGGAAGCAACCUACAUAUUUUAGAAUAGGGCUCAGAGUGUCACAGAUUCAACGAACCCUAGGAUCUCACAGGCAGCAAUUUCUGCUAAUCCGUCAAGGGAAAAAGGAAAAAUAAAAAGAAAAGAAUAGUUACUUGUGCAGCACAGCCUUGACGUCUAGCAACAUGGUCCAUUCUCUUUGUGCGCUUGAACCAAUCAACAGCACAAGCGCAAGAAGAGCCAACCAAACUACUUCAUAACAUGUCAAACUAGAACAUGCAGGAUAUAUAAAUACCAUAACAAACAACCAAAAUACGGGGGAACCUUUGUUUUGUCAUAACAAAAAUGCUUGCUACGAACUCUGAAGUUGUUUCCAUCAGAAAGUUUCCUGCAGUCAUGAGCAUUAUCACGGUCAUCGUGUCGCAGAUUGCCCGAAAAACAAGAUAAAUCAAAUUGACCAGCUUGCUCUUCCUCUAGGGCUGCAAGUAAUUGAAAAAAGAAAGAUUUAAGUCCAUAGAAAUCCAUUAAUGAGUACAUUAACUAAAUAUAUAAAAAUGAAUAGAUAAGUUGUCAUCCACCUGUUCUCUUGAAAUCAUUCUCAAUCUUUUUUUCAUUUGCCUGAAAUCCCAAGAAAAAUUUAUAAGAACAAGAGUUAUGAAAGAAGUUACUUGAAAAGGAUGAGGAUUCAAGCGUGAAUCAAACCUCUUGUUCAGACUCAGCUAAUUGAAAUUCUUCAUCCUCCUCAGAGUAUUCAUCCAUCAUCACAGAGUGUCUACCUGCAGCAAUUAACUGAUCAAGAGAUGAGCUCAGAUGAAUAGAUGAGUCUUGCAGGUUUCGGUUCUUAUAUGAAGAAACAGAAGCUGAGGCCAUAUUGACCAUGACAGGGAUUCUCGGAUGAGCACUCAUUUCAUCUGUUUGGCAAACCAUUCGCGGAGACCUGUCAUAAGAAGUAAACAACAUAACUCAAACAAAGUGUUUGUAUUGGAAAGAAACAAAAAAUUAAUAAAUAAACCCUCAAAAAAUCCUCUGAAAAUUGUGUUUAACUAGACCACUUUUCUAGCAGUUUGAUCUAUUAAAUGAACCAGAACAGCAGCCUUUUUAUUAUUUAUUUCACUUACUAUCUUAUAAAUCCUCUGAAAAUUACACCGCUACUCCAAACCAAGUUCCAUUAUCAUUUAUUUCAUUUUUUGUCUUAUACUAAAGCUAAAAGAAAAGAAAAGGUACAUCCACAUGUAUAUUUCAUUGGAGUUACUGCAUUUCGUUCUUUUAGCUUAUUCCUCAUUUUAUUAAAAUGAUAGAUCCCGCAUUAAAAAGGUGUCUUUAUAAAUAUGUGUAUGCAUGUGUAUAUUCCUUAGAAAAGGAGUGACAGAAAAUACAGUAACAAGCAAAGCAAGACUUAAAAUGGCCUCCCAGCAGAACCAUAUAAUCUACAACGGCAAAAAAUAAAUGUGAAAAACAAGUAACUUACCAGCAACCCUAUUUAACUAAGAAGACAGUGUUGCUAAAAUAUUGACACAUGACCAACAAGUCACCCUUUAGGUCAACCUGCAUAAGAUACUGAACCUGUGUUCUGGGCCUACCAUUUCGAGGUUCUUAAUGGGGAAAUGUCGAAUCCUCCACCUGAGAAAUCAGAAUACAGUCAGCAAGUGGUGCAAUUUGGCGUGAGUUGGUCACUUGUUAAUUCUCUACAUCAACCGAAGGAUAGAAAACUGACUCUCCACUUGAGCUCGUACAUACCCUGGUUGUGGACCACAGUUCUCAUCAUCCCUACAACGAAAUAACACAACUGCACAAUAACAAAACACAGCAUGUGGAAAUUUCUAGUGCCAGAAAAGAUAUAUUUAAUUUCAAGAAGUGGGGAAGCAAGAACCUUACCAUAAUUCCCAUCGUCAUUUCGACGCCAAUAACGCACAUAGCAAAGGUCCACAGAGGAAAGGAGGAAGAUUAAUUCAAUAAAAAGGAUAAAUUUCAGGGAAUUCCACUAUCCUCUGACUGAAAUAGAUAACCCAUGCAGUUUUGAAAUUCAUUUGAUCCCCCCUGAACUUUUAAAAUUGGCCAUAGAGCUCCCCCAAAAUCCAUAUGAACCUUCCCUGGUGAAUUUGUUAGAAUCAAGGGGAAGGCUUUAGACUAACUUCAAAACCAAGUUGUGGCCUAUAUAUUUAAGUCAUAUUGAGGAUGUUGAGAAGUCAAUAUUAGCCCAAAUAAGUCCACACCUAAAUUAAUUUGAUGUCAUUGCUUACAUCAAUUUAGUUAGGUGAAAAUUAGGUAUUUUUCCCAUGUUUAAUUUCAAUGGUUUAAAUUAGUUUGUGGUUAUUUUAAUGAGUGGUUUAGAUUGUUUCUUGUAAUCUAUAAAUACCUCAUUUGUAUUUGAGUUUUAUCAUUCAACAAUCAAAGCUUUAUUAUAAGCAUUUGAAAGCUUUCUCAAGAGUUCUUCUCUUUUUGCAAUUUUGUGAGAUUAUUCUAAAGAGAGUUUUUCUUCUUCUUGAUCAAUUGGAGUUUUUACUCUAUUUUGAUUCAACAUUUGGUAUCAGAGCAUUGGUUGUAAAGUCUCUUGAAAUUCCGAGUAUGCUCUGUGGUUGCAGUUUUGACUGAUCUUCCACAUCAGAAAAGAUUUCUUGAGAUUAUUGCUGGGGUUAUCACAAACCUUGAGAGGGAGCUUCUUUGUGUCAAGAGUAGUGUAUUACUCUGCACGAUAGUCACUCAAGCUUGUUCGGUGUAGUCAAAGUCUUGUCGAUACGAUGGGUGAUCUUCAAGUUGUUGGAGGAAUCAAGAAGCUCAACAACCAAAACUAUAACACAUGGGCAACGUGUAUAGAGUCUUACCUUCAAGGUCAAGACUUGUGGGAGGUUGUCGGUGGUAGUGAAGUUACACAACCGGCAGCAGAAGAUGCUAACGGCGUCUUGCGGAAGUGGAAAAUUAAAGCAGGCAAAGCAAUGUUUGCUUUAAAGACCACAAUAGAAGAAGAAAUGUUGGAGCACAUUCGGGAUGCUAAAUCACCGAAGGAAGCGUGGGACACCUUCGCUACACUCUUUUCGAAGAGGAACGAUACAAAAUUGCAACUUCUCGAGAAUGAACUUCUAUCAAUGGCGCAACGCGACAUGGCGGUUGCCCAAUACUUUCACAAGGUGAAGUCGAUAUGCCGCGAAAUUUCAGAAUUAGAUCCGACAGCUGCUAUUGGGGAAGCCAGGAUAAAAAGAAUAAUUGUCCAUGGCUUGAGACCCGAAUACCGAAGCUUUGUAGCCGCUGUACAAGGAUGGCCGACACAACCAUCACUUGUUGAGUUUGAAAAUUUACUGACAGGCCAAGAAGCUAUGGCCAAGAAAAUGGGAGGAGUCUCACUAAAGGGUGAAGAGGAAGCGCUUUACACCAACCAAAGCAGAGGUGGUUCAAGACAGCACAACAAAGGCGGAUCUAGAAAGACUGGUGAACAGACAAAAAGUCAUCAGGGAGGGAAUGGCUCUCGUCCAGGGGGAGCUUCGAAGAAUCGCGACAGUAAUAGAAAGUUCGAUGGUGAAUGUUACAAUUGCGGGAAGAAGGGCCACAUGAAGAGAGAUUGUUGGUCCAAAAAGAAGUCUACCGAAAGCAAUAUUGCUACUUCUAGUUCUAAAGAAGAUAGUGAAGAUAGCUGGGAUGCCGAAGCAUUACUCGCUAUGGAGGAAGAAGGAUUAGCUCUCACGGUAACAACACCAGAAAAGAUUAACUACGAGAAUGAUUGGAUCGUAGACUCAGGCUGCUCAAAUCACAUGACGGGUGAUAGACAGAAGUUAAAAAACUGUUCUGAGUACAAGGGAAAUCGUGUGGUGGUAACAGCUGACAACUCAAGGUUACCGAUAGCUCACAUCGGUAAAGCGAUCGUUACACCUCGAUAUAGUCCCAACCAAGUGCCACUUCAAGAUGUCUACCAUGUUCCAGGAAUGAAGAAAAAAUUGCUAUCCGUAGCUCAAUUGACAUCAUUAGGGCACUAUGUCUUGUUUGGUCCACAAAAUGUGAAGGUAUUCCGAGACCUAAAGAUCUCAGAAAAGCCUACGAUGGAGGGACGGCGAUUGGAGUCAGUUUAUGUGAUGUCAGCUGAGUCUGCAUACGUAGACAAGACAAGAAGGAAUGAGACGGCAGAUCUAUGGCACAUGCGGCUAGGUCAUGUUAAUUAUUCCAAGCUAAGUGUGAUGGUGAAGAAGUCGAUGCUUAAGGGACUUCCUCAACUUGACGUGAGAACAAAUACUGUUUGCGCGGGAUGUCAAUAUGGUAAAGCACAUCAAUUGCCAUACGAGGAGUCGAAGUUUAAAGCAAAGAAACCAUUAGAGUUAAUUCACUCUGAUGUGUUUGGACCCGUUAAGCAACCAUCAAUUGGCGGAAUGCGGUAUAUGGUUACGUUCAUUGAUGAUUUCUCCAGAUAUGUAUGGGCUUUCUUCAUGAAAGAAAAAUCUGAAGCAUUCUCAAAGUUCAAAGAGUUCAAAGAGAUAGUCGAAGGAGAAGUGGAGCAAAAGAUUCGUUGCUUGCGCACAGACAACGGGGGUGAGUAUAGCUCGAGAGAGUUUUCUCAAUACCUACGGGAAUGCCAAAUACGUCAUUAGUAUACUUGUGCUAAUACGCCACAACAAAAUGGUGUAGCAGAGAGGAAGAAUCGGCACCUUGCUGAAAUUUGCCGGAGUAUGCUACAUGCGAAGAAUGUACCUGGAAGAUUUUGGGCCGAAGGUAUGAGAACUGCAGCUCAUGUCAUCAACAAGCUUCCUCAACCAAGGUUGGAGUUUGUUUCACCCUUUGAGAAAUUGUGGAACAAGAAACCUACAGUUAGCUAUUUUCGAGUAUUCGGUUGUGUAUGCUAUGUAUUUGUUCCUGACCAUCUACGUAGCAAGAUCGAUAAGAAAGCAGUCAGAUGUAUCUUUGUGGGAUACGACAAUCAGCGAAAAGGGUGGAAGUGUUGUGAUCCAGUAAAUGGAAGGUGCUACACAUCACGAGAUGUGGUGUUUGAUGAAGCAUCCUCAUGGUGGACCUCAGAAACAGAAGUAUUGCCAGACUCGAAAGAAUUCGGAGACAUGCUACAACAAAAGAUGGAGGAGCAUACUGUCCAAAUUCAUCUAAGCUCAGCUGGAGAUCUAUGCGAUAGUGAUAGCGAACGAAGAGUAACUCUAAAUCCUUGGCAAUCUGGGGUGUAUCGACAACCAGAUGAAGAAGGUGUGCCUAGUGAAACAGAAGAAUCAACUCCAUUACGAAGGUCAACAAGAACCCGGAGGCCAAAUCCCAAAUACGCUAAUGCAGCCAUAGUUGAAGAAGCAACUGGAAUAGAACCUGAGACGUUCGAAGAAGCGUCACAGAGUUCUGAGUGGAUGACAGCUAUGAAAGACGAGAUCACUGCACUUGAGCAAAAUCAGACCUGGGAACUCGUGCCAAAGCCAAAAGAUGUGAAACCCAUAUCCUGCAGAUGGGUUUACAAAAUAAAGCACCGUCCAGAUGGGUCAAUCGAGAGGUACAAGGCUCGAUUGGUAGCUCGUGGUUUCUCUCAACAAUAUGAACUAGACUAUGACGAAACGUUUAGUCCAGUGGCAAAACUUACAACCGUCCGAGUCUUACUUGCACUUGCAGCCAACAAAAGUUGGAACUUGUGGCAGAUGGACGUGAAGAAUGCCUUUCUCCAUGGAGAGCUGGAUCGGGAGAUCUACAUGAUUCAACCGAUGGGUUUCCAGAACCGAGGUCAUCCUGAGUAUGUGUGUAAGCUGCGAAAGGCUCUCUACGGACUAAAACAAGCACCCAGGGCAUGGUAUGGCAAGAUUGCUGAAUUUCUAACUCAAAGUGGGUAUUCAGUAACAUCUGCAGACUCCAGCUUGUUUGCUAAAGCUAAUGGAGAAAGGAUAGCUAUUGUGCUCGUGUACGUAGAUGAUCUAAUCAUCACUGGAGAUGAUGUUGAAGAAAUUUUCCGAACAAAGGAGAACUUGUCAGUUCGUUUUCAAAUGAAAGAACUUGGACAACUUAAGCAUUUCCUUGGGCUAGAGAUUGAUCAGACGAAAGAAGGGAUAUUUCUUUAUCAACAGAAAUAUGCCAAAGAUUUGUUGAAGAAGUUUGGGAUGCUAGAAUGUAAGCCGAUCUCAACACCGAUGGAACCAAAUGCCAAGAUGUGUGCACAUGAAGGCAAAGACCUGGAAGAUGCAUCGAUGUAUCGACAAUUAGUGGGUAGUCUAAUCUACUUAACCUUGACUCGACCUGACAUUUCUUAUGCAGUUGGCGUGAUGAGUCGAUACAUGCAAAAUCCGAAGAAGUCUCAUUUAGAAGCGGUUCGGCGAGUACUCAUAUAUGUGAAGAGUACAAUAGACUAUGGUCUUCUAUACAAGAAAGGUGGAAAUUGCAAACUAGUUGGCUACUGUGAUGCUGACUAUGCAGGAGAUCACGAUACUCGCAGAUCAACUACUGGGUAUAUGUUUACCCUUGGAUCUGGAACGAUUUCUUGGUGUAGCAAGAGACAACCGACUGUGUCCUUGUCAACUACGGAAGCAGAGUACCGAGCAGCAGCAAUGGCAGCUCAAGAAAGCACGUGGCUGAUACAACUAAUGAAUGAUCUACAUCAACCAGUAGAUUAUGCAGUUCUGUUGUAUUGUGACAACCAAUCGGCAAUUCGGCUGGCGGAGAAUCCUGUUUUUCAUGCAAGAACUAAACAUGUGGAAGUGCAUUACCACUUUGUUAGGGAAAAAGUUCUGCAAGAAGAGAUUGAGAUGAGGCAAGUUAAGACAGAUGAACAAACUGCUGACUUGUUUACAAAAAGCUUGAGUGUUGGAAAGUUUGAACAUUUCCGUCGUCAGCUUGGCGUGAUUCAAAGAAUGGGGGCUAACAUUGAGGGGGAGUGUUGAGAAGUCAAUAUUAGCCCAAAUAAGUCCACACCUAAAUUAAUUUGAUGUCAUUGCUUACAUCAAUUUAGUUAGGUGAAAAUUAGGUAUUUUUCCCAUGUUUAAUUUCAAUGGUUUAAAUUAGUUUGUGGUUAUUUUAAUGAGUGGUUUAGAUUGUUUCUUGUAAUCUAUAAAUACCUCAUUUGUAUUUGAGUUUUAUCAUUCAACAAUCAAAGCUUUAUUAUAAGCAUUUGAAAGCUUUCUCAAGAGUUCUUCUCUUUUUGCAAUUUUGUGAGAUUAUUCUAAAGAGGGUUUUUCUUCUUCUUGAUCAAUUGGAGUUUUUACUCUAUUUUGAUUCAACAGAGGAAACAUAUGAGAUCAUUGCAGCAUGCAAUAUCCGAUAUGCACAUUGGAUUUAUAUAAAUAUAUAUAAUUAAAUUCUAAAUUUGAACUCUUAAAAUUAUUAUGUUAUUUGGAUUUAUCAAGAACUUACAUGUACAGUAGCUAUUAUGUUAGCAUAUGUAAGAAUAAUUUUAAUGCAUGCAGCAUUUAGAAGGUACUAAAGUGGAAACAAGAAUUUGCGCUUGCAACAAGAGGUGAUCCGUGCGUUCCCCAGUUUAGUAAUUAAAAAAAUCAAAAAAGAGAAGAAACAGGGCCUCUCUUUUCUCAUUCCCUUGUUUAAUAACAAUGAAAACAGAACAGAGGAUAAACAGAGGCUAUCUUUUCAUUCCCCUGUUUUUCUGUUUGGUGAUUUUUUUUCAGAGUAUGAUUAGUCGGCUGCUGAGUCAGCAGCCACGCUGGCAAGCCGUUGCUCUGUUUAGUUAUUUCCCGUUAAAAGUUUGUUAAGCUGAAUUGUAUUGAGUUCACGUGUUUGUUUCAUAUAGAAGGUUCCAGUGAGUAGCAUAAAUAUUGUUGUAUAUUGAACCAAAUAUAGAUUAAUAAGAUGGUUUUAGAUUCAUUCUAGCUACAUAAUUUUCUCUGUAUUUUUCCUUCACUUUCUGAGUAAACAAACAGGAAAAGCUUCUUUAACUUGGUAUCAGAGCUAGAUCCAAUGGCUCUAACGAACUCAAAUUCACAAUCUAAUACCAGUGCCAUAGCUUCUUUCACCUUCACUACACCAGUCAAAUUAGAUCGUACAAAUUACACGAUCUGGAAACAGCAGGUGCUCUCUUCAGUUCGAGGCAAUGGACUUUGAGUCUUAUAUCGAUGGAUCAAAGCUAUGUCCUGAUCAAUUUCUUUAACCUGGAUCUGAAGGCACUUCGUCAAUCUCUGAAGGUCAUGAAAAUCCAGAAUAUGCUGUGUGGAAACACCAAGAUCAGCUUCUGCUUAGCUGGAUUAUGUCAUCCACAACUGUUGAAAUACUCAGCCUUGUGGUAAGUUCCAAAACCUCCUUUGAAUUGUGAAAAAAAAUUACUUCAAUACUCCAUGGGCUGGCAUUUCGGUCUGCGGUGCCGUUUUCCUUCUUAUUCUCACCGUCAUCCAAGCUGUAUGCUCUGUUAUACAAGUGUUGUCUCAGCCCAAAAAUAUCUCGUGACGAAAACCUUCUAUGCGGUAUUUGUAUGUCGUUUUCGAGUUGCUGUUUUUUUUUUUUUAAUUUUAAUUUUUAUUCUGAAGUAAUUUUAUCAUGGAUUUGUUAAUUUUACUUGAAUGUUGAACAAGCCUUUACUUUUCUCUCUCUCUUUUUUUUUUUUUUUAAUGAAAUGAAAUAAAAGGUGGGGGUAUACCCUACAGAUUGUUCUCUCCACUCCAUAAUUAGUAUUGCUUUUACCACAUGAAAAAUUAAUGUUAAACGAUAAAUUUAUUUACUUGAAUAUUUUAAUUAUGUCAUGAACCAAUUGACAGGCUAAAGAAUUAACUUUCAAUUUUCAACAGUAUAAGAUUAAUAAAUAGCAUAAACUAAUUUUUAUUUUCAUUUAAAUUAAUCUAAUCCUACCAACUUCAUGUGGUUUUCAUAUUGGUUGGUUUCAUGUAUCACAAGAAUUGUUAGACACUGUUAAGGAAGCACACAUCAGUAGCAUAGACUGUAAAGCAGAGGAUAGCAGCAGCUCCAGCUUACAGUUAAGAGUUGAUGACAUGGCAUGCCAGCUGGCACCUGGUGGUUAUGUAAUCACUUGUUCACGUGAUAAUUAGUUGAAGUUGUUAUAGCUAGCUAGAAUUAGUUUUGUAAUUAGUUAACUAAUUGAGCUGAGCAUCAGUUGUGUAUAUAAGCAUCUCUGUGUACAGUUUCAUAAGUAAGUUUUAGAUGAAUAAAAUCGUGUGAGCAAAAAGCUUUCAGUUCUUAAAUUUUCUCAGCUUCCAAACAUCCUUUUUUUGAUUUCUUACUUGGUAUCAGAGCACUAAUGGCAUCUGUGAAUCUUGCCUCUUCCUUAAAUCAAGUUCAUAAUACCGCUGCACAUUCAACAACAGUCAAUUUCACUUUCAAUACUCCCGUUAAACUUGAUCAAUCAAACUAUUUGAUCUGGAGAUCUCAAGUGCUUGCUUCAAUUCGAGGAAAUAGACUUGAGAAAUUUAUCGAUGAGUCAAUCACUCCACCUCCUUCUCAUAUUGCUCAUAGAUAUGAUGAUGAGCUUAGAUCUGUGGAGAAUCCAGAAUUUGCAACCUGGAGAGCACAAGAUCAAAUACUUCUCGGUUGGCUUCUUUCAUCCAUGAGUGAAGGUAUCAUCAGUUUGGUGUUCAAUCUUGAGACUUCAUUGGAGGUAUGGAAAGCUGUUGAAACUCAAUUUGGAUCUCAAUCAAAGUCUAGGUUAUUACAUUUGAGAUAUUUGAUGAAUUCCACUAGAAAGGAUGAUCUUAAAAUGACUGAAUACUUCAUUAAAAUGAAAUCUAUUGCUGAUAACAUGGCUGUAGCAGGAAGUGCAUUAAGCAAUGAUGAUUUGAUUUUACAUGUACUCUCUGGUCUAGGUCCUGAUUAUAAUUCUGUUGCUACUUACAUCACUGGACAAGUAGGAACUGGAAAAAUGAAUGUUAAUGAGGCUUAUGCUAUGCUGUUAACUCAAGAGGCUAGGAUUGAUCAACAAACUCAUAUGCUUGCUAAUAUGGAUGUUAAACACAAUUUAGAAGCUAACUUUGCACAAAAUAGAGGACCUAAGAGAGGAAACUUCUCAGGAGGAAAAGGUUUUGGUAGUCUUGGAUAUAAUACAGGCUACAGUAAUGCUGGAAAUUCUGGAAAUAGUGGUUACAGAGGAAAUUAUGGAUCAUCUGGUUUUGCUGUUGGAAGUGCUGGAAAUAAUGGUUACAGAGGAAACUAUGGAGGAGGAGGAGGAGGAAACUGGAAUAAUAAUAAUGCUGUCAAUAAUGGCAAAACACCUGGAAAUCCUAAAUCUCAGUGGAAUCCUUCUAAGCCUACAUGUCAAGUUUGUCUCAAAAUAGGUCACACAGCUAAUGUAUGCUGGAAGCUGGAAGAAUUUAUUGCUUCAGGAGCUUAUAGACCACCUCCAAACAGGAAUCCGAAAUCUGCAUAUCUGGCAAACAUGGAAGGAUCAUCUGAUACAAAUUGGUACCUUGACAGUGGUGCCACUCACCAUCUCACAAAUGACAUGAACAAUAUGCAGAUUUCUGAAUCAUUUACAGGUACAUCUAAACUCAUUAUUGGUAAUGGUACUGGCUUGAAUAUUACACAUAUUGGAAAAGCUGUUCUGAGAUUGCACAACUGCACUGAUUCCACUGUGUUUAAACUAAACAAUAUACUUUUAGUUCCACAAAUAACCAAGAACCUUAUAAGCAUUUCUCAGCUAACCAAAGACAACAAUAUCACAAUUGAGUUUACUGACAAAUCUUGUUUUGUGAAGGACAAGGUGAAGAAUUUGAUCAUACUGCAGGGCAAGGCUGAAAAAGGCUUGUACAGAUUGCUAUUAGUGUCCUCAAAUAAAACUUCUGCUCAGUCUUCCUUUCAAGGUCAUGUUGCCAAUAUUGAGUCUUCUUUUCAGUCUUUUGUUCCUUUGUCAAUGCUAUCAACUGUCAAUCUCAGUCAGUCAAAUAAUCACUGCUUGCAAAAUGUGGCAGCAGAACCUUGUAUGAACUCUAAGUGUCUUUUAAGCACUUCUGUAUUACAUCAGAGGCUAGGUCAUCCUAACUCUAAGAUCUUAAACCAUGUAAUACAAUCUUGUUCCUCUUUCAAACCUAUCAAUGGAAAUAAAGAGUUUGAUUCAUGUGAUGCUUGUAAAUUUGGGAAAAUGCAUAGAUUACACUUUCCAGCAACUGAAACAAAAACAAAACAACCUUUAGCCAUUUUACAUACUGAUUUAUGGGGACCAGCUCCAGUGGUUUCCACACAAGGUUAUAAAUAUUAUGUGAGCUUUGUGGAUGAUUUUACCAGAUUCACUUGGAUAUUUCCCCUGAAAACCAAAGAUGAAACUCUUCAUGUGUUCAAAAUUUUCAAAGCUCAAGUUGAAAAACAAUUAGAACAGCCCAUUAAAUGUCUUCAAUCUGACUGGGGAGGGGAAUUCAGAUCCUUUAGCAAAUAUCUUCAAGAAGAAGGGAUAGAAUUUAGACACUCUUGUCCUUAUACACAUAACCAAAAUGGUUUGGUAGAAAGGAAACACAGACACAUCACUGAAUCAGGUCUUACUCUUCUUGCACAAGCUAAAUUACCUAUCAAAUUCUGGUGGGAUUCCUUUCAUACAGCAGCCUAUCUCAUUAACAGAUUACCAACACCUAUUCUAGCAAUGAAAACUCCAUAUGAAUCAAUCUUUCAUCAUCAACCAGACUAUAACUUUCUAAGAACAUUUGGAUGUUCUUGUUUUCCUUUUCUCAGAGAAUACAAUAACCAUAAAUUUCAUUUCCAUACUUCAAAGUGUGUCUUCUUAGGAUAUAGUCCUUCACAUAAGGGUUAUAAGUGUCUACAUUCAUCAGGCAAAAUUUAUAUUGCCAGUCAUGUAUUGUUUGAUGAAACCACUUUCCCUUACAUUUCAGAUCCAAAUUUUUCUUCCUUUUCUAAACACACUUCCUCUGAUUUUCAAUAUAAUCUUUUUCAAAGGUUUACUCUGUCAGUUCCUAAUAGCAUUCUGAACAGUCUUGAAGCUACUGCAGCAGAUCAAUUCCCUGUCAAUCAUUCUUUAUCAUCAAAUUCACCUCAAUCUCAGUCACCCACAAAUCAGACCUCUACAUCUUUGCCUUCACCUGCACCCCAGUCACCAGCACCACAAAUACCCUGCACAACACAAACAUCUCAGCCUAAACCUUCUACUUCCACCCAUCAUAUGAUAACCAGAGCUAGAGCUGGUAUUUUCAAACCAAAGACCUUUCUAACAACUCACAACAGCUUAGAACCAUCCACUGUCCCUGAGGCAUUAUCAGAUCCUAAAUGGAAAGAUGCAAUGCAAACUGAGUAUGAUGCUCUUAUUCACAACAACACUUGGACUCUUGUGCCAAUGUCUUCAACAUACAAGCUAGUUGGUUGUAAGUGGGUAUUCAGAACAAAGUAUAACACAGAUGGAACUGUCAGCAAGUAUAAAGCUAGAUUGGUUGCAAAGGGAUUUCACCAAACAGCAGGGGUAGAUUAUUCAGAAACUUUCAGUCCAGUGGUGAAGUCUUCAACAGUUAGAGUUAUACUCAGCUUGGCAGUUAUAAAAGGGUGGAAAGUCAGACAAAUUGAUGUAAAUAAUGCAUUCCUUAAUGGAGAUCUUUCUGAAAACGUAUAUAUGACACAACCAGAAGGCUUUGUAACUAAGGAAGAGUACAUCUGCAAACUCAAUAAAGCUCUCUAUGGUCUAAAACAAGCUCCACGAGCCUGGUAUGAAAAAUUGAAGGGUUGUCUAACUACUUGGCAAUUUCUUAAUUCAAAGGCUGAUACAUCUCUAUUCAUUAAACAUGAUACAAGGGGCUUAAUCAUAGUAUUGAUCUAUGUGGAUGAUAUUCUAGUCACUGGACCAGAUUCUGCUUUACUAGAGGAUUUUAUUGUUAAACUCAGUCAGACAUUUGCCUUGAAAGAUCUGGGAUUAGUUGCUUAUUUCCUAGGUGUUGAAGUUAGUUACUUUGAUGAAGGUAUGCAUCUAUCUCAAACAAAGUAUAUUAAAGACUUGCUGAGUAAAGCAUCUAUGGAGAAUUGCAAAGGGUCUGAUACUCCUCUUAGUACUGGUUUGAAGCUAGAAAGAAAUGUCAGGGGUCCUUUGGGUCAGGAGUUCGAAAAUCCAACACAAUACAGAAGCAUAGUUGGAGGGUUACAAUAUCUAAUUCUCACCAGGCCGGAUAUAGCUUAUUCAGUUCAUAAGCUCAGUCAAUACCUCAGUUCUCCUACUGUUCAGCACUGGUUAGCCUGCAAAAGAGUUCUUCGAUAUCUCCAGUCAACCAUCACCUAUGGUCUCUAUCUCAGAAAGGAAGCAACUCUGGAAAUUGGAAUAACAGGCUAUACAGAUGCUGACUGGGCUUGUGAUCUUGACGACAGAAAAUCAAUUGGAGCCUAUUGUAUAUACUUGGGUAACAAUCUGAUUUCAUGGUCUUCCAAAAAGCAAGCUAUUGUAGCAAAGUCAAGCACAAAAAGUGAAUAUCGAGCCCUGUCAGCAGCAUGCUCAGAAAUUUCUUGGUUGCAGUCUUUAUUUUCAGAACUCAACAUUGCUAAACUACCUACUCCAGUUCUUUGGUGUGAUAACCAAAGUGCAGGGGAGCUAGCUCGCAACCCUGUGUUUCACUCAAAAUCUAAGCACAUAGAGUUGGAUGUUCAUUAUGUUAGAGACAAAGUGCUUGGAAAAGAAUUGGAGGUUAGAUACAUUCCUACUGAAGAACAAGUAGCUGAUGUUCUGACUAAGCCCUUAUCUUUUUCUAAAUUCAGCUUUUUUAGAUCCAAGCUCAAUGUCGUUAGUAGACCUUUGAGCUUGAGAGGGGAUGUUAAGGAAGCACACAUCAGUAGCAUAGACUGUAAAGCAGAGGAUAGCAGCAGCUCCAGCUUACAGUUAAGAGUUGAUGACAUGGCAUGCCAGCUGGCACCUGGUGGUUAUGUAAUCACUUGUUCACGUGAUAAUUAGUUGAAGUUGUUAUAGCUAGCUAGAAUUAGUUUUGUAAUUAGUUAACUAAUUGAGCUGAGCAUCAGUUGUGUAUAUAAGCAUCUCUGUGUACAGUUUCAUAAGUAAGUUUUAGAUGAAUAAAAUCGUGUGAGCAAAAAGCUUUCAGUUCUUAAAUUUUCUCAGCUUCCAAACAUCCUUUUUUGAUUUCUUACUGACACUGACUAACUGAAGUAUAUGUUAAACAUCUCACAUGAAUAAUCGUCUAAGGAAAUUUAACUAUCUAAAACUAACCUUCUUAAUUUAAAUCUCAUCUACUAGUAAAAGUAGAACCCUUCUCCGUCAACUGAUCUUCCUCAUUAUAUAACAAAAGAUGCUUAGUGAAAUAUGAAAAAAAAAAUUGUUAUAAUAAUUAUGUCAAAGUGGUCAAGAUCCAGCCACUAGGCUUGAGGGCUUGGGUUCAAAGCCACAUAAACUCAUUUCAAUUCUUUAUUUUAUAAAUGUGGGAUUAGGGAUAGAUUUUUCUAUGACUAUUUGCUUAUAGAGUAAUUAAUUAGAACAGUAUUAUUAAUUUUAGUUGAAUAGUUGUAGAGUGUGCCAUGUGGCAGGCUCGCAUCAAAGAUGUCAAAUCAGGAGAGGCCUAUUUACUUCCUGGGGUACCUAGGGAUACGGCUUUAUUUGAAUCGAAUCUUAGACGUAGGCCUUGCGGGCCCCCUCCUAGUGGUCCACCACUUCUGCGGAGUGCACCCGGUUCAGGGAAAAUAGGUCCACUAGAACCCGCGCAAUCAACCACACUACAUGAAGGAAGUGAAGGGAUCGAGGGCGUUGAUGUUCUAACACAUGUAAUGAUCUUGAGGGACCAUUUAUUAAUUAUUUAGCCAAUCAAAUGGGAAAGCCGGUGUGGGGAGUGGGCCCAUUGUUACCUGAACAAUUUUACAAAUUGGUCAGUUCAGUGUUUCGUGAUCGUGAGACGAGAACCAACCAGCAGAGUUCUAACAUGACUAAAGAUGAGAUCAUUUAAUGGUUGGAUUUGAAAUCACGUAGAUCUGUGCUAUACAUAUAAUUUGGUACCAAAGUGGGUCCCAUCUUAGAUGAGUAUUCAGCCUUGCCAAUGUUUCAGAAGCAUCAAAUCAACAAUUUAUUUGGGUAAUUCAAACUAGUGCAGGUAGAUUGGAUCCUCCGCGUCAUUUAACCGGCUUAGACAGACCAGUAGAAGGCAGUUAUUUUUCCAGUGGUUUGGAGAGUAAAGUCGCUAAAAGGGGAUUGAUAAUAUAUGGGUGGGCGCCACAAUUAUUGAUACUAAGUCAUCAAUCAAUGGGUAGAUUUUUAUCUCAUUGUAGAUGGAAUUCAACUAUGCAAGCAAUUGGUUGUAGGCUUGGCAAUUUAGCCCGAUCCUAUUUUUGGUCCGAUUGAUCCGACUCUAAUUUUUAAGGCUUUGACCCGAAUUUUCAAGUUUAGGGUCGGGUUAGGGCCAAGAUUUUAAGGCCCAAACAAAUUUAUGGUCAGGGUCGGGCUUAAUGCCGACCUGACCCGACCCGACCCGACCCUAUUUAAAAAAAAAAAAACUAACACAAGUUAACACACGCACACAACACAUCCUCACAACAUCACACAUUGUGUGUUUUGAAUUUAAUUGCAUUGUAUUUUUAUUUGUAUAAGACAUGAGUUUUUUUUUUUUUUUAUGUUGGGUUGUUAAAUUGAAUUGUGUAUGACUAAAAUAGUUGUGGAAUUACAUUGUGUGUUUUUAAUUUAAUUGCAUUGUGUUUUUAUUUAUAUAAGACAUGAGUUUUAUUUUUUAUUUUUUAUUUUUUAUGUUGGGUUGUUGAAUUGAAUUGUGUAUGGGUAAAAUGGUUGUGGAAUUACAUUGUGUAUUUUUAAUUUAAUUGCAUUGUGUGUUUUUUAUGUUGGAUUUUGGAAUUGAUUUGUGUGGGGGGUUGAAAUAGUUGUGGAAUUGGUUGAAAUGGUUGUGGAAAGUGGAUUGAAUUGUGUUUGAAAUGGUUGAGUAAUUGCCGAAUUAGUUGAAAUGGUGGUGAGAAAUGGGAAUUAAAUGGUGGGGUUAACUAUUUCGGUAGGGUCGGGUUGAGCCCAAUCCGAUGUUGGCCCGAUUCGGGUCGGGCUCGGCCCGACCCUAACUAAAUAGUGUUCGGGCUUUUUUAAGGUUGGGUUUCAAAUUUUUUUGAUCAGGUCGGGUAGGGCUUGGCCAAGCCCGAGCCCGACCUGACAUUUUACCAUUCCUAAUUGGUUGUGGGCUCCCAAUUUUAGCAUGGCCAGUUAGAGGUGAUCAACAUUACAAUGCCAAAUUGGUGAUCAAUCAUCUCAAGGUGGGGACAUGAUUUCUGAUGAUCAAUCAAAAUCGAUUCAAAAGGAUGAUAUCGCGAGCGGUAUAUAAAAGCUUAUGAGUGAUCAAGAGAUUAACAAACGAGCUCGCUUGCUUCGCCGUAUAUUUAAUCAUGGCUUUCCAAUGAGUUCAGCGGCUUCUUUGAAUGCUUUCAAAGAUCUUUUUAGCCCUUUCAAAAAAAAAAAAAAAAAAAGAUCUUGUUAGCCAUAAAUCAGAUUAACAAAAAUAGUUAUCGUGUAUAUUAUUAACGAAAAGGCUUUGAUUCUGUUGGCUUGGGUGUAAAUAUAUCUACUUUAUCAAGAACAGACAUCUCAGCACCUACAUAAUACUAUAUGUAAGCUUUCGUUAAUUGGCUGCAUUCAAUCAUUAAAUCAGAAGUCUUUCAAAGCAUCUAAAAUAAAAAAGAUGGCACAUCCUCCAUCCAAACAACAAAAGCAUGGACUCGCAACGCUAGUCUUGCUAAUUAAUUAAUAAGUAGUCAUAUUCCACCGAGCAACAUAAUGUACAUCAAGUUGUUGGAGAGGCACCAUAUGCACAAAAUGUUGAUAUUGUUUAAUGUUUAAUAUUAUGGGGAAGUUUUUAAUAGAUCUUCAUUUCCCUUGCAUAUUGCGAGCUUAUAACCAAAAAUGGGACUAUAUAGUUGAGGGACAAACAAAAAGGGAAAAUUUUUUACCAUUGGCUAAAUUUUAAUGUCAAUAAUAUAGGAUCUGAAUUCACUUUAAUAUGAUAUCGACAUAUGUAUAAAAUUUCUUAAGUAAAUAGAUUUUGCAUAAAAGGUAUCGACCCAGAGUCAGAGGAAAAAUUAAAUGGAAUGUUUUUUAAUACAACAAUCACUGGUGACACUGUUUGGGCAUCGUUUGAGAGUACUAAAAUAUCUACUACCAACUCUAUUCUAGUUGAAGAAUGGACUUGUCGUUAGAUGAGGUUGUUCCCAUUGAAGCUAUUAAAGAAAGAAAAAGAAAAAGAGUGUCUGCAAAACGGAGGAAAGUGGGAGGAGUUGAAAGGCUAUCAAGGCAAAUUGAUCGCUUUGUUGAUGAUGUGGAAAUGGAGGUUGAAUUCAAGAAGAAGAAGAUUAUGGUAGUAAUGUUCUUGAAGGUCGAGAGAUGGAGAGAUUGAGAUAUAAUAGUGCAGCAAGUUUAAUGAGUGGAUAAUAUUAUGGUCAUAUGUUUUUUUUUACACACAUGUAUAUAAUAUUAUAUUUCUAUGAACUAGUUUGAUUACAAUGAUUUUAUGUACAUAAAAGUUUAUAUAAAGAUUAAAUUUUUGCAUUUCCUUUUUUGCACUUAAUUUAUUAAUCAAUUUAAUGAUAUGUUAGUAUUUGUUAUAUCACGAACUACAUAACAAAUUUUUUAGUUAAAAAAAUAUUGAAGUUAAUUUUAUUGCAAAUUAAAAUAGUUAAUAAAAAAUUAUUUAAAUAUGUAAUAAAGAAAAUAGAAUAUGCUCUUAAAAAAUCUUGUAAAUAAAAAAAGAUUUAAACAACAAUAUUCUAAAUAAAUUAGAACUAAGUAAAUAAGUAUAUUUUUGUCAUUGUAUGUGAACAUUUUACACUUUUAAUUUUCAUUUUCCAGAUUUGUAUAGUAAACCAUUUUAAAACUUAUUCUCAAAUAGUUAUCAUUUACCAAACACCUUACUAAAUUAUUUGUAAAAUUAUAUAUUUCUUUUUAGAAUCAAGGUAGAAGUUAGUUCUUAGAAAGUUAAAAAAAAAAAAAAAUCUCAAACAUACGAAUAUAUAAAAACCUCAAUCAAGCACAAGAAGUUAUUUGAGUUGUACUAUCUAAUAAUUUCUAUCAAUAGUGAGCUCGUUUAUCGAAUAUAUAAAAAUAAAUAUUUUAGUUAUUAUGCAAAAACAGUUCUAGUAAGUAUAUCUAUUUAUCAAAUAUGUCAAGCUCUGAUGCUCAGAUUCAGAUAUGGAUAGUCCCUUUUUUUGGUUAGGGACAUUUCUGUCCAUGCAUUGAAUUAUGCAAGCAAAUCACUCCUCAAAAUUACCAAUCUACCCUCAUCGUUACCUCUCACGUACCCAUAACCACAGUUACCCAUUCCUCUUUUCACUAAGGCACACAGAUUACAGGACAAUGCAGCGAUCCCAACCAAGAAUGCUUAGGAUAAAGACAGAGAGAUCAAAUAGAAUAAUGUAAAAAUUUAUUCAGUAAACCCACUAGAUUUGCUAGCAAAGUCGUACUUUCAGGCAAAACACCUACUUCUGGUUUAGGACAGGCUCCUCUGUUUUCAUUUCCCUGUUUUCCUAUUCGGUGGUUGCAAAAAUUUAUAUCUAAAUAACGAAUAGUACUUAUAGAGUUAAAAAUAAAAUUUGUGGUAAAAUUAAAAAAAAAAAGCAUCAGAGGUCCUGAUAUUAUCAUCCACAGAAAUAUGUUUAUUUGAACAUGGGCCGAAAUGGGCUAAAUAAAAAAUACGCAUUUAUGUCUAAUUAUAUAGUAAUUAAAUGCUGAAUUUGAACGUACACAAUUAUUCAAUUAUCUGGAUUUCGAAUCUGUGUUUAUUGAAAAUCCUAGUCUGAACACUAUCAGACAUUCGAGUAAAUACAUAAAGAGAUUGAUCAUUUAAUGUCGUUCUCAAUUUUGACUUUUUAAUGCUGCAGCAACCGUUACAUUUGCUAUACAAUUAUUCAAUUAUAACAUAAAGAGAGAUUGAAAAAAGGGAGAGAGAGGACAAACAGGGGCUCCUCUGUUAUCAUUCCCCUGUUUUUCAGUUUGGUGAUUGGAAGUAACAAUAUUUGCAUGUACUCUUUAUUUAUUUAUUUUUCAAUUUUUAACUAAUUAAUUCUUGUUCUUCUCAAAGCGUUUGGUAAAUUAUAUGAUAAUCUGAUGAAAUCUCUAACAUUAACGUCCGCAUAAUCUAGUAAUGAAACUUCUUAUUUUAUAAUAAUCAAAUUUAAGAUUUGUUCACGCAGUUUUGAAUGAUGAUGAGUUUUUAUUUUUCUGUUAAACAUAAGAACAGUUUCUAAAUAAUGUCCAUGUGGAAUUAGUAAUAACGAAGCAACAUUUGUGGACAGAACAAUUGAAAUAACAAAAAGCAUAACUGAUCAGGCCACUAUUGAUCCUAGUUUGAUGAUUGCACUUUAGUUUCUUUCUAAAAUGUCAUUCUUCAUUCAAGCUUUUGCUUUAUCUUUUAUCAGGCAUCUUACGAAGCUUUUCCCUACUAACAAGCUCUGUAAAUCAAUGUGCUUUUCAAUUUCGCAGGAUACAAGUAAUGUAUAUGCCAAACUUAUUCAAGCACAACAGGUACUUAUUCGUCGAAAACUUCAACUUAAUUAUUUCAUUAGAAAAUAUGAAACGCUUCGUAAGGUAUUUGGCCCGAUCCAUUUCUUGUAUCUGACUGCAUGCUUUAUUAAAGCUUCGUCUUUGUUCUUGAUUGGGAACUUCAAAAUUAAAUCUUAAAAAUCGGGUAUAAAAGGGGUGCUUGAUUAAGUCUUCUUCUUUUGCAAUUCAUUGUUACUGCUCUUUUCAGCAUUUUACUCACAAAUUCCUCUGCAGUUAACAGUGAUCUUUUGCUCACUACAAUAUAUUGUUCUUAAUAAUUUCUUUUAAUACCAGUUCUUCCUCAAUAUUCAAGGCGAAUAGAGAGCUCAUCAACUCUCUGAUCCCAAAUAAUUAAAGAGGUACACAUGCUCCUAAAUCCUCUAAUAACUUCUUUUAACAGCAGUUCUUAUUUAAUUUCCGUCUAUUUUCCAAGAAAAAUUUCUCCGGUUUGUUUUAAUCUUAUCAUUUAUGUUGCUUCAGUUGUAAGUUAUUGUUCAUUUGUAAGGUCUGUGUUCUUAUCACUAGCUUUGGUUAAUUUGAAUCUAUCUUCCCAAAAAAAAGGAAAAAAAAAAGAGGUUUUUAAAAAAAGCGCGGGUUUUUAUUCAAACUCUUAAAACCUCUCUGUUAAUAGCAAAGACUCUAAUCCUCGAGCCCGGGGGGAGUAAAAAAGAAUAAAGAAUUCUCUGUUUAAGUAUCAGUUGUCUCAAGAUCAAUGUUGUUUUUUUCUUUUUUUGUUAAUUUGUUUGUUAUUUUAUUAGAUUUGCUUUUUACCUAAUUUUACUUGAGGAUUGAAGAUGAGUGAGAAAUACCCUUUGCAAAAUCAAGCUUAUCAUCCCAAAUUGAGUUGUUUGCAUUAGAAAUUUUCUAGCAUUCACGAGCAUUAUAUAUCAUUCACAAGAUAAAUCAAUUUCAGCAACUAGCUCUUUAUUGAAAUUUUUUUGUUUUGGUUUGCCUGGAAUCCCAUAAAAAAAUAUUAAGUAAGAAAAAGAGUUAAGAUGAAAAACAGGUAAAAUAAAUCCUGUGUUUUCAUUCCCCCUUUUUUUUUUGUUUGGUGAAGAAAAUUUAUAUAUCUAAAUUUUUAUGAUUUUCCAUUGGGGUUUUAUUAAAUAAAAAAGAAUUAGAAAAUGUAAUUCUAAAUUUACCCUUCUGCAUUGAGAAAAUGUAAUUCUAAAUUUACCCUUAUGCGUUGAGUGAUUAUUAUUAUGUUCUCUUAAGAAUUGAUAGUGUAAUUUUGUGUGAUGUGAAUUUCAUGUUUCUGUUAACACAAACACAAUUUAACCAAGCAUCAUUUGUGGAAAGAACAAAUGAAAUAACAAAAAAGCAGCGUUGGCAAUACAAAAUCAAACCUUCUCUAUUUAUUUGUUUUUGUUUUUGUUCUUGAAUAUGCAUUAACCAAAUCAUAUAUUAUUGAUCUUACUUUGAUGAUUUGCUGUUUAGUUUCUCUCUCAAAUGAUAUUUGUGUGUUUCCGGUAUCUGCUUUAUGAAAGGAGCACUAAUCAUUAAAGUGCAUGCGGAUUAAAAAAAAUGCACAUAAUUAUUCUGUACAUGCGUCAAGAGGGCAACAAUAACCAAAUACAGGAUAUAAAAAGGGGUGCUUCAUUAAUGGUUUUUCUUCUGCCAGUCAUUGUUAUUUCUCUCGUCAACUCUUUUCUCACACAUUCCUCAGCAGUUACCAGUGAUCUUUUUGCUCUUUCAAGUUGUUCUUAAAUAUUCAAGUGAAUAGAGAGAGAAGCUCACCAACUCUCGGUGCACAUUUUCUAAAUCCUUUAAUAAUUUUUUUUUUUUUGAUAGUAGAAUCCCUGAUCCUUGAUCUUGACAUCUGUUCUUUCAUAAUUUCCAUCUAUUUUCCAAGAAAAAAAAUUUCUCUGGUUUGUUUUAAUAUUGAAUUUACUUUGCAUGAGUUUUAAGUUAUUGUUCAUUGUUAAAGCCUGUGCUCUUAUUAUAUUGCUUGUUUGUCAUUUUAUUUGAUUUACUUUAUAUCUAAGUUUACUUGAAGAUUAAAUAUCAGUAGGAAAAGCCCUUUUUCUAAAGCAACGUACAGAUUUUAGAAUAGGGCUUAGCCACAUGAAAAUGUUUACAUUGUAGUAUCUCAUAUUAAUAAUCUAAAAACAACCAAUCCAACAAGUUCAAAUUCACUAAAAUAAAAAGGAUUGCUUUUAAGGAGUACAUGAUAGCUAUUAAAUUUUGGUUAAAGAUCUUUCAGGCAGAAUUGAAAUUCAGCCAGUCAUAAAACAACCAAUCCAACGAGUUCAAGUACAGAGUCAAUUGAACAAAUUCAUCACUUGCAAAAUUAAGCUUAUCUUCAGAAAUUGAAUUGUUUCCAUUAGAAAUUUUCCUGUAGUCAUGAGCACUAUCAUCCAAACAAGACUACUUAUAUAGGAACAAGAGUUAAGGAAAAAAAAAUUGGUAAAACAAGAUUCCUCUGUUUUCAUUCCCCUGUUUUAUCCCUUGGUGAUUGAAAAAUUCCCUCUCUAAAUUUUUAUAAUUUUCCAUUAAGGUUUAUAUUUAAAUAAAGAGUUGAAAAAAAUCUAAUUUUAAAUGCAUGCAUUGAAUGAUUAUUAUUAUUAUAUUCUCUUAAAAUUGGUUACAAUAUCAAUUAAAUAACGAAUAGAGCUAUUGAUCCCUUUGUUAAAAAUGAUCAUGUGUUCUAUUUAUAUAAUAAAACAAAAGAUGGGGUCACACUUAAGUCUUUUUCUUUUACAAUUCAUUUGUAUUACUCACUCUCAUGAACUCUUUACUCACAUUCGUCUGCAGUUAAUAUUGAUCGUUUGCUCGUUCUUAUAUAUUCAAGGCCAGCAGUGAAGGUCAUUAACUCUUUAAUAAUUCAACAGGUACAUUUGUCCAAGAAAAAAUAGCUCUUGUUUGUUUUAAUCUUGUCAUUUAAUUUUCUUAACUGUUCAUUGUUAACUUCUUUGCUCUUAUGUAAUAUUAGCAAUGGUUAAUUUGCAUCCAUCUCACAAUUUUUUUUUUUAAAUUGUUGGUUUUACAUCCAGACCCUUGAAACCUUUUUUAAAAAAGUUGUUGGUUUUACAUCCAGGCCCUAGCUCAUUUUAAUUUAUUUGAAUCUAAUUUUUCCAACAGCUAAUAUAUAUAUAUAUAUAUAUAUAUAAGCAACAGGCUAGGCAAUGGCUGCAGACCUGGUUUCCGCUACUUUUUCCAGCAUUGUAACAGAAGAUGCAAAGGCAUUGUUCGAACCGAUUAUGCGGCAGAUCUCUUAUGUGUUCAAGUACCAGAGCUACAUAGAUGAGCUAAAAGAUCAAGUGAAGGGGUUGGAAGGUAUAAACGAAAUGGUGCAACAACAUGUUAAUCAUGCUACUCGACAAGGGGAAGAGAUUUAUCAGGUUGUCAAAGACUGGCGAAAUAGGGUUGAAUCUACGGAGGGGGUUGCAAAAUCUAUCAUUGAUGAAGAAGAUGGAGCCAAGAAGUCCUGCUUCAAAGGAUUGUGUCCAAAUUUGUUGUCUCGUUACAAACUCAGUAGACGAGCAGCAAAGGCCGCAAAAGAUGCCGCUAAUCUCAAGGAUGAAGGCUGCAAACUGAAGAGUGAUGUUUCCUACGAUCCUCCUCCAGAUAUCGAAGCACCUAGGGGCGGGAAAGAUAACGAGGCCUUUGAUUCAAGAAAGAAAGUAUUACAGGAUGUUAUGGAGGCGUUGAAGGAUGAUAAGCUCAACAUAAUUGGGGUCUACGGCAUGGGCGGCGUGGGUAAAACCACGCUAGUCAGGCAAGUUAGAAAGCAAGUGAUGGAAAAUAAGUUGUUCGAUAAGGUCGCUAUGGCUGAGGUAACAGAGAACCCAGAUCAUCAGAAAAUUCAGGACAAACUUGCUUCUGAUUUAGGCAUAAAGUUUGAGUUGAAUGAGAAUAUAUUCGACAGAGCAAAUCGACUACGUCGAGUAUUGAAGAAAGAGAAGCGGGUCCUGAUUAUAUUGGAUAACAUUUGGAGAGAACUGAAGUUCGAUGAAGUUGGAAUUCCUUCUGGGGAUGUUGAUGAGAAAGAUAGAGAGGAUGAUCAGAGAAGAUGCACAAUAAUAUUGACGUCUAGAAGUCGAGAUUUAUUGCGCAAUGAUAUGAAUUGUCAGAAAAUUUUCUGGAUCGAUGCUUUAUCGAAAGAAGAAGCAUUGCAAUUGUUUGAAAAGAUAGUAGGUAAUUCCGCAAAAGCAUCUGAUUUUCUACCUUUAGCAGAUGAGAUUGUUGGAAAAUGCGGAGGUUUGCCUGUUGCACUGAGUACAGUUGCAAAUGCUCUGAAAACUAAGGGGCUUGCCAUUUGGAAGGAUGCGUUGAAUCAGCUAAGAAGAUCGGAUGCAAGAGAAAUUCAUGGCAUGCAAGCAAAUGUGUACACCUCCAUAAAAUUGAGUCAUGACUUCUUGGAAAGUGAGGAGGCAAAAUCUCUGUUCCGUCUUUGUGGUCUAUACAGUGAAGGUCAUGCCAUACACGUACAUUACUUAUUGAGAUAUGGUGUGGGUUGGGGUUUGUUUGAAAAUGUUUACACAUUGGAAGAAGCAAGGAGUAGAGUGCAUCGGUUGAUCGACAACCUCAAAUCUUCAUGCUUAUUGUUGGACGGUGAUGCUGAAGAUGAAGCUAAAUUGCAUGACGUCAUUCAUGUUGUUGCCGUAUCAAUUGCCGCAGAGAAGCGCAUGUUUAAUAUUCCAAAUGUUGCCGACUUAGAGAAAAAGAUGGAAGAGACAAUACGGAAAGAUCCAAUUGCCAUUUCAUUACCCCAGAGAGAUAUUCAAGAGCUCCCUGAAAGGUUGCAAUGUCCCAAUCUCCAGUUAUUUUUGUUGUCUGCAGAGGGUAAUGGCCCUAUGCAAAUUUCAGACCUCUUUUUUGAAGGGACAGAAGAACUGAAAGUUUUAAGCCUUACUAGAAUUCCUUUCUCUUCAUUACCUUCGUCACUUGGUCGCCUCAUUAACCUUCAAACAUUGUGUUUAGACUGGUGCCAACUAGAAGAUGUAGCGGCAAUUGGACAGCUAAAGAAAUUAGAGAUUCUUAGCUUUCGAGAUUCCGACAUUAAGCAGUUACCACUUGAAAUUGGACAAUUGACGCGGUUACAAUUGCUAGAUUUGAGCAAUUGUAGGAGCCUUGUAGUGAUAGCAACAAAUGUCAUAUCAAAAUUUUCACGAUUGGAAGAACUAUAUAUGGGCGACAGCUUUUCGCAGUGGGAUAAGGUUGAAGGAGGAAGUACCGCCAGUCUUGCUGAAUUGAAGGGGCUGUCAAAGCUAACUACUUUGGAGAUACAAUUUUGGGAUGCCCAAAUUCUGCCGCAGGAUUUGGUCUCUGUGGAAUUGCAAAGAUAUAAGAUAUGUAUAGGAGAAGCGUGGCGCAUGUGGGGCGUUAAUUCUGAAACAUCAAGAAUGGUGGAGCUCGAUGGGCUAGAAAAUGUUAGCAGUCUUUUGGAGAAUUAUGGGACGAAAAUGUUGCUGAAGGAAGCUGAAGAGAUCCAUCUAAACGAACUGAAGGGUGUUCUGAAUGUUGUUCAUGAAUUAGAUGAUGGGGAAGGUUUUCCACGAUUGAAGCAUCUUCGUGUAGAAAGUUGUUCUGAGAUUUUGCAUAUUGUCGGUUCAGUUGGACGGGUUCAUUGUACAGUCUUUCCCUUGCUGGAGUCAUUGUCUCUUUGGUUUUUGAACAAGUUGGAGACAAUAUGUGAUAGCCAACUCACAGAAGAUCAAUCUUUCAGCAACUUAAGGAUUAUAGGAGUACAAUCCUGUCACAAAUUGAAGCAUCUUUUCUCAUUCUCCAUGGCAAAAAACCUACUGCGGCUUCAAAAGGUAGAAGUGUUUGUUUGCGAUGAUCUGGAAAUGAUUGUUGGUAAGUGUUGAAAUUAAGUGUUGGUGGAUUUAUGGACUUCGCCUCAAUUAUUUUGAAAAAAAAAAAACAACGACAAAGAUUAAUUAUGUGUAUUGUUUUUGUUUGUUUAUAGGACCCGACAGGGAGAAACCAACAACUUCUUUGGGAUUCAACGAAAUCAUUGCUGAUGAUGAUACUGCUCCAAAGGUGAUAAUUUUCUGUUCAAUAAUUAAUUGAUUAAUUUAUUAUCACGAUUAAUCUUCGAUCAUGAAAAGAAUAUUAUACUAGACGGUUGUACUUGAAGGAACAAAAAUGUAUGGGUUUUCUUUGCAGGUUAUUCUUCCGAGCUUAGAGGAAUUGAAUCUCGGGGAAUUAGGAAACAUCAAAAAAUUAUGGGCCGAUCAUAAUCAAGGAAUGUACUGUUGUCAAAUUUAACAACGGUGAUCGUGGGGGAUUGUAAUCGUCUGAAGUAUCUGUUUUCAUAUUCUAUGGUUAAUAGUCUUUUGCAACUCCAACAUCUUGAAAUACGGUCUUGUGAGUCAAUGGAAGGGGUAGUCGACACCACGGGGUGGUCAGAAAGAGAUGAAGGAAAGUUGAUUGAAUUAAAGGUUUUUCCUAAACUACACUCCCUGCAGCUCUAUCGGCUUCCAAAACUAACAAGCUUUGCAAACACGAGACAUAUUCAUUCAGAUUUAGUUGUUGAAUUCCCUUCUUUGCAAAUACUCAAGAUUGAUAGUUGCAGUAAUAUGUUAAGAUUCAUCUCUACGAGCUCACCAGAAGACACCAUUCAUUCUGAAAUGCAACCUCCUCCUCUCUUUGACGAAAAGGUUUUUUUUUUUAAAUAAAAAAAAAAUUAAUUUGUCCCAAUACUUAAUUUGUCUUUUCCUUGAGUCUUCAAAUUUAGUUAAUAUCCGCCUCUAAUUUAGUUAUCAAUUGAUUAUGCCAUUAAUUGAUUAAUUAGUUAUUUAAUCUUUAACUGCCAGGUACGACUUCCUAGGCUGGAGGUAUUACGUAUCGGGUUGAUGGAUAAUUUGAGAAAAAUAUGGCACCACCAGCUUGCUUCGGAGUCUUUCAGCAAAUUGAAGAAUUUGGGGAUAUGGUGGUGUGAUAACCUAAUGAAUAUUUUUCCUCCAUUGGUAAGGUCGCUGUAUUCAUUUUGAAUAAUUUUUUUUCAAAUUACAUCCAACAAUUUUUUAACCAUUUUUGUGUUUACAAAUGAUAUUCAGCCACUAAUUAUUUAUUUCAAGUAUUGUACUUCGAACCACCACUCUAUCUAUUUCUCUUUUCCUUAAUUCUUCACGUUUCGAUUGGAAAAAAAAAUACAAGUCUUCAAAUUUAAUUAAUAUCUCUAGUUUAGUUACGAAUUGAUUAUGCCAUUAAUUAACCACAAAUUCAUGAUUAUUUACAACUGACCCUUGAUUGUAAAGAAAUUUCCUCAAGUCUGGAAGUACUUAAUAAAGAUCCACUUUACAGCAGUCCCUUGUUGACAGUAUUGGGAAAUCUUUUCCAAAUUUUUUUUCCAUUUUUAAAUAUACAUUAAAAAAAGAACCAAGGAAAAGGGAAAAAUGGUUCAGUAUUUUUUUAAAAAAAGGAAGAGUUGAAAUUUGCAAAUUUAUGCUUAAAAACUGAUAUCAAGAUACAAAAUAAGUCUAAAAUAUUUAGAAAUUGCCUUAAAUUCUUUCUACGUUCCUAAUACUAAAUAGUGUAAAUGCAUUUUUAUUAUCUUUGUUUAUCUGGCUUUUAUUUAUUUAUUUAUCUUGUUGCUUUUUUUGUUUAACAAAAAAUUAUCUAGUAGACAUCUCAUGGUUUGUUAUGUUUAUAAAACGUAUAAUUGUAUGAUUAAACAUACUUUGAGCCUAGUUGAAUGAUAUUCUUACACUUUUACUUUUUUAAUAUACACACAUAUGCACACACUUUUGCUUAUUUUCAGGUUGGAAUUCCCAAUAGCCUAGUGAAUCUUAAUGUAUCGAAUUCCCAAAAAUUAGAAGAAAUCGUAGGACAUGUUGGAGAAGAAGUGAAGGAGAAUCGUAUUGCUUUCAGCGAAUUAAAAUUUUUGAUACUUGAGGAUUUACCAAGGCUUACCGGCUUUUGUUUGGAGAAUUACACUCUUGAAUUCCCAUCAUUGGAACGAGCUUCUAUGAUACGUUGUCCGAACAUAAAGACUUUUUCUCAAGGAAUCUUAUCCACACCAAAGCUGCACAAAGUGCAAGUGACUUUAAAGGAAGAGGGUGAAUUGUACCUUCGCGAAGGCAACCUUAAUUCCACUAUACAAAAGUAUUACAAAGAAAUGGUAUGUGUGAAUCGAUUCAUCAAAAUUGCUCAUGCAUCUCCCUUGAACUUGCACAUUUAAACAUAUACACCUGCCUUGUAUAUGUAUUUUUAGAAGUUAAAACACAAAACAUGUAAGUUUAAUGUAUAUAUAUCUAAUGCCUUUCAAAAAAAAAAAAAUUGUAUAUAUCCAGUGCAAUUGUUUUGGUUUGUGCAGAUUGGAUUCCGUGACAUAUGGUAUUUGCAACUCUCACAUUUUCCACGUUUGAAAGAAAUAUGGCAUGGCCAAGCACUGCCUGUCAGCUUCUUCAACAAUUUAUUUAAGCUGGUGGUGGAUGACUGCACGAAUAUGUCGAGGGCUAUUCCUGCCAAUCUGCUACGGUGCUUGAACAAUUUGAGAUGGCUAGAAGUGAGGAAUUGUGAUUCGCUAGAAGAGGUGCUUCAUUUGGAAGAACUAAUUAAUGCUGAGGAAGAACAUUUUGGCCAACUGUUCCCUAAUCUUUUCGGGCUAAGCCUCAUUGAUCUUCCAAAACUCAAAAGAUUCUGCAACUUCACUGGGAAUAUAAUUGAACUGCCUAUGUUGUGGAGUCUGACUAUUGAGAAUUGCCCUGAUAUGGAAACAUUCAUAUCCAACUCUGUAGUGCACGUGACAACAGAUAACAAGGAACCUCAAAAAUUAACAUCAGAAGAGAACUUCUUGCUGGCUCAUCAAGUACAACCUCUCUUCGAUGAAAAGGUGAUUAUUAUUGUUAUUAUUAAUUUUUCCCUUCACUUUCGUUCGCAUAGAUGUAAUUUCAUUAGAAUCAAAUCAAAUUUAAUGACUCAUCCUUUUGCAUGUCGUCUUAAUUUAUAUCUAAUUUAACAAUAUAACCGCAGUUAUUAACUAACUUUAUAGUAUGAAUUAUAAAAAUGUCUCAAAUUAAUUAGAUGCCUAGUGACAGGAGGUGAUGAACUAUAUCGAUGCGUGUUACAUCUCUGUUUUCCUAGCUAAUUCAUAUUGGAUUUAGCAUCAGAUUUCAUUUAUGUGUUUCAAAGGGUAAUCGAUUUGAUACUUAUAUUUGGGAUCCUACUGCAAAGCAUACUAAUUUGGAAAUAAAAUAUAAAAUGCUGUGAUUAAUCUUGUCCAUAAAAUAUGCAGGGGAAGACUGCAGAGAUUGGAUACAUAUUUUAAUUUACAACUUAAUUUUGUUGAUUUUCAGGUUGCAUUCCCUAAAUUGAGAUGGUUAGAGCUGUCUAGAUUACCCAAUGUGUUGCAUCUCUGGAAGGAAAAUGCCGAAUCCAACAAAGUGUUUGCAAACUUGAAAAGUCUAGAAAUAUUUUAAUGUAGUAAGUUGCAGAAAUUAGUACCAGCUUCGUGGCAUUUGGAAAAUCUUGCGACUCUGGAAGUAUCGAAGUGUCAUGGGUUGAUAAAUUUAUUGACGCUCUCAACAUCUGAAAGUCUAGUGAAUCUUGAAAGAAUGAAGAUAACUGAUUGCAAAAUGAUGGAAGAAAUUAUACAGUCGCAGGUUGGAGAAGAAGCGGAAGAUUGCAUUGUUUUCAGGAAAUUGGAGUACUUGGGACUUGAUUGUUUGCCAAGCCUAACAAGCUUUUGUUUGGGUAAUUACGCUCUUGAGUUCCCGUCCUUGGAACAAGUAGUUGUGAGACAGUGUCCAAAAAUGAAGAUCUUCUCUCAAGGAGUCUUAGACACACCAAUGCUAAACAAAGUGAACGUCACCGAAGAAGAAAAAGAUGAUGAUGAAGGAUGUUGGGAAGGCAACCUCAAUGACACCAUAAAAAAAUUGUUCAAUGAAAUGGUGAGUAUCAAUUAAGUUUCGGUGCUAUUUAGCAAAUUAUUUUAUAGAAACUAAUGUGAUAUAAUAUGAUUGGUUGACUGAAAAUAUAUAAUAAUAAUAAUAAAUAAAUAAAUAAAUUAUGAGGGCCAUGUAAUGUCAAAAGCAGCCAUCCAUCUAGAUGGUCAACAUUCAAAGAAGAGAAAUUUUGCAGCAAGUUGGAAAGGAAAAGGAGCACACGGGCUUGGCAUUUAAAAGAAGAAGUUGGCAACUACUUUGAAAUAUAUACAUAUAUAUAUUAAUUUAAUAGCCAUUUUUUGGCUAUAAAAUGAAGAGCUUCCUCAUUCAUUUUCAUUCAAUUCCAUCGAGAGAAAUCUUUCUUUCUUUGAGUGUUGAGAGUUUUCAAGAGUUUAAUAAACUCUUGAGUGUCUAGUGAGUGAGAGAUUGGGUGUAUUGGGGUUUUGGGUAGUGAGCUAAAAUCUUACAAUACUUGUAAUCCUUAUUUCACUAGUAAAAUAUUUUCUUCUGUCUUCGCCCGUGGAUGUAGGCUAAAAGCCGAACCACGUAAUUUUUCGGUGUCCUCUAUUGUGCUUGUUCUUUAUUUUAUUUUCAAUUUUAUUUUAGCUGCGGUCCUGCUGCACCCACUAAAUUACUAACAGUGGUAUCAGAGCCAUUGGUUGUAUUUUUGGAGUCGGGAAUUGUUCACGUAUUCACGUAUACGGCGUACGGCACUAUUCACGUAUACGGUGUACGGCACUAUUCACGUAUACGGCAUACGGCACUAUUCACGUAUACGGCGUACGACACUAUUCACGUAUACGGUACUAUUCACGUGAAAACGGUGGAAGCGAUCCAAGAAUUUUGCGGUGCAAAGCAGGGAAUAGUGGUGUGAGUAAAGCAACUGUGUGGUUCUGUACAUGUCUAGGAAAGUUUUGUCACAAAGGCGAUAAGAGCCUAAGGAGUCUGGGUUUUAAGUGGGACCAUUGUGACCCCUCCAGUCUUUCCUGGGAACUUUCCUGGUGCGCAUUCUCACACAUACUCACAACUAUUCAAGGUGGUACACUAGCUUGUGUGCAGUAUUAUCAACAAAAUGGCGGCAAAGUAUGAAAUUGAGAAGUUUAACGGAAAUAAUUUUUCGUUGUGGAAAAUGAAGAUGAAAGCUGUAUUGAGGAAAAAUAAUUGUUUGGCAGCAAUUGGAGAAGGGCCUAUGGAGAUAACUGAUGACAAGUGGAACGAGGUAGACGGCAACGCUAUUUCUGAUCUACACUUGGCACUUGCGGAUGGAGUAUUAUCCAGUGUGGCAGAGAAAAAUACGGCGAAGGAAAUUUGGGAUACUCUCACAAAAUUGUACGAGGCCAAGUCACUACACAACAAAAUCUUCUUGAAGAGAAAACUCUAUACUCUUCGAAUGGCGGAAUCUACAAUGGUGACCGACCACAUCAACACAUUGAAGACUCUAUUUUCACAACUCACAACGUUGGGUCAUAAUAUAGAGGAAAAUGAACGUGCAGAGCUUCUACUUCAAAGUCUACCAGAUUCGUAUGAUCAACUCAUCAUCAACCUGACGAACAACAAUCCAGUGGAGGGUCUAGUUUUCGACGAUGUUGCAGCCUCCGUAUUAAAUGAGGAGAGCAGGCGGAAAAAUAAGGAAAACAGACAAGCAAGUUCGCAGCAAGCAGAAGCGCUAUCGGUGAUGAGAGGGAGAUCAACGAAACGUGGCCCCAGUGGGAGUCAAAAUCAGGGUAGAUCAAAAUCCAGAAGUAAGAAGAAUGUUAAAUGCUAUAAAUGUGGCAAGAAAGGGCACGUCAAGAAAGAAUGUUGGAGUAACCAGAAGAGAAAAGAGGGCAAAGAACCUGAGUCAUCAAAUGCUCAGGGUUGUGUAGCAAGUACCUCGGAUGAUGGCGAAAUUCUUUACAGCGAGGCAACAACUAUUUUAGAAGGCAGGAAACGACUUUCUGAUGUCUGGCUUAUAGACUCAGGAGCUACCUGGCACAUGACCUCUAGGAGAGAAUGGUUCCACACAUAUGAACCUAUCUCAGGAGGAUCUGUAUAUAUGGGAGAUGAUCAUGCCUUGGAGAUCGCUGGUAUUGGUACUAUCAAAAUAAAAAUGUUUGAUGGGACAAUUCGCACAAUUGGAGAGGUACGACAUGUCAACGGCCUGAAGAAAAAUCUAUUGUCUUUGGGACAAAUGGAUAGUCAUGGGUACAAAACUCAUGUGGAGAAUGGAAUUAUGAAGAUCGUUAAAGGCGCGCUUGUAUUGAUGAAGGCAGAAAAGAUCGGUGCUAAUCUAUUCAUGCUUAAAGGAGAAACACUACAGGAGGCUGAUGCGUGUGUCGCGUCAAAUGGAGAAGAGUCAACGAUGAUGUGGCAUCUCAAACUUGGCCACAUGUCAGAACAAGGCUUGAAGAUUCUCUCUGAGCGAAAAUUGCUUCCGAGGCUCAAAUCGGUAAGUUUACCAUUUUGCGAGCAUUGUGUUACAAGUAAGCAGCAUAGAUUAAAAUUCAGUAGAUCUAUUGCUAGAAGUAAAUGCAUUCUAGACUUGAUUCAUUCUGAUGUUUGGGAAUCACCGGAUAUAUCCAUGGGAGGUGCAAAGUACAUGGUGACUUUCAUUGAUGAUUAUUCCAGAAGAUGCUGGGUGUAUCCACUUAAGAAAAAGUCAGAUGUAUUUCUAGUGUUUAAAGAAUACAAAGCGCGGGUGGAACUUGAAUCUGGUAAAAAGAUCAAGUGCUUGAGGACAGAUAAUGGUGAAGAAUAUACAGACGGCGAGUUUCUUGCUUUAUGUAAGCAAGAAGGUAUUCAGAGGCAGUUCACAGUGGCAUACACUCCUCAACAAAACGGAGUAGCGGAGCGGAUGAACAGAACUCUUACAGAAAGAAUAAGAGCUAUGUUGAGGACUGCUGGUUUACCCAAUUCAUUCUGGGCAGAAGCAGCCAAAACCGCCUGUUAUAUAGUAAAUCGGUCGCCAUCUACAGCUAUUGGGUUGAAGACAGCGAUGGAGAUGUGGACUGGAAAGCCAGCUGAUUAUUCCUACCUACAUGCAUUUGGAUGUCCUGUGUACGUGAUGUAUAAUGCCCAAGAAAGAACAAAGCUGGAUGCAAAAUCUAGAAGAUGUAUCUUCUUGGGGUAUGCUGAUGGAGUAAAGGGGUAUCGUCUGUGGGACCCCACUGCCCACAAGAUCGUCAUCAGCAGAGAUGUUAUCUUUGUAGAAGAUCAACUAUAAAGAAAAGAUGGAGAUGAUGGCACUGUAAAAGAAAAGUCAGAGACUGUACCAGUAUAUGUCGAAAAUAAUCUAGAAGAUUCAGAUUCUUCUGAAGCAGCACCAGAGCACGAUGGACAAGAACCAGUCGAGUUCGAGGCUCCAGAAGUUCGUCGGUCAACUCGUGAGAGACGACCGCCGGCGUGGCACUCGGAGUAUGUCAUAGAGAUCAACGUUGCAUACUGUCUUCUAACAGAGGAUGGAGAGCCUUCAACUUUCCAUGAAGCUUUAAACAGUUUAGAUGUUGCUUUGUGGAUGACAGCAAUGCAGGAAGAAAUUGAAGCUCUACACAAGAACAAGACAUGGGAACUUGUACCACUACCACACGGAAGAAAAGCCAUUGGAAACAAAUGGGUCUACAAGAUCAAACGUGAUGGCAAUGACCAAGUGGAGCGGUAUCGUGCAAGAUUGGUGGUGAAAGGAUAUGCUCAGAAAGAAGGUAUUGACUUCAACGAGAUAUUUUCUCCAGUGGUUCGACUCACAACAGUCAGAAUAGUCUUGGCGAUGUGUGCUACAUUUGAUCUACAUCUUGAGCAGUUAGAUGUGAAAACUGCAUUUCUUCAUGGAGAACUUGAAGAAGAAAUAUAUAUGCUCCAACCAGAAGGUUUUGCAGAAACAGGAAAGGAGAACUUGGUUUGCAGGUUGAACAAAUCUCUAUACGGUCUCAAACAGGCGCCGAGGUGUUGGUAUAAGAGAUUUGAUUCCUUCAUAAUGAGCCUUGGAUACAACAGACUCAGUUCAGACCAUUUUGCAUAUUAUAAGAGGUUUGAAGAUAAUGAUUUCAUUAUUUUGCUGUUGUAUGUGGAUGACAUGUUGGUAGCAGGUCCCAACAAAGAUCGAAUCCAAGAAUUGAAGGCACAGUUGGCUAAGGAGUUUGAAAUGAAGGACUUGGGACCAGCAAACAAGAUUCUAGGGAUGCAAAUUCACCGAGACAGAAAUAACAGGAAGAUUUGGCUUUCACAGAAGAAUUACUUAAAGAAAAUCUUGCGACGCUUCAACAUGCAAGAUUGUAAGUCAAUUUCUACCCCACUUCCUAUUAAUUUCAAAUUAUCCUCAAGUAUGUGUCCUAGCAAUGAAGCAGAGAGAAAGGAGAUGUCUCGAGUUCCUUAUGCAUCAGCAGUGGGAAGUUUAAUGUUCGCUAUGAUAUGUACAAAACCGGACAUUGCACAAGCAGUGGGAGCAGUCAGUCGAUAUAUGGCGAAUCCUGGUGGAGAGCAUUGGAUAGCUGUGAAGAGGAUUCUGAGAUACAUCAGAGGAACCUCAGAUGUUGUAUUAUGUUAUGGAGGAUCAGAGUUUACUGUCAGGGGCUAUGUGGAUUCAGAUUUUGCAGGAGAUCUUGAUAAAAGGAAAUCCACUACUGGUUAUGUGUUUACACUUGCGGGAGCAGCUGUAAGCUGGGUUUCAAAACUGCAGACCGUUGUGGCUUUAUCUACAACAGAAGCAGAAUACAUGGCAGCUACACAAGCUUGCAAGGAAGCUAUUUGGAUACAAAGAUUAUUGGAGGAGCUCAGGCACAAACAACAGAAAAUUCCUGUGUUUUGUGACAGUCAAAGUGCCUUGCACAUUGCAAGGAAUCCAGCCUUUCAUUCCAGGACAAAGCACAUAGGAGUUCAGUAUCACUUUGUUCGUGAAGUAGUGGAAGAUGGAAGUGUGGAUUUACAGAAAAUCCAUACUAAAGAGAACCUAGCAGAUGUUUUGACCAAGCCGAUAAAUACUCAUAAGUUUAUCUGGAGUAGAUCCUCUUGUGGCCUAGCAGAAACGUAGGCAACAUGAUUAUGGCGAAGCAGAAAGGAUGGUGUGGAGAUUGAUUGAUUCUCCAUCAAAGCUCCAAGUGGGAGAAAUGUCAAAAGCAGCCAUCCAUCUAGAUGGUCAACAUUCAAAGAAGAGAAAUUUUGCAGCAAGUUGGAAAGGAAAAGGAGCACAUGGGCUUGGCAUUUAAAAGAAGAAGUUGGCAACUACUUUGAAAUAUAUACAUAUAUAUAUUAAUUUAAUAGCCAUUUUUUGGCUAUAAAAGGAAGAGCUUCCUCAUUCAUUUUCAUUCAAUUCCAUCGAGAGAAAUCUUUCUUUCUUUGAGUGUUGAGAGUUUUCAAGAGUUUAAUAAACUCUUGAGUGUCUAGUGAGUGAGAGAUUGGGUGUAUUGGGGUUUUGGGUAGUGAGCUAAAAUCUUACAAUACUUGUAAUCCUUAUUUCACUAGUAAAAUAUUUUCUUCUGUCUUCGCCCGUGGAUGUAGGCUAAAAGCCGAACCACGUAAUUUUUCGGUGUCCUCUAUUGUGCUUGUUCUUUAUUUUAUUUUCAAUUUUAUUUUAGUUGCGGUCCUGCUGCACCCACUAAAUUACUAACAUGUAAUUUUUUUAUUUAACCAAUCAUAUUAUGUCGCAUUAGUUUAUACAGUAUUGUUUGUGCACAAGAGGUGGUGGUCAUAUCAUUACUCUAGCUUUAUUAUUCUUAUGGUGGCAAUGUAUGCUGGCUUACACGAGUAAUUACAAAAUCUGCAGAAUUCUAAAGAAGAGAUUGAGCCAACCCUUCAGCUACAGUGAAGAAGCUAUCCCGAACCAGGCCAAUCUCCUAUACAUGAUUUAGCUUGCUCGUUCUUCUGUACUUGAAUAAUUUGGUUCUACAUAUUUACAAUUUUUUGCUCAUGCUACAAACUUGCAAGACACUUUGGAUUUUGUUUGAUGCAUUCUUUGUUUAAGAAAGGACUUGAAUUGAUGUUUCAUGUUUCAUACAAUAUUCGAUUAGAUUCUGCCUAAAUUUCUGUAUUAUUCGUUCAAUUGGUCUUUUAAGCAUUUGAUUUCUAACCUCUCCUGAUAGAAGAUCAUUAGCCGAAGAAAACAGCAUAACAUUUGUGGCAUUAUCAGAAUAAGAAUAUUUUUUAGUAUAGUAAAAUUAUCUCGACCACUGUUAAAAAGAAUUAAUCAGUCAAACUGACCUUCUCACACCAGCACGCUUUAAAUUAAAAGAAUUUCGUGAAAUCAAGACCAUGUUAUAGAUCUCGUGGAAAGAAGUAAACCCGUAAUUUUUUUCACAGCAUCAUAAGAAAAAUCAUUUUUUUAAAGUAUUUUUGUUAGCUGUUGAGUUUUAAUAGUAGUAGCUAUUAAAUAAUAACAAUUAGUGUAUAUUAAAAAGUUGGAAACUGGUUGAUACCACUCGGGAAUCGAGCAGUUCACUUGUUUGCGAGUAGAAACCAACUUUACUACUAAUUGCCUUGUGACAAAAUAAAAUACCAUACUAUAAUGUGUUGAACCAGGAACCUGCAGAUGCUUAGGUUACAACUAUACAACCUCCCAAUACAAUAAGUUUGAAACUUAAUACCUUCUGAAAUGAAACAAACUUACUUGAAGAUUAAAGAUCAGUGAGAAAAGCCCUUUUUCAGAAGCAACCUACAUUUUUUAGAAGAGGGUCAGUGUGUUAUAGAUUCAAUGAACCAUGAGAAGUUAUUUACAUUAUAGUAUCUCACAGGCAGUAUUUUCUCCUAAUGCAUCAAUGGUAAAGGAAAAAUAAAAAGAAAAGAAUAGUUACUUGUGCAGCACAGCCUUUACGCCUAGCUACAUGGUCCAUUCUCUGUCUUUGAACCAAUCAACAGCAACAAGUUCCAUUAAAUGUUUUCCUGCAGGUAUCUGCAGUUACAAAUUGCACAAAGCACAAGAAGAGCCAACCAAACUACAUCAUAACCUGUCUACCUAGCCUAUGCAGGAUAUAUAAAUACCAUAAAUAAGUACCAUAAAUAACAAAUAAACAACAUAUGGGGGAACCUUUGUUUUGUCAUAACAAAAAUGCUUGCUACGAACUCUAAAGUUAUUUCCAUCAGAAAGUUUCCAGCAGUCACGAGCAUUAUCAUGGUCAUCGUGUCGUAGAUUGCCCGAAAAACAAGACAAAUCAAUUUGAUCAGCCUGCUCUUCCUCUAGGGCUGCAACUAAUUGAAAAUUAAAAAAAAAAAAAAAAAGAUCAAUACCAUAAAAAUCCACUAAUGCGGACAUUAGCCAAAUAUACAAAAAUGAAUACUUAUCAUCCACCUGUCCUCUUGAAAUCAUUCUCAAUCUUUUUUUCAUUUGCCUGAAAUCCCAAGGAAAAAUAUGUAACGAAUACUUCCCAUUCAUGACUAUAGUCUGUUGUAUAAACAUGACAUAUUUAAUUGGAAUAAUAAAAUUAUUUAAUUAUUUUAAUUAAAUGUUAAUCCUACAAAUUAUUUUUGUUAAAUCUAGCAAGAAUAACUAAAAUUUCUUUAAGAUAUAUUUUGGUAGUAAAUUAAAAAAAUUUAAUUAUUUGGCAGGAAUUAUUGAAAUUGGAGCCAUUUUUUUUGUGGGAAUUGAAAUAUAUUCUUUAAAUUAUUAUAUAAAUAGCAAAAUGUACAUACACACACAUAUAUAUAAUUCAUAUAUAAAAAUUCUCUAAUUUGUUCACAAGUAUCAUAGAUUAUAAUUCAGUUAUGAAAUAAAAUAACUACAAUAAUUAUAGUUAAAUGAAUACUUCAUUAAUUCUUAAUUUGCUUCCUAACAUUAAAUGAACAACUUGAGUCAGCCACCUGAAUUAACCAGUAACAACGCCUGAGUCAACCAUCUGAAUAAACCAGCAACCCUAGCUGAUUCAAGCACCUGCAAUUAACAUCAGCACAACAGGAACAAUCUUAAAUCAACACCAAGAACAGACCAAACUGCCAUCAAAUGUCACAAAACCAAACAGUCUGCUACUGCCAUCAAAUGCAAGCAAACAUAUGCAACAAAACCAGAUGCAAGUGAAAUUCUGGAGAACAUCGGAUAAACCAAACCAAAUGCCACACUUCUAGUAAUUAGACUAGAUGCAUUGUUCAAUUAAACUAAAUGUAGUCUCAUAUUACAUUCAAAAUUUCUAAAAAAGGCAGUGUUCCAUCAGAGAAGCACCAAAACCAAACCAAUCUAAUCCAGCAUAAUUACCAGCUCAACCCAAAACAAUUACACAUUAUAUUGACAUAUCAAAAUUCGCUAUCAAAACAUAGCCAAAUAAAUGACAAUAAACUCAAAACAGACCCAAACCAACUGAUGUUGCAGCCCUAGUAGUCGUUGUCCGUUCCACUGCCAUGGGAGUGAGGGUAGGCUCCGUUGUUGAUGAGUGAGUAAGAUAAGGCUCCAAAUCAAUAGUUCCACCUCCUUUCUGCAAUUCAAAAAACAGAAAUUCAUAUAUGUAAAACUAUUAAAAAGUGUGAAACAACCUGUAAGUAUUCAACUUCUGUCAACUCAAUAGUACUUACUAAAGUUUUUAUACAGAAGAAAAAGGCAUUUUAAGUCCAAAAAAUUAGAAUUAUUGGUUGAACUCCAACUCCAUCAAUCCAUGCAACCAUCCAAUCUUUAACGAAAAAAUGAAGCAUAAUUAACAAGACAUCUGAAUCAGAAAGAUUGUGCUUUCGUUUGGCACGAGGUGUUGGAAACAACUUAACAAAUCUAGACACAAUCUAUAACCAUCAAGUCCAAACAAAAGUCAGGAUCUAAAAUACUUUGAAAAAUCAGAAAAACAGCAAAAUAUCAGUUUCAAUUUCUUUUUCAUCCAUUGUAAGCUCAAACUAAAGGUAGCCGCGCUACCUUUAAACAUCAUUUGGGCUUGUACAUGUGACAUUUGCUCAUGAACAACUAAAGUUGAAUAAGAUUUUUAUAUGAAACAGAAUAUAAAAAGUCAAAGUAGAAUAUGACAGGAGCUACAAUAUAUUAUUCAGCAUUAGCAUUAUGUAUAAAAUAAAUUUAGACGCAUUAUAUUGAUUCACAAUCUUGCAGAGGUAAUACCAGAUUAUGGCACGCAACUCUUAUAUAGCAGAUAAAGGAGGAGAUGCAGUGGGAAGGUAGUAUCUUGCUUGCAUGAGGAUUAGAAAGCAAUAGCCCAAGAUCAAUUAUAGAUCUCAUAAAACAAAAACAGUGAGGCAAACACAAUUAUUGUGAACAAUUAUUCAUAGAACCACAUACCAGCAACAAGAUCAGAGUCAUCUGUGUAUAUAUCGAUUCCCCAUAGCUGACUGCCUCUGACCUAAACAUAAUGAACUUACAUAACUAAGAAGUAGAGUCAUAAAAUAUGCAGCUGUAACAGCUAUCAAUAAAUUUCCAGACAAAUGGAAUUUGAUCUGUAAGGCUAUAACUAGCAACACUUCAAAAUAAUUUGAAGUAGCAUGAUCUUACUUUAAGGAUCAAUACUACAAUCUUUCAGAAAAAUUAAAGUCUAAGCAAAAUUAAAACCUUAAACAUACUAAAAUCUGGUAAAUAGACCUACAGGAAUUCCAAUGACCUCCAAAAUAUUUGAAAGAAAAAUUAAUUUACAGCAAAAAAUGUUAAAAGAUUUGUAAAAUGGAAGCCCAUACUACUAUUCAAAUUACAAAUGAGGAAAGGGAGCUGGCCAUUAAAUGAUAAAGGCAUGCAUAAAGAAAUACAAAUAAUAUGCCCAUAAAGACGUCCACUCAAGCGUUAUAAGCGGCUUUAUGCAAAGGAAAGCCAAUUAGUUAACAAUAAAUGAAUUUCAAGGUGCAAUAAUUAAACUCCCUGAUCAGCACAUAUAAGGUUCAUGCAUUUCUACAAAACAUGUAAAUCAUAAGAACUUUUUUGGUCCAAAUGCUAACCAAUAAUUAAGUAGAUUAUCAAAGUUGUCACAGAACAAGCACCACAUUGAUUGCUAUGCAAAAGAUGAAAGUAAAAGUUAAUACUUUAUUUUAUUUUACUUUUCGAGAGUUUUGAUCAUCAUGUGCAAAAUAGUAGUAUAACUUGCUCAGUGUUAUCUCAAAAAGCUUGCUUAAAAUACCUAUUAGCACCAGUCCAAGUAGUCAAAUAAAUCCUUAUCUAUCCAUUCAUCUCUGACCUUGCCAAAAAGAUUUAAAUGAGCAUCUAUAUUCUCACUCCAAUCUUUCACAAUCAUGGGCUUUAUCUUUAGACCAGUUCUUCAAUAUCCCUUCCACUGUGAGCCCCUCGAAAACCUUGUAAAUUGAAUCACAUUUGUCGUCAGUUUCAAAUCCAUGUGUCAAAAGGCUAAGCAAAUGAAUAUACAAUCAACACCAUUCUUCCAAACGAAUAUACAGUCAACACCAUUCUUCCAAACGAAUAUACAGUCAACACCAUUCUUCCAAACACAAACAAAGUUUGAACGUAUGACAGAUUUUUAGCCAUUUAAUAUUCCAUCAAAGAUAAUUAGAUAACACCUACCAAGGAUUUUUGAAAAGAAUGCAUUCUCAUCUUAAGCAGCAACCUCACCAGUAACACAUUUUCAUACCCUGUUUCCACCUCUGGUCGCACCACCAAAAAAAAAUCAGUACUAAUUAGCUUCAACAGAGUCUAUUUUUUUAUUUCUUUUUUUUUUCAAAAUAAACCUCCAUUCUUAUACAUAAAAUUAAAAUAUCAAUUAAAUAAAAAAAGUCUAUGCUUACUAGUAAAACACGUCCAUUUUCAGGUAGAGGCAGAUAAUAAAAGAAAAUUGAUACUGAGAUAAAAUAAGAAGAGCUUACUAUGUGCAUUUGAUCAACAAUCCAAUCCUUAAUGAUGGAAUCGAUGCUAUCAAAUAAACGUGACUUAAUCUUGAAACAUUAAACUGCACUAAGCAUAGCACCAAAGCCAGAGCGUGACUAUAAAGAAGAAAAAGAAGAAUUAAAUCAACAUGAAAUUGAACUUUUGUUUUAUCUUCCACAAGCAAGAAAUUCAACUGGAACAAUACAAAAUAUGAAAUUUUUAGCAAUCUUACUAGCAUUAUACACAAAUCUCAAUUCACGACAAAUAGGGGAAUGAAUCACUAACAUCACCCAAUUCAUAUAUUCAAAUAAUGUAUCCCCACUCCUAACAAGCAACGUGCUACCACAGUCGAUUAGUUGUUAGGGUUAAGGCUCACCAUAGAGAACUGGAUGGCGCUAACUAAAUGACACGUUGAAACGGCAUCUGCAAUCGUAUUGAAUGACAUUGAACUUUUUCAGCUUCGUCGGUUGCGAAUGUGAGACCUUGGCUUAGGGUUCUAUACAGUGUUGUUGAUGCUUAAAUCUGCUCGCCUUUUGACCGACCAGAUUCUUUCACCAACAUUUGUGUUGUCAACUGCUGCUCGGACCACUGGGGUUGGAAUUGCCCUCCUUCCUCUUACUAGACCUGCGUUCACCAAAAAUGGAUCAGAGACGCCGGUGGUUUUGCCGGCGUAAACCCUCCGAUGCCUAAGUUAGCACAAGGUAUUUACGGGAAAACGGUGUAAUUUGGAUUCAAGAAGGGCUUAUAACUUGUUUCGAAGUUUGUAAGGAAAAGGCAUGAUUGCAAUUUGGCAGCGUUUUCCCUCUCUUCAUUUUUUUUGUCCUUUUCUUCAUCGAUUUCUUCUCCUUUUAUAGCCGUUGUCCCAUGUUCCCGUUUGGCUUUCAUCCCUCUUUUUUCGGAUGGUGGCAGCCCCUCAACGGACUCUAACUGCUACAUCAUGGGCAAACGUGGGGUCUCGCAUUACUCGCAACGGUUCUGGGAGAAGCGUAACUACCAUGAUUCUGUGGGAUCGUGUUCCCGCUUUUUCGGGGGAUGGGUAUCGGCUCGGUAUAUACCUCUGGUCGGUAUACUCCCCUGGUUGUACUCGUCUCUGGUCGGACCAUACUUGUCCCUGUGUUCUGCUCGUACCAUUUGGUUAAGGUGAUCCAUGCCGGCAUGGAAAUAGAAGCAUGGCCGACCUGGUGCGUAGCAUGGCCGACCUGGUGCUUUUAUUUACUUAACACCAGUCCCCCAGUUUCUGGUCUUGCGAGUAAAAUGAGUUAAGAGUAGAAACUGAUGGUUGAAUCUUACCAGCCCGGGGCUUCUCAUCUGGUCUUCUGUCAUUCCGGGACGGACCUGAGGUACCAUUCUUGUUCUGGGGGGAUUCUGACCUGAGCAUGGGCCUUAAUAAGCAUGUCCAUUGCAUAUAUGGACUUGCAUCUAGCCUGGCCUCUUGUAACGGUUAGUGACGUGGCGCUUCUCGACUCUUCGUAUUUGAAAUUUGAAACGACGGGCUAUCCGUCCUCGAUAUAUGGGGGGUGAGCUGGCAUAUCCCAUCACUUAAACGCUUCCAUUUCCCCCUUUUCGUUUCAAAUCCCUAGACUGGAGUCAUCAUCAUCUUGUUAUUCGUUUCUCCGCCGUUAAUCAAAUUUUUCUCUGAACUUUGCUCACACUUCCAGCGUCCAGAGUAUCCAUUUGGUGGGUGUUUUCUCUGUCACGGCAGCGCUAUCAGUGUCAGUCUAUUCCAGGUAUAGCCUUUAACCUCUUCUUUGGCUGUUGUUGAUUGGGUUCUGUGUUGCCCCUUUUUGUAUUCGUGUACUUGGGUUUGUUUUGGUUUCCUUUUGGGAUUCCGGUAUGUCGAAUCGGAGAAGGCAGUUGAUUGUAGAUGAGGGUGACGAAGGAACAGAGGAUUCACGCCUUAAUGUUUCAAUACCCACUGAAUUUUUACAUCCCUCUAGUACUGUAGGCUUCUCCCAUGGGAGGGAUACCCUUGAGUACCCACGUCCCUUGUCCAUUUCAUCUUCCCCUGAGCUAGGGCUUGUAGGAAAUAGAGGGGGACCUGCGUCGGGCUCUGGUGAGAACCACAGUUCUGGUGGGGUUGGGGUCCUUGAAGAAGUGGGUAAUAGUGAGGGAAGCAGCUCCGAGCCGAGCCGACCUCCUAAGAAAAGAAACCUUGGGCAUAGGGUGGAGGCGAAUUCUUACCCUAUCGACCAUAUAGCCUGUGCCACCACCCAAACUGACCUGUUCAAGCUUAGGAACCUCUACAACAUUCCUAAGGAGGUUCUUCUUGUAGUUCCUAGGAAGGGUGAUGUUCCUAGUCGGCCUCUGCGGGGGUAUGUGACGAUGCACCUGGAGAGUUUCAAACUAGUAGCUCGGCUGCCCCUUCAGCGUUAUUAUGCCAAGAUAUUGGGGGCCAUGCACCUGGCCCCAGGUCAGCUACACCCAAACGGGUGGAGGGUCCUCUCGGCUAUGUUUGUGUUGUGGGAGAGAUGCGGGUCGGAGGAGCCUUCCCUUGUUGAAGUGAAGCAUUUGUAUCAGCUGCGGAGCAGCCCAAGGGAGGCAGGCUGGUACUACUUCAUGUCCAGUUCUGCGAAGAGAAAGCCCAUUACCGGUUUCCCCUCCUCGUGCAAAAAUUGGAAGAACAAAUUCUUAUUUGCUGGGGGAAAUUGAUGUUCAGCAGUCCGUUCGUUGGGUGGUGAUAUUUACCUUCCAACGCAAUUUGUCACCCCAGGUCGUUCAUUUUUUGCCUGUAUCCUUUCUCGAAUUGCCACUUAUUGGGUUCUUUAACCUUGUUUGUUUUUUCAGAAUCGUGGGGUUUGGUUAAGGAUCUCGAAGACCGGCCUUUGCUUCAGGUGGAAACUGCUCUGGUGAACGCGUCUACUUGUCAAGACCUCCUGUCACCAACAAGCUUGGUCGGUUCGGGCUUAGUAGAUAUUGCCGCAGGAAUGGAUAACAAGAUCCUUAACGCGAUGAGCAGAAAACGUGGUCGGGCUCCGAGUAGCUCCAGCAACCCUCCUCCUCCUCCAAAGAAACCCAGCGUCGGUCCUUCCAAGGCGCCUGUUCCUGCUCUGCCCCCUCCUCCACCUCGUAAGAGUGGUGGGGAGAAAACCUCCGACAAGAGUCCUGAGGUCAGCUUGCAGUCAGGGGACCGAUCUUCUCCUCUUCCAUCUCGGGAUCAAGGUGACUACCUGAGCCCUUAUCAGAAGGAUUAUAAAAAAUCGGUUGGGCCCAAGAUGGUGAAGGACAUCGAGAGCAUGAACCUCUCUGAGUUAGCUGCUUCUGUUCAAAGAGUCUCAUUCAGGCUGGCCACAAUGGUCUCGUGCUACAAGACCGGAUCCGCGCGCCAUGAGAAGAAGCUUCAAGCUGACAAUCAGGAGUUGAAGAAGAAAGAUGAAUCUGCUGACCGCUCCAAGGAGAAACUGGCCGAGUUGAACAAGCAGAUUACGGAGCUGGAGGAGAAAAUUGCAGUUGCUGAGUCCACUGCCUCCAAGUUUGAGGGUGAGCUGGGUGGCCUGAAGUCGGACCUUCAGGUAGCUCAAAGUGAAAGAGAUACUUUGAGGACCGCCCUUGAGGGAAAAAUCAAAUCCCUGAACGAGCAGCUGGCUGAGGGGAAAGGUAAAUCCGCCGAUGUGGACGAUCGGUUGGAUGCCGAGUAUGACUCGGGGGUUGCUUUCUCCUAUAAGUGCAUUAUGUCUGUGCUUCAGGGAGAAUAUCCCGAGCUGGACAUGAGCAAGUUGGAGGCUGGAGUGCAGCGAUAUAUGGCAGAGGUCGGUCAGGCGAACAAGGAGCAGGGUGAGCAGGAUCAGGUGGAGGCUCCUUUUGAUGGGAUGCAAGAGGGGGAAGCUGGGGGACGCACUUUCGAAGUGGGUCAAGGGUCCAUGCCUCCUCCUCCCGGUAUUGCUGAUCUCCCACCUCCUGAUGUUGCUGAUCCCUUACUUCCCGAGCUCGCUGAUCCUUCGGCUGCUGGAACCGUUGACUCUGCUAAGCUUUGAGCCUAUUUUUGUAUAAACUCUAGAUUUGCAUUUGUUUUGUAAACAAUUGAACAUUUAUAAAUUUUUAGAUGCUCUUUAUUUGCUUUCUUGCCCGGUUUUUGCUCAUAGAUUGUUUCUGAAAAACAAUUGGACAACUUAUCUGAUUUUGCCUGCUGGUUCUUUAGUGAGCCGAGCAGGAGUAGGCAUUUGUUUGCCUUAGUAAGAUUUCCAUAAAAUUGGUUACUAGUCUUUAUUGACCGAGCAGAAUUAGGCACUUACUUGCCUUAGUAGGAUUUUUGUAGGAUUAGCUGCUGGUCUUUCUUUGACCGAGCAGAGGUAGGCACUUAUUUGCCUUAGUAGAAUUUUCGUAGAUUAGCUGCUGGUCUUUCGUUGACCGAGCAGAUGCGGGCACUUACUUGCCUUGGUAAGAUUUUCGUAGGAUUAGCUACUGGUCUUUCUUUGACCGAGCAGAGGUAGGCACUUAUUUGCCUUAGUAAAAUUUUCGUAGAUUAGCUGCUGGUCUUUCGUUGACCGAGCAGAUGCGGACACUUACUUGCCUUGGUAAGAUUUUCGUAGGAUUAGCUGCUGGUCUUUCUUUGACCGAGCAGAGGUAGGCACUUAUUUGCCUUAGUAGAAUUUUCGUAGAUUAGCUGCUGGUCUUUCGUUGACCGAGCAGAUGCGGGCACUUACUUGCCUUGGUAAAAUCUUCGUAAAUUUAGCUGCUGGUUUUUCGUUGACCGAGCAGAAGUAGGCACUUGCCUUAGUAAAAUCUUCGUAAAUUUAGCUGCUGGUCUUUCGUUGACCGAGCAGAAGUAGGCACUUGCCUUAGUAAAAUCUUCUUAAAUUUAGCUGCUGGUUUUUCGUUGACCGAGCAGAAGUAGGCACUUACUUGUCUUAGUAGAUCUUUUUAAUGGACUUAUUGGCCAGGGGAUUUCAUGCUGAAUUCAUCUUUAUUGAACUUUGAAUGCGUUACAGAAAUACAGAAUAUAUGCAUAUGCAACAAGCCAUCAUGCGUUUGAAAGGAAUAACUUAUCAAAAUGAAAAUUAAUAGGGCACUUUGCUUACUGGAAGUACUUUUUCAAGUGCUCGGCGUUCCACGACCUCUUCACCUCUCGUCCGUCUGGAUACGCCAGCUUGUAGGCUCCCGGUCCAGUUGCUCGUAUCACCCUGUACGGGCCUUCCCAUUUCGGGCCAAGAGCUCCAUGGUUGGGAUCCCUGGUGUUUUGGUUCACCUUCCUAAGCACCCAAUCUUCUGUUCGGAACUGCCUCACGCGUACGUUUUUGUUGUAAUAACGCGUGACCCUUUGCUGACAUUGGACCACCUUCUGCGAAGCCCGUUCCCUUUUCUCCUCCAGCAGGUCCAGGCUCAAGCAGAUCUGCUCGCCAUUUAUUGCUUCGCCCAAUUCUGAUCCGACCUUAACCACUCUGCUAGGGUCACUCCUGCUUACAACAACUUCCUCCAGCUUCUCAACAGGUUCUUGGCGACCGUUUUUUGAAUCCCCUCGGUUAUCUAGAGAGGUAACUUGCAGUGUUUCCUUGGCCGCUGUAGCAUAGCAGCUCCUGGCCAUUCUCUGGUCGCCCUUUACUACACCCACAACUCCAUUUAUUCUGUAUUUCAGUGCCAGAUAAUGUGUGGACAUUACACAUUGGCUUAUUCUCAUGAACGGUCUCCCCAAUAUCAUCUGGUAAGGACUUCUUUCCUCUACCACGACAAAGUCUAGCAUCAUCGUUCUUUCAAAUGGCUUUGUCCCCACAGUAAUCGGGAGUUCAAUGACCCCCAUGGGAGUUAAUCGUCCCCCUCCAAACCCCUUCAAGGAUGUGUUCGUCCGCUCCAGCUUUAAGUCUGAAAUCCCCAUAUCAUCUAGGGCCGACUUAAACAGAAUAUCGACUGAGCUGCCCGUGUCCACCAGUAUUCGCCUUACUUCUGUACUAGCUACCAACGCUUUAAUCACCAGUGCAUCCUCAUAAGGAUACAAAAUGCCCUCUUCGUCAUCCUCCGUCCACAUAAUGGGCACUUGCCGCACUCUUGCCUUCUUGGCUGCUGGCAAAUUUAGAAGCACCUCUUUGCCAGUCAUGGCGUACCUCCCAUAGUUCUUCCGUGCUCUAUUUGAAUCCCCGACCAAUGUUGGCCCUCCUGCUAUCACACGGAUGGUCGGCUGUUCACGUUCCAGAUCCCUCUCAACUCCUUCAUCCCGUGUGUACUGUGAUUCCAUGGCAGGGGACAUUCCAUCUACAUACUCGUCCAAGUAUCGGUUCCUCACUAAAUCCUCCACCUGAAUCUUCAGGUCACGACAUUGGCUGAUAGUGUGACCAUGAGUGUCGUGGAACUUGCAGAAUCUGCUCUUAUCCCGUCGAUGAGUCGGUUUUGUUAUUGGGGCUGGAAGGUACAGCAGGCCUCGUCCUUCGAUCCUCUCAUACAAUUUCUCCAUGGAGAUCUUUAAUGGAGUGUACUGUCUAUAUGCCAAGCUCUGGUCUACUAGCUGAACUGCUCGGCUAUCAUGAACGUCUCCUCGGGUUGGUAUAGCCGGUAGCUGCUCUAGUCGUCCAGACCUGUAAUUAGUUGCACUUAAUCCUCUGGGAGUGCUGUGAUAAGGGUAGGCAGCCAUCUGCCUGAAUUCUCGCUGUCGCUCUGGGAUCGGGGGGCGCAGAGGUUGAGCCCGGCUGUGUUGGAACUGUUGUGAUCUCGGAGCUAUGGGAUAAGGGCGGGACCGAGCUGAUGUUCCGCCCCUUACUGAGGACUCCCCAGCUCGCUUUCCCGACCCGCUCCCACUUGGAGUUCUUCUUUCCUUUCGUCUCAGCUCCUCCAACUGUUCACUCUUUAUCCUUGCCGAUUUUUCUUCUUCGAUUUCGAUGUCUCUCUUUGCCUGCUCAUACCCUGCUGAAUAACUCUGCACUAGGGGGCUCCUCAGGUUAUUCCAUAGCCGGCCUAUCCUCACACCCUCCUUUAAUCCCCUCAAUGCCUGCGGGUGAUUGAAAGCUCCCAAAUCAAGUACGGCUUGGUGGUAUCGCUUUACAAAAUCCCGUAGGGAUUCAUGCUCCUCCUGUUUUAUCCCCAUCAGUUCCAUCAUGUCAUCCUCUGGGGCUGCUGCUCCUCGGAACUGCUCGGCCAACUCCUGGCACAUCUGCUCAUACCCCUUUAUACUUCCUCGGGAUAGCUUGCGGUACCAUUCUCGGGCUCGUCCCUCUAGUGUCAACGGGAACACCCGGCACCUCUGAGCUGGUGUCAGCCCCUGCACACCCGUCAUGUCGUUGAAACGCUCGAUGUGCACCAGCGGGUCACUUCGCCCGGAGUAUUUGAGGUCGGGGAAGCGGAAAUCUCUUGGGAUUAUGAUACCCAUGAUCUCAGUUGAUAACGGAGAUUCUUCAUCUAGCAUUAUCCUCCAGCUCGGGGGCUUUCUCUUGCCCUGUUUCCUCGACUCUACGCCUCCAGAGGUUGGAUUCUGCUCCAACUUCAUCUCUUCCCACGGGGGUUUCACAAUCCCUUCUCCGCUCAUCCCUCAGCUCAAACAAUAUGGCCGCGAGAGUCUCCAUUUGUUUCUCCAUCCGCUCCAGUCUAUCUUGCAUCAUCCUCUCUCGGGCUUCAUUUGCAAUUUCCCGAAGAGUGAUUGUCUCCCCAGCUUCGUUAUCCUCCCUCAAGGCGUCCUUCCUCGUCACAUCCAUGUCUAACCGUUCGUCGUUUCUCCGGUAACUCCUAAUUCGGUGGUAGCUUUUUAUCCAGCUCCCCACAGACGGCGCCAAAAUGUUGAUGCUUAAAUCUGCUCGCCUUUUGACCGACCAGAUUCUUUCACCAACGUUUGUGUUGUCAACUGCUGCUCGGACCACUGGGGUUGGAAUUGCCCUCCUUCCUCUUACUAGACCUGCGUUCACCAAAAAUGGAUCAGAGACGCCGGUGGUUUUGCCGGCGUAAACCCUCCCAUGCCUAAGUUAGCACAAGGUAUUUACGGAAAAACGGUGUAAUUUGGAUUCAAGAAGGGCUUAUAACUUGUUUCGAAGUUUGAAAGGAAAAGGCAUGAUUGCAAUUUGGCAGCGUUUUCCCUCUCUUCAUUUUUUUUGUCCUUUUCUUCAUCGAUUUCUUCUCCUUUUAUAGCCGUUGUCCCAUGUUCCCGUUUGGCUUUCAUCCCUCUUUUUUCGGAUGGUGGCAGCCCUUCAACGGACUCUAACUGCUACAUCAUGGGCAAACGUGGGGUCUCGCAUUACUCGCAACGGUUCUGGGAGAAGCGUAACUACCGUGAUUCUGUGGGAUCGUGUUCCCGCUUUUUCGGGGGAUGGGUAUCGGCUCGGUAUAUACCUCUGGUCGGUAUACUCCCCUGGUUGUACUCGUCUCUGGUCGGACCAUACUUGUCCCUGUGUUCUGCUCGUACCAUUUGGUUGAGGUGAUCCAUGCCGGCGUGGAAAUAGUAGCAUGGCCGACCUGGUGCGUAGCAUGGCCGACCUGGUGCUUUUAUUUACUUAACAAGUGUUAUAGAGAGAGGCUCAGAGUUGAUUCAUUUUAGGUUGCAGUGGCCAGUGGAGAGAGAGGGAUUUAUUCAACGCUUAGCCAAAAUUUGGCGGAAGUGUUGAUGUGUUUUAAGUUAUAUAAAACGGUGUCGUUAAUUUAAACGGCACUGUUUUACAAUCUUAUAAUUUCACAAAACUUAAGCAUGACUUAUAUGUAUCAUUUAUUUAGGACGGUUAAGUUACGUCAUGAAUAUGUCAUAUAUUCUGGACAUAUGAAUAUAUAUCAUGAAUCUAUCAUAUUUUUAUGAUACAUUCGUGACACAACGAUAUAUGUCAUAAAAUUUCUGUCAUUAUUUAAUACUUUUCUAGUAGUGUCAUAUCUUUAAAACCUUUCUAUUAAUAGCAAAAACUCUAAUCCUUUAGCAAAAGACUAAAAAUUUAAAAAAAAAAAUUCUGUUUAAAUAUCAGUUGGCUCAUGAUCAACACUUCAAUACUAUUUGUUGUAUUUUCUUUCUUUCUUUCUUUGUCAUUUUAUUAGAUUUGCUUAAGUAAUUGUUCAUUGUUUACGUCUGUGUUCUUACUAGCUUUUGAUAAUUUAUGGUUGGUUUUUUAUUCAAACCCUCGAAGUACCUUUCUGUUAACAGCAAAACCUUUGAUCCUUAAGAAAGAAAAAGAAAUUCUCUAUUUAGUUAUUAGUUGGUUCAAGAUCAAUAUCGCGAUAUUGUUUGCGGUCUUUUCAUUCUCUAUCUUUCCCUCUAGUUCAAUUUAAUUUAUUUGUAUUCCUUUCUUUGACCCUUGUAUUUAUAUAUAUAUAUUGUUAAGCAACAGGCAAUGGCUGCAGAAGGGUGCCUCCCUGCUUUUUCCAGCAUUGUAUCACAAGGUUCAAAAGCGUUAUUCGAACCGAUUAUGCGGCACAUAUAUUAUGUGUUCGAGUACCAGAGCUACAUAGAUGGGCUAAAAGAUCGAGUGAAGGAGCUGGAAUAUAUAAGAGAAAGGGUGCAAAUGCUGGUUAGAGAGGCUACUCUACAAGGAGAUGAGAUUUAUAAGGGUGUCAGAGACUGGCUAAAUAGAGUUGCUGAAUUCAGUGAAGGGGUUGCAAAAUCCAUCAUUGAUGAUAAAGAUAGAGCUAAGAUGUUCUGCUUCAAAGGGUUGUGCCCAAAUUUGAUUUCUCGUUACAAGCUUGGUAAACAAGCAGCAGAGGCGCAAACGAAGCUGACAAACUUGUGAAAAAAAGGCGAAUUUAACAUAUGUAAUCAUGUUUCCUACCGUCCUGCUCCAGAGAGUACAGAAUAUGUGCAAGUGAAAGAUUACGUAGCCUUUUAUUAUAAUAUCUUUUCACUCUAUUAACUUAAAAAAAGAUUGACUUCAAAUGUUAAAAAUGUAACAGCGUAUACAUUUUAUAAUAAUUUCAAUAUUUAAAAAAUAUUUGAAUACUUUACAAUCUUAUAUUAUAUUAAACUAAUUUUAUAAUAUAUAGAAACAUAAUAGUAAAAUAAAUAUAUAAAAUUUUAAGUUAGGCUUAAUAUUAUUUAAAAUAAUUUAAAUAUCAUUAAUACAUGAGAUAUAUUAUAUUAAUUAUAAAUUCUAUUUAAUCUAAAUAUUUAUUUAAAUUUUUUAUACUAAAAAUAGAUAUAUUAUUAAAAUAAAUAUAACAACUAACAUUUUAAAAAUUAAUACUGAAAUUAAAAUUAUAAAUUAUAUUAAUCUACUAAAAAGAUUAAUCUAUUUGACACUCGCAGCGGACAAUGAGGUCACGGCAUAGGACAACUUCUUUUGAAAAAAAAAAAAAUCAAAAUCAAAGUCAUUGAAGUGCGUUUGAUGAUUUGCUGUGUAGCUUCUCUCUCAAAUGCUUUUCGAGUGCCUCUGGUAUCUGCUUUUAUAUAAGCUUUUGUCUUUAAUCAUUCAUUCAAGCUUUCGCUAAGAGUGAUGCAGCACAGCACGUAAAUAUAGAAGCAUUGACAGCCGUAGUCAGGAGCUCUUCGGUAUUUGAAGCAAGAAUGGUUGUUUGGCUUUGUGCAUUGAAAGAGAAAAGAAAAUAGAAUGACUAAUUUCAAUAAUACAAUUUAAUUAAUUAAUUUAAAAUAAUAAGCAUAUAAUAAUGAUGAAAUUAAUUAAUAAAAAGAAGAAAAUGAAAAUUGCACGUGCUAUUAGCAUAAACCAAUUGCCGGAAUGAGGUCACUUUGUAGACAAAUGAUUCUGGAAUCAGAACUUGGGCCAGCUUUGGGUUAUGGAUCCAAAAUAAAAAUAAGGUGGGCCACAUGGUCUCUUAUGAUCAAUAAAAAUCGAUUGAAAAGGAUGGUAUGGUGAGUGGAAGAGAAAUGUCGAUGGCAGAUCAAGGGAUGAAGAUACGAGCUCACUUGCAACGUGGUAUAGUUCAUCAUGGCUUUCCUAUAAGUUCAGGUCCUUUGAAUACUUUCAAUGACCUUAUUAGUCAGGAAUUUAACAAUAAUUUUUAUUUUUUUACAUCCAGGAACGGUUUUAAGCAUAGGAAAAUUAGGCCUAUAAUAGCAAAUCUUCUUUUUUAGGCCUCUUUUUAGUUAGUAAUUAUCUUAUAAUUAAGAAUUUUUAUACACAUUCUAUAUUUGAUAACCUUAAUAUUAAAGAUCUCUAAUUGUUAAUUUAUUAUUAGUUUUUCCAAGAAAAAAAUUAAAUUCUUUAUCUAUUUAAAAAAGUUUAUUAUUUAACAUUAUAAAAUUUUUUGCGCCAUUCUCUAUAAAGAAAAUUAUUACAUUUAUUGGUUCACUUUUGAAUUAAAAAAAAGUUUAUUAAAUAAUAAUUCUAGAGGAAGUAAAAAAGAUAUCUUCUUGGAAAUGUUUCAAACCCAUGUGUUUGGAUCUGUUUGAUAAUUUGUCGAAUUUGCCCACAUAUGAAAUUAGUAUGAUUUUACAGGUUAUAUUAUUUAAUUGGCUAUUUCAUUAAAAAAAAAAAAAAACACACACACACACACACACACAAGGAUUUUUAUUUGAUGGUAGAAGUUAAGUUGUUUUUCAGUGAUAAAUAAUGUUGUUAACCAAAUUUAAUUGACAUUCUACGUGGCAGUAAUUCAAUUUUAUAGAAGCACGUGGAUUAAAGGACAAAAACACAUCCAGUAUUUAAUAUUGGAUAUGAAUAUGGAUUUUAUCCAUAUAGAUAUGGAGAUCUACGGAUAUUUUAUUUUUAUUAUAUAAAACUAAUAAUAUAAAAUAGUUAAAAUUUCAAUAUCAAAUUUGAUUAUUAAACUAUUUAUAUUAGUAAUAAUAUAUAUAUAUAUAUAUAUAAUGAAAUGGCCGUCCGGUGGCCGGCAACGGAGGUCCGCGAAGUCUCUUCAUUCUCCUGUUAAGUAAUAAAAAAAAUCAAAACAGAGGAGAAACAUGGCCCUCUUUUCAUUCCCCUGUUUGAUAACAAUAAAAACAAAACAAAGGAGAUACGUGGACUCUCUUCUCAUUCCCCUGUUUUUCUUUUCGGUUUGGCGAUUUUAAAAUUUGAUAUCUACACUCAUUAAAAAAAGAAAAAAAAAAGUUAUUCCAAGAUGAUUUUCUAUUUUCAUAUAGACGUUUAUUUAUUAACCAAAAUUUAAAAAGUGUAAUUCUAAACUUAUCCUUGUGCUUUGAUCUUGGAGGGAUUUUUCAUUUUUUCUACACUGGUCUUAUCAAUUAAUGAUGAAAGUUCUUAUCAUUAAUUGCUUUGGAAAUGAGCAAGCACGGUAUGACCCCUAAGAGAAUUUAUUAAUUGGACAAGUUAUAUAACACCUUUGAUAUGGCUCCUAGACAUGUAUGCAAUUUGUAUCUUUUAGUUUUGCUUUUAAUUCUUUUUUAAUUAAAUGAGUCCGGAUUAGGUCAGUGGCAGAUAAAAGAGUCGGUUUUUCCAUUACUAAGCUUUUCAUGGAUGAAAAUUUUAUUUAUUUUUUUGGUUUUAAAGGUUCUCUGUGAAUGCCAUUAGAAAUGAGAUUGACUAAUUCAAGCUUCCUUUUUCCCCUUAGCAUCCAAACGUGUGAGGCAAGGGCAACUAAUGAGUCCCUUGUGAUGAGAACCUUUGUCUAAGCAAAAGCAGAGGUCAAUUGCUAAUACCGUAAUGUUAUUACUUUCAGUGCUUAAAUUGCUCCAUAAGCUUGCAUUUUAAAGUCUUUGUCUUAAUUUCUGUGGUAUACUGGUUAUGAGACCUCCUGCCAAGUUCAAGUUUCUUGAUGUCUUAUAAUUCCAUUUGUUGUGGUGGUUACUUUGUCAUAGAACUGACUGUUAAAGGCCAUCAAUCAGCUCUGUUUUGUAUUUGUGUACGUUUUUUUUCGUAUAAUGAUCAAUCAAAUGUUAGCCCUUAGAUUGCAUCCAAUAUUUAUUGAUUGUCUUUAAUUAGGAUAUAAACUAAAUUCAUAAGACAUUCCCUUAUUGAUAUUCAUUCCAACACGUCCUAGUCUUUUGCCUUGUAGAAAUGCUUGUGGUUGAAGAGCUUUACACAGAAGCUGUCGUCAGUACUGCGCGGAAAUUGAUUAUAUUGAAUCAGAAAACUUGACUAGGUAAGGUCUAUGUGCAUGAGAAUACUUGGAAAAUCUUCACAAUACUGAGGGCCGGAUCUGCACUCUUUCCUCUAUAUGUGUCUUCAAUAUCAAUGGCUCAAAUACAUGUGUUAUGGUCUUUUAAUAUAAAAUACCAUUAUCUCAUGCGUUAUGGUCUUAUCCUUGUAUUCUUAAAAACUAUAUAAAAUACCAUUAUCUCUGCUUUUGUAGCUAUUGAAUUCGACUUUCACAACAUAAAUAUUUAUUUAUGUUAAUGUGUAUAAUUUUGAAAAUUAUAUGCAUUGUUAAUGUGUAUUAUUGUCUAAUAUUUGGAUUUUAUUAAUUUACAACUGCUAUAACUUAAGGCCUCUUCAAACAUAAUGUGAGUCCCACCACGUGUUAAAUUUUUUACAUUAUUUUUGAAGGAACUAUAAGUUACAGCAGCUGUAACUUAGCAGCACCUCCAAUAUUUUACUUUACUUCCCCUAAUAUUUUACUUGUACUUUUAUAUCUUUACAAAACAAUACCAACAAGACAAUAAUGUAUGAAAUAAAUAAAUAAAGAACUGACAACGAAAUUAGGCCUAUCAUUAAUUUCUCGUGGCGUGAACUCUUGACAAUUCUCCCAUAUCCCACCUGAAGCUCUCGCGUGGUGUGAACGCUUGACGAUUCUCCCAUAUCCCUCCAAAAAUUUGUCAUAUUACGAAAAGCAAUGUCAAUUCAAUGUCGUCUCCAUUAAUCAUAGUGGCAGAUAGGACUAGAAUUUGUUGAAACCCCCGGACUUAUUUUUCCUUUUGAAAAUAAUUUUGUAGAAUCUCAUAUCGUGAAUAACAGACAAUGAGACUCUUUUUUUUAACUAUAAUAUUUUUUUUUAAAUUAUUAACUAAAAAAAUAAUUUUAAUAUUUUUAUAAUAAAUAUAAGUAGGAUAUUAAAAUAAAUAUAAUAAUAUUUAUAUAUUAAAAUAAUUUCAAUACCAAAAAAUAUUUUAAUAUUUUACAAUCUCGUAUUCUAUUAAACCAAAUUAUAAUAAAUAGAGACAUAAUAUUCAAAUAAAUAUAUAAAAAUUUAAAUUAUUUUCAACAUCAUAUAAAAUAACUUUAAUAUUAUUAAAACAUGAGAAAUAUUAUAUUAAUUAUAAAAACUAUUUAACCCAAGGAUUUGUUUAAAAUUUUUAUAAUAAAUAUAUUAUUAAAAUAAAUAUAUUAAAUUACAUUUUAAAAAUUAAUUAUUUAAAUUAUACAUACUAGUCUACUAGAAAAUUUAAACUAUUUAAAUCAUAUAUACAUUUAGUAAAAAAUUUUGAAGUCAUUUUUUUUUAUGUGGCUACCAUAAGAGUACUAUAGUCAAAAAGGGUAUUGGUGUUCUUUAUUAAAAUUUUGGGGUCUACAUGACUAUUUUCUAAAAUUUUAAGGGUGUCAUUUUAUUUUUGGAAAAAAAUAAAAAUUUCAUUUAAACGGCUAAAAUGGUGAAUGAUGGUUGUCGAAGCCAACAAAAAUAAAUAGAUACUCUAAAUAAAUUGUAUAUAGUGAUUGAGCAGGGUCGUGUCCACAUAGAUCGGUAAUUAUUUAAAUUCUUUUAAAACAUAAAACAUAAAAUGGGGGUUUUGUUGACAAUAAUAAAAAUCAAAGUAAAAAAACGAAUGCAAAUUAAAGUUGGAAUUCAAAUUGGAGAAAGCUCUGGUUGAAGGAAUUAACUCAGCUUGAUUCAACUGCUGAUCAUUGAUUCAAAUAUAAAUUAUUAUUACUUAUGAAUAGACCGGUUAUAGCUACUGAGACCCUCUAAUAGCCAAUCUCUCCUUAAUUAGUCAAUAACCAAGGUACGACCGUUGGUUAUUUUCCUAAUCAAUAGACAACCCUAGAUACGAUCAUAGAAUUUAAUCAAUUGACAGCCUGAAAAACCAGAGAGACCCAAAUCCUAAUCAACAAACACAUACGAUGGUUCAUUUAAAUUAGAUUGUUUAUUCUCACAACACAACUCUUUGCUAUGUUAUUUGUCACAAACAUUAAAAUCUUCAUACGAUGAAUCCUUUAAUUGACAAUAGAUUAAGUUGAUAAUUAAAUAGUGGCCAAUUACCUAAUUAACAAACAUAAUCAUGAAAAUAAUUUAGAGAAUAAACAAAUACCCAAAAAGCAAUAAAAAAAUUAAAGCAUAAGAAAGAUCUCACAGUAGUGAUGAAUCAAAGCUUCAUUAACCUUCAACCAGAAAAAUAGGUUUAGUUCUUCAUAGAGAGAAGAGAAAAGUUUAGAUCUAGGGUUUCUUUCUUUUUCCAAUCUCCCAUUUUUCACAAUAGAUUCCUCCCUUAAAUACUCUCUCUCUCUUCUCAUCUAGAGUUCUAUUUAAAAUAAAAUACUAAUAUCUGAAAUAUUAAAUUCAUAAUUACAAAAAUAACCAAAAAUACAAAACACGUUAAACUAAAAACUGCAGGUCCGUAGUUGACAGCACGCGCCCACGCCUUAUCAACAAAGUUCUUUUGACGCUCAUAAUUUCUCCAAUGGAACAAUCAUCCUUAAACAUCAUCUUGUAACUCAAUUUUUGCACCAAUCAAUAGAAUUGCACCUAUAAAAAUAAAACACAAGUAAAUCACUAUUAUUAAGUACAAAACAUCGAUAUUAAGGGAAGUAAACAAUUCAAAACUAGUGCAUAAACUGCACUCUAACAGUGAAUAGUACAAUGCUACAGUGGGCGUAAAUGGAAGGUAAAAAGCACUCAAAAUGACCAACAGUCUAAUGCCUCAGCAGGGACAUAAGGUCAAAGUUUGUUACAUGUGGUUAGGGCCAUUUAGUCUGUGAGUGGGUCCUGCGUGUCAUUUUUGGGCAUUUCAUCUUCUUUAGCAUUGAAGAUUAAAUGUUGCCGAUAUUUUCAAAAUUUUGGAAGACCCAUCACACUUUUGGAUGGUUGUCAUUAUUUGAUAUUAUCAUUAUAUGACGAAAUAAAAUUGGAUGUAACACUUGUUUCGCGUUGUGUGAACUUUUGACAAUUCCCCCAUAUCCCCCAAAAAUCUUUCGCCAUUUUGGGAAGAUGCCAUUUAUUUUCAUUUUCAUCAUUGAUAGUGGCAGAUAAUGGGUUCGGGGACAUACUAUAAAUUAUUAUGACCCAUGGACUUUUCUAAUUUUUUUCCCUUUGGAUAGUUGUCGUUAUUUGAUAUAAGGAGAUAGAGAUAAAGUUUUUUAAUCAAAUGCCCAUUUUUUUUACCUUUGGAUAGUUGUCGUUAUUUGAUAUAAGGAGAUAGAGAUAAAGUUUUUUAAUCAAAUGCCCAUUUUAUUUAACAUGGAAGAAGAUCUUUAAACUCUAAGUGAGGCUAUCACUUCAACUGAUGCAGCCCUCAAGAAAGAGGUAACAAGUGAUGAGAUAGACUCAUUAUUGUCUAAUCAAAAAAGGACAUCAGUAGAUGUAUCAGGAUCUUAAGUUAGAUUGGAAUUUGAUACAUUGUUGCUGGUAACAUUGGUUCAAACCUUUAAAGCGAGGUUGGAUGCAAAAUGGUUUACACCAAAGAAGUGAUUUAGGAAGUUAAUUAACGUUAUUUUAGAUAAUUUAUAAUUCUAGAAUAUUUAUUAUUUUAUGAUUUUCUAUUUUAGUUUGAGUCAAUUAUGGUAUGUAUCUUAAUCUUUUAUUUCCAUUAUAAUUAUGAUUUAAAUUUUCUUUUUAGGUUAAUUUAGGAAAGUGGAUUUCUUUUAUUAUAAAUAAAGAUGUCUGUAAUAAAAAAAAAUAAAGAUGUCUUGUCAUUAUUUUCAAAACUUCAAGUUCAAUUAUUAAAUAAAACCCCUCUUUUAUAAUUUCCUCUAAGAUUAUUUAUCAAAAUCUCUCUUGUAGAGUCGUUUGGAUUAGAGUGUCAUCUAAUCUCGUAUUACGCGUUAUUAAAAAUCGCAUUGAGUCAUUUGGAUUAGAACAAUAUCUAAUCACGCUUCGAAUAGAGCGUAAGCUAAUUGCAUUGGCUUGGUCCAGUAUUAGAACGAUAUCUAGUGUUUCUUACCCUAUAAUUCUGCUUCCGCUACGCCUCGCUCCAUCAAUUCGUAUCAAAGCGAUUCUAUGCGAAUCACACAUCGUUCCUAGAUACACGAUACCCAUCCAAACCAAAUCCAUCAAAAAAAAAAAAAUUUACAAAUUUGAAAACCCUACCCGUCACAUCAACCUCCACCGCCGCCCACACCGCCGAUCAGCCAGCCAACACCACCACAAACCUCACUAGCCACCGUCGACCAAGCCUCAGUCAUCGCUGCCUCAACGGCCGCUUGAACAGCCGCAAAUCACCAACGCAAACCCGCGGCUCCACCAAGCAACCCACCACCAUUCAGCCACUUUCUCCAUCAGCCACCUCCACCAACAAACUCGCCGGCCUCCGUUGGCCAAAAACCAACCAACUUCAGCCCUUGAUCGCCGCCCGCUGUCACCAGACGAAACGACAACCCACGAGUGCUUCCUACACGCGCCGCCACCAAAACACCUUGUUUUUCCGUCAAUUUACACCACCACCAUAAUCCCUAGCAGUCGGCAACCGUAAAUCCAGUCUUCUGCCACUGUAAGGCCGCCAUAAACCAAAAGCCACAUCACCAAAAUCAACCGCCAAUUCAAGUCGGAUUUCCCCCAAUUCAAGUUGCUGAAUAUAAAAAGGACUCAUGAAAAUUACUAAAGUUUCAAAUAUUGUUAUUCAGCAACCACUUUUAGGUUACAUUAGUUUCAACCCAAAUUUUAUAUAAAUAAUUUAUAACUCCCAUUAUUAUUAUAAAAAAAAUUGUAGCAAUUGUGGUUAUAUCACAUGAAAAAAAAAAAUUCUAAUUAAAGAAAUUGACAUUAUAACUUAAAAGGAUAGUUGCUCUUUUAAUCAUUAGAAUUUAUGUCAAUUAUCCAGCUUAUCAUUGCAUUCUUAAAAACUAUAUACAAUACCAUUAUCUCUGCUUUUGUAGCUAUUGAAUUUGACUUUGACAAUAUAAAUAUUUAUUAGCAACAACUUAAAAUUCAAACAAAUCUAAUAUGUAAUGUAUGAAAUACAAAUAACAAUUAAACAAAUUUUGAUUAUUUAAUAUUAAGAUAUAAUCACAUUAAUAUCAUAAGGAUAUGUGGUACUCAAAUAAUCUUUUAAAAAUCAAACCCAAAUUAUAUAUUAUUAAUAUGUAUUAUUAUCUAAUAUUUAGAUUUUGUUAAGUUACAACUGCUGUAACUUAAGUCUCUUAAAAAAUAUGUGGGUCCCACCACCUAUUAAAUUUUUUACAUUAUUUUUAAAAAAAUUAUAAGUUACAUCAGUUGUAAUGUAAAAGCCCCCCUAAUAUUUUACUUUACUUUUAUACCUUUAGAAAAACAAUAAUGCAUGAAUAAAUAAAGAACUGACAACAAAAUUGGGCCUAUCAUUAGUUUCUCGUGGUGUGAACUCUUAACAAUCCUCCCCUAUCCCACCUAAAGCUCUCGUGUGGUGUGAACGCUUGACAAUUCUCCCAUAUCUCUCCAAUAAUCUGUCAUAUUGCGAAAAGCAAUGUCAAUUGCAAUGUCGUUUCCCAUUAGUCAUAGUGGUAGAUAGGACCAGAAUUUUUUGAAACCCCUGAGGCCCUGAACUUGUUUUUCCUUUUGAAAAUAAGAAAAGGACACCCGUCUGGAGAAAUAAUUUUGUAGAACCUCAUAUCUUGAAUAACGGACAAUAAGAUUUUUUUUAAAUUAGAUAUUUUUUAAAUUUAUUAACUAAAAAAAUUAACUCUAAUAAUUUAUGAUAAAUAUAAAUAGGAUAUUAAAAUAAAUAUAAUAAUAUAUACAUAUUAAAAUAAUUUCAAUAUCUAAAAAUUUUAAUAUUUUACAAUCUCGUAUUCUAUUAAACCAAAUUAUAAUAAAUAGAGACAUAAUAUUCAAAUAAAUAUAUAAAAAUUUAGGUUAUUUUCAAUAUCAUAUAAAAUAAUUUUAAUAUUAUUAAUACAUGAUAAAUAUUAUAUUAAUUGUAAAAUCUAUUUAACCUAAGGAUUUAGUUAAAAUUUUAAAAUAAUUACAAAUAUUUUAUAAAUACAAAUAAAUUAAUUUACAUUUUAAAAAUUAGUAUUGAAAUUUAUUAUUACUUGGACAAAUUAACACCAAAAUUAAUAUCUAUGCAAUUUGUGUCAUUUACUUUUGCUUUGUAAUAUUUUUUAAAUGAGUCCCGAUUGGUUCAUUGGCAGAUAAAUGAGUCGGUUUUUCUGUUUUUAUUUUAUUUUAUUGUUUUUGAAAAUGGUUUUUCUGUUACGAAGCUUCUCAUGGAUGAAUUUUUUUUUUAAUUUGGGUAAUUUUUAAUUGGGUCCUAAUUAUUUCUAGAAAAAAAAUUCAGAGACCAAAAGUUUACUAAAUGAAUGAAUUAAAUCCUUUUAAGUGCAAAUUUAUGUCAUUCAAGCCCUUAACCCAAUUCUUCCGUUAAAAAAAUUAGUGAAAAUGUUAAGUUAAAUAUAAAAAGACAGGUAUACCCUUAUAAUCAUAUUAGUGAUUUAAAAUACAAUUUUAGCCUUGGACAUUAUUUUUUUUUUCAAUCUAACAACCUAUUUAUCAAUUUGAGUAUUUGAAAACACUAAACGAAUAUCUUUCGCCAAUUUUUAUAAAAAUUCAAAUAUAAAGAGUGAAUUAUACAUGAAAAUGUAAUUUGCUAUCCAUAUAAUUUCAUCACAUCAAUAAAAAUAUGAUAAUUGUUAAACUAAAUAACAUAUGUAUUGAAUAUAAUAUUAAAAAAAACACAAUAACAUUCGGUCUAAAAAUGAAAUUAAAAGUAUGAAAGUCAAUUAAAUUCAAACUAACAAAUACCUUAACAAUACUAAAGUAAACUGAAAUUUAAACACAAAAAAUAGUUAAUUGUCUUCUGAACUCUAUAAUGGAGAAUUAAAUGCCAACCCAAGGUGAAAUUGUACUAUCCUACUCCCUGUUAACUAUGAUAAGUUCUUCAUUUUGAGGUUGAGGUACAAUCCACAAUAGUUGUGUAUACAGUCCCACUAGUUGAGUGACAUUGAUUGAAGCCUAACUAGCUUGUUUUGGAACUAUUGCCAAUUGAUUGUUCAUUGACAUCUACUUCUUGAGAUUGUGGGUUAGUUUCAUGCUAUUCAAAAAAGAAAAAAAAAACAUCAAUUUCAUUAAAUAAAAAAAAAAGAAUCAAUCUAUUCAAUAUAAUUCCACAAUCAAAUCAAACAUAUAUAGCUAGUCAUGUUUUAUUAGCUGCAUACACAUCACUAGGAUCACCAAGUUAUUAAUCCAUUUGAUAACAUAACAAAAAAAAAUAUAAUGAGAUUCAAUUACAAAAUCAGACCUGUGUGGUUGAUGAAGUGAUAUCACUUGCCUGUGCACAAAAAAAAAAUCACCAAGUUUUAAGCAAUUUAAUGAAAAAGAACAAAAAACAAUCCUUUAGAAUUAAAUUUUCAAAAUCAUAUUAAACACGUCCACUUGAUUAAGUCUUAUUUCUUCCUUACACACAACCAAUAUCACCAAGUUUUAAGCAAUAUCUAGUGCAAAAGAAAAAAAAUCCUUUUGAAUUUAAUUAUAAAAUAUAAUUAAAUUAAACCAAUGCACUUGAUGAAGUCCUAUUGCUUCCCUGCACAACAUGAAGAUCAAUAUUUGUUAACUUCACCAAACGAAAUUUAAAAAACAAAAAUGACUCUUAUAUUAUACCUUUAUGGUUCUUGUGGUUUUUGGAAAAUUAGGGCAGCCCCUUUUGUUGUGCCCAAGAUGUCUGCAAGCACCACAUUUGAUAAUAAACCGUUUAUUAGUUAGUUUGGCCUCACCAAUGUCUUUUGUUCUUUUCUUUUUCGGUCUACCAACUGGAGCCUUUAUGUAAGGUGGUCCAACCUUCACAGGCACCACAACAUCAGGUGAAGGUUCAUCUUCCACUUUAGGCCAUGCACACUCAUAAGGAAUAGGAUUUAUAGUCCCUAUGUAUGUCAUCAUAAAAAAUUCAUUGGUCAGAUAAUGAUGCACAUAAUCUUCACGUUGCCCUCCUUUAUUAAAAAUAGCAGCUACUGAAUGUUUGCAAGGCACUCCACUAACUUGCCACAUCUCACAUUCACACGUACCAUCUAUAAUAUGUACUAGGAAAUUUCUAUAGCCAUCUUGACAACAUUCAAACAACUCCUCUCUACCUCCAAAGACCUUAAUUCUCCUUGUCUCAUUUGAGGAUUGAUUUGGUCUGUCUCUAGCAUAUGGGGUCAAACGGUCUUGCCAAGUUUCCCCUUGUUGAUAUUUUUCCAAUAUUCUCACCAUUAGUUGUCUACGAAUAUGCUCAAGAAUGGUUAGGACAAGCUUGUCCCUAACCUCAUCCACCCACUUAUUAAAAGAGUCAAUCAUGUUGUUUGUAACAUGGUCAAAUUUCACAUGGUGAUCAAACCCGCUUCUAGACCACUGUGCAGAUGGUAUUUUUCUCAACUAUUCACAACAAUUUUAGUCUUUAGCCCUAAUUUGACUCAUUGCCCUCUCAAAGUCAUACUGAUUUACAGCCCUAUAAGCUUUCCAAAAUAACCCCAUGACAUUCAAACCAGGAAACUUACACUUCAAAUUGGCAAAGAUAUGCCUAGCACAAUAUCUAGUACUAGCAUUAGGCUAAUAUUUUUCCAGUCCCUAUAAAAGACCUUUUUGUCUAUCACUAAUAAUAGUCACAUGCCUAUGAUCAUCAUCCCUAAUGAAUUCCUACAGCAAAGAUAAAAAAUAACCCCAACUAUCAUAGUUCUCUGCCUCACAUAUGCAAAAAGCCAGCGGAAAAAUUCCACUAUCAACAUCUAAUGCAACAACAAAUAACAAUACUCCCUUGUAUGGCCCCUUCAAGUGACACUCAUCCAAUCCUAUGAAAGGUCUACACCCAGUUAGGUACCCCACUUUAAGUGUAGGAAAUGACAAAAAAAAAAAAAAACUUUGAAAACCUAGGCUAUUUGACUAUGGCCUAUCAACCUUUACCUUGACACAAGCACCUUUAUUCAUUUUCAUUAGAAUGUGAGCAUAUUUCAAAAGCUUUCCAUAGCAAGUAAUGUGGUCAGCACCUCGGUUUUUUAAUGCAAUUUUUUUGCCCUGUAUAGUUUUUGUUUGUCACAUUCAAUCCCAUGUUUAUCUUUUAACUCACUCCUUAUAACAUUUACACCAACUCCUAGGUUAGUUUGAAUAAGUUCAGCACAACUUUAGCUAUCCAAAGUGCUGUUGCAUCUUUGUUAACUGAUUUAAUAUGGCAAUCAUGUUUCCCUUUAAUAUACCUAACUUUAAAAGUUAUCCCAUCAACCAUCGAUGAAGCAUGAAAUUUCCAAGUUCAUUUUGGAUUGACACAAUAACAAGUAUACUUAACACCAUCAUUUUUAAUCCUAUUUAACUCAAAAUCCUCUUGGAUUGCAUAUUUCACCAUAACCUCUCUUAAUAAUGCAACAGAUUCAAAGGUAUUUCUUACUUUUAGACUAACUGAACCAUUUAGUUUUGGUUUCCACUCAUUAUCAAUAAUGGAUUCAUACAUAUGUGAGAGACCAUUCUCUUCAUCAAAUGAGUGCACUCCGAUAAAGCCAUCCUCACUAAAUUUUUCAAACUUAUCAGUACCCAUACUAACACCUAUAUUGAUAGGACUUUUAGAUCCUAUUACAACACUUUCAUGACAUGAUUGACCACCUAACCCAGUGUGCACCUCAAACUCAAUAACAUGCCAACUAUUAGUAAAGAACUCCUAAAAAACCGAAUACAAUUCACUAUCAUUUGAAAUUAGCUUCCUCUGCCUACUUGUAGUCCAUGGUAACACAACAGAAAUUUCAAUCAAAUCCAUUUCGUUGUGUCCAUAUUUAACCAUGACUUCUAGAAUUUCAUGAAACAACCUAAUACUCUUAUAUUCCUAUGGGUUCCUAUAUCCUAUCUCAUACACUGCCCCAUUAAUUUUAACCAACAAAAAAAAGGUAACAUGGCUACCUGCAUCAAUUUUAAACAAAAGGUAUUGCAUCAAAAAAUGGCUAAACUAAUACAAUUUUAUUUAGCAAAGAAUAAAAAAACUCAACCUAAAUGAAAUAUACAUGUAAUUCAGUUAAAAAAGGUACAAAAGCAAAUUCAAUCUAAUACAUAUAAAAAUAAAAAUUGAAAAGAAAAAAUAACCCAGCAAAUAUAGAGAAUUUAGUCUAAUAUAUAAAAAUUACCACUCAUAAUAACACAUAGAAUUCAAUUUUACAUGAACAAAGAAGCAAAUACAACGAAUUCAAUCUUAUUAAUAUAACGAUACCAAUUAGUUGAAAUGAAAUAUUGUACAUAUACAACAACUCAAGAAAGCAAAUAAAAUAAGCUAAAUAAGUUCAAUAAAUACAUAUAUAAAUAUGGUGUAUUUGUUCUAUUUAUUAUAUAAAGAGCAAAUUAAAAAAAGUAUAUUAAAUACAACAUUCAAUAAAAAAAUCCACCAAUAAUUAAACAUAGUUUGUCAUUUAGAAAAAUAGACUUGAAAAACCUAAUUUUUCACAAAGAUCACUAAAUAUGGAAACAAUUUUUUCAGAAAAUGCUUGCAAAAAUCACUAAAAAAUUAGAGUUACUAACUUUGAAACUCAGGUUCUCUCCAACACUUGAACUCAACCAAUGCUAACAAAUCUUUGGUCAAAAUCACAAUAGAUUUAUACAACAUGUUUUGCGCCAUCCCACGUUCUCUCAAUCUCUCCUCUCACACGAAGAAUACGGCAGUUUCUAUAGUAUUUUUUUUUUUCGUUUGAAAGAACUUUAACUUGGUUAGGUUAAUUGACUUUGCUUUAAACUAUUGCCACCUGUAAGCAAACUAUUGCCACCUGUCAAAAAUAAAAGAAUGAGGAAGGGUUCAAUUGUUCUUUUACUAAAAUGUCCUCAAUGUUGUUAAUAUCUCUAACGGACGAGUUAAGUUAAGGACUUGAAUGACAUUACUUUGUACUUGAAAGGAUUUAAUUGAUUUAUUUAGUAAACUUCUGGUUUUUGAAUUUUUUUCUAAAAAUAAUGAGGGCUUAAUUAAAAAUUACCCUUUAAAUUUUAUAGAUUCUCUGCGAGCGCAGUUAGAAGUACCAAGUUUUGUUAGGUAGAAGGGUAUUUAAGUAAAUCUGCCCACAAUGAAGAAUAGUUCAGAACAGUUGAGGAAGCAUGAGAAUACUUGAGGAAAGCCUGAUAAGAAUUACGGCCGGAUCUGCACCCUUUCCUCUAUAUGUGUCUUCAAUAUAAAUGGCUCAAAUAUAUGCGUUAUGAUCUUUUAAUAUUUCGCCUCUGAUAUUGCCCACAUUGCUUACUGCAACACAUAAAGCACUUCGUUUACCCCAAAUCCUGAUAGGGAAGUAUAAAUAUAUGCUUCCGAAAUAGCGCAACUCUCCAUAAUUAUUUAAUAUGCCUCUCAAUGAAGCAAUCACCUUCAUUUACAACUCUGCGAUUAUUAAUCCUACAUACACGUGUUUCUUUUGUCUCUAAAAGUAUUCUCAAUUAAUUUACAUAAUUUAAUAUAAUAAGUACCUAAGACUAGACAAAUUUUCAUUACAAUAAAAUGAAUAAAUUAUAAUAGUAUUGACACAAUAAUGUCAAUAAUAAAAACUUUAAGAAGCCUAUAAAUUUUAAAAUAUGACUCAGAGUGCUACAAUGAACCACAACAAGUUAUUAUAUGAUCUAUAAUCAAUAUUCUAAUGAUAACAGAGUUCCUCUAUUUUCAAUCCCCUACUUUUCUAUUUAGCGAUUGUCAAAUUUUAUAUCUAAAAUUCUUCUAAUUUUACACUAAGGUUUAUUUUUUUAAAAAAAAAGGGGCAGGAGAAAGAGGCUAGAGAGUAUUAAAAAAUGUCAUUCUAAAUUUUCACUUGAGCGUGGUGUGAUUUUUAUCAUUUUUUAAAAUUGGCCAUUUAUAUUGAGUAAAUAAAAGAAUGAAUAGACGUUUGGACCACUUCUUUUCUGUUAUAAUAAAACAUGAGAUGUCUUCUCUUGAUGCUUUCGUCACAAAAGAAUAUGUUUAUGUCAUCAUAGGCUUAAAUGGGGUAAGUAAAUUAAGAUCGAGGACAAGUUUGUUUAAGCACUAAAGUCGCUAAAUAAAAGAAAGGCUCAUAUAAAAAUUACCUAAAGCACCAAAUAUUGUUAUUCAGCUACUUCUUUUAUGUUACAUUAUUUUCUACGCAAAUUUAUAUAAAUAAUUUAUAACUCCCAUCAUUAUUAAAAAAAAAAAAAACUGUAGCAAUUGUGGUUAUAUCACGUGGUGUGAUUGUUGUGAAAAUUUUAAUAUACUCGCAAGCGCACGAAUCUAGAAAUAGAGUAGUGGUAACGAGGUCGAUCCCACAGGGAUUGAUAAAAAGUCUAAUUUAAAUCUAAAAUUAAUAUUACUCCUAACCUAGUUGAGCAAAUUGAGUUUUUAAGAAAAUUAAACCAAUUAAACUAAGGAAGCAAUUAAAAUAAAAGAGAAUUCAAUAAGAUAGAAAUUACCAAGGUUUCAGAAUCCACCACUAUUCAACUAGUAAUUAUCUAAUUAUUAAUUAAUCCCCAAUUUUAGAGUGACAACUCGAAAUCAAUCUAUGUCAUCUCAUAGAUAUAACAAUUAAGCCCAAGUAAUUAAAUCUAAUGUAGGUUCUUUUUCUGCUUAAUAAUAUGACAUCUAAGCAUCCCAUGUAAACAUAUUGAAUAACAAAGAGUCAAAGUUUUCCUAAGCACUCUAUGUAAACAAUUUAAUGAAAGACAUAAAAUCAAAGAUAAUCAUGUAUAAACUUUAUAGAUCCAAGCAUAGAAUUAAUCGAAUAUUAAUCCUAACAAUCAAUAAUGCAUGACAGAAUUGAUGAAAAGAUUUUAAUAACAUCCAAUUAAUCAUGUGAAAUAAAAACCAUAAUUAUCAAAGAACAUAUAUAGGGAAUUAAUUAAAUAAAAAGAGAUAAUUAUUUCAUUGAAUAGGGUUUCAUCCUUAACCUCAGUAUAAGAGAAUUAGUUAGACAUACUUGAAUUGGGAACAACAAAAAAAAUAAAAUCACCCAUGGAAACCGAACUGCUGCUGCCCAACCUUGCGUCUUGCGUCUGCCGAAUUCUCCUUCUCCUUUCGUUUCUGUCCAGCAGCUCCCUUUUAUAUUGCUUGGCCACGGAAUCCUAUUGUGAUUCUAAUAACUAAACCAACUCUUACAAGCUAAAGCUCUAAGCUUGCCACGUAAUUGAAAACAAUAAAAGCCAAAAGCUAUUGAUUUCCUUCCUUUAUUCUACUUUGACUUUCCAUUCAAAGGCUUAAUUAAAAGCUUUGUUUUUAUGUGCUGCCCACUUUAGCUUUAACUUUCAUCUUUGUUUGCACGAGCAUGGAGAAUUCAAUUUAUUGGAUUCGGCUUCUUCCACAUGCACGUAUGUCUAAUUGGUUCCAAAUCAAUUAAUCUUUAAUGCUUACAAAUUGAACUCCUUUAUGCUCUUUUUAUCCAUAAUCUCCAAUUAAUUCCCUAUUCAAUAAAAUAAUUCAAUUAAUUAAAAAUAACAAAUAAAAAUAACUAGCAAUUAAAUAAUUAAGGGUAAAAUAUGUAUAUAAAUUAUGCUCAUCAAAUACCCCCAAACUUAGAUUUUGCUAGUCCUCGAGCAAAACUAAAAAAAAAAAAAAACAAAAAUAAAAAUAAUGAAACAAAAAGUAAAUCCGAACUAAACCACUUUCGCAGGUAAUCGCGAUUGCAUUUAGCGUAUGCAACAAGCCUUUAAACCCCUAGGCGGCCCUAGUGGACGAGUUAUAGUCUCGUGAGGGCUUCAGUGAUGAUACCCACAAACAUCAUUUUUCAAAGAAUUAAAAUAAAAAUAAAAUGAAAAGAACAACAAGCUUUAAACAAAACAUGAAGAUAGCCUCAAAGAUUGCAUAAAUUAUAUAGCUCAAAGAAAAUUUCAAAUAUUGGCAAAGUUCUAACUUUAAUUCAAUAAUCAAUCCCAUCUCUCUUUCGAUUCUUGUAGUGUGUGUGUGUGAAAUCAAUUCAAUCAAAUCCAUUCCCAAAAUCCUCAAUAUCAAUAGCCUUCGCCUCAAACAAAGAAAAGAGUAGAUCAAACUAAUCUUAUCAUCUUGAUCUCCAAUUUUUUUUUUCAGGCUUUUAUGUGCAUUUUCUUUUGAUUUUUUUUUUUUAGCACAUGCACUUGAUUUUUUUUUCUUUUCCUUUUCUUUUUUUUUUGUUUUUUUUUCUUAACCAUAGUCAGGAGCUUUCACUCUACCCCUUAAGGUAGCCUUCUUCUCAUGGUAGAUUAUCCUCUACAUACUUGUGGUACAUAGGCCCAAAUUACUCAAGGAUAACUUCACUCUUAAGGGUUAUAGGUAGCUAUUUCUGACUUUGGCGCCUGUGUAUACUAAUUUGUAUUGUGGAGAUAAGAAUCAAGACAAACAGUCAUUUACUCUAUCUAAAAUUCUCAACUCAGGCUGUGUCAAUUUCAAAUUUCAAGCCAAAAUUAUAAAAGAACUGAUAUUAGUGCUCAUAGUUUAAAGAAUCUCAAUCAAGAGGAAUUAACACAAGAAUCAAGUAUAAACUAAGACAAUAUUCAACCCUUUCUAAAAACCAUAUUCAUUGUCAAUCAAGUUCUUAUCAUUGGCUUUUCACAUAAAAACAAAAAGAAAAAAAAAAACAAAACAUUUUUUUUUGAAUUUUUUUUAAUAACAAACAAAACACACGCUAUUCCCACCCCUAAAUUUAUUCGGAACAUUGUCCUCAAUGUUUCAUAAACAAAAGAUAUGCAUGCAAACAAAUGAAAGAGAAAUAAUAAUAAUAAUAAUAAUAACAAUAAUAAUAAACAUAAAUAAUAAAAAGAAAGUUGGAGAGAACACACCUGGAUGGGCUGGGAAAGCUUAAAAGAAAAUGCCAAAUGAAAAGAAAACAUUAAAAUAUAUAUAUAUAUUAGAAAAGAAAAUAAAUAAAGAAAAGAAAACCGACUAUUAAAAUAAAACAAGAGUGUAAAGAUGAACUUAAUUAAUCCUGAUAAACAGGAUCAUCUAAAAGUAUCUCCUCAACUUCUGGUGUUUUUAAUUCUAAAAAUGGUUUUAAUCUUUGACCAUUCACCUUAAAUAAAUCACCAUUUUUAGGAUUUUCAAUUUCAAUUGCUCCAUAAGGGAAGAUAGUACGAACUAUAAAAGGAUCAGACCAUCGAGAACGUAACUUACCUGGAAAGAGAUGCAAUCGGGAAUUAUAUAAAAGUACUUUCUGACCUGGUGUAAAGGCUUUUCUCAAAAUAUGUUUGUCAUGAAAGACUUUCAUUCGCUGUUUAUAAAUCUUGGCAUUCUCAUAUGCAUCAUUCCUGAUCUCUUCAAGUUCUGCUAGUUGUAAUCUUCUCUUGGACCCAGCUUGCUGCAUGUCAAAAUUGAAUUUCUUGAUAGCCCAAUAUGCACGAUGCUCCAACUCUACUGGCAGAUGACAUGCUUUUCCAUACACAAGUCGAUAAGGUGACAUCCCAAUUGGUGUUUUAAAAGCAGUUCUAUAUGCCCACAAUGCAUCAUCAAGUCUCAAAGACCAAUCCUUUCUAUCUGGCCUAACUGUUUUCUCUAGAAUCUGCUUGAUCUCUCUAUUAGAAAUCUCUACUUGGCCACUGGUUUGAGGAUGAUAUGGGGUGGCAACCUUAUGUGUAAUGGAAUAUUUGUCCAAAAGAGUUUUGAAAGGUUUAUUACAAAAAUGGGUACCACCAUCACUAAUGAUUGUUCUAGGAAAACCAAAACGAGACAGAAUAUUACUCUUCAAGAAUUUCACUACAACCCUAUGAUCAUUGGUUUUGCAUGGAAUAGCUUCAACCCACUUCGACACAUAGUCCACUGCAACCAAUAUAUAUUGAUAACCAAAAGAUGGAGGGAAAGGUCCCAUGAAAUCAAUACCCCAUACAUCGAAGAUCUCAACCACAAGAAUAGGAUUGAGUGGCAUCAUGUUCCUCUUUGAAAUGCUACCCAUACGUUGGCACCUAUCACACAAAGAACAGAAAACAUAAGCGUCAUGAAAAAGAGUAGGCCAAUAAAAACCACACUGUAAAAUUUUUGUUGCUGUCUUUUUAGCACUAAAGUGGCCUCCGCAAGCUUGUUCAUGGCAAAAUGAGAUAACACUUUGAAUUUCAUUAUCGGGAACACAUCACCUAAUAAUCUGAUCAGCACAAUAUUUAAAUAAAUAGGGAUCAUCCCAAAAGAAGUCUUUCGCUUUAGAUAAGAACUUUGUUCUAUCUUGCUUAGUCCAGUGCUCUGGGAUUUGACCUGUAGCAAGGUAAUUAACUAUAUCAGCAAACCAUGGUACAACAUUUACACUCAUAAGUUGCUCAUCUGGGAAAGACUCAUUCAAAGGUAAAGAUUCUGGAAUAAAUUUAAGAUCAAGGCGAGAUAAAUGAUCCGCCACAACAUUUUCAGAACCUUUUUUAUCUCUAAAUUCAAUGUCAAAUUCUUGUAAAAGCAACACCCAACGAAUCAAUCUUGCCUUAGCAUCUUUCUUAGUAAACAAAUAUUUUAAAGCAGCAUGAUCAGUAAAAAUAAUCACUUUACAACCUAUAAGAUAAGAUCUGAAUUUAUCAAGUGCAAAUACCACAGCUAGCAUUUCUUUUUCUAUAAUUGAAUAGUUCAACUGUGCAUCAUUGAGUGUCAUACUAGCAUAAUAAAUCACAUAAGGCACACGAUCUAAUCUUUGUCCUAAAACUGCUCCUACAGCAUAAUCAGAUGCAUCACACAUAAUUUCAAAAGGCAAAUCCCAAUUAGGUGGCUGAAUGAUAGGUGAAGAAGUCAAUAAUUUCUUAAGGUUUGCAAAAGCAUCAAGACAAGAUUCAUCAAAGAUAAAAGGUGCAUCCUUAACAAGUAAAUUGCAUAAGGGUCUAGAAAUUUUACUAAAAUCUUUAAUGAAUCUUCUAUAAAAACCAGCAUGUCCAAGGAAAGAUCUUACUUCUUUUACGGAUUUGGGAUGUGGAAGAUUAGAAAUUAAAUCCACCUUAGCUUUGUCGACUUCUAUACCUUUGCUAGAAAUUAUAUGACCAAGAACAAUACCUUGUUUUACCAUGAAGUGACACUUUUCCCAAUUUAGAACCAAGUUCUUUUCUUUACAUCUCUGCAAAACUAAUGUUAGAUGCUGCAAACAUUCAUCAAAAGAAUCUCCAUAAACAGAAAAAUCAUCCAUGAAUACUUCAAGAAAUCUCUCAACCAUAUCAGAAAAAAUACUAAGCAUGCAUCUUUGAAAAGUAGCAGGUGCAUUGCAUAAACCAAAUGGCAUUCUCCUAUAUGCAAAAGUUCCAAAUGGACAAGUAAAAGUAGUUUUCUCCUGGUCCUCUGGAGCUAUAGGGAUCUGAUUAUAACCUGAAUAUCCAUCUAGAAAACAAUAAAAAUCAUGACCUGCAAGUCUAUCAAGCAUUUGAUCAAUAAAUGGAAGAGGAAAAUGAUCUUUUCUUGUGAAUGAAUUUAAUUUUCUAUAAUCAAUGCAAACACGCCAACCUGUAGUUACUCUAGUGGGAAUUAAUUCAUUAUUAGCAUUAGUAACUACUGUAACACCAGAUUUCUUAGGAACAACUUGCACAGGGCUAACCCAAGAGCUAUCUGAAAUAGGAUAAAUAAUUCCUGCAUCUAAUAAUUUGAUUACUUCAGCUCUUACCACUUCUUUCAUGUUAGGAUUUAGCCUACGUUGCAUUUCCCUAAUAGGUUUAGCAUUUUCUUCAAGAUGAAUACGAUGCAUGCAAUCUACUGGAUUAAUACCUUUAAUAUCAGCGAUGGUCCAUCCUAUUGCCUCCUUAUGCUCUUUUAGAAUAUCUAACAAUUUACCUUUUUGCUCAAGAUCGAGGGAAGAAGAAAUAAUAACAGGUAGAGUGUCAGAUUCUCCCAAGAAUGCAUAUUCCAGAGUGUCAGGCAGUGCUUUGAGUUCCAAUUUUGGUGGUGCCUCCGCAGAUGGGCCAAUUUUCUUCUCAGAAUGAGGCAGUAGUUCUGACUUUGUCUUCCAUUUAAUUGUGUCCGUAAUUAGAGGUGCAUCAAGUAAAGCGUUGAUUUCUGCAAUUGCACUGUCAUCAUUAAAAGAUAAAUCAGAAUGAGUUAGACAUGCCUCUAAUGGAUCAUCAUUAUGGUUAGAAAUGAAUGAAUCUUCUACUAAUUCCUCUAUCAUAUUCGCUUCAACAAAUUCAUCUUCUUCUUGUGGCUGCUUGGUAACAUUAAAAAUAUUCAAUUCCAUGGUCAUAUUACCAAAAGAUAACUUCAUGUUUCCAUUCCUGCAAUUAAUAAGAGCAUCAGCUGUAGCUAAGAAAAGGACGACCUAGAAUAACUGGGGUGUGUUUCUUAGGAUCAUGUACAUGCUGAAUAUCAAUAACAAUAAAAUCAACAGGAUAAUAAAAUUUAUCAAUCUGUAUCAACACAUCCUCUAUAAUACCACGAGGUAUUUUCAUUGAUCUAUCAGCAAGUUGCAAAAUAAUAGGAGUUGAUUUUAACUCACCUAAUCCAAGUUGCAUGUAAACAGAAUAAGGCAAGAGAUUAACACUAGCACCCAAAUCCAAUAAUGCUUUAUCAAAACAUUGGUUUCCUAUAACACAUGAGAUAGUAGGAGAACCUGGAUCCUUAAAUUUUGGUGGCAUUUUACAUUGGAGUAAGUUGCUAGUUUGUUCAGUUAAAAAUGCCUUUUUAGUGACAUGUAAAUUUCUCUUUUUCGUGCAUAAAUCUUUUAAAAACUUUGCAUAUGAAGGAACUUGCUUAAUAGCAUCGAGUAAAGGGAUGUUUAUACUUACCUGUUUGAAUAUUUCCAUAAUCUCACCUGUUGAAGUCCCUUUCUUUACCUUUGUUAACCUUUGAGGAAAAGGAGCCUUGCGAAUGUAAGCUGGCGGGCCACUCUCUUCUGGAUCAUUUGUUGAUGAGUCUUGUGAUGGAACUGGAUCUGAAGAAGUAGGCUCAGAUGUCUUCCUUGUUUGAACCUCUACUUUGUUGUCAAAUAAUUUUCCUCUUCUCAAGGUCAUAAUAGAUUUUGCUUCUUCAUGCUGAUGGCUCGAACUCGAUCCAACUUCAUGCACUCCUUUAGGAUUGGGAAUUGAUUGACUUGGGAAUUUUCCUUUUUCUCUCUCAGCUACAGUAGUUGCUAAUUGACCCAAUUGAUGUUCAAGUUUUAGAAUAGCUUGAGUGUUUGACUGAAAAGCUUGUUGGGUUGACUGAAUGAAACUUUGAAGUGUAUCCUCUAAAGAAGGCUUUCUUUGUUGGGGUGCAACAAAUUGAGACAUAGGUUGUUGGGCAUGAGGAUGUACUUGGUUAGGAGGGACAAAUUGUUGAUUGGGCAUGUUAAAUUGUUGCCCUCCUUGGUUUGACAAAGGUUGAUUUUGUUUCCAAGAAAAAUUAGGGUGAUUCCUCCAAUUAGGAUUAUAUGUGGAUGAAUAUGGACUAUUGGAGGUUUUCUCAUAUGAUUGUAAGGCAUGUACCUGCUCAGAAUAAGCAUCUGGAUAGACUGGUAAUGAUGGACAAUUUUGUGCUGUAUGAGACAAGUUAGAACAAAUAGCACAAACCUCAUUAGCUACACUAGGAUGAUGAUUUAUGGAUUGGUUCAUAACUAAGGCAUCUACUUUCCUAGAAAGUGUAGCUAGAGUGGAUUUCAUAUCUAAAUCAUCCUUAACUUCAUAUAGCCCCUUUCUAGAAACUUGAGAUGAUUUUUCCCUUUGAUUUGAAAAAUCCCACUGUUGAGAAUUUUCAGAAAGUGAAUUAACGAAAUCCCAUGCUGCCCCUUCAUGUAAGUUCAAAAAUCUCCCACCAUUCAUAGAUUCCACCAUAUGACGAUUCGACAUGGUUAAACCGUUAUAAAAGCAUUGUAUAAGUCUCCAUUUCUCAAAACCAUGAUGGGGACACUUAAGGAGUAAAUCAUUAAAUCUUUCCCAACACUCAUAAAAUUGCUCACCAUCUCUUUGAUAAAAAUCACUUAUCUCUCUCCUAAGGGCAUUUGUUUUAGACAUAGGGAAAAACUUGGUGAGAAACUUAUUACUCAAUUCAUCCCACGUAGUAAUAGACCCAGCAGGAAGUGAAUUCAACCAAGCUUUUGCUUUGUCUUUUAAUGAGAAAGGGAACAUACGAAGCCUAAUUGACUCAUCAUUAAAAUUUUGAAAACGAAAUGUAGAGCAUAUGUCAAGAAAUUCCUUAAUGUGCAAAUAUGGAUCCUCUCUCUCUAACCCAUGGAAGGAUGGCAAAAGUUGAAUGACAGAGGGCUUAAGUUCAAAGUGUGUUGCUGUAGUUUGUGGCAACACAAUACAAGAUGGUUGGUUGGCUGCAAGUGGUGAAAAAUAUUCUCUAAGGGUUUUCUCUGCUUGCACUGGUGGGAGUAUUGGCAAUAGUCUAUUUGGGUCAUCCAUCACUUCUAAAGAACUAGUUUGACUACUAUCAAUUUUUGACUCUCUUUUAACCAAACGAUUUGUUGAAUCACGUUCCCAAACACUCAUAAACUAACUAGACAAGGAAAGAAAGAGAAAUAAAAUAAAAUAAACCAACAAAAAUGAGAAUAAACGAAAUUUAAAAAUAAAAGAAAUCAAACAACCAAACAAUGAAUUUAAAAUAAAAUAAAAUUAAAAUUAAAAUUAAAAGUUUUUUUUUGUGUUUUUUUUUAAAAAUAAAAAUUGAAUAAAUAAAAUAAAAGACAACCUAAAUUAUAACUAGUGGAAGAAUCAAAUUAACCUAGAUUAAACUGACUUUCUAGCACAAUCCCCGGCAACGGCGCCAAAAACUUGAUGUGAAAAUUUUAAUAUACUCGCAAGCGCACGAAUCUAGAAAUAGAGUAGUGGUAACGAGGUCGAUCCCACAGGGAUUGAUAAAAAGUCUAAUUUAAAUCUAAAAUUAAUAUUACUCCUAACCUAGUUGAGCAAAUUGAGUUUUUAAGAAAAUUAAACCAAUUAAACUAAGGAAGCAAUUAAAAUAAAAGAGAAUUCAAUAAGAUAGAAAUUACCAAGGUUUCAGAAUCCACCACUAUUCAACUAGUAAUUAUCUAAUUAUUAAUUAAUCCCCAAUUUUAGAGUGACAACUCGAAAUCAAUCUAUGUCAUCUCAUAGAUAUAACAAUUAAGCCCAAGUAAUUAAAUCUAAUGUAGGUUCUUUUUCUGCUUAAUAAUAUGACAUCUAAGCAUCCCAUGUAAACAUAUUGAAUAACAAAGAGUCAAAGUUUUCCUAAGCACUCUAUGUAAACAAUUUAAUGAAAGACAUAAAAUCAAAGAUAAUCAUGUAUAAACUUUAUAGAUCCAAGCAUAGAAUUAAUCGAAUAUUAAUCCUAACAAUCAAUAAUGCAUGACAGAAUUGAUGAAAAGAUUUUAAUAACAUCCAAUUAAUCAUGUGAAAUAAAAACCAUAAUUAUCAAAGAACAUAUAUAGGGAAUUAAUUAAAUAAAAAGAGAUAAUUAUUUCAUUGAAUAGGGUUUCAUCCUUAACCUCAGUAUAAGAGAAUUAGUUAGACAUACUUGAAUUGGGAACAACAAAAAAAAUAAAAUCACCCAUGGAAACCGAACUGCUGCUGCCCAACCUUGCGUCUUGCGUCUGCCGAAUUCUCCUUCUCCUUUCGUUUCUGUCCAGCAGCUCCCUUUUAUAUUGCUUGGCCACGGAAUCCUAUUGUGAUUCUAAUAACUAAACCAACUCUUACAAGCUAAAGCUCUAAGCUUGCCACGUAAUUGAAAACAAUAAAAGCCAAAAGCUAUUGAUUUCCUUCCUUUAUUCUACUUUGACUUUCCAUUCAAAGGCUUAAUUAAAAGCUUUGUUUUUAUGUGCUGCCCACUUUAGCUUUAACUUUCAUCUUUGUUUGCACGAGCAUGGAGAAUUCAAUUUAUUGGAUUCGGCUUCUUCCACAUGCACGUAUGUCUAAUUGGUUCCAAAUCAAUUAAUCUUUAAUGCUUACAAAUUGAACUCCUUUAUGCUCUUUUUAUCCAUAAUCUCCAAUUAAUUCCCUAUUCAAUAAAAUAAUUCAAUUAAUUAAAAAUAACAAAUAAAAAUAACUAGCAAUUAAAUAAUUAAGGGUAAAAUAUGUAUAUAAAUUAUGCUCAUCAGUGAUCUUUUGACAAUUCUCCCACAUCCCACCAAAAACUCUCACGCGGCAUGAACUUUUGACAAUUCUCCCAUAUCCCACCAAAAAUUUGUCAUAUUGCGAAAGGCAAUGUCAAUUGCAAUGUCAUUUCCAUUAGUCAUUGUGGCAGACAAUGGAGGUCCCGAGAUAGGACUAGAAGUUUUUGAAACCCUGAACUUAUUCUUACUUUAUUUUUUCUUUUGAAAAUGAGAAAAGGACACUUGUUUGAGGAAAUAAUUUUGUAGAACCUCAUAUCGUGAAUAGGGGAUAAUAAGACUUUUUUUUUUUUACUUUACUGCAAUACUCUGUAAUUUUAUUAAUUUUAUAUUUUAUAAUAAAUAUAAAUGUGAUAUUAAAAUAAAUGUAAUAAUAUAUACAUAUUAAAAUAAUUUGAUAUUGAAAAACAUUUUAAUAUUUUACAAUCCCAUAUUAUAUUAAACCAAACUGUAAUAAAUAGACAUAAUAUUAAAAUAAAUAUAUAAAAGUUUAAAUUAUUUUGAAUAUCAUAUAAAAUAAUUUUAAUAUUAUUAAUAAAUUAGAAGUAUUGUUGAGGUUAUGGGGCCCCAACAAUUCUUCUUUGCGCUUGUGGGUGUAACAUCCUUCUGUGUAAUUCCAUUGAGGUGGCAGUAAGGUUACCUAGGGCGUAACUGCCCGGCCCAUUGGCACAAUUACAAAUGUGUGCAGCCCCUCAUGUCCAUCCACCGCUUAGUGUGGGGCUCUGCGCUUCCAUUGUAUAAGAAAAUAAAGUUGCACCUUGGCUAUCAGCUUAAGCUUUUAGCCCAAUGGUAAGCGCUUGAUCCUAACAAGUAUUACAUUAAUUGUAAAAUCUAUCUAAUCCAAGGAUUUAUUUAAAUUUUUUAUAAUAAAUUAAAAAUAUAUUAAUUAACAUUUUAAAAAUUAAUAAUGAAAUUAAUUAUAUAAGUUAUACAUAUUAGUCUACUAGAAAAAUUUAAACUAUUUCAAUCAGAUUUAUAUUUAGUGAAAAUUUUUGAAGUUAAUGUUUUUGGUUAUCAUCUACUAAGAAUCUUGUAGUUAAAAGGGGUAUUGACAUUCUUUAUUAAAAAAUUGAGGUCUACAUGACUAUUUUUUAAAUUUUAAGGGUGUCAUUUUAUUUUUGAUGAAAAUAAAAUUUCAUUUAAGUGGCUAAAAUGGUGAAUAAUACAAUGUUACAACUGGCAUAAAUGGAAGGUAGGAAACAAUCAAAAUGACCAAUAGUCUAACGCCACAGCAAGGACAUAAGGUCAAAAAUCCCCUUAUUAAUUAGUAAAAGAGAGUCCUUUGUGCUUAUAAAUAGUAAGGGCGGGCAAAAUCGGAUACAGAUCAAAUUCGGAUUAAUCUGAUAAAUUUCAGAUUGUUUGAAUUGAUAAAAAAAGUCAUCCAAAUGUAAUCUAAACUUUUGUAUGUGUAUAUAUACAUACUUGUUAUAAAUUAAAGUUGCAAAAGUCUUUAAGCAAGGCCAUUCAUAGUAAGUUUCAAAUUUUUAGGUUAAUUAUGUAACUUCAUUAUGCGGGCCAUGCAUAAAGCCCGUAGGUCUAGGCGGGACUGACCUGAGUUUUUUUACCAAUCCUACACAUGACGGGAGGUGUUAGGAAUAACAUCCCGCAUCAAUUGAGUAUUGAACUUGGGUUCAGUAUAUAAGAUUUGGACAACUCUAAACUCUUGAGCUAACUUACUAGUUUUUGGAUUGAGUUAAGCCUGUACGCUGCAAUAUUACAAAUUAGUCUUUCGUUACCAUUACUUAUUUUUUGUAUUGUUUAAAAUUAACACAAUAAAUGACCUUUCAUCCCAAAAGAACUAAAGUAAUCAUUUCGCAUUGUUACGGCCGUAUCUACACUCUUUCCUCUAUAUGUGUCUUCAAUAAAUAUAUGCGUUAAUGAUCUCUCAAUAUUUCGCAUCCGAUAUUGCCCACAUCGCUUACCACAAUAUAUUCACUUUACAAACAGAGUUUGCAACCCAAUUACUAAUAGAGGAAUAUAAAUAUGUACUUGUCAAUGAAGCAAUCACCUUUAUUUAGAAAUUUUUUAUUAUUAAUCCUACGUACACACACUUCUUUUGUCUCCAAAAAUAUUCUUAAUUAAUCCACACAAUUUAAUAUAAUAAAUACCUAAGAUUACAUAAAUUUUCAUUACAAUAGAAUAUAUAAUUUAUAAUAUUAUUGAUACAAUGAUGCCAAUAAUAAAAAUCUUAUAAACCUUACAAAUUUUAGAAAAUGGCUUAGAGUGUGAUAGGUUGAAUGAACCACAACAAAUCAUUUUCAUUAUAGUACCUAUGAUCAAUAUUCUAAUACAAAUUUUACAUUUCCCUAUAUUUUCUGUUUGGUGAUUGUCAAAUUUUAAGUCUAAAAUUUUUCUAAUUUUACCGUGAGGUUUAUGUUUUAAAGAGAGAGAGAGAGAGAGAGAGAGACUCAAAGAGAAAUAAAAAAUGUAAUUCUAAAAUUUUACUUGUGCAUUGUGUGAUUUUUACCAUUUUUGCAGUUGGCCAUUUGUAUUGAAUAAAUAAAAUAAUAAAUAGACUUAUGGACCACUUUUUUCUGUUAUAAUAAACAUCAGAGGUCCUUUCUUGAUGUUUUCAUUCCAUAUGAAUAUAUUAUAAUUUUAUUGAUACAGUAAUGUCAAUAAUAAAAAUCCUAACAAACAUACAAAUUUUAGAAUAUGGAUUAAAGUGUUACAAGUUGAGGGGAUCACAAGUUAUUUAUACUGUAAUGUCUAUGAUCAGUAUUUCAAUGAUAUCAAGGUUUCCCCUGCAAUUUUUGUUUGGUCAUCGCCAAAUUUUGUAUCUAAGAUUUUUCUAAUUUUACACGACAUUUAUUUAAAAAAAGAAAAAGAGAAAGAGAGACGCGGAGAGAAUUAAAAAUGUAAGUCUAAAUUUUCGCUUGUGUGUUAUGUGAAUUUUACCAUUUUUAAAGUUGGCCAUUUGUAUUGAAUAAAAAAGUAAUUGUUGAAUCUGGUUCGUUAGCUAUUCUUUGAUCAAGAACCAGAUCCUCCCAAGAUUCUCAGCCAAGAUUAAUCAGGAUGCAAUAUCAGCUUAGAUCAACUUCAGAGAAUCAACUAAACCCAAUAAGACUCGUAACAAAAAGGAUUAAUUACAAACUUAGAAACCAAAACCAGCAAGAAAACCAAUCACACAAAACAGAGCACAAGCUUUAACGUGGUUCAGCCAUUAAUGGCUUACAUCCACGAGUGAAUUCCUCAGACAGCUUUAUUGAAUGAUUCAAGAAGUUUGUUACAGAGAUUCUAAGAACAAGAACAAGUAAGACACUUCCUCUUUGAUUUCCCUCAAUCUCUAUCACGCACGAUUACCUCCAAACCAGAAGGCUGCAGCUUAUAUACCAGUCUUGUAACAGCUCUAACAACCCAGAUUGCACAGCUCCUUGACACGUGUACUAUGGGUCUGUUAUUUAACGAACUCAGCUUCAGCUAACUAUCACGUGAAGAACCCGUGACUCCACUUAAGUUGAGCAUAUCCAAAACGCACUCAUGUGUUGCCGUUUCGGAACCAGGAUUGGUUGUGCUUCUCACGUGAUCACUUAAAGCUUCUGAACACUACUGGAAACGCUGUCGUUUGCUGGCAAAGGUGUUUGAAUUCACCUUUCAGCCAACAGUAAUGAAUAGACUUAUGGACAACUUUUUUCUAUUAUAAUAAAACAUUUUCUUCCCCUGAUGUUUUUCAUUCCACAAGAAUGUGUUUGUCAUAAGGGGUCCAAAUGGGGUAAAUAAAUUGGGAUCAAGGACAAGUCUGUUUAAGUGUUGAAAUUGCAAGAAGACCUCAUUAAAAAAUUGCCUAAAGCCCCAUUAUUGUUAUUCAACUAUUACUUUCAUGUCACAUUAGUUUCCACACAGACACUUAUACAAAUAAUUUAUAACUCCAUCUUUAUUUGGGAAAAAACUGUAGCAAUUGUUGUUAUAUCACAGGAAAAUUUUCCAAUUAAAAAUAUAAUAAGAAUUAAUUACAAAUUUUUUAAUAAAUAUCAAUAUAAUUUAAUGGUUUAAUUUUUUUGGUAGAUCAAUAUAAUUUAAAAAAUUAAUAGCAGUAUUACUUUUUAAAAUGCAAAUUAUUAUAAUUAUAUUAAUAAUAUAUUUGUAUUUAUUAUAAAAUUUAUUUUAAUAAAAUCUUAAUUUUUUUUAAAUAUUUGUAUAUAUUGUUAUAUUUUGUUAUAAUAUUAUAUUUAUAUUUAUUAAAAUAUAAGAGUCAAUAUUUUUAAAUUAAUUAAGAUAAAAAGUAUUAUAAUAAAAAAAAAUUCUUUUAUUAAAAAUAUAAUCAUUCUCCCAAACUUAUCCUUGUCCCUUUUUGAAAGGAAAAAAUAAAUUAGAAAAGUCUAUGGUCAUGAUAACAUCUAGCCUUGUCCCGUGGGACAUGGCUACGGUGCAGAAGCUGCAAGUAACAGCUUCGAGCUUUCCCAUUUCCAUCACCUUGUAUUGGGACCUCUUUCUCUCUCCUCUAGCACCCGUGGAAGUUCCCCAUUGGCCGCUGUUACUUACAGAAGCCGUAACAUAGACUUCCCCCGUCCCGUGAUGUCCAUUGUCUGCCACUAUGAAUAAUGGCAAUGACAUUGCAAUUGAAACAUUGAAAAGGUAUUUUCGCAAUAUGACAAAGUUUUUGUUAGGAUAUGGGAGGAUGUCAAAAGUUCACACUACGUUCAUUAGCAUUAGAUCUAAUUUUAUUUCGUCAGUUCCUUAUAUAUUUAUUUCAUUUAUUUCAUGGGUCCCUCUAUGAUGCUGUAAUUAUUUUACAGCAUCAAUAGUGUAAGCAAUAUUAACCAUUAGAUUUUAUCAACAAUGUAUAUUAUAUUUAUUAAUAAAAAAAUAACAUAACCGGUUAACAGGGGUGAGCUGUUGGAUCGUGGAGUUGGUAGAAGUAUGCGAAAUUUCAAUGACGACCCCUACAGUUUUAAAAAUUCUCACAUGUUUCACUUGAAUAGCAUAUUCAGAAGAAUAACACAAAAUUUAAUAAAAUAUAUGAUUUCAAUGAAAUAUAUGAACAUGCAUAUGAAACCCACAUUCAUAGAAAUGUUUCAUUAGACUUUUAACGUUUAUCUUACCUAUGUAUCCUAAACCAUUCAUUAUCAACUUUUCGUAAUUUUAUUAAAUAGAAAUUUCAAGCAAAACAAGAAAGAGUGACAAUAUGUAAUUAAUUUGAAGAUUUAAUAUAAAACUCACAAUUGCUAAAAUAGUGCUUAAAUUAUAUCAUUAAUGUUAUAAGAUAAUUUGAUUAUCAUGUAACCAAACUAAUUUCAAAAUUUAUUUUGAAAGCAUGCAAAACUAAUUUCAAAAUCUAUUUUGAGAGCAUGCAAAUGGAUGUAGUCUCCACUAUGUGAUUUUUUUAUUCUAAUUUAUGGCCAUGGGAGAGAAUUGGAAGAUCCAUAUUUGUCCAAUAGUGAAAUAUAAAUAAUAGCCCGUCAAUUUCUCAUGUAGUAUAUUUCAUUGGCUUAUUAGCUUACAAAACUAUAUACAAGUGUUAAACAUUGGACUACUGCAUGAAAUGUCAUGUGAUAUAUUUCAUUUGACCUUAGAUUAAUUAAAUGCCUAUAAAUGGUUUACAACAUUAAUCUAAAAAUUAAUUUUCACUGAUAUUUAUAUGUGACAUAUCAAUUCAUAAUAUAUCAGGGUAAUUACGAUUUUAAUUUCCCUUCUAUUAAUAAAUAGGGGUAGAAAGAAGUACUCAAUAUGUGUGUGUGUGUGUGUGGGGGUAUCAAUUCAUGUCUUAAUGAAUACAAGAAAAAUCACAUCUACUAAUUUAACAUAUGCCUUUCUAUAAUAGUGUUUGUAAAAUAUAUUUUAUUUGCUAUACUUUGGAAGACGUGUAGUAUAUUAUUUUAUAAUUCGUUUUGUAAUUUACAGAAAACGUGUUUAACAUGUUUUAACUUUUAUUACUAUCAAAUAGAUUCUGUUUAAUACAUUUUAUAAUUUGAUUUAAGGUUUAGGCUCACCAAACAUACAUUACACCUAUACUAUUAAAAUGAAAAUGAAAAUCGGGGCUACAAAAUGAUACUGAACAUACCCUAAGUUACUUGGAGUGUUAGUUUAGAAAUAAGUAUCACUGUAGGCUUAAAUUUAUGGAACAACUUUUCAGGACUGUUGGUCUUCCUCCAUUAGCUUAAUUUAGGUCUGUAUUUUCAUUUUUUUUUAAAUGGCGCAAGAUGAUGAUGAUGAUGAAAUUGUGCUAUUUGUAAUGAUGCUCCUUCGUAUUCAAUAAGAAUCAUAUGCAUAUUCAAUAGUGAAAAUAUGAUAACUCUAUCGUAAUUUGAUCAUAUUACAAUACAAUUGAUUACUAAAAAAUGUCUUUAUAUUUUUUUAUUACAUUUUACAUUAAAGUUGUAGCACAUUAUAAAUGCAAAGCUUAAUGUUUAAUAACAUAACACUUCAACAAAAUCAACAUCUUAAGUAUGAUGUAUGAUAUAGAAUAUUGAAAUAGUUAUACCUAACACUCACAACAAUUUAUAAAAAUUUAUAGUGUUUUAUUUACAAUAUCUUUUCUAAUUAUAUAUGUAUUAAUAUCUAUCUUAAAGUCAAUUUUUGGAUUAGUAGAUUUUAAUAAAUCCAUUGGUAUAGAUUAAUAAUAACUUAAUAUUAAAAAAAUUAAUUAUACAUGUUAUUUUAUUAAUUACACUUAUUUUAAUAUUUUAUUUGUAUCAUAUGAUAUUUAUUAUUAUUUUUAUCCUAUUACUAUAUGUAUAUUUAUUUAGGUUGUGUAAAUCAAAACGUAUAAUAGUCAUUUAUGAAAAUUAAGGGGUCUGUAUUACCAUUUAUGAAACUAAGUGGAUCUAUAUGACUAUUUGAGCAAACCUUGGGAUGUGUGUGGCUUUUUCUCAAAUUAAUAUUAAUUUAAAAUUAAAAAAAUAUUUACCAACAACUUGUAGACUACGUGCUACAUUUUCAUUAAUGAUUUAAUUAUCCAUUAUAUUAAAUGGAUGAUUGAGAUUAAAAUACUUAAAACUAAUAGUCCACAUUAAUCCCAGUAUCAAUAUUGUAAAAAUACAUACAGUAUCAUAAAGAAAUCCUUAUUUCAUACAUAACUGUUUUUUUUCUUUGGUUUUUCUUUUUCCAAAACAUAAAUAGACCAAGCACAUCUCCAAAUCGGGUUGGAGCGGAGAUUCUAACCCUACGAUGGCCAUAUUAAAAUUUAAAUUUUUUUAAUUUAUUUUUUUCUUUUAUAGCUACAUCUCAAUAUUUGAAAAAAUGAUUAUACAGAUCUAUAUAUUUUUAAUAAGAGAUAUUAAGAUGCUCUUUUUUUACUAUAACACCUACUAGUUCUAUUAACUCAAAAAAUUACCAACAAAGUGUUGGCUCCACUGGCAAUGGAGUCCCCUUAAGUGGCUUGACUGGGUUUGCUCUCCAGUUCGAGUCGCAGGGAAGUCGCCUUUGUUGGGAGAACAUGUGUCUCCCGGUUUGAGCGGGGACUUCUAGUCUGGGUUGUGGUACGGGCUUAAAGGUGCUUCCCACAGUUGGGGCCCUCCCCAGGAUACCUCGUGGAUAAGACCAAAAAAAAAAACUCAAAAAAUUGACUUCAAUAUUAAUACAUAUAUUUUAAAAUUAUUUUAAUAUUUUUAAAAAAUAUGAAAAAAAAUUUAAUACUUUACAAACUUAUACUAUAUUAAACUAAAUUUUAUAAUAAAUAGAAACUUAAUAUGAAAAUAAACGUCUAAAAAUUUAAAUUAUUUUCAAUAGCAUAUAGAAUAAUUAUAAUAUUAUUAAUACCUAAGAUAUAUUAUAUUAAUUAUAAAUUCUAUUUAACACAAAUAUUUAACUAAAACUGUUAAUUGCAAUUUCUUUUGAAAACAAUAGAUCAAAUCAUUAAAGUGCAUGUGAUGAUGAUUUGCUGUUUAAUUAUUUCUUUAGAAUAUAUCCAAACGUAAGGUUGUGAACUAGUGCUUUCUUCAACUUAAUUGGGUCCAACAAUACACCGCAGCUUCCUCUUUUGGUCAUUCCAAGUUUAAUUCUUAUGAAAGAAGUUACUACUGAUUUAAGUGCAUGUGAAUGAAAAAAAACAAAUACAUAUAAUUAUUCUAUACAUGCGUCAACAAGGCAACAGUAACCAAAUAAAUGAUAUGAAAGGGGGUGCAUGAUUAAGUCCUUUUCUUAUUCAAUUCAUUGUUAUUAUCCUCAUCAACUCUUUUCUCACUUAUUUUUCAGCAGUUACUGUUCAUAGCAUUGUUAUUAUUCUCAUCACUCAUUAAAAUUAUUCUUAAAUAUUCAAGGCCGAAAAGAGAAGCUCAUCAACUGUCUGAUCCCGGAUAAUUAAAGAGGUGAACUUGUUCUAAAUCCUUUGAUAAUUUCUAUUAAUAGCAUAAUCUCCUUGAUCCAAGAAAAAACAUCUCCUGUUUGUCUUAAUCUUGUCAUUUAAUUUUCUUGAUUUAGGUUACUGUUCAUUGUUAACUUCUGUGUUCUUUAGCAUUUGUUAAUUUGCAUCCCUCCUCUAAAAGUCUCUAAAAAAGAAUGUUGCUUUUCAUUCAUACCCUUGAAACCUUUCAGUUAAUAGCCAAAACUCUAAUCUUUCUUUCUCUUCCUCUCAAAAAUGUGCCAAAAAAUGUGCCAAAAAAGUGAAUCCAAUUUUUUCAACAGCAAAUAUAUAUGUACACACACACACAUAUUGUUAAAAAGUGCAGAAAAGCCACUCAAAAACGUGGAGAAAAAUCACUCAAAUUUAUACAAGCGUCAACAGGGAAACAGUAACCAAAUACGUGAUACAAAAAGGGGUGAAUGAUUCUGUCUUUUCCUUUUGCAAGUCGCUGUUAUUACUCUCAUCAACUCCUUUCUCACGCAUUUCUCAGCAGUUACCAGUAAUAUUUAAAAUCGCUGUGUAGGUAUGCAAAAGUUCGGUAAGUGCACUAAUAAUUAUUUGCCAGAAAAAAAGUAGUUGCGUCAAUGAUAUAUUAAUCUUUAGUUGAAUUGACAUCCAGGAACCCAAUUGAGUUGCUUAAUGAUUAAUUAAUUAAUCAAUUUAUAAUAUAUUAAUCUUUUUAGUUGAAUACUUAAAAUCUUAGACCCUAAACAAUAAAUUAUUUGAGCCAUAUAAAAGAGAAAUUAUCAUUCAAUUUUUUUUUAUUUGUAGCUUAUAAAAGAGAAAUUAUCAGUCAUUUACUCAAAGUUUAUUCAAUUAUUAAAAUUAUUAUAAAAAUUUAAAUUUAUUUAAUUUUACACCCAAUGUAUGUAAUUUGUAUUAAAUAUCCGUUAAAAACAUAAAGUUAUUCUUUCAAAGUCACAAAAUAGGAGCGAACACAAAAUUGUAGUGGUGAUUAUGUUUUGGGAGUAACUUUAUCUUUUUAGUAAACAGUUGAUACACAUUGUAAUAAUGGGUAUAAAAUUAAAUAUAUUUAAAUUUUUAUAACUUUUUGGAAAAUAAGAUAAUUCUUAGGUGGAUAAUUAAAAAUUUUUCUUUUCAAAAUAUUUUGAAAACAAUACCAAAUGUACCAUAUCAUUGUUUAUUUACACUAUAUAUAUAUAUAUAUUAACUCAUUCUUAUCCACAAUCUGUCAAUGAAAUAAUUAUUGACACUCAUAUUUGAAAACUUUCGAAAAGAUAAAAUCCAAUAUGAAAGGUGAAACGUUAUAAUCAUAGUAACUAGAAAAUGGAUUGAUUUACAAAUAUCAAUUUAAACAAUUUUCAAGUUGAUCGACAAUUUAAGUAGAUUGACAAAGAUUGAAGUAAUUACUGUUGGUGAUUGAUUGACUUUGUCCUUAUCCUCGCCGCCUUCUUAUCAAAAGUCGAGUGUCAAUUGGGCCAGGGCUUCUGAUUGCAACUAAUAGACUUCAUAUACGCAUAAUGGUCCCUACGUACAUACGUACCAAUAUUUGAUUGAAAAAGGGAUGCGUGCUUAAUGCUCAAGUCGUCUUCUUUUGGAAAUUCAUUGUUAUUACUCUCAUCAACUCGUUACUCGCAUUCCUCUUUAGUCAACAGAGAUCCUUUUGCUCAAUAAAAUUUUUCUUCUAUAUUCAAGGUGAAUACAGCAGCUCAUCAACUCUGAUCCCAGACAGGUAAAGAGGUGCACUUGUUCUAAGACCUUUAAUAUUCUUUUAGUAGCAGAAUCUCUGAUACUUGAUCUUCAUAGCGGUUCUUUCUUAAUUUGCAUCAACUUUCCUAGGAAAAAAUUCUCUGGUUUUUCUUAAGUCAUAUAAUUUAUUUUUCUUAAGUCAUAUCAUUUAUUUUUAGCAGCAGAAUACUUGAUCUUGAUAACGGUUCUUUCUUAAUUUCCAUCAACUUUCCUUGAAGGAUACCUUUUUGUUAAUAGCGAAACCUCUGAUCCUUAAGAUGGAAAAAGAAAUUCUCUAUUUAGAUAUCAGUUGGUUCAAGAUCAAUAUCGCGAUGUUGUUUGCAGUCUUUUCUUUCUCUGUCUUUCCCUUUAGUUCAUUUUAAUUUAUUUGUAUUCCUUUCUUUGACAUAUUAUUAGAUUUGUUAAGUAGCAGGCAAUGGCAGAAGUGGGUCUGGCUGCUUUUUCCAGCGUUGUAUCAGAAGGUGCAAAGUCACUGUUCAAACCGAUUAUACGGCAGAUAUCUUAUGUGUUCAAGUACCAGAGCUACAUAGAUGGCCUAAAAGAUCAAGUGAAGCAGCUGGGAUAUAGAAGAGAAACGGUGCAACAACCUGUUAAUCAUGCUAGACUACAAGGGGAUGAGAUUUAUGAGGGUGUCACAGACUGGCUAAAUCAAGUUGAUGAAUUCAGUGAAGGGGUUGCAAAAUCCAUCAUUGAUGAUGAAGAUAGAGCUAAGAAGUCCUGCUUCAGAGGAUUGUGCCCAAACUUGAUUUCUCGUUACAAGCUUAGUAAACAAGCAGCAAAGGCCGCAGAAGCUGCCGCUAGUCUCGUGGGAAAAGGAAACUUCUCUAAUGUUUCCUACCGUCCUGCUCCAGAGAGUACAGAACAAAUGGAAGUGAAAGAUUACGAGGCCUUUGAUUCAAGAAUGAAAGUAUUUCAAGAUGUUGUGGAGGCGUUGAAGGAUGAUAAGCUCAACAUAAUUGGGGUCUACGGCAUGGGCGGCGUGGGUAAAACCACGCUAGUCAAGCAAGUUGCAAGGCAAGUGAUGGAAGAAAAGUUGUUCGAUAAGGUCGUUAUGGCUGAGGUAACACAGACCCCAGAUCAUCAGGAAAUUCAAAAGAAACUUGCUUCUGAUUUAGGCAUAAAGUUUGAGUUGAAUGAGAGUAUAUUCGACCGAGCGGAUCGAUUGCGUGAAAGAUUGAAGAAAGAGAAGCGGGUCCUCAUUAUAUUGGAUAAUAUUUGGAAAAAACUCGAGUUCGAAAAAGUUGGAAUUCCUUCCAGGGAUGUUGAUGAUAAAGAUAAAAAGGAUGAUCAGAGACGAUGCACAAUAACAUUGACGUCUAGAAGUCGAGAUUUAUUGUGCAUUGAUAUGAAUUCUCAGAAAAAUUUCUCGAUCGAUGCUUUGCCACGAAAAGAAGCAUUGCAGUUAUUUGAGGAGAUAGUGGGUGAUUCAACUAAAAUAUCUGCUUUUCAAAGUAUAGCAAAUGAGAUCGUUGAAAGAUGCGGAGGUUUGCCUGUUGCACUGAGUACAGUUGCAAAUGCUCUGAAAACUAAGGAGCGUGACUUUUGGAAAGAUGCAUUGAAUCAGCUAAGAAGAUCGGAUGCAAGAGAAAUUCAUGGCAUGCAAGCAAAUGUGUACACCUCCAUAAAAUUGAGUUAUGACUUCUUGGAAAGUGAGGAGGCAAAAUCUCUGUUCCGUCUUUGUGGUCUAUACAGUGAAGGUAAUGUCAUACAAGUUUCUGACUUAUUGAGAUAUGGUGUGGGUUGGGAUUUGUUUGAAAAUGUUUACACAUUGGAAGAAGCAAGGAGUAGGGUGCAUCGGUUGAUCGACAAUCUCAAAUCUUCAUGCUUAUUGUUGGACGGAGAUGCUGAAGAUGAAGUUAAAAUGCAUGACGUCAUUCAUGUUGUUGCCGUAUCAAUUGCCGCAGAGAAGCGCAUGUUUAAUAUUCCAAAUGUUGCCGACUUGGAGAAAAAGAUGGAAGAGACAAUACGGAAAGAUCCAAUUGCCAUUUCUUUACCUUAUAGAGGUGAUCAAGUGCUUCCCCAAAGAAUGCGAUGUCCCCGUCUUGGGCUAUUUUUGUUGCAUAGGAAGGGUCUUUGCUCUAUGCAAGUUUCAGACCACAUUUUUGAAGGGACGGAAGGACUCAAAGUUUUGGAUCUUGCCAGAAUUCACUUCUCUUCAUUACCUUCAUCACUUGGGUGCCUCAUUAACCUUCAAACAUUGUGUUUAGACUAUUGCCGACUAAAAGAUAUAGCAAUAGUUGGACAGCUAAAGAAAUUAGAGAUUCUCAGCCUUGUAUAUUCCGAUAUCAAGCAGUUACCACUCGAAAUUGGACGAUUGACGCGGUUACAGUUGCUAGAUUUGAGCAAUUGUCGGAGCCUUGAGUUGAUACCACCAAAUGUCAUAUCAAAAUUAUCUCGAUUAGAAGAACUGUUUAUGCAUAACAGCUUUUCACAGUGGGAUAAGGUUGAAGGAGGAAGUAAUGCCAGUCUUGUCGAGUUGAAAGCGUUGACAAAGCUAACUACUUUGGAGAUAGAAGUUCCGGAUGCCGAAAUUCUGCCGCCGGAUUUUGUCUCCGUGGAAUUGGAAAGAUAUAAGAUAUUUAUAGGAAAAAUGUCUGUCCGACGGCUCGUCGAAUCUAAAACAUCAACAUUGAUGGUGCUCAAGGGGCCAGAAAGAGUUAGCCUUCUUUUGGGGAAUGAUGGGACGAAAAUGUUGCUGAAGAGAACUGAAGAUCUCCGUCUAUACUCACAGAAGGGUGUUCAGAAUAUUGUUCAUGAAUUAGACAAUGGGGAAGGUUUUCCACGAUUGCAGCAUCUUCUAGUAACAGACUGUUCUGAGAUUUUACAUAUUGUCGGUUCAGUUGGACGGGUUCGUUGCAAAGUCUUUCCCUUGCUGGAGUCAUUGGAUCUUAUUGAUUUAACUAAUUUGGAGACGAUAUGCUGCAGCCAACUCAGAGAAGAUCAAUCUUUCAGCAACUUAAGGAUUAUAAACGUAGAUUCCUGUCCAAAAUUGAAGUAUCUCUUCUCAUUCUCUAUGGCUAAAAACCUAUUGGGGCUUCAAAAAGUAAAAGUGAGAAAUUGCGAUGAAUUGGAAAUGAUGAUUGGUAAGUGUUUAAAUUAAUUAUUGGUAGGAUUAUUGACAUUGACUCAUUCUUUUUUUCUUUUUCUUUUUUUUUUGGGUGAAAAAACAACGGAUGUUUAUUAUAUAUUGUUUUUGUUCAUUUAUAGGGCCCGACAUGGAGAAACCAACAACUACUGAGGGACUCACAGAAAUCAUUGCAGAGGAUGAUCCUAUUCACAAGGUGAUAAUUUUCUGUUUAAUAAUUAAUUAAUUAAUAUUUUAUCGCGAUUGAUCUUCAAUCAUCAAAAGAAUAUUAUAUUAGAAGUUGUAGUUGAAGGAACAAAAAUGUACGGUUUUGCUGUGCAGGUUACUUUUCUACGCUUAGAGGAACUGAAACUUGACGGUUUAAAAAACAUCAAAAAAUUAUGGCCCGAUCAAUUUCAGGGAAUGUAUUGUUGUCAAAAUUUAACAAAAGUGACCGUGGAAAGGUGUUAUCGUCUGAAGUAUAUGUUUUCAUAUUCUAUGGUUAAUAGUCUUUUGCAACUCCAACAUCUUGAGAUUAUUAAUUGUUGGUCAAUGGAAGGGGUAGUCAACAACACCGCGGGGGGGUUAGGAGGAAGAGAUGAAUUAAAGGUUUUUCCUAAACUACACUCCCUGCGGCUCCAUUGCCUUCCAAAACUAUGUAGCUUCACCUCACCAGAAGACGUCAUUCACACUGAAAUGCAACCUCAAUCUUUCUUUAAUGAAAAGGUUUUUUUUUUUUUUUUUAAAUUAAUUUUAUUUUCAAUAGUUAAUUUCUUCUUUCGUUGAGUCUUCAAAUUUAAUUAAUAUCCAUCUCUAAUUGCAUUGAAUUUUUAACUUCAGGUACGACUCCCAAGUCUGGAGGUAUUACAUAUUAGUGAGGCGGAUAAGUUGAGAAAAAUAUGGCACCACCAGCUUGCUUCGAAGUCUUUUAGCAAAUUGAAAAAAUUGGAGAUAUCUUGGUGUAAUAAUCUAUUGAAUAUUUUUUCUCCAUUGGUAAGAUUGCUAUAUUCAUUUUGAAUUUUUAUUUCAAAUAACAUUCAACAAUUAUUUUAAUCAUUUUUGUGUUUACAAAUAAUUUUCAUUCACAAAUUAUUUAUUGCAAGUAUUGUACUUCAAACUUCUGGAGGGAAAAAAAGUAGUGUACUUCAAAUCACCAUUCUGAACUCUGCAUUUUCAAUCUAAUUUAUAGGUUCACCUGCAUUAAAGUCAACAAUAUAAUUGUUUUAAACACGAUUUAACAGCAUAAUAUAAUUCAAUUUAAUUUUUUUUUCUUAAAUCGUAAUAAAUAAGAUUUUCAGAAAUUAAAAGAUACUUAGUUACUCAGCUUUUAAGUUCACAAAUUCAUAUAUAUUUCUCUUGUCCUUGGGUCUUUAGAUUUCGAUUUUAAAAAAAAUAAAGAAAAGUGUUCAAAUGUAGUUAGUAUCUCUAGUUUAGUUAUGAAUUGAUUACGCCAUUGAUUAAGCACAAAUUCAUGAUGGUCAUUUUGAAUCGACCGUUGAUUAAAAAAAUUCCUCAAAUAUUCACUCUAUAACAAUCCCAUGUUGAUGGCGUUGGGAAGUGUUUUCCAGAAAUGUUUUCCAUUUUUAAAAGCAUGAAUAUCGGGAAAAAAAAAAAAAAAGAGAAAUACAACGUUUUAGUUUAGUUAUUUUAAAAAUAGGCAUGUUUGAAAAUUAAAAAUUUUUAAAAACUAGCAUCAAGAUGAAAAAUGAAUUUAUAAUAUUUAAAAAUUACCUGAAAUUCUUUCUCCGUUCCUAAUACUAAAUAGUGUAAAUGCAUUUUCAUUAUCUUUGUUUUUCUGGACUUCUAUUUAUUUAUUUAUUUUUGUUUUAAUUUUUUCCUUUUUUUCUUUAACAAAAAAUAUCUAGUAGACAUUCAUGAUUUGUUAUUUUUCAUAAAACAAUUGUAUGAUUUUGACAUACUUUGAAUCUAGUUGAAUGCUACUCUUUAUUUUAAGGUUGGAAUUCCUAGUAGCCUGGUGAAUCUUGAUGUAUCAUACUGUGAAAAAAUAGAAGAAAUCAUAGGACAUGUUGGAGAAGAAGCGAAGGAGAAUCGUAUUGCUUUCAACGAAUUAAAACUUUUGGUACUUGAUCAUUUACCAAGGCUUACCAGCUUUUGUUUGGAGGAUUACACUCUUGAAUUCCCAUCAUUGGAACGAGUUUCUAUGACAUGUUACCCGAACAUGAAGACUUUUUCUCAGGGAAUCGUAUCCACACCAAAGCUGCACGAAGUGCAGGUGAGUAAAAAGGAAGUAUUAAGUUUUAUAUGAAACUGUGAUGUUGUUUGGUUACUAAGAAAAUAGGAAGAAAGAAAACUUCUGUAAGCUGAGAAUUCUGUUAUUAUUGAUCUAAUGAAUCUGGAAAUUACAAGCCUUUUUAUAUGUGCAUAGAAGAUUCUACACACAUUGCACACACGCACAGUUUACUACUAACAACCUCUAUAACAACCUUUAGCUGACUCAGCUGCCAUGUCAGCAUACUCAUUAACUAACUAAUUCUAUUCUUAACAGGAAGAGGGUGAAUUGCGCCGUUGGGAAGGCAACCUUAAUUCCACUAUACAAAAGUGUUACGAAGAAAUGGUAUGUGUUAAAUCGAUUCGUCGAAAUUACUUAUGCAUCUCCCUUGCACUUGCACAUUUGAACAUAUAAGUUUAAUGUAUAUAUAUAUCUAAUGCCUUUCAAGAAAAAAAUUUAUAUAUAUCCAGUGCAAUUGUUUUGGUUUGUGCAGAUUGGAUUUCGUGACAUACAGGAUUUGCAACUCUCACAUUUUCCACGUUUGAAAGAAAUAUGGCAUGGCCAAGCACUGCCUGUCAGCUUCUUCAACAAUUUAGUACGACUGGUGGUGGAUGACUGCACGAAUAUGUCGAGUGCUAUUCCUGCCAAUCUGCUACGGUGCUUGAACAAUUUGGAAUACCUGGCAGUGACGAAUUGUGAUUCACUAGAAGAGGUGCUUCAUUUGGAAGAGCUAAAUGCUGACAAAGAACAUAUAGGUCCCCUGUUUCCUAGGCUUUACAGUCUAAGGCUCACUGAUCUUCCAAAACUCAAAAGAUUCUGCAACUUCAUUGGGAAUAUAAUUGAAAUGCCUGAGUUGGAGAAUCUAACUAUUGAGAAUUGCCCUGAUAUGGAAACAUUCAUAUCCAACUCUGUAGUGCACGUGACAAUAGAUAACAAGGAACCUCAAAAAUUAACAUCAGAAGAGAACUUCUUGCUGGCUCAUCAAGUACAACCUCUCUUCGAUGAAAAGGUGAUUAUUAUUAUUAUUAUUAUUAUUAUUCCCUUCACUUUCGUUCGCAUAGAUGUAAUUUCAUAAGAAUCAAGUCAAAUUUAAUGACUCAUCUUUUUGCAUGUCAUCUUAAUUUAUAUAUGAUUUAACAAUAUAACCGCAGUUAUUAACUAUCUUUAUAGUAUGAAUUAUAAAAAUGUCUGGAAUUAAUUGGAUUCCUGGCAACACGAGGUGCUGAACUAUAUUAAUUAUGUGUGUUAAUUCAUAUUGGAUUUAGGAUCAGAUUUCAUUUAUGUGUUUCAAAGGGUAAUCGAUUUGAUACUUAUAUUUGGGAUCCUACUGCAAAGCAUACUGAUUUGGAAAUAAAAUAUAAAAUGCCGUGAUUAAUCUUGUCCAUAAAAUAUGCAGGGGAAGACUGCAGAGAUUGGAUACAUAUUUUCAUUUCCAACUUAAUUUUGUUGAUUUUCAGGUUGCAUUCCCUCAAUUGAGAUGGUUAAACCUGUCUAGAUUACACAAAGUGCAGCAUCUCUGGAAGGAAAAUGACGAAUCCAACAAAGCGUUUGCAAACUUGGGAAGUCUAGAAAUAUCGGAAUGUAGUAAGUUGCAAAAAUUAGUACCACCUUCGUGGCAUUUGGAAAAUCUUGCGACUCUGGAAGUAUCGAAGUGUCACGGGUUGAUAAAUUUAUUGACGCUCUCAGCAUCUGAAAGUCUAGUGAAUCUUGAAAGAAUGAAGGUAGCUGAUUGCAAAAUGAUAGAAGAAAUCAUACAAUUGCAGGUUGGAGAAGAAGUGAAAGGCUCCAUUGUCUUCGAGAAAAUGAACUACUUGACACUUGAUUGUUUGCCAAGCCUAACAAGCUUUUGUUCGAGUAAUUACACUCUUCAAUUCCCAUUCUUGCAAAAAGUAGUUGUGAGACAGUGCCCAAAGAAGAAGAUUUUCUCUCAAGGAGUCGUAGACACACCAAAUCUAAACAAAGUGAAACUCACCGAAGAAAAAGAUGAUGAUGAUGAUGAAGAAGAUGAUGAUGAUGAAGGAUGUUGGGAAGGCAACCUCAAUGACACCAUAAAAAAAUUGUUCAAUGAAAUGGUGAGUAUCAAUUAAGUUUUGGUGCUAUUUAGCAAAUUAUUUUAUAGAAACUAGUGUGACAUAAUAUGAUUGGUUGACUGAAAAUAUAUAAUAAUAAUAGUAAAUAAAUAAAUUAUGAGGAGCAUGUAAUGUUUUUGUUUAACCAAUCAUAUUAUGUCGCAUUAGUUUAUACAAUAUUAUUUGUGCACAAGAGGUGGUGGUCAUAUCAUUACUCUAGUUUUAUUAUUCUUAUGGUGGCAAUGUAUGCUUGCUUACACGAGUAAUUACAAAAUCUGCAGAAUUCUAAAGAAGAGAUUGAGCCAAUCCUUCAGGUACAGUGAAGAAGCUAUCCCGAACCAGGCCAAUCUCUUAUACAUGAUUUAGCUUGCUCGUUCUUCUGUACUUGAAUAAUUUGGCUCUACAUAUUUACAAUUUUUUGCUCAUGCUACAGACUUGCAAGACACUUUGGAUUUUGUUUGAUGCAUUCUCCGUUUAAGAAAGGACUUGAAUUGAUGUUUCAUGUUUCAUGCAAUAUUCGAUUAGAUUCUGUCUAAAUUUCUGUAUUAUUCGUUCAAUUGGUCUUUUAAGCAUUUGAUUUCUAACCUCUCCUAAUAGAAUAUCAUUAGCCGAUGAAAACAGCAUAACAUUUGUGGUUGUGGCAUUAUCAGAAUAAGAAUAUUUUUUAGUAUAGUAAAAUUAUCUCGACCACUGUUAAAAAGAAUUAAACAGUCAAACUGACCUUCUCACACCAGCACGCUUUAAAUUAAAAGAAUUUCAUGAAGUCAAGACCAUGUUAUAGAUCUUGUGGAAAUAAGUGAACCCGUAAUUUUUUUCACACCAUCAUAAGAAAAAUCAUUUUUUUUAAGUAUUUUUGUUAGCUGUUGAGUUUUAAUAGUAGUAGCUAUUAAACAAUAACAAUUAGUGUAUAUUAAAAAGUUGGAAACUGGUUGAUACCACUCGGGAAUCGAGCAGUUCACUUGUUUGCGAGUAGAAACCAACUUUACUACUAAUUACACUCAUACCAAAAAUAGUGACGAAAGAAUCAGGGAAUUUCCUAUUCACUAUUCUUCAUUUUUUAAUGCAAAAUUCCCAUUCGAAAACACCAAUGACUUUCAUUCAAAGUAAAUGAGAAAUUACAAUGAAAAUAGAAUCAAAAUACAUAUAUGUAUACCUAAAACAAAUGAUUUUUUUAAUUAAAAAAAAAAUACAGUUGAGGUGAAAUGAAACCAGAGUCAUGAUAUCUCUGGUUCCAACUUUGGGACAACAGCAGACUUGAGUUCUAUAUGAGAAACACGUACAGCACCAAUCAGCCGCUCCAGUAAUUCAUCUGUAGUAUUUGCCUGCAUACAGAAGAGCAAGAUAAAGAAGACAAACACAGAAGCAUUAUAUCAUUCUGAGAACAUUCAAGUAUGCAAAAAUGCAAGUUGCAGUGCAAUAUCUCAAAAUCAUGUCUUUUCCCUUGUGUCCAUUUAGCAGUGGGGGAAAAAAACAAUCAUACAUACCUGUACAAGGAAAGCCAUGUCAACCACCAAUGUCGUAAUUACACCAAUUACAAGGCCCAAAACUCCAUUAGCAACAGUAGAAGAAUCGAUGUCAACAUCAAUCUACAGAAAGAUGAACAAUGUUAAACCAUGUUAAAGGUAUUGGACGCUAUUUGAAAGGGGAACAUCUCAUGUACUAUAGAAAUUCCAAGAGCAUUUACUUCUAAGUACUUGGGACCGCGAAUAUAGUUACAAUCAACUGCCUUCCCCAAUAAACAAGGGGUGCUUCCAACACUCUGGCGCACUAUCCAUGACCCCUGCAUGAUUCAGUGCUUAAAAUCAAGAACAAGUGCAAAACAAAUUCAAGAGGGUAAAAAGGACAUAGUUUGAAUCUGAAUCCAAAUCCAUUAAUCCAGAGUUCAUAGCUUGGAUGAAGACUGAUCAACUUCUGUUGAGUUGGAUGAUGUCGUCGAUACAGCAAAAUCUACUUGCUACUGUGAUUGACUCCACAACUUCAAAACAGCUUUGGGAGACUCUUACUAGUAUGUUUAUUUCUUAAUCACAAGCUAGAAUCCAAACACUUAGAAUGCAGAUUCAAACUAUUAAGAAAAGUGCAAUGCAUAUGUCUGAUUACUUUGCAAAAGUAAAACGUAUAGCUGAUACUUUAGCUCUAGCUGGAAAACCUGUUGAGUUAAGUGACCUUGUGAUGCAUGUAUUAACCGGUCUUGAUUCAUCAGAUUAUGAAUCUUUAGUCACAGCUAUUUUAGCUCGAGGUGAGAAGAUAACAUUAGAUGAACUAUAUCCUUUGCUGUUGAAUCAUGAAAAUAGAGUUGAGCAAAAGAAAGGAAAAAUUGCUGGUGAUGUGAUGCACAAUAUAACAGCAAAUAUUGCUCAGAAGAACUCAUGCUGGAAAGAAUAAUGGCAAUUUUCAAAAAAAUUAUGGAAAUAAUUCUGGAGGUGGAAAUAAUUCUAGGUAUGGAGGUUUUAAUGGAUAUGGAUAGGGUCAGUUUAAUAAUGGUGGUAAUUCCUUUGAAAUUGUUUGUCAAAUCUGCUUAAUACCUGGUCAUGCAGCCAAUAGAUGCAAAAAUAGGUACAAUUCAUCUUUUGUUCCACAAAGAAACUAUGGCAGAGGUAAUAUGAAUGGUGUCAGAGGUUUUAAUCAAGGGCAAUAUGGUAGAGGAAGAGCUUUUAAUGGUAAUGGUGGCAGAGGUUUUGGAGGUUUUGGUUUAAAUGCCGGUUUUGGCUAUGCACCCAGGGGUUUUGGCUAUCAAGGAAAUAUAGUGUAUCCAGAUAGGAAUCCUUCUGCUUAUUACUCAUUCACCCUUGGACCAUCUACUUUUGUUUCUGGUCAAGGAAAUAAUAAUCCUGGACAGUCAAGUGCUUCAUCUUCCUCAGCUAUGCCUUCUUCACUUCCACCAGAACACAUUGAAGAUCCUUCAUGGUAUAUUGAUAGUGGAGCAACAAAUCACAUUACAAAUUAUCUAGGUAAACUUCUGGAUUCACAAGUUUAUACUAGUACUGAAAAAUUGUUUGUUGGAGAUGGAAAUGCAUGAGCUAUUACACAUGCAGGAUCAGUUGUGCUAAAUACUUCAACUUCUAAACCUUUAAGAACCAUCUUCUGCAUGUCCCUUUUAUUACUAAGAAUUUGCUUAGCAUUUCAAAAUUAUUGGCUGACAAUCCAGUUAUUGUUGAAUUUCUUGGUGAUUUGUGUUUUAUAAAGGCUAGGAACACAGGGAAAAUUUUACUUGAAGGUGUUGCUAAAGGUGACUUGUAUAGAGUCUCUUCACAUGUUGCUGCUCAUUCAGUCUUUCUCAUUUCAGUUGGUCAAAAUAAAACUCACUCUCUUUGCUUGUUCUCCUGUUUUCAAUUCUGAUCAGCUCACUGCUGUUAGUUCUUAUGAAUUGAAUAAAAAGUCAUGUCUGUCAGUUGUUACAAAGAGUUCUAUUGAUGUAAAUCUUCUUCAUAGAAGAUUAAGACACCCAGCAUCUUAUACUCUCAAAACUAUACUCAAAACUUGUAACAACUCUACUGCUUAUAAUAAAAUUGAAAGCUUGAAAUUUUGUUCAGCAUGUCAAUAUGGGAAAAAUCAUAUGCUGCAUUUUGAUUCAGUUGAAACAAAAACUUCAGCACCCUUACAAGUGAUAUAUGCAGAUCUUUGGGGUCCUUCUCAUGUCUAUUCUACCCAAGGAUAUAAUUACUACUUAUCAAUCUUAGAUGAUUAUAGUAGAUUUACCUGGAUAUUUCCAUUGUCAGCCAAAUCUGAUGCUCUUGAAGUGUUUACCAAUUUCAAAAUUUUUAUUGAAAAGCAUCUUCAACUUCAAAUCAAAACUGUCCAAACUGACUGGGGAGGAGAGUUCAGAACACUUUCCUCAUUACUCACUGCUUCUGGUAUCCAUUUUAGACACCCUUGCCCACAUAUUCAUCAUCAAAAUGGAAGAAUUGAGAGGAAACAUAGACACAUAGUUGAUGUAGGUCUGACCUUAUUAGCUCAAGCACAUUCACCACUCAAAUUUUGGUGGAAUGCAUUCCACACAGCUGUCUAUUUGAUAAACAGACUUCCAACUCCAGUUCUAAACAACAUUUCUCCUUUCCAAAAGUUAUUUCAUCAUCAACUAGAUUAUUCAACACUUAAAACCUUCGGUUGUGCUUGUUAUCCAACACUCAGACCAUACAAUAGACAUAAGUUUGAUUUCAGAACUGCCAGAUGUAUAUUCAUUGGCUACAAUUCACAACACAAGGGAUAUCAGUGUCUUCACUCUUCUAAGAGGGUUUACAUUUCAAAUCAUGUCACCUUUGAUGAAAAUUCUUUUCCUUGUGAGUCUGGAGCAGAUUUUUCUUCACUCUCUUCAAGUUGUCAGUCAACAAAAAACUAUAAGUCUUCUUUCAAUUCCUCUGUUCCUUCUGUUACUCAGUUACAAGCACCUUUAGCAGCAUCAUCAGAACACCAUCAAAAUGUUCAUCAUUUAGAUGCUCCUACUCCCUCACCAAAUUCUACUCCACUUUAUUUUUCUGAUAAUUCCAACUCAGCUUCUUCUUCUUCACCACCACAUAAUUCACCUCCACAUACAUUGCCACAACCUGCAUCAACUGGUCAUCCAAUGAUAACCAGGUCAAAAGCAGGUAUUUUCAAGCCAAAAAUUUAUUUGUCAGCUUUAUUAGCCCAAAAAUCAGAACCAACUUCUGUUUCCCAAGCACUUUCUGAUCCUAUGUGGUAUAAGGCUAUGCAAGAAGAGUAUCUAGCACUUAAAACUAAUCACACCUGGGAUUUAGUUUUACCUGCUACUCCAGUGAAGAUAGUUGGCAGCAAAUGGGUGUUUCGAAUAAAGUAUAACUCAGAUGGUUCAGUUUCAAGAUAUAAAGUCAGGCUUGUUGCAAAGGGGUUUCAUCAGACACAUGGGAUUGACCAUACAUAAACUUUUAGUCCAGUGGUUAAAGCUUCAACUGUUAGAGUUAUUCUUAGCUUAGCAGUAUUGAAUCAAUGGGUGAUUAGGCAAGUAGAUGUUAAUAAUGCCUUUCUAAAUGGCAUUUUAAUUGAAGAGGUGUACAUGGCUCAACCUGAAGGUUUUGUUGACUCAACUAAACCUAAUCAUAUCUGCAAGCUGAAUAAAGCUUUGUAUGGCUUAAAACAGGCACCCAGAGCCUGGUUUGAUAGAUUCAAGGAUGCAAUGAUCUCUAAACAGCAUUUCCAACAUUCAAGGUCUGAUAACUCUCUGUUUCAUGCCUGGAACAGUGGUCAUCUAACUCUUGUUUUGGUCUAUGUUGAUGAUAUUAUCAUCACUAGUUCCAGUCCAACACUAAUUCAGCAAGUUAUUCAGAGUAUGAAUCAAGCCUUUGCUUUAAAAGACAUGGGGGAACUUAGCUAUUUUCUGGGGAUUGAAGUCAGCAAGUCUUCAUAAGGGGUUUCCUUGACACAAGCAAAGUAUAUUACUGACAUUCUAGAUAAACAUGGCAUGACAGAUUGCAGUCGUGUGCCUACUCCAAUGUCUACUGGUUAUUAUCUCACAAAAGAAUCAGGAGAGCUAAUUGAUAAUGUUUCUCAAUAUAGGAGUGUUAUAGGAGCUCUUCAAUAUGUUACUCUUACCAGACCUGACAUUGCUUUCUCUGUAAACAAGCUAAGUCAAUUCCUUUCAAGUCCUAGAACACAACAUUGGGAAGCAUGCAAAAGGUUAUUGAGGUACUUAAAAGGCACUAUACAUCUUGGGCUGCAAUUUAAUAACAAAGGAGCUUUGCAACUACAUUGUUUUUCAGAUUCUGACUAGGCUUGUGAUCGUGAUGAUAAGAAGUCACUGGUUGGCUUUGCUGUUUACCUAGGCCUUAAUCUAGUCUCAUGGUCAUCAAAGAAACAAGCUGUUGUUUCCAGGUCCAACACAGAGGCUGAGUAUAGAUCUCUUGCUCAUGCUGCUUCAGAGGUUCCCUGGAUACAAUCUUUACUUGGUGAACUUAACAUCAAAUUGAGCUCUACUCCUAUGAUGUGGUGUGAUAAUCAAGAAGCAAUUGCUUUAGCUUACAAUCCAGUCUAUCAUGCUAAAACUAAGCAUGUCGAAUUGGAUAUACAUUUUAUCCGAGAUAAAGUUACUGCUAAAGAGAUUGAAGUAUGUUUUGUGCCCAGUCAAGAUCAAACAGCAGAUGUGUUGACUAAGGCUUACUUUCAAACAGUUUAGUUACUUAAGAAGCAAGCUGAAUGUUCAUCCUAAACAUUUCAGCUUGAGGGGGGAUGUAGUGAAUUGAAUGAAGUUGGAGCAAAGCAUGAUGUUGCUGUGUAGCUGACUGUAGCAGAUCAACUCACUAGGCUGACCUGGCAAAGUUAGUUAGCUGGUUGAGCUGAUGUGUCAAAUUAGUUAUGCAGCAAAUGGUUAUGUGAUGUAAAAAACUUGUGUGUGUGUUGAGCAAAUUGUAGCUUAAUAUAAAUAUCAGUCUGUAUUCAUUUAGUUGUAAUGCUAGAGUAAUAAAGGUUCUACAAACUUCUUUACAGCGCUUUCUUUUAUUUUCUUUCAUUUUCUAGCUUGCCAAACAAUACAAAACUAAGUUUCUUUCGGAAAAGGAAAAAUAAAAAGAAAAGAAUAGUUACUUGUGCAGUACAGCCUUGACGCCUAGCUACAUGGUCCAUUCUCUGUGUCUUUGAACCAAUCAACAGCAACAAGAUCCAUUAAAUGUUUUCCCGCAGGUAUCUGCAGUUACAAAUUGCACAAAGCACAAGAGCCAACCAAACUACAUCAUAACCUGUCGACCUAGCAUAUGCAGGAUAUAUAACUACCAUAACAAACAACCAAAAUAUGGGGGAACCUUUGUUUUGUCAUAACAAAAAUGCUUGCUACGAACUCUAAAGUUAUUUCCACCAGAAAGUUUCCAGCAGUCACGAGCAUUAUCACAGUCAUCGUGUCGCAGAUUGCCUGAAAAAUAAGAAAAAUCAAUUUGAUCAGCCUGCUCUUCCUCUAGGGUAGCAACUAAUUGAAAAUUAUAAACCAAAAAAAAAAAUCAAUACCAUAAAAAUCCACUAAUGAGGACAUUAGCCAAAUAUACAAAAAUGAAUACUUAUCAUCCACCUGUCCUCUUGAAAUCAUUCUCAAUCUUUUUUUCAUUUGAUGGCAGGAAUUAUUGAAAUUGGAGCCAUUUUUUUUGUGGGAAUUGAAAUAUAUUCUUUAAAUUAUUACAUAAAUAGCAAAAUGUACAUACACACACAUAUAUAUAAUUCAUAUAUAAAAAUUCUCUAAUUUGUUCACAAGUACCAUAGAUUAUAAUUCAGUUAUGAAAUAAAAUAACUACAAUAAUUAUAGUUAAAUGAAUACUUCAUUAAUUCUUAAUUUGCUUCCUAACAUUAAAUGAACAACUUGAGUCAGCCACCUGAAUCAACCAGUAACAACGCCUGAGUCAACCAUCUGAAAAAACCAGCAACCCUAGCUGAUUCAAGCACCUGCAAUUAACAUCAACACAACAGGAACAAUCAUAAAUCAGCACCAAGAACAGACCAAACUGCCAUCAAAUGCCACAAAACCAAACAGUCUGCUACUGCCAUCAAAUGCAAGCAAACAUAUGCAACAAAACCAGAUGCAAGUGAAAUUCUGGAGAAUAUCGGAUAAACCAAACCAAAUGCCACACUUCUAGUAAUUAGACUAGAUGCAGUGUUCAAUUAAACUAAAUGUAGUCUCAUAUUACAUUCAAAUUUUCUAAAAAAACCAGUGUUCCAUCAGAGAAGCACCAAAACCAAACCAAUCUAAUCCAGCAUAAUUACCAGCUCAACCCAAAACAAUUACACAUUAUAUUGACAUAUCAAAAUUCGCUAUCAAAACAUAGCCAAAUAAAUGACAAUAAACUGAAAACAGACCCGAACCAACUGAUGUUGCAGCCCUAGUAGUCAUUGUGCGUUCCACUGCCAUAGGAGCGAGGGUAGGCUCCGUUGUUGAUGAGUGAGUAAGAUAAGGCUCCAAAUCAAUAGUUCCACCUCCUUUCUGCAAUUCAAAAAACAGAAAUUCAUAUAUGUAAAACUAUUAAAAAGUGUGAAACAACCUGUAAGUAUUCAACUUCUGUCAACUCAAUAGCACUUACUAAAGUUUUUAUACAGAAGAAAAAGGCAUUUUAAGUCCAAAAAAUUAGAAUUAUUGGUUGAACUCCAACUCCAUCAAUCCAUGCAACCAUCCAACCUUUAACGAAAAAAUGAAGCAUAAUUAACAAGACAUCUGAAUCAGAAAGAUUGUGCUUUGAUUUGGCACGAGGUGUUGGAAACAACUUAACAAAUCUAGACACAAUCUAUAACCAUCAAGUCCAAACAAAAGUCAGGAUCUAAAAUACUUUGAAAAAUCAGAAAAACCGCAAAAUAUCAGUUUCAAUUUCUUUUUCACCCAUUGUAAGCUCAAACUGAAGGUAGCGGCGCUACCUUUAAACAUCAUUUGGGCUUAUACAUGUGACAUUUGCUCAUGAACAACUAAAGUUGAAUAAGAUUUUUAUAUGAAACGGAAUAUAAAAAGUCAAAGUAGAAUAUGACAGGACCAACAAUAUAUUAUUCAGCAUUAGCAUUAUGUAUAAAAUAAAUUUAGAGGCAUCAUAUUCAUUCACAAUCUUGCAGAGGUAAUACCAGAUUAUGGCACGCAACUCUUGAAUAGCAGAUAAAGGAGGAGAUGCAGUGGGAAGGUAGUAACUUGCUUGCAUGAGAACUAAAAAGUAAUAUCCCAAGAUCAAUUAUAGAUCUCAUAAAACAAAAACAGUGAGGCAAACACAAUUAUUGUGAACAAUUAUUCAUAGAACCACAUAGCAGCAACAAGAUCAAAGUCAUCUGUGUAUAAAUCGAUUCCCCACAGCUGACUGCCUCUGACCUAAACAUAAUGAAAUUACAUAACUAAGAAGUAGAGUCAUAAAAUAUGCUGCUGUAACAGCUAUCAAUAAAUUUCCAGACAAAUGGAAUUUGAUAUGUAAGGCUAUAACUAGCAACACUUCAAAAUAAUUUGAAGUAGCAUGAUCUUACUUUAAGGAUCAAUACUACAAUCUUUCAGAAAAAUUAAAGUCUAACCAAAAUUAAAACCUUAAACAUACUAAAAUCUGGUAAAUAGACCUAUAGGAAUUCCAAUGACCUCCAAAAUAUUUGAAAGAAAAAUUAAUUUACAGCAAAAAAUGUUAAAGAUUUGUAAAAUGGAGGCCCAUACUACUAUUCAAAUUACAAAAGAGGAAAGGGAGCUGGCCAUUAAAUGAUAAAGGCAUGCAUAAAGAAAUACGAGCACCACAUUAAAUGAUAAAGGCAUGCAUCGAGAAAUACAAAAAAUAUGCCCAUAAAGACGUCCACUCAAGCCUUAUAAGCGGCUUUAUGCAAAGGAAAGCCAAUUAGUUAACAGUAAAUGAAUUUCAAGGUGCAAUAAUUAAACUCCCUGAUCAGCACAUUUAAGGUUCAUGCAUUUCUACAAAACAUGUAAAUCAUAAGAACUUUUUUGGUCCAAAUGCUAACCAGUAAUUAAGUAGAUUAUCAAAGUAGUCACAGAACAAGCACCACAUUGAUUGCUAUGCAAAAGAUGAAAGUAAAAGUUAAUACUUUAUUUUAUUUUACUUUUCGAGAGUUUUGAUCAUCAUGUGCAAAAUAGUAGUAUAACUUGCUCAGUGUUAUCUCAAAAAGCUUGCUUAAAAUACCUAUUAGCACCAGUCCAAGUUGUCAAAUAAAUCCUUAUCUAUCCAUUCAUCUCUGACCUUGCCAAAAAGAUUUAAACGAGCAUCUAUAUUCUCACUCCAAUCUUUCACAAUCAUAGGCUUUAACUUAGACCAGUUCUUCAAUAUCCCUUCCACUGUGAGCCCCUCGAAAACCUUGUAAAUUGAAUCACAUUUGUCGUCAGUUUCAAAUCCAUCUGUCAAAAGGCUAAGCAAAUGAAUAUACAAUCAACACCAUUCUUCCAAACGAAUAUACAGUCAACACCAUUCUUCUAAACACAAACAAAGUUUGAACGUAUGACAGAUUUUUAGCCAUUUAAUAUUCCAUCAAAUAUAAUUAGAUCACACCUACCAAGGAUUUUUGAAAAGAAUGCAUUCUCAUCUUAAGCAGCAACCUCACUAGUAACACAUUUUCAUACCCUGUUUCCACCUCUGGUCGCACCACCAAAAAAAAUUCAGUACUAAUUAGCUUUAAUAUGUAAAUUUUCGCUUAGUUUAAGCUAGGGUUUUCUUUCGAUUGAAACAGAGGAAAGCUUUUGGGUUAUUAAAGUGAAAGAUAUGGAAUAAUACAAAAAAUUAUUGAAGUGAAAGAGCAGGAAUACAAAAAAUCAGCAGAUGAGAUCGUUGAAAGAUGCGGAGGUUUGUAUAUAAAUAUUAAAUUGAUCGUUGAAAGAUGUAUAAACCUCCAUAAAAUUGAGUUACGACUUGAAGGAUUGUAUAUAAACAUUAAAUUGAUCUAAUUUAACUUGUAUGUAAACACUAAAUUGUAUAUAAAUACACAAAACAGAACCAUAUCAGUGUUGGAAAAAAAAUAAGAAUCCAGAGUUAUAUAAAUUCAAUAAAAAAGUAUUGAAUUUUUUAUUACUAACUUUGAACACUCUAAUUUCAAUAAAAAAAAUAUAUUACUAAAAUAGUCUUAAUUGAAUUUAAUAUUAAAGAUAUUAGAAUAACUCAACACUAAUAUUCUCAAAUAUAUUUCUCUCCAUAGUCUAAUCUAAUCCAUUCUAAGAAUCCUAUAGAAAAUCUAUUAUUUACUUUUUCCUUAUUAAACACAAAAACAUGUCAUUUUGUUGCUAACUAAAAUUUUGGAACUAACAACAGCAGAUUAACUAAAAUUAUCAGGAAAAGAAAUCAAACAGGAUUUUAAUCGUCAUCAUCUUCACUCUUGCCUUUUUCUUUUUCUUCACACAUGUGGCUUGCACACGCAUUCCCCUCUCUCAUCCUUAGGGCCGCCCUUCAACAAUAUCCAAUCAUCGAUUAUAAUUAUUUAGAUUGACCAAAUCAAGCUUUGAUCAUAUAUCGGUUGAGGUUAGAAGUAGGCAGGCAGCAACGACAAUACUAAUUAAUAUCUCAUGAGAAUUUUAAAAAAGAAUCUAACGUUGCCCAAUUCGUUUGAUUUCAAUGAAAUCUUUCUCCUACCUAUACUUUCGCAUAUUCUCUUUUAUUUCCAAAGUUAAGGUUAUGGAUGUUGUAGAGUAAAAAGAUGAACAUUGCUAGGAAAGCAAUAAAAGGAAAUAAAUAAAAAUUAAAAAUAUAAAAAGAGUUAAGUCAUUUUUUUUGUCUAUUAGUGUUUUUGUAUUUAAUAACGAAAGAUAAAAAUGAAGUAAAUAUUAUCUGUUAGAUUAUUAAAAUACAUACUUAAAAUGUUUUAGUGACAAUCUAAUUAUAAAUUAAGGGUCUAUUUGAGAUUGAGAUUGAACAGUUAAAAUGUUAUAGUUGUUGUAGUUUAGAAGUUAAGAUGAUUUGAUUUUACACUUAUAUGAUAAAAAAUUAUUAUAUCUUUAUUAAUUUUAUCAAAAUUAUUAUUAAAAAAACUAAAUUUAUUAUAUACUAUUAAUUUUUAUUUUAUACUUAAAAUUUUUUUUUUCUUACGGCAAAAGUUUUAGCACCUCAAUACCCAACCAAGUCUAAAACUGCACAAUAAUAAUUAUGAGUGUGCAUGUUAAAAUCUACACACAUUCUUUAAUUUCAAUCAACAGUGUUACAAACUUAGUUAAAAUAUUAUAUCUGAAAUUAUUGAGGGGAAAAAAAAAGAAAAAAGAAUGUUGUUUUCAUGAUAGUGACAUGCGUCGUGCACAUUUUGCUGUUGGCUCUUUGGUCUCUAACCUAGCGAAUAGGUUGCUGUGUCCUCGUUGUUAGAUGCCCGAACCCAGCGCAAGAACUUUGUACGAUACCAUAUAUUUUGUAUGAAUUUAAGCUGAAGUUGGUACCUUUUAUUGUUUUAUAUCAUGACAUCAGGGAAAUUUUUAAUAGAUCUUCAUUUUAGGCUAAAGUACCCGAACAAUAGUUCCCAUGCACUUUGUGAUCUUUUUACAAAAUAUUAAACUAAAUAGCUGUGGAAGUAACAAAGAGGGCAACUUUUUACCAUAAUGUGAUGAAAAUAAUUUAUUUGUUGUCAUCACGAACUAACCAAAUCAAAACAAAAAACUAACUCAAAUCUGUGCGUCUAGUAACUUAUAUGAUGAUCAUUAGAUCUUGUUCUUGUUAAUGCGUCUAGUAACUUAUAUGAUGAUCUGAUGAUAUCCGUAACAUUAACAUACCCAUAAUCCAUUAUUUUAUAAUUAUAAAAAUUGAAGAUUCGGUCAUGCAAUUUUGUAUGAUGAACAGUGUUUCAUUUUUCUGUGAAACAUAAGAACAAUUUGUAAAUAAUGUCCAUGCGGACCUUGUAAUAGCGAAGCAUCAUUAUUGAUCUUACUUUGAUGAUCGCACUUUAGUUUCUUUUUAAAGUGCCUUUUGUUUAUUUUAUCGGCAUCCGCUUUUACAAAAGUUUUGGUCCUCGUUCAUUCAUCAAAGCUUCUACUUUUAUCUUUUAUUAGGCAUCUUAUAAAAAGCUUAAUUUAAUUGGAUUCAUGUUCGAUAUGAAGAUUGUUUUACUUACUUCAAUCUUUCAAUCAACCGAAUUUAUUCUUUUCUGAUCUGGAAAUUAUUCAUGAAAAAAUAGGCGCGUCAGUAGGACAACAGGGACCAAGUACAUAAUAUGAAAAUUCAUUUGUAUUGCUUACUCUAAUAAGCUCUUAAACUCACACAUUCCUCUGCAGUUACCAGUGAUCUUUUGCUCACUAAAAUUGUUAAUAUAUAUUCAAGGUGAAUAAAGAAACUCAUCAUCCCAGAUAAUUAAAGAGGUGAACUUGUUCUAAAUCCUUUAAUAAUUUCUAUUAAUAGCAUAUAUAAUCUCUAAUCCUUGAUCUUGAUAGUAGUUCUUUCUUAAUGUCCAAGAAAAAUAUCUCUCAUUUGUCUUAAUCUUGUCAUUUAAUUUUCUUGAAUUCUGAGUUAGUGUUUAUUGUUAAAUUCGGUUUUCGGUUAGUAGCUGUUGGUUAAUAGCUUCGGUUAAUCCUUGAAUUAAACAUAUUAAAAUCUAAUCAUAAACCCGCCUUUCCCUAUUUUACGACACCCUUUGUGUAAUAGUGACUUCAAAAGUGUAACAUAUUUUUGAACAAUUGCAAGGAAAGAACAUAUUUGACACUUCACGAAACGGUAAAUAUAUAAGCUUCAAUUCUUGUACAACAAAUUAAUAUAACCAACAUCAACCGUCAAUUGAUCAAUAAUUCAGUAACAAAAAGGGACAGAUAUCCUAGUCUUUCUUUACUAAUGAAGCAAGCCAUUAAACUUCGAAAGCUAUUUCUAUUUCCACAUUCUUCAUGUACCAAAGCCAAAAAAAAAAAAAAGCAACAAAAAUUUGGAAGUAAUCAUCUUUAUUCAGCAGCAUGCAUAUUAAUUAAAACAUAUUCAAAAAGAGAUAUACAAUAUCAGGUCUGGAGACGAAAUGAGCCCACAGAGACUACCAAUAAUGUAGUGGCUUGAUUAAAAAUAUUAAUCAAGCCACUACAUUAGAAGAACAAGAGUUAAUCAUGCAUAUUAAUUAAAAAUAUUUUUGCUAUCAUCCACCUGUUCUCUCUAAAUAGUUGCCACUUUUUUUUUUCGUUUGUCUGAAAUUCCAAGCAAAAAUAUAAUUAGAAGAACAAGAGUUAAGGGUUAAAAAAAUGGAAAAAUAGGGCUCCUCUGUUUUCAUUCCCCUGUUUUUCUGUUCGGUGAUUACAAAGAUUUAAAUCAAAAUUUAUGAUGCAGGCUACACGGCACCUGGUGGAAGACUGCUAGGGUUUACCUUUUAUUGUUAGUUAGAAAUUUAAUUUAGAAUUUGUAGUGUUUGCCUUAUAUAAGUAGGUUUCCUAAUAGUAAAAUUAAAUAAUCAAGUUUAUGAUGCACUAGGAUAUGGUUGUGAUAAAUGAGCUUUUUAUGUAUCCUGUGAGGCUGAUUAUUAUUUUAUUACAUUGAAGAUUCAGUCAUCUCUUGGUAGUCUUGUGAAUCAAGCGGAUUUAGUUAGUAGUAGGUAAUACUCUGGACUUCACAUAGUAAACGGAAUGGAGCAUUAUUUUAUCCCGCUAAAUCAGUUUUUUUUUUAAUUAAAAAAUAAUUCAUCAAACACUUUAUAGCUCUGGUUUUAAGUUGGUAAACACUUUAAGCCGCAACUUUAAAUUCAGUUUACGAGAACUCCUAACAGUCACUGUGGCUUGGGUAGAAAUGAAUAUACUAGCAUAAGUAAUGCUACCCAGGAAAUGUAGUUGAACCUAACCAAACUAAAACCAGAUGAUGAAAGCUUAUAUACGCCAAGAGAUUUAUUCGUUUCUGAGUUUGUUUCCAGAAACCCGGAACCUCCCCUGUUUCUACAAACACGGCACCUUUGUUUUCAUUCCCCUGUUUUUCCAUUUGGUGAUUGUAAAAAUCUAAAUCUAAAUUCUUGAUGCAGUCUACACGGCACCUGCUAGAUGAUUGUUUGGGUUUAUCUUUUAUUCUUAAUUAUCAAUUUAAUUUAGAUUCGUAGUGUGCACCUUAUGAAAGAUUAAAUAGAAUAAUGUGAAAAAAAAAGAAUGCCUUUGUUAAUUUUGACUUCAUAAUGUUGCAGUAACCGUCCUCUCUUAUCAUUCCCCUGUUCUUUGGUUUAGUGAUUGCAAAUAACAUUCUUUUCAUCUACUCUUUAUUUAUUUAUUUUUAAUUUUUAACUCAUUAAUUCUUGUUCUUCUUAAAGCGUUUAGUAAAUUAUAUGAUCACCUGAUCAAAUCCCUCACAUUAACAUACAACAUAACUAACAAAGUGUUGGCUCCACUGGCAAUGGAGUCUCCUCAAGUGGCUUAACUGGAUUUGCUCUCCAGUUCGACUCGCAAGGAAGUCGCCUUUGUUGGGAAAACUUGUACCAAAAACUCUGAUCUGUUGGCUUUGUAUCAGUAUUGCUUGUUUGUUGUCUUUUAUUUCAUUAUUUGUAUCUAAGUUUAUUUGAAGAUUACAGAUCAGCAGGAAAAGCCCUUUUUCUAAAGCUAACUAUACAGAUUUUAGAAUAGGGCUCAACCACAUGAAAAUAUUUACGUUGUAAUAUCUCAUAUUAAUAAUCUAAAAACAACCAAUCCAACAAGUUCAAAUUCAGUCAAAUCUAAAAAAAAAUUGCUUUUAAGGAGUACAUGAUAGCUAUUAAACUUUGGUUAAAGAUCUUUUGGGCAAACGUGAAAUUCAGUCAAUCAUAAAUCAACCAAUCCAACGAGUUCAAAUUCAUCACUUGCAAAAUUAAGUUUUCUUCCGAAAUUGAGUUUUUUCCAGUAGAAAUUUUCCCGCAGUCACGAGCACUAUCAUCAAAACAAGAUUAUUAACAUAAGAACAAGAGUUGAGGAAAAAAAUAUCUGUUUAUAUGGACACGGGGUGCACGCUUUAAGUCUUGUUCUUUUACAAUUCAAUUGUAUUGCUUACUCCCAUAAACUCCUUACUCACAUUCUUCUGCAGUUAACAGUGAUCUUUUGCUCAUUAAAAUUUUUCUUAUAUAUCGAAGGCCAAGAGUGAAGCUCAUAAACUCUGUGAUCCUAGAUAACCGAAGAGGUGCGUUUGUUCUAAAUACUUUAAUAAUUUCUUUCAAUCGCAUAAUUUCUAAUCUUUGAUCUUGAUAGCAGUUGUUUCUUAAUGUCCAACAAAAACUAUCUCUUGUUUGUCUUAAUCUUGUCAUUUAAUUUUCUUGAGUUUUAAGUUACUGUUUAUUGUUAACUUCUGUGUUCUUAUGCAGUAUUAUUAAUGGUUAAUUUGCAUCCAUCUUCCAAAAAAGUUUUCUUUCUUCAUAAAAUUGUUGGUUUUCCAUUCAGGCCCCUGAAACCUUUUUCUAAAAAGUUUUUUGUUGUCGUUUCUUUCUUUUUCUUCCCCGCUAGUUCAUUUAAUUUAUUUGAAUCCAUUUUUUUUUCAACAGCCAAAAACUAGAUAUUUAUAGUUAAGCAACAGGCAAUGGCUAUAGAAGCGUGUCUGGCUUUUUUAACCAACUGUGUAUCAGAAGGUGCAAAGUCACUGUUCAACCCUAUUACACGGCAGAUAUCUUAUGUGUUCAAGUACCAGAGCUACAUAGAUGAGCUAAAAGAUCAAGUGAAGCAGCUGGGAUAUAAGAGAGAAAUGGUGCAGCAACCAGUUAAUCAUGCUAGGCUACAAGGGGAUGAGCUUUUUGAGGGUGUCACAGACUGGCUACAUAGCGUUGAUGAAUUCAUCAGUGAAGGGGUUGCAAAAUCCAUUAUUGAUGAUGAAGAUAGAGCUAAGAAGUCCUGCUUCAAAGGAUUAUGCCCAAACUUGAUUUCUCGUUACAAGCUUAGUAAACAAGCAGCAAAGGCGGCAGAAGCUGCCGCUAGUCUCGUGGGAAAAGGCAACUUCUCCAAUGUUUCCUACCGUCCUGCUCCAAAGCGGGCAGAACAUAUGCAAGUGAAAGAUUUCGAGGCGUUUGAUUCAAGAAUGAAAGUAUUUCAAGAUGUUGUGGAGGCGGUGAAGGAUGACAAGGUCAACAUAAUUGGGGUCUAUGGGAUGGGCGGCGUGGGCAAAACCACGCUGGUCAAACAAGUUGCAAACCAAGUGAUGGAAGAUAAGUUGUUCGAUAAGUUCGUUAUGGCCGAGAUAACACAGACCCCAGAUCAUCAUAAAAUUCAAGACAAACUUGCUUUUGAUUUAGGCAUGGAAUUUGACUUGAAUGAGAAUGAAUUUCAAAGAGCUUCUCGACUGUGUCAAAGGUUGAAGCAAGAGAAGCGGCUCCUCAUUAUACUGGAUAAUAUUUGGACAAAACUUGAGUUGGAUGCGGUUGGAAUUCCUUCUGGAGAUGUGGAUGAGAAAGAUAGAGAGGACGAUCGGAGAAGACUCACAAUAAUAUUGACGUCUAGAAGUCGAGAUUUAUUGCGCAAUGAUAUGAAAUCUCAGAAGGAUUUCUCAAUUGAAGUUUUAUCAAAGGAAGAAGCAUUGCAAUUGUUUGGAAAGAUAGUGUGUAAUUCUGCAAAAGCAUCUGCUUUUCAACCUUUAGCAGAUGAGAUCGUUGAAAAAUGCGGAGGAUUGCCUGUUGCACUGAUUACCCUUGCAAAAGCUUUGAAAAAUGAGAGGCUUGACACUUGGAAGGAUGUGCUGCGUCAGCUAAGAAGUUCCAAUGCAAAAGAAAUUGAUGGAAUGGAAAGAAAUGUGUACAUCUCCAUAAAAUUGAGUUACGACUUACUGGGAAAUAAGGAAGCAAAAUCUCUGUUCCUUCUUUGUGGUCUAUAUACUGAAGGUGAUGUCAUACACGUUUCUGACUUAUUGAGAUAUGGUAUGGGUAUGGGCUAUUUUAAAAACGUUUACACACUGGAAGAAGCAAGGAGUAGAGUGCAUACGUUGAUCGGUAAACUCAAAUCUUCAUGCUUAUUGUUGGACGGUGAUGCCGAAGAUGAAGUUAAAAUGCAUGACAUCAUUCAUGCUGUUGCUGUAUCAAUUGCAGAAGAGGAGCUCAUGUUUAAUAUUCCAAAUGUUGCCUACGUGGAGAAAAAGAUGGAAGAGACAAUACGGGAAGGUCCAAUAGCUAUUUCUUUACCUUAUAGAGAUAUUCAAGAGCUUCCCGAAAGGUUGGAAUGUCCCCGUCUCGAGUUACUUUUGUUGUUUUCAAAGCGUGAUAGCUCUUUGCAAAUUUCAGACCUCUUUUUUCAAGGGACAGAAGAACUCAAAGUUUUAGAUUUUACUGGAAUAUUUUUCUCUUCAUUACCUUCAUCACUUGGUUGCCUCAUUAACGUUCAAACAUUAUGUUUAGAUGGUUGCCGACUGAACGAUGUAACUAUAAUUGGACAGCUAAGGAAAUUAGAGAUUCUCAGCUUCCGAGAUUCUGAUGUUAACGAGUUGCCACUUGUAAUUGGACAAUUGACGAGAUUACAGUUGCUAGAUUUGAGCAAUUGUAGCAGCCUUGUGGUGAUAGCUCCAAAUGUCAUAUCAAAAUUAUCUCGAUUAGAAGAACUAUAUAUUGGUAACAGCUUUUCACAGUGGGAGAACGUUGAAGGAGGAAGUAACGCCAGUCUUGUUGAGUUGAAGGGGUUGUCAAAGCUAACUACUUUGGAGAUACACGUUCGGGAUGCCGAAAUUCUACCGCAGGAUUUGGUCUCUGUGGAAUUGCAAAGCUAUAGGAUAUGUAUAGGAAAUAAGUGGUGGAGCAGCUGGUCCGUUAAAUCUGGAUUAUCAAGAUUGAUGAAGCUCCAGGGGCUAGAAAAGUUUGGCAUUCUUUUGCAGAAUUACAGGAUGAAACUGUUGUUGAAGAGAACUGAAUAUCUCUAUCUAGGAGAACUGAAGGGUGUUCAGAAUGUUGUUCAUGAAUUAGAUGAUGGGGAAGGUUUUCCACGAUUGAACCAUCUUUCUGUAAAAAGUUGUUCUGAGAUUUUGCAUAUUGUCUGUUCAGUUGGACGGGUUCGUCGCAAAGUCUUCCCCUUGCUGGAGUCAUUGUCUCUUCGUCGUUUGAUCAAUUUGGAGACAAUAUGUGACAGCCAACUCACAGAAGAUCAAUCUUUCAGCAACUUAAGGAUUAUAAAAGUAUCAGACUGUCACGAAUUGAAGCAUCUUUUCUCAUUCUACAUGGCCAAAAACCUACUGUGGCUUCAAAAGGUAGAAGUGUUUUUUUGCGAUGAUCUGGAAAUGAUUGUUGGUAAGUGUUGAAAUUAAGUGUUGGUGGAUUUAUGGACUUCGCCUCAAUUAUUUUGAAAAAAAAAAAAGACAACGACAAAGAUUAAUUAUGUAUAUUGUUUUAGUUUGUUUAUAGGACCCGACAUGGACAAACCAACAACUUCUUUGGGAUUCAACGAAAUCAUUGCUGAUGAUGAUCCUGCUCCAAAGGUGAUAAUUUUCUGUUCAAUAAUUAAUUGAUUAAUUUAUUAUCACGAUUAAUCUUCGAUCAUCAAAAGAAUAUUAUACUAGACGGUUGUACUUGAAGGAACAAAAAUGUACGGGUUUUCUUUGCAGGUUAUUCUUCCGAGCUUAGAGGAAUUGAAUCUCAUGUCAUUAAGAAACAUCAAAAAAUUAUGGGCCGAUCAUAAUCAAGGAAUGUACUGUUGUCAAAAUCUAACAAAGCUGCACGUGGUCGGUUGUCAUCGUAUGAAGUAUCUGUUUUCAUAUUCUAUGGUUAAUAGUCUUGCGAAACUCCAACAUCUUGAGAUAAGCUAUUGUGAGUCAAUGGAAGGGGUAGUCGACACCACGGGAUGGUCAGAAAGAGAUGAAGGAAAGUUGAUUGAAUUAAAGGUUUUUCCUAAGCUACACUCCCUGCAGCUAGAAUGGCUUCCAAGACUAAGUAGCUUUGCCAAUAUGGGACAUAUUCAUUCAGAUUUAGUUGUUGAAUUCCCUUCUUUGCUAAACCUCAUGAUUGGUUGUUGCAGUAAUAUGUUAAGAUUCAUCUCUACGAGCUCACCAGAAGACACCAUUCAUUCUGAAAUGCAACCUCCUCCUCUCUUUGAUGAAAAGGUUUUUUUUUUUUUUUUUAAUUAAAAAAAAUAAUUUUAGUCACAAUACUUGAUUUGUCUUUUCCUUGAGUCUUCAAAUUUAGUUAAUAUCCGCCUCUAAUUUAGUUAUCAAUUGAUUAUGCCAUUAAUUGAUUAACUAGUUAUUUAAUCUUUAACUGCCAGGUACGAGUUCCUAGGUUGGAGGUAUUAUAUAUUGCGUGGAUGGAUAACCUAAGAACAAUAUGGCACCACCAGCUUGCUUCGGAGUCUUUCAGGAAAUUGAAGAAUUUGGAGAUAGAAGAGUGUGAUAACCUAAUGAAUAUUUUUCCUCCAUUGGUAAGGUUGCUGUAUUCAUUUCGAUUUUUUUUUUCAAAUAACAUUCAACAAUUUUUUAAUCUUUUCUGUGUUUACAAAUGAUAUUCAGCCACUAAUUAUUUAUUUCAAAUAUUGUACUUCAAACCACCACUCUAAAAUCUACGUUUUAAGUCUAGUUUUUAGGUUCACCAGCAUUAGAAUCAACAAUAUAAUUUUUUUAAACACGAUUCAAUAGCAUAAUAUAAUUCAAUUUAAUUGUUUUUGCUCAUAUCUUAAUAAGUACGAUUUUCAAAAAUUAAAGGAUAGUCACUCAUCUUAUAAGUUCACAAAUUCAUCUAUAUAUUUCUCUUUUCCUUAGUUCUUCACAUUUCGAUUGGGAAAAAAAAAAAGAAAGUCUUCAAAUUUAAUUAAUAUCUCCAGUUUAGUUAAGAAUUGAUUAUGCCAUUACUUAACCACAAAUUCAUGAUUGUUUACAACUGACCCUUGAUUGUAAAGAAAUUUCCUCGAGUCUGGAAGUACUUAAUAAAGAUCCACUUUAUAGCAAUCCCUUGUUGACAGUACUGGGAAGUCUUUUCCAAAUUUUUUUUUUCCAUUUUUAUACAUACAUAAAAAAAAGGGGACCAAGGAAAAGGGAAAAAGAGGCAUUUUAGUUGAGUUUUUUUUAAAGGAAUAGUUGAAAUGUGCAAAUUUAUGCUUAAAAACUUAUAUCAAGAUGCAAAAUAAGUCUAAAGUAUUUAGAAAUUGCCUUAAAUUCUUUCUACGUCCCUAAUACUAAAUAGUGUAAAUACAUUUUUAUCAUCUUUGUUUAUCUGGCUUUUAUUUAUUUAUCUUGUUACCUUUUUUGUUUAACAAAAAAUUAUCUAGUAGACAUUUCACAGUUUGUUAUGUUCAUAAAACGUAUAAUUGUAUGAUUAAACAUACUUUGAGCCUAGUUGAAUGAUACUCUUACAUUUUUACUUUUUUAAUAUACACACACACACACACUCUCUCUGCUUAUUUUCAGGUUGGAAUUCCUACUAGUCUGGUGAAUCUUUAUGUAUGGAACUGCAAAAAAUUAGAAGAAAUCGUAGGACAUGCUGGAGAAGAAGUGAAGGAGAAUCGUAUUGCUUUCAGUGAAUUAAAACUUUUGGAACUUGAUGAUUUACCAAGGCUUACCAGCUUUUGUUUGGAGAAUUACACUCUUGAAUUCCCAUCAUUGGAACGAGUAUUUGUGACACAUUGUCCGAACAUGAAGACUUUUUCUCUGGGAAUCUUAUCCACACCAAAGCUGCACAAAGUGCAAGUGACUGUAAAGGAAGAUGGUGAAUUGCACCAUCGGGACGACAAUCUUAAUUCCACCAUACAAGAACACUAUACAAGAUCUCAUGGAAAUAAGUAAACCCGUAAUUUUUUUCACAGCAUCAUAAGAAAAAAUCAUUUUUUUUUUAGUAUUUUUGUUGGCUGUUGAGUUUUAACAGUAGUAGCUAUUAAACAAGAACAAUCAGUGUAUAUUAAAAAGUUGGAAACUGGUUGAUACCACUUGGGAAUCGAGCAGCUCACUUGUUUGCGAGUAGAAACCAACUUUACUACUAAUUACACUCAUUCCAAAAAUAGUAACUAAAGAAUCAGGAAAUUUCCUAUUCACUAUUCUUCAUUUUUUAAUGCAAAAUUCCCAUGAAAAUGGGAUCAAAAUACAUGUAUGUAUACCUAAAACAAAUUAUUAUUUUUAAUUAAAAAAAAACACAGUUGAGGUGAAAUGAAACCAGAGUCAUGAUAUCUCUGGUUCCAACUUUGGGACAACAGCAGACUUGAGUUCUAUAUGAGAAACACGUACAGCACCAAUCAGCCGCUCCAAGACACACGAAGCGUUAUGCCAUUCCGAGAACAUUCAAGCGUUAUAUCUCAAAAUCAUGUCUUUUCCCUUGUGUCUGUUAAGGAAGCACACUGAGCACGUGUGAACUAAGAGUAGCUGCACGAUAAGCAUGUGUUAGUUAAAGAAGUAUAUGCCAGCUCAGCCAAUUAGUUAAGCAGGCUUUUGAUUCUGUUAUAGUUGUGUACCUUGCUUUAAUUCUGUUUUUAUGAUGUAAGCAACGAGUAUAAACACUGCUACGUUUGUCAUUUGUAUGUUAUGGAAAGAAAAGAAAUCCAGAAUAUUCUAUUUCACUUUCUCAUGAAUUUUCUGAGCUUCCAAACAAAAUUAUCAGUUCAAUUUUAAGCUUUUCAACAGUGUCCAUUUAGACGUGCAAAAAAAACAAUCAUACAUACCUGUACAAGGAAAGCCAUGUCAACCACCGACCGAUGUUGUAAUUACACCAAUUACGACAAGGCCCAAAACUCCACUAGCAAAAGUAGAAUAACAUCUAUGCCAACAUCAAUCUAUAGAGAGAUGAACAUGUUAAUGGUAUCGGACGAGCUAUUUGAACGGGAAACAUCUCAUGUACUAUAAUAGAAAUUUUAAGAGCAUUUACUUCUAAGUACUGGGGACCGCGGAUAUAGUUACAACCAACUGCAUUUAGAAACAAAAAUUUGCGCUUGCGACAAGAGCUGAUCUCUUCAUUCCCCUGUUUAGUAAUAAAAAAAAAUCAAAAUAGCGGAGAAACAGGGCCCUCUUUUCAUUCCCCUGUUUGAUAACAAUAAAAACAAAACAGAGGAGAAACGUGGGCUCUCUUUUCAUUCCCCUGUUUUUCUUUUCGGUUUGGCGAUUUUAAAAUUUUAUAUCCACAUUCAUUAAAAAAAAAAAAAAAAGUUAUUCCAAAAAGAUUUUCUAUUUUCAUAUAGACGUUUAUUUAUUAACCAAAAUUUAAAAAGUGUAAUUCUAAACUUAUCCUUGUGCUUUGAUCUUGGAGGGGUUUUUCAUUUUUUCUACACUGGCCAUAUCAAUUAAUGAUGAAAGUUCUUAUCCUUAAUUGCUUUUGAAAUGAGUGAGCACGGUAUGACCCUUAAGAGAAUUAAUUAAUUGGACAAGUUAUAUAACGCCUUUGAUAUGGCUCCUAGACAUGUAUGCAAUUUGUAUCUUUCCUCAAGUAUGCAUGAGAAUACUUGAGGAAAGCUUCACAAUAGUUACGGCCGGAUCUGCACUUCACAAGUCCUAAUAGGGAAGUAUAAAUAUAUGCUUCUGGAACAGUGCAACUCUCCAUAAUAAGUACCUAAGAAUAGACAAAUUUUCAUUACAAUAGAAUGAUAAAUUAUAAUAAUAUUGACACAAUGAUGCCAAUAAUAAGAAUCUUAACAAAUCUACUAAUUUUAGAAUAUGGCUUAGAGUGCUACAAUGAACCACAACAAGUUAUCGAUAUUAUAAUAUCUAUAAUUAAUAUUCCAAUAAUAACUGGGGCUCCUUUGUUUUCAUUCCCCUACUUUUCUGUUAAGUGAUUGCCAAAUUUUUAUAUCUAAAAUUCUUCUAAUUUUAAACUAAGGUUUAUUUAGAAAAAAAAAGGGAGAGAGAGAGAGAGACUCGAAGAGCAUUAAAAAAUGUAAUUUUUAAUUUUCACUUAAGCAUUGUGUGACUUUUAUCAUUUUUUAAAGUUGGCCAUUUGUACUGAAUAAAUAAAAUAAUGGAUAGACUUAUGGACCACUUUUUUUCUGUUAUAUUAAAACAUGAGAUGUCUUUUCUUGAUGUUUUCAUCACACAAGAAUCUGUUUAUGUCAUCAUGCAUCAUGGGUUUAAAUGGGGUAAAUAAAUUAAGAUCGAGGGCAAGUUUGUUUAAGUUCUAAAGUUGCUGAAUAUAAAAAGGGCUGAUAUGAAAAUUACCUAAAGUUUCAAAUAUUGUUAUUCAGCAACCACUUUUAGGUUGCAUUAGUUUCUACACAAAUUUUAUAUAAAUAAUUUAUAACUCCCAUUAUUAUUUAAAAAACUGUAGCAAUUGUUGAAAAAAAAUUCUAAUUAAAGAAAUUGACAUUAUAAUUUAAGGGAUAGUUGCUGUUUUAAUCAUUAGAACUUAAGUCAAUUAUCCAGCUUAUCCUUGUAUUCUUAAAAACUAUAUAAAAUACCAUUAUCUCUUCUUUUGUAGCUAUUGAAUUCGACUUUCACAACAUAAAUAUUUAUUAGCAACAACUUAAAAUUCAAACAAAUAUAAUAUGUAAUGUAUGAAAUACAAAUAAUAGUUAAACAAAUUUUGAUUAUUUACUAUUAAAAUACAUUCACAUUAAUAUCUUAAGGAUAGGUGGUACUCAAAUAAUUUUUUAAAAAUCAGACCCAAAUUAUAUGCAUUGUUAAUAUGUAUUAUUGUCUAAUAUUUGGAUUUUGUUAAGUUACAACUGUUGUAACUUACGAUCUCUUCAAAAAAGAAAAUUGAGUCCCACCACCUAUUAAAUUUUUUACAUUAUUUUUUAAAAGACUGUAAGUUACAUCAGUUGUAACUUAACAGCACCCUUAAUAUUUUACUUUACUUUUAUAUCUUUACAAAACAAUACCAACAAGACAAUAAUGUAUGAAAUAAAUAAAAUAAAUAAAUAAAGAACUGAUAGCGAAAUUAAGUCUAUCAUUAGUUUCUUGUGGUGUGAACUCUUGACAAUUCUCCCACCUAAAACUCUCUAGUGGUGUGAACUUUUGACGAUUCUCCAAAAAUUUGUCAUAUUGCAAAAAGCAAUGUCAAUUGUAAUGUCAUUUCCAUUAGUCAUAGUGGCAGAUAGGACUAGAAAUUGUUGAAACCCAUUGACUUAUUUUUCUUUCUAAAAAUAAGAAAAGCACACCCGUCCGGGGAAAUAAUUUUGUAGUACCUCAUGUCGUGAAUAAGGGACAAUACGAUCCUUUUUUUAUUAUAGUAUUUUUAAAUUUAUUAACUAAAAAAUUAAUUCUAAUAUUUUAUAAUAAAUAUAAGUAGGAUAUUAAAAUGAAUAUAAUAAUGUAUACAUAUUAAAAUAAUUUCAAUAUCUAAAAAUAUUUUAAUAUUUUAAAAUCUCGUAGUCUAUUAAACCAAAUAAUAAUAAAUAGAGACAUAAUAUUCAAAUAAAUACAUAAAAAUUUAAAUUGUUUUCAAUAUCACAUAAAAUAAUUUUAAUAUUAUUAAUACAUGAGAAAUAUUAUAUUAAUUGUAAAAUCUAUUUAACCUAAGGAUUCAUUUAAAAUUUUUUGUAAUAAUUACAAGUAUUUUAUAGAUACAAAUAUAUUAAUUCACAUUUUAAAAAUUAAUAUUGAAAUUAAUUAUUUAAAUUUUAUAAAAAAUUUUGAAGUCUUUUUUUUUUUUUUGGCUACCAUCUACUAAGAGUAGUAUUAUGAUCAAAAGGGGUAUUGGUAUCCUAUAUUAAAAAUUUGAGGUCUACGUGACUAUUUUUCUAAAUUUUUAGGGUAUCAUUUUGUUUUUGACAAAAGUAAAAUUUCAUUUUUGACAAAAAUAAAAUUUCAUUUAAAUGGCUAAAAUGGUGAAUAAAAUAAUACUACAGUGGGCGUAAAUGGAAGGUAAGAAACAAUGAAAAUGAAUAGUCUAAUGUCACCACAGGCACAUAAGGCCAAAGUUUGUUACAUCUGAUCAAGGACAAUUUAGUAUGUGGAGUGGGUCCUGCGUGUCAUUUUUUGGGCAUCUACCUUCUUCAGCAUUGAAGAUUUGAUGUUGACGACAUUUUAAAAAUUUGGAAGACCCAUCAUACAUUUGGAUGGUUGUCAUUAUUUGAUAUUAUCAUUAUCUCGUGGUGAUCCUAUUAUUUAUGUGGCAAAAGAGGUAAUUAAAUAAAAUUUAAUUGGAUGUAACACUUGUUUCGCGUUGUGAACUUUUGACAAUUCCCCUAUAUCCCUCCAAAAACUUUCGUCAUUUUGCCAAGAUACCUAACGAUUGUAAUGUAAUUUUCAUUAUUCAUAGUGCCAGAUAAUGGAGGUCCAGGAACGGACCAGAAAUUAUUGCUACCCGUGGACUUUUCCAAUUUAUUUUUUUUCUUUUGGAUGGUUGACGUUAUUUGAUAGGAGGACGAGAUAGAGAUAGAGUUCUUAAUCGAACACCCGUUUUAUUUAAUGGGGAAAUUAUCAUUUCACCACUACUCUUUUGCCUUAUGCUCAUUCAAUUACUACAAAAUUUUAACAUGUUCUCUGCACUACUUUUCUUUUUUAAAUUUGUAUCAAUUACUCACUUUUAUACUAACACCAUUAAAUAAUUUAAACAAAAUAAUAAAUUUACCCCUAAAUAAAUUAAAAGACCAUUUUAUUUUAUAAAAACUUAAAAAAUAAAAAAUAAAAAUUAUAAUUAUAAUUAUAAAAAUACCCCUAAAUUUAAUAAAGAAAUAAAUCCCCAAAUUAGAAUUUUUAUUUUAAUAAAAAUUAUAAUUAUAAAAUAAUUGCAAAAUUUUGGGAUUUAAUAAACAUCCCCUAAAAUAUUAAAUUUUGGGAUUUAUUUUUAAUAAAUAAAUUUAGUUAUUUUAAUAAAAUUUUACAAAAUUAUAAAUUUGUAAUAAAAAUAAGCUGAGCGCCUCUAUUUUGGAUUAUUUUUUAUUAAAUUUAGGGGUAUUUUUGUAAUUCUAAUAUUUUUUUUCAAAGCUUUUAUAAGAUAAAAUGGCAUUUUAAUUUAUUUAGGAGUAAAAUUAUCAUUUCGUUUAAAUUAUUUAACAGUAUUAGUGUAAAAGUGGCUAAUCGAUUCAAAUUUAAAAAGAAAGAUAGUGCAGAAAACAUGUUGAAAUUUUGUGGUGGUUAAAUGAACAUAAGUCAAAAGAAAGAUGGUAGAAUGAUAAUUUCCCUAUUUAAUAUGGAAGAAGAUCUUUAAACUCUCAGUGAGGCUAUGGCUUCAACAGAUGCAGCCUUGUGGAAAGAGGCAACAAGUAAUGAGAUAGACUCAUUAUUAUCUAAUCAACUAGAUGCAUCAACAAGAUCUUAACUUAGAUUGGAACUUGAAGCAUUGUUGUUUGAAACAUUGGCUCAAGCCUUUAGAGCGAGGUUGGAUGCAAAAUGAUUUACAACAAAGAAAGGAAAAAAUAAAUUUACUAAUUUACAAAAUAAAUUUAGUAAAUUAAUAAAGUCAUUAUAUGAUCUUAAAUAAGCACUAAAGCAACAGCAUGAAAAUUUUGAUUCUAUGAUCAUGUUGCAUGGAUUUUAACAUAAUAACGAUGAUAAAUGCAUUUAUUCUAAAUUAAUGGAUAAAUAUGGUAUGAUAAUUUUCCUCAUUUGAGAAAGAAUUCUUAAAUAAUGUCCCAUAUUAAUUAGUAAAAGAGAGUCACUUGGGCUUAUAAGUAGUAGAGAUGGGCAAAAUUGGAUGCAGAUGAUAUUCGGGUUAAUAUGAUCAGAUUUUGGAUUGUUCGGAUUGAUAAAAAGUCAUAUGAAUGCAAUAUGAACUUGCAUCCAAUCCGAUUAUGUACGGAUCAUAUUCAAAUUGGAUGAAUAGUGCAGAUUAAUUUGGAUUCGGAUCAGAUCGAUAAUAUCAAACUGAAAUCGGAAUCAGAUGUGUUCGAAUAAAUCAGAUGAAUUUCAAUCACUUGCAAGUUGAAAUACAAAAUUGAAAAAUCAUAGAAAUUAAGAAAAAAAUGCAGCAAGCUAGCAAAUGGAAGAACAAAGGCAAAAAAUUAUAUUAUAAAUUAAUCGUAAAAAGGUGCUAUUAGCAAUUGUUGCACAAUGCGAAAAUGUCCUGGAACUCGCUGUGUAGACAUGCAAAAGUUCCGUAAGUGCAUUAACAAUUAUUUUCCAAAAAAAGGUUGUUGCGUCAAUAUUAAAGGAAUUGACAUCCAGGGACCCAGUUUAGUUGCUUAAUGAUUAAUUAAUUAAUCAAUUUAUAAUAUAUUAAUCUUUUAAGUUGAAUACUUAAAAUCUUAGACCCCAAACAAUAAAUCAUCUGAGUAAUAUAAAAGAGAAAUUAUCAUCCUAUUUUUUAUUUGACUUCUUGUAGCUUAUAAAAGAGAAAUUAUCAGUCAUUUACUCAAAGUUUAUUCAGUUAUUAAAAUUAAUAUAAAAUUUAAAUUUAUUUAAUUUUACACUCAAUGUAUGCAAUUUGUAUUAAACAUCCGUUAAAAACAUAAAGUUAUUCCAUCAAAGUGACAAAAUAGAAGCGAACACAAAAUUGUAUUGGUGAUUAUGUUUUAAGAGUAAUUUUAUCUUUUUAGUAAACAGUUAUCCACAUUGUAACAAUGGGUAUAAAAUUAAGUAUAUUUAAAUUUUUAUAACUUUUAGGAUAAUAAGAUAAUUUUUAGGUGGAUGACUGAAAAUUUUUCUUUUCAAAAUAUUUUGAAAACAAUACCAAAUGUACCAAAACAUUGUUUACUUACACUCUAUAUAUAUAUAUAUAUAUAUAUAUAUAUAUAUAUAUAUUUAAUUUCUUAACUCAUUCUUAUCCUUAUUCUUGCUAACAUAUCCACAAUCUGUCAAUGAAAUUUACUUUUAUAAAUUUGAAGAUUCUUUCAUGCAAUUUUGUACGAUAAUGAGUUCUCAUGUCUCUGUUAAAAAAGAAUUCGUAAAUAAUACAAAUGAAAAAAAAACAAAAAGUAGCAGGGCUGGCAAUACAAACCAUAACUUUUUUUCUUUGAAAUAUGCAUAAAUAAAGUUAAUAGUGAUGUGUCAGCACGAUCUUGAGAGCACGGCUUGGAGUCUCAAUAAUUAUUGACACUCAUAUUUGAAAACUUUUGAAAAGAUAAAAUCCAAUAUGAAAGGUGAAAUGUUAUAAUCAUAGUAACUAGAAAAUUGAUUGAUUUACAAAUAUCAAUUUAAACAAUUUUCAUGUUGAUCGACAAUUUAAGUAGAUUGACAAAGAUUGAAGUAAUUACUGUUGGUGAUUGAUUGACUUUGUCCUUAUCCUUGCCUUCUUCUUAUCAAAAAUCGAGUGUCAAUUAAAUUGGGCCAGGGCUUCUGAUUGCAACUAAUAGACUUCAUAUACGCAUAAUGCUCCCUACGGACAUACGUACCAGUAUUUGAUUGAAAAAGGGAUGCGUGCUUAAUGCUCAAGUCGUCUUCUUCUGGAAAUUCAUUGUUAUUACUCUCAUCAACUCGUUACUCACAUUCCUCUUUAGUCAACAGAGAUCUUUUGCUCAAUAAAAUUUUUCUUCUAUAUUCAAGGUGAAUACAGCAGCUCAUCAACUCUGAUCCCAGACAGGUAAAGAGGCGCACUUGUUCUAAAACCUUUAAUAUUCUUUUAGUAACAGAAUCUCUGAUACUUGUUCUUCAUAGCGGUUCUUUCUUAAUUUCCAUCACCUUUCCUAGGAAAAAAUUCUUUGGUUUUUCUUAAUCAUAUCAUUUAUUUUUCUGAAGUCAUAUAAUUUAGUUUUAGUAGCAGAAUACUUGAUAUUGAUAGCGGUUCUUUCUUAAUUUCCAUCAACUUUCCUUGAAGGAUACCUUUCUGUUAAUAGCAAAACAUCUGAUCCUUAAGAUAGAAAAAGAAAUUCUCUAUUUAGGUAUCAGUUGGUUCAAGAUCAAUAUCGCGAUGUUGUUUGCGGUCUUUUCUUUCUCCGUCUUUCCCUUUAGUUCAGUUUAAUUUAUUUGUUUUCCUUUCUUUGAUAUAUUAUUAGAUUUGUUAAGUAGCAGACAAUGGCAGAAGUUGGUCUGGCUGCUUUUUCCAGCAUUGUAUCAGAAGGUGCAAAGUCACUGUUCAAACCGAUUAUACGGCAGAUAUCUUAUGUGUUCAAGUACCAGAGCUACAUAGAUGAGCUAAAAGAUAAAGUGAAGCGGCUGGAACAUAAAAGAGAAAGGGUGGAAAUACCCGUUCAUCAGGCAACUCAACAAGGAGAUGAGAUUUAUAAGGAUGUUGCAGACUGGCUUAAUAGCGUCAAGGAAUUCACUCAGGGAGCUGCAAAAUCCAUCACUGAUGAUGAAGAUAGAGCUAAGAAGUUCUGUUUCAAAGGAUUGUGCCCAAACUUGAUCUCUCGUUACAAGCUCAGUAAACAAGCAGCAAAGGCUGCAGAAGCUGCCGCUAGUCUCGUGGGAAAAGGCAACUUCUCCAAUGUUUCCCACCGUCCUACUCCAAAGCUGGUAGAACAUAUGCAAGUGAAAGAUUUCGAGGCCUUUGACUCAAGAAUGAAAGUAUUUCAAGAUGUUUUGGAGGCGUUGAAGGAUGAUAAGCUCAAGAUAAUUGGGGUCUACGGGAUGGGCGGCGUGGGUAAAACCACGCUUGUCAAGCAAGUUGCGAAGCAAGUGAUGGAAGAUAAGUUGUUCGAUAAGGUCGCUAUGGCUGAGGUAACAGAGAACCCAGAUCAUCAGAAAAUUCAAGACAAACUAGCUUCUGAUUUAGGCAUAAAGUUUGAGUUGAAUGAGAGUAUAUUCGACAGAGCAAAUCGACUAUGUGGAGUAUUGAAGAACAAGGAGCGGCAUCUCAUUAUAUUGGAUAAUAUUUGGAGAGAACUGGAGUUCGAUAAAGUUGGAAUUCCUUCCAGGGAUGUCGAGAAAGAAAGAAUGGAUGAUCAGAGACGAUGCACAAUAAUACUGACGUCUAGACGUCAAGAUUUAUUGCGCAAUAUUAUGAAUUCUCAGAAAGAAAUCCAGAUCGAUGCUUUAUCAAAAGAAGAAGCAUUGCAUUUAUUUAAGAAGAUAGUGGGUGAUUCAAUGAAAACAUUUGCUUUUCAAUCUAUAGCAGAUGAGAUCGUUGAAAGAUGCGGAGGACUGCCUGUUGCACUGAUUACACUUGCAAAAGCUUUGAAAAAUGAGAGGCUUGACACUUGGAAAGAUGUGUUGAAUCAGCUAAGAAGUUCCAAUGCAAAAGAAAUUGAUGGAAUGGAAAUAAAUGUGUACAUCUCCAUAAAAUUGAGUUACGACUUAUUGGGAAGUAAGGAAGCAAAAUCUCUGUUCCUUCUUUGUGGUCUAUUUAGUGAAGGUCAUGCUAUACCAGUUUCUUCCUUAUUGAGAUAUGGUAUGGGUAUGGGCUAUUUUAAAAACGUUUACACACCGGAAGAAGCAAGAAGUAGAGUGCAUACGUUGAUCGGCAAACUCAAAUCUUCAUGCUUAUUGUUGGACGGUGAUACUGAAGCUAAAGUUAAAAUGCAUGACGUCAUUCAUGCUGUUGCUGUAUCAAUUGCAGAAGAGGAGCUCAUGUUUAAUAUUCCAAAUGUUGCCGACUUGGAGAAAAAGAUGGAAGAGACAGUACAGGAAGGUCCAAUUGCUAUUUCUUUACCUUAUAGAGGUAUUCAAGUGCUUCCUGAAAGGUUGCAAUGUCCCUGUCUUGAGCUAUUGCAUACGGAGGGUGAUGGCUCUAUGCAAGUUUCAGACCACCUUUUUAAAGGGACGGAAGGACUCAAAGUUUUGAAUUUUAAUCGAAUUCACUUCUCUUCAUUACCUUCAUCACUUGGUUGCCUCAUUAACCUUCAAACAUUGUGCUUAGACUAUUGCCGACUAAAAGAUAUAGCAAUAGUUGGACAGCUAAAGAAAUUAGAGAUUCUCAGCCUUGUAUAUUCCGAUAUCAAGCAGUUACCACUUGAAAUUGGACGAUUGACGCGGUUACAGUUGCUAGAUUUGAGCAAUUGUUGGAGCCUUGAGUUGAUACCACCAAAUGUCAUAUCAAAAUUAUCUCGAUUAGAAGAAUUGUUUAUGCAUAACAGCUUUUCACAGUGGGAUAAGGUAGAAGGAGGAAGUAAUGCCAGUCUUGUCGAGUUGAAGGGGUUGUCAAAGCUAACUACUUUGGAGAUACAUGUUUCGGAUUCCGAAAUUCUGCCGCUGGAUUUUGUCUCUGUGGAAUUGGAAAGAUAUAAGAUAUUUAUAGGACAAAUGUCUGUCCGGUGGCUCGUCGAAUCUAAAACAUCAACAUUGAUGGUGCUCAAGGGGCCAGAACAAGUUAGCCUUCUUUUGGGGAAUGAUGGGACGAAAAUGUUGCUGAAGAGAACUGAAGAUCUCCGUCUAUGCUCACAGAAGGGUGUUCAGAAUAUUGUUCAUGAAUUAGACGAUGGGGAAGGUUUUCCACGAUUGAAGCAUCUUCAUGUAAAAAGUUGUUCUGAGAUUUUACAUAUUGUCGGUUCAGUUGGACGGGUUCGUUGCGAAGUCUUUCCCUUGCUGGAGUCAUUGGAUCUUAUUAAUUUAACUAAUUUGGAGACGAUAUGCUACAGCCAACUCAGAGAAGAUCAAUCUUUCAGCAACUUAAGGAAAAUAAACGUAGAUUUCUGUCCAAAAUUGAAGUAUCUCUUCUCAUUCUCUAUGGCCAAAAACCUAUUGCGGCUUCAAAAAGUAAAAGUGGAAAACUGCGAUGAUUUGAAAAUGAUUAUUGGUAAGUGUUGAAAUUAAUUAUUGGUAGGAUUAUUGACAUUGACUCAUUCUUUUUUUCUUUUCUUUUUUUUUUUUUGGUGAAAAAAACAACGGAUGUUUAUUAUAUAUUGUUUUUGUUCAUUUAUAGGGCCCGACAUGGAGAAACCAACAACAACUCAGGGAUUCACAGAAAUCAUUGCAGAGGAUGAUCCUGUUCACCAAGUAAUAAUUUUCUGUUUAAUAAUUAAUUAAUUAAUAUAUUAUCACGAUUGAUCUUCAAUCAUCGAAAGAAUAUUAUAUUAGAAGUUGUAGUUGAAGGAACAAAAAUGUAUGGUUUUUCUUUGCAGGUUACUUUUCCACGCUUGGAGGAACUGAAACUUGUCAGUUUAACAAACAUCAAAAAAUUAUGGCCCGAUCAAUUUCAUGGAAUGUAUUGUUGUCAAAAUUUAACAGAAGUGACCGUGUUCGGUUGUGAUCGUCUGAAGUAUCUGUUUUCAUAUUCUAUGGUUAAUAGUCUUGGGCAACUCCAACAUCUUGAGAUACGAAAUUGCUGGUCAAUUGAAGGGGUAGUCAACACCACGGGGUUAGGAGGAAGAGAUGAAUUGAAGGUUUUUCCCAAACUACACUACCUGUCGCUCCAUUGGCUUCCAAAACUAAGUAGCUUUGCCUCACCAGAAGACGUCAUUCACACUGAAAUGCAACCUCAAUCCCUCUUUGAUGAAAAGGUUUUUUUUCAUUGAAUUUUUAAAUUCUCUUUUCGUUGAGUCUUCAAAUUUAAUUAAUAUCCAUCUCUAACUGCAUUGAAUUUUCAACUUCAGGUACGACUCCCAAGUCUGGAGGUAUUACAUAUUAAGAGGCUGGAUAAGUUGAGAAAAAUAUGGCACCACCAGCUUGCUUCGAAGUCAUUUAACAAAUUGAAAAAAUUUGAGAUAUCAGGGUGUCAUAAUCUACUGAAUAUUUUUCCUCCAUUGGUAAGAUUGCUAUAUUCAUUUUGAAUUUUUAUUUCAAAUAACAUUCAACAAUUAUUUUAAUCAUUUUUGUGUUUACAAAUAAUUUUCAUUCACAAAUUAUUUAUUGCAAGUAUUGUACUUCAAACUUCUGGAGGGAAAAAAAGUAGUGUACUUCAAAUCACCAUUCUGAACUCUGCAUUUUCAAUCUAAUUUAUAGGUUCACCUGCAUUAAAGUCAACAAUAUAAUUGUUUUAAACACGAUUCAACAGCAUAAUAUGAUUCAAUUUAAUUGUUUUUUUUCUUAAAUCCUAAUAAAUAAGAUUUCCAGAAAUUAAAAGAUACUUAGUUACUCAGCUUUUAAGUUCACAAAUUCAUAUAUAUUUCUCUUUUCCUUGGGUCUUUAGAUUUCGAUUUUAAAAAUAAAAUAAAGAAAAGUGUUCAAAUGUAGUUAAUAUCUCUAGUUUAGUUAUGAAUUGAUUACGCCAUUGAUUAAGCACAAAUUCAUGAUGGUCAUUUUGAAUCGACCGUUGAUUAAAAAAUUUCCUCAAAUAUUCACUCUAUAACAGUCCCAUGUUGAUGGCGUUGGGAAGUGUUUUCCAGAAAUGUUUUCCAUUUUUAAAAGCAUGAAUAUCGGGAAAAAAAAAAAUGGGAAAUACAGCGUUUUAGUUUAGUUAUUUUAAAAAUAGGCAUGUUUGAAAAUUAAAAAUUUUUAAAAACUAGCAUCAAGAUGAAAAAUGAAUUUAGAAUAUUUAAAAAUUACCUGAAAUUCUUUCUCUGUUCCUAAUACUAAAUAGUGUAAAUGCAUUUUCAUUAUCUUUGUUUUUCUGGUCUUCUAUUUAUUUAUUUUUGUUUUAAUUUUUUCCUUUUUUUCUUUAACAAAAAAUAUCUAGUAGACAUUCAUGGUUUGUUAUUUUUCAUAAAACAAUUGUAUGAUUUUGACAUACUUUGAAUCUAGUUGAAUGCUACUCUUUAUUUUCAGGUUGGAAUUCCCAAUAGUCUAGUGAAUCUUAAUGUAUCAUACUGUGAAAAAAUAGAAGAAAUCAUAGGACAUGUUGGAGAAGAAGCGAAGGAGAAUCGUAUUGCUUUCAACGAAUUAAAACAUUUGGAACUUGAUCAUUUACUAAGGCUUACCAGCUUUUGUUUGGAGAAUUACACUCUUGAAUUCCCAUCAUUGGAACGAGUAUCUGUGACACAUUGUCCGAACAUGAAGACUUUUUCUCAGGGAAUCGUAUCCACACCAAAGUUGCACGAAGUGCAGGUGAGUAAAAAGGAAGUAUUAAGUUUUAUAUGAAACUGUGAUGUUGUUUGGUUACUAAGAAAAUAGGAAGAAAGAAAACUUCUGUAAGCUGAGAAUUCUGUUAUUAUUGACCUAAUGAAUCUGGAAAUUACAAGCCUUUUUAUAUGUGCAUAGAAGAUUCUACACACAUUGCACACACGCACAGUUUAAUACUAACAACCUCUAUAACAACCUUUAGCUGACUCAGCUGCCAUGUCAGCAUACUCAUUAACUAACUAAUUCUAUUCUUAACAGGAAGAGGGUGAAUUGCGCCGUUGGGAAGGCAACCUUAAUUCCACUAUACAAAAGUGUUACGAAGAAAUGGUAUGUGUUAAAUCGAUUCGUCGAAAUUACUUAUGCAUCUCCCUUGCACUUGCACAUUUAAGUAUAUACACCUGCCUUGUAUAUAUAGUUUUAGAAGUUAAAACACAAAACAUGUAAGUUUAAUGUAUAUAUAUCUAAUGCCUUUCAAAAAGAAAAAAAAUUGUAUAUAUCCAGUGCAAUUGUUUUGGUUUGUGCAGAUUGGAUUUCGUGACAUAAUGCGUUUGCAACUUUCGCAUUUUCCACGUUUGCAAGAAAUAUGGCAUGGCCAAGCACUGCCUGUCAGCUUCUUCAACAAUUUAAGAGAGCUGGUGGUGGAUGACUGCACGAAUAUGUCGAGUGCUAUUCCUGCCAAUCUGCUACGGUGCUUGAACAAUUUGGAAUACCUGGCAGUGAGGAAUUGUGAUUCACUAGAAGAGGUGCUUCAUUUGGAAGAACUAAUUAAUGCUGAGGAAGAACAUUUUGGCCAACUGUUCCCUAAUCUUUACGAGCUAAAGCUCAUUGAUCUUCCAAAACUCAAAAGAUUCUGCAACUUCACUGGGAAUAUAAUUGAACUGCCUAAGUUGGACAAUCUAACUAUUGAGAAUUGCCCUAGUAUGGAAACACUGCCUGUCAGCUUCUUCAACAAUUUAAGAGACCUGGUGGUGGAUGACUGCACGAAUAUGUCGAGUGCUAUUCCUGCCAAUCUGCUACGGUGCUUGAACAAUUUGGCAUGGCUGAAAGUGAGGAAUUGUGAUUCACUAGAAGAGGUGCUUCAUUUGGAAGAGCUAAGUGCUAAGGAAGAACAUAUAGGCCCCAUGUUUCCUGAGCUUUCCCUGCUAGGGCUCAUUGAUCUUCCAAAACUCAAAAGAUUCUGCAACUUCACUGGGAAUAUAAUUGAAAUGCCUAAGUUGGAAUAUCUCAUUAUUGAGAAUUGCCCUGAUAUGGAAACAUUCAUAUCCAACUCUGUAGUGCACGUGACAACAGAUAACAAGGAACCUCAAAAAUUAACAUCAGAAGAGAACUUCUUGCUGGCUCAUCAAGUACAACCUCUCUUUGAUGAAAAGGUGAUUAUUAUUAUUAUUAUUAUUUUUCCCUUCACUUUCGUUUCAUAGAUGUAAUUUCAUUAGAAUCAAAUCAAAUUUAAUGACUCAUCUUUUUGCACGUCGUCUUAAUUUUUAUAUGAUUUAACAAUAUAACUGCAGUUAUUAACUAUCUUUAUAGUAUGAAUUAUAAAAAUGUCUGAAAUUAAUUGGAUGCCUGAUAACACGAGGUGAUCUAUUAAUUAUGUGUAUUACAUCUCUGUUUUCCUAGCUAAUUCAUAUUGGAUUUAGCAUCAGAUUUCAUUUAUGUGUUUCAAAGGGUAAUCGAUUUGAUACUUAUAUUUGGGAUCCUACUGCAAAGCAUACUAAUUUGGAAAUAAAAUAUAAAAUGCCGUGAUUAAUCUUGUCCAUAAAAUAUGCAGGGGAAGACUGCAGAGAUUGGAUACAUAUUUUCAUUUACAACUUAAUUUUGUUGAUUUUUAGGUUGCAUUCCCUCAAUUGAGUUGGUUAACGCUAUCUGGAUUACACAAAGUGCAGCAUCUCUGGAAGGAAAAUGACGAAUCCAACAAAGCGUUUGCAAACUUGGCAAGUCUAGAAAUAUCGGAAUGUAUUCAGUUGCAAAAAUUAGUACCACCUUCGUGGCAUUUGGAAAAUAUGUGGGGACUGGAAGUAUCGAAGUGUCACGGGUUGAUAAAUGUGUUGACGCUCUCAGCAUCUAAAAAUCUAGUGAACCUUGAAAGAAUGAAGAUAGCUGAUUGCAAAAGGAUAGAAGAAAUCAUACAGUCGCCGGUUGCAGAAGAAGCGAAAGAUUGCACUGUUUUCAAGAAAUUGAAGUACUUGACACUUGAUUGUUUGCCAAGCCUAACAAGCUUUUGUUUAGGUAAUUACGCUCUUGAAUUCCCGUCCUUGAAACAAGUAGUUGUGAGACAGUGUCCAAAAAUGAAGAUCUUCUCUCAAGGAGUCUUAGACACACCAAUGCUAAACAAAGUGAACGUCACCGAAGAAGAAAAAGAUGAUGAUGAUGAAGGAUGUUGGGAAGGCAACCUCAAUGACACCAUAAAAAAAUUGUUCAAUGAAAUGGUGAGUAUCAAUUAAGUUUUGAUGCUAUUUAGCAAAUUAUUUUAUAGAAACUAAUGUGAUAUAAUAUGAUUGGUUGACUGAAAAUAUAUAAUAAUAAUAAUAAUAAUAAAUAAAUAAAUAAAUAAAUUAUGAGGACCAUGUAAUGUUUUUGUUUAAUCAAUCAUAUUAUGUCGCAUUAGUUUAUACAAUAUUAUUUGUGCACAAGAGGUGGUGGUCAUAUCAUUACUCUAGCUUUAUUAUUCUUAUGGUGGCAAUGUAUGCUUGCUUACACGAGUAAUUACAAAAUCUGCAGAAUUCUAAAGAAGAGAUUGAGCCAACCCUUCAGGUACAGUGAAGAAGCUAUCCCGAACCAGGCCAAUCUCUUAUACAUGAUUCAGCUUGCUCGUUCUUCUGUACUUGAAUAAUUUGGUUCUAUAUAUUUACAAUUUUUCGCUCAUGCUACAGACUUGCAAGACACUUUGGAUUUUGUUUGAUGCAUUCUCCGUUUAAGAAAGGACUUGAAUUGAUGUUUCAUGUUUCAUGCAAUAUUCAAUUAGAUUCUGCCUAAAUUUCUGUAUUAUUCGUUCAAUUGGUCUUUUAAGCAUUUGAUUUCUAACCUCUCCUAAUGGAAGAUCAUUAUCUGAAGAAAACAGCAUAACAUUUGUGGCAUUAUCAGAAUAAGAAUAUUUUUGAGUAUAGUAAAAUUAUCUCCACCACUGUUAAAAAGAAUUAAUCAGUCAAACUGACCUCACACCAGCACGCUUUAAAUUAAAAGAAUUUCGUGAAGUCGAGACCAUGUUAUAGAUCUCAUGGAAAGAAGUAAACCCGUAAUUUUUUUCACAGCAUCAUAAGAAAAAUCAUUUUUUUUAAGUAUUUUUGCUAGCUGUUGAGUUUUAAUAGUAGUAGCUAUUAAACAAUAACAAUUAGUGUAUAUUAAAAAGUUGGAAACUGGUUGAUACCACUCGGGAAUCGAGCAGUUCACUUGUUUGCGAGUAGAAACCUACUUUACUACUAAUUACACUCAUACCAAAAAUAGUAACUAAAGAAUCAGGAAAUUUCCUAUUCACUAUUCUUCAUUUUUUAAUGCAAAAUUCCCAUUCGAAAACACCAAUGACUUUCAUUCAAAGUAAAUGAGAAAUUACAAUGAAAAUAGAAUCAAAAUACAUGUAUGUAUACCUAAAACAAAUGAUUUUUUUAAUUAAAAAAAAAACACAGUUGAGGUGAAAUGAAACCAGAGUCAUGAUAUCUCUGGUUCCAGCUUUGGGACAACAGCAGACUUGAGUUCUCUAUGAGAAACACGUACAACACCAAUCAGCCGCUCCGGUAAUUCAUCUGUAGUAUUUGCCUGCAUACAGAAGAGCAAGAUAAAGAAGACACACACAGAAGCAUUAUAUCAUUCUGAGAACAUUCAAGUAUGCAAAAAUGCAAGUUGCAGUGCAAUAUCUCAAAAUCAUGUCUUUUCCCUUGUGUCCAUUUAGCAGUGGGGGAAAAAAACAAUCAUACAUACCUGUACAAGGAAAGCCAUGUCAACCACCAAUGUCGUAAUUACACCAAUUACAAGGCCCAAAACUCCAUUAGCAACAGUAGAAGAAUCGAUGUCAACAUCAAUCUACAGAAAGAUGAACAAUGUUAAACCAUGUUAAAGGUAUUGGACGCUAUUUGAAAGGGGAACAUCUCAUGUACUAUAGAAAUUCCAAGAGCAUUUACUUCUAAGUACUUGGGACCGCGAAUAUAGUUACAAUCAACUGCCUUCCCCAAUAAACAAGGGGUGCUUCCAACACUCUGGCGCACUAUCCAUGACCCCUGCAUGAUUCAGUGCUGAAAAUCAAGAACAAGUGCAAAACAAAUUCAAGAGGGUAAAAAGGAGAUAAAGUUUGAAGGUACAACCCAUCAAUACAUUCACACCUAAAUGCAUGCCUUCUUUGUACAAAUUGAAGUGUACCAUGCAGUAAAGGGUAAGUAUACGUUAAUAUAGUCCUACUACAUGAAGGCCAAGAUGGAUACCUUAGGAACAGAUGGAAUAAGUUUCAACCUACUAUUGCGAAAUUCAUCAUCGCCAUCAACAAACCGUUGCAAAAGUGAUCCCGUAACCAAUUGCCUUGUGACAAAAUAAAAUACCAUACUAUAAUGUGUUGAACCAGGAACCUGCAGAUGCUUAGGUUACAACUAUACAACCUCCCAAUACAAUAAGUUUGAAACUUAUACCUUCUGAAAUGAAACAAACUUUCUUGAAGAUUAAAGAUCAGUGAGAAAAGCCCUUUUUCAGAAGCAACCUACAUAUUUUAGAAUAGGGCUCAGUGCGUUAUAGAUUCAAUGAACCAUGAGAAGUUAUUUACAUUGUUGUAUCUCACAGGCAGUCUUUUCUCCUAAUGUAUCAAGGGAAAAUGCUAGUGAAUUGAAUGAAGCUAGAGCAGAGCAUGAUGUUGCUGUGUAGCUGACUUUAGCAGAUCAACUCACUAAGCUAACCUGGCAAAGUUAUUUAGCUGGUUGAGCUGAUGUGUCAAAUUAGUUAUGCAGCAAAUGGUUAUGUGAUGUAACAAACUCGUGUGUGUGUUGAGCAAAUUGUAGCUUAAUAUAAAUAUCAGUCUGUAUUCAUUCAGUUGUAAUGCUAAAGUAAUAAAGGUUCUACAAACUUCUUUACAGAGCUUUCUUUUAUUUUCUUCAUUUUCUAGCUUGCCAAACAAUGCAAAACUAAGUUUCUUUCAUGGUAUUAGAGCCAUAAAUGGCGAAUACAGUUCAAAAUAACAACUCUUUUAGUUUUGUUACGCCUGUAAAGCUAGACCAAAACAACUUCAUUUUAUGGCGGGCACAAAUUUUAGCAUCGAUCAAAGGAAACGGUCUGGAAGGGUUUAUCAAUGGUGAUCAAGAAUGUCCUGAGCAGUUUCUUUCUUCUGGAAACAACAAUGGAGCUGAAAUUUUUACUGAAUCUGAAUCCAAAUCUAUUAAUCCAGAGUUCAUAGCUUGGAUGAAGACUGAUCAACUUCUGUUGAGUUAGAUGAUGUCGUCGAUACAGCAAAAUCUACUUGCUACUGUGAUUGACUCCACAACUUCAAAACAGCUUUGGAAGACUCUUACUAGUAUGUUUAUUUCUUAAUCACAAGCUAGAAUUCAAACACUUAGAAUGCAGAUUCAAACUAUUAAGAAAGGUGCAAUGCAUAUGUCUGAUUACUUUGCAAAAGUAAAACGUAUAGCUGAUACUUUAGCUCUAGCUGGAAAACCUGUUGAGUUAAGUGAUCUUGUGAUGCAUGUAUUAACUGGUCUUGAUUCAUCAGAUUAUGAAUCUUUAGUCACAGGUGUUUUAGCUCGAGGUGAGAAGAUAACAUUAGAUGAACUAUAUCCUUUGCUAUUGAAUCAUGAAAAUAGAGUUGAACAAAAGAAAGGAAAAAUUGCUGGUGAUGUGAUGCACAAUAUGACAGCAAAUAUUGCUCAAAAGAACUCAUAUGCUGGAAAGAAUAAUGGCAAUUUUCAAAAAAAUUAUGGAAAUAAUUCUAGGUAUGGAGGUUUUAAUGGAUAUGGAUAGGGUCAGUUUAAUAAUGGUGGUAAUUCCUCUGAAAUUGUUUGUCAAAUCUGCUUCAUACCUGGUCAUGCAGCCAAUAGAUGCAAAAAUAGGUACAAUUCAUCUUUUGUUCCACAGAGAAACUAUGGCAGAGGUAAUAUGAAUGGUGGCAGAGGUUUUAAUCAAGGGCAAUAUGGUAGAGGAAGAGCUUUUAAUAGUAAUGGUGGCAGAGGUUUUGGAGGUUUUGGUUUAAAUGCUGGUUUUGGCUAUGCACCCAGGGGUUUUGGCUAUCAAGGAAAUAUGGUGUAUCCAGAUAGUAAUCCUUCUGCUUAUUACUCAUUCACCCCUGGACCAUCUACUUUUGUUUCUGGUCAAGGAAAUAAUAAUCCUGGACAGUCAAGUGCUUCAUCUUCCUCAGCUAUGCCUUCUUCACUUCCACCAGAACACAUUGAAGAUCCUUCAUGGUAUAUUGAUAGUGGAGCAACAAAUCACAUUACAAAUGAUCUAGGUAAACUUCUGGAUUCACAAAUUUAUACUAGUACUGAAAAAUUAUUUGUUGGAGAUGGAAAUGCAUUAGCUAUUACACAUGUAGGAUCAGUUGUGCUAAAUACUUCAACUUCUAAACCUUUAAAAACCAUGUUCUUCAUGUCCCUUUUAUUACUAAGAAUUUGCUUAGCAUUUCAAAAUUAUUGGCUGACAAUCCAGUUACUGUUGGAAUUUCUUGGUGAUUUGUUUUUUAUAAAGGCUAGGAACACAAGGAAAAUUUUACUUGAAGGUGUUGCUAAAGGUGACUUGUAUAGAGUCUCUUCACAUGUUGCUGCUCAUUCAGUCUUUCUCAAUUCAGUUGGUCAAAAUAAAAUUCACUCUCUUUGCUUGUUCUCCUGUUUUCAAUUCUGAUCAGCUCACUGCUGUUAGUUCUUAUGAAUUGAAUAAAAAGCCAUGUCUGUCAGUUGUUACAAAGAGUUCUAUUGAUGUAAAUCUUCUUCAUAGAAGAUUAGGACACCCAGCAUCUUAUACUCUCAAAACUAUACUCAAAACUUGUAACAACUCUACUGCUUAUAAUAAAAUUGAAAGCUUGAAAUUUUGUUCAGCAUGUCAAUAUGGGAAAAAUCAUAUGCUGCAUUUUGAUUCAGUUGAAACAAAAACUUCAGCACCCUUACAAGUGAUAUAUGCAGAUCUUUGGGGUCCUUCUCAUGUCUGUUCUACCCAAGGAUAUAAUUACUACUUAUCAAUCUUAGAUGAUUAUAGUAGAUUUACCUGGAUAUUUCCAUUGUCAGCCAAAUCUGAUGCUCUUGAAGUGUUUACCAAUUUCAAAAUUUUUAUUGAAAAGCAUCUUCAACUUCAAAUCAAAACUGUCCAAACUGAUUGGGGAGAAGAGUUCAGAACAUUUUCCUCAUUACUCACUGCUUCUGGUAUCCAUUUUAGACACCCUUGCCCACAUAUUCAUCAUCAAAAUGGAAGAAUUGAGAGGAAACAUAGACACAUAGUUGAUGUAGGUCUGACCUUAUUAGCUCAAGCACAUUUACCACUCAAAUUUUGGUGGAAUGCAUUCCACACAGCUGUCUAUUUGAUAAACAGACUUCCAACUCCAAUUCUAAACAACAUUUCUCCUUUCCAAAAGUUAUUUCAUCAUCAACCAGAUUAUUCAACACUUAAAACCUUCGGUUGUGCUUGUUAUCCAACACUCAGACCAUACAAUAGACAUAAGUUUGAUUUCAGAACUGCCAGAUGUAUAUUCAUUGGCUACAAUUCACAACACAAGGGAUAUCAGUGUCUUCACUCUUCUAAGAGGGUUUACAUUUCAAAUCAUGUCACCUUUGAUGAAAAUUCUUUUCCUUAUGAGUCUGGAGCAGAUUUUUCUUCACUCUCUUCAAGUUGUCAGUCAACAAAAAAUUAUAAGUCUUCUUUCAAUUCCUCUGUUCCUUCUAUUACUCAGUUACAAGCACCUUUAGCAGCAUCAUCAGAACACCAUCAAAAUGUUCAUCAUUCAGAUGCUCCUACUCCCUCACCAAAUUCUACUCCACUUUAUUUUUCUGAUAAUUCCAACUCAGCUUCUUCUUCUUCACCACCACAUAAUUCACCUCCACAUACAUUGCCACAACCUGCAUCAACUGGUCAUCCAAUGAUAACCAGGUCAAAAGCAGGUAUUUUCAACCCAAAAAUUUAUUUGUCAGCUUUAUUAGCCCAGAAAUCAGAACCAACUUCUGUUUCCCAAGCACUUUCUGAUCCUAUGUGGUAUAAGGCUAUGCAAGAAGAGUAUCUAGCACUUAAAACUAAUCACACCUAGGAUUUAGUUUUACAUGCUACUCCAGUGAAGAUAGUUGGCAGCAAAUGGGUGUUUUGAAUAAAGUAUAACUCAGAUGGUUCAGUUUCAAGAUAUAAAGUCAGGCUUGUUGCAAAGGGGUUUCAUCAGACACAUGGGAUUGACCAUACAGAAACUUUUAGUCCAGUGGUUAAAGCUUCAACUGUUAGAGUUAUUCUUAGCUUAGCAGUAUUGAAUCAAUGGGUGAUUAGGCAAGUAGAUGUUAAUAAUGCCUUUCUAAAUGGCAUUUUAAUUGAAGAGGUGUACAUGGCUCAACCUGAAGGUUUUGUUGACUCAACUAAACCUAAUCAUAUCUGCAAGCUGAAUAAAGCUUUGUAUGGCUUAAAACAGGCACCUAGAGCCUGGUUUGAUAGAUUCAAGGAUGCAAUGAUCUCUAAACGGCAUUUCCAGCAUUCAAGGUCUGAUAACUCUCUGUUUCAUGCCUGGAACAGUGGUCAUCUAACUCUUGUUUCGGUCUAUGUUGAUGAUAUUAUCAUCACUAGUUCCAGUCCAACACUAAUUCAGCAAGUUAUUAAGAUUAUGAAUUUGCUUUAAAAGACAUGGGGGAACUUAGCUAUUUUCUGGGGAUUGAAGUCAGCAAGUCUUCACAAGGGGUUUCCUUGACACAAGCAAAGUAUAUUACUGACAUUCUGGAUAAACAUGGCAUGACAGAUUGCAGUCCUGUGCCUACUCCAAUGUCUACUGGUUAUUAUCUCACAAAAGAAUCAGGAGAGCUAAUUGAUAAUGUUUCUCAAUAUAGGAGUGUUAUAGGAGCUCUUCAAUAUGUUACUCUUACCAGACCUGACAUUGCUUUCUCUGUAAACAACCUAAGUCAAUUCCUUUCAAGUCCUAGAACACAACAUUGGGAAACAUGCAAAAGGUUAUUGAGGUACUUAAAAGGCACUAUACAUCUUGGGCUGCAAUUUAAUAACAAAGGAGCUUUGCAACUACAUUGUUUUUCAAAUUCUGACUGGGCUUGUGAUCGUGAUGAUAAGAAGUCAGUGGCUGGCUUUGCUGUUUACCUAGGCCCUAAUCUAGUCUCAUGGUCAUCAAAGAAACAAGCUGUUGUUUCCAGGUCCAGCACAGAGGCUGAGUAUAGAUCUCUUGCUCAUGCUGAUUCAGAGGUUCCCUGGUUACAAUCUUUACUUGGUGAACUUAACAUCAAAUUGAGCUCUACUCCUAUGAUGUGGUGUGAUAAUCAAGAAGCAAUUGCUUUAGCUUACAAUCCAGUCUAUCAUGCUAAAACUAAGCAUGUCGAAUUGGAUAUACAUUUUAUCCGAGAUAAAGUUACUGCUAAAGAGAUUGAAGUAUGUUUUGUGCCCAGUCAAGAUCAAACAGCAGAUGUGUUGACUAAGGCUUACUUUCAAACAGUUUAGUUACUUAAGAAGCAAGCUGAAUGUUCAUCCUAAACAUUUCAGCUUGAGGGGGGAUGUUAGUGAAUUGAAUGAAGUUGGAGCAGAGCAUGAUGUUGCUGUGUAGCUGACUGUAGCAGAUCAACUCACUAGGCUGACCUGGCAAAGUUAGUUAGCUGGUUGAGCUGAUGUGUCAAAUUAGUUAUGCAGCAAAUGGUUAUGUGAUGUAACAAACUUGUGUGUGUGUUGAGCAAAUUGUAGCUUAAUAGAAAUAUCAGUCUGUAUUCAUUCAGUUGUAAUGCUAGAGUAAUAAAGGUUCUACAAACUUCUUUACAGCGCUUUCUUUUAUUUUCUUUCAUUUUCUAGCUUGCCAAACAAUACAAAACUAAGUUUCUUUCAGAAAAGGAAAAAUAAAAAGAAAAGAAUAGUUACUGUUGAAAAUAAAGAUUCAAAGUUAUGAUUUCUUUGUAAUCUAGGCUAUUUUAGGAAUAAGUUAAAUUAUAAUGGGAAGAUUCAUUAGGAUUUUUUCCAGAUUUUGUUUCCUAUUAUUUAGGAAAGGAUAGAUGUAGUCUCCUAUUUUCUCUCCUAUUUUGCUGUAUAUAUUCCCUGUACAUACUGUUCUGGAAAGUAAGAAAAAGAGGAACCAAUUCACAUUUUUCUUCAUGGUAUCAGAGCCUGGCUCUAAACCCUAGUUCUCCUAUCAGCCGCCAUUUCCUUCUUCUCUCAUAAAUUGAACAAUCUACCUUCCUUCCUCUCCCAUCAAUUGUAUUCUCUGUGGCAAAAUACGGGAUGGCUUCCUCAUCAACCUCUGUUACAGUAUCACAGUCUAAAGGAAACGUGGAGACUGCAACUCAUGGUGGAAUUGAUUCUUCACCGAUCUUAAUUACCAGUCAUAAAUUGAACGGCCACAAUUAUCUCCAGUGGUCACAAUCUGUCAUGAUGUUCAUCUGUGGCAAGGGUAAGGAUGAUUAUCUCACGGGUGAGGCGGCCAUGCCAAAGGUAUCAGACCCUAGUUUCAAAAGGUGGAAGUCAGAGAACAACAUGAUCAUGUCAUGGCUUAUCAAUUCCAUGAACAAUGAUAUUGGUGAGAAUUUUCUUCUGUUUGGGACUGCAAAGGACAUAUGGGAUGCUGCAAAGGAAACCUAUUCUAGCUCUGAGAACACAUCAGAGUUAUUCCAGAUUGAAACCAUCCUCCAUGACUUCCGCCAAGGAGAACAAUCUGUCACUCAGUACUUUAAUACUCUGACUAGGCAUUGGCAACACCUUGAUCUAUUUGAAACAUACCCUUGGAAGUGCACCGACGAUACAACCUUGUACAAGAAGAUUGUGGAACAGAAGAGAACGUUUAAAUUUCUCCUCGGACUCAAUAAAGAUCUUGAUCAGGUUAGGAGCCGUGUACUCGGGACAAAGCCUCUACCACGCCCUCGUGAAGCCUUUUCUGAAGUUAGGCAUGAAGAAAGUAGGAAAAAGGUGAUGAUGGGGUCAUCAGAACCAACACUGGACGCCUCUGCACUUGCUGCCCGUGCAUCCAACUCUGUAGGGGUUAGUGAAAAUCGUACAAAGAAAGAAAGACCAUGGUGCGAUCACUGUCGUAAGGCAGGCCACUAUAAGGAGAGUUGCUGGAAAAUUUAUGGCAAGCCUGCUGAUUGGAAACCUCGUUCCAAAGGUGACCGUGAAUCUCGUGCUCAUGCAGCAUCCACCACGGACAAUCAGGCCCUACCCGAGCCAAAUCCAUUCAGCAAGGAGCAAAUGGAGAUUCUUCAAAAGCUUUUCGAUCAAGCCACUUUGAACUCCAAUGCAGGGACAAGUCUAGUGGCUCAGAAAGAGACUCAUUCAGCAUUUGCAGCCACUAAUGGAGCAAGCAAACCUUGGAUAAUUGACACUGGUGCUUCUGAUCACAUGACUGGAGAUGCCUCAAUGUUGCAGGAUUAUAAAGCUAGCAUCAACAGCACUUCAGUCUGGAUCGCAGAUGGCUCUCACACAAAAAUAGCAGGGACAGGUUCCAUCAGACUCACUAAGGAGUUACACCUUAAUUCUGUACUUUAUGUGCCUAAUUUGGCUUGCAAUUUACUUUCAAUCAGUAAAUUCACUCGUGAUCAGAAUUGUGUAACUAAAUUCUAUCCAAAUAUGUGCGUUUUUCAGGACUUGGAUUCGCGAAGACGAUUGGCAGUGCUGAGCUAUGUUCUGGACUCUAUCUACUCAAAAGCGAUCAAUCCUCCUUCAUACAAGAUUCGAGAGCAAACUGUGCCAAGUCCAAUAGUCUGUCAACUAGUUAUCCUCAUUCUAUUGUUAGUCCAAAUGUCAAUAACGAUAGUGAAAUUGUUCUGUUACACUAUCGAUUAGGUCAUUCUAGUUUCAUGUAUCUCGCAAAAAUUUUUCCCAAUCUAUUCAUCAAUAAAAACCCUUUAUCAUUUCAUUGUGAAAUUUGUCAAUUUGCAAAACAUACUCGAAAUGUUUAUUCAAGUGUUAAGUAUAAGCCUUCUCGUCCAUUUGCUUUAAUUCACAGUGAUGUGUGGGGUCCCUCAAGAAUUAAAAAUGUUUCUGGGGCUCGCUGGUUUUUGUCAUUUGUGGAUGAUCAUACUCGUCUCACUUGGGUGUUUCUCAUGAAAAACAAAUCCGAAGUUAGUCAAAUCUUCCAAAACUUUAACGCCAUGAUUCAAACCCAAUUCAAUACCAAAAUCCAAGUCCUUAAAACCGACAAUGCCAAGGAAUAUUUCAAAGACUCCCUCAGCUCAUAUCUUCUCCAUCAAGGCAUUCUUCACAUCAGUUCUUGUGUUGACACCCCGCAACAAAAUGGGGUCGCUGAACGCAAAAACAGACACCUUCUUGAAGUGGCUCGCUGUCUUUUGUUCUCAUCUCAUGUUCCUAAUUUUUUCUGGGGUGAAGCUGUUCUCACUGCAGCCUACUUAAUCAACCGAAUGCCUUCUAGAGUCUUGGGGUUUCAUUGCCCAAGAAAAGUUCUUCUCAAUUUCUUUCCACACACUAGGAUUGUUUCAGCAGAUUUACCACAAAAAAUAUUCGGUUGCACAGCAUAUGUCCAUGUUCACUCUCAACACAGGACUAAACUUGAUCCCCGAUCUCUCAAGUGUAUAUUUUUAGGCUAUUCUCCACAUAAAAAAGGAUACAAAUGCUAUUCUCCUCAUACCAGAAAAAUAUACAUUUCCAGAGAUGUAACAUUUGUUGAAAACCUGCCUUUAUAUUCCAAAACUGUUGUUCAGGGAGAGAGUAUGAGCGAACAUCAGCCUUGGGAAUCUUCUUGGCAAUCUUGGCUGGAAACCCCUCAUGAAAACCCUCAUAACUCAACCACCACACAUGAUCAAUCUAUCCAACAGCCACAAUCAGCAAUCCUCCCAACAUCUUCACAACCUUUUGAGUCAUCUGAGUCCUCCCAACCACAAUCAGCCGAGUCACCCCGUCAUCCAUCAGCCCAUCAACUACAGCCUCUAAUCUCACCUCUUCCACAGCUUGCUGUUGAUAAUCUUAAUGUUUAUAGGAGGAGAAGAACUGGAGAGCAGAUAGAGCACAGAACUCAGCCACAUGUCCAAGAAACUGAACCAAAUCCAAGCUCUUAUGAAGACAACACAGGUAUGGAUAGUCUUGCCUCGGUUGAGUUCAUGGUUCCAAGUGUGGAUGAUUCUAAUAAAUCAAUUGCAGAAAGAAAGGGGGUUCAAAGUUGUACCACUCAUCCAAUUGCCAAAUAUGUCUCAUAUGAUGGUUUGUCCCCAUCAUACCGAGCCUUUGUUUCUUCUUUAGAUAAUCUACAUGUUCCCAACAAUAUACAAGAGGCUCUCGGUCAUCCUGAGUGGAAGAGAGCUGUUCAUGAAGAAAUAAAUGCUCUUGAGAAAAAUGAUACAUGGGUUAUAACAGAUCUUCCUGCAGGGAAACGACCAGUUGGAUGUAAGUGGAUUUUUACUGUUAAAUACAAGGCAGAUGGAAGUGUUGAGAGCCUCAAAGCUCGUCUUGUAGCUAAAGGGUUCACACAGUCAUAUGGGAUUGAUUAUCUUGAAACCUUUGCUCCGGUUGCGAAGCUCAACACCAUUAGAAUCUUGCUCUCCUUAGCAGUAAAUCUAGAUUGGUACUUAUACCAACUAGAUAUAAAAAAUGCGUUUCUCAAUGGCGAUCUUGAAGAAGAAGUGUUUAUGGAAGUUCCCCAGGGUCUUGAUCUGAAUCUUACUAGAAAUAAAGUGUGCAAGCUCAAGAAAUCUUUGUAUGGGCUUAAACAAUCCCCUCGAGCAUGGUUUGAUAGAUUUGCGAAGGCAGUUGUGAGACUUGGUUACACUCAGUGUCAGGCAGAUCACACUUUAUUCCUCCGAACAUCACAAGCAAAGAAGAUCUCUCUCCUAAUCGUAUAUGUUGAUGACAUCAUUCUCUCAGGAAAUGAUGAGGAAGAACUGCAGAAGUUGAAGAAACAGCUAGCUCAGGAAUUCGAAGUUAAAGAUCUAGGGAAUCUGAAAUAUUUUCUUGGGAUGGAGGUGGCAAGAUCUAGGAAGGGAAUUGUUGUCUCCCAAAGGAAAUACACCCUGGACUUACUAAAGGAGACUGGUAUGAUUGGGUGCAAACCAGUAGAUACUCCUAUGGAUCCCUACAAGAAACUAGGCUCAGUUGAGAAUAGUGUUCCAGUCAAUAGAGGGAGAUAUCAAAGACUGGUUGGUCGUUUAAUUUAUCUCUCACAUACCCGUCCGGACAUAGGCUUUGUUGUUAGUGUUGUGAGCCAAUUCAUGCACAAUCCUACAGAGGAACACAUGGAUGCAGUCUUUAGAAUUUUGAAGUAUCUAAAGAUGACACCUGGAAAAGGAUUGUUUUUCAAGAAAUCAGAAUAUAGGAAUAUUGAGAUCUACUCUGAUGCAGACUGGGCUGGAGACAUCACAAAUAGAAGAUCAACAUCUGCUUACUGUUCCUAUGUCUGGGGAAAUCUAGUAACCUGGAGGAGUAAGAAACAAUCAGUUGUAGCUAGGAGUAGUGCAGAAGCAGAGUUCAGAGCUUUGGCAAAUGGAAUCUGUGAAGGAAUUUGGAUAAAGCGUGUACUCAAGGAACUCGGUGUGUGCAGCCCUUCAUCCAUUCUAAUGAGGUGUGACAAUCAAGCAGCAAUCAGCAUCGCAAAAAACCCAGUGCAUCAUGAUCGAACCAAACAUGUCGAGAUUGAUAGGCACUUCAUCUCAGAGAAGGUCACUAGUGGAAGUGUGGAACUAAAGUACAUUCCAACUAGACAACAAAUUGCAGACAUCCUUACUAAAGCACUGCCAAGACCUAACUUUGAAGACUUAAGUAACAAGCUGGGUUUGUAUGAUAUACACACACCAGCUUGAGGGGGAGUGUUGAAAAUAAAGAUUCAAAGUUAUGAUUUAUUUGUAAUCUAGGCUAUUUUAGGAAUAAGUUAAAUUAUAAUGGGAAGAUUCAUUAGGAUUCUUUCUAGAUUUUGUUUCCUAUUAUUUAGGAAAGGAUAGAUGUAGUCUCCUAUUUUCUCUCCUAUUUUGCUGUAUAUAUUCCCUGUACAUACUGUUCUGGAAAGUAAGAAAAAGAGGAACCAAUUCACAUUUUUCUUCAGUUACUUGUGCAGUACAGCCUUGACGCCUAGCUACAUGGUCCAUUCUCUUUGUGUCUUUGAACCAAUCAACAGCAACAAGAUCCAUUAAAUGUUUUCCCGCAGGUGUCUGCAGUUACAAAUUGCACAAAGCACAAGAGCCAACCAAACUACAUCAUAACAUGUCGACCUAGCAUAUGCAGGAUAUAUAAAUACCAUAACAAACAACCAAAAUAUGGGGGAACCUUUGUUUUGUCAUAACAAAAAUGCUUGCUACGAACUCUAAAGUUAUUUCCACCAGAAAGUUUCCAGCAGUCACGAGCAUUAUCACAGUCAUCGUGUCGCAGAUUGCCGGAAAAAUAAGACAAAUCAAUUUGAUCAGCCUGCUCUUCCUCUAGGGUAACAACUAAUUGAAAAUUAUAAACCAAAAAAAAAAAAUCAAUACCAUAAAAAUCCACUAAUGAGGACAUUAGCCAAAUAUACAAAAAUGAAUACUUAUCAUCCACCUGUCCUCUUGAAAUCAUUCUCAAUCUUUUUUUCAUUUGCCUGAAAUCCCAAGGAAAAAUAUGGAACUAAUACUUCCCAUUCAUGACUAUUGUCUGUCAUAUAAACAUGACAUUUAAUUGAAAUAGUAAAAUUAUUUAAUUAUUUUAAUUAAAUGUUAAUCCUAUAAAUUAUUUUUGUUAAAUCUAGCAAGAAUAACUAACAUUUCUUUAAGAUAUAUUUUGGCGGUAAAUUAAAAAAAAUUAAUUAUUUGGCGGGAAUUAUUGAAAUUGGAGCCAUUUUUUUGUGGGAAUUGAAAUAUAUUCUUUAAAUUAUUAUAUAAAAAGAAAAAUGUACAUACACACACAUAUAUAUAAUUUAUAUAUAAAAAUUCUCUAAUUUGUUCACAAGUAUCAUAGAUUAUAAUUCAGUUAUGAAAUAAAAUAACUACAAGGAAAAAUAUGUAACUAAUACUUCCCAUUCAUGACUAUUGUCUGUCAUAUAAACAUGACAUUUAAUUGAAAUAGUAAAAUUAUUUAAUUAUUUUAAUUAAAUGUUAAUCCUAUAAAUUAUUUUUGUUAAAUCUAGCAAGAAUAACUAACAUUUCUUUAAGAUAUAUUUUGGCGGUAAAUUAAAAAAAAUUAAUUAUUUGGCAGGAAUUAUUGAAAUUGGAGCCAUUUUUUUGUGGGAAUUGAAAUAUAUUCUUUAAAUUAUUAUAUAAAAAGCAAAAUGUACAUACACACACAUAUAUAUAAUUUAUAUAUAAAAAUUCUCUAAUUUGUUCACAAGUAUCAUAGAUUAUAAUUCAGUUAUGAAAUAAAAUAACUACAAUAAUUAUAGUUAAAUGAAUACUUCAUUAAUUCUUAAUUUGCUUCCUAACAUUAAAUGAACAACUUGAGCCAACCACCUGAAUCAACCAGUAACAACGCCUGAGUCAACCAUCUGAAAAAACCAGCAACCCUAGCUGAUUCAAGCACCUGCAAUUAACAUCAACACAUCAGGAACAAUCGUAAAUCAGCACCAAGAACAGACCAAACUGCCAUCAAAUGCCACAAAACCAAACAGUCUGCUACUGCCAUCAAAUGCAAGCAAACAUAUGCAACAAAACCAGAUGCAAGUGAAAAUCUGGAGAAUAUCGGAUAAACCAAACCAAAUGCCACACUUCUAGUAAUUAGACUAGAUGCAGUGUUCAAUUAAACUAAAUGUAGUCUCAUAUUACAUUCAAAGGUGAAAACACUGUAAAAAAAAAUACAGCCAAAACAAUUGUUUACUUUUAAGUUCUAACAAAGCGUAACAGUCCAAAACCAAAACAUCUUAACUACCAAGCAAACAUCUAACAUAAUUAUUAAAAUUAAAAAGGAAAAAACAUAGGAAUCUCAGUUCUUAUACAUUUUGUAUGCAUUUAGUAAGCACACGCACAUAGACCAUCUAUGCAUAACCUUCUUCUAGCCCACCUGCAGAUGUCACAGAGAAGAGACAUUUUUUGCAGCUUGAAGUGCUCCAAUUGCUUUGUGAAGGUCCAAUUGUAAGCCUAAAUAUUGAAUCCAUGAGUCCAUAUAAUUGAAGGCUGGUGGCGACUUUUGAGUACAAAUCAAGAGAGAGUGAAGUGUGAAUUUCUGCAUGGCCCAUAACUUCAUCCACGUAGCUAUUCACUUCUUUGCAGUGAAAAGUUCCUUAAUCCUGGCACUAAUGUUGGGCAUCAUUUUGAUUUUUCAAGCCCUUUUAGAACACUUAUUGAUUUAGGAAAUUAAGGGAGCCAUUGAAAGGUGACUAAAACGGAGUGAGUUAGGGGUCCUACCUCUCUGUAGGGCUCUCGAAUCGCGGGAAAUGAGCUCCAUUGUGACCUUCAUUUCCUCCUUUUCGGAAAAAUUAGUUCAUGGCGCUUACGAUGUGAGCAAUUACUCUUUCUGGUGUCCUGAUGGUUGAUAACAGAGACUUUCAGCCUCGCUGCCUCAGGUAAGCUUGAUGGGAGGACCAGAUGUCAUACAAAAAAUAAAAGCUUUCUUUUCUCGGUAAAAGCAUGCGCAUUUUUCUGUAAGUGGGGAAGAGGCCGCGCCGUCAACACUGCAUCGGUGAAGAUGGGUGGUGGUUGUUGGUGGAGAAACGGAGGGAGGUGGCGAUUCUGAGACUUGUUGCGAUUUAGGGUUGGCCGGUUGGGUUUGGGGGAAAUUGGGUAAAGCAAAAUGCAUUUUUGUUGUUAUAUAUAUAUAUAUAUAGAUAUAUAUAUAGUAGUUGGAUUAGCUAAAAGACAAAAAAAUUUAAAUUUUACUACACUACAUGAUAAAAUACAGUGCAUUGGAGUAUGUGUUUAUUUUGUCUUUUAACUAAUCCCUGAUUGGAAAACUACUAUAUAUAUAUAUAUAUAUAUUUUUUUUUUACUUAAUAAAAAAGUGGGCACGGGUCCGGGUUCCGGAUUCUUGGUGCUGUGACCGGACCCGUGCCCGGAUCCGCUUUUUCCAUGCAUCCGAUCCGGGUUUUACCCGGACCGUAUGCACCAGGUCCAGUCCGGAUCCGGUCUGAGCGGGCUUUUCUGCCAUCUCUACAGUGGAGAGAGGGAUUAAUUCAACGCUUAGCCAAAAUUUGGCUGCGAGUGUUAAUGGGUUUUAAGUUAUACAAAACGGUGUCGUUAAUUUAAACGGCAUUGUUUUACAAUCUUAUAAGUUCACAAAACUUAAGCAUGACUUAUAUGUAUAAUUUAUUUACGAUGGUUAAGUUAUAAGUCAUGAAUAUGUCAUAUACUCUGGACAUGAAUAUAUAUCACGAAUCUAUCAUAUUUUCAUGACACAUUCGUGACAUAACGAUAUAUGUUAUAAAAUUUCUGUCAUUAUUUAGUAUUUUUCUAGUAAUGUCAGGUCUUUAAAACCUUUCUAUUAAUAACAAAAACUCUAAUCCUUUAGCAAAAGACUAAAAAUUUUAAAAAAAUCUGUUUAAAUAUCAGUUGGCUCAUAAUCAACACUUCAAUAUUGUUUGUUGUAUUUUCUUUCUUUCUUUUUUUGUCAUUUUAUUAGAUUUGCUUUGUAUCAUGGUUUGUUUUGCUUAAGUAAUUGUUCAUUAUUUACGUCUGUGUUCUUACUAGCUUUUGAUAAUUUAUGGUUGGUUUUUUAUUCAGACCCUCGAAGUACCUUUUUGUUAAUAGCAAAACCUCUGAUCCUCAAGAAAGAAAAAGAAAUUCUCUAUUUAAUUAUUAGUUAGUUCAAGAUCAAUAUCGCAAUAUUGUUUGCAGUCUUUUCAUUCUCUGUCUUUCCCACUAGUUCAUUUUAAUUUAUCUGUAUUCCUUUCUUUGACACUUGUAUUUAUUUAUAUAGAUUGUUAAGCAACAGGCAAUGGCUGCAGAAGGGUGUCUCCCUACUUUUUCUAGCAUUGUAUCACAAGGUUCAAAAGCAUUAUUCAAACCGAUUAUGUGGCACAUAUCUUAUGUGUUCCGAGUACCAGAGCUACAUAGAUGGGCUAAAAGAUUGAGUGAAGGAGCUGGAAUAUAUAAGAGAAAGGGUGCAAAUGCUGGUUAGAGAGGCUACUCUACAAGGAGAUGAGAUUUAUAAGGGUGUCAGAGACUGGCUAAAUAGAGUUGCUGAAUUCAGUGAAGGGGUUGCAAAAUCAAUCAUUGAUGAUAAAGAUAGAGCUAAGAUGUUCUGCUUCAAAAGGUUGUGCCCAAAUUUGAUUUCUUGUUACAAGCUUGGUAAACAAGCAGCAGAGGCCGCAAACGAAGCUGAUAAACUUGUGAAGAAAGGCGAAUUUAACAUUUGUAAUCAUGUUUCCUACCGUCCUGCUCCAGAGAGUACAGAAUAUGUGCAAGUGAAAGAUUACGUAGCCUUUUAUUAUAAUAUCUUUUCACUCUAUUAACUUAAAAAAGAUUGACUUCAAUAUUAAAAAUGUAACAGUAUAUACAUUUUAUAAUAAUUUCAAUAUUUAAAAAAUAUUUGAAUACUUUACAAUCUUAUAUUAUAUUAAACUACAUUUUAUAAUAAAUAGAAACAUAAUAUUAAAAUAAAUAUAUAAAAUUUUAAGUUAGGCUUAAUAUUAUUUAAAAUAAUUUAAAUAUCAUUAAUACAUGAGAUAUAUUAUAUUAAUUAUAAAUUCUAUUUAAUCUAAAUAUAUAUUUAAAGUUUUAUACUAAAAAUAGAUAUAUUAUUAAAAUAAAUAUAACAACUAACAUUUUAAAGAUUAAUACUGAAAUUAAAAUUAUAAAUUAUAUUAAUCUACUAAAAAGAUUCAUCUAUUUGACACUAGCAGCGGACAAUGAGGUCACGGCAUAGGACAAGCAGUUAUCGUGACCCAUGGACUUUUCUACUUCUUUUGAAAAAAAAAAAAAUAUCAAAGUCAUUGAAGUGCGUUUGAUGAUAUGCUGUGUAGCUUCUCUCUCAAAUGCUUUUCGAGUGCCUCCAGUAUCUGCUUUUAUAUAAGCUUUUGUCUUUAAUCAUUCAUUCAAGCUUUCGCUAAGAGUGAUGCAGCACAGCACGUAAAUAUAGAAGCAUUGACAGCCGUAGUCAGGAGCUCUUCGGUAUUUGAAGCAAGAAUGGUUGUUUGGCUUUGUGCAUUGAAAGAGAAAAGAAAAAAGAAAGACUAAUUUCAAUAAUACAAUUUAAUUAAUUAAUUUAAAAUAAUAAGCAAAUAAUAAUGAUGAAAUUAAUUAAUAAAAAGAAGAAAAUGAAAAUUGCACGUGCUACUAGCAUAAACCAAUUGCCGGAAUGAGGUCACUUUGUAGACAAAUGAUUCUGGAAUCAGAACUUGGGCCAGCUUUGGGUUAUGGAUCCAAAAUAAAAAUAAGGUGGGCCACAUGGUCUCUUAUGAUCAAUAAAAAUCGAUUGAAAAGGAUGGUAUAGUGAGUGGAAGAGAAAUGCCGAUGGCAGAUCAAGGGAUGAAGAUACGAGCUCACUUGCAACGUGGUAUAGUUCAUCAUGGCUGGCUUUCCUAUAAGUUCAGGUCCUUUGAAUACUUUCAAUGACCUUAUUAGUCAGGAAUUUAACAAUAAUUUUUAUUUUUUACAUCCAGGAACGGUUUUAAGCAUAGGCAAAUUAGGCCUAUAAUAGCAAAUCCUCUUUUUUAACAAUUAAACAAUUAGGAAGUCUCCCUUUUUUAUUUUUGGUAUUACUUAUAAUAGCAAAUCUUCUUUUUUAGGCCUCUUUUUAGUUAGUAAUUAUCUUAUAAUUAAGAAUUUUUAUACACAUUCUAUCUUUGAUAACCUUAAUAUUAAAGAUCUCUAAUUAAUAGUAUUAUCUAAUUGUUAAUUUAUUAUUAGUUUUUCCAAGAAAAAAAUUAAAAUCUUUAUCUAUUUAAUACUUCAGUUUUUUUUUCGUCAGUGGCAGAUAAAAGAGUCGGUUUUUCCGUUACUAAGCUUUUUAUGGAUGAAUUUUUUUUUAUAAUUUCUUUGUUUUAUAGGUUCUCUGUGAAUGCCAUUAGAAAUGAGAUUGACUAAUUCAAACUUCCUUUUUCCCCUUAGCAUCCAAACGUGUGAGGCAAGGGCAACUAAUGAGUCCAUUGUGAUGAGAACCUUUGUCUAAGCAAAAGCAGAGGUCAAUUGCUAAUACCGUACUGUUAUUAGUUUCAGUGCUUAAAUUGCUCCAUAAGUUUGCAUUUUAAAGUCUCUGUCUUAAUUUCUGAGGUAUACUGCUAAUGAGACCUCCUGCCAAGUUCAAGUUUGUUGUGAUGGCUACUUUGUCAUAUAACUGACUGUGAGAGGCCAUCAAUCAGCUCUGUUUUGUAAUUUUGUACCUUUUUUUUUCAUAUAAUGAUCAAUCAAAUGUUAGCCCUUAGAUUGCAACCAAUAUUUACUGAUUGUCUUAUAUAGGAUAUAAACUAAAUUCAUAAGACAUUCCCUUAUUGAUAUUCAUUCCGACACGUCCUAGUCUUUUGCCUUGUAGAAAUGCUUGUGGUUGAAGAGCUUUACAGAGAAGCUGUCGUCAGUACUGCGCGGAAAUUGAUUAUAUUGAAUCAGAAAACUUGACCAGAUAAGGUCUGUGUGCAUGAGAAUACUUGAGGAAAGCUUCACAAUACUGAGGGCCGGAUCUGCACUCUUUCCUCUAUAUGUGUCUUCAAUAUCAAUGGCUCAAAUACAUGUGUUAUGGUCUUUUAAUAUAUAUAAAAUACCAUUAUCUCAUGCGUUAUGGUCUUAUCCUUGUAUUCUUAAAAACUACAUAAAAUACCGUUAUCUCUGCUUUUGUAGCUAUUGAAUUCGACUUUCACAACAUAAAUAUUUAUUAGCAACAACUUAAAAUCCAAACAAAUCUAACAUGCAAUGUAUCAAUUACAUAUUAUGAUUAAACAGAUUUUGAUUAUUUAUUAUUAAAAUAUAUUCUCAUUAAUAUCUUAAGGAUAGGUAAUACUCACAUAAUUUUUUUAAAAAUCAAACCCAAAUUAUAUGCAUUGUUAAUGUGUAUUAUUGUCUAAUAUUUGGAUUUUACUAAUUUACAACUGCUAUAAUGUACGGCCUCUUCAAACAUAAUGUGGGUCCCACCACGUGUUAAAUUUUUUACAUUAUUUUUGAAGGAAUUGUAAGUUACAGCAGCUGUAAAUUAGCAGCACCUCCAAUAUUUUACUUUACUUCCCCUAAUAUUUUACUUGUACUUUUAUAUCUUUACAAAACAAUACCAACAAGACAAUAAUGUAUGAAAUAAAUAAAAUAAAUAAAUAAAGAACUGACAACGAAAUUAGGCCUAUCAUUAAUUUCUCUUGGUGUGAACUCUUGACAAUUCUCCCAUAUCCCACCUAAAGCUCUCGCAUGGUGUGAACGCUUGACGAUUCUCCCAUAUCCCUCCAAAAAUUUGUCAUAUUGCGAAAAACAAUGUCAAUUCAAUAUCGUCUCCAUUAGUCAUAGUGGCAGAUAGGACUAGAAUUUGUUGAAACCCUUGGACUUAUUUUUCCUUUUGAAAAUAAUUUUGUAGAAUCUCAUAUCGUGAAUAACGGACAAUGAGACUCUUUUUUUUAACUAUAAUAUUUUUUUAAAAUUAUUAACUAAAAAAAUUAAUUUUAAUAUUUUAUAAUAAAUAUAAGUAGGAUAUUAAAAUAAAUAUAAUAAUAUAUACAUAUUAAAAUAAUUUCAAUACCAAAAAAUAUUUUAAUAGUUUACAAUCUCGUAUUCUAUUAAACCAAAUUAUAAUAAAUAGAGACAUAAUAUUAAAAUAAAUAUAUAAAAUUUUAAAUUAUUUUCAAUAUCAUAUAAAAUAACUUUAAUAUUAUUAAAACGUGAGAAAUAUUAUAUUAAUUAUAAAAACUAUUUAACCCAAGGAUUUGUUUAAAAUUUUUAUAAUAAAUAUAUUAAAUUACAUUUUAAAAAUUAAGUAUUUAAAUUAUACAUACUAGUCUACUAGAAAAUUUAAACUAUUUAAAUCAUAUUUACAUUUAGUAAAAAAUUUUGAAGUCAUUUUUUUUUUUGUGAAUACCAUAAGAGUGCUAUAGUCAAAAAGGGUAUUGGUGUUCUUUAUUAAAAGUUUGGGGUCUACAUGACUAUUUUCUAAAAUUUUAAGGGUGUCAUUUUAUUUUUGAAAAAAAUAAAAAUUUCAUUUAAACAGCUAAAAUGGUGAAUAGUACAAUGCUACAGUGGGCGUAAAUGGAAGGUAAAAAGCAAUCAGAUUUUGAUUAAACAUGCAAUGUAUGAAAUAUAUAUUAUAAUUAUACAGAUUUUGAUUAUUUAAUAUUAAAUUAUAUUCACAUUAAUAUCUUAAGGAUAGUUAAUACUCAAAUAAUUUUUCAAAAAAUCAAACCCAAAUUAUAUGCAUUGUUAAUGUGCGUUAUUGUCUAAUAUUUGGAUUUUGCUAUGUCACAACUACUGUAACUUAAAGCCUCUUCAAACAUAUGUCGAUCCCACCACGUGUUAAAUUUUUUACAUUAUUUUUUAAGGGAUUGUAAGUUACAACAGCUUAACUUAGCAGCACCCUAAUAGUUUAUUUUACUUUUAUAUCUUUACAAAACAAUGCCAACAAGACAACAAUGUAUGAAAUAAAUAAAAUAAAUAAACAAAGAUCUGACAGCAAAAUUAUGGCUAUCAUUGGUUUCUUGUGGUGUGAACUCUUGACAAUCCUCCCCAAUCCCAUCCAAAACUCCCGCGUAGUGUGAACAUUUGACGAUUCUCCCAUAUCCCUCCAAAAAUUUGUCAUAUUGCGAAAAGUAAUGUCAAUUGCAAUGUCGUUUUCAUUAGUCAUAGUGGCAAAUAGGACUAGAAUUUAUUGAAACCCCUCGACUUAUUUUUCCUUUUGAAAAUAAUUUUGUAGAACCUCAUAUCGUGAAUAAAAGACAAUAAGACUCUUUUUUUUAAUUAUAAUAUUUUUUAAAUUUAUUAACUAAAAAAAUUAAUUUUAAUAUUUUAUAAUAAAUAUAAGUAGGAUAUUAAAAUAAAUAUAAUAAUAUGUACAUAUUAAAAUAAUUUCAAUACCUAAAAAUAUUUUAAUAUUUUACAAUCUCGUAUUCUAUUAAACCAAAUUAUAAUAAAUAGAGACAUAAUAUUCAAAUAAAUAUAUAAAAUUUUUAAUUAUUUUCAAUAUCAUAUAAAAUAAUUUUAAUAUUAUUAAAACAUGAGAAAUAUUAUAUUAAUUAUAAAAUCCAUUUAACCCAAGGAUUUGUUUAAAAUUUUUAUAAUAAAUAUAUUAUUAAAAUAAAUAUAUUAAAUUACAUUUUAAAAAUUAAUUAUUUAAAUUAUACAUACUAGUCUACUAGAAAAUUUAAACUAUUUAAAUCAUAUAUACAUUUAGUAAAAAAUUUUGAAGUCAUUUUUUUUUUGUGGCUACCAUAAGAGUACUAUAGUCAAAAAGGGUAUUGGUGUUCUUUAUUAAAAUUUUGGGGUCUACAUGAUUAUUUUCUAAAAUUUUAAGGGUGUCAUUUUAUUUUUGGAAAAAAAAAUUCAUUUAAACAGCUAAAAUGGUAAAUAGUACAAUGCUACAAUGGCGUAAAUGGAAUGUAAAAAGCAAUCAAAAUGACCAACAGUCUAACGCCUCAUCAGGGACAUAAAGUCAAAGUUUGUUGCAUGUGGUCAGGGCCAUUUAGUCUGUGAGUGGGUCCUGCAUGUCAUUUUUGGGCAUUUCAUCUUCUUUAGCAUUGAAGAUUAAAUGUUGACGACAUUUUCAAAAUUUUGGAAGACCCAUUAUACUUUUGGAUGGCUGUCAUUACUUGAUAUUAUCAUUAUAUGAUGAAAUAAAAUUGGAUGUAACACUUGUUUCGCGUUGUGGGAACUUUUGACAAUUCCCCAUAUCUCCUAAAAAUCUUUCGCCAUUUUGGGAAGAUGCCAUUUAUUUUCAUUUUCAUCAUUGAUAUUGGCAGAUAAUGGGGUCCGAGGACAGACCAUAAAUUAUUGCGACCCAUGGACUUUUCUAAUUUUUUUUUUUCCUUUGGAUAGUUUUCGUUAUUUGAUAGAAGGAGAUAGAGAUAAAGUUUUUUAAUCAAAUGCCCAUUUUAUUUAACAUGGAAGAAGAUCUUUAAACUCUAAGCGAGGCUAUCACUUCAACAGAUGCAGCUUCAAAAAAGAGGUAACAAGUGAUGAGAUAGACUCAUUAUUGUCUAAUCAAACAAGGACAUCGGUAGAUGUAUCAGGAUCUUAAGUUAGAUUGGAAUUUGAUACAUUGUUGUUCGUAACGUUGGUUCAAACCUUUAAAGCAAGGUUGGAUGCAAAAUGGUUUACACCAAAGACGUGAUUUAGGAAGUUAAUUAACGUUAUUUUAGAUAAUUUAUAAUUCUAAAAUAUUUAUUAUUUUAUGGUUUUCUAUUUUUGUUUGAGUCAAUUAUGGUAUGUAUCUUAAUCUUUUAUUUCCAUUAUAAUUAUAAUUUAAAUUUUCUUUUUAGGUUAACUUAGGAAAGUGGAUUUCUUUUAUUAUAAAUAAAGAUGUCUGUAAUAAAAAAAAUAAAGAUGUCUUGUCAUUGUUUUCAGGACUUCAAAUUCAAUUAUUAAAUAAAACUCUUUUUUUUAUAAUUUCCUCUAGUAUUAUUUAUCAAAAUCUCUCUUAUAGAGUUAUUUAAAUUAGAGUGUCAUCUAAUCUCGUAUUACGCGUUAUUAAAAAUCUCAUUGAAUCAUUUAGAUUAAAACAAUAUCUAAUCACGCUUUGAUUAAAGCGUAAGUUAAUUGUGUUGGCUUGAUCCAGUACUAGAAUGAUAUUUAGUAUUUCUUACCUUAUCAAUUCCACUUCCGCUACGCUCGCUCCAUCAAUUGGUAUCAAAGCAAUUCUGUGCGAAUCACACAUCUUUCCUAGAUACACCAUACCCAUCCAAACCAAAUCCAUCAAAAAAAAAAAUUACAAAUUUGAAAACCCUACCCGUCAGACCAACCCCCACCGCCGCCCACCACCGCCAAUCAGCCAGCCAACACCACCACAAACCUCACUAGCCACCGUCGACCAAGCCUCAGUCAUCGCUGCCUCAACCGCCGCUUGAACAGCCGCAAAUCACCAACCCAAACCUGCGGCUCCACCAAGCAACCCACCACCAUUCAGCCACUUUCUCCACCAGCCACCUCCACCAACAAACUCGCCGGCCUUCGUUGACCAAAAACUGACCGACUUCGGCCCUUGAUCGCCGCCCUCUGUCACCACACGAAACGACAACCCACGAGUGCUUCCUACACGCGCCGCCACCAAAACACCUUCUUUUUCCGUCAAUUUACACCACCACCAUAAUCCCUAGCAGUCGGCAACCGUAAAUCCAGUCUUCCGCCACUGUAAAGCCGCCAUAAACCAAAAGCCACAUCACCAAAAUCAACCGCCAAUUCAAGUCGGAUUUUCCCCAAUUCAGGUUGCUGAAUAUAAAAAGGACUCAUGAAAAUUACCUAAAGUUUCAAAUAUUGUUAUUCAGCAACCACUUUUAUGGUACAUUAGUUUCAACCCAAAUUUUAUAUAAAUAAUUUAUAACUCCCAUUAUUAUUAUAAAAAAAAAUUGUAGCAAUUGUGGUUAUAUCACAUGAAAAAAAAAAUCUAAUUAAAGAAAUUAACAUUAUAAUUUAAGGGAUAGUUGCUCUUUUAAUCAUUAGAAUUUAUGUCAAUUAUCCAGCUUAUCCUUGCAUUCUUAAAAACUAUAUACAAUACCAUUAUCUCUGCUUUUGUAGCUAUUGAAUUUGACUUUGACAACAUAAAUAUUUAUUAGCAACAACUUAAAAUUCAAACAAAUCUAAUAUGUAAUGUAUGAAAUACAAAUAAUAAUUAAACAAAUUUUGAUUAUUUAAUAUUAAGAUAUAAUCACAUUAAUAUCAUAAGGAUAGGUGGUACUCAAAUAAUCUUUUAAAAAUCAAACCCAAAUUAUAUGCAUUAUUAAUAUGCAUUAUUGUAUAAUAUUUAGAUUUUGUUAAGUUACAACUACUAUAACUUAAGUCUCUUAAAAAAUAUGUGAGUCCCACCACCUAUUAAAUUUUUUACAUUAUUUUUGAAAAAAUUACAAGUUACAUCAGUUGUAACUUAACAGCACCCCUAGUAUUUUACUUUACUUUUAUACCUUUACAAGAACAAUAAUGUAUGAAAUAAAAAAAAUAAAUAAAUAAAGAACUGACAACGAAAUUAGACCUAUCAUUAGUUUCUUGUGGUGUGAACUCUUGACAAUCCUCCCCUAUCCCACCUAAAGCUCUCGCGUGGUGUGAAUGUUUGACAAUUCUCCCAUAUCCCUCCAUAAUAUGUCAUAUUGCGAAAAGCAAUGUCAAUUGCAAUGCCGUUUCCCAUUAGUCAUAGUGAUAGAUAGGACCAGAAUUUUUUGAAACCCCCGAGGCCCUAAACUUGUUUUUCCUUUUGAAAAUAAGAAAAUGGCACCUGUCUAGAGAAAUAAUUUAUUAGAACCUUAUAUCAUGAAUAACGGCCAAUAAGACUUUUUUUAAAUUAUAAUAUUUUUAAAUUUAUUAACUAAAAAAAUUAACUCUAAUAAUUUAUGAUAAAUAUAAAUAGGAUAUUAAAAUAAAUAUAAUAAUAUAUAGAUAUUAAAAUAAUUUCAAUAUCUAAAAUAUUAAUAUUUUACAAUCUCGUAUUCUAUUAAACCAAAUUAUAAUAAAUAGAGACAUAAUAUUCAAAUAAAUAUAUAAAAAUUUAGGUUAUUUUCAAUGUCAUAUAAAAUAGUUUUAAUAUUAUUAAUACCUGAGAAAUAUUAUAUUAAUUGUAAAAUCUAUUUAACCUAAGGAUUUAGUUAAAAUUUUAAAAUAAUUACAAAUAUUUUAUAAGUACAAAUAAAUUAAUUUACAUUUUAAAAAUUAAUAUUGAAAUUAAUUAUUUAAAUUAUAUAUAUUAGUCUUCUGGAAAAUUUAAAUUAUUUAAAUCAUAUUUACAUUUCGUAAAAAAUUUUAAGUCAAUUUGUUUGAUUACCACCUGCUAAGGGUAUUGUAGUCAAGGGGAAUAUUGGUAUUCUUUAUUAAAAAUUUGGGAUCUACAUGAUUAUUUUUCUAAAUUUUAAUGGUGUCAUUUUAUUUUUGACAAAAAUAAAAUUUCAUUUAAACAACUAAAAUGAUGAAUAAUACAGUGCUACAGUGGCGCAAGUGGAAGGUAGGAAACAAUCAAAAUGAACAGUCUAACGUCACAGCAGGCAUAUAAGGCCAAAGUUUGUUACAUCCCAAUACAAAAAGUUUGAAACUUUGCACCUUCUGAAAUGAAACAAACUUACUUGGAUAUUGGUGAUCAGUGAGAAAAGCCCUUUUUCAAAAGCAACCUUAGGGUACCGAGUGUUACAGAUUCAAUGAACCACAAAUACUUAUUUACAUUGUAGUAUCUCAAAGGCACCGAUUUCUUCUGAUCCGUUAAGGAAAACAAGAAAAAUAAAAAGAAAAGAAAAAGGGUACUUGUGCCACACAACCUUGACGCCUAGCUACAUGGUACAUUCUCUUUGUGUGUUUGAACCAAUUAACAAUAAUGGUGCCUUUACUUCUUGGACUGGAGAAUCGAAAUCCGAAAUCGAAAUCAUUAAUGAUGUUUACUUCAUAAAAUGGAGGCUGGGAUCCGAAUCAGAACUAUGGGGACCACCCAAAUUAGGAGUGAGGAAUGGAAGAUUGAUUCCUAAGGAAGGUGGUGGGAAUCAAUCCCCCAUUCCCAAGAUUGAUCAUUUUGCCCCCUCUCACAAACUAUAAAAUAUCUAUUUUGUCCUCAAUUAAAAAAUUAUUAUGAUUAAUUAAUAUAUGUUUAUAAUUUAUUAAUAUAACUAUUCUAAUCAAUUUAUAUAUAUUUUAAAUAUAUUAUUAUUAAAUAAUUAAUAUAUUAUUAUAAUUAAUUAAUAUAUUUUGAAUUUUUAUUAUUAUCGUCAUCAUCAUCAUUAUUAUUGUUAUGAAUGAUAAAUUUUUUUACAAUUAAUUAGUAUAUUAAUAUAUUAUUGACAAUAAUUAAUAAUAAUAAUAAUUUUUGAAUAAAUAAAUAAAUAAAAUUAAUUACUGAAUUUGAACAUUUUACAAUUAUUCUAUUAUUUGGACUUAUCGAGAACUUACAUGCAGCGUAGCUAGUUUGCUAGCAUAUGUAAGGUUUAAUUUGAAUGCAUGCAGCAUUGAGAAGAGACAACGCAGAAACAAAAUUUCCGCUUGCAAUCUUUUCAUUUCCCUUUUUAAUAACAAGCAAAAUAGAGGAUAAACAGGGACUUUGUUUUAAUUCUCCUGUUUUUCUGUUUGGUGAUUUUAAAAUUUUAUGUCUAUAUUUAUCAAAAAAAGUUAUCCAAAAUUAUUAUCUAUUUUUGAUACACGUUGAUUUAUUAAAAAAAAAUUAAAAACUUCAUUUCUAAAUUUAUCGUUGUGCUUUGACCUUGGGGUGGUUUUUUUCUGUUUUUUUACGUAGGCCAGAACCUUAAUGAAGAAAGUUUUCAUCGUUAAUUGCUUUUGACCUAGGAGAAUUUAUUCUUGGACAAAUUAACACCUUUGUCUUUUGAUGCGGCUCCUAGAUAUCUAUGCAAUUUGUGUCAUUUACUUUUGCUUUGUAUUCUUUUUUAAAUGAGUCCCGAUUGGUUCAUUUGCAGAUAAAUGAGUCAGUUUUUCUGUUUUUAUUUUUUGAAAGACGGUUUUUCUGUUACGAAGCUUUUCAUGGAUGAAUAUUUUUUUUUUAAUUUUAUAGAUUCUCUGCGAGUUUUGUUAGGUAGAAGGGUAUUUAAGUAUUUUCAUUUCAUAUUUUGACAUUUCCUUGACCUUUGAAGUAUUGAAUCAUUGUGCAGGUAUUUAAGUAAAUCUGCCCACAAUGAAGAAUAGUUCAGAACAGUUGCGGAAGAUAAAUGGCUCAAAUAUAUGCGUUAUGAUCUUUUAAUAUUUCGCCUCUGAUAUUGUCCACAUUGCUUACUGCAAUAGAUAAAGCACUUCGUUUACCCCAAAUCCUGAUAGGGAAGUAUAAAUAUGUGCUUCCGAAAUAGUGCAACUCUCCAUAAUUAUUUAAUAUGCCUCUCAAUGAAGCAAUCACCUUCAUUUACAAUUCUUCGAUUAUUAAUCCUACAUACACGUGUUUCUUUUGUCUCUAAAAGUAUCCUCAAUUAAUUUACAUAAUUUAAUAUAAUAAGUACCUAAGACUAGACAAAUUAUCAUUAUAAUAGUAUUGACACAAUAAUGUCAAUAAUAAAUGCCUUAACAAACCUAUAAAUUUUAGAAUAUGGCUCAGAGUGCUACAAUGAACCACAACAAGUUAUUAUAUUGUCUAUAAUCAAUAUUCCAAUGGUAAUAGAGUUUUUUUAUUUUCAAUCCGCUGCUUUUCUGUUUAGCGAUUGCCAAAUUUUAUAUCUAAAAUUCUUCUAAUUUUAUAUCUAAAAUUCUUCUAAUUUUACACUAAGGUUUAUUUUUUCAAAAAAGGGGGGGGGGGGGGGGGGGGGGGGGGGCAGGAGAGAGAGACUUAGAGAGUAUUAAAAAAUGUAAUUCUAAAUUUUUACUUGAGUGUUGUGUGAUUUUGAUCAUUUUUUUAAAGUUGGCCAUUUAUAUUGAAUAAAUAAAAUAACGAAUAGACGUUUGGACCACUUCUUUUCUGUUAUAAUAAAACAUGAGAUGUCUUCUCUUGAUGUUUUCGUCACAAAAGAAUAUGUUUAAUUAUGUCAUCAUAGGCUUAAAUGGGAUGCCUUUUCUGUUAUAAGAUCGAGAACAAGUUUGUUUAAGCACUAGAGCCGCUAAAUAAAAGAAAGGCUCAUAUAAAAAUUACCUAAAGCACCAAAUAUUGUUAUUCAGCUACUUCUUUUAUGUUACAUUAGUUUCUACGCAAAUUUAUAUAAAUAAUUUAUAACUCCCAUCAUUAUUUAAAAAAUAAAAACCAUAGCAAUUGUGGUUAUAUCAUGUGGUGUGAUCUUUUGACAAUCCUCCCACAUCCCACCAAAAACUCUCACAUGGCGUGAACUUUUGACAAUUCUUCCAUAUCCCACCAAAAAUUUGUCAUGUUGCGAAAGGCAAUGUCAAUUGUAUUGUCAUUUCCAUUAGUUAUAGUGGCAGACAAUGUAGUCCCGGGAUAAGACUAGAAGUUUUUGAAACCCAUGGACUUAUUCUUACUUUAUUUUUUCUUUUGAAAAUGAGAAAAGGACACCCGUUUCGGGAAAUAAUUUUGUAGAAUCUCAUAUCGUGAAUAAGAGAUAAUAAGACUUUUCUUUUUUACUUUACUGCAAUACUCUUUAAUUUUAUUAAUUUUAUAUUUUAUAAUAAAUAUAAAUAUGAUACUAAAAUAAAUGUAAUGAUAUAUACAUAUUAAAAUAAUUGGAUAUUGAAAAAUAUUUUAAUAUUUUACAAUCCCGUAUAAUAUUAAACCAUAUUAUAAUAAAUAGACAUAAUAUUAAUAUAUAUAUAAGUUUAAAUUAUUUUGAAUAUCAUAUAAAAUAAUUUUAAUAUUAUUAAUAAAUCAGAAGUAUUACAUUAAUUGUAAAAUCUAUUUAAUCCAAGGAUUUAUUUAAAAUUUUUAUAAUAAAUUAAAAAUAUAUUGGUUAACAUUUUAACAAUUAAUAAUGAAAUUAAUUAUUUAAGUUAUAUAUAUUAGUCUACUAGAAAAAUUUAAACUACUUCAAUCAGAUUUACAUUUAAUGAAAAAAUUUGAAGUUAAUUUUCUUUUUAUCAUCUACUACGAAUCUUGUAGUUAAAAGAGGUAUUGACAUUCUUUAUUAAAAAUUUGAGGUCUACAUAACUAUUUUUUUUUUUAUUUUAAGGGUGUCAUUUUAUUUUUGACAAAAAUAAAAUUUCAUUUAAAUGGCUAAAAUGGUGAAUAAUACAAUGUUACAGCUGGCGUAAAUGGAAGGUAGGAAACAAUCAAAAUGACCAACAGUCUAAUGCCACAGCAAGGACAUGAGGUCAAAAAAUUCCCUUAUUAAUUAGUAAAAGAGAGUCACUUGGGCUUAUGGCGGGCAAAAUCGGAUAUAGAUCAGAUUCAAAUUAAUCCGAUAAAUUUGAUAUUGUUUGCAUUGAUAAAAAAAGUCACCCAAAUGCAAUCUAAACAUGUGUGUGUGUGUAUACAUAUUUGUUAUAAAUUAAAGUUACAAAAGUCUUUAACCAAGGCCAUUCAUAGUAAGUUUCAAAUUUUUAGGUUAAUAUCUGUAACUUCAUCAUGCUGGCCAUAAAUAAAGCUUGCAGGUCUAGGCGGGAUUGACUCGAGUUUUUUUGCCAAUCCUACGCAUGACGGGCGGUGUUAGGAAUAAUAUCCUGCAUCAAUUGAGUAUUGAACUUGGGUUCAGCAUAUAAGAUUUGGACAACUCUUAACUCUUGAGCUAACUUACUAAGUUUUGGAUUGAGUUAAGCAUGUAUGCUUCAAUAUCACAAAUUAGUCUUUCGUUACCAUUACUUAUUUUUUCUAUUGUUUAAUCCUAACACAAUAAAUGACCUUUCAUCCCAAAAGAACUAAAGUAAUCAUUUUAGACGAAUUAAGACACCAUAAAGUAAAUCUGCACACUAUGAAAAAUACUUUGGAACAGUUAAGGAAGCGUGAGAAUACUUGGGGAAAGCUUCAUAAUUGUUACGGCCGGAUCUACACUCUUUCCUCUAUAUGCAAUAAAUAUAUGCGUUAAUGAUCUCUCAAUAUUUUGCAUCCGAUAUUGCCCACAUCGCUUACCACAAUAUAUUCACUUUAUAAACAAAGUUUACAACCCAAAUACUAAUAGAGAAUAUAAAUAUGUACUUGUCAAUGAAGCAAUCACCUUUAUUUAGAAAUUUUUUAUUAUUAAUCCUACGUACACACACCUCUUUUGUCUCCAAAAAUAUUCUUAAUUAAUCCACACAAUUUAAUACAAUAAAUACCUAAGAUUACACAAAUUUUCAUUACAAUAGAAUAUAUAAUUUAUAAUAUUAUUGAUACAAUGAUGCCAAUAAUAAAAAUCCUAUAAACCUUACAAAUUUUAGAAAAUGGCUUAGAGUGUGACAGGUUGAAUGAACCACAACAAAUCAUUUACAUUAUAGUAUCUAUGAUCAAUAUUCUAAUGAUAAUAGGGCUCCUCCAUUUUCAUUUCCCUACAUUUUCUGUUUGGUGAUUGUCAAAUUUUAUGUCUAAAAUUUUUCUAAUUUUACAGUGAGGUUUAUUUUUUAAAGAGAGAGAGAGAGAGACUCAAAGAGAAUUAAAAAAAAUGUAAUUCUAAAAUUUUACUUGUGCAUUUUGUGAUUUUUACCAUUUUUUAAGUUGGCAAUUUGUAUUGAAUAAAUAAAAUAAUAAAUAGACUUAUGGACCACUUUUUUCUGUUAUAAUAAAAAUCAGAGGUCCUUUCUUGAUGUUUUCUUUCCAUAUGAAUAAAUUAGAAUUUUAUUGGUACAGUAAUGUCAAUAAUAAAAUUCCUAACAAACAUACAAAUUUUAGAAUAUGGAUUAAAGUGUUACAAGUUGAGUGGAUCACAACAAGUUAUUUAUAUUGUAGUGUCUAUGAUCAGUAUUUCAAUGAUAUCAAGGGUCCUCUAUUUUCUUUCCCUUGCAAUUUUUGUUUGGUCAUCGCCAAAGUUUAUAUCUAAAAUUUUUCUAAUUUUACACUGACAUUUAUUUUUUUUUUAAAAAAAAGAGAAAGAGAGACACGGAGAGAACUAAAAAAUGUAAAUCUAAAUUUUUGCUUGUGCGUUAUGUGAUUUUUAUCAUUUUUUAAGUUGGCCAUUUGUAUUGAAUAAAAAAAGUAAUAAAUAGACUUAUGGACCACUUGUUUUUUUAUUAUAAUAAAACAUUUUCUUCUCCUGAUGUUUUUCAUCUCACAGGAAUAUAUUUAUCUCAUCGUGGGCCCAAAUGGGGUAAAUAAAUUGGGAUCAAGGACAAGUCUGUUUAAGUGUUGAAAUUGCAAGAAGACCUCAUAAAAAAAAUUGCCUAAAGCCCCAUUAUUGUUAUUCAACUAUUACUUUCAUGACACUUACACAAAUAAUUUAUAACUCCAUCUUUAUUUAGGGAAAAAACUGUAGCAAUUGUUGUUAUAUCACAGGAACAAAUUCCAAUUAAAAAUAUAAUAAGAAUUAAUUGCAAAUUUUGUAAUAAAUAUCAAUAUAAUUUAAUAGUUUAAUUUUUUUUGGUAGAGUAAUAUAAUUUAAAAAAUUAAUAUUUAAAAAAAUAAUAUCAGUAUUACUUUUUAAAAUGCAAAUUAUUAAAAUUAUAUUAAUAAUGUAUUUUUAUUUAUUAUAAAAUUUAUUUUAAUAAAAUCUUAAAUUUUUUUAAAUAUUUGUAUAUAUUGUUAUAUGUUAUUAUAAUAUUAUAUUUAUAUUUAUUAAAAUAUAAGAGUUAAUAUUUUUAAAUUAAUAAAGACAAAAAGUAUUAUAAUAAAAAAGAAUUCUUUUAUUAAAAAUAUAAUCAUUCUCCCAAACUUAUCCUUGUCCCUUUUUGAAAGGAAAAAAUAAAUUAGAAAAGUCUAUGGUCAUGAUAACUUCUAGCCUUGUCCCGUGGGACAUGGCUACGGUGCAGAAGCUGAAAGUAACAGCUUCGAACUUUCCCAUUUCCAUCACCUUGUUGAUGGUUGUUGAAGCCAAUAAAAAUAAAUUCCUACUCUAAAUAAAUUGUGUAUAGUGAUUGAGCAGGGUCGUGUCCACAGAGAUCGGUAAUUAUUUAAAUUCUUUUGAAACGUAAAACGUAAAAUGGGAGAAUUGUUGACAAUAAUAAAAAAUCAAAUUAAAAUAACAAAAAUGCAAAUUAAAGUUGUAAUUCAAAUUGGAGAAAGCUUUGGUUGAAGGAAUUAACUCAGUUUGAUUCGACUACUGAUCAUUGAUUCAAAAAUAGAUUAUUAUUACUUAUGAAUAAACUGGUUAUAGCUAUUGAGACCCUCUAAUAGCCAAUCUCUCCUUAACUAGUCGAUAACCAAGGUACGACUAUUGGAUAUUUCCCUAAUCAAUAGACAACCCUAGAUACGAUCAUAGGAUUUAAUCAAUUGACAGCCUGAAAAACCAGAGCGACCCAAAUCCUAAUCAACACAUAUGAUGAUUCAUUUAAAUUAGAUUGUUUAUUCCCAUAACACAACUCACUGCUAUGUUAUUUGUCACAAACAUUAAACUCGUCAUACGAUGAAUUCUUUAAUUGACAAUAGAUUAAGUUGAUAAUUAAAUAGUGGCCAAUUACCUAAUUAACAAACAUAAUCAUGAAACUAAUUCAGAGAAUAAACAAAUACCCAAAAAGUAAUAAAACAAUUAAAGCAUAAGAAAGAUCUCACAGUAGUGAUGAAUCAAAAAUUCAUUAACCUUCAACUAGAAAAAAUAAGUUUAGUUUUUCAUAGAGAGAAGAGAAAAAUUAGAUCUAGGGUUUCUUUCUUUUUCUCCAAUUAAAAUCCCCCCUUUUUCACAAUAGAUUCCUCCCUUAAAUACUCUCUCUCUCUUCUCUUUUAAAGUUCUAUUUAAAAUAAAAUAAUAAUAUUUGAAAUAUUAAAUUCGUAAUUACAAAAAUAGCCAAAAAUACAAAACACAUUAAACUAAAAACUGCAGGUCCGCAGUUGACAGCACGCGCCCACGCCUUAUCUAUAAAGUUCUUCUGACGCUCUAAAUUUCUCCAAGAGAACAAUCAUCUUUAAACAUCAUCUUAUACCUCAAUUCUAUCACAAAUCAAUAGAAUUGCACUUACAAAAGUAAAACACAAGUAAAUCAUUAUUAUUAAAUGCAAAACAUCGAUAUUAAGGGAAGUAAACAAUGCAAAACUAGUGUAUAAAUUGUACUCUAACACUUGUAUUGGGACCUCUUUCUCUCUCCUAUAGCCCCCAUGGAAGUUCCCCAUUGGCUGCUGUUACUUACAGAAGCCGUAACAUAGACUUCUAGCCAUGUCCCGUGAUGUCCAUUGUCUGCCACUAUGAAUAAUGGCAAUGACAUUGCAAUUGAAACAUUGAAAAGGUAUUUUCGCAAUAUGACAAAGCUUUUGUUAGGAUAUGGGAGGAUUGUCAAAAGUUCACACCACUUGAAACUAGAAUUAGAUCUAAUUUCAUUUAUUUCAUAAAUUAGAAAAGUCUAUGGUCGUGAUAACUUCUAGCCGUGUCCCGUGAUGUCCAUUGUCUGCCACUAUGAAUAAUGGAAAUGACAUUACUAUAAUAAAAUGACAUUGCAAUUCCAAUAUGCAAUUGAAAAGUCUAUGGUCGUGAUAACUUUUGUAAUAUGACAAAGUUUUUGUUGGGGUAUGAGAGGAUUGUCAAAAGUUCACACACCACAUGAAACUAGUGUUAGAUCUAAUUUUAUUUCGUCCGUUCCUUAUAUAUUUAUUUCAUACAUAUAUGUCUUAGGGUGAUAUUGUUUUGUAAAGAUAUAAUAGUAAGGUACUAUAAAAAGAAAAGAACUGUGUGUAUACUUCCCAGUGUAAUAAUUAUAUGUAGAAGAAAACUAACAAGAGGAAAAAUGACAAAGAGCAAGGCGCUGGUUGUUGGGAGAAGAGGACAUGUCGGCAGAGGAUAGAGAAGCCAAUCUUAGCCUUGUUGAUUGAGGGCUCAUCUUCUGAUCAUCGUAGCCUUGUUGGAGCUGUCAAACAAGUCGAUGUUGUCAUUUAAGGAGCCACAACAUUUUGAUGCUGCUUAAACUUGUUGGGGCCAUCAAAUAAGCUGUAAAUAUUAAGGUACGUAAGCCUUAAUUUUUAUGUAAUUUUAAUUUCAGAUCCAAAAUUGCAUGCAAGCCAUUAAUUUCUUUCCUUUUUUAUUUUUGAUUUGAUGAGGUGCUUGAUUUGGUCGGGUGUGUAUUUUUUCUUUGUUCUUUUUUUUUUUAAAACAUAAAUCUCCAAAUCGGGUUGGAGCGGGGAUUCUAACCCUACGAUGGCCAUAUUAAAAUUUAAAAUUUUUUAAUUUAUUUUUCUACAUCUCAAUAUUUGAAAAAAUGAUUAUAUAGAUCUAUAUAUUUUCAAUAAGAGAUACUAAGAUACUCUUUUUUACUAUAACACCUACUAGCUCUAUUAACUCAAAAAAUUAGCUUCAAUGUUAAUAUAUAUAUUUUAAAAUAAUUUUAAUAUUUUAAAAAAAAUGAAAAAAAUAUUUUAAUACUUUACAAGCUUAUACUAUAUUAAACUAAAUUUUGUAAUAAAUAGAAACUUAAUAUAAAAUAAAUGUCUAAAAAUUUAAAUUAUUUUCAAUAGCAUAUAGAAUAAUUAUAAUAUUAUUAAUACCUAAGAUAUAUUAAAUUAAUUAUAAAUUCUAUUUAACACAAAUAUUUAACUAAAUUUUUUAUAAUAAAUAUAAAUAUAUUAUUAAAAUAAAUCUAAUAAUUAACAUUUUAAAAAAUAAUACUGAAAUUAAUUUUUUAAAUUAUACUAACACUAGUUUCACGCUGUGCGAACUUUUGACAAAAACUGUUAAUUGCAAUUUCUUUUGAAAACAAUAGAUCAAAUCAUUAAAGUGCAUGUGAUGAUUUGCUGUUUAAUUAUUUCUUUAGAAUAUAUCCAAACGUAAGGUUGUGAACUAGUGCUUUCUUCAACUUAAUUGGGUCCAACAAUACACUGCAGCUUCCUCUUUUGGUCAUUCCAAGUUUAAUUCUUCAUGAAAAUCUUAGACACUAAUACAAGGAUAUCGAAUCCAAAAUUAUAAUAAUACAUGUAAUUAUUCUAUACAUGCGUCAACAAGGCAACAGUAACCAAAUACAUGAUAUGCAAAGGGGGUGCAUGAUUAAGUCCUUUUUUUAUUCAAUUCAUUGUUAUUAUUCUCAUCAACUCUUUUCUCACUUAUUUUUCAGCAGUUACCAGUGAUCUUUUUGCUCUUUAAAAUUAUUCUUAAAUAUUCAAGGCUAAAUAGAGAAGCUCAUCAACUAUCUGAUCCCGGAUAAUUAAAGAGGUGAACUUGUUCUAAAUCCUUUGAUAAUUUCUAUUAAUAGCAUAAUCUCCUUGAUCUUGACCGCAGUUAUUUCUUAAUGUCCAAGAAAAAAAUAUCUCCUGUUUGUCUUAAUCUUGUCAUUUAAUUUUCUUGAUUUAAGUUACUGUUCAUUGUUAACUUCUGUGUUCUUGUUAUUAGCAUUUGUUAAUUUGCAUCUCUCCUCUAAAAUAGUUUCUAAAAAAGAAUGUUGCUUUUCAUUCAUACCCUUGAAACCUUUCAGUUAAUAGUCAAAACUCUAAUCUUUCAGUUAAUUUAUUUGAAUCCAAUUUUUUCAACAGCAAAUACACACACACAUUGUUAAGCAACAGCCAAAAAAGUGCAGAAAAACCAGUCAAAUUUAUACAUGCGUCAACAGGGAAACAGUAACCAAAUAGGUGAUACAAAAAGGGGUGAAUGAUUCUGUCUUUUCCUUUUGCAAGUCGCUGUUAUUACUCUCAUCAACUUCUUUCUCGCACAUUUCUCAGCAGUUACCAGUAAUAUUUAAAAUCGCUGUGUAGAUAUGCAAAAGUUCCGUAAGUGCAUUAAUAAUUAUUUGCCAGAAAAAAAUAGUUGCGUCAAUAUUAAAGGAAUUGACAUCCAGGGGACCCAAUUUAGUUGCUUAAUGAUUAUUUAAUUAAUUAAUUUAUAAUAUAUUAAUCUUUUAAGUUGAAUAAUUAAAAUCUUAGACCCGAAACAAUAAAUCAUCUGAGGCAUAUAAAAGAGAAAUUAUCAUCCUAUUUUUUCUUUUUUCUUUUUAACUUCUUGUAGCUUAUAAAAGAGAAAUUAUCAGUCAUUUACUCAAAGUUUAUUCAAUUAUUAAAAUUAUUAUAAAAAUUUAAAUUUAUUUAAUUUUACAUCCAAUGUAUGCAAUUUGUAUGAAACAUCUGUUAAAAAUAUAAAGUUAUUCGUUCAAAGUGACAAAAUAGAACCGAACACAAAAUUGUAGUGGUGAUUAUGUUUUAGGAGUAACUUUAUUUUUUUAGUAAACAGUUGAUACACAUUGUAAUAAUGGGUAUAAAAUUAAAUAUUUUUAAAUUUUUAUAACUUUUUGGAUAAUAAGAUAAUUCUUAGAUGGAUAAUUGAAAAUUUUUCUUUUCAAAAUAUUUUGAAAACAAUACCAAAUGUACCAAAACAUUGUUUACUUUCACUCUCUCUCUCUCUCUCUCUCUCUCUCUAUCUAUCUAUCUAUAUAUAUAUAUAUAUAUAUAUAUAUAUAUAUAUAUUAUUUCUUAACUCAUUCUUAUCCUUAUUCUUUCUAACAUAUCCACAAUCUGUCAAUGAAAUUUACUUUUAUAAAUUUGAAGAUUUUUUCAUGCAAUUUUAUACGAUGAUGAGUUCUCAUGUUUCUGUUAAAAAAUAAUUCGUAAAUAAUACAAAUGAAAAAAACAAAAAGUAGCAGGGCUGGCAAUACAAAACCAUAACUUUUUUUCUUUGAAUUUUGCAUAAACAAAGUCAAUAGUGAUUUGUCAGCACGAUCUUGAGAGCACGGCUUGGAGUCUCAAUAAUUAUUGACACUCAUAUUUGAAAACUUUCGAAAAGAUAAAAUCCAAUAUGAAAGGUGAAACGUUAUAAUCAUAGUAACUAGAAAAUGGAUUGAUUUACAAAUAUCAAUUUAAACAAUUUUCAUGUUGAUCGACAAUUUAAGUAGAUUGACAAAGAUUGAAGUAAUUACUGUUGGUGAUUGAUUGACUUUGUCCUUAUCCUUGCCUUCUUCUUAUCAAAAAUCGAGUGUCAAUUAAAUUGGGCCAGGGUUUCUGAUUGCAACUAAUGGACUUCAUAUACGCAUAAUGGUCCCUACGUACAUACGUACCAAUAUUUGAUUGAUAAAGGGGGUGCAUGCUUAAUGCUCAAGUCGUCUUCUUUUGGAAAUUCAUUGUUAUUACUCUCAUCAACUCGUUCCUCACAUUCCUCUUUAGUCAAAACCUGUAAUAUUUCUUCUAUAUUCAAGGUGAAUACAGCAGCUCAUCGACUCUGAUCCCAGACAGGUAAAGAGGUGCACUUGUUCUAAAACCUGUAAUAUUCUUUUAGUAGCAGAAUCUCUGAUACUUGAUCUUCAUAGCGGUUCUUUCUUAAUUUCCAUCAACUUUCCUAGGAAAAAAUUCUCUGGUUUUUCUUAAUCAUAUCAUUUACUUUUCUUAAGUCAUAUCAUUUAUUUUUAGUAGCAGAAUACUUGAUCUUGAUAGCCAUUCUUUCUUAAUUUCCAUCAACUUUCCUUAAAGGAUACCUUUCUGUUAAUAGCGAAACCUCUGAUCCUUAAGAUAGAAAAAGAAAUUCUCUACUUAUGUAUCAGUUGGUUCAAAAUCAAUAUCGCGAUGUUGUUUGCGGUCUUUUCUUUCUCUGUCUUUCCCUCUAGUUCAUUUUAAUUUAUUUGUAUUCCUUUCUUUGACAUUUUUAUUCAUUUUAUUCAUAUAUAUACAUAUAUUGUUAAGCAACAGGCAAUGGUUGCAGAAGUGGGUCUGGCUGCUUUUUCCAGCAUCGUAUCAGAAGAUGCAAAGUCACUGUUCAAACCGAUUAUACGGCAGAUCUCUUAUGUGUUCAAGUACCAGAGCUACAUAGAUGGCCUAAAAGAUCAAGUGAAACAGUUGGGAUAUAAAAGAGAAAGGGUGGAAAUACCCGUUCAUCAGGCUACUCAACAAGGAGAUGAGAUUUAUAAGGAUGUUGCAGACUGGCUUAAUAGCGUCAAGGAAUUCACUCAGGGAGCUGCGAAAUCCAUCACUGAUGAUGAAGAUAGAGCUAAGAAGUUCUGUUUCAAAGGAUUGUGCCCAAACUUGAUUUCUCGUUACAAGCUCAGUAGACAAGCAGCAAAGGCCGCAGAAGCUGCUGCUAGUCUCAUGGGAAAAUGUAACUUCUCUAAUGUUUCCUACCGUCCUGCUCCAAAGCGGGCAGAACAUAUGCAAGUGAAAGAUUUCGAGGCCUUUGAUUCAAGAAUGAAAGUAUUUGAAGAUGUUGUGGAGGCGUUGAAGGAUGAUAAGCUCAAGAUAAUUGGGGUCUACGGGAUGGGCGGCGUGGGUAAAACCACGCUAGUCAAGCAAGUUGCAAGGCAAGUUAUGGAAGAUAAGGUGUUCGACAAGGUCGUUAUGGCUGAGGUAACACAGACCCCAGAUCAUCAGGAAAUUCAAAAGAAACUUGCUUUUGACUUAGGCAUGAAAUUUGGCUCGGAUGAGAAUAAAUUCGAAAGAGCAGAUCGAUUACGUGAAAGAUUGAAGAACGAGAAGCAGGUCCUCGUUAUAUUGGAUAAUAUUUGGAAAAAACUCGAGUUCGAAAAAGUUGGAAUUCCUUGUGGGGAUGUUGAUGAGAAAGAUACAAAGGAUGAUCAGAGACGAUGCACAAUAAUAUUGACGUCUAGAAGUCGAGAUUUAUUGCGCAUUGAUAUGAAUUCUCAGAAAAAUUUCCCGAUCGAUGCUUUGCCACCAAAAGAAGCAUUGCAGUUAUUUGAAAAGAUAGUGGGUGAUUCAACUAAAAUAUCUGCUUUUCAAAGUAUAGCAAAUGAGAUCGUUGAAAGAUGCGGAGGUUUGCCUGUUGCACUGAGUACAGUUGCAAAUGCUCUGAAAACUAAGGAUAGUUACUUUUGGAAAGAUGCAUUGAAUCAGCUAAGAAGAUCGGAUGCUAGAGAAAUUCAUGGCAUGCAAGCAAAUGUGUACACCUCCAUAAAAUUGAGUUAUGACUUCUUGGAAAGUGAGGAGGCAAAAUCUCUGUUCCGUCUUUGUAGUCUAUACAGUGAAGGUAAUGUCAUACAAGUUUCUGACUUAUUGAGAUGUGGUGUGGGUUGGGGUUUGUUUGAAAAUGUUUACACAUUGGAAGAAGCAAGGAGUAGAGUGCAUCGGUUGAUCGACAACCUCAAAUCUUCAUGCUUAUUGUUGGACGGUGAUGCUGAAGAUGAAGUUAAAAUGCAUGACGUCAUUCAUGUUGUUGCCGUAUCAAUUGCCAGAGAGGAGCGCAUGUUUAAUGUUCCAAAUGUUGCUGACUUGGAGAAAAAGAUGGAAGAGACAAUACAGAAAGAUCCAAUUGCUAUUUCAUUACCUCAUAGAGAUAUUCAAGAGCUCCCUGAAAGGUUGCAAUGUCCCAAUCUCCAGUUAUUUUUGUUGUAUACGGAGGGUAAUGGCCCUAUGCAAGUUUCAGACCACUUUUUUGAAGGGAUGGAAGGACUCAAAGUUUUACAGUUUCCUGGAAUUGGCUCUUCUUCAUUACCUUCAUCACUUGGUCGCCUCAUUAACCUUCAAACAUUGUGUUUAGACUGGUGCGAACUAGCAGAUAUAGCGGCAAUUGGACAACUAAAGAAAUUAGAGAUUCUCAGCCUCGCAUAUUCCAAUAUCAACCAGCUACCAGUUGAAAUUGGACAAUUGACGCGGUUACAAUUGCUAGAUUUGAGCAAUUGUUGGUGGCUUGAGGUGAUAGCACCGAAUGUCAUAUCAAAAUUAUCUCAAUUAGAAGAAUUGUAUAUGGGUAACGGUUUUUCAGGGUGGGAGAAGGUUGAAGGAGGAAGUAAUGCCAGUCUUGUCGAAUUGGAGAGGUUGACAGAGCUAACUACUUUGGAGAUAGAAGUUCCGGAUGCCGAAAUUCUGCCGCCGGAUUUUGUCUCUGUGGAAUUGCAAAGAUAUAAGAUACGUAUAGGAGAUGGGCCCGAAGAUGAGUUUGACCCAUUGCUCGUCAAAUCUGAAGCAUCAAGAUUGAUGAUGCUCAAGGGGAUAAAAAAAGUUAGCAUUCUUCAGGAGAAUGAUGGGACAAAAAUGUUGCUGCAGAGAACUGAAGAUCUCUGGCUAGAAACAUUGGAGGGUGUUCAAAGUGUUGUUCAUGAAUUAGACGAUGGGGAAGGUUUUCCACGAUUGAAGCGUCUUCUCGUAACAGACUGUUCUGAGAUUUUACAUAUUGUCGGUUCAGUUAGGGUUCGUUGCGAAGUCUUUCCCUUGCUGGAGGCAUUGUCUCUUAUGUUUUUAACUAAUUUGGAGACGAUAUGCUACAGCCAACUCAGAGAAGAUCAAUCCUUCAGCAACUUAAGGAUUAUAAACGUAGAUUCCUGUCGAAAAUUGAAGUAUCUCUUCUCAUUCUCUAUGGCCAAAAACCUAUUGCGGCUUCAAAAAGUAAAAGUGGAAGACUGCGAUGAUUUGAAAAUGAUUAUUGGUAAGUGUUGAAAUUAAUUAUUGGUAGGAUUAUUGACAUUGACUCUUUCUUUUUUUCUUUUUCUUUUUUUGGGGAAAAAAACAACGGAUGUUUAUUAUAUAUUGUUUUGGUUCAUUUAUAGGGCCCGACAUGGAGAAACCAACAACAACUCAGGGAUUCAUAGAAAUCAAUGCAGAGGAUGAUCCUGUUCACCAGGUAAUAAUUUUCUGUUUAAUAAUUAAUUAAUUAAUAUAUUAUCACGAUUGAGCUUCAAUCAUCGAAAGAAUAUUAUAUUAGAAGUUGUAGUUGAAGGAACAAAAAUGUAUGGUUUUUCUUUGCAGGUUACUUUUCCACGCUUGGAGGAACUGGAACUUGUCAGUUUAACAAAUAUCAAAAAAUUAUGGUCCGAUCAAUUUCAGGGAAUAUAUUGUUGUCAAAAUUUAACAAAAGUGACCGUGUGGAGUUGUCAUCGUCUGAAGUAUUUGUUUUCAUAUUCUAUGGUUAAUAGUCUUGGGCAACUCCAACAUCUUGAGAUUCGUAAUUGCCGGUCAAUUGAAGGGGUAGUCAACACCACGACGUUAGGAGGAAGAGAUGAAUUUAAGGUUUUUCCCAAACUACACUACCUGUCGCUCCAUUGGCUUCCAAAACUAAGUAGCUUUGCCUCACCAGAAGACGUCAUUCACACUGAAAUGCAACCUCAAUCCCUCUUUGAUGAAAAGGUUUUUUUUCAUUGAAUUUUUAAAUUCUCUUUUCGUUGAGUCUUCAAAUUUAAUUAAUAUACAUCUCUAAUUGCAUUGAAUUUUUAACUUCAGGUACGACUCCCAAGUCUGGAGGUAUUAAAUAUUAGUGAGGCGGAUAAGUUGAGAAAAAUAUGGCACCACCAGCUUGCUUCGAAGUCUUUUAGCAAAUUGAAAAAAUUGAAGAUAUCUGGGUGUAAUAAUCUACUGAAUAUUUUUCCUCCAUUGGUAAGAUUGCUAUAUUCAUUUUGAAUUUUUAUUUCAAGUAACAUUCAACAAUUAUUUUAAUCAUUUUUGUGUUUACAAAUAAUUUUCAUUCACAAAUUAUUUAUUGCAAGUAUUUUACUUCAAACUUCAGGAGGGCAAAAAAGUAGUGUACUUCAAAUCACCAUUCUGAACUCUGCAUUGUCAAUCUAAUUUAUAGGUUCACCCGCAUUAAAGUCAACGAUAUAAUUGUUUUAAACACGAUUUAACAGCAUAAUAUAAUUCAAUUUAAUUGUUUUUUUCCUUAAAUCCUAAUAAAUAAGAUUUUUAGAAAUUAAAAGAUACUUAGUUACUCAGCUUUUAAGCUCACAAAUUCAUAUAUAUUUCUCUUUUCCUUGGGUCUUCAAAUUUCGAUUUAAAAAAAAAUAAAAGAAAAGUGUUCAAAUGUAGUUAAUAUCUCUAGUUUAGUUAUGAAUUGAUUACGCCAUUGAUUAAGCACAAAUUCAUGAUGGUCAUUUUGAAUCGACCGUUGAUUAAAAAAAUUCCUCAAAUAUUCACUCUAUAACAGUCCCAUGUUGAUGGCGUUGGGAAGUGUUUUCCAGAAAUGUUUUUCCAUUUUUAAAAGCAUGAAUAUCGGGAAAAAAAAAAGGGAAAUACAGCGUUUUAGUUUAGUUAUUUUAAAAAUAGGCAUGUUUGAAAAUUAAAAAUUUUAAAAAACUAGCAUCAAGAUGAAAAAUGAAUUUAGAAUAUUUAAAAAUUACCUGAAAUUCUUUCUCCGUUCCUAAUACUAAAUAGUGUAAAUGCAUUUUCAUUAUCUUUGUUUUUCUGGACUUCUAUUUAUUUAUUUUUAUUUUUUCUUUUUUUUCUUUAACAAAAAAUAUCUAGUAGACAUUCAUGGUUUGUUAUUUUUCAUAAAACAAUUGUAUGAUUUUGACAUACUUUGAAUCUAGUUGAAUGCUACUCUUUAUUUUCAGGUUGGAAUUCCCAAUAGUCUAGUGAAUCUUGAUGUAUCAGACUGUGCAAAAAUAGAAGAAAUCAUAGGACAUGUUGGAGAAGAAGCGAAGGAGAAUCGUAUUGCUUUCAACGAAUUAAAACUUUUGGAACUUGAUGAUUUACCAAGGCUUACCAGCUUUUGUUUGGAGAAUUACACUCUUGAAUUCCCAUCAUUGGAACAAGUUUCUAUGACACAUUGUCCGAACAUGAAGACUUUUUCUCGGGGAAUCUCAUCCACACCAAAGCUAUACGUAGUGCAAGUGACUGAAAGGGAAGAGGGUGAACACCAUUGGGAAGGCAAUAAGCUUAAUUCCACUAUACAAAAGUGUUACGAAGUAAUGGUAUGUGUUAAUCGAUUCACUUUACGAAGUAAUGGUGUUACGAACACCAUUACGAAGUAAUGGCAAUAAGCUUAAUUCCACUAUACCACAUUUAAACAUAUACACCUGCGUUGUAAAUAUAUUUUUAGAAGUUAAAGCACAAAACAUGUAAGUUUAAUGUAUAUAUAUAUCUAAUGCCUUUCAAAAAAAGAAAUUUAUAUAUAUCCAGUGCAAUUGUUUUGGUUUAUGCAGAUUGGAUUCCGUGACAUAGAGCAUUUGCAACUCUCACAUUUUCCACGCUUGAGAGAAAUAUGGCACGGCCAAGCAGUGCCUGUCAGCUUCUUCAACAAUUUACGACAACUGGCUGUGGAUGACUGCACGAAUAUGUCGAGUGCUAUUCCUACCAAUCUGCUACGUUGCUUGAACAAUUUGAGAUGCCUGGAAGUGAGGAAUUGUGAUUUAAUAGAAGAGGUGCUUCAUUUAGAAGAGCUAAAUGCUAAGGAAGAACAUAUAGGCCCCCGGUUUCCUAGGCUUAACAGACUAAGGCUCAUUGAUCUUCCAAAACUCAAAAGAUUCUGCAACUUCACUGGGAAUAUAAUUGAACUGUCUGAGUUGGAGAAUCUAACUAUUGAGAAUUGCCCUGAUAUGGAAACAUUCAUAUCCAACUCUGUAGUGCAUGUGACAACAAAUAACAAGGAACCUCAAAAAUUAACAUCAGAAGAGAACUUUUUGCUGGCUCAUCAAGUACAACCCCUCUUCGAUGAAAAGGUGAUUAUUAUUAUUAUUAUUAUUAUUAUUAUUAUUUUCCCCUUCACUUUUGUUCGCACAGAUGUAAUUUCAUUAGAAUCAAAUCAAAUUUUAUGACUCAUCUUUUUGCAUGUCAUCUUGAUUCAUAUAUGAAUUAACAAUACAACUACAGUUAUGAACUAACUUUAUAGUAUGAAUUAAAAAAAUGUCUUAAAUUAUUUCGAUGACUGGUAACAUGAGGUGAUGAACUAUAUCAAUUAUGCUUGUCGCAUCUCUGUUUUCCUAGCUAAUUCAUAUUGGAUUUAGUAUCAGAUUUCAUUUAUGUGUUUCAAAGGGUAAUCGAUUUGAUACUUAUAUUUGGGAUCCUACUGCAAAGCAUACUAAUUUGGAAAUAAAAUAUAAAAUGCCGUGAUUAAUCUUGUCCAUAAAAUAUGCAGGGGAAGACUGCAGAGAUUGGAUACAUACUUUCAUUUACAACUUAAUUUUGUUGAUUUUCAGCUUACAUUCCCUCAAUUGAAGGAGUUAAAGCUAUCUAGAUUACACAAAGUGCAGCAUCUCUGGAAGGAAAAUGACGAAUCCAACAAAGCGUUUGCAAACUUGAAAAGUCUAGAAAUAUUUGAAUGUAGUAAGUUACAGAAAUUAGUACCAGCUUCGUGGCAUUUGGAAAAUCUUGAGGCUUUGAAAGUAUCGAAGUGUCACAGGUUGAUAAAUUUGUUGACGCUCUCAACAUCUAGAAGUCUGAUAAUUCUUCAAAGUAUGACGAUAGCUGAUUGCAAAAGGAUAGAAGAAAUCAUACAGUCGCCGGUUGCAGAAGAAGCGAAAGAUUGCAUUGUUUUCAAGGAAUUAAAGUACUUGGGACUUGAUUGUUUGCCAAGCCUAACAAGCUUUUGUUUAGGUAAUUACGCUCUUGAAUUCCCGUCCUUGAAACAAGUAGUUGUGAGAGAGUGUCCAAAAAUGAUGAUCUUCUCUCAAGGAGUCUUAGACACACCAAUGCUAAACAAAGUGAACGUCACCGAAGAAGAAAAAGAUGAUGAUGAUGAAGGAUGUUGGGAAGGCAACCUCAAUGACACCAUAAAAAAAUUGUUCAAUGAAAUGGUGAGUAUCAAUUAAGUUUUGGUGCUAUUUAGAAAAUUAUUUUAUAGAAACUAAUGUAAUAUAAUAUGAUUGGUUGACUGAAAAUAUAUAAUAAUAAAUAAAUAAAUAAAUUAUGAGGGCUAUGUAAUGUUUUUGUUUAACCAAUCAUAUUAUGUCGCAUUAGUUUAUACAAUAUUGUUUGUGUACAAGAGUUGUAAUGUAUGCUUGCUUACACGAGUAAUUACAAAAUGUGCAUAAUUCUAAAGAAAAGAUUGAGCCAACCCUUCAGGUACAGUGAAGAAGCUAUCUCGAACCAGGCCAAUCUCGUGUACAUGAUUCAACUUGCUCGUUCUCCUGUACUUGAAUAAUUUGGUUCUAAACGCAUUUACAACUUUUUUGUCAUGCUAUAGACAUGCAAGACACUUUGGAUUUGUUUGAUGCAUUCUUUGUUUAAGGAAGGACUUGAAUUGAUGUUUCAUGUUUCAUGCAAUUUUCAAUUAGAUACUGUUUAAACUUCUGCAUUAUUCAUUCAAUCGGUGUUUUAAGCAUUUGAUUUCUAACUAGUCCUGAUAGAAGAUCAUUAGCUGAAGAAAACAUCAUAACAUUUGUGGCAUUAUCAGAAUAAGAAUAGUUUUAUGAGUAUAGUAAAAUUAACUAGACCAUUAUUAAAAGGAAUUAAUCCGUCAACUUUAAGUAAACUUUAGAUGAUGGUUCUGACCUAAACCAUUUUAAUGCUUGGCAAAAUCACAUCCUGAGCAUAGAGUAAAGAAAGUGGCAUACAUGGUAAUCAACUUCAAGAAGCUCUUCGAAAUGCAUAAUACUGUUGGGGAGAAAAGAAAAAGAAAGAAUACAAAUAAAAAGAAGUCACACAUCAUCAGCAGUUUUUCGGGAACACAAAAAUGUUAUAAUAACUUUUCUUGAUUGCCACCCACAUGCUAAACUGAUCAAAUACAAAACAGGAUACAGAAAAUCUCUAACCUUUUUGGCACUGAAGAAGACGCCAGUGCUUUCAAAAGAAAAUGCUUGAUUGUUGGCAUUCUGGUUUGAAAAAUAUGAGUCCAAUUCCUGUGUCCAGUCAUGUACCAAAUCAGGACGACGUGCAAGUCAUACAAAGAUGACAAAAAUACAGUAUAAAUUGCGUCAAACCAAUUCAAGUCAAUUGGAGAAGUAAAUCAAGGACCAUUUGCAAUAGUUGUUCUCCACAUCAAAUUUGGGUGUCCAUCGUCUUCAUCCUCUUGUGCACUGAACCUGAGAGUCCACGAGAAAUACAUAUAAAAAUUAGGCAUGAUUGAAAUUGAUAGUAGUACAAAAUGGAUAUAAACAUCACGAUGAACAAAUUAAAUUGUUCCCUGUCAGACAAAUCCAACCUGCAAGCUUAAGCUCUUAAGCUAGACCAAAUCACACUGCAAAUAACAAGACAUAAGGCCAAAAAAAGAUAAUAUGUAUCAUUCAUAUGCUUCGCCCUAUAGAAAUGAUUUGGGCCAUAGGUCAAUUAUGUUAAAAGCAGCGAUACUAAACCCAAAAGAAGAGAGGUGAGGCGAGGGAGUGGUGGGUUUUUUUUUUUUUUUUUUCAUUUAUAUAUUUUUACCUUAAACCAAAUGACCGGUUUUACAGGUUUCUGGUUGUUUCAAAUUUUUUUAUUGCUUAAUAAUGAAACAAAUCUCAGCCAUUAGAUCACUCCAUUUAAUCCAAUGGUCAGUUUUUGUGCAUGUAUCAGAUGCACGCAUGUAUUGUAGCCGCCCCAUUUUCCUUUUUAGUUGCAAAACCUCGUUCGAAAGCAACAAUGACUUUCACUCAAAGUAAAUGAGAAAUUACAAUGAAAAUGGGAUCAGAAAAAGGUUGAGGUGAAAUAAAACCAAAGGGAUGAUGUUUCUGCUUUCCAGCUUUGGGAAACGGCGUGGAUGGAGCACGUUCAAUACGAAAAACUUCAUUAGCUCACGCGCUGCUCAGCUGAUUCUUAACAGAAAAUGAUUUAGUGGAAACGGCGUGGAUGGAGCACGUUUAACAUAUCAGUUUAAGUAACCACGUGAGAAAGCAUGUGAUGAAGGUUGUUCCGAGUUCGUUGAAGGUUGUUAACCACGUGUCAAAACAAAGUGUUCAUACUGGAAAGAAACAAAAUAUUAAUAAAUAAACCAUUAAAAAGAUUAUCUGAAAAUUAUGUUUAACUAGGCCAAUUCAAUUAUCGAGCAGUUUGAUAUAUUAAAUGAGCUAGAACAGUAGCCUUUUAAUUAUUUCACUUACUAUUAUCGAACAGUUUUAUAUCAUUCCCUAUCUUAUAGUAAAGGUAAAAGAACAGAAAAGGUAUAUUGCAUUAGAGUUCGUGUACUUCUACCUUUUAGUUUAUUCUUCAUUUUAUUAAAAUGACAGAUUCCUCAUUAAAAAAGGUCACUCUACAUAGUAUGUGGGUGUAUGUUCUUUUAAAAAGGACUGAGAGAAAAAUAAAUGUGAAAAACAAGUAACAUCUGAAGAAGAAAGUGAUGCUGACACAUUAACGACCACUUGAUUUUGUAGGGACUGCACAUAAUUGAUAAUUUCAUCCAACAUGAGACCUUUCCAAUUACCUAAUUUUAUACCAAACAACAUGAAGUUUAUAAGAAAUAUUAAAAACACAAAAACUCGUUAUUUGUUUUAAGACAGGAAAAAGUGAAUAAAAAACAAUAACAAAAAAAAGAACUCAAAUUACUUAAUUACCAUAGCUAUGAACAAGUUUUUGCAAAAUUUUCAUCCUCUCACUAACUUUCUCUCUUCUUACCUAAAACCAAAUAAUGACAAGACAACUGCCCAUUAGACUAUGACAAAAGUUGGAAAUUAAAAUAAUAUAGUAGGUUAUUUUGGAUAAAAUUAGAAAAAGAAAGUUUGAAUUUGUAUUAAUAUACUCACCCUUUCUGUUAACCCCUAUUUGAAGGGCCGAAAGAGUAGUAACAGUAGCAAAAAAUUCAAAUAAUAGAAAUCAGAGUGCCCACUACAUAUAAAUGGAUCUAAAGAAUAGAUUAUAUAAUAGCUUGUUUCUUAUGAAUGAUACAUGUGAUUCCACAGAUAAAAAGAAAAUAAAAAUCAAGUAUGUGAAUUAAAAAAAACACCUAACCAAUAGGGGUUAGUGAGAUAUUUUAGCUAAAUAUCAGUUGACAGAAUCUGACCCACAAUAAAAAUUGCUAUCUUUUCACAAUGGGAAUCUGAAUUAUAAAAUUACUGAACAAAACUUUUAACACCUACAAGUCCAAAUAACAUCAAAUAAAAUGCCUAACCAGCUGUUAAAUAUAAAAUGUCCAUGUAGGACUAAAGCCCUGUGGCUAAUCCUUCAAAGUUCCAAGCAACAAUAUGAUAAAAACAUAAUGCAUAAUAUAUAAGGAGCUUAUCUGUAAAACUUCCAUACAAUACUUAUCAUAUUAAACAAUGUACAUAAUGAAAUAUUGGCUUAUUUCUACAGAAUAUUACGAUCUAAGUACACCAAUUUCUCAAGCAAUGCCAUAUAGAAAGAUACCGAAGAAAAAAGGAAAAUAAAAAAUCGAAGUAUGUUAGUUAUGAUUUCAACUUUUGAACUAAAAGUCUGUGACAAAUUUUGCUUCGGGAAAUACUAACAAACACUUGAGAAAAACUAAAGUGUAUCACACUUGAACCGUAUAUAAAGCACAAGAAUAAAAACAACAAGGGGCAAAAAGAGGCUAGAUGUAUCAUCUUCAUUAGUUAAACAACAUAAAUAGAAUCAAAAUAUUAAUGCAUACACCAAAACCUUCAAAAUUCUCUAAACAUUCAAUUUUUUUCAGAGUAAGAAAAUAAAUUUAUAAGAAAUCGAGAAUGCGUAUUUGUUGCGGUAUUUUAUCAAGCAAUUAGCAUGCAGCAAUGUAAAUGACAAUUAAAACAUGUAAAUCUCUGUACUUUGAAAGCUCACCUUCGUUAUUCAUCCAAAGAGAAUAUAUAGGGCAUGUAAGCUCCUUCUUUGAUAUUUAUCCCUAUCGUUCAAUUAUUUUGUUUUCAUCAAAUUCCGUUAGCUCAAGUGGAGACAAAGCAAUACAAAUGGUGCAUUUAGAAGGUACAACUUUAGAAACCGAAUUUGUGCUUGCAACAUAGGAGAAACAGGGGCUCUCCUUCCAUUUUCCUGGUUUUGUGUUUGGUGAUUUUAAAAUUUUAUAUCUAUAUUUACGAAAAAAGAAAAGAAGUUUUCAAAACUAUUUUUUUUAUACAAGUUCUGUGUCAACUCAAAAAUUGCUCAUGACCAAAAAACAUCUAUGGUUCUUCAGUUACUCAAAAAUUCCUCGUUUUUGAGUUACUUUUUUUUUUUUUUUUAAUUUUUAUUCUCAAGUAAUUUUAUCAUGGAAUUGUUAAUUUUUAUUGAAUGUUGAACAAGCCUUUAUUUCUUUUCUUUCCCUUUUAAUGAAAUUAAAUAAAUGGUGGGGAUAUACCCUACAAAUUAUUGUCUCCACCCCAUAUUUAGUAUUGCUUUUACCACAUGAAAAAUUAAUUUUAUACGAUAAAUUUAUUUACUUGAAUAUUAAACCAUAUCAUGAACCAAUUGACAGGUUGAAGAAUUAACUUUCAAGUUUCAACAUUAUAAGAUUAAUAAAUAGCAUAAACAAAUUUUUAUUUUCAUUUAAAUUAAUCUAAUCCUACCAACUUCAUUUGGAUUUCAUAGUUGUUGGUUUCAUGUAUCACACGAAUUGUUAGGCACCAACUAACACAAGUAUAUGUUACUCAAGCAUCUCACUUGAAUAAUAGUCUAAGGAACUUUGAUUCGGAUGGUAGAUAUUUAACUAACUAAAACUAACAUUCUUAACUCAAAGCUCAUUUACUAGUAAAAGUAGAACCUUCUCCGUCAGCUUAUCUUGUUCAUUAUAUAACAAAAGAUAUUUAGUGAAAAAAAAAAAUUGGAGGGGGGGGGGGGAGGGGGAGACUAUGAUAAUAAUUAUGUUCAAGAUCUAGCCGCUAGGGAUAGAUUUGGCUAUGACUAUUUGUUGAUCCAGUAAUUAAUUUGAACAAUAUUGUUAAUUUUAGUUGAAACUGGAAUGAAUUUUGUGAAAGAUGCUUUCUCAUAACUAACCAACUAAAACUAACAAUCAAAUUAUCAAAAUCAGAGCUCAACUACUAGUAAAACUAUAAAAGUAAAACACUUGCUUCUCCAUCAAGUCAUCUCUUUAUAUAUAACAAAGAAUGUUUUAUGAAAGAUGGCAAAAGCAGUCAAUAACAAUUAAGUCUCAAAUAAUUCAUAAAAGAUGUCAAGCUCUGUUGCGAAUGCUGCUGAGGCUGAGAUUUGGAUUGUCCCAUUCUUCGGUAAGGGACAUAUGUUUCCAUGCAUUGAAUUAUGCAAGCAAAUCACUUCUCGUAAUUACAAAUCUACCCUCAUUAUUCCCUCUCACGUUUCCGCCACCAGCAUCACCCCUUCUUUUGUUCACCAAUACCCUCUAUUUGAAAUUACUGAAAUACCCUCCUCAUCUCCACUACUACCAUCGCCUCCUUCUUACCUCCAUGUUGUCAUGCACAACCAAAUGCUUCAGGGUCUUCGAAACCUCCUUUCAACCCGGAACCCGAAAGCCGACCUGUUUGCGUAGUCAUCGGCGUUAUGAUGGGCUGGACGGCUGAUGUUUUCAAGAAUUUUGAAGUUCCCAUUGUUGGGUUCUUCACUUCUGAUGCUUGCUCAGCAGCUGUGGAGUGUGCCAUGUGGCAGGCUCGCAUCCAGGAUGUCAAACCGGGAGAGGCCCAUUUACUUCUUGGGUUACCCAAGGAUGUUGCUUUAUUCCAAUCAGAUCUUAAACGCAGGCCUCACGGGUCCCUUCCUGGUGGCCCACAACCUUUGUGAGGUGCACCCGGUUCAGAGAAAAUAGGUCCAUCAGAACCGAGUGAUCAACCACACUGGAUGAAGCAAGUGGAGGGAUCGAUGGUGUUGAUGCUAGUGUGGGGAGUGGGCCCAUUGUUACCUGAACAAUUUUACAAAUCGACCGGUUCAGUGCUUCGUGAUUGUGAGAUGAGAACCAACCGGCGGAGUUCUAACAUGACCAAAGAUGAGAUCAUUCAAUGGUUAGAUUUGAAAUCAUGUGGAUCAGUGUUAUACAUGUCAUUUGGUACCGAAAUGGGUCCCACCUUAAAUGAUUAUUCAACAUUAGCCAAUGAUUUAGAAGCAUCAAAUCCACCGAUUAUUUAGGUAAUUCAAACUGAUGUAAAUAGAUUGGAUCCUCCACGUCAUUUAACCAGCUUAUUUUCAUAGUGGUUUAGAUAGUAAAGCCGGUAAAAAGGGUUUGAUAAUAGAUGGAAUGGCACCACAAUUAUUGAUGCCGAGUUAUCAAUUAAUAGGUGGAUUUUUAUCUCACUGUGGAUAAAAUUCAACUGUAGAAGCAAUUGGCUGUGGGGUCUCAAUUUUAGCAUGGGCAAUUAGAGGUGAUCAACGUUACAAUGCCAAAUUGGUGAUCAAUCAUCUCAAGGUGGGGUGCAUGAUCUCUGAUGAUCAGUCGAAAUUGACUUAAAAGGAUGAUAUAGUGAGUGGUAUAGAAAAGCUUAUGAGUAGGGUUGGGCAAAAUAUCCGACCCGAUCCGAUCCGAUCUGACCCAAAAAAUAUCGGGUUCAGAUCGGAUCGGAUUGUUAACAAAAUCCAAUCGGAUGUAACUUUGCCAACCCGAUCGGAUCAUGAUCGGAUCGGAUGAAACCCGAUCCGAUCCGAAAACCCGAUCGGGUUGGCUUAAAAAAAAAACUGUGUAACAAACUAACAAAGUGGCAAACACAACAAAAUCGGAUUCACACCACACAAAAAGCAAAUCUUAGAUCUAAAUUAAAAUAAUCUGUAAGUGCACACACACACACUCACAUCACACACGGUCACACACAAAUAGAGGUUUGGCCUCGGAGAUCGGAAAUGUUGAGAUGCCAAACAACGAAGCAGCAGCCAACAGAUUGGAGAUACAACCGCAAGAAGCAGCAACCAGCAGACCGGAGAUGCGGCCGCGCGAAGCCGCGAACCAGCAGCCAGCAAUCACCGACGUGAUCGUGCGAAGCCAAACCAUCGGAGAUCGGAGAUGUCAGCGAAGCAGCGGUGAGCAGAUCGGAGAUGCAACCGCAAGAAGCAGCAGCCAGCAAAUCGGAGAUGCAACUGCGUGAACCAGCAGCCAUCAGUCACCGACGCGAUCGUUCAAAGCUAAGCCAUCGCUGCAACCGCAACGUGCCGAUGGAAUCUACUACACCUCGACUGCUACCGCUUGCUGCCACUAGCUUCACCGGUUACCACAACUGCUACAACUAAAUUCACCUCCACAUUCACUGUCACCAAGUUUUUGGUGGUAUUGACUAUAUUGUUUUAAAUAAUUUAAUUUAAAAAGCUUAAAACAAAACUAUAUCUUGAGAAAAGGUUGAUUGUUUUACUUGAUUGCUUCUGAAAUUAACCCAGAAAUAUAGAAUGGAUAUAUAACCCGAAUGCUUUUAAAUCUGAAUCUAAUCCGAAUUAAUCCGAAUUUUCGAUCCAAUCCGAUCCGAAUUAUAUUCGGAUCGGAUUGGAUCGGGUUAAUAAUUCGGAUUGAGUUCGGAUGAUUUUUUCCCCAACCCGAUUGAUCCGAAAUUGAUCAAAUCAACCCGAACCCAAUCCGAAUCCGAUUUUGCCCACCCCUACUUAUGAGUGAUCAAAGAAAUUGAAAAACGAGCUCACAUGCUUCGCCGUGUAUUUAAUCAUGGCUUUCUUAUAAGUCAAUGACUUCUUUAAUAUAGUGUUUACUUUUUGGAGUGAGAGUGAGGAGUGUGGAUUCCUCUUACUCCAGUGUUUACUUACAAUUUUCAAAGGGGAAGUGAGAAUUCCACUCCGUGGAUCCCACCUAAUUUUGGAGUGGGGGAGUGAGAUUCCCACUCCCAUGGAGGAAGGUGGGAGUGGAAAUUCACUCGCCUCUCUUCCUUUUUCACCCUUAUAUUUAAUAAAAUAAAAUAAAUAAUAUCAUAUUUAUUUAACUUAUAUUAUUAUUUUAUUUUAUAAAUUACAUUUAUUAAAAAUAAUAAUAUUAAACAUAUUUAUUUUAUUAAAUUUAAUAAAAUAAGUAAAAUCAUAUUUAUUUAAAUAAUAAUAUUUUAUUAUUUUAUAAAUUAAAUUUAUUAAAAAUAAUAAUAUUAAACAUAUUUAAAAUAAUAUUAAUUUUUUGGUUAAAAAUAAUAAUUUACAUUGAUUCUAAGUUAAAAUUACUUAAAAAUAAUAUCAUUAUAUUCAUAAAGAAUUAAUAAUAUUACUAUAUUCUAUUUUUAUUUGAAAAUAUAAUAUUAUUAUACUUAUUUAAAAAUAAUACUAUUAUAUUUAUUUAAUAUUAGUAAUUAAUAAUAAUAAAUAUUUUAUUCUAAAAAAAUUAAUUUUGUACUAUAUUAUCAAUAAUAAUGUUUCAUUUGUAUUGUUGUUAUUAAUAAUUUUUUAUUUAUAUAAUUAAAAUUAAAAUUAAUAAAAUAAUUGUGAUUUACAUAGUUAAGAAUAUUAAUAAUUAUUAUUAAUUUAAAAAUAUAAUUUUUAUUAAUUUUGUAAUUAAUAACUAUAAUUCUUUAAGAGUAAAGCUGUAAUUUAAAAUCAUUACUCACAAUCUAAGACAAUGUAAACAAAUAAAUUGGAUUCUGAUUUCAAUUCCAUACUUCCAUUUCAGUGUAAGUAAACAACAUACUUCGACUCCCACUCCACACUCCUAAUCCCAGGAUUCUCACUUCUCACGAUUCUCACUCCAACGCAAAAUGUAAACGCUACCUAAAUGCUUUCAAAUAUCUUGUUAACCAGAAAUCAAUUUAACAAAAACAAUUACCGUGUAUAUUAUUAACGAAAAGGCUUUGAUUCCGUUGGCUUGGGUGUAAAUAAAUCGACUUUAUCAAGAACAGACAUCUCAGCAACUACAUAAUAAUAUAUGUAAGCUUUUGUUAAUUGACUGCAUUAAAUCAUUAAAUCAAAAGCCUUACAAAGCAUCUACAAUAAAAAGAUGGCACAUCCUCCAUCCAAACGACAAAAACAUGGACUCGCAACGCAAUUCUUGCUAAUUAAUUAAUAGGUAGUCAUAUUCCUCCGAGCAACAAAAUGAACAUCAAAUUGUUGAUGAGGCACCAUAUGCACAAAAUGUUGAUAUUGUUUAAUGUUUAAUAUUAUGGGAAAGUUUUAAUAGAUCUUCAUUUCCCUUACAUAUUGUGAGCUUAUAACCAAAAAUGGGACUAUAUGGUUGUGUGACAAACAAAAAGGGAAAUUUUUUACUAUUCGGCUAAAUUUUAAUGUCAAUAAUAUAGGAUCUGAAUUCACUUUAAUAUGAUAUCGACAUGUGUAGAAAAUUCCUUAAGUAAAUAGAUUUUGCAUAAAAGGUAUCGACCCAGAGUCAGAGGAAAAUUAAAUAGAAUGUCUUUUAAUACAACAAUCACUGGUGACCCUGUUUGGGCAUAGUUUGAGAGUACUAAAAUAUCUACUGCCAACUCUAUUCUAGUUGAAAGGCUAUCAAGGCAAAUUGGUCGCAUUGUUGAUGAUGAGGAAAUAGAGGUUGGAUUCAAGAAGAAGAAGAUUAUGGUAGUAAUGUUCUUGAAGGUCGAGAGAUGGAGAGAUUGAGAAAUAAUAGUGCAGCAAGUUUAAUGAGUGGAUAAUAUUAUGGUCAUAUGUUUUUUUUUUUUACACACAUGUAUAUAAUAUUAUAUUUCUAUGAACUAGUUUGAUUACAAUGAUUUUAUGUACAUAAAAGUUUAUAUAAAGAUUAAAUUUUUGCAUUUUCUUUUUUGCACUUAAUUUAUUAAUCAAACUAAUGAUAUGUUAGUAUUUGUUAUAUCACGAACUACAUAACAAAUUUUUUAGUUAAAAAGAUAUUGAAGUUAAUUUUAUUGCAAAUUAAAAUAGUUAAUAAAAAAUUAUUUAAAUAUGUAAUAAAGAAAAUAGAAUAUGCUCUUAAAAAAUCUUGUAAAUAAAAAAAGAUUUAAAUAAUAAUAUUCUAAAUAAAUUACAAACAAGUAAACAAGUACAUUUUUGUCAUUGUACAUGAACAUUUUACACUUUUAAUUUUCAUUUACCAGAUUUGUAUAGUAAACCGUUUAAAAAUUGAUUGUCAAAUAAUCAUCAUUUACCAAACACCCUAAUAGAUUAUUUGUAAAAUUAUUUUUUUGUUCAGAAUCAAGGUAGAAAUUAAUUCUUGGAAAGUAAAGGAAAUCUCAAACAUACCCUCAAUCAACCAUGGGAAGUUAUUUAAGUUGUAGUAUCUAAUAAGUUCUAUUAAUAGUGAGCGCACAUAUCAAAUAUAUAAAAAUAAGUAUUUUAGUUAUUAUCCACCUGUUCCCUUGAAAUCAAUCUCAGUUUUUUUUUUCUUUUACCUAAAAUUCCAAGAAAAAUAUAUAAAAGAAGAAGAACUUUUUUUUGGGGGGGGGGGGGGGGGGGGGGGGGCGGGGAUUGGGGUGGGGGAGGGGGGAGCUCCUCUGUUUUCAUUCCAUUGUUUUGAAAUUAUCUAUCAUCAGUAUAAAGUUAUACUUUUGAAUCAAUAUGCUUUGUGACUCGAUAAUUUAGCAUAAUAAAAAAAGAAAAACACACUUACUCACAUCCCGAUUGAAUCUUAUCUCUAAGGAUAAGUAAAAAAUUAUUGUUCCUCUUUUUCUUUUACGGUUUGUUUACGAAAAGAAAACACUCACACCUUCAAGAUAUUUAUAAGUAGAACACUUAAGUUUUAAGAAUAAUACACCCUAAUUUGAAAAAAAAUGAAUACAUGUAUCAUAUUUUAUGUUUUUUUUUUAAAAAAAUUAUUUGAUGACAUUAUGAGACUCUAUAUGCCAAGAUCUAUGUGAUGGUGAGAAUGGUUUCAUAAAAGAAGCAAUAGUAUAACCGCACACAUGGCAUUGUUUGUAAUGACUAAAAUUAGAAGAGAGUCUAUGUAUCUACUCCUGAAACAUUAAGAAUUUAACUAUUUAUUAAUUAAAUCAAAAUUUCAAGAUCAUAGUGUCGUUUUACAUAAAGAACCCAAAUACUAAAUCUAGCUAAUAAAGGAGAACGGUUUAGAUUAGUUGCUUGGACUUCCUUGUCUCGGGGCUGUGUGGUCAAGCCUGUCCAUCAGGCGGAUUCAGAUUUUGAAAGUUAUCUGAAUCUUCUUCUCUAUGUAAGCCUAUACAAUGAUUUUGUGAAAGACAUAUGCAAAAACAGUACCAGUAAGCAUAUUUAUUUAUCAAAGAUGUCAAGCUCUGAUGCUCAGAUAUGGAUAUCAAAGAGAGAGAUUGAAAAAGAGAGAGAGAGAGAGAGGAUAAUCAGGGACUCGUCUGUUAUCAUUCCCCUGUUUUUCAGUUUGGUGAUUGGAAGUAACAUUAUUUGCGUGUACUCUUUAUUUAAUUUAUUUUUCAAUUUUUUAAAAAUUAAUUAUUGUUCUUCUCAAAGCGUUUAGUAAAUUAUAUGAUAAUCUGAUCAAAUCUCUAACAUUAAUGUCCGCAUAAUCUAGUAAUGAAACUUAUAAUUUUAUAAUAAUCAAAUUGAAGAUUUCUUCACGCUGUUUUGUAUGAUGACGAGUUUUUAUUUUUCUGUUAAACAUAAGAUCAUUUUCUAAUAAUGUCCAUCUGGAAUUAGUAAUAACGAAGCAUCAUUUGUGGACAGAACAAUUGAAAUAUCAAGUCACUAUUGAUCCCACUUUGAUGAUUGCACUUUAGUUUCUUUCUAAAAUGUCAUUCUUCAUUCAAGCUUUUACUUUAUCUUUUAUCAGGUAUCUUACAAAGCUUUUCCCUCCUAAUAAGCUCUAAUAAACCAAUGUGCUUUUCAAUUUCGCAGGAUACAAGUAACGUAUAUGCCAAAAUUAUUCAAGCACAACAAGUAUUUAUUCGUCGAAAACUUCAACUUAAUUAUUUCAUUAGAAAAUAUGAAACGCAGAGCCAUAAACUAGUGUUUUCUUCAACUUACUUGGGUUAAAUAAAAUUUUUUCAGUAUUUUUCCCGAUCCAUUUCUUGUAUCUCACUGCAUGCUUUAUUAAAGCUUCGUCUUUGUUCUUGAUUGUGAACUUCAAGAUUAAAUCUUAAAAAUCGGGUAUAAAAGGGGUGCUUGAUUAAGUCUUCUUCUUUUGCAAUUCAUUGUUACGGCUCUUUUCAGCUUUUUACUCACAAAUUCCUCUGACGUUAACAGUGAUCUAUCGCUCACUAAAAUUGUUCUUCAUAAUUUCUUUCAAUACCAGUUCUUAAUAUUCAAGGCGAAUAGAGAGCUCAUCAACUCUCUGAUCCCAAAUAAUUAAAGAGGUACACAUGCUCCUAAAUCCUCUAAUAAUUUCUUUUAACAGCAGUUCUUAUUUAAUUUAAUUUCCGUCUAUUUUCCAAGAAAAAUUUCUCCGGUUUGUCUUAAUCUUAUCAUUUAUUUUGCUUGAGUUGUAAGUUAUUGUUCAUUUGUAAGGUCUGUGUUCUUAUUACUAGCUUUGGUUAAUUUGAAUCUAUCUUCCCCAAUAAAAAAAAAAAAGAAGUUUUUAAAAAAAGCGCGGGUUUUUAUUCGGACCCUUAAAACCUCUCUGUUAAUAGCAAAGAAAGACUCUAAUCCUCGAGCCAGGGGGAGUAAAAAAAGAACAAAGAAUUCUCUGUUUAAGUAUCAAUUGUCUCAAGAUCAACAUUGUUUUUUUUCUUUUUCUUUUUUUUGUUAAUUUGUUUGUUAUUUUAUUAGAUUUGCUUUUAAUCUAAUUGUGCUUGAGGAUUGAAGAUGAGUGAGAAAUACCCUUUUUUUCUGAAGCAACCUACAAAUUUUAGAAUAGGGUAAGAGUAUUAGAGAUUCAAUUAAUCAAAAAAAGUUAUUUACAUUCGUCAUUUGCAAAAAUGUUUGCAUUAGAAUUUUUCUAGCAUUCAAGAGCAUUACAUAUCAUCAUGUCACAAAAUAGCCUGAAAAACAAGAUAAAUCAAUUAGAGCAACUUGCUCUUUAUUGAAUUUUUUUUUUUUUUGUUUGGUUUGCCCGAAAUCCCAGGGAAAAUAUUAUAUAAGAACAAGAGUUAAGAUCAAAAAAAUGUAAAACAAGUUUCCUCUGUUUUCGUCCCCCCCCCCCCCCCCCCCCGGUUUGAUGAUUGAAAUUUUUUUUAUCUAAAUUUUAUGAUUUUCCGUUGGGGUUUUAUUAAAUAAAAAAUAAUUAGAAAAUGUAAUUCUAGAUUUACCCUUGUGCAUCGAGUGAUUAUUAUUAUGUUCUCUUAAGAUUUGAUAGUGCAAUUUUGUGUGAUGUGAAUUUCAUGUUUCUGUUAAUCAAUACAAACACAAUUUGUAAGUAAUGGCCAUGUGGAACUUAAUUAUAACCAAGCAUCAUUUGUGGAAAGAACAAAUGAAAUAACAAAAAAGCAGCGUUGGCAAUACAAUAUCAAACUUUAUUUAUUUAUUUAUUUUUGUUUUUGUUCUUGAAUAUGCAUUAAUCAAAUCAUAUAUUGUUGAUCUUACUUUGAUGAUUUGCUGUUCAGUUUCUCUCUCAAAUGAUUUUUGUGUGUUUCCGGUAUCUGCUUUUAUGAAAGAAGCCCUAAAGUGCAUGUGGAUUUUUAAAAAAAGAUUGCAUAUAAUUAUCCUAUACGUGCGUAAACAGGGCAACAAUAACCAAAUACAUGAUAUAAAAAAGGGGUGCUUGAUUAAUGCUUUUUCUUCUGCAAGUCAAUGUUAUUAUUCUCAUCAACCCUUUUCUUACACAUUCCUCGGCAGUUACCGGUGAUCUUUUUGCUCUUUGAGGUUGUUCUUAAAUAUUCAAGGCCAAAUAGAGAAUCUCACCAACUCUCUAAUCCCAGAUAAUUAAAGAGGUGCACAUUUUCCAAAUCCUCUAAUGUGUGUGUUUGUGUAUAGUAGAUCUUUGAUCUUGACAUCUGUUCUUUCAUAAUUUCCAUCUAUUUUCCAAGAAAAAAAAUUUCUCUGGUUUGUUUUAAUAUUGAAUUUACUUUGCAUGAGUUUUAAGUUAUUGUUCAUUGUUAAAGCCUGUGCUCUUAUUAUUUCGUUUGGUUAACUUGCAUUCUUCCCCCCCCCCCCCCCCCCCCCCCCCCCCCCCCCCCCCCCCCCAAAAAAAGAAAAAAGAAAAAAGAAAAAGAAAGUUUUUAAAAAGAUUAUAGGUUUCUACUCAGACCCUUGAAACCUUUUAGCUUUCCGGUAAUACCAAAAUCUCUAAUCCUCCAACAAAUGAAAGCUAGGAAAAAAAUGUCCUAAAGUUUAAUAUCUGUUGCCUUUGUAUCAAUAUUGCCAGUUUGUUGUCUUUUAUUAUAUUGCUUGUUUGUCAUUUUAUUUGAUUUACUUUAUAUCUAAGUUUACUUGAAGAUUAAAUAUCAGUAGGAAAAGCCCUUUUUCUAAAGCAACAUACAGAUUUUAGAAUAGGGCUCAGCCACAUGAAAAUGUUUACAUUGUAGUAUCUCAUAUCAAUAAUCUAAAAACAGCCAAUCCAACAAGUUCAAAUUCAGUCAAAUCUAAAAAUGAUUGCUUUUAAGGAGUACAUGAUAGCUAUUAAAAAGAUCUUUUAGGCAGAAUUGAAAUGCAGUCAAUCGUAAAUCAACCAAUCCAACGAGUUCAAGUACAGAGUCAAUUGAACAAAUUCAUCACUUGCAGAAUUAAGCUUAUCUUCCGAAAUUGAGUUGUUUCCAUUAGAAAUUUUCCCAUAGUCACGAGCACUAUCAUCAAAACAAGAUUAUUUGUAUAGGAACAAGAGUUAAGGAAAAAAAAAAAAAGGUAAAACAAGAUUCCUCUGUUUUCAUUCCCAUUUUUUUUCCUUGGUGAUUGAAAAAUUUUAUCUCUAAAUUUUUAUAAUUUUCCAUUAAGAUUUAUAUUUAAAUAAAGAAUUAAAAAAAUCUAAUUUUAAAUUUAUGCAUUGAAUGAUUAUUAUUAAAUUCCCUUAAAAUUGGUUACAAUAUCAAUUAAAUAACGCAUAGAGUUAUUGAUCACUUUGUUAAAAAUGAUCAUGUGUUCUAUUUAUAUAAUAAAACAAAAGAUGGGGUCACACUUAAGUCUUGUUCUUUUACAAUUCAUUUGUAUUACUCACUCUCAUGAACUCUUUACUUACAUUCGUCUGCAGUUAAUAUUCAUCUUCUGGUCGUUCUUAUAUAUUCAAGGCCAGCAGUGAAGGUCAUUAACUCUUUAAUAAUUAAAUAGGUACAAUUGUCCAAGAAAAAAUAGCCCUUGUUUGUUUUAAUCUUGUCAUUUAAUUUUCUACGUACUGUUCAUUGUUAACUUCUGUGUUCUUAUGUAAUAUUAGCAAUGGUUAAUCUGCAUCCAUCUUACAAUUUUUUUUUUAAAUUGUUGGUUUUCCAUUCAGGCCCUUGAAACCUUUUUUUAAAAAGUUGUUGGUUGUCAUUUCUUUCUCCGUCUUUCCCCUAGUUCAUUUUAAUUUAUUUGAAUCUAAUUUUUCCAACAGCUAAUAUAUAUAUAUAUAUAUGUAUGUAUGUAUGUAUGAAAGCAACAGGCUAGGCAAUGGCUGCAGACCUGGUUUCCACUACUUUUUCCGGCAUUGUAACAGAAGGUGCAAAGGCAUUGUUCGAACCGAUUAUGCGGCAGAUCUCUUAUGUGUUCAAGUACCAGAGCUACAUAGCUGAGCUAAAAGUUCAAGUGAAGGAGCUAGAAUAUAAAAGAGAAAGGGUGGGAAUACCCGUUCGUGAGGCUACUCAACAAAGAGAUGAGAUUUACAAGGAUGUUGCAGACUGGCUUAAUAACGUUGAUGAAUUCAUCAGUGAAGGGGUUGCAAAAUCCAUCAUUGAUGAUGAAGAUAGAGCUAAGAAGUCCUGCUUCAAAGGAUUUUGCCCCAACUUGAUUUCUCGUUAUAAACUUAGUAAACAAGCAGCAAAGGCCGCAGAAGCUGCCGCUAGUCUCGUGGGAAAAGGCAACUUCUCUAGUGUUUCCCACCGUCCUGCUCCAGAGAGUACAGAACAUAUGCAAGCGAAAGAUUUCGAGGCCUUUGAUUCAAGAAUGAAAUUAUUUCAAGAUGUUGUGGAGGCAUUGAGGAAUGAUAAGCUCAACAUAAUUGGGGUCCACGGUAUGGGCGGCGUGGGUAAAACCACGCUAGUCAAGCAAAUUGCAAAGCAAGUUAUGGAAGAUAAGGUGUUCGAUAAGGUCGUUAUGGCUGAGGUAACAGAGAACCCAGAUGUUCAGAAAAUUCAAGACAAGCUCGCUUCCGAUUUAGACUUGAACUUUGACUUGAAUGAUAGCAAACCCCACAGAGCAAAACAACUUUGUCAAAGAUUGACGAAAGAGAAGCGAGUCCUCAUUAUAUUAGAUAAUAUUUGGAAAAAACUUGGGUUGGAAGAAAUUGGAAUUCCUUUUGGGGAUGUUGAUGAGAAAGAUAGAAAGCAAGAUCUAAGGAGACGCAUGAUAAUAUUGACGUCUAGAAGUAAACAUUUAUUGACCAAUGACAUGAAUUCUCAGAAGAUUUUCCUAAUUGAAGUUUUAUCAAAGGAAGAAGCAUUGCAAUUUUUUGAAAAGAUCGUGGGCAAUUCCGCAAAAGCAUCUGCUUUUCAACCUUUAGCAGAUGAGAUUGUUGGAAAAUGUGGAGGAUUGCCUGUUGCACUGAGUACAGUUGCAAAUGCUCUGAAAAAUAAGAAGCUUCCCGUUUGGAAGGAUGCGUUGACUCAGCUGCGAAAUUCUAAUCCAAGAGAAAUUCAUGGAAUGGAUGCAAAUGUCUGCUCUUCCAUAGAAUUGAGUUACAACUUCUUGGAAAGUGAUGAAGCAAAAUCUUUGUUCCUUCUUUGUACUCUAUUUGGUGAAGGUACUCCUAUACAAGUUGCUUCCUUGUUGAGAUAUGGUAAGGGUUUGUUUAAAAAUGUUCGCACAUUGGAAAAUGCAAGGAAUAGAGUGGACGCAUUGAUCGACAAUCUCAAAGCUUCAUGCUUAUUGUUGGACGGCGAUGCUGAAGAUGAAGUUAAAAUGCAUGACGUCAUUCAUGUUGUUGCCGUAUCAAUUGCCUCAGAGAAGCUCAUGUUUAGUAUCCCAAAUGUUACCAACUUGAAGGAAGAGAUAGAAAAGAUCAUACAGAAAGGUGCAAUUGCUAUUUCUAUACCUUAUGGAGAUAUUCAAGAGCUUCCCGAAAGGUUGGAAUGUCCCCAACUCAAGUUAUUACUGUUGCUUGCAAAUGGUGAUAGCUAUUUGGAAAUUUCACACCUCUUUUUUGAAGGGACGGAAGAUCUCAAAGUUUUAAGUCUUAGCGGAAUUCAUUUCUCUUCAUUAUCUUCAUCACUUGGUCACCUCAUUAACCUUCAAACAUUGUGUUUAGACUGGUGCCAACUAGAAGAUGUAGCGGCAAUUGGACAGCUAAAGAAAUUAGAGAUUCUUAGCUUUCGAUAUUCCGACAUUAAGCAGUUGCCACUUGAAAUUGGUCAAUUGGCGCAGUUACAAUUGCUAGAUUUGAGCAAUUGUAGCAGCCUUGUAGUGAUAGCACCAAAUGUCAUAUCAAAAUUUUCUCGAUUGGAAGAACUAUAUAUGGGUGACAGCUUUCCGCAGUGGGAUAAGGUUGAAGGAGGAAGUAACGCCAGUCUUGCUGAAUUGAAGGGGCUGUCAAAGCUAACUACUUUGGAGAUACAAGUUCAGGAUGCCCAAAUGCUGCCGCAGGAUUUGGUCUUUGUCGAAUUGCCAAGAUAUAGGAUAUGUAUAGGAGAAGCGUGGGGCAUCUGGCGCGCUAAUUCUGAAACAUCAAGAUUGGUGCAGCUCCAUGGGUUAGAAAAUGUUAGCACUCUUUUGGAGAAUUAUGGGAUGAAAAUGUUGCUGAAGUUAACUGAAGAUAUCCGUCUAGAGGAACUGACGGGUGUUCAGAAUGUUGUUCAUGAAUUAGAUGAUGGGGAAGGUUUUCCACGAUUGAAGCAUCUUUGGGUAGAAAGGUGUUCUGAGAUUUUACACAUUGUCGGUUCAGUUGGACGGGUUCAUCGCAAAGUCUUCCCCUUGCUGGAGUCAUUGUCUCUCUAUAAAUUGAUCAAUUUGGAGGCCAUAUGCCACAGCCAACUCAGAGAAGAUCAAUUUUUCAGCAACUUAAAGAUUAUAGAAGUAGAAUCCUGUGAUAAAUUGAAGCAUCUUUUCUCAUUUUCCAUAGCCAGAAACCUACUGCGGCUUCAAAAGGUCAAAGUGGCUUCCUGCAAUAAACUGGAAAUGACUGUUGGUAAGUGUUGAAAUUAAGUGUUGGUGGAUUUAUGGACUUCGCCUCAAUUAUUUUGAAAAAAAAAAGACAACGACAAAGAUUAAUUAUGUAUAUUGUUUUUGUUUGUUUACAGGACCCGACAGGGAGAAACCAACAACUUCUUUGGGAUUCAACGAAAUCAUUGCUGAUGAUGAUACUGCUCCAAAGGUGAUAAUUUUCUGUUCAAUAAUUAAUUGAUUAAUUUAUUAUCACGAUUAAUCUUCGAUCAUCAACAGAAUAUUAUACUAGACGGUUGUACUUGAAGGAACAAAAAUGUACGGCUUUUCUUUGCAGGUUCUUCUUCCGAGCUUAGAGGAAUUGAAUCUCACGGAAUUAAGAAACAUCAAAAAAUUAUGGGCCGAUCAUAAUCAAGGAAUGUACUGUUGUCAAAAUUUAACAAAGCUGUACGUGAGAAGUUGUGAUCGUAUGAAGUAUCUGUUUUCGUAUUCUAUGGUUAAUAGUCUUUUGCAACUCCAACAUCUUGAAAUAUGGUCUUGUGAGUCAAUGGAAGGGGUAGUCGACACCACGGGGUGGUCAGAAAGAGAUGAAGGAAAGUUGAUUGAAUUAAAGGUUUUUCCUAAACUACACUCCCUGCAGCUCUAUUGGCUUACAGAACUGACAAGCUUCGCCAAUACAGGACAUAUUCAUUCAGAUUUAGUUGUUGAAUUCCCUUCUUUGCUAAACCUCGAGAUUGGUAAUUGCAGUAAUAUGUUAAGAUUCAUCUCUACGAGCUCACCAGAAGACACCAAUCAUUCUGAAAUGCAACCUCCUCCUCUCUUUGACGAAAAGGUUUUUUUUUUAAUAAAUAAAAUUAAUUUUAGUCACAAUACUUAAUUUGUCUUUUCCUUGAGUCUUCAAAUUUAGUUAAUAUCCGCCUCUAAUUUAGUUAUCAAUUGAUUAUGCCAUUAAUUGAUUAAUUAGUUAUUUAAUCUUUAACUUCCAGGUACGACUUCCUAGGUUGGAGGUAUUAGAUAUUAGCUGGAUGAAUAAUUUGAGAAAAAUAUGGCACCACCAGCUUCCUUCGGAGUCUUUCAGCAAAUUGAAGAAUUUGGAGAUAUAUAAGUGUCAUAACCUAAUGAAUAUUUUUCCUCCAUUGGUAAGGUCGUUGUAUUCAUUUCGAAUCUUUUUUUUUUUAAAUUACAUCCAACAAUAUUUUAACCAUUUUUGGGUUUACAAAUGAUAUUCAGCCACUGAUUAUUUAUUUCAAGUAUUGUAUUUCGAACCACCACUCUCAAAUCUACAUUUUAAGUCCAUUUUUUAGGUUCGCCAGCAUUAGAAUCAACAAUAUAAUUUUUUUAAUCACGAUUCAACAUCAUAAUAUAAUUCAAUUUAAUUGUUUCUGCUCAUAUCUUAAUAAGUACAAUUUUCAAAAAUUAAAGGAUAGUCACUCAUCUUAUAGGUUCACAAAUUCAUCUAUAUAUUUCUCUUUUCCUUAAUUCUUCACAUUUCGAUUGGAAAAAGAAAAAAAGAAAAGAAAAGUCUUCAAAUUUAAUUAAUAUCUCUUGUUUAGUUACGAACUGAUUAUGCCAUUAAUUAACCACAAAUUCACGAUUAUUUACAACUGAUCCUUGAUUGUAAAGAAAUUUCCUCGAGUCUGGAAGUACUUAAUAAAGAUCCACUUUAAUUUUGUUUCCAAAAUUAAAUAUACAUAAAAAAAAGGGACCAAGGGAAAAGGGAAAAAGCGGCAUUUUGGUUGAUUUUUUUUUCCCAAAAGGAAUAGUUGAAAUUUGCAAAUUUUGUUUAAAAACUGGCAUCAAGAUGCAAAAUAAGUCUAAAAUAUUUAGAAAUUGCCUUAAAUUCUUCGUACGUUCCUAAUACUAAAUAGUGUAAAUGCAUUUAAUAUCUUUGUUUAUCUGGCUUUUAUUUAUUUAUUUAUCUUGUUGCUUUUUUUGUUUAACAAAAAAUUAUCUUGUAGACAUUUCAUGGUUUGUUAUCUUUAUAAAACGUAUAAUUGUAUGAUUAAACAUACUUUGAACCUAGUUGAAUGAUAUUCUUACAUUUUUACUUUUUUAAUAUACACACACUUUUGCUUAUUUUCAGGUUGGAAUUCCUAGUAGUUUGGUGAAUCUUAAAGUAUCGAAGUGCCAAAAAAUAGAAGAAAUCGUAGGACAUGUUGGAGAAGAAGUGAAGGAGAAUCGUAUUGCUUUCAGCGAAUUAAAAGUUUUGAUACUUAAUUAUUUAUCAAGGCUUACCAGCUUUUGUUUGGAGAAUUACACUCUUGAAUUCCCAUCACUGGAACGAGUUUCUAUGAUACGUUGUCCAAAUAUGAAGACUUUUUCUCAGGGAAUCUUAUCCAUUCCAAAGCCAUGCAAAGUGCAAGUGACUGAAAAGGAAGAGGGUGAACUGCACCAUUGGGAAGGCAAUAACCUUAAUUCCAUUAUGCAAAAGUAUUACAAAGAAAUGGUAUGUGUUAAUCGAUUCACCCAAAUUGUUUAUGCAUCUCCCCUGCAAUUGCACAUUUAAGCAUAUACCCCGGUCUUGUAUAUAUAUUUUUAGAAGUUAAAACACAAAACAUGUAAGUUUAAUGUGUAUAUAUAUAAUGCCUUUCAAAAAAAAAAUUGUAUAUAUCCGGUGCAAUUGUUUUGGUUUGUGCAGAUUGGAUUCCGUGACAUAUGGUAUUUGCAACUCUCACAUUUUCCACGUUUGAAAGAAAUAUGGCAUGGCCAAGCACUGCCUGUCAGCUUCUUCAACAAUUUAGCACGGCUGGUGGUGGAUGACUGCACGAAUAUGUCGAGUGCUAUUCCUGCCAAUCUGCUACGAUGCUUGAACAAUUUGCGACGGCUGGAAGUGAGGAAUUGUGAUUCACUAGAAGAGGUGCUUCGUUUGGAAGAGCUAAAUGCUGACAAAGAACAUAUAGGCCCCAUGUUUCCUAAGCUUUCCAAUCUAAGGCUCAUUGAUCUUCCAAAACUCAAAAGAUUCUGCAACUUCACUGGGAAUAUAAUUGAACUGCCUGAGUUGAGAUAUCUAACUAUUGAGAAUUGCCCUGACAUGGAAACAUUCAUAUCCAAUUCUACAUCUGUAUUGCACAUGACAGCAGAUAAUAAGGAAGCUCAAAAAUUAAAAUCAGAAGAGAACCUCUUGGUAGCUAAUCAAAUACAACAUCUCUUCGAUAAAAAGGUAAUCAUUAUUAUUAUUUUUCCCUUCACUUUCAUUCGCAUAGAUGUAAUUUCAUUAGAAUCAAAUCAAAUUUAAUGACUUAUCUUUUUGCACGUCGUCUUAAUUUAUAUCUGAUUUAACAAUAUAAUUGUAGUUAUUAACUAACUUUAUAGUAUGAAUUAAAAAAAUGUCUCAAAUUAAUUAGAUGCCUAGUGACAGGAGGUGAUGAACUAUAUCGCAUAAAUUAUGCGUGUUAGAUCUUUGUUUUCCUAGCUAAUUCAUAUUGGAUUUAUGAUCAGAUUUCAUUUAUGUGUUUCAAAGGGUAAUCGAUUUGAUACUUAUAUUUGGGAUCCUACUGCAAAGCAUACUAAUUUGGAAAUAAAAUAUAAAAUGCCGUGAUUAAUCUUGUCCAUAAAAUAUGUAGGGGAAGACUGUAGAGAUUGGAUACAUAUUUUCAUUUACAACUUAAUUUUGUUGAUUUUCAGGUUGCAUUCCCUCAAUUGAUGAAGUUAAAGCUAUCUGGAUUACACAAAGUGCAGCAUCUCUGGAAGGAAAAUGCCGAAUCCAACAAAGUGUUUGCAAACUUGAAAAGUCUAGAAAUAUUUGAAUGUAGUAAGUUGCAGAAAUUAGUACCAGCUUUGUGGCAUUUGGAAAAUCUUGCGACUCUGGAAGUAUCGAAGUGUCAUGGGUUGAUAAAUUUAUUGACACUCUCAACAUCUGAAAGUCUAGUGAAUCUUGAAAGAAUGAAGAUAACUGAUUGCAAAAUGAUGGAAGAAAUUAUACAGUCGCAGGUUGGAGAAGAAGCGGAAGAUUGCAUUGUUUUCAGGAAAUUGGAGUACUUGGGAAUUGAUUGUUUGCCAAGCCUAACAAGCUUUAGUUUGGGUAAUUACGCUCUUGAGUUCCCGUCCUUGGCACACGUAGUUGUGAGACAAUGCCCAACGAUGAAGAUUUUCUCUCCAGGAGUCGUAGACGCACCAAAGCUAAACAAAGUGAAACCCACCGAAGAUGAAGAUGGUGAUGAUGAAGGAUGUUGGGAAGGCAACCUCAAUGACACUAUAAAAAAAUUGUUCAAUGAAAUGGUGAGUAUCAAUGAAGUGUUGGCACUAUCUAGUAAAUUAUUUCUAUUUAAUGUGGCAUAAUAUGAUUGCUUGACUGAAAAUAUAAAAUAAUAAUAAAUAAAUUAUGAGGGUCAUGUUAUGUUUUUGUUUAAUCAAUCAUAUUAUGUCAUAUUAGUUUGUACAAUAUUAUUUGUGCACAAGAGGCUGUGGUCGUAUCAUUACUCUUGCCUUAUUAUUAUUAUGGUUGUAAUGUAUGCUUGCUUACACGAGUAAUUACAAAAUGUGCAGAAUUCUAAAGAAAAGAUUGAGCCAACCCUUCAGGUACUGUGAAGAAGCUAUCUCGAACCAGGCCAACCUCUUGUACAUGAUUCAACUUGCUUGUUCUCCUGUACUUGAAUAAUCUAAACGCAUUUACAAUUAUUUACAGACAUGCAAGACACUUUGGAUUUGUUUGAUGCAUUCUCUGUUUAAGGAAGGACUUGAAUUGAUGUUUCAUGCUUCAUGCAAUUUUCAAUUAGAUACUGUUUAAACUUCUGCAUUAUUCAUUCAAUUGGUGUUUUAAGCAUUUGAUUUCUAACUAGUCCUAAUAGAAGAUUAUUGGCUGAAGAAAACAUCAUAACAUUUGUGGCAUUAUCAGAAUAAUAAUAGUUUUACGAGUAUAGUAAAAUUAACUCGACCAUUAUUAAAAGGAAUUAAUCCGUCAAAUUAACUUUCUCAGACCAGAACCCUUUAAGUUAAAAGAAUUUCGUGAAGUCAAGACCAUGUUAUAGAUCUUGUGGAAAUAAGUGAACCCAUAAAUGUUUUCACAGCAUCAUAAGAAAAUCAUUUUUUUAGUUGUUGAGUUUUAAAAGUAGUAGGCUAUUAAACAAUGACAAUUAGUGCGGUCGCAGUUGGGGAUCGAGUAGUUCACUUGAUUGCGAGUAGAAACCAACUUCAAUACUAUUACACUCAUUCCAAAAAUAGUAACUAAAGAAUUAUUAAGUUUCCUAUUAAGUAUUCUUUAUUUUUUAAUGCAAAAUUCCUAUUCGAAAACACCAGUGACUUUCUUUCAAAGUAAAUGAGAAAUUACAAUGAAAACGGGAUCAAAAUACAUGUAUGCAUACCUAAAACAAAUGAUUUUUUUUUUCAAUUAAAAAAAAAACAGUUGAGGUGAAAUGAAACCAGAGUCAUGAUGUCUCUGGUUCCAACUUUGGGACAAUAGCAGACUUGAGUUCUAUAUAAGAAACACGUACAGCUCCAAUCAGCCGCUCCGGUAAUUCAUCUGUAGUAUUUGCCUGCAUACACGAAGCAUUAUACCAUUCUGAAAAUGAUUCUUGAGUUACUAUUCAAGUAUGCAAAUAUGCAAAUUGCAGUACAAUAUCUCAAAAUCAUGUCUCUUCCCUCGUGUCAUUUAGAAGUGGGGGAAAAAAACAAUCAUACAUACCUGCACAAGGAAAGCCAUGUCAACCACCAAUGCCGUAAUUACACCAAUUACAAGGCCCAAAACUCCAUUAGCAACUCUAGAAGAACACGUCAACAUCAAUCUACAGAAAGAUGAACAAUGUUAAACCAUGUUAAUGGUAUUGAACAAGCUAUUUGAAAGGGAACACAUCCCAUGUACUAUAGGAAUUCGAAGAGCAUUUAUUUCUAACUACUUAGGACCGCGGAUAUAGUUACAAUCAACUGCUUUUCCUAAUAAACAAGGGGUGCUUCCAUCACUCUGGUGCAUGAUCCAUGACUAAGCCCUAUAUUUAAGUCAUAUUGAGGAAACAUAAGAAAAAAAUUCCAGAAAAAGUAUCAGCUAAGAAUUAAAAUUAAAUUCAUCAAAAUGAUCUCAAUCACUAGAUUUUUUACUGUCACAGUAUGUUUAAAAACUUGCAGAAGGCCCAAAGAGAACUUAGGACUGAACCGAGGGAAAAACAAGACGGUGUAUUUAUUUUAUUUCUGAAUGCCAACAAUUACAUUGGGAUACAGAAAUUUUAGGUAAUUUCCUCACAUAUUACAUCAGAAGAGAGGAAAGGGGAAAGAAGAACAAUAAAUGUUCUAUUCUGACCAAAGCAUAAAUGAGAUGAUUGAAUCAAGAGACUAUUACAUUGGAAGCCAGUCCAGCUGAAGCCUAUGAUAGAGAAUAGCCGUAUGACCAUCUACCUCUUCAACUAAGCUGCGAUACAGAAGACUACAAUCCCACCUGCACAAAACAUGAAAAACGGUGUACGUGCGGCAAGAACUUUGAGAAAGGUACAUAAAAAAGAUCUGAUGGCCAAGAAAUACAACAAUUGUACAACCAAAAGAGGUAGAAAUCCAUGUCUAGUACACUGCCCUCUUCAAGACCUCUAAAUACUGAGUCAAAUUGAUAGGAAUUUCAUGGAAAUAACUAUUCGACAAAUGAUCAGCCUUGCUGGCCUUUAUAAGCCAACGCACAGAGAUUAUGGAACAAUGCAAUGGUGCAAACCAAGAAUUAUUAGGGUACAGACAGUAAAAUUAAAUAGAAUAAUUUGAACACAUUACUAGCAAACCUUGCCAAGAGACUUGUUAAAAUCUAAUUCGCAAACCAGCUAGAUUUGCUAGGAAACAGGUAAUUUCAGGCAGCACGCCUUCUCCUGUUUUAGAACACUCUUUUAUGUAAUAGUGACUUCAAAAGUGUAACAUGUUUCGAAAAAAAAAAAAAAAGAGGAAAGAACGUAUUUGACACUUCAUGAAAUGGCUAAGAUACAAGCUUUAAUCUAGUACAACAAAUUAAUAUAACUAACUUCAACCAUCAAUUGAUCUAUAGUUCAGCAACAAAAAAUAUAGAUAGCUACAUCUAUUUUGUCUUCAUCAAAUACCAUUAGCUAAGUGGAGAAAAGUUAUAAAAAUGAGUCCUAGUCUUUCUUUAUUAAUGAAGCAAUCCAUCAAACUUCAAAAGCUAUUUUCAUUUCCACAUUCUUCAUAUACUUAAGCAACAAAAGUUUGUAAUAAUCUUUAGAAAGCACCAUGCAGAUUAAUUAAAUAUAUUCAAAAAGGCACAUACAGAAUCGGGACUGGAGACAAUGUGAAUUUCACAGCAUACAAGAGGAAAUAUAAUACUCAGCUUACACAGACAGCCAAUAUAGUCUUGAUUAUGUUAAAGUAACUAAAAAUAAAAAAUAGAAAAGAAGCAUACUCGUAUCGUGUCCCAUCCAUGCUCAUUACAAGUUCAAAUAUUUCUUCACAGCUGGCCUUCAUAACACCAACAGCCUUCAUUGCUCUACUACAGCUUCUCGGCAGCAUUAAGUAAACUUUAGAUGAUGGUUCUGACCUAAACAAAAUCACAUCCUGAGCAUAGAGUAAAGAAAGUGGCAUACAUGGUAAUCAACUUCAAGAAGCUCUUCAGAAAUACAUAAUUCUGUUGGGGAGAAAAGAAAAAAGAAAGAAUACAAAUAAAAAGAAGUCACAAACAAUUCAUUUCCUGCACUACACAUCAGCAGCAGUUUUUCGGGAACACAAAAAUGUUAUAAUAACUUUUCUUGAUUGCCACCCACAUGCUAAACUGAUCAAAUACAAAACAGGAUACAGAAAAUCUCUAACCUUUUUGGCACUGAAGAAGACGCCAGUGCUUUCAAAAGAAAAUGCUUGAUUGUUGGCAUUCUGGUUUGAAAAAUAUGAGUCCAAUUCCUGUGUCCAGUCAUGUACCAAAUCAGGACGACCUGCCAGUCAUACAAAGAUGACAAAAAUACACUAUAAAUUGCGUCAAACCAAUUCAAGUCAAUUGGAGAAGUAAAUCAAGGACCAUUUGCAAUAGUUGUUCUCCACAUCAAAUUUGGGUGUCCAUCGUCUUCAUCCUCUUGUGCACUGAACCUGAGAGUCCACGAGAAAUACAUAUAAAAAUUAGCCAUGAUUGAAAUUGAUAGUAGUACAAAAUGGAUAUAAACAUCACGAUGAACAAAUUAAAUUGUUCCAUGUCAGACAAAUCCAGCCUGCAAGCUUAAGCUCUUAAGCUAGACCAAAUCACACUGCAAAUAACAAUACAUAAGGCCAAAAAAAGAUAAUAUGUAUCAUUCAUAUGCUUCGCCCUAUAGAAAUGAUUUGAGUCUACAUAAGAAAAUUUUUUGAGCUUCCCGAUCCACGAAUAAUAAUAAAUCUCCUUAAAAUAAUCUUUUGUAAAUAAUUUUAUUUUUCUUGACACAUGACAAGCACCUUCAUAUAGAGAAGAAAGGAGAAUCUCAAAUUCCACCCGCUCUCAGAACACCACAUCAAAGCUUCGUAUCAGUGAACAUGGAAGAAGAAUAAAAGAAGUAGCUCAAAUCCUGUAAAAAAGAACCUUGGACUUCGACUCUUGUCAAACAGUUGACUCCGACUGAAUAUAGGAAGAGUAAUUGAGCAAGCAUAGAUCGGCCAAGCUUAAGCAAGCGCAUAGAUCGGCCAAAUUUGAGCAAAGCCGAGAGAGAGAGAUGAUUGUGGUCAAUUUACAGCCGCAGUUGAUCGUUGCCGACUCGUGCCGCCGUUGAUGGCCGUGGAACAAGAAGAGAGGUGAGGUGAGGCGAGGGAGUGGUAAGGCGCGUGACGCGAGGGCGUGGGAGUGGGAGUGGGAGUGGGAGUGGGAGUGGUGGUUUUUGUGCAUGUAUCAGAUGCACGCAUGUAUUAUAGCAGAGUUGAGUUCAAUACGAAAAACACGUACAGCACCAAUCAGCCACUUCGAUAAUUCAUCUGUAGUUGUGAGAUGAUGAAUCAAGUUUGGUUCCCAGAAACGGCUGCGUUUUGAAGCCGUAAAAGCUUCAUUAGCUCACGUGCUGUUCAGCUGAUUCUUAACAAAAAAACGAUUUAGUGGAAACGACAUGGAUGGAGCACGUUUUACAUAUCAAUUUAAGUAACCACGUGAGGAAGCAUGUGAUGAAGGUUGUUCCGAGUUCGUUGAAGGUUGUUAAGCACGUGUCAAAACAAAGUGUUCAUGCUGGAAAGAAACAAAAUAUUAAUAAAUAAACCCUUAAAAAGAUUCUCUGAAAAUUAUGUUUAACUAGAACAAUUAUCUAGCAGUUUGAUAUAUUAAAUGAGCCUGUUAAUUAUUUCACUUACUAUCUUAUAAAUCCUCUCAAAAUUACACCGCUGCUCUGACCCCAAGUUCCAUUAUCAAUUAUAUCAUUCCCUAUCUUAUAGUAAAGGUAAAAGAAAAGAAAAGGUAUAUUGCAUUAGAGUUCGUGUACUUCUACCUUUUAGUUUAUUCUUCAUUUUAUUAAAAUGACAGAUUCCUCAUUAAAAAAGGUCACUCUACAUAGUAUGUGGGUGUAUGUUCUUUUAAAAAGGACUGAGAGAAAAUACAGUAGCACGUAAAAAUGUGCACCCAGCAGCAGAACCAUAUUAAUCCACAACAGCGCAAAAUAAAUGUGAAAAACAAGUAACAUCUGAAGAAGACAGUGAUGCCGAAACAUUGACGACCAAUAUAGUGUCUUGAUUUGGUUAAUUAAAUAUAUUUUUGUUAUCAUCCACCUGUUUGCUUUAAAUAAUUUUCAAUAUUUUUUCGUAUGCCUGAAAUUCCAAGGAAAAAUAUUUGUAUAAGGACAAGAGUUAAGGGGGACAAAAAUGGAAAAAAUAGGGCUCCUUUGUUUUCAUUCCCCUGUUUCUCCGUUUGGUAAUUGCAAAAAUUUAAAUCUAAACUUAUGAUGCAGGCUACAAGGUAGCUGGUGGACGAUUAAUAGGGUCUAUCUUUUGUUGUUAAUUAGGAAUUUAAUUUGGAAUUUGUAGUGUGCGCCUUAUCUAAGCAGACUUCCUAACAGUAAUUAAAUAAUCUAAAUUUAUGAUGCAUUAGGAUAUGAUUGUGAUAAAUUAGCUUUUUUCUCUGUAUUCUAUGAGGCUGAUUAUUAUUUUAAUUUAAGCCACACCUUUAAAUUCAGUUUUCGCAAAACUGACAGGUAGCUUGGGUGUAAAUGAAUAUACAUUAAUGAAGAACGGACAUGUGGAGUACCGAUAUACUAGCAUAAGUAAUGUUUAAUUUUAAUGUAUAAAACAAUGGUGCAUUUAGAAGGUACUACUGUAGAAAUAAAAUUUGUGCUUGCAACUCAUUUUUUAAUUCCCCUUUUUAAUAAUAAUCAAAAGAAAGCAGAGGAGAAACAGGGGAUUUUCCAGUUUUUUAUUCGGUGAUUUUUAACUUUAUCAUGGAAUUGUCAAUUUUUAGUUGAAACUUAUCUAAAUCGUCCUCUCUAUAUAAGCGAAUACAAUAAUUUUGUGAAAGAUAUAUGCAAAAACAAUACUAAUAAGUAUAUUUAUUUAUCUAAGACGUAGAGCUCUAAUGCUCAGAUAUGGAUAGUCCCAUUUUUUGUUAGAGGCAUCUCUUUCCAUGCAUUGAAUUAUUGCAAGCAAAUCGCUUCUCGCAAUUACAAACCUACCCUCAUCAUUGUCUCUCACGUAUCCAGCACCACAGUUACCCAUUCCUCUCCUCACCAAGGCACACAGAUUACAGGACAAUGCAGCGAUGCCAACCAAGAAUGCUUAGGGUAAAGACGGAAACAUAAAACAGAAUAAUAAAAAAAAAUCUAUUCCGUAAACAUAAUAAUUAAACAGAAAGUGGUACGUUCAGACAAAACACCUGCUCCUGUUUUAGAAAAGAGCUCCUCCGUUUUUAUUUCUCUGUUUUACUGUUUGGUGAUUGCAAAAAUUUUUGUCUAAAUAAUGCAUAGUAGAGUCAAGAAUAAAUUUAUGUUAAAACAAAGAAACAUCAAAGAUCCCCUGAUAUUAUUAUCCAGAACAAUAUGUUUAUUGGGCCGAAAUGGGCUAACAUACAUGGGUUCAAGCUUGCAAAAUCCACAUUUAUGUAUAAUUAUAUAGUAAUUAAAUACUGAACUUGAACUCAUACAACUCUUCAAUCAUUUGGAUUUCGAAUCUGUGUUAAUUGAACUAAAUACUGUCAGGCAUUCGAGUAAACACAUAAAGAAUUCAUGAUUUAAUGUCGUUCUGAAUUUUGACUUCAUAAUAUUCCAGCUACCGUUGCAGUUUCUAUUAUUGUGUGAUAAAUAUGAAUGAUGUCUUAGUAUAAAGACAUGUCUCAUUAAUUAUACCUUAUAGAAGAGAUAUCUUUUUAUACUAAAACUAUAUAGUGAAAAGGGGUCCGCCUAAGUUACGUUAAACGUAACUUACGGCCUGGCUGUAAAACUUCAUCCAGCCCCCUAUAUUCGAUAUUAUUUAUAUUAUAUUUGUGAAUAUUAUAAAAAUUUUUGAUUUGAAAAAUUUCGUUUAACCCCUUACACUCAAUUUUAUUUUAUUAAAAUCCUAGAGUACGAAUUUGCCUCCUAUAAUUUUAAAUUCUCAAAAUAACCUCAUUUAAUUAAAAAAUAUAAUUAUUAUUAAUUGAAUUAUAAUUAUAACUAUUAUUUUAUUAUAAUUAUAAAUAUAUUUAUAUUUUUUAAAUAGAUUAUUGUUAUUAUUAAUAACAAGAAUAAAAAGUAUUACAAUUAAUUAAUCUAUUAACAAUAAUUAAUAAUUUUUUAUUAAAUUGUUAAUAAUAAUUAAUGAUAAUUAUUAUUAAUAAUUAAGUUUUGAAUAAUAAUAAUAAUUAACAAUUAUCAUUAAUAGAUUGUGACUGACUCUGAACAAGUUGUCCGAUAUUUUAUAUCAUAUUGUAUGCAUUCACUUCUGGCUACAAAAAAAAUUAAAGAAAUAGCUUUCUCUUUAACCAAACAAGAGAUUUAACAAAAUCAUAAACACACGUUUCUCAAAACUAACAAGGACUUGGACAAUUAUGGCACUAAGUAGUACUGCAAUUAAUAUCAGUGAUGAGAGUAUGUUGCUACUUUGCUAGCUAAGCCUAGGUGGGCAUUGGCAUUCCUAGGACUCUGAACAAUUAUCGUUAAUUUUUAAAAAUCAAUUAUUAAUAAUAAUUAUCGUUAAUUACUACUAUUAUUAAUUUAAUAAAAACUAUUAUUAAUUAUUGUUAAUAGAUUAAUUAAUUGUAAUACUUUUUAUUCUUGUUAUUAAUAAUAAUAAUCUAUUUAAAAAAUAUAAAUAUAUUUAUUAUUAUAAUAAAAUAAUAAUUAUAAUUAUAAUUCAAUUAAUAAUAAUUAAAAUUUUAAUUAAAUGAGAUUAUUUUGAGAAUUUAAAAUUAUAGGGGGCGAAUUCGUACUCUAGGGUUUUAAUAAAAUAAAACUAAGUGUAAGGGGUUAAAUGAAAUUUUCUAAAUAAAAAAGUUUUAUAAUAUUCAUGAAUAUAAUAUAAAUAACAUUGAAUAUAGGGGGCUGGAUGAAAUUUUAAAGCCAGGCCGUAAGUUACGUUUAACGUAACUUAGGCGGACCCAGUGAAAAGAUAUCUCUUCUAUCAGGUACAAUUAAGUAUGGUUGCUUGCAAAGAAAUGUAAAUAUAAGUCAUAAAACAAAGUCUCUAUUAUUUGAAGUACAAUUUCAUUCACAUGUUGCACAUGAGACUUGAGCAACCACGAUGUGCAGAAGACACUUUACAAUGAUUUUGCUUGUUUUUUUCCUAAUCAUUUCUGUAAUUGAUUUUGUUAGAAAAUGUUAGUAAUGAUUAAAUUACUUUAAAAAACACACUCACACAUCUUAACUGUAAAGGUUCAGAAAAUAUAUCGAUAAAGGUCAGAAGUAUCUAAUAAAAGUUGGCCAUAAACUUCAAUAUCCAAAAUUGCUUUAAUAAAGUAGCUGCAGUAAACAAAAGUCAGUAACCAUAGGCGACAAUAAAUCACAAUCAGCAACUAGGUCUCCAAAUCAAAAUAUAAUGGAUUUGGUUAAGUCUUCUUUCGAAAAGCUCUCUCUCCUUUAGAGAGGCUUGAAUGGAAGUAUUGAGGGGUCGUAAGGACUCAUGUGUUCACUCCCUGUGAGUGGAAGGUAAUCCAAAAAAAGUCAGCUUUUGGGGUUGGUGAGCUGGUUGAGAAAGCUUCGAAAGCAAAGUUCGUGUAGAGCGUUGGGGCACGAUUUAAAGCUAGUGAGCCUAAAUAACUUACUACCUAUCCAAGCAUUAACUACCAUGGAUACUGAAGAGCUAAUUCGUAAGUGUCAAGCAAUAACUAUCACAGAGGAAGACAAAGCCAAAAUAACGCUGGAGGUGAAUUUGGAAAAAAAGAAAGAACAAAUGAUGGCAGGAUGCUUAGUGGGCAAAGUACUUCUCACAAAGGGAGUAAAAAAAGAUGGACUUAAGGUUGCGUUACAGCAGGUGUGGAGGACUUUCAAAGAAGUCAAGAUCGAAAGCGUGGGAAACAACAUCUUCAUGUUCAAAUUUGCUGAAGAAGCAGACAAAAAACGAGUUCUCAAAGGGGGACUAUGGCACUUCGACAGGGCCUUGAUUGUUCUCGCUGAGCCAAGGGGGAUUGGGGAAGUCGCAAAACAAUCUUUUAUUCACACAUCCUUUUGGGUGCAUAUUCGUAAUAUCCCACUGGCGUGUAUGGAUAAAGAUUUUCUCCGAGACUUGGGCGGGAAGAUUGGAUCAGUAUAGGAGGUUCAAACGGAUGAUAAUGGAGACUGUAUUGGGGAAUUUUCCAGAAUAAGAGUCUCAAUUAACAUAACACAGCUGCUAGAGAAGAUUUUAUUUCUAAAGCAAGAAGGUGAAACUGAUAUCCCAAUGCCGGUGGUAUAUGAACGCUUGCCAGAUUUCUUUUAUUGCUGCGGAAUUAUUAGACAUCAAUACAAAGAGUGUGGCAAGUACCAAGACCAACCAAGAGAAGAUCUACCAUUUAGGAGUUGGAUGAAAGUGAUUACGGUAGGGGGUUUUACAAAGAGGAAUUGGAACAAGGAAAGGUGGAACUAUGGGGCUGGUAAAUCGGAUGAAAAAUCAACAAGCUCAGGAACUCACAACUUCCCGCAACAGCAAGGGCAAAACCAAGAAAACUCGAUAGGGGCAAACGGGUCAGUACCCAUUGAGAAAGAAAUGGGGCAAACCAUGAAGCAUGCCAAGAAGGAUGUUAUAGGAGGAGUAGCUGAGCAACAAUUAAUGCGAAGAGUGAUACAAUCAGCGGAAAAAAAGUAAAAUGAUGGCAACAAGCAAGCUGGGGAAACUGGCAAUGCAACAACCCCAAGGAAAAUGGGCACACAAGCGGGAAAUGGCAUUCCAAAAGAGAGGGAAAAAAUGCAGAUAAGUCAUGAAGAGGAAGCUGAAAUAAACAAUGGGCCGGAAGUAUCUCAACUACAGCCCAAUAAAAGGAAAUUGAAGUAAUUAACUAGAGAUCUAAGCGAGGGGGGGGGGGGAAAUUAAGUUACGAGUUCAAAAAAGGCCUAGGGGGAAAAAAUUUGGGCAAAGCCCAAGGAAAAAAACAAAGCUCUCUAGCCCCAAUAAGCUUGAGACUAAAAACCUGGAGCAUGUCUCUCCAACAGCAACGCUUCAGCUGGGUUAGGAACUGUUGGUACUGGAAGAAGUGGUAGUCAUGGAAGCAAACAAUAUGGAGAUAUCGGCGGAGGCUGGUGGUCAGCCCCCCCGGAAGCUAUGAAUAUUCUCAGUUGGAAUGUUCGGGGUCUGGGGAAUCCCCGAGCAUUUCAAGCCUUAAGAAAAAUCCUCCAAUUGCAUGGUGCUCAGCUAGUGUUUUUGUGUGAAACAAAGGUAUCAACCAUGCAAAUGAAUGUGAUUGCAAAUAAGCUGAGUUUUGAGAAUUGCCUCGCGGUGAACUGUAAAGGAAGAUGAGGCGGAAUAGCAAUGCUCUGGAAGUCAGAUAUUGGUGCAAAUCAAUUCAUACAGUCAGCACCACAUUGAUGCCGAAACUCAAAUGCCAAAUGGAAAUCGAAUGCGAGUUACAGGAGUGUACGGACAUCCGGAAACAAGACAGAAAAAACACACUUGGAUGCUCCUCAGGCGGCUGGCAGUUUUAUCUUCUAGCCCUUGGUUGUGUUGUAGAGACUUUAAUGAAAUUUUACAUCCAGAUGAGAAGAGUGGCGGCAAUGACAGGAAUGUGAAUUUAAUUAAUGAUUUCAGAGAAGUUUUGAGAGAUUGUGGCUUAAAGGAUGUUGGGUAUCGGGGGUACGCUUUUACUUGGAAUAAUGGAAGAUAUGGGUAGGGAUUCGUGGAAGAAAGGUUGGAUAGAUUUGUUUGCAAUAAAGCUUGGAGUGAUAGAUUUGUGGAUUAUGCAGCAAGCAACCUUGACACAUGGACUUCGGAUCAUUGUCCCAUGCUGAUGGCUGUUUAGGAGAGAAGUGGGGGCAUGAACCAAAGGGGUAGACAUUCCUCACGAAUCCAUUAUGAGGAUAUGUGGAGCUCGUAUGACUUGUACAAAGAGAUAAUCAAGGAGGAAUAUAAUUUGUAUAGAAAUUAGAAUAGUGAAAAUCCAGCCCAAUCCUUUCGAAAAGCAACAAAAGAUUCGAUGGGUAGGCUGUUGGGGAGGAGCAAGUUGGUGAGGAAAUUCGGAAGGUGGAGAAGCAAAUCCAAAAUAUCCUCAUGGAUGAAGAAAUCUACUGGAAGCAGCGCUCAAGAGCAGAUUGGCUCAAGGAGGGGGACAAAAACACAAAAUUCUUUCACGGCAAGGCAUCGACUAGAAGGAAAAAAAAAAACAAAAUUUUGGGGAUUGAAGAUAAUUUCGGGAGAUGGAUUGAAAAGCCAAAAGAAGUGGAGCAUGAGUUUUGCAAUUAUUUCACCAACCUUUUUACAUCAACCCAGCCGAGACAGGAUCAAAUUGCAGCAGCCUUGAAAGGAAUAACUCCGAGAGUUUCAGCCAGCAUGAAUGAGAGUUUGGAGGAACCGUUUACAGCCGAGGAAGUCUUGGAAGCUUUGAGUCAAAUAAAGGCUUCGGGGCCGGAUGGUUUUCCAGCAGUGUUUUACCAAAAGCAUUGGCAUACGGUUAAGGAGGGAGUGCUCACCACUUGUCUGCAUAUCGUCAAUUCACAAGGUACCAUAGGCCCUCUAAAUCACACUUACAUUGCUUUGAUACCAAAAAUCGGGAAGCCUAGGAAAGUGACAAACUUUAGGCCUAUUAGUUUGUGCAAUGUUAUCUAUAGAAUUGUAGGUAAGUCAGUUGCUAAUAUAUUUAAGCAAAUUCUGCACAAAAUCAUCUCUCUAUCGCAAAGUGCCUUCAUCCCCAAUAGGUUGAUCACUGACAACAUCAUAGUUGGCUACGAAUGUUUGCACAAGAUAAGGCAUUGUAAAGGAAAGCGAAAUGGAUUAAUUGCAUUAAAGCUUUAUAUUAGUAAAGCUUAUGAUAGAUUGUAAUGGAACUUCCUAGAGCAAACUUUAAAACAACUAGGCUUCUCGCAUCAAUGGAUUAGCUUGAUCAUGGGGUGCAUUAGUUCAGUUUCCUUCUAUGUGUUAAUAAAUGGCUCAGUGAAAGGCUUAAUUAAACACCAAAGGGGCAUAAGACAAGGUUGCCCCCUCUCUUCGUAUUUGUUUAUUACAUGUGCAGAGGCUUUUUCUUCCUUGCUGUAGCAGGCUGAGCAACAACGGCUUAUUCAUAGGCUAUCAUUUGGAAACGAUUUGAAGAUUUCGCACCUUCUAUUUGCUGAUGACAGCCUUAUCUUCAGCAGAGCUUCCAUGGCUGACUGUCGAAAUCUGAAGAUGAUCCUUGAGUGCUACUCCACAACUUUCGGUCAAAUAUUUAAUUUCGAGAAAUCUUCUCUUUUUCUUAGUGGCAAUGUACAACAAGAUCAAGCUGAGGCAAUUGGGAAUCUCUUUUAGCUCAAUAUUGUGUAAAGACAUAAAAAAUAUUUAGGCUUGCCGUCUAUGAUCGGGAGAAAGAGAAGCAGCUUCUUCAAUGACAUCAAGCUGAAGGUUUUCAACAAGAUCUCAAGCUGGCAGCAUAAAUUUUUUUCUUGUGGAGGGAAAGAAGUCUUAAUCAAAGCUGUUGUGCAAGUCAUCUCAGCCUACGCAAUGAGCGUUUUUAAAAUUCCGAUGGGAGUUUGUGAUGAUAUUUAAAAAAUGGUGGCAAAGUUCUAGUGGGGCUCCAAGAGGGAAGGGAGGAAUAUUCAUUGGGCGAAGUGUGAAAAGAUGAGUCAAGCUAAGUGUAAUGGAGGGAUGGGAUUUCGUGAUUUUUCAAGCUUCAACAGAUCCCUUCUAGCAAAGCAAGGCUGGAGGAUUCAGCAAUGUCCAAACUCGUUGGUGGCUAGGGUCUUGAAAGCCAAGUAUUUCUAGUCAAAAAAUUUCUUGGAUGCAAAGCUCAACUCAAACCCUUCAUAUAUUUGGAGAAGCAUUCUUUGGCGAAGGAAAAUUAUUUGCUCGGGCUCUAGGUGGAGAGUUGGCAAUGGUCAGAAAAUUCAUAUUCAUAAGGCUAACUAGAUUCCACAACCUUCAACAUUCCAGCCAAUGGUUAAGCCAACUUUUCCUUCGAAUGCUAUGGUCUCUGAAUUAAUCAAUGAGGCAAACUACUGGGAUGAGAAGAGGAUUUAUGAGCACUUCGAAAAAAUGGAUGCUGAUUUAAUUACUAAGAUUCCUCUGCCUAGAAGACCAAGGAAGGAUGAGCUAAUUUGGCAUUAUGGAAAAAAUGGCCAGUUCUAGGUUAAAAGUGGGUACCAGACAACUCUCCAAAUAAAGUUUCUAGCCAUGCCUUCAAGCUCAGUGGCUUCAAAAAAUGAAUGGAAUAUUAUUUAGUCUCUUGCUUUGCCUCAAAAGAUCAGAAUUUUUGCAUGGAGGGCAGCCAAAAACCUACUCCCCUCAGCUGAGAAUUUGUGGAAGAAAAAGAUAAUCCAGGAACCUACUUGCCAAGUGUGUAAAAUGGGAAUGGAAAAUGUAUUUCAUGCUCUAGUGGCCUGCAAAUCGGCUAAGAAAGUAUGGAGGCUAAUCUAUUUUGAAGAUGAUAUUAAUGCUGCUCACAGUCAAGAUAUCUUCAGUUUGCCGCAUGCUAUGAAAAGAAUGAGAAGCAAAGUUGACCUGGAGCUGUUGGUAACGAUUUUUUGGGUUAAAUGGAAUGCUCGGAAUCAGUUGCUAUUCAAAGGAAAAAUGGAGACCCCCCAUGUAACACCCUAGGCGAAUCCCAUAUCGGCAAAGCACAGGAGAGAUGCUGGGUUUAUAAGAAGUGAUCCACACCUUAAUUGGCAAGACGCGUUUUGGGGUCUAUGGGCGCCCCAAGAACAAAUCCGUGCAGGCCUUGUUAAGGCCCAAAGCGGACAAUAUCUUGCCAGGUCAUGACCCAACCCAGACCUGGCAAGAUAUUGUCCGCUUUGGGCCUUAACAAGGCCCGCACGGAUUUGUUCUUGGCGUGCCCAUACACCCCAAAACGCGUCUCAUGCUCCUUCUUACUCUUAGAGUAAAUUAAUAUGUCAUCAAUAAAGACAAUGACAAACUGGUCAAGAUAAGGUUGGAAGAUCCUAUUCAUCAAAUCCAUGAACGCUGCAGGAGCAUUAGUUAAUCCAAAAGGCAUAACUAAGAACUCAUAGUGUCCAUAACGAGUUCAAAAAGCUGUCUUCGAUACAUCCUCACUUCUUAUUUUCAAUUGAUGGUAGCCAGAUCGUAAAUCAAUUUUAGAGAAUACCGCUGCACCUCGUAAUUGGUCAAAGAGGUCAUCAAUUCGAGGAAGAGGGUAUUUAUUCUUGACAGUAACCAUAUUCAACUGCCGGUAGUCAAUACACAACCUCAUUGAACCAUCUUUCUUCUUUACGAACAAAACGGGAGCACCCCAAGGCGACACACUAGGACGGAUGAAACCCUUAUCUAGUAACUCUUGUAGCUGGACCUUUAGUUCUUUUAAUUCAAUGGGUGCCAUCCGAUAUGGCGCCUUGGAUGUAAGUGUAGUACUAGGAACUAACUCUAUAGUAAACUCAACCUCUCUAUCUGGGGGUAGACCAGGAAGAUCCUCAGGAAAUACAUCAAUAAACUCCCUUACAAUAGGUAUGUCUUCAAGGCACGCCCCAUCAGGAUGGUCAGCAAUUAUAUACGCUAAAAAUCCUUCACACCCCUUCUUUAGCAUUUUCACUGCCGUCACCAUAGAAAUCAAAGCUUUAUAACUCUUAUGAUUCCCUUGAAAAUGAAAUUCUUCCUCGCCAGGUAGGCGAAAAAUAAUUUCCUUAGCAAAACAAUCUAUUGAAACAUGGUAAGGUCCUAACCAAUCCAUCCUCAAAAUCAAAUCAAAAUCAUGCAUCUCUAAUGGUAGGAGAUCCACAAGGAAUUCUCUAUCACACAAUCUGAUCACACAUGACUUAUAGACAUGAUCUAUUAACUGGCAAUCCCCCAUAGGGGUACUAAUUGUCACGUGAACACCGAGUGGCGUGAUAGGCACAUCAGCAUAACGGGCAAACACACAAGAUACAAAUGAAUGUGUAGCACCAGGAUAAAAAGGAACUUUGGCUUCUCUAGAGAAUAAGGACAAUGUACCUGAUACUACAUCAUUGGACACCUCAGCAUCUUUCUCCGUUAGCGCAAAAACACGCCCUUGCACCUUCGGUUUCUUCCUCUGCCCUUCGUUAGUCGGAGUAUUUGUAGUCUCGCCACGUCUCUUUGGGCAAUCCAUAAUCCUAUGCCCAGAUUCUCCACAAGCAAAACAAGCUCCAGUUUUCCAAUGGCAUUCACCAGGGUGCCUCCUUUCACAAUGUCGACAAAUGGGGUAAUUUCUCCGAGCAGUGUCACUAGUAACACCCUUGUUAUCCCAUUUGUUACCUCCACCAUUAUACUUCUGGGAGUGAGUGCCUUGCCUAUAGGAACUUCCAUUUCGCGGUCCACCUUGUUGAUUCUUCUUAUUUCUCUGAUACCAUAAUGUCAUGACCCAACCCAGACCUGGCAAGAUAUUGUCCGCUUUGGGCCUUAACAAGGCCCGCACGGAUUUGUUCUUGGGGUGCCCAUACACCCCAAAACGCGUCUUGCCAAUUAAGGUGUGGAUCACUUCUUAUAAACCCAGCAUCUCUCCCGUGCUUUGCCGAUGUGGGAUUCGCCCAAGAACAAAUUCGUGCGGGCCUUGUUAAGGCCCAAAGCGAACAAUAUCUUGCCAGGUCUGGGUUGGGUCAUGACAUUAUGGUAUCAGAGCGGCUCCGCGUGUCCUCUUGAGCGAUGGUGGGGCAAACCUCAGCGAGGACGCUGAGUCCCCAAGGGGGGGUGUAUGUAACACCCUAGGCGAAUCCCACAUCGGCAAAGCACGAGAGAGAUGCUGGGUUUAUAAGAAGUGAUCCACACCUUAAUUGGCAAGACGCAUUUUGGGGUGUAUGGGCACCCCAAGAACAAAUCCGUGCGGGCCUUGUUAAGGCCCAAAGCGGACAAUAUCUUGCCAGGUCUGGGUUGGGUCAUGACACCCCAUAUUAUGGUAGCUAAAGUUGAAGCUAUGAUUGCAGCUUAUAAGAGGGUGCAUUCUUCAGUUGAGGCUUCCAGUGAAACAGAGCAGAGGGUACCUCUUCAGACAUGGAAUCCCCCUCAAGAUGGUUUUGUAAAAGUCAACAUUGAUGCAGCUAUCAACUUCAAAAAGAACCUUGUAGGGCUGGGGGCAGUGAUUAGAGAUGAUUCGGGGCAUGUUACAGCAGCUGCAAUCAAGAUUUCCAAGUUUCAUGGAGAUGUUUCUUAUGCUGAGGCAGCAGCUAUGGAAUGGGGUAUGUUGGUGGAGAGAGAAGCUAAAGUGAAAGUUGUAAUCGUGGAAUCAGAUUCUCAAGGUGUGGUCAGUUUAGUUAACAACAAGCAGGGCUGCAGAUCUGAGAUCUAUUGGGUUGUUUCGGAAAUUCAGAAGUUAGCGGAAAACUUCGAGUGUGUUAGUAUUAAGUAUACAGCCUAGAUCUUGUAAUGUUAUUGCCCAGUCUUUAGCUAAGUUAGCUCUAGAAAAACGCGAGACUGUUGUGUGGAGGGUUCAUACCCUUCACAAGUGAUGUAUUUCCUUUCAUCGUUGUUUUAAUUGAAAUCUAUUUUCAAAAAAAAAAAAUCACAAUCAGCAACUACAAUGAUCCAAAACCAACAUAGAAAGACCUAGAAAUAGUAAAAAAUAUUGCAAUAUAUUAAAGAAGAUUAAUUCAUCAGAGUGCCCACAACAUAUAAAUGGAUCUAAAGAAUAGAUUAUAUAAUAGCUUGUUUCUUAUGAAUGAUACAUGGGAUUCCACAGAUAAAAAGAAAAUAAGAAUCAAGUACGUGAAUUAAAAAAAUACCUAACCAAUAGGGGUUAGUGAGAUAUUUUAGCUAAAUAUCAGUUGACAGAAUCUGACCCACAAUAAAAAUUGCUAUCUUAUCACAAUGGGAAUCUGAAUUAUAAAAUUACUGAACAAAACUUUUAACACCUACAAGUCCAAAUAAUAUCAAAUAAAAUGCCUAACCAGCUAUUAAAUAUAAAAUGUCCUUGUAGGACUAAAACCUUGUGGCCAAUCCUUCAAAGUUCCAAGCAACAAUAUGAUAAAAACAUAAUGCAUAAUAUAUAAGGAGCUUAUCUGUAAAACUUCCAUACAGUACUUAUCAUAUUAAACAAUGUACCUAAUGAAAUAUUGGCUUAUUUCUACAGAAUAUUACAAUAUAAGUACACCAAUUUCUCAAGCAAUGCCAUAUAGAAAGAUACCGAAGAAAAAAGGAAAAUAAAAAAUCGAAGCAUGUUAGUUAUGAUUUCAACUUUUGAACUCAAAGUCUGUGACAAAUUUUGCUUCGGGAAAUACUAACAAACACUUGAGAAAAACUAAAGUGUAUCACACUUGAACCGUAUAUAAAGCACAAGAAUAAAAACAACAAUGGGCAAAAAGAGGCUAGAUGUAUCAUCUUCAUUAGUUAAACAACAUAAAUAGAAUCAAAAUAUUAAUGCAUACACCAAAACCUUCAAAAUUCUCUAAACAUUCAAUUUUUUUCAGAUUAAGAAAAUAAAUUUAUAAGAAAAUCGAGAACGCGUAUUUGUUGCGGUAUUUUAUCAAGCAAUUGGCAUGCAGCAAUGUAAAUGACAAUUAAAACAUGUAAAUCUCUGUACAUUGAAAGCUCACCUUCGUUAUUCAUCCAAAGAGAGAUAUAUAGGGCAUGUAAGCUCCUUCUUUGAUAUUUAUAUAUUUUGUCAUAAAAGAUUAUAUAUUGUCCGAAAAGAGCUAACUUUGGACAGGCUUUUUAUGCCAAAAAAAAAAAAAAAAUUCUUUUGUGACUAUUAUAAAGUUCGUCAAAAAGAAAUUGAAACAGGGACCAAGUAAUGUCUCAAAAAGAAAAAAAAAUGGUUAUCAAAUAUAAAAUUAUUCAAGACAAAACAUUCAAUGACUAUUGUUUAAUUUUGUCACUGUAGGUAAUUAUAUAUGAUAAAAAAAAAUGGUCUUAAAAUUAGCCAAAAGAACAAUAAUUUUGGCUACUAAUAUUUUGUGUCAUAGAUUGUGUAGUCAAUUUUACACCCCUCUUUUAGUUACCAAAUAAUUUGGUCGCCUAUAAUUAUAUUUCGUGACUAUUUAUUUUGUCAUAAAUAGUGAAAUAUUGUCUCAAAAUAAUCACUUUUGGAGGGAAGAUUUUGCGCCAAAAAAAUAUCUUUUGGUGACUAAAAUAAUUUUUGUCAUAAAAAAAAUUAAUUAAUGACCAAUGAACAAGUCUCAAAAUAAAAAUAAUUGGUUACAAAAAACAAUAUAAGUUAGGACAAGACUAUUAGCUACGAUUUUAAAAAUUUGUCACAAUAAAUACCAUUUUGUGACCAAAUUUAAAGUUGUAAAAAAUAUCAUCUUAAAAAAUCAAAUUUCUUAUAGUGGCCGAGGCCUAUGAUAGAGCAUAGCUCUAUGCCCAUUUACCUCUUCAACUGCCAUAGAGAACUAGAAUCCCACUUGCACCCAAAACAUAAAAACAAUGUACACUUGGCAUGAACUCUGAGAAAGCUACGUAAAAAUGAUUUGAUGGCCAAGGAUUACAACAAUUGUACAACCAAAAGAGGUAGAAAUCCAUGUCUAGUAUAGUGCCCUCGUUAACACCUCUAAAUACUGAGUCAAAUCAAUAGGAAUUUCAUUGUGGGAAAAAAAAAACUAUGCUACGAAUGGUCAGCCUUGCUAGCCUUUAUAAGCAACGCACACAGAUUAUAGAACGAUGCAGUGAUGCAAACCAAGAACUAUUAGGGUAUAGACAGUAAGAUUAAAUAGAAUAAUUUGAUUCCAUUUCUAGCAAACUUUGCCUAGAGACUUGUUAAAAUCUAAUCAGUAAACCUGCUAGAUUUGACAGGAAACAGGUAAUGUCAGGCAAAUCGCCUUCUCCUAUUUUAGGGCACUCAUGUAUAAUAGUGACUUUAAAAGUGUAAACAUAUUUUGAACAAUUUUAAGGAAAUUAAAACUAUAUUUGACACAUCACGAAAUGGCUAAGAUACAAGCUUCAAUUCCAGUACAACAAAUAUAACUUCAACUGUCAAUUGAAGGAGCGAGAUAAAGAGGAGAGACACGAAGCAAUAUACCAUUAUGAGAACAUUGCAGCAUACAAAAGUGUAAACGGCAGAGCAAUAUCUCAAAAUCAUGUCGUUUCCGAUGUGUGCUCAUUUGAAAGUGCAGAAAAACCACUCAAACAUGCCUGUACAAGGAAAGCCAUGUCAGCCACCAAUGUCGUAAUUACACCAAUUACGAGGCCCAAAACUCCAUCAGCAACAGUAGAAGAACCGAUGUCAACAUCAAUCUACAGAAAGUUUCUAGCAGUCACGAGCAUUAUCACGAUCAUCGUGCCGCAGAUUGCCCUAAAAACAAGACAAAUCAAUUUGAUCAGCUUGUUCUUCCUCUAGAGCUGCGAAUAAUUGAAAAAAAAAAGAUUAAUUCCAUAGAAAUCCAUUAAUGAGGACAUUAAUCCAAUAUAUAAAAAUGAAUAUUUAAGUUUGAAGCUCCUAGCUUGAAGCUUUCCAAAUAUAAAGUUACAUAGUGAAGGACAACAUUUGUCCAUGAGGUUUCUAAAAUGGCAACUUUUGCACAGUAAAAUUAAAACGGACGGCGGAAGCUCUAGAAACCUCGGAUCGGCUUCAUUCAAAAACGAAAAUCACGAGGAAAGAUUUAAGUUUAAUUAAAUCACUUUUAGUUUCAAAAACGGCUUCGUGAAGUAGAAGAAAAAGACUGAAAACAGCACGCUACGAACACUGUCCAGAAAAUAGAGCUCUGCACGAACAGCUUCUGUUUUGCCACGAUUUGAGAUCCUUAAAGCACCCCAAUUGUGAUGCCUCUAAUUAUUCCACACUUAGAAAUGUUCUAGGAGUUCAUAGGAUUUGGAAUCUCGAAAUUUCGUUUAGAAAUGAAAGAGAUAAUGAAAAAACAUGAAUGCUAGUUCAUGAUGAUUCAUUCCAUCAAAUAAAGCUACCAUUAUCUCUAAUAAUGGCACCAAACAUUAUCAUGUGCUAGACCCACCCACUUAGUUAUUAUUUAUUGAAAGUGAUCUUAUCACUUAAAUAAAUUAUUUAAUCAAAUAAAUAAAUAGCUAAAUUAAUUAAUUUCGUAAUUAAUUAAUUAACCCCAUUUUGAUCAAAUCAAAUGGUUAAAUGUGGGCUCAUUUUGUGACAUGUUCUAAUGCUUUCUCUUAAUCCAUAUUAGAUCUAAUAAAAGCCCAAAAUUCUAAACCCAAAAUUGGUCUAGAAGUCCAUAAUCAUAUAUGAACCGGAACAUGUCCAAAAUGGUCAUUUUACGUGCUUGAUAUUGCAUAAUGUUUAAUGGGGAUUUAUGAAAUUUAUUUUGUUCCUUAAACUAUUUAUGGAACAUCUAAAUUUCUAUCUUAAAUCAUAUUUAAGAUAUAUUUAUAUAUAUAUUCAUUCUUAAUGAAUUAUAAUAUAAAUAUUGAUUUUCCUAAAAUUAGGAAAUUUAACUUCUCAUUUUCUAGUAACUCCUUUUUCAUUUCUAUUUAGUGUGUGACCUUUCAGGUUCUUAGUUAUAAGGUAGUAGAACUAUUUUAAUGAUAACUCUUUAUUCAUUAAAUGAUGCUAAACUCUUUAGUAAUCAAUUAGAACUUUUCUAAUGACCUUAAGAUGCAUAGCUAAUAGGCUUUACCAAUAUUGAUCUUAAGGUUUCUAUAAGUCAUGAGUGACACCUAGCAGUAUAUCACAACUAUCCAAAUAACAAGAAUUGUUGGAUCUAUAAAACCUAUUUUAUUGUAUCUCUAUGUCUUGGUCUCUUCAUCAUCCAUGUCUAGAGAAAAGCACGGCUUAUGGUUUAUUAUGUUAAGCAGUUAUGAUUUAUCUCAAAAUAAAUCUAAAUGAACUUAACAUGAAAAUAUAAUUUGAACUCCUUCAAAUAUAUUUCACCUUGGCCAAGGAUUUCUCAUGCCAAUUCAUAUUAUCUCAUAGGGACAUCCUUUUUGUAUAUUACAAAGUGAUUAAUUCCAUAUUAGCCAUACACUUGUCUUCAUACAUAACCAACCAUGACAGCUAUUGCUAGAUCUCUUCCGUGAUUAGGAAUCCAUGAUUAUGCUUUCACAUAUCAGAGAUGUCUAUGUAUAAGACAUCUGUUAUGCCUCAAGUCUAAAGACCAUUAUUAAACAUAGUGUCUAUUACAAUGUAUAAUAAGCCAUUAACACUCAAAACCAUAUGACUUACUAUAUUUGGUCAUGUUCAGUAAACUCGUUCUCUCAACAAGUACCUAUGUGUUUGACUUGACAUGUCAUGUCAAUGAUAUGAAACUCACCAUCCAUUUUAGUAUCACAUACCAUAAGGAGUCAUAACACAUACUAGUGUUUAUAGGAAUUUAUAAUGUCCAAUCAUAAAUCCACCACUAGGAACUAUUUUAGAAGUAUAGUACAAAGGAUGCACGUUUCAUACUCUCGACAAACUCGAGAAUGUGUUCCUUAACUAUUUUACUUCUUGGACUAUAUUCAUUAAAUUAAUUUAUGAAUGUUGAUAACUUUGCCAUUUUAUAAAUAUCAAAAUGCUAUUCAAAUACAAUAAUUCCCUAAACAAACAAACACCAUUUGAUUGGCCUUUAGGGCAUAUUACUAACACAUAGCCCUUAGAAGGCCGAUUGCAAACAUCACCUUUCCCGGGGAUGGAGAGGAGGACGUCCUCAAGGAUAUUAUAAAGGGUUCUUAGUUUGAGUAGGUCAGUAUGGGUAGUGGCACACUUGAGGUAGUCAAUGGGAUAAGAAUCGGCCUCCAUCCUAUAGCCGAGGUUUCUUUUCUUAGAGGGUCGGCUCGGCUCAGAACUAUUCUCCUUGUUAUCACUUUCUUUUUCAGGGAUCCCAGCCCCCUCAGAACUGUGAUUCUCACCAGAAGCCGAUGCUUGUCCACCGCGAUUUCCCAUAGGUUCACAAUCAGAAGGAGGCAAAAUGGCCUUUGGACGGGGGUACUCAAGGGUAUCUCUAUUAUAAGAGGGACCUAUGUUACUGGAAGGAUUUUGGGGAUCAGUGGGUCUUAAUAAAUUGGGGUAUGAAUCUAUCUCUUCAUCACUCUCAUUUACAAUUAUUUUUCCCCUUCGUCUUGACAUAGUGAAGUCUUAAGAGAAAAAUAUAACAAAUUUAAGUAUAUGGGUACAAAAGUGUUGAGUGCGGAAUGCAGAAUCAAGCACACCAAAUAAUUAUAGAAAAAUAAUUGACACAAAAUUUAUGUGGUUCAGUAAUUAAACCUACAUCCACCGGAGCAAGAGAAAAAUAAUUGUAUUAUUAACAAUUAUUUGAGUACAAAUUUGAGUAAAGAAAUCUUACUUUCCCAUAACCCAAAUACACCCAGUACUCUCACACACACACUCUCCAAUUGCUCACACUUUCAGAACUCUCAAAAGCUUAAAAACUAAUAAGCUUAACAAAUUUUUUGGGAUACUUUAGAAUGAAGAAAUGACUUUAAUUUAUAGGCUUCAAGCUUGCACUAUUCCACUUAAUCCCUCUGCAAUUUGUCAAUCUUCAUCUCCAUCAAUUUGACAAAUUUUGCUAAAUUUUCCAUUUUUCUUCAUUUAGUGCAGGAUUGUCAAAUGCCAAAUAUUUUACAGCUUGCAGUUUUGGUGCCGACUUUGAAAAAACAAAAGCAAUGCAUGUGGCUCACUUUUCUUUUUCAACCAAUUUGAAAACACUCAUUGACUUUUCAACAAUUUUCCACCUCGGCGAAGAUUUGUUCAAAUAUGAGCCGACUCCCAACCAAUCAUCAUCCCCAAAGUGGCUGCAUCUCUGUGACUGCUACGUACACAAAAUUUGGGAUCAAGCCAACCGUAGUUCAAAAUUCCUGAAGGACAUAACUUAACAUAAUCGAAGGAUUUGAAUUAGUCUCAAGCAUUGUUGAAACUUAACUCCAGAAAUCACCUUUGUCAACAUAUCUGCUGGGUUAUCCUUGGUAUUGAUCUUUUUCAACAACACAUCACCACCCUCGAUAAUCUCUCUCACAUAAUGAUAUUUCACAUCUAUGUGCUUCGACCGAGCGUGAUAUGUUUGAUUUUUCGCGAGGAAUAUCGCACUUUGGUUAUCACAAAAGACCGCAAUGUUCUCUUGGAUUACUCCCAAAUCACAAAAUAAGCCUUUCAACCAGAUAGCUUCCUUUACAGCUUCAGUUACUACCAUAUACUCUGCUUCCAUAGUGGAUAGAGCAAUUGUCGAUUGUAGAAUCGACCUCCAGCUAACUGAUCCUCUACCCAAUGUGAAUACGUAGCCAGUUGUUGAUCUUUGCUUUUUAAGGUCUCCGGCGAAAUCAGAAUCACAAUACCCAACACAUUGUUGACCACAAUCCUUUUUUAACAAUAACCCAACAUCAACUGUCCCAUAUAGAUAUCGGAGAAUCCACUUUACCGCAAGCCAUUAAUUUUUACUCGGAUUGUGCAUGUACCUACUAACCAUUCUCACUGCUUGAGAUAUAUUGGGCCUUGUGCAUACCAUAACAUACAUAAGACUACCCACAACACUAGCAUAUGGAACACGAGCCAUGUAAUCGCGCUCCUCUUGAGAUUUAGGACAUGAAGAAGAGCUUAAUUUGAAAUGAGGAGUUAGAAGUGUACAUACCAGUUUAGUUUUGUCAUCCAUACCGAAUCUUUUUAGCACUUUCUUCAAAUAAGACUUUUGAGUCAACCAUAUGCUCCCAUUCUUCUUGUCUCUAUGAAUUUCCAUCUCAAGUAUUAUAUGUGCAUCACCCAAGUCUUUCAUCUCGAACUCAGAAGCCAGCUGCUUCUUUAAUCUUUCGAUCUCAUCUCUAUUCUUCAAAACUAUAAGCAUAUCGUUGACAUAGAGUAACAAAUAGAUGAAAGCUCCAUCUAUUAGUCUUCUAAAGUAAACACAAUGAUCGUGUUCACUUUUGGUGAAUUUCUGCCCUUGUAUAAAUUAAUCAAAUCUUUUAUACUACUGCCUUGGCGAUUGCUUCAGUCCGUAUAAAGAUUUAAUCAACCUACACACAUGAUUCUCCUUUCCAGUAACUUUGAAACCACAAGGCUGAAUCAUAUAGAUUUCCUCCUUCAAAUCUUCAUGUAAGAACGCCGUCUUAACAUCCAACUGAGCCAACUCUAACUCAUAUUCUGCAACUAAGGCAAGUAGGAUACGAAUGGAAGUAUGUUUUACAACUGGAGAGAAAACUUCAUUAUAGUCAAUACUUUCCUUUUGAGCAAAACCUUUUGCCACGAGUCUUGCCUUGUAUCGAGGAGUUGAUUGAUUUGGAGAUCCUUGCUUUUUGGUGUAGACUCAUUUAUUGCCAAUAGUCCUUUUCCCUUUUGGUAACUUUACAAGUUCCCAAGUCUGGUUUUGAUGGAGAGAUUUCAUCUCUUCCUCCAUGACUAACUUCCACUGAUCACUUUCACUGCUGCGUAAUGCUUCACCGAAAGUGUUGGGGAUGUCAUCAUCAAUAACUGAAAGUGCAUAGACUACCACCAUAUCUUUAGUAAGCCAUCCGGGUUUCUUUAUCUCUCUUCUUGGUCUCCUUGUUACUAUAAAAUCAUCAUUAUCUACAGCAUCAAUUGUUUCUUCAUUUUGUGGGACAUCAGAAGAAAUAACAUAUUCUUCAACUCUAGGUAUCACCUCCAUAGUUGAACCCUUAUUUGAUGUAGAACUAACUGGUACAUAUGGAGUUGUAUCAAACUUCACCAGCUGCAAUACCUCUUUGGUUUUGUUUUCCAUUUGCUGAGAACUUGAAGUUUUCAUCAUUGAAACUUCAUCAAAUGUGACAUCUCUGCUACACACAAACUUUUUGUCUUUGAGAUCCCAAAACUUAAAGCCAUUUACUCUACCUUUGUAUCCCACAAAAAUAGCUUUUCUAGCACGAGGAUCCAGUUUACCAUCUUUGACAUAAUAAUAAGCUAGACACCCGAAUAUACGAAGGGAAUUAUAGUCUUGUGCAUGCUUUCCAGACCACAUUUCUAUAGGAGUUUUACCUCCAAUUAUAGCAUAAGGCAACUAGUUUACCAAGUGACUUACGUAGUUCACAGUUUCAGCCCAAAACUUUUUAUCUAAACCAGUAUUAGAUAACAUACACCGUACUUUCUCCAGUAAAGUACGAUUCAUACGCUCAGCUACACCGUUCUAUUGCGGAGUAUGUCUCACUGUGAAAUGUCUUUUAAUACCGUCGUUCUGGCAUACUUACAAGAAUGGAUCAGAAGUAUAUUCACCCCCAUUAUCAGGUCGUAAUACUUUGAUUUUUCUGUCAGUUUAAGUCUCCACCAAUUUCUUCCAUUUCACGAAAAUCUCUAGAACCUCAACCUUUGCUCGCAUGGUGUACACCCACACACGUCUAGAGAAAUCAUCAACAAAUGUAACAAAAUAAUGGCUUCCACCAAUUGAUGUAGUCUUGGUUGGUCCCCAUACAUCACUAUGAACAUAUUCAAGGAUUUCACGAGUAUCGUGAUUAGCUGUACCAAACUUGACCCUUGUUUUCUUGCCUACUACACAAUGCUCACAGAAAUUUAAUUUAUAGGUUUUGGUACCUUUUAAGAGUUCGUGCCUCAUCAGAGUUUGCAAAGACUUUUUGCUAGCAUGUCCUAGUCGUACAUGCCAUAGCUUGGUGGUGUCACUAUGCGCCUCAAUAAUAUUUGCUUCAUCAGUUGUACCUCCCUUCAAAUAGUACAGAUUGUGACGCCGAACCCCUUGUAGAAUCACCAUAGCCCCAUGUGUAAACUUCAUUAUACUAUUUUCAAUGGUAGCCUUGUAGCCUUUAGCUUCUAGAGCACCCACAGAAAUUAGAUUUUUCUUUAAAACUAGAACAAAUCUAACCUCUUUGAGUUCUCUGACCAUUCCAUUAAACAUUUUGAGCCGAAUUGUUCUUAUCCCCAUUGUGCGACAAUGUUGAUCAUUCCCUAUCACAACUGCACCGGAUUUUAGAUUACGAGUAUUCGUAAACUAUUCCUUAAUAGGACACAAAUGAUAGGUUGCUCCAGUAUCAAGUAUCCACUUACUCGAACUAGCCACGUAUGCUGCAAGAGUAAUACUUAGUGAAUAAUCAGAAUCUUCAUCUUUCGUGCCAUGUUUGCUGCUGUUGGUUUUUUCCCAUCUCUGUUUUGAGCUUUUAGACAAUCUUUCCUCCUAUGAACCUUUUCAUGACAAAAGGCACACUCGUCUCGAGCUAUAUCUCUGCUUCUCGAUUUGGAUCGAGAAUUCUUUCCACCACCCUUUUUCUUUUUCUCCAUCGCCCAAUCUUUACUCACCAAAACUUCAGACGAUACUCGUUCAGAAUUUUUAUUAUUAUUCUGAAUCUCCAAGUUAGUCAAUGCUGUGCAAACAUCUUUGAAGAUGAUCACGCUUUUCCCAUAUAUCAAGGUAGUCACAAAAUGGCUAUCUUCCUCUGGUAGUGAGUGUAACAGAAUCAUAGCCUUGACUUCAUCCUUAAUAUCUUCAUCAAGAUUCUUCAAAUCAGCAAGUAACUUUUCAAAUCUCGAGACAUGAUCGUGCAUUGAUACCCCAGGCUUCAUUCGAAAGCCAUAUACUUGGCUCAUUGCAUGAAGACGAUUUUCAGGACUUUUCAGCCUAUACUUCUUCUCUAAUGUAUGCCACAAAGUCACCGCACACUCCUCAACUUUCACCAAGUAUUUUACCUCCUUGGUCAAAUAAGAUCUGACCUGACCACAAACUUUCUCGUUCAUACGAUCUCAAAUUUCUUCAUCAUACAAGUGUAUUUUAUUUUUCAAAACAAUAUCGAGAUCGAUUUGAAUAAGGGCAUCCAUAACUUCGCGCAUCCACAUGCCGAAAUUGAUUUUCCCAUCAAACUUUUCAACAUCGAUCUUCUGGCCUCCUAUAACAGGUGCUGAAUAGCGAUUUUACAAGUCUCGUCUCCCACUUGAAGUGUCUUCUAAAAUAGUCUCGAUAGAUCUCUCCUUAAUUCUGGAAGUUUCACCUUAUACCAUUUUCUCAACGAACUAUUUCCACUUGAAAAACAGCCUCUAUGAUGUUAAUUUCGCGUGAAUAAAUGUCCCAGGAAAGUUCCCUAAAGACUAGACGGGAACUCGGUCCUAAUUAAAAAUCGGAAUCCUUAGACUCUUAUCGCCUUUGUUGACAGAACUUUCAUAGACAUGUAAAAAUACACACUACUUACAAUAGACUGUCUCCCAAGUACAAAUGGCCGCCUCCACCGUAUUCGUGAAUAGUACUGUAUAUGUGAACAAUACAGUAUACUGGAAUAGUACUGUAUAUGUGAAUAGUACUGUAUCCCCCCAAGUACGAACCGUCGGCUCUGAUACCAGUUGUUGAGUGCGGAAUGCGGAAUCAAGCGCACCAAAUAAUUAUAGAAAAAUAAUGGGCACAAAAUUUACAUGGUUCGGUAAUUAAACCUAUAUUCACCGGAGCAAGAGAAAAAUAAUUGUAUUAUUAAUAAUUAUUUGAGUACCAAUUUGAGUAAAAAAAUCUUAUUUUUCCAGAACCCAAAUACACCAAGUACUCUCACACACACUCUUGGUAGUGUGUCUUUUAUGGGCACGAUCUGACUAGAAAAGAUACCGACCAGAAGUUCAUACUGACCAGGUACUUGUCACUCAAAGAGAGGACGUGAUCUCACAAACACGCGACAAUUUCACCACGCCCCAAACCGCUGGGAAAACACGACGCCCCACGAUUACCCACGUUCGGUUGUUGAAGACCCAUUAAGGCCCUUAACCACCCAAAUAUGACGAGCAUGGAAAAUACCCUGAAAAAGUGGGAUGAUUGCCUAUAAAAAGCGGAGAAAUCAAUGAAGAGGGGGAGAGACAAAAAGAGAGAGAGGGGAAACUCUGUCAAAUUGACUCCAGGCAUUGUUACAUAGCCACCUUAAAUACAUUUUAUCUUAAGAACAUCGCAAUGAAUGUGUGUGAGCAUAAAUCAUAUAGUUUUCCCGUAAAUUCCAUUUCCUGACUUAAGUAUCGGAGGGUUUAUGCCGGAAAAACCAUCAGCGUCUCUGAUUUGUUUUUGUGAAUGCAGGUUUAGAAAGAAAAGGGAGAGUGAUUCGGUUCCCAGGAGCUCGGGCAAUUACUAUAGCUGGUGGAGCGCAACCUCUUCUUCAUUGUCAACACACUUGUUGAUGAUCCCAUCUGGUCGGGCAAAAGGCGACUAGAUUUCAGCAUCAACAGUACGUUCAGACAAAACACCUACUCCUGUUUUAGAAACGGCCUCCUCUAUUUUACUGUUUGGUGAUUGCAAAAAUUUGUCUAAAUAAUGCAUAGUUGUAGAGUUAAGAAAAAAAGUUAUGUUAAAAUAAAGAAGCAUCAGAGAUCCCCCGAUAUUAUUAUCAUCCAGAACAAUAUGUUUAUUGGGCCAAAGUGGGCUAACAUACAUGGGUUCAAGCUUGCAAAAUCCACAUUUAUGUAUAAUUAUAUAGUAAUUAAAUACUGAAUUUGAACUCAUACAACUAUUCAAUCAUUUGGAUUUCAAAUCUGUGUUCAUUGAACUAAAUACUGUCAUGUAUUCGAGUGAACAGAUAAAGAAUUCACAAUCUGUUCUCAAUUUUGACUUCAUAAUAUUCCAGCUAUGGUCGCAUUUCUAUUACUGUAUGGUAAAUAUGACUUUUAAAUAAUUUUUUUGACAAAAUUAGUCAAGGUGCCAUAUGUGUAUCAAAUAAUAGUUGAUAAAAUCAUCUUAUAUUUUGAACUACAGAAGUAAGUAUUCAUCAAACACUUUAUAAUUGUCAGUCAAUGUUUAUGUGAACGUGACCGAAAAUGGUUACUAAGUGCAUGUUUGGGAGUUAGGAUUAAGUAUGGGAUUAGAAUAACUUUGGUAUUAAAUAUUUUAUCCCAUGUUUGGCUACUUUGCUUGGAUUGGAUUAAGGAGGACUAAAUUUAAAUUUAGGGCUUAAAUCAUGGGAUUAACAAUCGCAAUUUAUAAGUGGAUUUAGAUGGGAUUAGAAUAAGAGAAAAAAAUUUUGUUCAUGUUUCUUUCAUAAAUAACACUAUUUUUUAUUUGAAACCUAAAAUUUAAUUACUUAAUUUAUUAUUUUAUUCAUGAUUUACAUGAAUUUAUUUUUUAUUUUAUUUUUAUAGUCUAAUUACAUUGGUACUUUACUCCAACAAAAUUAACUAUUUAAUAAUUUGUUACAAUAAUUGAUUGUAUUAAAUUCAAUAAUCAACUAUGUAAUAUUAAAAAUAAUCAUAGAAAUUAAUAAUACAAAUAAAUAAUUGAUUUUGUAUAUACAUUAUUUGCUAACUUUUUGAUAAAAUAAAAUAUAUCUAAAAUAUCCGAUAAAAAUUAAUUAAAUAAUUAAAUAGUUUUAUUAAUUUAUAUUUGUUUAUUAUGAAUAUGACUACCCAAUAACUAAUUUACUACAUAUUUAAUGCUAUUGUUAAUUAUCUUUAAAUUAAUUUUAAUUAUUACUUUUAAAUAUUCUUAACUUUUUUUUUGUAUUUAAAUAUGAUUUAACAUUGUCUAAUUCGAUAUUGUACCAAACAUAGUACAAUAUAUAAUAUAAUCUAGCUUAAUCUAAUCUAACUUAAUCCAGUCCAAUCUUAAAAAUUAGCCCAAUUCAAUUCUACGUGUCAAGCACAACCUAAGAGUUCCUAGUGUUAAAAAUUUAACAUACCCACGAUCCAUUAAUGGGAUAAUUUAUUUUAUAAUAAUCAAAUUGAAGAUCAAUUUGUACGAUGAUGAGCUUUCAUGUUUCUGUCAAACAUGAAAUAAUUUUGUAAACAAUGGCCACGUGGAACUUAUAACCAAUCAUCAUUUGUUGAUAGACAAGUGAAAUAACAAAAAAGCAGCGGGUUUGGGCUUUCUCCAGGAAUCGGCUUAACACAAACAAUGUGGGGUUUCUUGAUCUUCUUAAAGAUCAAGCAUAUACGUAUACAUGUUCUAUACCUAUCAAUCAUUCCCCUAUUCUUCGGUUUGGUGAUUGCAAAUAACAUUCUUUGCAUCUACUCUUUAUUUAUUUAUUUAUUUUUAACUCAUUAAUUCUUGUUCUUCUUAAAGCGUUUAGUAAAUAUAUCAUCACCGGGUCAAAUCCCUAACAUUAACGUACACAUAAUCUAUUAAUGAAAUUUAUUAUUUUAUCAUAAUCAAAUUGAAGAUUAGUUCAUGCAGUUUUCUAUGAUGAGGAGUAUUCACUUUUCUGUUAAAUACAAGAACGAUUCGUAAAUAAUGUCCAUUUGGAACUAGUAAUAACGAAGCAUCAUUUGUGGACCGAAUAAAUGAAAUAACAUUUUAGUUUCUCUCUAAAAUGUCAUUCUUCAUUCAAGCUUUUGCUGCAUCUUUUAUCAGGCAUCUUAUAAAGCUUUUCCCUACUAAUACUAAUAAACUUUGUAAAUCAAUAUUCUUUUCAAUUUCACAGGACACAAGUAAUGCAUAUUCAAGCACAACAGGUAUUUAUUCGUUAGAAACUCCAACUUAAUUAUUUCAUUGGAAAAUAUGAAACGCAGAGCCAUAAACUAGUGCUUUCUUCAAUUUAAUUGGGUUGAACAAACUUUUUAAUGUAUUUUCCCCAAUCCAUUUCUUUUAUCUCACUGCAUGCUUUAUUAAAGCUUUGUCUUUGUUCUUGAUUGAUGACCUUCAAAAUUAAAUCUUAAAAAUCGGGUAUAAAAGGGGUGCUUGAUUUAAGUCUUCUUCUUUUGCAAUUCAUUGUUAUUGCUCUUUUCAGCUUUUUACUCGCAAAACUUCUUACUCACAAAUUCCUCUGCAGUUAACCGUGAUCUUUUACUCAUUAAAAUUGUUCUUAUUAAUUCUUUUUUAUAGAGAGAGAGAGAGAGACUCAAAGAGAAUUAAAAAAAAAGUAAUUCUAAAUUUUUGCUUGUGCAUUGUGUGAUUUUUACCAUUUUUAAAGUUGGUGAUUUGUAUUGAAUAAAUAAAAUAAUAAAUAGAUUUAUGGACUACUCUUUUUUGUUAUAAUAAACAUCAGAGGUCCUUUCCUGAUGUUUCAUUCCAUAAGAAUAAAUUAUAAUUUUAUUGAUAUAGUAACGUCAAUAAUAGAAAUCCUAACAAACAUACAAACUUUAGAUUAUGGAUUAAAGCACUACAAGGUGAAUGGAUCACAACAAAUUAUUUAUACUACAAGGUGAAUGGAUCACAACAAAUUAUUCUGACGAAAGCAUAAACAAGAUGAUUGAAUCAAGAGACUAUUACAUGGGAAACCAAUCCAGAUGAAGCCUGUGAUAAAGAAUAGCCGUACGCCCAUUUACCUCUUUAGCUAAGCUGCCAUACUGAAGGAGGCAAUCCCACCCGCACAAAACAUGAAAAACGAUGUACACGUGGCAUGAACUUUGAGAAAGCUACAUAAAAAUGAUCUGAUGGCCAAGGGAUACAACAGUUGUACGACCAAAAAGGGUAGAAAUCCAUGUCUAGUACACUGCCCUCUUCAAUACCUCUAAAUACUGAGUCAAAUUGAUAUGAAUUUCAUGGAUGAAACUAUGCAACAAUCGAUAAACCUUGCUGGCCAUUAUAAGCCUAUGCACACAGAUUAUAGAACGAUGCAGCGAUGCAAACCAAGAAUUACUAGGGUAUAGACAGUAAGAUUAAAUAGAAUAAUUUGACUACAUUACAAGCAAACUGUCACGGACCGCAAUCGUGGCACCCAAGAUAUGCGCUUGUACGCUAGUGUCGAUGAUGGUUGUUGAUGCUGAAAUCUGCUCGCCUUUUGACCGACCAGAUUCUUUCACCAACGUUUGUGUUAUCUACUGUUGCUCGUUCACUGGGAUUGGAUUCGUCCUCCUUUCUCUCAAUAGACCUGCGCUCACUAAAAACGGAUCAGAGACGCCGGUGGUUUUGCCGGCGUAAACCCUCCGAUGUCUAAGUUAGCUCAAGGUGUUUACGGGAAAACAGUGCAAUUUAGAUCUCAAAACGGUUUCUAAAUUAUUCGGAGUUUAUAAGAAAAUGGCCUGAUUGUAAUUUGGCAGCGUUUUCCCUCUCUCAAUUUUUUCUAUCCCCAUCUUCAUCGAUUUCUUCCUCUUUUAUAGCCGUUGUCCCCACGUUCCCAUUUGCCUUUCACCCUACCUUUUUCGGGUAGUGGCAGCCUCUCAUGGAACUCUAACCGCUGCAUUACGGGCAAACGUGGGAUCUCGCAUCCUCCGCAACGGUUCUGGGAACAGCGCAACUACCGCGAUUCUGUGGGAUCUGUUCCCGCUUUUUGGGGGACGGGUACCGGCUCGGUAUAUACCUCUGGUCGGUAUAUUUCCCUGGUUGGUAAUCGCCUCUGGUCGGUUCAUGCUUGUCCCCGUGUUCUGCUCGCACCAUUUGGCUAAGAUGAUCCAUGCCGGGGUGGAGAUUAGUAGCAUGGCCGACCUGGUGCUUUUAUUUACUUAACAAUGGUUGUGCUGAUUGUUGGAGACGUGCUUCAGGGGCGUGCGUGUUGGGAAUACAAUGCCCUAGACUCUUUGGAGUUCAGGCAGGCCGACCCGGUUGAGUUUGGGGAGCUUGUCGCUAGUCAAGGACUUAACGCUGAAGAGGGGUCUAGGAAAAUCCUGACGCACACUGGUUGGGAAUUGAAGCCGUUCUCCUGAUGAGCCCAAGGCAGGGCGAAACCAGUUGACAUUGUGUCACUUCCUCUAGGCUUACUCUCGUAGUAUGGGAUGCGGGAGUGCCGCACGGGCUCGAAACCUCUCGUCCCGUGACAAAUGGUAUCAGAGCCGCGCUUGUCAUCUCUCGAAGCCCUCGUCGCGAGCUCGCCAAGCGCUCCAAUGCCGCACCACGCGGGUCCCCACCCUUUCAGAUACAAGAGUUGACAAGCGGGACGAACAGGCGGGUUCUCACACCCCCAAGCGUUCGCACCAAGUGGAUGGUGUCUCCAUGCGGGUCCUCUCCAUGGAUUGAGGACGUGCAUGUAGGCAGGGAGUUCAUGGGUUGAGUUUGGCAAGUCGAUCUUCACAUUUUUGCGUGGAAGUGCACACUUGCGAGGCGUACUCCUCAUGCACGAGGACGUGCAUGGUUAUGGCGGUGGGAGAAUGUCACGGACCGCAAUCGUGGCACCUAAGAUAUGCGCUUGUACGCUAGUGUCGAUGAUGGUUGUGCUGAUUGUUGGAGACGUGCUUCAGGGGCAUGCGUGUUGGGAAUACAAUGCCCUAAACUCUUUGGAGUUCAGGCAGGCCGACCCGAUUGAGUUUGGGGAGCUUGUCGCUAGUCAAGGACUUAACGCUGAAGAGGGGUCUAGGAAAAUCCUGACGCACACUGGUUGGGAACUGAAGCCGUUCUCCUGAUGAGCCCAAGGCAGAGCGAAACCAGUCGACAUUGUGCCACUUCCUCUAGGCUUACUCUCGUAGUAUGGGAUGCGGGAGUGCCGCACGGGCUCGAAACCUCUCGUCCCGUGACAAAACGCUGCCUACAGACUUGUUAUAAUCUAAUCAGUAAACCUAUUCGACUUGCUAGGAAAAAAAUAGGGCUUUUUUGUUUUCAUUCCCCUUUGGUGAUUGCAAAAAUUUAAAUCUAAAUUUAUGGUGCAGGCUACAUGGCACCUAGUGGAUGAUUGUUAGGGUUUGUCUUUUGCUCUUAGUUAGGAAUUUAAUUAAGAAUUUAUAGUGUGCGCCUUAUCGAAGUAGGUUUCCUAAUAGUAAUUAAAUAAUCCAAAUUUAUGAUGCAUUAGCAUAUGAUUGUGAUAAAUAAGCUUUUUAUGUAUCCUGUAAGGCUAAUUACUGUUUUAUUAGAUUCUCUUGUUAGUCUUGUGAAUCAACGAGAUUUAAUUAGUAGUAGAUAAUACUUUAGGCUUCACAGGCGCACUAUUUUAUCCGCUAAAUCAAUUUUUUUUUUAAAUUAAAAACAAUUCAUCAAACACUUUAUAGUUCUAACUUUUAAGCUGGUAAACACUUUAAGCCACAACUUUAAAUUCAGUUUACGAGAAUUCCUAAUAGUCACAGUGGCUUGGGUGGAAAUGAAUAUAAAUAAUGAAAUACUAUCUAAGCAACUCAAGGGCGGUGAAUUGAGUUUCUAAAAAUUUUGUAAAACUUAAUUCAAAUAUGAAACGAAUUAAAACAACAGUAAGUAAAUCAACCAAAAUAUAAAAAGAUAGGGGAAGAGAGAUUCAAACACAGAGAUUUUUAUGUGGUUCGGCCAACCUCGCCUACAUCCACGCCUCCAAGCACACCGAGCUUGAGGAUUCCACUAGUCAUGCCUUUAAGGCUUCAAGAACACCUACAAUUGACUUCAAAGAUGUCAAUCAACCUUUACACCAAGAAAUUAUCCUCAAUCUCUUAACCCAAGUGUAUCCUAACACUUACAAUUUCUCAAUUUGAUUUAAAAAUAAAUACAAAAUAAAUCUCUCUCACACAAUGUGUUUGAUUACAAAUGAAAUUCUAAAGUGUGAAUAAAUGAGAUGUAUACAAGAAUUUAAAACUCAAUGAAAGUUGUAUGCUCAAUAAUUUGCUCAAUGAUAAUGGUUGGAAUCGUUGUUAUUUGAAUUUGAUUGAACUUAUUUAUAGUUGGAGCUGAAAUAUAGUCGUUAUUGACUUUUUGCUCAAUGUUGGAUUGCCGUUUUGACUAUGAGCAAGUUACCGUCGGACAAAAUUUUAAAUUCUCGGACCGUCGAUUUCAAGAUGUCGAAUCGCCGUUAAUGUCCAGAGGCUGCUCUUCAAUUCUGUUCAAUGUCGGCUAGCCGUUAUCAAGAGAUCGGUUAGCCAUUUGCUACAAUGACUGCUACAGUGAACUAUUUCUAAAAUUAUAAUUUGGCCCCAAAACUUUAUAAAAUUUACUAUGACCGAUAACUUUAUAAAAUUUUGUCAAAUAAGUCCAUUUCCAAAAUUUUAAGCAAUAUUUGCUAAUUUCAAAGUUCUCAAAACUUUUUCAAUUUAAAUCAUUAACAUGAAAAUAACUAAUAUCAUAAAAUUACUUUUCAUUGAAUAUAAAGCCUUAAUAUGAAAAAAAAAUAAUUUGAGCUUUUAAAUCAAGCUUAACCAAGUUUGUUAUCAUCAAAAUCAAUAUUAAAGAAAUAUUUAUGUUGACAAAUAAUGUUUAAUUUUAAUGUACAAAGCACUGGUGCAUUUAGAAGGUACUACUGUGUAAACAAAAUUUGUGCUUGCAACUCAUCUUUUCAUUCAACUUUCUAAUAAUAAUAAAAUAAUACAGAGGAGAAAUAGGGGCUCUCUUUCCGUUUCCCAGUGUUUGUGUUUGGUGAUUUUAACUUUAUCAUGGAAUUGUCAAUUUUUAGUUGAAAGUUAUCUAAAUCUUCUUCUCUAUAUAAGCGUUUACAAUGAUUUUGUGAAACACAGCAAAAACAAUAAUAAUAAGUAUAUUUAUUCAUCUAAGAGGUCAAACUCUCAUGCUCAGAUAUGGAUAGUCCCAUUUUUUGAUCAGGGACAUCUCUUUACAAGCGUUGAAUUAUGCAAGCAAAUCGCUCCUCAAAAUUACCAAUCUACCCUCAUCGUUACCUCUCAAGUACCCAUAACUAUAGUUACCCAUUACUCUCUUCGCCAAGGCACACAGAUUAAAGAAUGCUUAGGGUGAAGGCAGUAACUGUCCUGAAAUAUGACUUUUAAAUUUUUAUUUUUUUUUUACGAAAUUAGUUAAAAUGCCAUAUGUGUGAUCAAAGUUGUUAAAUAUCUUAUCUUUCAAAUUAUAGGAGUAAAUAUUCACCAAACACUUUAUAAUUUUUAGUCAAUGUUUAUGAAAACACGGCCGCAAAAUGGUUACUAAUGCUAGGGAUCAAUAAUCAAACUGAAGUUUGUACGAUGAUGGGCUUUCGUGUUUCAGUCAAAGAUGAAAUAAUUUGUCAAUAGUGGCCAUGUGGAACUUAAAACCAAGCAUCAAUUGUUGACAUAACAAAUGAAAUAACAAAAUGGCAGCGGGGUUGGCGAUACAAAAUCAAAUCUUUUUUAUUCUUUUGAUUUUUGAUUUUUUCUAUUGCAUUCUGCUUUCUUAAAAGUUUGGUCCAAUUAAAGAGAAUACGGAGCAAUGACUUGUAUCAUCUGUGGAAUAAUCCAUAGAAAUAUAUAUGUGAAGCACGCCAAAGAAAAUGGCGCUGAUGACAUACUCCUAAGAAUUGUUCAUACUGAGUCAUCCAUCAAUCAACGGGUGGAUUAUUAUCUCACUGUAGAUGAAAUUCAACUGCAGAAGUAAUCGGAUGUGGGAUCCCAAUUUUGGCGUGACCAAUUAGAGGUUAUCAAUAUUAUAAUGCGAAAUUGAUGAUCAAUCAUCUUAAUGUGGGGUACAUGAUUUCUGAUGAUCCAUCAAAAAUACAAAGUUGAUUCAAAAGGAUGAUACGGUGAGUGGAACAGACAGGCUGAUGGGAAAUCAAGCUAUUAAAAAACGAGCUCACAUGCUUCAUAUUGCAUUUGAUCAUGGCUGUCCUAGAAGUUCAGUGGCUGCUUCGGAUGCUUUCAAAGUUCUUAUUAACCAGAAAGCAGUUUAACAAAAACAAGUAUUGUGCAUAUUAUUAACCAUAUGCUUUCAAAGAUCAUGUAUAAGCAUAUCAGAGAUCUUGUUGGCUUGAAGAUCUUCUUUGGAUGCUUUCAAUACCUACACUUAUACUACCAUAUGUAAAGCCUUUGUUACUGAUUGCAUUCAAUUAUUCAAUUAAAAGUCUUACAAAGCAUCUAAAAUGGAAGAUGGAACAUCCUCCAUCCAAAAAACAAAACGGAAGUCAAAACGUUGAUAUUGUUUUAUGUUUAAUAUCAUGAUACUAGAACUUUUUAGGCUAAAGCACCUACCUGCUGUGAGCUUUACUACAAAAAAAUGAGACUAUUUAGUUGUGAGACAAAUAGAGAGGGAAAGUUUUUACCAUUUAGCUAAAUUUCGAUCUUAUGCAAAAUAAUAUAAUUCAUUUGUUAUUAUGACCUAACCAACUCAAAACAAAAAGGAUUAUUAUGGCCUAACACAGUUCAAAAUGCAUGCAACAAUGGUGUAUUUAAAAUGGAACUAAUGUACAAAUAAAAUUUAUGCAUCUCUUGGAGGAAGGCCUUUAGGCCAACAAAUGAAAAUAGUGAGCUCGCAUUUUCUAUUAUCAUUUUCACCACUUGAAAAAGAGAGGGAAAAAAAUUGAGAGGAAAAACAGGGCUCCCCUGUUUUCAUUUCCCAUUUUUUCAGUUUGGUAAUUGUAAAUAACAUUCUUUACUUCCCUCUUUAUUUUAUUUUUUUUUUAUUUUUAACUCAUUAAUUCUUUUUCUUAUUCUUGCUAAAGCGUUUAGUAAAUCUUAUGAUCAUCUGAUCAAAUCCCUAACAUUAACAUACCCAUAAUCUAUUAAUGAAAUUUAUUUAUUUUAUAAUCAUCAAAUUGAAGAUUUGUUCAAUUUUGUAUGGCGACCAAUUUUCAUUUUUCUAUUAAACAUAAGAAGAAUUUGUACAUAAUGUUCAGGUCGAAACUCGUAAUAACGACGCAUCAUUUUUCGACAGAACAAAUGAAAUAACAAAAAAGUAUAAAUCAAGUCAUUAUUGAUCCUACUUUGAUGAUCGAACUUUGGUUUCUUUCUAAGAUGCCAUUCCUCAUUCAAGCUCUUGCUUUUCUCUUUUAUCCGACAUCUUACAAAGCCUUGUCCCUACUAAUAAGCUCUGCAUAUCAAUAUUCUUUUCAAUUUCGCAGGAUACAAGUAAUGUAUAUGCCAAAAUUAUUCAAGCACAACAGGUAUUUAUUCGUUGAAAACUUUUAACUUGAUUAUUUCGUUAGAACAUAUGAAACGUAGAGCUAUAACUUAGUGCUCUCUUCAAAUUAACUGGGUUGAACAAAAAAUUUUAAAGUAUUUUACCCGAUCCAUUUCUUGUAUCUCACUGCAUGCUUUGUUAAAAGCUUCGUCUUUUGGUCUUGAUUCUGAACUUCAAAAAUUAAAUCUUAAGACUCGGGUAUAAAAUGGGUGCAUGAUUAAGUCUUCUUCUUUUCCAAUUCAUUGCUAUAACUCACACCAACAUUUUACUCAGACAUUCCUCUGCAGUUAACAGUGGUCUUUUACUCAUUAAAAUUUUUCUUAAUAAUUUCUUUGGAUACCCGUUCUCACUUAAUAUUCAAGGCGAAUAGAGAAGCUCAUCAACUCUUUGAUCCCAGACAAUUAAAGAAGUACACAUGUUCUAAAUCAUCUAAUAAUUUCUUUUAAUAGCUGUUCUUAAUUUCCAUCUACUUUGCAAGAAAAAAUUUAUCUUGUUUGUUUUCAUCUUGUCAUCUAUUUUGCUUGAGUUUUAAGUUAUUGUUCAUUUGUAAUGUCUGUGUUCUUAUUAUUAGCUUUGGAUAAUUUGCAUCCAUGUCUUUUCUUUGUUUGUGGGCUUUUAUUCAGACCCCCUGAAACCUUUCUGUUAAUAUAAAAACUCUAAUCCUUGAGCAAAAGGUUAAAAAAAGAAAAAGAAAGAAUUCUCUGUUUAGAUAUCAGUUGGGUUAAGAACAAUGUUGUUUGUCUCCUGUCUUUUCUUUGUUUGUUUGUUUGUUUAUUUUGUCAUUUUAUUAGAUUUGCUUUGUAUCUAAUUUUACUUGAAGAUUAAAGCUGAGCGAGAAAUGCCUUUUUUUUUUUUCUGAAGCAACCUACAAAUUUUAGAAUAGGGCCAAGAGUAUUAAAGAUUCAAUUAACCGCAAAAAGUUAUUUACAUGCAUCGCUUGCAAACUUAAGCUUAUCAUCCCAAAUUGAGUUGCUUGCAUUAGAAAUUUUCAUGCAUUCACGAGCAUUAUCAUCAUAUCACAAGAUAGCCUGAAAAACAAGAUAAAUCAAUUUGAGCAACAAGUUUCCUCUGUUUUCGUUCCUCUGUUUUCAUUCCCUGUUUAUUGAUAUUUUUUUUUUUUUUUGGCCUGAAAUUAAGAAGAAAAAAGUGGUAAAACAAGUCACCACUGUUUUUAUUCCCCUGUUUUUCGUGGAAAGAAUAAAUGAAAUUGAAAAAAAAAAAAGCAGCGUUGGCAAUACAACAUGAAACUUUAAAUUUUUAUUUUAUUUUUAUUUUUGAUUUUGAAUGUGCAUAAGUCAAAUCAUAUAUUAUUGAUCUUACUUCGAUUAUUUGCUGUUUAGUUUCUCUCUUAAAUGCUUUUUGUUUGUUUCCGGUAUUUGCUUUUAUAAAAGUUUUAGUCCUCAAUCAUUCGUUCAAGGAUUUGCUUUCUCUUUUAUUAGGCAUUUACAUUGCUCUGUCGAUCAAUAUUCAUUUGAAUUUCACAGUACACAAGCAAUGUAUAUACCAAAACUUAAUUAUUUCUUUAGAAUAUAUGAAAACGUAAGAGUUGUGAACUACUGCUUUCUUCUUCAACAUGCGUCAACAGGGCAACAAUAACCAAAUACAUGAUAUACAAAAGCGGUGCAUGACUAAUUCUUUUUCUUUUGCAGGUCAUUGUUAUUGCUCUCGUCAACUUCUUUUCUCACACAUUUCCCAGCAGUUACCAGUGAUCUUUUUUCUCCUUCAACUUGUUCUUACAUAUUAAAGGCGAAAUAGAAAAGCUCACCAACUCUCUAAUCCCAGAUAAUUAAAGAGGUGCACGUUUUCUAAAUCCUUUAACUUUUUUUUUUUUUUUUUUUAUAGUAGAACCCCUGAUCCUUGAUCUUGACAUUUGUUCCUUCAUAAUUUCCAUCUACUUUCCAAGAAAAAUUUCUCUGGUUUGUUUUAAUAUUAUAACUUAUUUUGCAUGAGUUUUAAGUUACUAUUCAUUGUUAAAGCUUGUGCUCUUAUUAUUUCCUUUGGUUAACUUGCAUGCUUUUCCCCAAAAAAAAGAAAAAAGUUUAUAAAAAGAUUAUAGGUUUUUACUCAGACCCUUGAAACCUUUCUGAUAAUACCAAAAACACUAAUCCUUUAACAAAAGAAAGCAAGAAAAAAAAAGGUCCUAUAUUUUAAUAUCUGUUGGCUUUGUAUUGAUAUUGCUUGUUUGUUGUCUUUUAUUUCAUUGUUUGUAUCUAAGUUUACUUGAAGAUUAAAGAUCAGUAGGAAAAGCCCUUUUUAUAAAGCUAACAUACACAUUUUAGAAUAGGGCUCAACCGCAUGAAAAUAUUUACAUUGUAGUAUCUCAUAUUAAUAAUCUAAAAAAAACCAAUCCAACAAGUUCAAAUUCACUGAAAUCUAAAAAAGAUUGCUUUUAAGGAGUACAUGAUAGCUAUUGAAUUUUGGUUAAAGAUCUUUUAGGCAGAAUUGAAAUUCACUCAGUCAUAAAUCAACCAAUCCAACGAGUUCAAGUGCAGAGUCAAUUGAACAAAUUCAUCACUUGCAGAAUUAAGCUUAUCUUCCGCAAUUGAGUUGUUUCCAUUAGAAAUUUUCCCGCAGUCACGAGACUAUCAUCAGAACAUGAUUAUUUAUAUAAGAACAAGAGUUAAGAGGAGAAAAAUAAGGCAAAACAAGAUUCUUCUGUUUUCAUUCCCUUUUUUUUUUUUUUGUUUGGUGGUUGAAAAAUUUUAUCUCUAAAUUUUUAUAAUUUUUCGUUAAAGUUUAUAUUUAAAUAAAGGGUUAAAAAAAUCUAGUUCUAAAUUUAUGCAUUGAAUGAUUAUUAUUAUUGGUUACGAUAUCAAUUAAAUAACAAAUAGAGCUACUAAUCACUUUGUUAAAAAUGAACAUGCGUUCUGUUUAUAUGACAGAGCAAAACACGGGGUGCACGCUUAAGUCUUGUUCUUUUACAGUUCAAUUGUAUUACUUACUCUCAUAAACUCUUUACUCACAUUCCUCUGCAGUUAACCGUGAUCUUUUGCUCAUUAAAAUUUUUCUUAUAUAUUCAAUGCCAAUAGUGAAGCUCAUAAACUCUGUGAUCCUGAAUAAUAAAAGAGGUGAACUUGUUCUAAAUGAUAGCUAUUCAACUUGGUUAAAGAUCUUUUAGAAAGAGUUCAAAUUCAGUCAAUCAUAACUCAACCUAUCCAACAACUCCAAGUCUAGAGUCGAUUGAGCAAGAUUCAUCACAUGCAAAAUUAAGCUUAUCAUACCCAAAUUGAGUUGUUUCGGUUAGAAAUUUUCCAGCAGCCAUAAGCAUCAUCAUUGUGUUUCCGUUAGGAAAUUGAGUUGCUUAUCAUACCCAAAAUAUUUAUAUAAGGACAAGAGUUAAGGAAAAGAUCCCUCAAGGAAAAGGUCCCUCUGUUUUCAUUCCCCUGUUCUUUCGUUUAGUGAUUGAAAAAUUUUAUAUCUAAAUUUUAUUAUUUUCCAUUGAGGUUCAUUUAAAACAGAAAAGAAUUAAAAAUGUAAUUCUAAAUUUACCCUAAUUCACGGAGUGAUUAUUAUUAUGUUAUCUCAAAAUUGGCCAUACGAAUUAAAUGACUAAUAGAGUUAUUGACAAUUUUGUUAAAAAUGAACAACCGAUAAGUCAUUAUCUUUUGCACUUCAUUCUUAUUACUCUCAUAAACAUUUUAAUCACAUUUCUCUGUAGUUAACAAUGAUCUUUACCCAUUAAAAUUGUUCUUACAUAUUCAUGGCAAAUGAAGAAGCUCAUCAACUCUGUGAUCCCAGAUUAUUAAAGAGGUGCACAUGUUCUAAACCCUUUAAUAGUUUCUUUUGAUACCAUAAUCUAAUCCUUGAUCUUGAUAAUAGUGCUUUCGCAACAUCCAAGUAAAAAUUUCUCUUGUUUGUCUUAAUCUUGUCAUUUAGGUUUCUCGACUUUUAAUUUAUUAUUCAUUGUUGACUUCUGUGUUCUUAAUAUUAGCAUUCGUUAACUUACUUAAAUCCAUCCUUUUCAACAGCCAGAAAAAUAUAUAUUGUUAAGCAACAGGAGAUGGCAGAAGUAUGUCUUGCUAUUUUUUCCUGCGUAUCAGAAGGUACAAAGACAUUGUCUGAACCGAUUAUAGGGCAGAUGUCUUAUGUGCUCAAGUGCCAGAGCUACAUAGAUGGGCUAAAAGACCGAGUAGAGGAGCUGGGACAAAGAAGAAAAAGGGUGGAAAUACUGGUUGAUCAGGCUCCUGGACAAGGAUAUAAGAUUUUUGGGGAUGUCACAGAGUGGCUAGGGAAAGUUGAGCAAUUCACUCAAGGGUAUGCAAAACACAUCAUUAAUGAUGAAGAUGAAGUUAGGAAGCCCUGCUUUAAAGGAUUGUCCCCAAAUUUGAUGUCUCGUUAUAAACUCAGUAAACGAGCAGUGAAGGCUGCAAAAUAUGCUGAAACUCUCUUGGCAACAGGCAACUUAUGGAUCAUGAGUAAUGUUUCCCACCCUCCUUCCCCAAAGAUGAGAGAAUUUGGCAACAUGAAAGAUUACGAUAUCUUUAAUUCGAGAAAGAAAAUAUUUCAAGAUGUUAUAGAGGCGUUGAAAGAUGAUAAGCUCAACAUAAUUGGGGUCUGCGGAAUGGGCGGCGUGGGUAAAACCACGCUAGUCAAGCAAAUUGCAAAGCAAGUUAUGGAAGAUAACGUGUUCGAUAAGGUCGUUAUGGCUGAGAUAACAAAGAACCCAGAUGCUCAAAAAAUUCAAGGAGAACUCGCUUCCGAUCUAGGCAUGAACUUUGACUCGAAUGAUCACAUAUACCACAGAGCAAAACAACUAUGUCAAAGAUUGAAGAAAGAGAAGCGAGUCCUCAUUAUAUUAGAUAAUAUUUGGACAAAACUUGAGUUGGACAAAAUUGGAAUUCCUUAUGGGGAUGUUGAUGAGAAAGAUAAAAAUGAUGAUCCGAGAAGAUGACGAUAAUAUUGACGUCUAGAAGUCGAGAUUUAUUGUGCAUUGAUAUGAAUUCUCAGAAAAUGUUCUGGAUCGAUGCUUUAUCAAAAGAAGAAGCAUUGCAGUUAUUUGAGAAGAUAGUGGGUGAUUCCACAAAAGCAUCUGAUUUUCGACCUUUAGCAGAAGAGAUUGUUGGAAAAUGCGGAGGAUUGCCUGUUGCACUGAGUACAGUUGCAAAUGCUCUGAAAAAUAAGAGUCUUGCCAUUUGGAAGGAUGCGUUGAAUAAGCUGACAAGUUCCAAUCUAAGAGAAAUUCAUGGUAUGGAUGCAGAUGUGUAUUCUUCUAUAAAAUUGAGUUACGACUUCUUGGAUGAUGAAGCAAAAUCUUUGUUCCUUCUUUGUGGUCUGCACCGUGAAGGUCGUCCUAUACACGUACAUUACUUACUGAGAUAUGUUAUGGGAUUGAGAUACGAUAAGGGUUUGGGUCUAUUUAGAAAUGUUUACACAUUGGAAGCAGCAAGGAAUAGAGUGGAUGCAUUGAUCGACAAUCUAAAAGCUUCAUGCUUAUUGUUGGACGGUGAUGCUGAAGAUGAAGCUAAACUGCAUGACGUCAUUCAUGUUGUUGCUGCAUCAAUUGCAGAAGAAAAGCUUAUGUUUAAUAUUCCAAAUGUUGCUGACUUUGAGAGAGAGAUGGAAGAGACAAUACAGAAAGGUCCAAUUGCUAUUUCUUUACCUUAUAGAGAUAUUCAAGAGCUCCCUGAAAGGUUGGAAUGUCCCCAACUCAAGUUAUUUUUGUUGUUUGCAAAGUACGAUAGCACUUUGCAAAUUUCAGACCACUUUUUUGAAGGGACGGAAGAACUCAAAGUCUUAGAUUUUACUGGAAUUCGUUUCUCUCCAUUACCUUCAUCACUCGGUCGCCUCAUUAACCUUCAAACAUUGUGUUUAGAUGGUUGGCGACUAGAAGAUAUAGCAAUAGUUGGACAGCUAAAGAAAUUAGAGAUUCUCAGCCUUCGAGGUGCCGAAAUUAAGCAGUUGCCACUUCAGAUUGGACAAUUGACAAGGUUACAGUUGCUAGAUUUGAGCAAUUGUAGCAGCCUUGUGGUGAUAGCACCAAAUGUCAUAUCGAAAUUAUCUCGAUUGGAAGAACUAUAUAUGGGUGACAGCUUUUCACAGUGGGACAAGGUUGAAGGAGGAAGUAACGCCAGUCUUGCUGAAUUGAAGGGGCUGUCAAAGCUAACUACUUUGGAGAUAGAUGUUCGGGAUGCUGAAAUGCUGCCGCAGGAUUUGGUCCUUGGGGAAUCGCUAAGAUAUAGGAUAUGAAUAGGAGAAGUGUGGGGCCGCUGGUCUGUUAAAUCUGAAACAUCAAGAUUGAUGAAGCUUCAGGGGCUAGAAAAUAUUAGCAUUCUUUUGAGGAAUCAUGGAAUGAAAAUGUUGCUGAAGAAAACUGAAGAUCUCUAUCUACAGGAACUGAAGGGUGUAAAGAAUGUUGUUCCUGAAUUAGAUGAUGGGGAAGGUUUUCCACGAUUAAAGCAUCUUCAUGUAGGAAAUUUUGCGGAGCUUUUACAUAUUGUCGGUUCAAUUCAUUGCAAAGUCUUUCCCCAGCUAGAGUCAUUGUCUCUUUUUGGUUUGCUUAAUUUGGAGAAGAUAUGUUACAGCCAAAUCACAGAUCAAUCUUUUAUCAACUUAAGAAUCUUUAGCGUACGUAAUUGUAACAAAUUGAAGCAUCUCUUCUCAUUCUCUAUGGCCAAAAGCCUAUUGCGGCUUCAACAAAUAAAAGUGGGUCUUUGCAACAACCUGGAAAUGAUUAUUGGUAAGUGUUGGAAGUAUUUUGAGGAAUUAUAAAAAGCUACUAUUACUUAAUGACAGAAGUUAAUUAUUAAUUUUGUUUCUAGGACUCAACAAGGAGACAAGUAAUUUCGGUUUUAAAGAAAUCAUUGCAGAGGAUGAUCCUGUUCAGAAGGUGAUAAUUUAUGAUCCUGUUCAGAAGGUGAUAAUUUUCUCUUUAAUAAUUAAUUAAUAUAUUAUCAUGAUUUAUUUCAAUCAUCAAAAGAAUAUUAGAGAGAUAGGGAGGGGGAAAAAAAAAAAAGCUUACGGUUUUGCUUUGCAGGUCAUUCUUCCAGGCUUAGAGGAGUUGGAACUUGAUAGAUUAGCAACCAUUGAAAAAGUAUGGCCGGAUCAGUUUGAGGGAAUGUCUUGUUGUCAAAAUUUAACAAAAGUGACCGUGGAGAGGUGUCAUCGCCUGAAGUAUCUAAUAAAUUUGUUGACAUUCUCAAUGCCUGAAAGUUUUGUGAAUCUUGAAAUAAUGAAGAUAGUUGAUUGCAAAAUGAUAGAAGAAAUCAUAAAAUCACAGGUUGGAAUAGAAGCGAAACAUUGUAUUGUUUUUAGGAAAUUGAAGUACUUGAGGCUUGAUUGUUUGCCAAGCCUGACAAGCUUUUCUUCGAGUAAUUACACUCUUGAAUUCCCCUUCUUGAAACAAGUAGUUGUGAGACAGUGCCCAAAGAUGAAGAUUUUCUCUCAAGGAGGACUCUUACACACACCAAUGUUGAACAAAGUGCAACUCACUGAAGAAGACGAUGAUGAAGGGUACUGGGAAGGCGACCUCAAUAAUACCAUACAAAAGUUGUACUACAAAGAAGUGGUGAGUAUUAAUUAAGCAUUGGUGCUAGGCCACUAGCUUUAUUUUAUGAAUAACACAGGAGCCCUAACCACAUAAAAAUUAUCUUAUAUAAAGUGGUGAAAUAAUAUGGUAGGUUGACAUAUAUAUACAUGUAUGUAUGUAUGUAUGUAUCCACGUAUAUGGCCCAUGUUUUGUUUUACAUUUAACCAGUCAUAUUAUGUUACAUCAAUUUUUAUAACAUUAUUUAGAUAAUAGUGUCUGAAACUGUAUCAUUAUUCUUGAUUUAAUUUUGUUAUUAGUUUUUUUUUCUAUUAUUAGUAUUAUCAUUAAAAGGUAAACGUUUUCUUACCCACCUCAUAAAUUAGCAUGCUUUAUUUUGUCUUUAACUUAUUGAAAACAUUAACCCACGCCCAUUUAGCGUUAAAAGUACAAAAUGUUUGCCGAAGAAUAUCAUCAACACAGGCCCCUAUUCACGCUAUUCUUUUGGAUAGUAAAUGGGGGUGCGUUGAUGUUAUCAUUAAUUUGGUAGACAUCGGGAAACUGUAAUAAUAUAAAAAACAAUUGUGUGUGUCUAGUGAAUUUUUUUUUGGUUUGUGCAGGAUAGAGUUCGUGAAAUGACGAAGUUGGAACUCUCAAACUUUCCACGUUUCAGAGAAAUGUGGCAUGCCCAAGCACUGCCUGUUAGCUUCUUCAGCAAUUUAGUAAAGCUAGUGAUGGAUGACUUCAAGAAUAUGACUACUGCUAUUCCAGCCAAUCUUCUACGGUGCUUGAACAAAUUAAAAAUUCUGGAAGUGAGGAAUUGUGAUUCAUUAGAAGAGGUGCUCCAUUUAGAAGAGCUAAAUGUUGAUGAACAUUUUGGCCCUCUGUUUCCUGUUCUUGUCCAGCUAGAGCUCAUUAAUCUUCCAAAACUCAAAAGAUUCUGCAGCUUCAUUGGGAAUGUUAUUGAACUGCCUGAGUUGUUGAAUCUGAACAUUGAGAAUUGCCCUAAUAUGGAAAUAUUCACUUGCAAUUCUAUAUCUAUAUUGCACAGGACAACAAAUAAAGAACCUCUGGAAAUAACACCAAAGGAGAACUUCCCGCUAGCUGACAUACAGCCUCUCUUUGAUGAAAAGGUGAUUGUUAUUAAGUUUUUUUUUUUUUUUUCCUUCGCUUUCAUUCACAUAGAUGUAAUUCUCAUUAGAAUUAAAAUUAAUUUUAUUUAAUGAUCUUUCUGUUGUCUUUACUCUUUAUAUCUAAUCUAACGGUUCUAAUGCAGUUAUUAACUAAAAUUUCAGUAUACACUCAUAAAAAUGUCAUCAAAUUAGUUAAAUGAUUGGUAACAAGGGGUGAACUCUAUCCAUAUUAUCUCUAUUCAGAUUUGAUUUAUGUGCUUCAAGGGUAACUAUUUGAAUUUUAUUUUUUGGUUCCUCCGCAACUAAAUACAAUUUGGAUAUAAAAUGCUGUCGUCAAUCUUUUCCAUGAAACUGCUUACGAAGACUGCCGACGUUAGAUAUAUGUUCUCAUUUACAACUUUUUUUUUUCCAGGUUGCAUUCCCCAAGUUACAUAUGUUGAACCUGUCUAGAAUACCCAAGGUGUCGCAUCUAUGGAAGAAAAUUUCCGAAUCCAACGAAGUUUCCAAGUUUUUGAAUACUCUAGUAAUAUCAGAAUGUAGUAAGUUACGAAAAUUAGUACCAUCUUUGUUGCAUUUGGAAUAUCUGGCGACUCUAGAAGUGUCGAAGUGUCACGGGUUGACAAAUUUGUUGACGAUCUCAACAACUAAAAGUUUAGAACAUCUUUUAGUAAAUCUUGAAAUAAUGAAGAUAGCUGAUUGCAAAAUGAUAGAAGAAAUCCUACAAUCACAGGUUGAAAAAGAAGAAGAAAUCCUACAAUCACAGGUUAAAAAAGAGGAAGAUUGCAUUGUUUUUGGGAAAUUGAGGUACUUAGGACUUGAUUGUUUGCCAAGCCUAACAAGCUUUUAUUCGGGUAAUUACACUCUUGCAUUCCCAUCCUUAGAAGAAGUAGUUGUGAGACAGUGCCACAAGAUGAAGAUUUUCUCUCAAAAAGGGCGCUUACACACACCAAUGUUGAACAAAGUGCAAUUCACUGAAGAAGAUGAGGAUGAAGGAUGCUGGGAAGCCAACCUCAAUGAUACUAUAAAAAAAUGGUACUACAAAGAAGUGGUCAGUAUUAAUUAAGCAUUGGUGCUAGCUUUAUUUUAUCAAUAAUACUAGAGUCUCAACCUCUUAAAAAUUAUUUUAUACAAAAUGAUGUGAUAUAAUAUGGUAGGUUGUGUGUGUGUAGCCCGCGUUUUGUUUUUUGUUUAACCAAUCAUAUUAUUUUAUAUCAGCUUUAUAACAUUAUUUAGACAAUAGUGUUUGUAACUAUAUCUUUACUCAUUAUUUAAUUUUGUUAUUAGUUUUGUUACUGUUAUUAGUAUUAUUAGUAGUAUUAUUAUUAAAUGGUAAAUGUUUUUACCCAGUACCCACCUCAUAAAUUAACAUUCCUUAUUUUUGUCUUUAACUUAUUGAAAACAUUAACCCAUGCACAUUUAGCUUUAAAAGUACAAAAUGUUUGAUUAAGAAUAUCAUCAACACAGGCUCCUAUUCACUAUAUUCUUUGAAUAGUAAACGGGGUGCGUUGAUGUUAUCAUAAAUUUGAUGGACAUCUGGAAACUGUAGUAAUCUAGAAAACAAUUGUGUCCAUAUAUAUAUCCACUACAGUUUUCCUCUUUUUUUGUGGCUUUUGCAGGAUAGAGUUCGUGAAAUGAUGAAGUUGGAACUCUCAAGCUUUCCACGUUUGAGAGAAAUGUGGCAUGCCCAAGCACUGCCUGUUCGCUUCUUCAACAAUUUAGUAAAGCUAGUGAUGGAUGACUUCACGAAUAUGACUACUGCUAUUCCAGCCAAUCUUCUACGGUGCUUGAACAAAUUAAAAAUUCUGGAAGUGAGGAAUUGUGCUUCAUUAGAAGAGGUGCUCCAUUUAGAAGAGCUAAAUGUUGAUGAACAUUUUGGCCCUCUGUUUCCUGUUCUUGACCAGCUAGAGCUCAUUAAACUUCCAAAACUCAAAAGAUUCUGCAGCUUCAUUGGGAACGUUAUUGAGCUGCCUGAGUUGUUGAAUCUGAACAUUGAGGAUUGCCCUAAUAUGGAAAUAUUCACUUGCAAUUCUAUAUCUAUGUUGCACAGGACAACAAAUAAAGAACCUCUGGAAAUAACACCAAAGGAGAACUUCCCGCUAGCUGACAUACAGCCUCUCUUUGAUGAAAAGGUGAUUGUUAUUAAGUUUUUUUUUUUUCCCUUUGCUUUCAUUCACGUAGAUGUAAUUCUCAUUAGAAUCAAAAUCAAUUUUGUUUAAUCAUCUUUCUGUUGUCUUUACUCUUUAUAUCUAAUUUAACGGUUCUAAUGCUCUUAUUAACUAAAUUUUCACUAUACACUUAUGAAAAUGUCAUCAAAUUAGUUAGAUGAUUGGUAACAAGGGGGAGAACUCCAUCCAUAUUGUCUCUAUUUAGAUCGGAUUUAUGUGUUUCGAGGGUAACUAUUUGAUUUUUAUUUUUUGCUUCCUCUGCAAAUAAAUAGAAUUUGGAUAUAAAAAGUUGUGAUCAAUCUUUUCCAUGAAACAUGCUUGUGAAGACUGCCGAUGUUAGAUAUAUAUUCUUAUCUACAACUUUUUUUUUUAUUUAAUUUUCAGGUUGCAUUCCCCAAGUUAUAUAAGUUAAAACUGACUAGAAUACCCAAGGUGUCGCAUCUAUGGAAGGAAAUUUCCGAAUCCAACAAAGUUUCCAUGGUUUUGAAUACUCUAGUAAUAUCAGAAUGUAGUGAGUUACGAAAAUUAGUACCAUCUUUGUUGCAUUUGGAAUAUCUGAUGACUCUAGAAGUGUCGAAGUGUCACCGGUUGACAAAUUUGUUGACGACCUCAACAACUAAAAGUUUGGUGAAUCUUGAAAUAAUGAAGAUAGCUGAUUGCAAAAUGAUAGAAGAAAUCCUACAAUCACAUGUUCAAGAAGAAGGGAAAGAUUGCAUUGUUUUUCGGAAAUUGAGGUACGUGGGACUUGAUUGUUUGCCAAGCCUAACAAAAGCUCAUGCCUUGUUGAUGGAUGCUGUAGAAGAAGGACUAUAUUGUUGUAGCAACAAGCCUGCAGAAAAUCACAGAAUACUUAUCUGUAUAUGAACAAAAACAAGUCUGAACCAGAGAGAAUGUUGUAGUAACUAUUGCAAAAAUCUAGAUCAAAUACAAACAAAACUGUCUAGAUUGUUCAUGUGCUAACUAAUAAAGUCUACUGCAGUCGAUACUGAACUACCACUAUCAUGUGCAGACAACAGAGUGGCAGGCAGCACAAAAGGGAAUGUGCUCCUAGGAUGCCAAAAAACACAAGUGUCCUAAUGCUUUUUAGUUGCCCAAAUCCCAAGAUAUAAAAGACCAUAUUUUAAGGAAAUACAUCAUCCACGACCGACACAUGCAAAGAGAACAGAAAGAGAGAUUUCAGAGUUGCAAUAGAGGCAUUUUUCGUGUUGAAAAAUGAGAGAUAAUAGAAGAUCAAAGCAUGACGUUUUGGGUCUUUUGUAUCUCAACGUUUUUUCUUGUAUUUGUUUAUUUUGUUCUCUCUCUGAUAAUGUAUUUAAUGGCAGACACUUGUGUUGUUACUGUUUCAAAGCUCAUCAUGAGCUAAACCUUAAUUUAGUUGGGUUUUGAAUAUGCUUAAUGGUUAUUUAAUUUACAUGUGUAUGUUGCUCAGAACCUGUUAUAGCAUUUUGUUUUAACUUUACUUAUUGUAAUUGCCUACCUCGGUUGACUACCUAUUUAGUGGAUAUUAGAUAAGAAGGAGCCUAAAAGGUUUGACUUAGUGGAAUAAAUUAAGAAAUACAUGGUUCUAGAUUAGGAUUCCCAAGUUGAGUUAAUCUCGAUUUGAAUAGGGCCAUGCUUAAUCUAAGAUUAGUGAAGAACUAGAUUUAGGGAUUCACCUUGUAGGGCAAAUAGAGUCUAAAACAUAAAAUGCUAUGUCUAAUGUUAGUUUAAUAACUAAUCACUAUUAGAUUACAUAUAGAUAUAAGAUAUCCAAAAAACGACAGUUGAAGACGCUAUAACAACUGUGUCUCAAUUGAAAGAUAUUCAAUAACCAAUAAGUGAGUUUAGAACCCGACUACCCUUUUGCCAUUUAGUAUAUUUUUUUGUUUGACUUUAGAUUCUCUUUAUUGCAUUCUAUUUGUUGCAUUGUUAAUUUCAUUAGAUCAUUAAUAUCAUCAUUUAUUUUCUUUUAUUUAGUUUAUUAAAAUUGCACUGUUAAGAUUGCUAUAGUAAGUCCUAUAACAUCAAUCCAUGUGGAGACGGUUUUGAUACUCAUCAUUAUAUUAUUUCUUGUGUACACUUGUAUAUUGACACUUUACCAAGUUUUUGGCGCCGUUGCUGGGGAUUGAGUGUAACACCCCAGUCUGAAAUCCAAGGGCAAAUAUGUCCAUAACUCACAUAUGAAUUUAAAUAACCCUUUACAAUCGAAAAAAAUUCAAACCUCCAAUAUAAUAGGCAGCGGAAUAAUUUGAAAAUUUUGUCAAACCAUCUAUCAUCCUCAAUUCAAGUCUACCUUCUCACUCAUUACGAAUCAUUCCUGACUUUUGGAAACUGAAUCACAAUAAACUAUAAUGAGUACAAAACUCAGUAAGCAAAUUAGUUUUCUUAUACUAAAAUACAUCCAUACUUAUACAUAAUGCAAAUGGAUGAUAUGUCAUGAUCUUUUGGAAAUACUAUAAAACAAAUUCAUAAAAGUCUCUUUCUGUCGCUUUCAAACUUUCUCAUUUUCUUUCAAUAAAAUACGUAUCCUACAAUGUGGCACUUUGUGCUGUGCGUGGCACUUUGCACCAUGCGUGGUACUUUGCGGCGCUCUGGCCCUCAAGAGGUGGCCCCCGCAUAGUCUCAAGAGGUGGCCCCCAAUGUAAAAUCUCAUAAAACAAAAAUUCUGUUUGCUAAAAUUCACUUGUUCAUUCAUAGAAAACUCAAUGCAUUUUCGUGCUCAUGCUAAUGAACCAUCACACAUACAUAUGCCCAUGUACAUAAUCAUGCCCAUUACAUAACAACACAUCACAUAAACACAUGAGCAGAGACAUAUAAAUCCAUAUUCGUACAUAUCAAAAUAGGUUUUUCAUACAAGUCAAACAUAUAUAUUAUUUAUUGUGAUUCGUUUUAAAGUCUAGUUUACUUACCUCUUGGUAUCCUCAUGCAACAAAUGCAUAUUGAUAUCAUCAACCUUAAAUCAUCAAUAAAUUUCUCAUAAGAUAUAAUCAAGUCUCAAUCAUAAACUCUAAUGUCCUGAAGUAUCUCAAUUUAAAUGUCCUCAAUAAUCGGCCCUCAAAACAUAACAGUCCAUAUUUCUCCGAUUUUUAAUAAACUAUUCUCUUAUUGGAAGAAUCUAAAAUUUUACCGACCAUAUGCUGACACAUUGAAAGUUCAUUGAUAAAUAUUUCGUAACAUAAUUCCUUCAAAAACUAUUGAAAAUAACUGACGUUUCAGACAUCAUCAAUACUGUCAAACAGUUUUCUAUUUUGAACACACUUGCUUUAAAAAUACAAAACAAUUUAUUGCUUUAUCAUAAAAUCAUGAACAUUUUUAGAAUCAUACUAUACAUAUAUAUAAAUCAUUGGUCCAAAUUUCGUAAUUGUUGAAGAAGUCUAGCUAUGGUAAAAAUAAUUUCGUAAUUUACGUUAUUCACUGAAAUCAUAAAUUUCCAGGUUUUCAGGCUUGAAUUUGAAAAAUCGUAAUUAAUUGAAAUCUUAUCUGAUUAACUUGAAACAAGUUUCAAAACAUUCUAAACGAUAUCUAGUUUAACAUACCCAAAAAUCAGAAUCAAAAUCAACUUGUACAAAUUACUAUGAUUUCCGUAAUAAUUCACUGUCAGCAUAUUUCUGCAAAAUCUUAGAUUUCUACUUCUAUUGCAAUAAUGCUUCUCCACAACAAUUUAAUAGAGACCAAUAAUUAAAACUUACCUCCAAAACUUCUCCCAACAAUAAAAACUUAAUUCCAUGUGUUGCCUAUGGCAGAACUAAGAAGAAGAAGAAGACUUCUUCUUUUUUUCUUUUCUUGAUUUUCUCUCUUGUCUCUCCAUCUCUCUCUCUCUCUCUCUCUCUCUCUUUUCUGUCGUUUUUUUUUUGCAACCGAUCCCUCUUUUCCUCUCUCUCUUAUAAUAAAAAAGACAUCUUGUUCUAUUUAUACUAGGGCAAAAAAGGAUCACUAAAAAUUAAAAAGAGUUAAAUACCCUUAGGAGAUUUGGAAUAUUACAUUGAGUGCAUAUUGUGAGUUUUUAAGUUAAUUUUUUUUCUUUUAAUUUGUUUGUUGUGUUAACAUAAUGCUUUAGCAACCCUUGCAUGCUCAAGUAUAAACCUGUUGAAUUUUAGUUUGAUCCAAAAAUUGAAAGAACUGCAAGGAGGCUAAGAAAAGAGCAUAGAGGUUUAGGAUCUGUUGCAGACAUGGAUGGUUUGUAAAAUGUGGGAGAUUUGAAUCCCCAAGGAGGAAUGAAUCCAAUUAAUGUUCAAAGAGAUAAUCCUCUUCCCAUUUUAGAUCUAGUUAAUGCACAAAGAGUUCAAGAAUGUCAGUACGGGUAGAUUGGUCAAGGGCAACUAGAGAAUAACAACAUUUUCUGCAUGACAGUUGAUAAAGAAAAUGUUGUUAGGGACUAUAUAGUGUUAACCCCUCAAACUAUAAAUCCUGGAAUAGUCAAACCCAAAGUUCAGGCUGCUCAUUUUGAGCUCAAACCAGUAAUGUUUCAGAUGUUACAGAAAGUAGGAUAGUUCAAUAGACUACCAUCAGAAGAUCUUCAUCUUCACCUUAAACUAUUUUUGAGGUGAGUGAUGCUUUCAAGAUUGCUGGAGCAUCACAUGAGGCAUUGAGGCUAAUACUCUUAAUUUUCUUUGAAGGAUCGAGUAAGAGAAUAGUUGAACUCUUUACUACAUGAUUCAAUCUCUACAUGGAAUACCUUAGCUGACAAAUUUUUGAUAAAGUAACCUACCAAGAAUGCAAAGUUGAGGAUGAGAUCACAUUUUUCCAUUAACUUAACGAUGAAAGCUUCUAUGAUGCUUGAGAAAGAUUCAAGGAGUUGUUUAGGAAAUAUUCUCAUGAUGGUAUCCCUUGUUGUAUACAGUUGAAAACUUUCUAUAAUUGUCUAAAUUCAAGCACUAGAUUGAUGGUAAACACUUCAGGAAGUGGGGCCUUGUUAUCUAAGUCUUACAAUGAGGCUUAUGAUAUUUUGAAAAGGAUAGCCAAUAACAACUAUUAGUGGCCAUCUACCAAACAAACUACAAUAAGAAGAAUAAUAGGAGUUUACAGUGCAGAUGCCUUGAUAGCAUUAUCAGCCUAAGUAACCUUAUUGAUAAAUAUGGUAAAGGAUAUAUCCACUGUUCCAGCAACUAUCAACAAAGUUGUUAAGGCAUCAUGUAUUUAUUGUGGAGAAGGAAAUUUAUUUGAUAGUUUUCUUAGAAAUCAUGCCUCAGUCAACUAUAUGGGCAAUUAUAACAGACAGAACCACAUCAACCCUUAUUCAAACACUUACAACCCUGGAUGGAGGCAGCACCCAAACUUUUCAUGGAGCAAUCAGAAUCAGAAUCAAUAUGUUGUAGAAUCUAGUGGACAAAAUAGACUUGCUCAACCAUUUAGAUUUCAUCAGCAAAAUCAAGGGCGAAGAGACACCAACAAUGAUCAACCCAACUCCCUUGAAGCCUUAAUUAAGGAGUACAUUGUGAAGAAUGAAACAUUUAUCUAAAGUCAAGCUAUUUCCUUAAGAGACCUAGAAAAUCAGAUGGGACAAGUUACUAUAGUAUUAGGUAACAGACCUCAAGAUAAUUUACCAGGCAAUACAGAGGACCCAAGAAGAGAAUGGAAAGAGCAUUGCAAAGUAAUUAACUUAAGAUCUAGAAAGGAUGUUCACAUUCUAGUUGGUGUACUAAAAAAAAGAGUUGAGCCCACUUCAAUCUAAGAAAAAACUCAAGUUGAAGAAGAUCCAUAACCCUCUACUUCACAGUACACAGGUGAAAACAGCAAAGCACACCAAUCCAAUACUUUACAAAAAAUGAUUAUCGAAUACCUAUUGAUGAAGAUCUUGCACACUAACCACACCAAUCCAGAACAUGGCAAAAGUGAAGCAGUUUGCACAACCUUCUACAACUCAGCCGUUUAGGCACCCACCACCCUUUUCUUAAAGGUUCAAGUGACAGAAACAUGACAAGCAGUUCAGUAAAUUCUUUGAAGUGUUGAAGCAAUUGUAUAUCAACAUCCUUUUUAUGGAAGGUCUAGAGCAAAUGCCAAAUUAUGUGAAGUUCUUGAAGGAUAUUUUGACAAAGAAAAAAAGGCUAGAAGAACUUGAAAUAGUUUCUCUAACACAAAAGUACAACCACAUGCAUCAGAAUAAGAUACCUCAGAAAUUGAAGGAUUCAGAAAGCUUCACAAUUUCAUGCUCUAUAGGCAAUAAAUACAGUGACAAGACACUUUGUGAUUUAGGAGCCAGCAUUAAUCUCGUGUCCUUAUCUAUAUUUAAGCAAUUGGGUGUUGGAAAGGUCAGACCAAUAAUAGUUACCUUACUACUUGCUGAUAGAUCUCAUGCCUAUCUAGAUUGAAGAUGUACUGGUGAAAGUAGAUGAGUUUAUUUUUGCAGUUGACUUCAUAGUAUUGGAUUUUGAAGCAGAUAAAGAAGUGUUUAUCAUUUUAGGUAGACCUUUCUUGUCUGCUGGUAAGACUCUAAUUAAUGUGUAAAAAGGAGAACCAACCGUGAGGGUUAAUGAUCAGUAAGUUACAUUCAAUGUGCUAAAUGCCAUGAAGAGUCCUGAUGAUGUUGAAGAUUGUAAUUUUGUUAAUGUUGUGGAUUUUACUAUAGUAGAAAGAUUAAACAGUUGCUGCAGCAGAAAGAUUAAACAGUUGCUGCAGCAAAGAAGAAAUCAAGGUUGCAAGAUUUAAAGAACUUGAUGAUAAACCUCAAGGCCUUGAAACAACUGACAUAACAUGGCUAGAAGAAAAACAACCCUUCAAAACUGAGAAGCAAAUUAAAUAUCUUGACCUUCAAAUAGGGAUAUAAAAUAUUCUAUUUCUUUUAUUAAGUCCUCAUAUUUUAGAAUUAAAACUUUUACCUUUACACUUGAAAUAUGCUUAUCUUAGUGACCGUGAUCAACGUCAUGUAAUCAUUUCAUCAUCUUUGAAUGCAGAACAAGAAAAUAGCUUAGUUUUUGUAUUAGGGAAACAGAAGAAGGCCAUUUGAUGGACCAUGACAGAUAUCAAAGGAAUCAGCCUCUCAAUAUGCAUGCACAAGAUUCUACUGGAGGAUAGUUAUGGCAAUUCUCUAAGCAAUUGAAAAGAUUAAAUCCUAUCAUGAAGGAAGUUGUAAAGAAAGAGAUCAUCAAAUGGCUUGAUGUUGGAAUCAUCCACCUAAUAUCAAACACCUCAUGAGUGAGCCCAAUACAAUAUGUUCCAAAGAAAAUUGGAGUGACAGUUGCAGAAAAUAAAAAGAACGAGUUUAUUCUUAUAAGAACUGUAAAUGGAUGAAGAGUCUGUAUAGACUACAUAAAGCUAAAUAAGACCACAAGGAAGGAUCGCUUUCCACUGCCUUUCAUAGAUCAGAUACUGGAUAGACUCGCUAGAAAGGAGUAUUAUUAUUUCUUAGAUGGAUACUCAGGAUACAACCAUAUUGACGUAGCACUAGAAGACCAGGAGAAGACAAAAUUCAUUUUUCCUUAUGGAACCUUUGCCUUUAGAAAGAUGCCAUUUGGCAUGUGCAAUGCUUCACCAACUUUCCAAAUGUGUAUAAUGUCCAUCGUUUCAGAUAUGAUUGAGCAAAUACUUGAGGUAUUUAUGAAUGAUUUGUUUCAGUUUUUGGGGAAUCAUAUGAUGACUAUUUGUAUAAUUUAAAAAAUAGACUUAGAAGAUGUAAAGAGACAAACUUAGUAUUGAAUUCGGAAAAAUGUCAUUUCAUUGUACAAGACGAGGAUAGUCCUAGGCUAUAAACUCUCUAAAAAAAUGAUAGAAGUGGAUAAGGUAAAAAUAGAGGUGAUUAAUAAACGUCUAUUAUCCACUUCAGUUAAAGGCAUAAGGAGUUUCUUGAGGCAUGCUGGAUUUUAUAGAAGGUUUAUUAAGGAUUUCUCCAAAAUAUCAAAACCUUUAUACAUGUUGUUGGAGUGUAACAAACCUUUUAAUUUUGAUGAUGAUUGCUUGAAGGCCUUCGUUGAGUUAAAGAGAGCUUUUGUUACAACACAAGUUGUUGUAACACCUAAUUAGAGUAUGCCUUUUGAGUUGAUGUGUGAUGCUAAUGAUCAUUCGGUUGGAGCAGUGUUAGGGCAAAGAAAAGGCAAGACUUUCCAUUCCAUUUAUUAUGCCAGUAUGACUCUAGCUAAUGCAAAUUCAACUAUACCACAACUGAAAAUGAGAUGCUGACAAUUGUAUUUGUAUUUGAUAAAUUUAGAGCCUAUUUGGUUGGCAGCAAAGUGACUGUUUACAUAGAUCACUCAGCCAUAAAAUAUUUGACUCCAAAGAAAGAUGUCAAACUAAGGCUAAUCAAGUGGAUUCUCUUCCUACAAGAGUUUGACUUAUAGAUCAAGGAUAGAAAAUGAACGGAGAAUUAAGUAGCAAAAUAUCUUUCAAGGCUUGAAGUAGAUGCAAGCACUUUGACCAAGCAGGAUAUCAUAGAAAUAUUUCCUUAUGAGCAAUUGUUCAUAUUGCAGCAUGCACAGAUGCUGCAGUAAUCUGAAUUUCCAUGGUUCACGGAUUUUGUUAAUUUUCUAGAAAGUGGAUUGCCACCACCUAACUUGAGCUACCAGCAAAAGAAGAUAUUAAUUUAUCCAUGAUGUCAGAAGCUAUUAGUGGGAUGAGCCCUACUUGUACAAGAUGUGUUUGUUAACAUAUAUGUUUCCAUAAUAUUGAUUUUGAUGAUAACAAACAAGAUUAAGAAUGAUUAAUCUUUUAAGCUCAAAUUAUUUUUAUACUUUUUAAAUAAAUCAUUAUUUUUACAUUAUAAAAGUUUUAUAUUUAAUGGAAAAAUGAUUUUAUGAAAUUGAUUGUUUUUAUUCUUUUUAAAUAAAUCAUUAUUUUCACAUUAUAAAUGUUUCAUAUUUAAUGGAAAAAAGAUUUUAUGAAAUUGGUUGUUUUUCAAAGUUUAUGGUUUAAUUGAAAGAAUUUUGAAAACUUUGAAAUAAACAAGUAUUGCUUGAAAUUUUGGAGAAGGACUUAUUUGAAAAGUGUCAUAGCUUUUUGGGCUAUAUCAUAAUUUCAAAAAGUUUUGGGAUUAACAAAGCAUUACUUAGAAAUUCUGAAAUUGGACCUAUUUGCAAAGUUUCAUGACGUUUUGGGCCAUAGUAUAGUUUUAUAAAGUUUUGGGGUCAAACCAUAAUUUCAGAAAAUAGUGCACUGUGAAGGUUACUGUAGCAUCCGGCUUAUCGGAUAUAAAAACCAAAAAACUGGAUACGGGGCAGAAUGUAUCCAGAACGUAAACGGCUUACCGGAUUUCGUAACCGGCAAGCCGGAUAGGCAAAAUUCAAAUUUUUGCCUUAAUGGUAACAUAAAUCCGGCUUACCGGAUUCCAAAAACGGCAAACCCGAUACGUCCAGAAUGUGCAUAACGGCUAGUUUUUGAGUUCAAACUAUAUAAACUCAAAACCAAUUCAUUUUUCGUAAUCCAAGCAAGCAAGAACAAGUGCACACAACAUAUAUUAAGCUUCAAUUUCGUAACUCAUCAUUUAUUAAAUCAUCUUUGUUCUUCAAUUUGUAUAUCCACUCUUAAAGAGAGAUUCAUUGUUGUAUUUUUCAUUUCUCAUUAAAUUGUGAGUGUACAAGUGUGAGAAACACUUGGAGUGAAGAGAUUGGAGAGAUAAUCUCUUGUUGUAAAGGUUCAUUGACACCUUAAAGUCAAUUGUAAACGUUUGAAGCCUUGGAAAGGCUUGGAUAGUGAAAUCCUCAAGCCCGGUGUGCUUGGAGGCGUGGACGUAGGCGGGGAUUGCCGAACUACGUAAAAAUCCUUGAGUUUGCUUUCUCUUCCCUUGCUCAUUUAUUAUUGUGCUUUCAUUGAAUUUAUUGUUUUCGAAUUUAUUAAGGAAUUAGAUUGGAUUUGUGUGUGGUUUGCUUAGCUUAAUUUUUAAAAAUCCAAUUCACCCCCCCUCUUGGAUUGCCUAGUUAGUAUUUCAUUUGGUAUUAGAGCGAGGUGCUCUUGUGUAAACUUAACCGUCUAGAGUUAAAGAUCCAUGGAAACCCAUAAUGACUCAAUCUUUAGGGAAGGACAAUCCACAAUUAGACCACCGUUCUUUGACGGUAAUGACUACCCAUAUUGGAAAACUAGGAUGAGAAUUUAUUUACAAGCUUUAGAUUAUGAAAUUUGGGAAAUUGUUUGUGAUGGUCCAUUUAUGCCUUUGACUAAAAAUGAAGUCGGGGACGAUAUUCCAAAACCUUCACAGGAAUGGAAUGAAUUGGAAAAGAAAAAAUCUACUCUAAAUUCCAAAGGUAUGAAUGCCUUGUUUUGUGCACUAGAUAAGAAAGAAUUUCAUAGAGUUUCUAGUUGUGAGAGUGCUAAUGAAAUUUGGCACAAACUUGAAGUUGUUUAUAAAGGCACAAAUCAAGUGAAAAGAGUCUAAAAUUAGUAGGUACACUCGGCAAUAUGAAUUAUUCCAAAUGGAACAAAAUGAGAGUGUGUAUUCUAUGUAUACUAGAUUUACGGACAUAGUGAACACUCUAGGAGCCCUAGGAAAGACUUUUUCAAAUAGCGAUAAGGUUACGAAAACUAUUAGGUCGCUACCUAAGGAAUGGAGACCAAAAAGGACUGCUAUUGAGGAAGCUAAGGAUUUAAAUAUCUUACCUAUUGAUGAUUUAAUUAGUUCUCUUAUUUCUUAUGAGGAAGACUUGGCAGCCGAAAGAGGCAAUAAGGAGAAGAAGAAAAACAUUGCUCUCAAAGCCUCGAAACAAGAGAGUGAUGAGGAAAGCGAGCUGGAUGAGGAGGAGAUGAAUAUGUUGGCUAGGAGGUUCAGAAAACUCUUUAAGAAAUCCGGUGAGCGAAGAAAAUUUAAAGACCUCAAGAACUGAAAGGAGAAGAAGGAAUUAAUCAAAUGUUAUGAGUGCAAGAAGCUUGGCCAUAUAAGAACGGAAUGUCCUCUUCUCAACAAGCUCAAGAAGAAAGCAAUGGUUGCCACAUGGGAUGAUAGCGAUGAGGAAACAAGUGAUGAUGAAGAGAAUCAAGAAAUGACAAAUCUAGCUCUCAUGGCAAUUGGAGAUGAAUCGGAUGAUGAACUUGAUGAGGUAAAUGAUCUUUUUACUUAUGAUGAAUUAUAUGAUGCUUUUAAAGAAUUGCAUGAUAAUUGGAUAAAAAUUGGUAAAAAGAAUGCAUGUCUUAAAAAGAAAAUGGUAGAGCUCAAAAAUGAAAAUGAAUCUCUAUGUGCAAAGAUUACAUGCCUAGAAUUAGAGAAUAAAACAUUGCAUGAUAGAGUUGCAUUAUUUGAGAAUUCUAGCACUUUACAUGAGCACUUAGAGUCACACAUGAAUGACUUGAAAAAUGAGAAUGAAAUGCUUAGAAAGAAGAGCAAUGAGUUAAAUGAGAUUGUUUUAAAAUUUACAGAUGGACAAAAGAUGUUGGAUAACUUGAUUAAUUCUCAAAAAUGUGUGUUUGAUAAAGGAGGUAUUGGUUAUAAGCCAAAUUUGAAACAAAAAUAUUAUAAAAGUUAUUUUGUUAAAACUACCUCCAUUAAUAAUCAAAUUGUAUGUCAUUAUUGCAAUCAAAAUGGUCAUAUGAAGAAUAGAUGUCCAAUUAAAAGAAAUGUGUAUUAUGGAGUAAAAUGUGUUUGGGUUCCAAAAGGAACCAUUGCUAACACUCAAGGACCCAAGAGCAUUUGGGUACCAAAGGGCACAACUUGAAUAUUCUUUUGUAUGUACCACAAACAAGGAAUGGUGGAGAGUUCCUUGAUGAAGCUUGUGAGGAUAAUCAUUUGAGCAUGAUCUAGGAGAAAAAGAUGAGGCAAGAUGAUUUAAUUGUUUUGGUAAUAAUUCUUGCCAUAUUAAUUUUGUUGAAUGGAUCAUGAUAAAUGGAUAAUAGCUUGAAUUUGUGAAAGUAUACUUGUAUGUUUACAUGAUAGAAUUAUCAUUGUGUUUAACAUUGAGUGCUUUAUCAUAAUGCAUGGUUAUAUAUAUAAGAUGAUAGCUUGUCAACUCAUCAUGAUAGCUUUGUUUGAUUUUGAUGAUUAUGUAAUGCCUAAGCUUGAUAAAUGAAUGAUAUGCUUGAAUUAUUAAUCUUUGAAUGCUUAUAUGUUUCAUGAUUGUGUAAAAUAUAUACAUGAUGAAUGAAUUAUAUGUGUAAAUUCUUGUGUCGUUAAUUGUGUUAUAUCAUCAUUCACUUAUAAAAUUGACAUCAUUGGUUGAUAUGAUUUCAUAUGUUUGGUCUUGUAUGCAUUUAUGUCUCAUGUAUUAAAUGACUUAUUGAAAAGUUUUAAAUCUCGAAAUGAUUUAAAAUUAAUCAAUUUUUAAAGCCAAAAAUAAAAUGGUGAGUGUAAUACAAGUAUAAGAGCUAGCCAAUAUUCAAUUAGAGCCAAAUAGAUUUCCAAGUCCAAACCGGUAAGCCAAAUCAUCUUUUGUUGCUCUCGGGUUAUCAUUCGGAUAACCGGAUUUUCAAUCCGGAAAACCGGAUUUGCUAAGCCUUCUCUCUGCCUCAAAACCGGAUAACCGGUUCUUAAAAUCCGGAAAACCGAAUUCAAGAGGAAACUUUUUGCCUCAAACCGGACUACCGGUUAGCAAAACCGGAAAGCCGGAUUCGCUUGAAAAGCUUACUGGAACAAAACCGGAUUUCCGGUUAUGCAUAUCCGGCACGUCGGUUUCGGGUUUCAUCUUUCUGCUCACAACCGGCUAGCCGGUUAGUGAAAUCCGGCAAGCCGGAUUCGUGAGCUUUUAGCUUUGUUCUUCCUCUUCCUCUCAUUCGGCUUUCCGUUUCUCUCUCUCUCACUAAAAGCUGAUUACUCCUCACUUGAUUUCAUUCCAAAAUCCAUCAAUCUCAUCCUUUUUCACUUCAAAUCCUUUAUGCUUGUAUUUGAACACACCAACAUUUACUAUUUUUUUUGGAUUAUAUGGAUGUUUGCUAUGAUUUUGGAUUAUAUGUCUAUUUUGAAUUAUAUGGAUUUGAUAUAGUUAUAUGUUAUGUUCUUUACUUAUGUUUUGGAUAAUAUGCAUUUUGAAUUUUUUUGUUGUCCAAAGGGGGAGACAAAAUAGUAUAUCAUUUCGAUGUUAUCAAAAGGAGGAGAAUAAUAUGCUUUUUGAGUAAUUGUUUUGAUAAUUGGUAUUUGAUUAUGAUGAUGAUUUUGAUGAAUUUGAGAUAAUGAUGAUUUGAUUACAUGGGUGUUUUAUAUGAUAAUUUCAUGUUAUGAGUUGUUGAUUUGGUAAUUAAUGGAAUAAUGGUUCAUGAUAUUUUAGUGUGAUUAUUUGUGUAUGGAGUUGGCUUUUAUCAUGAUUUAUAAUAAUUUGGAUGUGAUAUUACUAAUCUUGUAUUUGAGGUGAUGCUUGUUGUUAGGGAGAGAUUUUGUUGAAAUUUCUAUUCGGACAACAUUGGUAACAAAUUUGCUACUCUUAUUCUUUUCCUUUAAGUUUUAUUUUUGAUGAUGAAGGGGGAGAAGAAUACAUGUUUUUAAAUUUAUAAAAAUUUACUACUCUUUUUUCUUUGCCAAUUAAGUUUUCUUUUUGAUGAUGAAGGGGGAGAAAAAUCCAUGUAUUUAAAUCGUUAAUUUAGCUAAUUGGCAAAUUGUAAAAGAGGAUUAUAUUUAGGGGGAGCAAUUGUGGAAUCAUUCUUUAAAUACAUGAAAUGUUUGUCAUCAUCAAAAAGGGGGAGAUUGUUAACAUAUAUGUUAACAUAAUAUUGAUUUUGAUGAUAACAAACAAGAUUAAGAAUGAUUAAUCUUUUAAACUCAAAUUAUUUUUUAUACAUUUUAAAUAAAUCAUUAUUUUUACAUUAUAAAUGUUUUAUAUUUAAUGAAAAAAUGAUUUUGUAAAAAAUGAUUGUUUAAAUACAUGAAAUGUUUGUCAUCAUCAAAAAGGGGGAGAUUGUUAACAUAUAUGUUUCCAUAAUAUUGAUUUUGAUGAUAACAAACAAGAUUAAUAAUGAUUAAUCUUUUAAGCUCAAAUUAUUUUUAUACUUUUUAAAUAAAUCAUUAUUUUUACAUUAUAAAGGUUUUAUAUUUAAUGGAAAAAUGAUUUUAUGAAAUUGAUUGUUUUUAUUCUUUUUAAAUAAAUCAUUAUUUUCACAUUAUAAAUGUUUCAUAUUUAAUGGAAAAAUGAUUUUAUGAAAUUCGUUGUUUUUCAAAGUUUAUGGUUUAAUUGAAAGAAUUUUGAAAACUUUGAAAUAAACAAGUAUUGCUUGAAAUUUUAGAGGACUUAUUUGAAAAGUGUCAUAGCUAUUUGGGCUAUAUCAUAAUUUCAGAAAGUUUUGGGAUUAACAAAGCAUUACUUAGAAAUUCUAAAAUUGGACCUAUUUGUAAAGUUUCAUGACGUUUUGGGCCAUAGUAUAGUUUUAUAAAGUUUUAGGGUCAAACUAUAAUUUCAGAAAAUAGUGCACUGUGCAGGUGACUGUAGCAUCCGGCUUACCGGAUAUAAAAACCAGAAAACUGAAUAUGGGGCAGAAUGUAUCUAGAACGUAAACGGCUUACCAGAUUUCGUAACCGGCAAGCCGGAUAGGCAAAAUUCAAAUUUUUUCCUAACGGUAACAUAAAUCCGGCUUACCGGAUUCCAAAAACGGCAAACCCGAUACGCCCAGAAUGUGCAUAACGGCUAGUUUUUGAGUUGCAUAACGGCUAAUUUUUGAGUUCAAACUAUAUAAACUCAAAACCAAAUCAUUUUUAGUAAUCAAAGCAAGCAAGAACAAGUGCACACAACAUAUAUUGAGCUUCAAUUUCGUAACUCAUCAUUUAUUAAAUCAUCUUUGUUCUUCAAUUUGUAUAUCCACUCUUAAAGAGAGAUUCAUUGUUGUAUUUUUCAUUUCUCAUCAAAUUGUGAGUGUACAAGUGUGAGAAACACUUGGAGUGAAGAGAUUGGAGAGAUAAUCUCUUGUUGUAAAGGUUCAUUGACACCUUGAAGUCAAUUGUAAACGUUUGAAGCCUUGGAAAGGCUUGGAUAGUGAAAUCCUCAAGCCUGGUGUGCUUGGAGGCGUGGAUGUAGGCGGGGAUUGCCGAACCACGUAAAAAUCCUUGAGUUUGCUUUCUCUUCCCUUGCUAAUUUAUUAUUGUGCUUUCAUUGAAUUUAUUGUUUUCGAAUUUAUUAAGGAAUUAGAUUGGAUUUGUGUAUGGUUUGCUUAGCUUAAUUUUUAAAAAUCCAAUUCACCCCCCCCCCUCUUGGAUUGCCUAGUUAGUAUUUCAGUGUUCAGACUAGAUAAUUAGAAGAUAUGUCCCUGACGAAGAGAUUUCAAGCAUUUUAUAGUCUUAUCUUGCUGCAGUAUAUGGUAGACACUUUGGAGGACACUAAAUAGCAGUAAAAGUUUUUCAAUCAGGUUAUUACUAGCCCUCCAGCUUUAGAGAUGCUUACAAGUUUGUUAGUGCUGUGAUAGUUGUCAAAGAGCAUGAACCAUUUCUAAAAAACAUGAAAUGCCACUGACCAAUAUUUUAAAAGUUGAGCUUUUUGAUAUAUAAGGGAUAGACUUUAUGAAGUCGUUCUCACAAUCUUUUAGAAACUUAUAUAUCUUAGUUGUUGUGGACUAUAUGUUGAAAUGGGUAGAAGCUACAGCAUUGCCAACAAAUGAUGCCAAGGCAAUGGCAAAUCCUUUAUAGGAAUAUUUUCACAAGAUUUGACACCCCAGAGUUGUCAUCAGUGAUGAAAGAAGCCAUUUUUGCAACAGGAUAUUUGCUGUAGCAUUGGCUAAGUAUAAGAUCAAGCUUAAAGUUGCUACAUCAUAUCAUCCACAAACGAGUAGUCAGGUAACAUUGUCCAAUAGGGAGAUCAAAAAGAUUUUAGAAAAAGAAGCGAAUCUUAGUAGAAGGGAUUGGUUUACUAGACUAAAUGAUUCUCUAUGGGGUUACAGAACUACUUACAAGACAUCACUUGGCAUGUCUCCAUACAAACUUGUUUAUGGCAAAGCUUGCUAUUUGUUGUUAGAACUGGAGCAUAAAGUAUAUUAGGCAGUUAAACAACUGAACAUGGGUAUGCAUGCUGUAACAGAGCAAAGGAGGCUACAACUUUUUGAGCUAGAUGAGUUGAGGUUAUUCUUCUAUGAAAAGGCAAGAAUCUAUAAGGAGAGAACCAAGCAAUGGUAUGACAAGAAAAUCCAGUAAAGAGAACUCAUUACAGGCCAACAAUUAUUGCUUUACAACUCUAGACUGAAGCUUUUCCAUGAAAAUUUAAAGUCUAGAUGGUUAGGAUGCUUCAAACUCGUCAAGGUUUAUCUUUAUGGAGUUGUUAAUCUUAAAGAUGAAAGAACUGGUUAAGAAUUCAAGGUUAAUGGGCAUAGAGUGAAGCAUUAUAUGGGAGCUAAGGUGAACAACCUAAACGAGGAUCCGGUUUGAGUAAACAAGGAAGGUGAGAAUGAAGAACCUAAAACCAAGUGCUAAUUAGAAGGGAACUAAAUGAGGGGAAGUUUAUUUUGAAUUUUUAAUCACUUUAAUUUCACUUUUGUUGUUAUUAAGUUUAUUUCUCUAUUUUGUUUUAAUUUAUGCGACUAAUUUCUAUGUUUUUUUUGUCCUUCUCCCUCUCUUUUUGAAUGUUUAAAAUUUUUAAAAUCUUUAAAUUAAUUUUAUCUCUUUCUCUCUCUAUUAUCUUUCUUUAUAAAUUUAAGCUUUUCACUGUUUCACUUUUCACUACCAAUCUCUCUUCCUCUACUGUAAUUUUUAAAAUUAUGCUCUCUAUUUCUCUCUCUCUCUCUCUCUCUCUCUCUCUCUCUCUCUCUCUCUCUCUCUUACACACACUCAAAGUCCCAAUCUCUCAUUCUAACGAAACUCCUUUAAGUGUUGCAGCAAUACUGAGAGUCAAGGCACCUACUAAAAGGUUGAAGGACUAAAAAAGAUUCCAAAAUCACAAAGUUGAAGAGAAGUAUAAUAAGUCCAUAAGAUCUCGUAUAAUUUUAGAAGAGAAUGGUUUUGAAAUUUGUUGAACAACCCACUGGCCUUAUCAGCAUCAUUCUCAUAACUGCUAUAAAAAGGGGGUGGAUCAAAUGAUCCAAGUUGUAAAGGAAUUUUAUUCUAACUUGCUGGAGCAAAUCCAAAUUCCUUAAGACUCUAGGGUGAUAAAUGUCUUUUAUGGUUUGCCCCUACUAUUAAUUGUGAAUACGCUGAAUUUAUUAAGAGCAUAACUAUUAAGAAAUAGAGGGAGAUGUUUAAAGCAUUAAUUGUGGAAGGAAGUGAGUAGGUUAAUGAAGAAGCUGGGAUUGUUAAUAGGAUUGGCCUUAAAUUGAUUAUAAAGGUUUGGGUGAACUUUAUAAAGUCUAGGCUUAUGCCCACCACGGCACACCACAACAAUGUCAAUGCUAGAGUGAAAGGAUGGACAAUUGAUGUUGGGAAAGUGAUUGAGCAAGAAAUUAGAGACUGUGCUACAAAAAAAAAAAAAAAAUCAGCUGUCUUUUUAUUCCCCUCACUCAUCAUUGGGAUUUAUGAGGCCUUUGGUGUCAAAAUUUGUUGACAAUGAUGAGAGGGUUAAAAAUGAAAUGGCCCUCACAGUAAGAAGAAUAGAGAAGAUUGUAGGAGAAUCAACUGGUACAACAACCCAAAGCAUCCAGUUGUAAGAAAAUUAAUAAAAGCCACUACAUUUGGGAAGAUUCUGAAAGAUUUGAGUGACAACUUAAAUGCAUGGAGAGAAGAUCCAAAAGAGUUAAAUCAGAGGCUUUAGGCUUACUUGCUGCAUCAAGAAGCUCAAAAACACCAGUUUGUAGUUUAUAUACAGAGCAAGAAUGUAAACUUCCCAGAGUCUCUAUUGUAGCAGUACAAUUUCCACAAAGCAACAGAGACUGUUCCAGCAAAUGAUGAAAAGGAUGAAAGUGAAAAAGAGGAAAAAGAUGAAAAAGGAGAAAAAAGUGAAAAAGAUGAAGAUGAAGAAGAGACUGAUGAGAAGUAGGAAGAGGAGCUACCAGCAAUAACUCCUAAAAGCUAUGGCAAACAGAAGAUCUUGCUUGAUGAAAAUCAAAAUGAUAAUGAUGCGGCCAUUUAAGAGACCAUUAACAAGUCUGCAAUGACAGAAGGAGAAAAGAAAAGGUUAAAGGAGCUCAAUGUCUACAUAACUGCUAAGGAACUUGCAACAACACCUCGUUCAGCAUUAGCAACAAAGAAGUCUCCCAAGAAAUCUCUAGUCAAAAUUCCCACAAUCUCCAAUAAAAGAAAAAGAGCACAAAUCACUAAAGUAGAGAUAGUUUAUGGAUAAGGGUUGAAAUUCUAUCAUAACACUUAGAUUUGGAUUAAGUUUAAUGAAUAUGUUGUAGCAAACCAAGCUGGGUAGUUUAGAAAAAUUUUCAAGAAUCUAAGGAUAAAAAUAGCUCUAGUUUGGGGGAAAUUAGGAAAAUUUUCAAAGUUAUUGCAAAUUGUACUGGAAGUAGAAUAAUUUUUUCUUCAAUGACUUAGUUGCUGAGUAACCAGGGCUGUGUUUGUAACCCAUAUCCAAACUUGAGUAAAAAGACAGUAAGAGUUAUGAGCAUUGCUGUAGCAACCCAAAAAGAAGAAAAAUCCUCUAUUUAGGAAUCUGAAUAGCUAGGUCUGUUCAUGAACCUCAUAUUCAGCCUUGAGUUAAAGAUAUAUAAAGAUAAGACCAUGGUUGUAGCAUCUUAGAUGCUUUUGUUGUAGCAGCUCUGAUUUGUGUAUUGAUUAAGUAAUUGGGUUCCAUCAUUACAAGUGAUAGGCAUUCGCAUAAAAAGAUUGAUUUUACUCUGAUGGGCCUCAUAAUAAAAAAAAAUUGAUGAAUGUUGUAGCACAAUUUGUAGUUCUUUAUGACCCUUGUCCCUUAUAAAUAAAAAUGUUUUUAUUGUUGUUAUGUUUGAGAUGCAUUUGAUGCUUGAGUGAUUCUGAAGCAACUCUGAAACUUGAUCAAAGUGACACAGACACACACACUGGAUAGAAUGAAGCCUAAGUCUAGAACUAGAACUGUUGAUGGUAAUGUUUAAGAAUGAAGUCUGAGGGUUAAUGAAUUAGAGUAAUCUAAAUAGCAGAGCUAAGUAUCCUCAUGCUUUUUGGUCCUUAAUCCCAAGAUAUAAAAGAGCACAUUUUAAAUAAAUGCAUCAUCCAUGACCGUCACAUGCAAAGAGAAUAAAAAGAGAGAUUUCGGAGUUGUAAUAGAGGUAUUUUUCGUGUAGAAGAAAAAGAGAUGACUAAAGAUUAAAGCGUGACAUUUUCAGUCCUUAGUAUUUUAACUUUUCUUUUAUUUGCUUGCUUUGUUCUUUCUUUGAUAAUUUAUUUAAUGGUAAACACUUGUGUUGUUACUAUUUCAAAGCUCAUCAUGAGCUAAACCUUAAUUUAGUAGUUAUUUAAUUUACAUGUUUAUGUUGCUUAGAAUCUGCUGUAGUAAUUUGUUUUAACUUUACUUAUUGUAAUUCCAUAUUUCACGUUGACUAUGCAUUUAUUAGAUACUAGCUAAGAAGGAGCCCCAAAAUAACUUGACUUAGUGGAACAAAUUACGACAAUACAUGGUUUUCGAUUGAGUUUUCCAAGUUGAGUUAAUCUCGAUUUGAAUAGAGUCAUGCUUGAUUUAAAAUUAUGAAGAACUAGAUAUAAGGAUUCAUCGUAUACAACAAUAGAGUCUAAAAUGUAUAAUGCAAUGUCUAAUGUUAAUUUACCAAAUAGUCACUGUUAGAUUGCAUAUAGAUAUAAGAUAUCCAAAAUGCGACCGCUGAGGAUACAUUAUAGAUUCUGUCCAAUUGUGUAGUAGAUGUUGUAGCAACUGUGCCUCAAUUAAAAGAUAAUCAAUAACCAAUAAGUGAGUUUAGAUCCCAACUACCCCUUUGCCAUUGAGUAUAUCUUUGUGUUUGACUUUAGAUUCUCUUUAUUGCAUUUUGUUUAUUGCUUUAUUAGUUUCGUUAGAUCAUUAAUUUCAUCAUUAAUUUUUUUAUUUAAUGUAGUAAAAUUACACUGUUAAAUUUACUAUAGCAAGUAAUAUAACAUUAAUCUCUAUGGAGACGAUCUUGAUACUCAUUAAUGUGCUCCAAAGUUUUAUUUGUGCGUUUGAAAUGCAAGAAACCAAAGUCUCAACAGUUUAAGCCUGCCAACUUUUGAAAUAUGCAUUUUUAUCAAUAGUACGUCAAGAAACUAAAGCAUGCCAACAUUUGAAAGAUGCAUUUCCACAGUUAAGGUUGCCAGUAGUUCGACAAAUUGUCCGCUGGGCAAAUUAUUAACCAUUGUGUUAACUCCACAAAAUUCUUGUUGGACUAGAUAUGACGCCAGUCCUUUUGUUGACUCUUUCAAUGCAAUGUUGGGUCCUUUAGAAAAAAGCUAUUUCUACUUGUUAACGCAACUGUAGAAAGAAGUUUUUUGUUCCUGGUCUUGAGGUCCCAACAGCAGACAUUAAAUUAUUGCCUUUUCAAUUCUGAGUUGUCUUCAAUUAGAUGCAUUAUGCUAGACUAGUAAUUGUUUUAAAAAAGAAAGCUUCAUAGUGAGAAGCUGAUUUUUUAAGGAAGGAUAAGUUUAUUCUUACCUGAAAGUGAAUGUUCCACUGAAGAAAACACGGCUGGUGCCUGGAAGGAGAGCUAGUUCAGGAUGAAAGACAGGCAAUGAUUAUAUAUUUGAAAAGAGAGAUGAUAAAAUCAAGUUUGCAUGGGGCAGGUAAAGCAUGGCAUUAAUCAGGCUCUCUGCACUUUAGGAGUGUAGAUAAUCAAUCAAAGGCCAUCAAUCAACUCUAUUUUGUUUUUUUUAAUAUUAUAAUCAAACAAAUGUUAGCCUUUAAUUGGCAUCCAAUUGUUCAUUGUCUUAUAUUAGGAUAUAAGCUAAAUUCAUAAGAGGAUCCCUCUACAUAUAUAUUUCAUGUGCAUAAGGUGUAUGAAUAAUGUUUUCUGUAUGCUUUUGCUACUCUGUUAGUAGUCUGUUUAAGGCCCAUUUCUGAUUAUCUAAUAUCUAUGUUCAUGAUUUGUUUCGUGAUGUUGGUCUGUCAUUUGGUUUUUAGUUUUUCCCAGAGGCAAAUGAAGUCAAAUUUGCAAGAACAUCGGUCUUUGAAGGAGCAUCAUUUAAGUUGGACUCUCUAACAAAACCUUCAUUCUUUGAGAAUUUUGGAUUCACUGAGAAGGUCAAAAUGGCAGGCCGUGUGAAGCCGGAAGAUGAAUUGUUUCUAGUGGCCUAUCCAUAUUUUAAUGUCAAUGGUAGUCUUACACCUUGUCUUCUCAUUGAUAUUCAUUCCUUAAGGUCAUUAAUUUUGCUUUUCUUUUGUCUUGUAGAAAUGCUUGUGGUUGAAGAGCUUUACAAAGAAGCUAUAUUCAAUACUGCCCGGAAACUGAUUAUAUUCAAUGGAGAACUUGACCAGAUAAUGUCUGGGUGUAUUAUUCACCAUUCUUUCAUUCUUAUUGUACUUUCUGUAAAUUUAGUAUGAUUUUGAUGCUAUAUAAUAGUUUCUAGAUGCCCGCCCAUUGAAUUGCUUAUUUACAACUUUUUGGUAUAUUAUAGCAGAUUUGUUUUAUAGCUUAUAGCAGAUUUUUUUUAUAGCUUAUAAAAGAUCAACUUAUGUGCUGAGUUCAAUCAUUAUUCCAUAAACUUUUUCUGUACCUAUUUUCACAUGGUAUCAAAGCUAGACUCCCUUUCUUUUUGAUCUCUUUCCCACCAUGUCUGACUAAUCUUCUAAAACCACAGUCACCUAAAAAAGACUAGAACAAAAAAUUUUUGAUUCUGAAUCUCAUUCUGUCCAUAUUACAACUAUCCGGCUGAAUGAAGGAAAUUUUCAAAGAUGGUCUCAGUCAGUUAGAAUGCAUAUUAGGGGAAGAAGGAAGAUUGGUUAUCUUACUAGAGAUGUUAAGGCUCCUGAAAUAUCUGAUCCCUCUUAUGGUGUAUGGGAUGACGAAAAAUCCAUGAUUAUGGCAUGGUUAGUCAACUCCAUGGAUGAAGACAUUUGUGCAAAUUAUAUGUGCUACUCUACUGCAAAGAACUCUGGGAUAAUGUGAGUCAGAUGUACUCUGACAAUGGAAAUUAGUCUUAAAUCUAUUAGUUGCAGCUUGCUCUUGGAGAUAACCAUCAAAGAGAUUAUAGGAUAACAAAAUACUUCAAUACUCUAAAGAGAUUGUGGCAAGAUCUGGACUUAUUCAACAACUACGAGUGGAAGAGCACGGAAGAUUUUAAACACCAAAAACAAACUAUCAAUAAUGAGCGAAUCUUGAAGUUCCUAGCUAGGCUCAAUGUUGAAUUGGUAAGAGGAAGAAUUAUUGGGAGAAAGCCACUUCCUACUCUUGAGGAUGUUUUCUCUGAAGUAAGGAGAAAAAAAAUUCGUCGAGGUGUUAUAUUGGGAAAAAGGAACUCCAUUGUCUUUGUGGAAAAAUCUGCCCUUGUUACAGCAGAUGCUAAUGCUACCUGCUCCUUCACUCAACAGCAACAAAAACCUCGAGUAUGGUGUGAUUACUGUAAUAAACCAUGUCAUACUCGGGAGGCUUGCUGGAAACUCCACGGAAAGCCUACAUAAUGGAAAAACAGCAAGCAUAGCCGUGCGUCUACCAAUAAAGUGGAGGAUAUAGAAAAAAAUCUUAACGAGGAGCAAAUUGAUCAUCUCAUAAAGCUGCUGACUUCUAAUCCUCCACCUGGUACUCCUAGUGGUUCACUAGCCUAAACAUGUAGUAUUAUUAAUGCUCUAUUUAGCCACUCAUCUACUGCACCAUGGAUUAUUGAUUCGGGUGCUUCUGAUCAUAUGACCAUCAUUUCUAGUUUAUUUGAUUCCUAUUAUCCUUGUCCUAGUAACAAAAAGGUAAGAGUUGCUUAUGGAAACUUAUCUUCCAUAACUGGAAAAGGAUCAAUAAAAAUCUUUGAAACCAUUGAGCUUAAUAAAUGUGCUACAUGUCCCUAAACUUUCUUGCAAUCUGUUACUUGUCAAUCAAUUAGCCAAAGAUUCUAAUUGUUGUGCUGUCGUUUUUUACUCCCAUUGUGAAUUUCAAGACAGGGAUUUGGGGACGAUGAUUGGCAGUGCUAGUUUGCGAGAAGUUCUUUACUAUUUUGAUGACUACUUAUCAAGGAAUAAACAAGCUCAAGGUUUGAGCAAUAGGAUUAGUUCAAACUCUGCUAGGGAUCAAAUAAUGCUUUGGCACCUUAGACUAGGACACCCUACCUUUCCUUAUUUGAAAUAUUUGUCUCCAGAUUUAUUUAAAAAUGUUGAUUGUACUACUUUUCAGUGUGAAAGUUGUUUUUAAUCUAAAAGUCAUCGAGUUUCAUAUAAAGCACUUACUUAUUGUGCCUCAAAACCAUUUUAUUUAAUUCAUAGUGAUGUUUGGGGACCCUAAAAAAUCAUUACUUUAACUGGCAAAAAAUGGUUUGUAACAUUCAUAGAUGAUCAUACGCGGCUUCAUUGGGUUUAUUUAAUGAGAGAAAAAUCUGAAGUUGAGGGUUAUUCAAAGAUUUUUAUAACAUGGUUGAAAAUUAAUUUCAAACAAAAAUAAGCCUACUCGAUACAGAUAAUGGUCUGAAUAUUUUAAUAAUUAUCUAGAGGUGUUUUGUAAGGAAAAGGGUAUAAUUCACACAUCCACUAGUCGUGAUACUCCACAACAAAAUGGAAUUGCGGAAUGAAAAAACCGCCAUUUACUUGAAGUUAGUCUGGCUAUCAUACUCUCUAUGCAUGUUCCUAAAUAUUUGUGGGGUGAUGUUGUUUUAACAGCAUGUUAUUUGAUUAAUAGGAUGCCUACCCGUGUUUUAAAGUAUCAAUCACCUUUAGAAUACUUUACACUUAUAUAUCCUUCUAGUAGGAUUACCUCGAAUAUUCAGUUAAGAGUCUUUGGGUGCACUGUAUUUGUUCACCUUCCUAACCAUCUUAGAUCUAAAUUGGAUCCUAGAUUUGAAAAUUGUGUUUUCUUGGGCUAUGCUCCUAAUAAAGAGGCUACAAAUAUUUCAAUCCUCAAACAAAGAAAUUCCAUGUCAGUAUGGAUGUUAUAUUUCUCGAAAAUCAACCUUUUUUUGGCCAAAAUUCUCUUCAGGGGGAGAAAGAAAAUAGUGAAGAUCAUUUUUGGCAUACUUAUACACCUAUGCCUAAUUUGUUUUUACCUGAUCUGAGCACUUCAAUUCAAACUCAAAAAACUAAUAUUUCUAAUAAUGAAAACUUAGGAAACUUUGAACUACAAGAACCAAGUGUUAAUGUACCAGAGACAGGGGGAGAAAUAUUACAAGAUAAAAUUCCACCACCAAAGCUUCGUGUUUAUACUCGACUAAGGUAUCAUCACAGCAAUAAAGACCCUCCCAUAAACUUGGUACAACCUCAAUUGUCGCCUCCAAGCACUGAUUCCUCAUAAAAUUUAGGUAACAUUUCUUCUCCUAAAAAUUCCAGCACUUUUUUUUUCCUGAUCUUGACUUACCCAUAGCACAUAGGAACGAAACCCGAACCUGUACUAAGCACCCCAUUGCUGGAUAUGUUUCCUAUGAAAAGUUUUCCAAUAAACGAAGAGCCUUUACCACAAAAAUCUCUCAGAUACCAAUUCCUAAAGCCAUAAAAGAAAAAUUGGACAAUGGUUUGGUCUGCAUGCUGAACAUUCCUACAGAUGAGCAAAUUGCUAAUAUACUCACCAAGGGACUACCUAAGAAACAUUUCGAGAAAUUGGUUUGCAAGCUAGCCUUGAAAGACAUUUUUAUACCAGCUUGAGGGGGAGUGUUGAAAGGUUGACCAAAUCAAAUUGAUUUGGUUUCCUUAUAUAUUUAGGUGUAUAUUAGGCGUAAAUAUAGAGUUAUUGCUUCCUAGAAAUCAGUGUGUAAUAUUCUGCUUUAAUUUUUUCUUUCCUUUCUUAGUCUCUUGUAUCCCUAUAUUAAGACUGUAUACAGUCUCAUGAAGAUAUGAAAAAGAGAAUUAUUCCAUAAACUUUUUCUCUACCUAUUUUCACACUUCCACAUCAUACGGUGAUUAAUAUGUCAUCUCUACUCAAUUUAUUUAGCAUCAAAUUAUCAGAAGAUUUUGUUACUUAAAUAGAUGGUUUUCAUUUCAACUUCAAUGUUUUUUCAGGCCUAAAGCUUCAUAGUGCUUGUUUAUAUUGUUAAUCAAUAUAUAUAAGUUUACUUGCAGGCAAUAUCAGGCAUUUUCGAAAUAUGCGUAAGUAUGACAAGGAAAUCUCAAAAAGAAACAAAAACUUAUUGCUUGGAAAAAUUUAUUUAUUUGGGGGAAGCCAUUAUGAGUUUUGGGCUCCUUAAUAGCUUUAGUAAAUUUUGGACCAUUAUUUUGAACUAUGACCCAGUUUCCCUUGUUUACACCACAGAAAAUUAGCAACACUCUCUUAUGUCUCAACUCUCUCUGUCUCAACCAACAAAAUCAACUCUGUUAGUAGUCUGUUUAAAGCCCAUUUCUGAUUAUCUGAUAUCUGUGUUCAUGAUAUGUUUCGUGAUCUUGGACUGUAAUUUGGUUUUUAGUUUUUCCAGAGGCAAAUGAAGUCAAAUUUGCAAGAACAUCGGUCUUUGAAGGAGCAUCAUUUAAGUUGGACUAUCUAACAAAACCUUCAUUCUUUGAGAAUUUUGGAUUCACUGAGAAGGUCAAAAUGGCAGACCGUGUGAAGCCGGAAGAUGAAUUGUUUCUAGUGGCCUAUCCAUAUUUUAAUGUCAAUGGUAGUCUUACACCUUGUCUUCUCAUUGAUAUUCAUUCCUUAAGGUCAUUAAUUUUGCUUUUCUUUUGUCUUGUAGAAAUGCUUGUGGUUGAAGAGCUUUACAAAGAAGCUGUCUUCAAUACUGCCCGGAAACUGAUUAUAUUCAAUGGAGAACUUGACCGGAUAAGGUCUGGGUGUAUCCUUCACCAUUCUUUCAUUAUUAUUGUACUUUCUGUAAAUUUAGUGUGAUUUUGAUGCUAUAUAACAGUUUCUAGAUGCCCACCCAUUGAAUUGCUUGUUUACAACUUUUUGGUCCUUCAAUUGGUAUCAUUUUGCAAAAAUUGAAAGUAAAGUGGGUUUUUUGCUUUUAUUUUUUAAUACAAUAAUUUGAAAUUCACUCCCAGAAAUCUAAAGGGGAAUUAAUAAGGAUGAUCGUGUUAUAUCUUUCACUAAAAUGUCGCAAGGAAGACUUUUUUUAAAAAAAUAAAUAACAAUGACUUAACCAAACUAAUUAGUGACUUGGUUGUAGUAUAGUUGUUUUGGAAUGUGCAAUAAAAGGAUCAGAGAGGAUUUCCUUAAAUGAGCAGAAGAUUAUCCAUCGUUCUUCUACCCUAAGCUGGCUGCACUAUCCAGAACACUUUUUCCUGUGAUGGAGACCAUAUAUUACAUUCACAACUUUAAGGGUGGCAAUGGAGGAACCCUUUUCAGGUUUGCCAGCUAGUUACCGACGCGUUUCCUGUGGCAACAUAUUAAUGCUUGCCUAGUAUCACUCACUGUUUUCCUGCUGUUUAACUUAUAUUUUACAUGUUUUUCUUUUCCACUUCCUGUUAGGUGCUACCCAGGUUCCUGGAAGGUCCUGAAGAAAGUGAGUAAUAAAUAUAUAUGUUUGCAUCAGCAGGAAGUGAUGCCUUCCCUUAAGGAGGUUGCUUUGGAUAUCCUUCCCUCAGCUUGAGUUUCACCAAAAUAUUUGUCUGGUGAUAAAUCCCACUUUCUUAUGUUAUAGCAGAUUUGUUUUAUAGCUUAUAAAAGAUCAACUUAUGUGCUGAGUUCAAUAAUUGGUUCAUGAUUUCUAGUUUGUAGGUCUUAUGCUGAGUAUUUUGAUACUAAUCUGCCAGUGUUUGAAAGAUCUUAUUCUUAAGAUGAAUAUAAUCAUAACUUCCACAUCAUAGCGUGAUUAAUAUGUCAUCUCUGCUCUAUUUAUUAAGCAUCAAAUUAUCAGAAGAUUUUGUUACUUAAAUAGAUGGUUUUCAUUUCAACCUCAAUGUUUUUUCAGGCCUAAAGCUUCAUAGUGCUUGUUUAUAUUGUUAAUCAAUAUAUAUAAGUUUACUUGCAGGCAAUAUCAGGCAUUUUCGAAAUAUGCGUAAGUAUGACAAGGAAAUCUCAAAAAGAAACAAAAACUUAUUGCUUGGAAAAAUUUAUUUAUUUGGGGGAAGCCAUUAUGAGUUUUGGGCUCCUUAAUAGCUUUAGUAAAUUUUGGACCAUUAUUUUGAACUAUGACCCAGUUUCCCUUGUUUACACCACAGAAAAUUAGCAACACUCUCUUAAGUCUCAACUCUCUCUCUCUCAACCAACAAAAAUCAACUCCCUUUCCAAUCUAUAUCACAAUGCACGCUAUUUCAUCAAACCCAAGACUUACUUCAACUUAGAUUCAUAUAUGUUAUUUGAUUCAUGAUUAAGAAACUGUGUUUUUUUUCUUUUUUCAAAGUACGCUUGGAGAAUAAUAAAUAAAUUUACCAACCAACACAAAAAAAGUUUAUGUGAGGCUUGGUUGACAAUUUUAUUGUGGUAAUAUGUCGUUUAAAGAUAAAUGUUGUUGAUUUAUUGAUUCUUGUGUUGACUUGGAUGGAAGAUAUGUUGAAGAAAAAGAAACCCAAAAAUUACAUAUGCAGUUUUUUUCGUCAUUUCUGACUUUCAUGAUUUUGUACAAGAUAUAAGUUUUGUUUUCUAGACUUUGUUCUAAGUAGUAUUGGAAAACUUUGCAUUGCACAUUGUAGGUGUCCUCAAAUCUAUUAAAUUGGAUUAGGCAGUCUGAACACAUUAUUAGGGUUGUAAAGGGUCCAUGCAGUAUAAUUUUCUCUUGAUGCUUUCAUAUUUUUUGGCUGUACAGAUUUGAUGCAUCAUUGAUUCUUUGAUUCUGAUGUCUAAUGAAAAUGUAUGUUUAUAUUGCAUCGAUGAAUUUUUUAAUCCGGGAAUUGUAGUAAUUGUCUGUUGUAUUUCCAUGCAGUUGAAACCUUCUUGAUUUUUUGAAAAAGGAAAAUUACUUAAUUUGAUAAAGAAGAAUAUAUGAAUUUCUGAACAAUAAAAACUGUAGGAAGCAAAAAGAUAUCCUUGUGGCAUUAAUGAGUUGCUGGAAACAAGGUUUAAGAAUUUUGUAUGCUUUUGUUAAAGCUAUAAAAUGCUAUUUAUUAUCUGUGUUGUUACAAACUAAAGUACUUUUGUGCUUUAUGCAAAUUUAAAAAUGCUAUGCUAUGCGUUAGAGCAAUAAAGUUGUUAAGAAACAGUGAAGGCUUUUGUUGCUUUACUUAAGAUGAGGUUCAAGAAUAUUAUAUAACUUUAGUGAAUGUUUGCAUGGUGGCUUUGAUCUUGUUGCUGCCCCAAACUGACUGAUUGAAGGAGAGAAUUUUACAGCUAGAUCAAGCUUCUUUCCCCAGAUUAACUUCUGACAUGGACCAAUCAAAUGGCUGUCGCAUUCUUAAAAAAAUGGUUCAAGUUUUCCAUAGUUAUGGUCCACUUAUACAGAAUCUGGAGAAAUGAAUAUAUGAAUUGUGACUUAUAUCAUCUGUGAAGGCAAGGAAUAAUCCAUGGAAUUAUAUAAGAAGCAUUGAAACUGCUUUGUUGAUGGCCUGAGGCCAGAGAAAAUGCCGAAAACAUAUUCCUAAGAAAGUUGUUCCUUCUAGUUCAGUCCGGUCCAUUAAUUAAUCCUGGCUACAGCCCUCCAAGUAGUCGGGAUUGAGGGGCUUCUGUACGUGUAAGAAUGCUCUUGUAUUUUUUUUUAAUUCUUUUUAAAUUACUAAUUGUUGAAUUGAUCAAAUUUCGCGCCAUGUUUUCAGUUUAUAACAUGGAAGAGUGCUUGCAAGUUAAGUUGGAAAAAUUAUCACCAUUGCCCUCAAACUGCUGCAUCUACAGAGUUCCGGAGCGAUUACGUCAGAUAAAUGAAAAGGCAUAUACACCUCAGGUAGUCUCAAUUGGCCCUCUUCACCAUGGCAAAGCAAACUUACAGUUCAUGGAAGCUCAUAAACAGCGGUACCUGCGUUACUUACUUCAACGGACCAUAAUAAGCUUUGACGAGUUUGUUCAAUUUAUAAAGCUCAGAGAAGCAGAAUUAAGAGGUUCUUAUGCAGAAAAAGUCGAACUAAGUAGUGAUAAAUUUGUUGAAAUGAUUCUGCUGGAUGCUGCCUUCAUCAUUGAACUCUUAUUGAGGUAUCAUUUUCGUCAACUUCAAAAAAAAGAUGAUCAUAUAUUUCAUAAACCAUAUUUAAUAGAGGAUAUAUGGUAUGAUAUGUAGUUGCUUGAGAAUCAGCUUCCUUUCUUCAUUCUUGAGGAUCUUUUUGCUCUAGCUGCAAUUGAAAUCCCUGAACAACAUGAAAAUCCAACCAUCAUCACAGUCACAUAUGAGUAUUUCAAGGGUUUAGAGGCAGUACAAGGUAAUCGGCAAAAAUUCCCUCCUUACACUGAGGUUAGGGUACAGCAUUUCCUUGAUUUUCUAAGGAUUUGUCAUCUACCAUCAUCGAGGAAUCAGGAAAAACAAGAAGGUCAGCAAUACCACAAAGGUAAAACCGCACCAAGUGUGACUGAGCUCCACCAAGCUGGAGUCCACUUCAGUUUGAGCAAGAGCAAUGAUUUGUUCGCCAUAGAAUUCAAAAACAGGACAUUGCAUAUUCCGAAACUGAAGCUACAGCUGGAAACAGAAUCCUUAUUUCGUAAUCUCAUUGCCUUUGAACAACGGCAUUACUCAGAGAAUUACAUAAAUGAUUAUGUGUUCCUUAUUCAUCAUCUCGUGAACACAGCGAAGGACGUCGAGUUGCUUGUUCAGAACGGAAUCAUUGAGAACUGGUUGCGGGAUAAAGAGACUGCGUCAAUGCUUAUAAAUAACCUUUCUAGAGGUACUACUCUGCUGUCUGAUAGCUUCUAUUUUUCUGGGCUAUGCAAAGGAUUGAAUGAUCACUGCAAAAGAACGUGCUACAAAUGGAGGGCAAACUUGAAACAAAAUUACUUCAAUACUCCAUGGGCUGGCAUUUCGGUGUGUGGCGCCGUUUUCCUUCUUAUUCUCACCGUCAUUCAGUCUGUAUGCUCUGUUAUACAAGUGUUGUCUCAACCCAAAAAUAUCUCGUGACGAAAAACCUCUGUGCGGUAUUUGUAUGUCGUUUUUGAGUUGCUGUUUUCUUUUUUUUAUUUUAAUUCUUAUUCUCAACCAAUUUUAUCAUGGAAUUGUUAAUUUUACUUGAAUGUUGAACCAAGCCUUUAUUUUUUAAUAAUGAAAUGAAAUAAAAGGUGGGGGUAUACCCUUCACAAUACCCUCUUCACUCCUUAUUUAGUGUUGCAUUUACCGCAAUAAAAAAUAAUUUUUAAACGAUAAACAUAUUUACUUGAAAACAAAAAUUAGUUUAUGCUAUUUAUUUAUCUUAUAAUGUUGGAACUUGAAAGUUAAUUUAAAUUAAUGUAAUCCUACCAACUUGAUUUGGUUUUCAUAUUGGUUGGUUUCAUGUAUCAUGCGAAUUGUUAGGCACCGACUAACUCAAGCGUAUGUUACUCAAACAUCACGCUUGAAUAAUAGUUUAAGGAAUGUUGAUUUGGAUGGUAGAUAUUUAAUCAACUAAAACUAACGUUCUCAACUCAAAGCUCAUCUACUAGUAAAAGUAAAACCCUUCUCCGUCAACUUAUCUUCUUCAUUAUAUAACAAAAGAUGUUCAAUGAAAGAAUGAAAUAUAUAUAUAUAUAUAUAUAUAUAUAUAUAUAUAUAUAAUUAAGUCAAAGUAGUCAAGAUCCAGCCACUCGGCUUGAGGGCUUGAGUUCGAACCCACAAGAACUUAUUUCAAUCCUUAUUUUAUAAAUAUGAGAUUAGGGAUAGAUUUAUCUCUAAUUAUUUAUUUAUCGAGUAAUUAAUUUUAACAAUAUUAUUAAUUGUAGUUGAAACUGGAAUGAAUUUUCUGAAAGAUGCUCUCUCAUAACUAACCAACUAAAACUAACAAUCAAAUUAUCAAACUCAGAGCUCACCUACUAGUAAAACUGUAAAACUAAAACACUUGCUUCUCCAUUAAGUCAUCUCUUUAUAUAUAAAAAAGAGUGUUUUUAUGAAAUAAUCAGUAACAAUUAGGUAUCAAAUAAUUCAUAAAAGAUGUCAAGCUCCGUUGCUACUGCUGCUGAGGCCGAGAUUUGGAUUGUCCCAUUCUUCGGUCAGGGACAUCUAUUUCCAUGCAUUGAAUUAUGCAACCAAAUCGCUUCCCGUAAUUACAAAUCUACCCUCAUCAUUCCCUCUCACAUUUCCGCCACCAGCAUUAUCCCAUCCUCGUUUCACCAAUAUCCUCUCUUUGAAGUUACUGAAAUACCCUCCUUCGCCUCCUCACCCCCAUGUUGUCGUGCACAGCCAAAUGCUUCAAGGCCUUCGAAACCUCCUUUCAACCCGGGAACCCAAAAGCCGACCCGUUUGUGCAGUCAUCGACGUUAUGAUGGGCUGGACGGCUGAUGUUUUCAAGAUUUUUGAAGUUCCCAUUGUUGGGUUCUUCACUUCUGGUGCUUGCUCAGCGGCUGUGGAGUGUGCCAUGUGGCAGGCUCACAUCCAAGAUGUCAAACCAGGAGAGGCCCGUUUACUUCCUGGGUUACCCGAGGAUAUGGCUUUAUUUGAAUCGAAUCUUAAACACAGGCCUCAUGAGCCCCCUCCUGGUGGUCCACCACCUCUGAGAGGUGCACCCGGUUCCGAGAAAAUAGGUCCACCAGAAGCCGGUGAUCAACCACACUGGAUGAAGGAAGUGGAGGGAUCAAUGGCGUUGAUGUUCAACACGUGUGAUGGUCUUGAGGGACCAUUUAUUAAUUAUUUAGCCAAUGAAUUGGGAAAGCCGAUGUGGGGAGUGGGCCCACUGUUACCUGAACAAUUUUACAAAUCGGCCGGUUCAGUGCUUCAUGAUCAUGAGAUGAGAAUCAACCGGUGGAGUUCUAACAUGACGGAAGAUGAGAUCAUUCAAUGGUUGAAUUUGAAAUCAUGCGGAUCUGUGUUAUAUGUGUCAUUUGGUACUGAAGUGGAUCCGACCUUAGAUGAGUAUUUAGUACUAGCCAAUGCUUUAGAAGCAUCAAAUCGACCGUUUAUUUGGGUAAUUUAAGGUGAUGCAAGUAGAUUGGAUCCUCUAUGUCAUUUGGACAAAACAGUAGAAGGCAGUUAUUUUCGUUAGAUGAGUUUAGUGUUGUUGACGAGGCACCAUAUGCACAACAUAGUGAUAUUGUUUAGUGUUUAAUAUUAGAGUAAUGAUAUAGCCACAAACUCUUGUACAAAUUUAUUUUGUACAAACUUAUGUGGCAUGAUAAGAUUGGUUGAAUUAAAUAUCACUUGGCCCACAUGAUUUGUUUUCAUUAUUUUAUAUUUUCAUUCAACCAAUGAAUUAGUGCCACGUCAGUUUGUAUAAAAUAAGUUUGUACAAUAGUUUGUGGCUGUAUCAUUACUCUUAAUAUUAUAGGGAAGUUUUUAAUAGAUCUUCAUUUCCGUGCAUAUUGUGAGCUUAUUGCCAA